Molecule: long non-coding RNA, 362955 nt
Filed under: Eucalyptus grandis
Lineage: Eukaryota; Viridiplantae; Streptophyta; Magnoliopsida; Myrtales; Myrtaceae
Description: long non-coding RNA (EGRA_LNC004699)
Source: RNAcentral
UUUCUUGGUGCAACUGGGCAGAAGUUUCUAUCUGUGUAUUGCUCGUGUGGCACGUAUAUUGAUUUUUUUGACAAUCCUCCUAACAGUUUACUUGGUGACACCCAAUAACAUAUCGUUUGGCUAUAUUUUGCUCCUCCUAUGUUGGAUCAUGGGAAGACAACUCGUUGAAAGGACGAGAAGACAUUUUUAGUUUCCAUUAAAAGUAUAUGCAAUCACUGUGUUUAUCUUCUUAUACAGCUUGAGCAAUUUCUCCACCCUUGAGAUGUGGUUGUCGGGGUUGAUUGAUCUUCAGUUUUACUUGGCCUACAACUCAGAAGCUUUGCUAUUGCAGAAUAUUUGGCAGUCUAUUGCAAUACUGAUUGUGAUGCAGCUUUACAGCUACGAGAGGAGACAGAGCAAGUAUAUCCAAUUUGGUGACUCCAAACUUAUGGAAUUUGGAGUACUUGGAUUUAUUAAGAGUUUCCUCAUUUGGCACAGUGACAAGAUAGUGUCUAUAUCAAAGUUCUAUGCAUCAUUGUCACCAAUUAGUCUCUUUGGUUUCCUUUAUCUGCUCGGUCUUGUCAUUUGUUACCUUUUACCUAAAGCUUCUCGAAUCCCAUCAAAUUUUAUUACUUCUUUAUACAGGACUUCUGGUGAUGACAGAAUAUCUCUUUCAGAUGUGGGGUGCCCAGGCAGGAAUGUUUCCUGGACAGAAUGACUUUAGUUUGGCCAAGUUCUUGGGUUUUGAGUUAUUUCAGUCAGGCUUUUGGGGUCUAGAAUUGGGUUUAAGGGGGAAAAGUGCUGGUGUUAUCUGCUUGUAUCCUUCAAUACAAUGUCUUCCGUUGGUUGCAAAAAGUACCAACUCACAUUUUGAGCAAAUAUUACACCAAAGAACCUUGCCCUCUGUUUGUAUCAACAGAAGAAGUGUUUAGGGAUUUUUCUAAUUCAAACGGGGAAAGCAACCGCCUGCAGAUUCUCCUGCAAUUCCUUGUGAAGCAUAAGGCGUGAGAAACAAUUUGUCUUCCUCAGCCUCUGGUUUUUCUCAAGCAUCAAAUAAUGUACCCAAAACUGGAGGCUCUGGGGGUGGCAGUGCUAGAAAAUAUUCCUUUGGAUAUAUUUGGGUAAGCACCAACGAAAGCCACAAAUGGAACAAGAAAAGAAUUAUCACCAUGAGAAGGGAGAGAUUUGAAACGCAGAAGACAAUCUUCAUAGGCUAUAUAAAUUUUUGGAUGGAGAACAUGUUUAAUCUCUUGGGCCUCGAAAUAAACAUGGUGGCCUUGCUCCUUGCCUCCUUUGCUUUGUUAAAUGCCAUUCCAAUGCUAUAUAUUGCACUUCUCGCUGCUUGCAUACUUCUGAAUCGCAAUGUCAUUCGGAAAUUAUGGCCAGCACUUGUCUUUUUGCUUGCUUCCAUUCUCGUCCUACAAUACUUUGUCAUUUGGAAGAGCACACCAUCUGCCAAUUCACAAACAUCAAGUAAGGCUGAGUCUGUAUUUCCUUUCGAAUUUUAUGAUUCUCCUGCCAGUAUGAAUGCUGAAAGUCUUCAUGUGAUGAAUUCAGCUGAUCAUUCAUUUGACUUUUCCGAUUGCGAGAUCAAUGAGGCUGAGAAGGAUGGUGGAGGUUCUUUAUAUGAUUCAGAUAAGAGAGCCAGAGGUCAAGCUGAGGAUAACUCUGUAGUUUCUGCUGUGCAGCUUUUAGGAGAUGGCGGUUAGUUCUCUUGUAACCUUCCCCGAACAUCAAGCCAGAAGACAUGGAUGCCAGGGGCAUACUCAAGCAGUCUCCCCUGCACCCGAUCAACGGCCAGGAUCACUUGACGAAGCAGCAGAAGUUCGCCAGAUCGAAGCUCCGGGUCUCCAUCAACCUGCCGGACAACGAAAUCUCCCUCCUCCGCAGCCGGCGGAACCUGAGCUUCAGCGAAUCGUCCGCCGGCGCCGGCGCCAGCGCCGAACCUCCGACUUCUCCUUCUUCAUCUCCCCACUCCUCGUCCUUGGCCUCAGCGUCGAUCGGUCGGAUCUUCAAAGGGAAGGCUCCGGCGACGGCGAGGGGGAGCCUCGAGAACGGCGGUAGCGGCGGUGACCCCGCGGGGGGCGGCAGGCGUAUAGGAGCACGAGGACGGUGGUGGAGGUGCUGCGGGAGCUGGACGCGGACAUAGUGGCGCUGCAGGACGUGAAGGCGGAGGAGGAGAGGGAGAUGAAGCCGCUGUUGGAGCUGGCAGCGGCGCUGGGGAUGAGCUACGCGUUCGCCGAGAGCUGGGCGCCGGAGUACGGCAACGCCGUCCUCUCCCGGAAGGUCCAAAAGAUAUUCGACGACACCGAUUUCAGGUCCGUCAUUUCGUUUUAUUUUAUUUUAUUUAUUAAUUUAUUAAUUUCCAUAUAAUUUUUACCUGUUAUUCUUGCUAUCAUUUUCGUAAUUAUGGUGACGAUGAUAUGCUCUCUUUCUCAUUGAGCAAGUGGUCUUCCUAGGCGAUUUCGAAAUUUAAAAGAUAUUUUCAUUUAUUUAUUGAGGCGUCCACCGUUGAAAGCGAAGUUUGAUAAUAUAUCAUAAAUUAAUAUUCCCUCUUGACAUAUUAUAUAAUUUUUUCUUACAUUUUUCCAAGUGAAAAGAUUAAUUGCGCAGACCCAUCUACAACGGUGCAAAUCCACUUUGGACAGUUGAAAUUUUCGUUAAAAUUAAGGUAAGGUGGAUGUAAUAAAAAUUCACAAGACCAAAAAAUAAAAGCAAAAACAUAAGCUUUUGCCUAGCCAUCAGAAUUUGUGGAUGAAAAUCUUGCUGUCACUUGGUUUAUAUUUUGUCUUUUUUUUUUUCCCUCCCCUUUUUUAACUGUUCUAUUUGGAAUUAUCUGAAUGGAGUUGUCCAGGAACUGAUCUGGGAAGAAUUUGGAAUAUUAUUCACGAGAACCCUACCACCAAAAAUUCAAGAAUUCCCCAAGGCUUUUCUCCCACAGCCUGUUUGCCUUUGUUCAACUUACGGAAAGCUAUCUGCAACAACUAUGGUGGGCCUUUCCAAGGAUCCCAGCACCAGCUGGAGCAAUGCCAGUCAGAAUUAAAAUAUAAAUUAAAUUAAAAAAAACCCAUUAUUUGCUUUCUAUGAUCUUAGAUAUGGGUUCUCCCAAAGAAUUGUCAUUUAUCAAUAAUAAUAAUAAUAAUAAUAAUAAUAAUAAUAAUAAUAAUAAUAUCUUCGGUUAUAACUAUUCGAAAUUCGUGCGAGUGUGUGUGAUGAAAGACUGUCUUGGACUUCUUUCAUUCCUCCUUUUUUCAUUUCUGGUUGCAUUUAGUGGGUUGAUGAGAGUCACCGUUGAAGAUCAUUUUGUACUAAUUGCUGAUAUAGUCAAGAGAAUGCUUAGGAACUGCUAAAUUACAUAUAUAUUUUUUGCUCUUUAGUAUUUAAAUAAGGAGUUGGGAAGAUAAACGAAGGAUAAGAUCUAUGACGUACAUUAAAUGAGGGCAGGGUAAGGUGUAUGUAGGUGGGACAGUAACGUGGGGAGGAUUUUGCUUUUGCUUUAUUUUAUGUAUUUGCCAAAUCAGAUGCUUGACCUGAAGACUGUGCAAGGACUACUCAUCUUCAAGGAAAACUACAUUUCUCUCAAGCGAGACAGACCAGAUAGAAUUAACUUGUUUGAGACAGCAAGCAAUUGCUCGUCAUGGAGUCAAUUUCCGAGACUUUUGCGUUCGAUUAAUUGAGCCACGCCUUAGAUAGUGAAGGGAUUAUGUGCUUUCGUUGCGCGAAAAUUCAGAAAAAGAAGAAAAGGGUGAAUUGAAAUAUAAUCGAUCGACGUAUUAAAUUGACUAGGAAUCAAAGUGGCUGUGAAGUUGAUAUGUUUUAUUAGGGAAAAGUACCAAAAAAGUCUUAAACCUAUUGCAUUAGUACCAAUUCAGACAUAAACUUUUCAAUUGAACCAAUUCAGUUCUAAACCUUUUACUAUUGGUACUAAUUCAGUCCAUUCGGCCAAUUUUGGCUAGCCGACGCUGACAUGGACGUCGGCCGGUGGCCGGACGCUGAAGUGGAAAUUUUUAUGAUUUUUUUUAAUUAUUUUUUCGAAUUUUAUUAUUAUUAUUUUUCUUUUUUCUUUUCUUUUUCCUUUUUUUUUUUUUGUCUUCUUCCUUGCGUUGGCCGGCGAGGGCUUCGCAGCCCUCGCCUGCCGCCGGCGAGAGUCGCGGCCCUUGCCCGGCCUCUCCCAGGGCCGUUGGUGAGGAGGCUUUGCCCGGAUCUAGGCAAGGCUAGCCUCGGCCGCGGCCCUGGGCGAGGCCGGGCGUGGGNNNNNNNNNNNNNNNNNNNNNNNNNNNNNNNNNNNNNNNNNNNNNNNNNNNNNNNNNNNNNNNNNNNNNNNNNNNNNNNNNNNNNNNNNNNNNNNNNNNNAAUUAAAAUCAAGCAACGGGUCACUAAAGCUGACCUUCACCAAUUAGUGCACCAUCAUUACCCUUUGACUAAUAUCGGUUCGUUUUGAUUUGUACGUGCGGUAGAAAUUUCCUAGAAGGAGAGACCCCUCUUAAUGACAUCCUAUGUAUUGAAUACGGCCAUGGAAGUUUAUGCAACUAUACGACUAUAUUAUUUUUACAAAAAUCUAAUUGCAUCCCUUUGGUAGCUGAACCCUCUACACAUUUUUCAAGGGAGAAUUACAAAAAAAAAAAAAAUCUUAAAAUUUAUUGCAAUUGUACCAAGUUAGUCAUAAACUUUUUUAUAAUUGUAAUAAUUCAGUCCAUCUGGCCGGCCAACGCAAGGAAGAAGAUAGAAAAAAAAAAGGAAAAGAUAAAAAAUUAAUAAAAAAUUCGAAAAAAUAAUUAAAAAAUCAUAAAAAUUGUCACGUCAGCGUCUGGCCACCAGCCGGCGUCCACGUUAGUGUCAGCCGGCCAAAAUUGGCCGGAUGGACUGAAUUGGUACCGAUAGUAAAAUGUUUAGGACUAAAUCGGUUCAAUUGAAAAGUUUAGGACUGAAUUGGUACCGAUGCAAUAUGUUUUGGACUUUUUUGGUACUUUUCCCUAUUUUAUUACAUAUGAAUGUUCUGAAGGCAACAAUAGAAGUGCCCCAUGUUGGGGAAGUGAACUUCCAGUGCACCCACCUGGAUCAUCUCGACGAGAACUGGCGGAUGAAGCAAGUCGGCGCCAUCAUCCAGUUGAGCGACUCUCCCCACAUCUUGGCCGGUGGCCUCAACUCUCUCGACGAGACCAAUUACUCGCAAGAUUGGUGGACCGACAUCGUCAAGGUAUGUACAUUUCUAUCAUGUUUGAUGUGAUAUUCGUUAGCACGUCAAACUCGAUUACUAAAUAGCUUAAGCUACGGCGAUUUUGUAAUCAUGGGCACCUGUGUUUGUUACAAAACUAUGAAGAGAUGGGAAAACCGACCCCAAAGGUUGAAGUCAUGAGGUUUCUGAAGAGCAAGCAAUUCACGGAUGCUAAGGACUUUGCCGGAGAAUGCGAGUCCGUGGUCGUCAUUGCCAAAGGACAAAGUAAGAACUCACUUGUUUGCUUUCCCAUGUUUCGAUUUUUCUUUUUCGCUUUGUCAAAUGGCUAAUCUAAGGUGCUUUUCGAGCACAAUGCUCCUUUCCUUUCGCUCUAAGAUAAGAUGAUUGGCUUGAAUGGACAUAAAUUCAUAACAUUUGAAGCAUGAUGAUCAUGUUGAAUAUGUACAUCCGUUGUUGUCAUCACUUUGUCGAUAUCAACCUCUGAUGUGAAAAUCCGUGGUAUAAAAAUUGAAGUCCAAAAUAUUUUUUUCGGGUGAUUACUGUCUGAACAUGUAAUUUGAAACUGUCUAUUCUAUUGUAGGUGUGCAAGGGACAUGCAAAUAUGAAACGAGGGUGGACUACAUACUAGCGUCAUCAGAUUGCCCAUACAAGUUCGUUCCAAGGUCAUAUUUGGUCCUGUCAUCGAAAGGGACAUCAGAUCACCACAUCAUAAAGGUCGACGUAACGAAAUGCAAAAACAACCCUCCCCAUGAAAGUAAUGGCAACGACAAUAAAAUUACCAAGAAAAGGCGACGACAGCGUAAGCACCAAGCCGUUGUAAAGAUCUCCGGCAUAGCUCCUCCUUCAAAGGGUAUAUGGACAGCGAACACAUUAAGCAAAGUCGAAUGACAUUAUGUCACGCCCCGAACCUCGAGCGUGCCAACAUCCCGCCAUGGUCAUUCAAAUGCGACGUUCCCAGGUUAAGUCGCCGACCCAAUCAAUUCUUUAAUGCACAUGCGGAAGCAUAUUAUAAAACCCCUGACAAUAAAAUAUGGGAUAGAAAAACAGGAAGCAAUUUCACAACAAUACACUUUCAUAAAUCAACGGAGUUACAAACGAAGGCCUAUAGCCAAAAGUCUCCAAAAGAUCGGCUCUUAAAAAGGAACUGUCCUAUAACCUACAAGUCGGACACGUUCUCUAAUCCUCCUUACUUCACCUCUGCAACUCCUCAAGGCCGGCCAACCAAAGCGAUCUGGUCGCUCCAUCCACAAGGGACCUGAAAAUGUUGGCCCACAAUGGGAUGAGACAUUGUCUUAGCAAGUUCAACCCCCUAAACCCCUAUUAGAAAAAAAAUACGCCCAAGAAUGGCCUAGCCACACCACAUAGAGGAUUUACUUCGCCUCAGUUCAUUCCUGUAGGUUAACACAAUUCAUAUCACUCAAUCACAUGUUCAUAUCACCAACCACAUGCAUGAAUACGAACUUAAACAACCAGAACGCCUUCGCUUUCAUAUAACUGACAACCACAGGGUCCUGAUUAUAAGACUAAAUCGUUAUGACACGUCCCAUUCCAUGCCACACAAUUCCGUCCCAUAAUCCGACACAUCAACAACACUCAACAUGCAUUCCAAUUGUUAUUCACUACCACACAAGGGCAUAGCCUACUCGCAGUUCAGCUAUCUACUGGCAUAUAGCUAGGCAUCACCUCCCCACCUUGGAGCGUAGCUUCGUCAGUAUGUCGAUGGCGUUCCCGAAGGAGCAUGGGCCCAGAAUCAACUGCGACCCGCAACCACUACGUGGGCAUCCCAUAUAGGGGCAAGUCUGGCUCAACAGCCUAGGAUGAUCUCCUCUUAAUUAUUACACAACAAUUCAUAUUCUGCCCGGGACACUUUGCAUUUCAUUCAAUGCUUUCACUUAAAAUAGUGAUCCCGGCCAUUUUUUUAAUAUUAAAAAUACUCCAGAAAUUAACCAUGUGUGUGGGGCAUGUUAAUUUCGAUCCAGAAAACCAAUAUCUCACUUUUUCAAACCCCACUAUUUAAUAUAAUAUUGAAAAUUCAAUUUUUGCAUUAAAAUCCGACACUUGGGUUUUUAUGAAUAAAAUCCCUAUUUAUCACAAUCAACACUCAAUUUGCCACAUCCAUUCAUCAAAUUCAAAUUCUAAAUGCACAGCAGCGAUUCGCACGAAAUUCUGACAAAAUAAGGUCUCGAAAUAAUUUUUGGAAUUUAUUAAAUAAUUAAAUUUAUUCCGAAAAUUAAUUAAAUAAUAAAUCCAUAUUUUUUACGAUCCACACUCAAUUUAUAAUAUCCAAUCAUCAAUUUCAAGAUCUGACUACAUAGUAGCGACCGGCGCGAAAUUCUGAGAAUUUAGGGUCUUGACAAAAUUUUCGGAAUUUAAUAAAUAAUUAAAUUUUAUUCCGAAAAUAAUUAAAUAAUAAUAUUUUAAUAAUUUCGAAUAAUAAUAUAUUAUUAAAUUAUUUAAUAAUUUCGAAAUAUUUAAAUAAAUCAAAAGUAAAUUCCUUUAUGUCAAAUCACCAUUAUACUAAUAUAAACUUCAAUUUAACCUUAAUUAAACAUACUUUAAAUUAAACUAACCUCUUAAUCUAAUUCACAAUUAAAUAAACUAAACUAACCACAUAAGCUUACUUAACUUAGACUAAGCAUAUUUAGGGCAUCAUUAACCCUCUAAUCAAGAUUUAGUGAGUUAAACUCACUCAAAUGACGAGCCAAGCGGACCAAAACGAUGGGGACGCCGAGGGGAACAACUUCCUUCAAAGCGGGCCAAGCAUCCGGGGUUGGGAAGCCAGCCAAAACGGGCCAAAAUCGGGCUGAGAAACCCACUAAAACUAGCUGCUAUCCAAGCUCGGGGGAGGACUGUCCGGCGGCGAUUCGGGCGCGGGGGUGGCAGAGAGAGGCGGCGGCAACUCGGGCGGUGGCUCACGGCGGCCUAGCAGGAUCUCCGGUGACGGCUAGCAGCUCGGGACAACGGAUGAUGGUUGUUGGCUCGCAGACGAAGCAGGGACGGGAGGGCAGAGCAACUCGCGCACGGGACGGCAGCGAGCGGGCGCGGUGCGCGGGCGACGACGACAGCACCGUCGACGGCGGCAACGAACAAGCGGACGGAGGGGUGGACGAAGGGGGCGUCAGGCUGCUGGUUCCGGUCGAAGUUCCCCCCUCUCUCUCCUCCAAAGUCCAAAGGAAGAAGAUGAUGUUGAUGGGUACUUUUUUAGGGCCAAUCUACACCAUCCACUUGUCCAAAUCUCCUUCAAUUUGGCCCAACCACCAUGACAUCACAUGAUGUCAUACUCCACUAUCCAAAUUCUUCCACAACCUUUCUCCAAUAGGUCCAAUUUCCUUUUCCGCCGAGGCAUGAAACCUUGUAUAUUAAUUUCUUUAAUUCCAUUCAAUUCUCUUCCAAUUGAGUCAAAUUGAAGUCCAUAAAUUAAUCCAAUGUCACCACACUUUAAUUCACACCCUCACUUGUCCAUAGAACCCUCUUAAGUCCCAAAAGCACGAUCAAGGGUGGGCCUACUAAUUUCUCGAGCCAAAAUAGCCAUUCUCUGAUUUAAUUGUUGAAAAAAUUCUGAUUACAUGAAAAAUCUUCCGAAGAUGAGUCAAUGAUCCUAAAAUGAUUUGUGACACACUAGGACUUCCAAUUUCUAAAUUCGAUAUUAAUUUCACGAUUAAUUUCACUUUGGCAUGAUACUAGCGCAUCCUGAUCUACCGGGUAGCCUUUAGAAAUUUUCAUGCAUUUAACCUGUGGUUGAUCAAUUCAAGCCACAAUGUACAUCUUUGAAACAUUUGCGACUUUCGGUUGUCGGGGUAAAAUCAAGGUUUCAAAUACGGACACAGGGUACCCAAUCGACAGAAAAGUCAGUCCAGUGCCGAUCAACAAGAAUUGUGCGAUCUGGUGGAAUCACCCACACCUGAUCACAUGCCUCUGUCGAGUCAACCUAUCUCCGGUCUCUAAUCGAUUUUUAAUUGUGCCGUAAUGACCCUUGCAGAUUAGCUCGGUCGAAAGGUCGCUUCCUGAUCAAAUUCUCGAGUCUGAUGCAUUAGAAUCUCUUAACGGCUUCACCUAAUAGACUAGUUUUCACAUGAGUGGCCGACCCAAGGAAAAUAACUAUAUGCGUACCAACGACAUGCCCAUCUCAAUUUAUUGAAAAUAGAAUUGGAAAAUCGGGAUGUCACACAUUACAUGUUGUUGCGAUGGGGCAAGCGAUCGAACAAAAUAUACACGGAAGAAGAAAAAUAAAUCGGACACCAGAUUUACGUGGUUCAGACGUAAAGACCUACGUCCACGGGGAGAGCAUCAGUGAAUUUCACUAUAGAUCAAGCGAUACAAGGAGAUUACACACUCGAGUCACUCAAACACUCUCUCGGUGUUUCCCAAGCCCCAAUUACACCCAAUAACGCACCCAGUGUUUAGCCCCGAAAUUCCUCGAAAAUAAUCUCUCAAUCUCACGAAGGAAUUACAUGCAAAUCUUACCUCAAGAUUUAAUCGACUACAAACACUAAACUUCUUGGAUGUAAUUGCACAAACGAAAAACAAUAAGCCCACUUUCAAGCACUCGAUAUUUGGUGCUUCAAGUUUGCUUGCAUCAACAACGGCGGAACAAGCACUCACGCGGCGCUUCAAGAUGUGGCUUCGCUGAAGAGAGUCCUAUGAGCAAAAGUUAUAUAUAUAUGACCGCCAGAGAAUUGCAUGCAUGGAAGAAAACCGAAUAAUCCAAGAUUCGGUCAACAAAGAAGAAAGAUUGACUUUCCUCUUUGGUUCCAAGCGGCAGAGUUGGAUGCUGCUUUCUUCGUAGCCUUAUUUUUUUCUCAUUUUUUUUUAAUUAUUUCAAAAUUCAACUUUUCGCUUGGGGCUUAAACUCGAGUCAUAAAUUUAACAAUCUCCACCUUGGCUCGACGUUUGAGCCAAAUUACAAUCGCUUCGUAAAAAUUCAAAUUCUGCCGCUACUUUCCCAUAGCCCUCGACGGGCUCAACUGCCACAGAUAUUAUCCAAGUCCAAGCCUCGCUUGAACUUUGCUAUAAUCGAGGACCUCAUCAUAAUACCAACUCCACAUGCACCUUUAACUGCUCGACAAGGAUUUUUCGACACAACCUCCUCAAUCACAGAUAAAGUAAAACCAUUAUUGCAUCUAUAUUUGUCAGGAGAUCAAAUACAUACCUUGUUAAUUUCAGCAGUUACAGCAACUGUUGGCUCUAUAGGCUCCACCUCACUAUGAGCACCAUCUGUGUUGAUUACUUUGCUAGUACUCGUACUCGCUACCUCAGGAGUUUUUGGUUGCAACUCCACCUCAAGCUGAACACCGUUCAGAUCUGUAUUAACACUGCCAUAAACACUCCUAGCUAGAACUAUCGAAGACUUCUCAAUAGUAAGUUCUCUACUAUCAACAGGUGAAUUUAUAUCCGGGCACCACAACUGAUCGCCCCACUCACCUUGUGCAUAGCCAUGGAAUAUGCACCUUGCCCUCCUAUCGAGCUUACCAUCACUCACUCGAAAAUAACACGGGCAACCAAAUAUUCUAAGAACAGAAUAAUCGGCAACAUUACUUGAUCACACUUCUUCAGGAGUCUGCCAUUCAAUAGUAGUUGAUGGGGAUCUAUUCACUAGGUAGCUUACCAUACUUAGCACAUCAGCUAGGAUUCUCCUAGCUAUACCAGCACUAGAGAUAAUUUUUCGGGCCAUCUCUAGUAAUGUUCUGCUCAUCAAUUCUGCAAAUUGUUGUGAUUUACUAGCACUAGUGUAGUGUUUCACUAUGCUCUCUUUCAUGCAGUCAGCUCCGAGCAAAACUCCAUGUUAUUGUCAGUCCGCACAUGCUUGAUCGACUUACCAGUCUCUGUCUCGAUCAAAGCUCUUGACUGCGAGAUCCUGACACCAGCAUCAAACUUGUGCCUUGGCACAAACACCCAAGUCUUCCUCGAGCAGUCAAAAGACUCUCGAACAGAUGCAUCCGACGUCUCCGCAGCGAAAUUUAUCACUGUCUCACCUCGAAGUUUAUACAGGCCAUCGUGCUUGAUUUCUUUCAUUAUCACCAGGGCACCUCGAACAACCUUCAGAAUUCCACCUUUUGAAGAAUAUUUGCAACUAGCUGAAUCUAGGGCACCCAAGGAAAUUAAAUUAUUUUUCAAUUCUGGAACAUGCCUCACUCCAGUCAAUGUCCUCACGAUACCAUCAUGCAUUCUGAUUUUAACAUCACCAACACCCACAACGUCGUACUCAGCAUUAUUCCCUAACUGGACUUUACCACUACCCGCGCACUGAUAAGUGAUAAACCAGUUUCUAUUUGGUGUGACAUGAAAAGAACAACCAGAAUCCAUAACCCAUCCAUCAAGUGAUGAAUCACUAGUGACAGACAAGACAUAAUCGGCAUUAUCUGCUACAGCUGCAACAUUAUCUGCAGAAUCAACUAUAAUUUCCUUACCAUUAUCAUUCUUCAGCUUAAGGCAAUCCCUUCUAAGAUGCCCUCUCUUGCCACAGCUCCAACAGACAACAUUAGCAGUCCUAGAUUGACUACGUCUGUUCAUAUUAGUACUACCAUUACCCAUGCGUGUUACAGAUCUUCCUCUAUUUCCACCUACUAGAGCAGUAGAUACAGAUUCGCCAGAUUCUUUUCUACGAAUAUCCUCGCUCAGAAUUAAAUCUUGAACCCCAUCAAACGUCAAACUUGUUGACCCAAAGGAAUUACUAACAACAGUAACGGUAGUAUUCCAACUAUCAGGCAAUGAAGAUAAUAGAAUCAAAGCACGUACCUCAUCUUCAAAAUCAAUCUCAACUGAACUCAAUUGACUAACAAUCACAUUGAAUUCAUUGGUAUGAUCUGCAACUAACGCACCUUCUUUCAUCUUCAAGUUAAACAGACGUCGCAUCAAACAGACCUUGUUGAUCGCAGAGGGCUUCUCGUACAUAUCCGACAAGGCUUGCAUCAAAUCAGCAGUGGUCUUCUCCUUCAGGAUAUUAAACGCGACGUUACGAGCCAACGUCAGCCGAAUAACACCCAUAGCUCGUCUAUCCAGCAAAUCCCAAUCAGCUUGCUUCAUCGUCUCUGGUUUCUCCUCAAAUAAAGGCAAGUGCAGAUUCAUCUGGUAAAGAUAAUCUUCAAUCUGCAUCUUCCAGAAACUAAAAUCAUUCCCAUCAAAUCUGUUGAUUCUCACUUUUACUUAUUCUGUCGCCAUCGAUUCGCUUCAACUUAGCCAAGCUUGGCUCUGAUACCACUUGUUGCAAUGGGGCAAGCGAUCGAACAAAAUAUACACGGAAGAAGAAAAAUAAAUCGGACACCAGAUUUACGUGGUUCAGUCGUAAAGACCUACGUCCACGGGAAGAACAGCGGUGAAUUUCACUAUAGAUCAAGCGAUACAAGGAGAUUACACACUCGAGUCACUCAAACACUCUCUCGGUGUUUCCCAAGCCCCAAUUACACCCAAUAACGCACCCAGUGUUUAGCCCCGAAAUUCCUCGAAAAUAAUCUCUCAAUCUCACGAAUGAAUUACAUGCAAAUCUUACCUCAAGAUUUAAUCGACUACAAACACUAAACUUCUUGGAUGUAAUUGCACGAAUGAAAAACAAUAAGCCCACUUUCAAGCACUCGAUAUUUGGUGCUUCAAGUUUGCUUGCAUCAACAACGGCGGAACAAGCACUCACGCGGCGCUUCAAGAUGUGGCUUCGCUAAAGAGAGUCCUAUGAGAUAUAUAUAUAUAUAUAUAUAUAUAUAUAUAUAUAUAUAUAUAUAUAUGAGACCGCCAGAGAAUUGCAUGCAUGGAAGAAAACCGAAUAAUCCAAGAUUCGGUCAACAAAGAAGAAAGAUUAACUUUCCUCUUUGGUUCCAAGCGGCAGAGUUGGAUGCUGCUUUCUUCGUAGCCUUUUUUUUUCUUAUUUUUUUUUAAUUAUUUCAAAAUUCAACUUUUCACUUGGGGCUUAAACUUGAGUCAUAAAUUUAACACAUGUAUAUCGCCCUUUUCUUUCCACUCUUUUCUUAGUUGCUUCUCCUAUUUUUGCCGUUGAGUGAUCUUAGGCAUGCUGGCUUCGUCAAUCUCUGUGUAAAUCUACGAUUGUUUUGUGCAUCUUGUCUUCUGUUUUUGUUUGUUUGUUUGUUUUGUUAUUUUUUUCUUUUCAGUUUAGAGUUGAAGAGGGGAGGGUUCUGGUGUGAUGGCUUCCUCACAUCUGUAUAGAUUUCGACAUGACAGAAGCGAAUUCUUACGUUUCAACUGGGCAUUGGAGCUGAGCGGUUCUGGCAAGUUCUUUUUCAGUAUUUUAUGCCUUUUCUUUUCGCUUGUAAUCUUAAUUGCAAGAUUCAGAUUAGUUUUGCCGGGGUGACAUCUCAAGUUGACUUUGCUGAGAUUGAGUUUAGAGAAUGCGAUCAUGUAUCUUUAAAUUUAACCGAAAAUUGAAAAGUUUUAGAUUAAAGUCCUUGGAAUAAAAUUGCAAAUUUCGAAAAUUGAAUUUUUUUUGUUAAGUUCGACAUUUGAGGGAUUUGAUAAAAGACCCAAAAGAUUUCAAAUGAAAUACCUUUAAAAAGCAAAUAAGGAAAAAAAAAAAAAGCUGUGAAAUCUGGUAAUUAUGAAUUCUAAACAUCCGUGACAGUAUUGCUCAAAAAAAAAAAAAAAAACAUCGGUGACAGUAGUCAAUGUUUUAAUUUUUUUUUCUCCGGUCUUGAAAUUAGCAUUGGAGAGAAGAAAAGUGGUAAGUUAGUGCAAUCUACUUCGACAUCUUAACAAAUACCUUCUGUGAUCUCUAAAUGGAGCCUUAAUGAGCAUUAUAAGUAAAAGUGUAAUGAAAAGAGAAAGAAAUAGAUUUUCUAUAUAAUAGACAUUGUUGGCUGAUGUAUCAUGCUAAUUAGCUUAUGAAUAAAAAACUGCCGCUCCCUUAUAAUGGUUAGCAAACUGCGCCCCUUGCAUUAGCAUAGUAGAGGAAGCAAGUAUCUCUCAGUUGGCGUAUACUCUUCAAUUGAUCCUCCUUGAUGUAAUUUAUAUGGAUUGAAUUAUUUAUUUCGAUUUUGCUUGGGAUCUCAAUUUAGAAAAUCAUGGGAUCUAAAGCUCAGAUAACAACAAGAGGAAUUAAAAAAAAAAAACAGUUAAGACAUUGCGUCAAUAUCGUUGACCGGUAAGAAUCCCAGUACUUGCGACCUUGCAGGUCUGCUACUCGGGACCUCACUAAUAUAUGACAUAAAAAUAAAAAUAAAUUUAAAAAUUUUUUUUAAAUUAAUCAUUAAUAUUUGAUAAUUCUGCCGUUUGUUUAAGGGCUAUGCUAGUAGGUCACAUGACACAUCCAAUGACGUUUUCACUGCACAUGUUCAUGUUUUUUUUUUUCUAUAGUGAUAUGGUCAGUUAUUAAAAUGUUGUAUUUUUUUCCCUUUUUGUUGCGAAUUUCCCUUCUAUAAAUCAUGAACACGAACACGAGCACAAAAUUUUUUCGUCGAAAUAAUUGGUCUAUUCAACACCUGCUGAUACAUUUAAUUGUUUUCUAUAUCAUGAAUAAAUUAUUAAGUGAUGAUUGGACAAAUCAUUAAAUAGAAAAAUCUCUUGACAAAAAGUAUCCUAGAUUAUCUCAAGCGAAGAUCUAGACAUACAUUAUUGUAUUUUAGGGUACAAGAUUGGCUGUCUCUUUGUCACUGAUUUUGUAAGUGUCCUAUUGCCUUUGGAUGGUAAUUCUUUUUGUAACUGUUCGACUUUAAAGUCGGCAAUGACCAGGAGUAACCAUCUUUGAUCAAGCCCUCUUAAGUGAACACUUAAAAAGAAUUAGUCUCUUAAUCACUGGAAUUGUGUUAAAUCAAAGGUAUUGUUUGUAGAUAUCAUGAAUAAUGGAAAAUUUUCCAAAAAUGUCCUAAAUCUAUUGCACUUUAGCCAAUUAAGUCAUAAAAUUUUUAAUUACGUCAAUUGAAUCCUAAACCUUUUCACAUUUUGCCAACUAAGUUUAUUGGGCCAAUUUUAAGAAAAAACCACUGAUGUGAACACCGGCCAUCUUAUGUAGGAUGAUAGAUACUAAUGUUGGCAAAUUCUUAUAAUUUUUUUAAAAAAUGGAUUUUUUUUUUUAUUUUUUUUUAUUUUACCAUGGCUUGUGAGAGUCGUCAGGUCCUAGCAGCUACUAGCGAAGACUCAGUGACCCUCGCCGGACAUGGCAAAAAAAAGUAAAGGAGGAAAAGAGAAGAAAAUAAAUAAGGUUCGUAAUGGUCAUGAGUAAACGGUCAGGAUGAGCAACGAUAUUAAAAAGCACUCGUGUAGUUCUUCGCCCGUUAGUAUGCUAAACAUGGAAAAUGUCGAAUCAACAUCAAUUUAACACUGUCUUUACUCGAAUAGCUACAGAACUAUGUAAGAAAACACAAGGAACAAGAAGAGAAUCCUGAAGCUCUAGACACGGCAUGACCAUGAAAAAUCCACCGAGAGCUGGUUUUUGUCCUCGGAGUAGAUGUGAAAAAUGUGGCAGAAUUAAAGAAUAAGCAGAGAUUCUUCGUAUCUAGCACUGUAAGCUUGCUCGAUGUAGAGUGAAACAAAGGGACAUUGCAUAGAAUUUGUACCUAUAUGAAGUUCACGAUGGCCGGGAGCAAUCCGCGCCCCAUGACCUCAACUUAAGUGCAUCACCGUAUCAAUAAUCAGUUCUUCCACAAGUGGAAUUGAUACGCAAUUUAUGCCCGAAUUGUCCUCUAUUCACCUUUCACUUGGGGACGGUUUUCCAUGAAUCUCUUCCAGCUCCUCGAGCCUGUUAUUGAGGGCUCUUCUAAGUGAGGCCAUCUGUAUAUGAUCGUUUGCUUCUGGAAAUCGGUUUAUGGAGACCUUGAAGUUCAGCCUAUGAAUUUUGCUGUACACUAGACGGGUCCUGUUGCCGUACUGCGAACACUUAUGUGAGGUUUCAAAUGUUCUCGCCUUCCUCUCAUGGUGCAGCAGAGCAACAAAUGUCAAAGGAAUUGGAAGAGACAGUUCCACAGCCUCCUGUCACAAUGAAUGGUCUUUCUCAUCAGGAUGAUUCUCCAAUGAGCGUGAUGAACUGCAGGAAUAAGUAAGAAACUCGAUUCUUGAGAUGUUUCUGUCUCAUAUCGUUUACUUUUUCUCCAUUGCGUCGAACAUAGUACCUACUCUAGUGAUUAGCUUAACUUUUCAUUUCAAUCUGAAAGCUACUUACCUACAUUUAUAGGAUUCUUAAUAUAAAUUACCGGCUUGUGCACACUAUCUUACUUGGCGAAUUCUGUCAUCUGCACUAGUUUAAAUACAUGCAUCAUUCGAGAGCGCAAGUGCCUUUGAUGGCUUAUGGCCUGAGGCAUGGCGUAAUUGUUUUUUUGCCUCGUCAAAGUGUUGCUUCAGAGGACCUGAAUAUUCUUUUGAAAGUGAUGCUUCAGAGGACCGGAAUAUUCUUUUGAUAGGAAUCGUCUGUUUAGAUGAUCAUAAUUGCUAUCAUUGGUAGAACACACUACCAAUAACAACAUGAUAGUCGCUGUGUGCAUUCUAGUCGAACAACGUAGUUUCAACUUUGGGUUGCGAUGCUAACUGUGCUCGCACUUGUGGUUCUAAAAUGUUGAUGAACAGAGCUGAAUCUGACAAGCUACUAGCCAUUCCUGUCGGUUUUGUUGGAUCAGAAGAGGUGGUAAGGUCUGCUCCACAUCUUGUACCUGGCGGUAAGCUUGCUUGUCCUUCAGUGGAAGAACAAGGAAUGAGAAUAAAUGCUGCAUUAGACACUGCACAUGCACCAAUUUCUCAUCUCUCGAACCUCAUUGCCAACGGUCACCGGGCUGCAAACUUCAGGGGACCUUUCCAACCAUCAGACUUUUAAGGCUCGAAGUUUGAGCCACUUGGAUUCAUACCCUAUCCCUUACUUUCUCUGAAGGUAUUUAUGAUAUUUAACACUUAGCUCGACAUUCUGCGUUGUCGAUUGUACUUGGUUUGGACUACCUACUGGUGAAUCUCUUCAUGUAAAGGUUUGGGUUGGAAUAUUACUUGUCAGCAUAGUUUCAUAGACACGGUAAUUCUGUUCUUUUACCCAUCAGUGCAUUCGACUCGUGGUGCAACAAAUCUGAAAAAAGCUUUUAAUAUGCUAUUCGAGAGUCAGCUUUCAGCAGUGAUCUUGAACAAUUUCGUGUUCUCCAAACCGAGACUUGUUUAGAGUCAUUGAAAGCCUUCAAUUUAUGACGUUGUACUAGGAAGGUCCUUUCUGCUUUAUAUGUUUCUAGAUACUUUAAAAACCAUCUAAAGUAAUUGAAAAGACCAUGCGCAAAAAGUUAAUUGCUGUUGUACUUGGCGAGGUGACCCAACUUCUCUAUGUAUUCUUACUCCUGAAGAAUGGCGUUGUUUGUAGCUUCCAUUCAGGAGUACCUUGCUAAUUCGGCAUCAGGUCAAGUGUCACGCCCCGAACCCCGAGAUACGUGAACAACCCGCCAUGGCAAUGUAAAUGCGACAUUCCCAGAUAGUGUCGCCGACCCCAUUCAAUUAUUAUGCGCAUGCUGAACGUACUAAGAAACCUCUGACAAAACUUACGGGAUAGGACAGCAGGAAAAAUCAAUUCAAAAACAAACCAACAUACUUUCAUAUAUCAUCUUUCCAGAGUUUACAUACACCAACAGGAUCAGAGACUAUAUGCACCAAAAAUGGGUCAAAGUUCAUGUGCAUCAAAAAGGGUCAAUCUGCACAACAGGGAUCGGUCCACCAAAAAGAGGGACGGCCCUAUGACUACUAGUCGGACUCGUUCGUCGAUCCCACAUCUUCCACAUCUGACUGCACUGGGUCCAGGGACGAUGGUUGUCCACCCUACAUUAGAAAGGUCAGCUACACCUUCACCCAAAUAGCAUCCACCACAACAAGUGGAAUAUCAAAAAUUAACACGAAGAAAAAAGUACAGCGUUAAGCCAAGAGGAUUCACACGAAACUCCAAUUAUCAUGAAUGCCAAACGACAUCCAUUGUCAUUUAUAGCAUAUGGACCUAAGAAUUUUAAACGAAAACACCANNNNNNNNNNNNNNNNNNNNNNNNNNNNNNNNNNNNNNNNNNNNNNNNNNNNNNNNNNNNNNNNNNNNNNNNNNNNNNNNNNNNNNNNNNNNNNNNNNNNNNNNNNNNNNNNNNNNNNNNNNNNNNNNNNNNNNNNNNNNNNNNNNNNNNNNNNNNNNNNNNNNNNNNNNNNNNNNNNNNNNNNNNNNNNNNNNNNNNNNNNNNNNNNNNNNNNNNNNNNNNNNNNNNNNNNNNNNNNNNNNNNNNNNNNNNNNNNNNNNNNNNNNNNNNNNNNNNNNNNNNNNNNNNNNNNNNNNUACGGACCUGUAAUAUUUUCCCCACAACGGGGGGGAGACCAUUAUCUCAGUAAGUUCACCCUCUGAAACCCCUAUUAGAAAGAAAAAUACGCCCAAGAGUGGGUCUACCCACACAUCAUAAAAGACUUAUCUCGUCUUAUUUCCUUCCAUGCAGGUUAGUACAGUUCAUAUCACUUAAUCACAGCUAGUAAUAAGAACUUAAAUCAUUGAAAUGCAAUCAAUUUCACAUAAUGCACAAUCACAGCAAGAGUUCCAAAUCAUUAUUCACCGCCACACAAGGGCAUAGCCAACUUGCAGUUUAACUAUCUACUGACAUUAAUGCCCAGGCAUCGCCUCCCCCCUUGGACCGCGGCUUCAUCACCACAUUGACGGCAUUCCCGAAGGAGCAUGGGUCCCAGUUGGCCUAGCCUCUACUGCGACCCGAGCCACGUCACUCUGUUAACGGCGUUUCUAGAAGAAUAAAGGUCCAGUUGGCCUAGUCACUACUACGACCGAGUCUUUUAACCAGCACACGACAAUUCAAUACUAAUCCCUGGAUACUUCACAUUUCACUCACAUACUCCAAUUACAAUAUUAACCCUUAAAAAUCCAAUUUCGGUGCCAAACCUGACACUUGAGAUUUUCUGAAUAAAAUCCCUAUUUUUUUUCACAAUCAACACUCAAUUUGUGUUAUCCGCUCAUUAAAUUCAAAUUCUAAAUACACAACAGCGAUCAGCACGAAAUUCUGAGCAAUUGAUGUCAAAAAUAAUUUUUCGAAUUUUUUUAAAUAAUAAUAUUUUAAUAAUUUUCAGAAUAUAAUAUAUUAUUAAAUAAUCCAAUAAUUUUGAAGCAUUUAUUUAAAUCAGAAAUAAAUUCCUUUAAGUCACAUCAAGGCUUAUAUUAAAAUAAACAUACUUAACUUUAAACUAAACACACUUUAACUUAAUUAAACACUUUAAUCUAAUCCACAACUAAAUAAACUAAUCUAACCACCUAAUCUCAAUCAACAUAAGCUAAACACGCUUAAGGCAUCAUUAACCCUUUAAUCAAGAUUUAGUGAGCUAAACUCACAGAAAUCGCUUUCCGACGAGUCCCCGGCGAAGAGCACGAUGAUGUUGACGACAAAUCUACACGGAGCAACACUAAAUGAGGACCGGAAGGCACCCAAAACGGCCCUCAAAGAUCCGGACUCGAGCUGGAACUCCGGUUGCUGUUUGGGGUCGGAUGGAGGCGGCUUGGCGGUCGGUUAGGCGCGAAACCGGCGGAGAGGGGCUGCGGCAGCUCGGGCAACGACCGGCGGUGGCUCGGGCGGUCUUGGCUAGCUCCGACAGUGGUUGGCGAACGGUGAGCAGCGGCUGGUGGCUUCGGACGACAACGCUGGACGGAGGACGAAGGCGGAACAGCUUGCACGCGGGACAGCGCGCGCGCGGUCGUGCGCGGAUGAGUGGCGACGGUGAACUCCGGCAACGAAUGGCUAGCGGUAACGAGCGAGAGGGCGAAGGGCAGUCGGCUAGCCUGGUCCGGUCGCUCUCUCUCCCCCCCCCCCCCAACUCGUUGAUUUCUGGAGUUUUAAUUAGCCUUGAUACGGUGAUGGGGAGAUGUAUGCGAGGAGACGUGAGAAAGAUGUUCAGUACCAGUUUCUAAAUAUGAAAAAUGGAUUCUUGCUAAGGUGGAAGCUCCACUACCUGUGAUGAANNNNNNNNNNNNNNNNNNNNNNNNNNNNNNNNNNNNNNNNNNNNNNNNNNNNNNNNNNNNNNNNNNNNNNNNNNNNNNNNNNNNNNNNNNNNNNNNNNNNCACAUUUGCACCCUCCAUAUGUCACCACCCUAGCCAAUCUUGCCCCACGCCAUGACAUCACUUGUGAUGUCACAAUCCACUAACUCCAACCUCCCACAACCUUAGUCCAAUAGAUUCAAUUUCAUUUUCCGCCAGGGCAUAGAAUCUUGUAUAACAACUUCUUCAAUUCCGCUUGAUUCUCUUCCAAUUUAAUCAAAUUGAAGUCCAUAAAAUUAAUCCAAUGUUCCUAAUAAGAUUUGUGACACACCAUGACUUCCAAUUUCAGAAUUCGAUCUCACUUUCACGGUUAAUUUCAUUUUGGCACGAUACUAGCGCGUCUUAGUCUAUUGGGCAGCUUUUAGAAAUUUUAAUGCAUUUGACCUGUAGUUGAUCAAUUCAAGCCGCAAUGUACAUCUUUGACACAUUGAUGACUUUCAGUUGUCGGGGUAAUCUCAAGGUUUCAAAUAUGGGCACAGAGUACCAAAUCGACAGAAAAGUCGGUCUAAUGCCGAUUGACAAGAAUUGUGUGAUCUGGUGGAAUCACCCACACUUGAUCACAUGCCUCUGUCGAGUCAACCUAUCUCCAGUCUCUAAUCGAUUUUUAUUUGUGCCGUAAUGACCCUUGCAGAUUAGCUCGGUCGAAAGGUCGCUUCUUGGUCAAAUUCUCGAGUUUGAUGCAUUAGAAUCUCUUAACGGCUUCACCUGAUAAAUUAGUUUUCACAUGAGUGGCCAACUCAAGGAAAAGAACUAUUUGCGUGCCAACGAAAUGCCUGUCUCAAUUAUUGAAAAUAGGAUUGAAAAAUCAGGAUGGCACAACUCUUCUCCUCUUAUAAAAAUUUCGUUCUCGAAAUUUAAACCAUUACACUUCUUAAGCAAAAAGGUGGGGGUACAAUUGUCUCAUCGAAUCUUCGAUUUCCCAAGUUGCUCCUUCAGUAUCGUGGUGUUGCUAGACCACUUGACCAACGGGAUGGUCUUGGUGCGCAGAACCUGCUCCUUGCGAUCGACGAUCUGAAUCGGGCUUUCAACGUACGACACCUUGUCGUUCACAUCUAAUUCCUCAAAAUUUAGAACGUGUGUCGGAUCAGGUUCAUACUUCCUUAACAUCGACACGUGAAAGACAUCAUGCACUUGUGCUAACCUCGGCGGUAGUGCAAGACGAUACGCUAGAGUCCCUAUUCUUUCCAAAAUCUCAAAGGGACCUACGUACCUCAGACUCAGUUUCCCCUUUUUGCCAAAGCGGGAAGUACCUCUCAUUGGUGACACCUUCAAAAAGACAUGCUCACCAACUUAGAACUCCAAUGGCCUUCGACGCUUAUCUGCAUAACUCUUUUGGCGGCUCUGAGCAGUCUUUAAUCUGUUUCUGAUAACUGCAACUGCCUCCACUGAAUGCUGAACCAACUCUGGACCGGUGAUCUUUCUUUCCCCGACUUCAUCCAAACAUACUGGCGUUCUGCACGCUCUGCCAUACAACGCUUCAAAAAGGGUCAUUUGAAUACUCUGCUGAUAACUGUUGUUGUAGGCAAACUCGACUAGAUGAAGCUGUUCCUCCCAGCUUCCUUUGAAGUCCAAGACGCAAGCUCGCAGCAUGUCUUCGAGAGUCUGAAUUGUCCUCUCAGAUUGGCCAUCAGUCUGCGGAUGAUAGGCCGUACUAUACUGUAGCUUCGUUCCUAAAGCGGAUGGCAAGCUCUUCCAAAAAACGGCGGUGAACCUCGGGUCCCUAUCUGACGUAAUCGUGACCGAGACCCCAUGCAUAUGAACCACCUAACGUAGAUACAGAUCUGCGAGUCUAUCCAAACUCAAGUCCUUUCGCACUGCCAUGAAGUGAACCGACUUUGUCAGUCUGUCAACUACUACCCAAAUCGAAUCAUUUCCUCUCUGGCUCCUUGGUAGUCCCGUCACGAAGUCCAUCGUGAUAUGCUCCCAUUUCCAUUAUAGGAUCUCAAGGGGUUGCAGAAGUCCUCCCGGUUUGCAUUGCUGAGCCUUCACCUGCUGACACGUCAAACACUUGGUGACAUGCUUGGCGAUGUCCGCCUUCAUGCCACACCACCAGUAAUGUUGACGUAGAUUUUGAUACAUCUUGGUACUACCAGGAUGAAUGCUGUAACUGCUACGAUGUGCUUCUGAUAAAAUCUCCUCUCUAAGCUUCACAUCGUUAGGUACAACCAAUCGUCCUUGGAACCUCAAUGUUCCAUCCUUAGAAAUCUGAAAGUCAGCUUUCUUUUUCUCUGCAUCCUCUUGCAGGAUUUUCUGAACAUUUGAAUCUAUCUGCUGAAGUGUUCUGAUUCUAACCUGCACUUCCGACUCAAUUCUAAGGGUGGCCAUAAGACUCGAAAUGUGGCCUACCUCACAUUUGAAAUCUGAAUCUCGUGCUCUCUCAAUUAGACCCCAUUCUUUGAGUACCAUUUGAGCAACUGAAGACUUCCUACUCAGUGCAUCAGCGACCUUGUUCGCCUUUCCGAGGUGAUACAAAAUCUCACAGUCAUAGUCCUUUAAGAGCUCUAUCCAUUGACGUUGUCUCAUAUUCAACUCCUUCUGAGAGAAUAAGUACUUGAGGCUCUGAUGGUCAGUGAAAAUCUGGAAUCUUUCUCCGCACAAAUAAUGCCUUAAAAUCUUCAGGGCAAAGAUGAUCGCUGCAAGCUCUAAGUCAUGCGUCGGAUAAUUCAACUCGUGAGGUCUCAACUAACGGGACGCAUAUGCAACUACCCUACCAUGCUGCAUCAAUACGCAACCCAAUCCUUUAAACGACGCAUCACUGUAGAUCUCAAACCCUCCUGGACCCGAUGGAAUAGGAAGCACAGGUGCGGUAGUUACUUGAAACUACUCUCGCACUUAUCUGACCACACAAACUUUUUUUCCUUCUUCAGUAGUCUCGUCAUCGGCGAUGCUAACACUGAAAACCCUUCUACAAACCGUCUGUAAUACCCUGCUAAACCCAGAAAACUUCUGAUCUCUGUUACUGUCGACGGUCUCGGCCAGUUGAUCACUACUUCAAUCUUGGCUGGGUCCACUGAGAUUCUUUCUCCAGAGAUGACAUGACCUAGGAAAGCCACACGAGUUAGCCAAAACUUGCACUUACUGAACUUGGCGUAUAGCUCGUGAUCUCUCAAAGUCUGAAGCACUAUCCUUGAAUGCCUUUCAUGAUCCUCAGUACUCCUUGAAUACACCAGGAUGUCGUCAAUGAAAACAAUUACGAACUGAUCCAAGUACUCUCUGAAUACGCAGUUCAUCAGAUCCAUGAAAGCAGCUGGGGCGUUCGUCAACCCAAAUGGCAUCACAGUAAACUCAUAAUGGCUCGAGUGCGAAACGCCGACUUCGAUAUGUCUUCCUUCUUGAUUCUUAGCUGAUGGUACCUUGUCCUCAAGUCGAUCUUAGAAAAUAUCGACGCUCCCUGAAGCUGAUCAAACAAGUCAUCGAUCCUCGACAAUGGAUACUUGUUUUUGAUCGCCACCUAAUUGAAUUGACGAUAGUCGAUGCACAAGCGCAAUGAGCCAUCCUUCUUCUUCACGAACAGAAUUGGUGCUCCCCAAUGUGAUGCACUAGGACGAAUAAAUCAUUUAUCCAACAACUCUUGCAUCUGUACCUUCAGUUCCUUAAGUUCUGACAAGGCCAUCCAGUAAAGAGCUUUAGAGAUUGGCUUGGUCCCGGGGGCUAACUCAAUCACGAACUCUAUCUCUCUCUCUGGCGGCAAACCUGGUAAUUCUUUCGGGAACACGUAUGGGAACUCUUGCACCAUUGCAAUAUCUUCAAUCUUCAACUCCUCCACUAUCGUGUCCACGACAGUCGCCAAGUAACCUUGGCAACCCUUGCCUAGCAAGCGAGUUGCUUCGAGUGAUGAGAUUAAGGAAACCGAGGGUCCUCCUUGACUCCUAAUAAAUUCGAAACUCUCACCCCCUAAUGGGUUAAACUGAAUCGCUUGGUGAGCCAGUCCAUGCCAAUUAUCACAUCAAAAUCAAACAUGGCUAGGACUAUCAAGUCUAUCCUCCCUUCUCGCUCACUAAUCAGUAACUUGCAACUAAGACAACCCACUGUAGCUAACACCUUAUGCUUCAACGGAGUAGAUAUGCUAAUCACAGACUCCAACAACUCAGGAAUUAAUUCUACCAACUUAACAUAUCUUUCAUCUAUAAAUGAAUGAGAAGCUCCAGGAUCAAAUAAAGCAUAAGCAGGUUGGUCGUUCAGUAAGACCAUACCUGUGAUCACAUUAGGCGCAUCCUCCGCCUGUCCUCUGGUGAUCGCAUAAGUCCUUCCUUGAGUUGGAGGUUGGUUCAAUCCACCAUGCGGCAUGAUCUGCGGCGCGAUUCCUCUAUUCUGACCCAACGAUGGCGGCGGCGGCAAUUGACGCUAUCCCAUCUGUUUCCUGAGGCAAUUCCUGGCUAUAUGACCCUGCUGGCCACACUCAUAACAGGCGCCCGUCCUAGGAGGACACGGGGCUGAACCAUGUCGUCUUCCAUAUAGACGACACACACCAUUUGGUCUCGGCGCUGGCUUUCCUGUCUCACCCUUCCUGUUGAGUGGAACAUGAUAUCUUCCUCCAGACAUCGAUCUCUUCCCAAACCGGUUACCUUCUCUAUUCGAAUUAAACUGCGACCCAGAUGUGGCAGCUCUCUAAUUCUAGUCUUUCUCAAUCAGCUGGGCCCGAUUAUAAAGGUCCUUGUACUCCUUUAGCUCUAAUGGUACCAACAAGCUCCUCACAUCAGGUCAGAACCCAUCUCUAAACCUUCGAGCUCGGUUUGACGGUCUUUGAACUAACUCGGGGGCAUACCGUGAUAGUUCAACGAACUUCACUUCAUACUGAUCGACUGUCAUUGUACCUUGACGAAGGCACUGAAACUCCACCAUCUUCACCUCUCUAGCACAAUCAGAAAAGUACUUCUCAUUGAAGACCUCAAGAAAAGCAUUCCACUCCGGAACUACACUUUCAGGGAACACUAUCCCUUUAUUAGUCUUCUGCCAUGUAGCUACGAUCCCCCUCAACUGAUAGGCUGCCAAAACGACAUUCUCUGCUUCAGUGCACAUUAGUAACUCAAAGGCAUUCUCUAACUCCUGAAUCCAUAGUGCUGUAGCUUCGGGAUCUCCUGCUCCCGUGAACGUCGGUGGAUUCAACCUCAUAAAAUAUUCUACCAACUUAUGCUUAGGCCUCCCAGCGGCCACAUUCUCAGGUGGAAUUUCAACAGGUUCCACUUAAGGUUCGACGAUCAGUACGGUGGCAGCAGGUGCGGCGGCAGGGGCGGCGGUAACUGCAACGGUAGCAGCAUUGGCGGCAUUAGCAGCAUUGGUGGUAGUGGCGGUAGCGACUGAAGCGGCGGCUUGCUGGUCCAAUCUGUCACCCAUCAACUCAAGCAUUUGCAUGAUUCCAACAAACCUCGGAUCCUCGGGGGCUACUGCAUCGUCUAUAGGCGAUCCUGCACCACUCGCACUGGCCUUAGCCUGUGCUUUUCCUAGGGCACCUCGGGCACCGACCCUCAUCGGUGACCCACCCCGACUGCUCUCUUCCUAACAGCUCUCGGCACUCGGUCACUCAAGCUACAUGCUCAAUAUAGAUGCCUAAUUGCAAAUUCCAAUACCACAUUAGAAUCUGAGUGACCUCACAAACAAGUUAACAAAUAGCUAACAAUCACUUGCAUCAGUAUAAUAAAAGCCUUUCCUACCAACUAUCCCAUGACUCCCACACACCUUAUUACUCUAUACAUGAACCAUGCUUUGAUACCACUUAAACGGGGUUGUCACGCCCCGAACCCUGAGACACAUGAACAACCCGCCAUGGUCAUGUAAAUGCAACAUUCCCAGGUAGUGUCGCCGACCCCAUUCAAUUAUUAUGCGCAUGCGGAACGUACUAAGAAACCCCUGACAAAACUUACAGGAUAAGACAGCAGGAAAAAUCAAUUCAAAAACAAACCAACAUACUUUCAUAUAUCAUCAUUCUAGAGUUUACAUACAACAACAGGAUCAGAGACUAUAUGCACCAAAAAUGGGUCAGAGUUCAUGUGCAUCAAAAAGGGUCAAUCUGCACAAUAGAGAUCAGUCCACCAAAAAGAGGAACGCCCUAUGACUACUAGUCGGACUCGUUCGUCGAUCCCACAUCUUCCACAUCUGAUUGCACUGGGUCCGGGGACGAUGGGUUGUCCACCCUACCAUCAGAAAUGUUAGCUACACCUUCACCUAAAAUAGUAUCCACCACAGCAAGUGGAAUUUCAAAACUAUAGAGUGGACCAAUCCUAAAGCCAUUAGCCCCAAAACGGAACCAUGCCUUAAACCUAUGCGGUACCUUGACAUCCUCAGUCUCCUGAAUUCAGACGGUGGUCCUGAUCAGCUCGUAAACCCAAUGGCUCCCAGGGUCAGGAAAACUGUGCACCUCCUCGACAAUAUGCACUAGGAUGCCAUUCUUCUCCGGAGGUCCUGCCAUCUACGGCCCUGUAAUAUUUUUCCCACAACGGGGUGAGACAUUGUCUCAACAAGUUCACCCCUCCUAAACCCCUAUUAAAAAGAAAAUACGCCCAAGAGUGGUCUAGCCACACAGCAAUAAAGACUUACCUCAACUUAUUUCCUUCCUGCAGGUUAGUACAAUUCAUAUCACUCAAUCACAUGUAGUAAUAAGAACUUAAAUCAUUGAAACACAAUCAAUUUCACAUAAUGCACAAUCACAGCAAGCGUUCCAAAUCAUUAUUCACUGCCACACAAUGGCAUAGCCAACUUGCAAUUCGACUAUCUACUGACAUUAAUGCUAGGCAUCGCCUCCCCCCUUGGAGCGCGGCUUCGUCACCACGUCAACGGCAUUCUCGAAGGAGCAUGGGUCUAGUUGGCCUAGCCUCUACUGCGACCCGAGCCACGUCACUCUGUUGACGGCGUUUCUAGAAGAAUAAAAGUCCAAUUGGCUUAGCCAUUACUGCGACCGAGUCUUUCAACCAGCACACGACAAUUCAAUACUAAUCUCUGGAUACUUUACAUUUCACUCACAUACUCCAAUUACAAUAUUAACCCUUAAAAAUCCAAUUUCGGUGCCAAACCUGACACUUGAGAUUUUCUGAAUAAAAUCCCUAUUUUUUUCACAAUCAACACUCAAUUUGCGUUAUCCGCUCAUUAAAUUCAAAUUCUAAAUACACAACAGCGAUCAGCACGAAAUUCUGAGCAAUUGAUGUCAAAAAUAAUUUUUCGAAUUUUUUAAAUAAUAAUAUUUUAAUAAUUUUCAGAAUAUAAUAUAUUAUUAAAUAAUCCAAUAAUUUCGAAGCAUUUAUUUAAAUCAGAAAUAAAUUCCUUUAAGUCACAUCAAGGCUUAUAUUAAAAUAAACCUACUUAACUUUAAACUAAACAUACUUUAACUUAAUUAAACACCUUAAUUUAAUCCACAACUAAAUAAACUAAUCUAACCACCUAAUCUCAAUCAACCUAAGCUAAACACACUUAAGGCAUCAUUAACCCUCUAAUCAAGAUUUAGUGAGCUAAACUCACCGGAAUCGCUUUCCGACGAGUCCUUGGCAAAGAGCACGACGAUGCCAACGACAAAUCUACACAGAGCAACACCAAAUGAGGACCGGAAGGCACCCAAAACGGCCCUCAAAGAUCCGGACUCAAGCUAGAACUCUGGCUACUGUUUGGGGUCGGAUGAAGGCGGCUUGGUGGUUGGUUGGGCGCGAAACCAGCGGAGAGGGGCUACGGCAGCUCGGGCAACGACCGGUGGUGGCUCGGGCGGUCUUGGCUAGCUCCGACGGUGGCUGGCAAAUGGCGAGAAGUAGCUGGUGGCUUCGGACGACAACGCUGGACGGAGGACGAAGGCGGAGCAGCUUGCACGCGGGACAGCGCGCUCGCGGUUGUGCGCGAAUGAGCAGCGAUGGUGAACUCCGGUGGCGAACGGCAAGCGGCAACGAGCGAGCGAGCGAAGGGCGAUCGGCUAGCCUAGUCCGGUCGCUCUCUCUCUCUCUCCUCCCCCCCCCCCCCCCAAAUUUCAAAUUCCAAGGCCCCUUGAAGAAAAUGAUGGAGACAAGGGGGAAGUGACAUCCCACCUUUUUGUGAUUCAAUCUCCACCCACCACGUGUCACCACCCUAGCCAAUGUUGCCCCACCCCAUGACAUCACUUGUGAUGUUACAAUCCACUAACUCCAACGUUCCACAACCUUAGUCCAAUAGGUUCAAUUUCAUUUUCUGUCGGGGCAUAGAAUCUUGUACAACAACUUCUUCAAUUCCACUUGAUUCUUUUCCAAUUGAAUCAAAUUGAAGUCCAUAAAAUUAAUCCAAUGUUCCUAAUAAGAUUUGUGACACACCAUGACCUCCAAUUUUAGAAUUCGAUCUCAAUUUCAUGGUUAAUUUCACUUUAGCACGGUACUAGCGCGUCCUGGUCUACCGAGCAGCUUUUAGAAAUUUGCAUGCAUUUGACCUGUGGUUGAUCAAUUCAAGCCACAAUGUACAUCUUUGACACAUUGGCAACUUUCGGUUAUCGGGGUAAUCUCAAGGUUUCAAAUACGGGCACAGGAUACCCAAUCGACAGAAAAGUCGGUCCAAUGCCGAUCGACAAGAAUUGUGCGAUCUGGUGGAAUCACCCACACCUGAUCACAUGUCUCUGUUGAGUUGACCUAUCUCCGGUCUCUAAUUGAUUUUUAUUUGUGUUGUAAUAACCCUUGCAGAUUAGCUCGGUCGAAAGGUCGUUUCCUGGUCAAAUUCUCGAGUCUGAUGCAUUAGAAUCUUUUAACGGCUUCACCUGAUAGACUAGUUUUCACAUGAGUGGCCGACUCGAGGAAAAGAAUUAUAUGCGUGCCAACAAAAUGCUUGUCUCAAUUAUUGAAAAUAGAAUUGGAAAAUCGGGAUGUCACAUCAAGGUUCACUGUCUGCAAUAUCUUAGUGAAGUGGAUAUCAGGCGUUCCAUAUCACAUCGGUGUCUGGAGGAAUGUUUGCUAAGCAAGAAAACUCAUGUGCAGGGGACAACGGUGAGGAAUAUAGUACUUGUUUGGAAGAAUGUAAGGCACCAUCUCAUGACUUAUCAUCCAGUGAAUGCACAAAUUCUUACUCAUUGAGAUAUUGUGCUCUUGUAAUACAUCACAUCCUCUAACAUGACAUCACGUGUUCAAUUUCUAUUCAUCGUAAAGGCAAAAAUUGAUAGCCACUCUGUCUAUCCUCUUUGACGUGCGCCAAUCGUUCAUCGGGUAGAUUAGGACCCAUCUAGAAACAAGAGGUCGAAGUCAGAGAUUGCUUGAGCAAGUAGCUGAUGUCAAGCUGGGGUUGAAGGGUGGGGGUGAGAGCUUUUGAUGGAAACGAGAGAGAUUCGUUGCUCAAAAUGCAAACAUUAACAUGAAGAAAAAAUUACAUUGUUAUGCCAAGAGGAUUCACACAAAACAAAAAUUAUAAUGAAUGCCAUACGACAUUCAUUGUCAUUUAUAAAACAUGGACAUAAUGAGUCUAAUAGAAAACACCGAUGCUAUAUGAAAAACAUAUAAAAGCUUCACAGAUUACAUUAUCAAUGAUGGUACAUGCUGAUAGUGUUAAUUAUAUUUCACAUCUCAUUUCUACAAGAGGAAAACAAUCACACAAUACAUGAUUUUGUAAACUCAUUGUCGUGGUCAAAUUGGUAACUGCUAGAAAUUAUCGGAGCACUUGACAAAGAUGAGACCAUUUCAAGUUCUAUCUCAUUGUUGUCAUCAUCAAUUGGUGCCUCUAUCGGAUAUAAAAUUGGUUUUGGAGGUAGUUGCAGUUUAUCGAUAUCUCCUUCAAGCAUAUCUAGAACUUUCCUCAUUGACGGCCGAUCCUUAGGGUUCAGCUGUACGCACCAUAGCGCAACGAUUAUCAUCUUCCUUGUUUCUCUUUCCUCUUCUAUGACUUCUACCCUCUCAACCUCCUUUUCUUUGCUGAAAUGAUCAUAAACCCACAAAGGAAAGUAAAUUUGACUUGAAUGCUCUGCAUGUGCAUUUAUAUUUCUCCUUCUACCGGCCAUUUCCAUUAACAUCAUCCCAAAACUGUAAACAUCGGCUUUAUAAGAAAUUCCACCAAUGUCUUUGUAGAAUAGCUCAGGCGCCAUAUAACCCAAGGUUCCUCUUGCUGCAGUCAACGGUACUAUGCUAUGACCGAUGGGAUAACGUCUUGCAAGUCCAAAGUCAGAAAUUUUCGGAGUGAAACUUUGGUCUAGGAGAAUGUUGUGAGGCUUGAUGUCAAAGUGAAGAAUUUGCAUAUCACAUCCCCGAUGUAGAUACUCUAUCCCUCUAGCUAUGCCAAGAGAGAUCUCAUGCAUUUUCUUAUAAUCAAGAGGAUCAUCACCAUCCUUAUUCAAAAUGUGUUUAUCCAAAGAGCCAUUCGGCAUGAAAUCAUAGACCAGAGCUUGUUUGGAGUAAUCGAAGCAAAAACCAACAAGUUGCACUACAUUGAUGUGGUGGAUCCUUCCAAUUGUGGCCACUUCACUAAUAAAAUCCUGGCCGUUAGAUUCUGGUUUGUUCAAAAUCUUAACCGCAACUUCAUUGCCACUUCUAAGGAUUCCUCUAUACACAGAGCCAUAUGCCCCCUCACCUAAUUUGCAUUUGAAUUUUUUUGUAAUCUUCUUGAUAUCCGAGUAAGAGUACCUUAUGGGCGAAAAGUUGUUGUGAACUUGUAGGAAUUCUUCGAUGUUUGCGUCGAUCGCCCGGUGCCUUCUCAUCCACUUAUAGAUUAGAAGUAUCAACACACAUGGAGCUCCAAGUAUGAAUUUUGCUGGGACGUAGUUGGCUACAUAGAAAUUGUCCAUAGAUUAGCGCCGUGCAAUAAUUUUUUUGUAAACAUAAUUGUUUUUAAUCAGAGUGCUUCUUGAGAUCAUCAUAGUUGUGAGGAGAAAAGGCCCAGCAGUCAUACCCAAGAAAAAGGCGAGGUGCCGACCUACAGGUGCCGCGUACCAAUGCUUGGUCCACGCAGAAUGAGGGGUGCCUGCAACAGAUUAAUUAGAGUCGGUGAUCAAUCAAUGAAGAAUUAAAUUUAUCAUUUUAGCAGUUAAACAUAAAUAUAAUUUACUCUCCUUGACAGCGCUCAGAUCACAGUUAAUUCAAUUCACCUAGGGAAUCCAUGCCAUCGUAGCAUGAUUCAUAAGUUCACGUCUCGCUCCGCGUAAUUCUAAUUUACAAACGUCAUUCAAUACGCGUGCAGUUUAUUCAACCGCAUAACAAUAACAGUCAUGCAAGGGACACGAGCAACAAUUAAAUCAACCAUUUUUCCCCAAACAAAAAUGAAGUAACAAUGUCAAAUCCAGAAAAGCUCCAAGAUUCGUAAAAUAAACGAGAGCAGUGCAUGCCGACCCUACUAAGAAAUCUAUUUAAACUUUUCUACUUAAGUGAUGUGGCAAUUUUUUCUAUUAUGUUUUUAAUGAAACUAGUGUCUUAAUGUGUGGAUUUCAUUAAAAAUACCCAAUUAAAACCUGCCACGUCACUUGGUAAGUAAAUUUUGAUCAGGUCUCUUAGUGAAGCUAGCAUUUAAGGAAAGGAGGAGGAGGAAGAAGAGAAAGAGAAAAAACAGCUUAGGGGAACGUCGCUUACUGAAAUAAUAGCCGCACUUCUCCCUUCGGUUAAUAAAACUUAAGAAGUGACAUGGAAAGAACAUUUUCGCAGAAAUGUAGAGCGGAUAGGUGAGAGUGAAUCCCUCGACCAUCUUGCUGUGGAGGUCCUUGUAUGGUAAGCUCCCAUACUGAUCCCCUUUCCGCCAUGAGAUUUGAUCCGAUGUGAAUGCCAUCAUGGUUACGGUGCAAGAGUCCUUGAUAUCCCCUACUUGUAAUUUCCGUAGUACAGCGUAUGAGUACACCUUCAUUUGGGAAAAAUGAGUUGUGUCGGCAGAGUAUGCGUCCUCAAUACAUGGUUUGGCAUCAAUAUAAGAAGUAGAAGUAACAGGUUGUGAGCACUUCAUGAAGGCCACAGUGACAUUGCCAUAUGGAAAUCCAUAUAAAUCAGCAAAUGGAUUAGUGAUAUUGAAGUACGUCAAUGGGUAACGAGGAAGGGAUGAACAAUUACCCUUCUGCAGUCCAUCAUCAACCACUGUGAUGUUACCAGAGAAGUCAUUUUGGAGAAUAGAGAAAUAAUUAAUCGACUUCACAUAAUAUCGGCCAGCAUUUAAAUAUAGAACAGUGUGGUUAUUUUCACAAACUAGCUCAUACCAAGAGUGACCGCAGUCUUUUGGAUCGCUUUUCAAUCGAAAAGGAUAACUUAUGUUACGGAUCUCACCGCAAGAUGAAGAGGCACACAAGUGAUUCUUCUUCGCAUCGCAGCUCGUUCCUAACAAUAGCAGAACAUGCAAUAUGAGAAGUAAAACACGGAGCAUAAAUAUCGAGCUGAGAGAAAUAAUCAUCUCUUUAUCGUUUGAUCCGAUGCAAUGGAAGUUUUAGCUCACUUAGUGAUGCGAGGGAUGCUUAAUAAAGGGUUGGGAGUCAUCGGUCAUCGAAAUGUCCAAGUCAACCCUAAAACAAAGUCUAGCGAAGAAAAACUUAAAAAGUACGGCCCCGCAAAAACACGAUCUCGAGUGAUAGAUAGCUUUCACAUUCAUUAGGGAGGAAAUUUCUCUGCAUUUUCCAGAUAGGAUUUUUCUUGGCAAAUUAAUUCUCUCUAGAAAUUUAUUUUAGUAUCUUAAAAAAGAAUCGGUUUUAAUGUUUUGUACCCUAAACUCAAUCAAAAUCUAUUCAAACGAGGCAUCUAGCGUUCUAUUUUAUUUUCAAGGCCAAUAUUUCAUAAGUGUCGCUUCGUUAAAUUUUGAAGACGAAAAGGAAAAGGAUGAUGUAAUUCAUUGUAUAAGGUUUUUCAUUUUUGAGAAAAAAAAUUAGUAACCAAGAAAGAGGAUAAUGUUAAAUAAUGGGUACAUAGAUUUUAACUUUUAUAAUGUCGCUUUCCGCAAAAAUAGAAAGAAAAUAAGGAACGGGUGCUUCUUGCUUAUGGAUGAUGUGAAAGAUAGCAAUAUGGUAAAUUCUCAACUAGUGAUGGGACCGACACACCUUGAUUAGAAAUUCACUUGCGUUGUCGUGGAUCGACACACGCAAGGACUAUAGACGCAACAUUUGAAUUCACAAAAAUAAUGUGAUGUUUACUUAUUCACUAUGCUUAAAUUUUAAAAUCACUCUCUUGUAAUUGUGCUAUAAUUAUGAAUAUGACCGUCGUCUCUUUUCCAUAAUUGAAUCACUUAAUGAAUGUACAUACUGAUCUCAACGAAAAAGGCAAUACGAUCAUUUCUCAGCCAACGAUCAAUUGAUGUGGGUCUCGAUUAGAAAUUCACUUCCUUCGUCAUUCUUGACACGCGCAAAGACUAUAGGUGUAAUAUUUGCAUACACAAAAAUAAACUAAUAUGUACUUAUUCACUGUCAAUUGAAAUAUUAUUCUUGUGGAUCAGUCAAUCACUCGCCUAUAAAAUAAUCUCAUCUUUUUCUCCCAAUAAAUCGAACUGACCUAUUACAAUAUCCAAUUGGAACGUGCCACAUCACUCAGUAAGUAAAUUUUUAUACGAUCCCUCAGUAGAGCUAACAUUUAAGAAAAGGGUGAGGAUGAAGAAACAAACAAAGAAAGAACUGGGAAAGUGAGCUUUCGGGAAUCCUGGUGUCUGCACCUCUCCCUUUGGUAUUCAAAACCUAAGUAGCAAAACUCGAAACUUGUUGGUGGCAAGAGUUUAUAAUAGGAGAUAGUGAAUCCCUCGACCAUCAUGUCGUGGAGGUCCUUAUACAGUGAGCUUGCACGAUUAUACCGGUCCUUUUUCCACUCCGGAAUACAAUGCGGUAUUAAAGCCUUUAUGGUUAUGGUGUAAGUAUCCUUGAUGUCCCCUACUCGGAGAUUAAACUCAUGUACAGCGUAUGAGUACACCUUUAUCGGAAGGAUAUGCUCCCUCAAUACAUGGUUCAGUAUUGACUUACGAAGUAGAAGCAAGGGGCUGUGAGCACUUCAUGAAGACCACCGGCACAGCUAACGAAUCGUAUGGAUCAUUAUCACUAAGUUGGAGAGCGCCAAUGAGUAAUGAGGGAGGGAUGAACAAUUACUUUUUUUGCAGUCGAUCAUCAACCACCGCUAUUUCGCCAUUGAAAAAACAUUUGCUGAGAUUGGAAUGGUACUAAAUUGAUUUCACAUAAUAUUGGCCGACAUAUAGAUAUAGAACAAUGCGAUUAUUUUCACAAGCUAGCUUAUGUUCAUAGCGUCCGCAUCCUUUUGGGUUGCCUUUCAAUCGAAAGUGAUAUGUCACGAACCUCGCCACAAGAUAAAGUGGCAGACAAGUAAUUUUUCUAUGCACCACAACUCGUCCCAAUAGCAGCAGAAGGGAAAAGUACCAAAAAAGUCCUAAACCUAUUGCAUUGGUACAAAUUCAGUUCUAAAAUUUUCAAUUUGACCAAUUUAGUCAUAAACCUUUUGAUAUUGGUACCAAUUCAAUCCUUCCGGCCAAUUUUGGCCAGCCGGCACUGAUGUGGACGUCGGCCGGUGGCCGGACACUGACAUGGAAUUUUUUUUAUAUUUUAGUUUUUUCGAAUUUUUUUAUUUUUUUAUUUUUUUAUUUUUUCCUUUUUCCUUUUUCCUUUUUCCUUUUUCCUUUUCUUUUCCGGUAGUGGUUGGCGAGCCUCCGGUGAGGCUCGCCGCCACUAGGCGAGGGCCGCGAAGCCCUCGCCUGGACUCUCCGUGGGCCGGCGGCAAGGCCAUGGCGGCUAUCGUCAUGGUAGAGGCGAGGGCACGUCGGUGAGGGUCGCGGCCCUCGCUCGGCCUUGCCUAGGGCCACGGGUGAGGUCGAGUGAGGACUGCGACCCUCGCCGGUGGCUGGCGAGGGCUUUGCGGCCCUCACCUCCGCCUAGCGAUGGCCCCCAUGGCCUCGCCGGCAGCCCUGGGAGAGGCUGGGCGAGGGCCGCAACCCUUGUCGGCUGCAGGCGAGGGCUUCGCGGCCCUCGCCCAGUGGCCGGUGAGCCUCACUGGAGGCUCGCUAGCCACUGUUGGAAAAGAAAAGGAAAAAGGCAAAAAAACUUUAAAAAAAUAAAAAAAAAUCGAAAAAAAAAAAUCAUAAAAAUUGCCACAUCAACGUCCAGCCACCAGCCGACGUCCACGUCAGUGCCGGCCGGCCAAAAUUGGCCAGAAGGACUGAAUUGGUACCAAUAUCAAAAGGUUUAGGAUUAAAUUGGUCCAAUUGAAAAGUUGAGGAUUGAAUUGGUACCAAUGCAAUAUGUUUAUAACUUUUUUGGUACUUUUCCCGCAACAGAACAUACAAUAUGAAAAGCAAAACAUUGAACAUGCUUAUGGAGCUUAGAGACUUGAUCAUCUCUCUAUUGUUUGAUCUGAUGCAAUGAAAGUUUUUGCUAAUCGGUAAUGUGAUGGAGGCCUAGUAAUAUGAAUGGAAAGAGCCUGGAGUCCUUGGUCAUACAAAUGUCUAAGUCAACAAAUAAAGCAAAGUCUAGUGAAGAAAAAGUGGAUAUCGCAUGNNNNNNNNNNNNNNNNNNNNNNNNNNNNNNNNNNNNNNNNNNNNNNNNNNNNNNNNNNNNNNNNNNNNNNNNNNNNNNNNNNNNNNNNNNNNNNNNNNNNNNNNNNNNNNNNNNNNNNNNNNNNNNNNNNNNNNNNNNNNNNNNNNNNNNNNNNNNNNNNNNNNNNNNNNNNNNNNNNNNNNNNNNNNNNNNNNNNNNNNNNNNNNNNNNNNNNNNNNNNNNNNNNNNNNNNNNNNNNNNNNNNNNNNNNNNNNNNNNNNNNNNNNNNNNNNNNNNNNNNNNNNNNNNNNNNNNNNNNNNNNNNNNNNNNNNNNNNNNNNNNNNNNNNNNNNNNNNNNNNNNNNNNNNNNNNNNNNNNNNNNNNNNNNNNNNNNNNNNNNNNNNNNNNNNNNNNNNNNNNNNNNNNNNNNNNNNNNNNNNNNNNNNNNNNNNNNNNNNNNNNNNNNNNNNNNNNNNNNNNNNNNNNNNNNNNNNNNNNNNNNNNNNNNNNNNNNNNNNNNNNNNNNNNNNNNNNNNNNNNNNNNNNNNNNNNNNNNNNNNNNNNNNNNNNNNNNNNNNNNNNNNNGACGAAAAGGAAAAGAUCUCAUAUUCAUCAUUUAAGCUUUUAUUUUGACAAAAAACAGAAAUUGAUAACAAAAAUAGACUAUGAACAAGAAUAUUAACUUGUAUAAUGUUGCCUUUGGCAAAAGUAAAAGGAAAAUAAGAAAUAAGUGUUUCUUGGAUGGUGUAACACGUUAUGAAAGAGAGAAAGUAAUACGACAAUUUUUAGUGGUGAACUGACGCGUCUUAACUAGAACCUCACUAACUUCGUUGUCACGCAAAGACUAGAGAUGCAAAUUUCCAAGUCAACCAUCAACACAAAGUCUAGUGAAGAAAAAGUGGGUCUCAUGUGGAAAUUGCAGCCCUAGCAGUCAAGGCGACAAAAACACGGUAUUGGAAUUAUUUAUGCAUGGCUUUCACAUUGAUUAGAAAAGAAACUUCUCUGCAGUUUCCAUAUUGACUUUUCUUAGUACCAUAAAUAAGAAUCGAUUUGAAUGUUUUGUAUUCUAAAAUGAAUCAAAAAUCCUUUCGAGUGAGGCAUUGGCAUUGUAUUUUCUUUUCAAGGCUAAUAUUCCAUGAAUGUCGCUUAUUAAAUUGUGAAGACAAAAAGGAAAUACAUAUCGUAUUUUAUUGUAUGAGCUUUUUCAUUUUUAACAAAAAACAAAAAUUGGUAACAAAAAUGGCUUAUUGAUGGGAAUAUUAACUUGUAUAAUGUUGCUUUUGACAAAAGUAAAAGGAAAAUAUGGAGUAAGUGCUUCUUGGAUGGUGGAAUAGGUUAUGAGAGAAAGAAAGCAAUGCAAUAAUUGCUAUCGAGGGACCGACGCACCUAGAAAGCAAUACAAUAAUUGCUAUUGAGGGACCGACCCACCUAGAAAGCAAUACAAUAAGUGCUAUCAAGGGACCGACGCGCCUUGACUAGAACCUCGCUAACUUCGUCGUCACGCAAAGACUAUAGAUGCAAAAUUUGAUUUUAGAAAUAUAAAGCGAUGUUUAUUUAUUUACUGUCAACUUUAAUAUUUCAAUCACUCUCCCACCAUUGUGCUAGAUCUAUGAACAAUAUUAUUAUCUCUUUCCUAUAACAGAACCACUUAAUGAUUGAACUGAUCAAUUUCAAUAAUACUGUCAUUUUGUCAAAUGAAAGAAAUGUUGUUGCCCUUCAUCAUCAUCUUCUAUAUCUGAAUGUGUGAUAUUGAAGGUGUCAUGUAAGCUCAAAUGAGACUAUCGGUCAAUUUACUAUUGUGAACAUAAUAUCAAAGAGUUUCACAUAGAAAUUCUUCUCAGCGAAACAGACACGCCUUCAAAUAGUUGUAAUUAGCACUUACCAUAUAUUUUUCAAGCUAAUGCGUACACCUAAGUAUAAUUGAAGAGACUGAAAUGGAUUUUCCAUAUAAUACAGAAAACUUUAUUUUAACUGACGCAUCCAAUGACGUUUUAACUGCACAUGUUCUCGACCAAUAACAAAAAAAAAAAAAAAAUGCACAUGUUCUAUUUUUUGUAGUAAUAUUAUUACUGAUUACGUUUUUAGUUUUCUUUUUAUUGCAUAUUACCCUUUCUGGAAAUUGAUUUGUUCCGCGAGCAGUUCCACACGCAAUGAUACCUUAGUUGCUUUCUAUAUCAUCAUUAAAUAUUCAGCAAUGAUUAGUCAAUUUUUUAAGUAGAAAAUCUCUUGGUGAAAGUAUCCUAUAUUAUCUCUUGCACGUACACCAAAAGAUUUGGACAUAAAUUAUGCAAAUUGAUGUAUCAACUAUCAAUUCAUUCAGUGCCAUAAAAUACUAUAGAAAAAUAAUAAUCUGUUUCGAAGUGUAAAAUCUUUCAUUUUUGACAAAACUGAAAUUUGUAACUGAAAAGAUUAAUAACGGCACUAAAGACUAUCGUUGCACGUUACAAGAAAAGAAUAAAGGCCAUACAAUAAUUUCUCAACCAGCAAUAGAUGGACGCGAGCCUCAAUUUGAAAGUCACUUGCUUCAUAAUUGUCCGACACGCACGAAGACUAUAGGUGCAAUAUUCGCAUUCAUAAAAAUAAAGCAAUACGCGCUUUUUCACUAGCAAUUGAGAGUAUUAUUCUUGUAAAUCAAUCACUCACUCUCCUGUAAAAUAACCCCAUCUCUUUCCCGCAAUAAAACUGAAUGAACUGACAGAUCUCAACAAUAACGUCGUUUUAUCAAACAAAAGAUGCAGUUACCUGCUUCAUAAUCAUUUUCCAUCUCCGAAUGUGUGGUAUUGCAAGUGUCAUGUAAGCUCAAAUGGGACUACAGGGAAGAGUGCUGCCAUUUUCAUUCUCUGUUGAUAGCUACUUGAAUCUGCUCAAGACUCCUCCCUUUCGUUUCAAGGACCACCGUGAUCACGAACACCAUCCCUGUGGCGUUAAUCACCGCAUAAAGAAGGAAGGUACCUGUGAAGCAAGCGAGCAGAGUUAUUUGCUUUUGACAAGUUUUGCGGAAGCAUAUUCUGACAUUUUUCUCAUGGGAAGAAUGCUUUAGUAUGUACUACCUGUCUAUUAAUCAUUCUGCAGAAAGACCCGCUUAGCUUUUUUCUUUUUUAAAUGAAACGUCGGCUCAAUUUUGGUGAUAUUCAAAUCUAGGUAGAAGUUGCUGUAAAUGCGUUGAUUGAAAUAAAUGGUCUGAAUAUGCAUUCAAGAGCAUGAAGAACGGAGUGACACACCUCCAGCUCCAAAUAGGAUUGAAAUGUUCAGGAAAAGCUAAGUCUCAAGUCUGUAGUUUGGUCGAAUUCGCGCAACAGUUCAAAGAGUGUUUUCAGCAGAGUCGUACCGUAGGAGCUCCAGCUCAUUAAGUAGUUGAAAGUGUAGGAAACUGCCCAAGCGCCGAACCAGUUCACUAGUGUUGCGAAACCUCCAGCUACUCCUUUGAUAUUAAUGGGGAAAAUCUGAACUCCAGCACACAUUACAUGAUUGGCAAAAGAAUUUUGAAACUCUUGUACUAAUAACACUAGUUAUUAUUUUGAAAACAACCCUUUAAUUUGAUAAGCAUGAAACUUCGGGGGAUGCUUAGGAUUACCUCGGACAUCACGACCCAAGGAACCGCGCCCAUUCCAGCCGAAAAUGCUGCUAUGUAUAGCUGAGCAUUGGAAAAAACAGAACAGAAAAAUUUGUAGUAGGGAGUUGUUGCGGUGGCCAACUGGAUAGAGCCAGAAAGAGAUCAAGGCAGUUGAGAUUAUUACCAGAAUGCCGGUGACGGCAAGUAUCGGGACAGCAUCAGCUGCCAGAUCAUGAACCUGGCUCGGAAGAUCCUCAAAAAAUUACUGGUUGACAAGCAUUGCAAAGCAGAAGGAAGAUACUAGGACUGAUAGUAAUUACCUUUAGAAAGAAUGAAAGGGCAGUUACUAUGCAUCCCAGGACCAAUCCUGUCCCCAAGAUCUGCGAUUGAGAGAGAGAGAGAGAAGGUUAUGGGUCAAGUUGCAGAACUUGCGAAAGGGCAGAACCAGAAAAGCUUUGUUACUAUAGACAUGAUUUCUUAGCUUUCAUCUAUUUUACCAAGAGAAGGGGCUUUCUUCCAGCUCUAUCGACCAGUGCAGCGCCAAUAGCCGUGACAAUAACCUGCAAAAAUUUACUCUUUAAGCGUGACGAGUAUAAAACUAGAUCGNNNNNNNNNNNNNNNNNNNNNNNNNNNNNNNNNNNNNNNNNNNNNNNNNNNNNNNNNNNNNNNNNNNNNNNNNNNNNNNNNNNNNNNNNNNNNNNNNNNNNNNNNNNNNNNNNNNNNNNNNNNNNNNNNNNNNNNNNNNNNNNNNNNNNNNNNNNNNAAUUGCAUAAGUUAUGGUUCCAACGCUGGAGGAGAAACCUGAGGAGAUUGUACAAAUGCGAUUAUAAAGGCGAGACUAAUACCUUGCUUGUGAGAUUCAACACUAAAUUAUGUGAACAGCUCAUUCAGUGAUAAUUAAGUAGACCAAAAGCAUUCGACAUUGCGAAUUUUACUAACCCAUUUGAAUAUUAACUGGAUUAUAUAAAUUGGAACCCCUGCUUUGCUUUUUAUUUAGCUUUUCGUUCUGGAAUCUUAAAAUGCAAAGCAUACUUUAAUUUUUGUGGUGCCCAAGAGCUUCUUGCUAUGAACUGCAUACCUGCUUCCUCAAAAAUAUUGCUUGUAUAGAAACAGAUGCCAUUUAUCCCUCCGAACUGCUGGAUGACCAUCAAUCCAACACCAAUCUGGCCAAAAUUUAACAAAUUUGUCAGCAAAAAGAACAACAAUGGGAAAUAUCACUAAAAGUACAACUACCGCAUAUUCCCAAUCCACAGGGCAUUCCAAGAAAGCAACGAAGGAGGGACUUUAUUGGAUACAUAGCAGUAAAUACAGAGAGAAGAUUACGAUGACAGAGCUCAGAUAUCUUCUCUGAAAUAAAUCGAGAAUGCUGGCUUUCGGGAGCGGUUGAAGAGUUUCGAUGUACCUGUCAAGAAAAACAAAUUCGAUCAUUCUGUCAGUUAUUCGCACUUAUAAAGUUGAGGCACUACGAUGAAACGAGUAUAGACUUAAAACCUUUUACUUGUAUUUCAGCAGCCUCUUCAGAAAUGUCCGCAUCCUUUCCACGGAGUUUCUGCAGCGCAGCUUCAAACUCCUUUUCACGGCCCGUUUUCGCCUGCAUUUGGCAGAAUCCUAAAAUUCAUUCCAACAAUACAAAUCCCUCUCUUCCAACAAUUCAGAUAAGAAGAAUCUGGUGUUCAUCUUGAUUUGUUACCAGCCAUCUAGGAGACUCUGGAAUGAAAAACAGGCCGAACAGUAGGACUGCACAGGGGAUUAGACCUGCAUAAACUGCAGAUGUUCAAGAUGGUUUCAGACUUGGACUUUUCUAUACAACAUUGGCACUAAACUUGAAUUAGGCUACUUUUUCUGUUUUACCAAUUAAUGCCAAAACCCUCCAAGCUUAUACUGUCCCGAUUAUGAAGGAAACGGACACUCCAGCAACGAUCAUAAGCUGUGGAGAGAAGAGAACAUGUUAGGCCCAGUAGGUUCUGUAGGAUGUUCGUAUAUACACCAUCUUGCACUUGCAAGAGGGCAAAAUUUGCUACAAGCUAAGGCCUUUUGCCAAUAGCUCCAUGCUUGCAAUUCUAACCAAGAAUGUUCAUACAAAAUCUUUGCCUGUUUGACAGCAGUCAAAGCUCCACGGAGAUUUUUGGGUGUAAUUUCAGCUAUAAAUAUUGGUACCUGGACAUAAAUUAGAAAAAUAUUAACCAAUCUAAACCGAAGAGAGAGCCUCAUGUUGUCACGGUGAAUCGAGUCCAGCAUGUUGUCGUAGAACAGCUUGCUACAUCAAAUUUAUGUGGUACGAAGUGAGGAAUUACCACAUAGGAAAAGACUCCCAUUCCAUAUCCCGUGGCCAAUCUUCCGAUAUCCAGAGCCAGUGCUCCCUAGUUUACUCAAAAUUAAACAGAACAGAGAGUUGAUGAGACUUGAAGUUCUUAUGCAACUAAUCGAUCUUCAUGUAUGAUUAGGCUUGUAAAUAGGAUAUGGACACACCUCAGCAAAGUAAAUAGCAAGCCAUCCUGCUACACAAAGAGCGCUCGCUAUUCUCAUUGUCUGCAUUUUGAGGCAAAUGUUUUUACUGUCACGUCCUCCGUCCAUGAUAUGACUAAAUCCCAAAGCUAAAACUCUCAGAGUCUUGAACAACACUGUUCUGUUUUACAUUGUGAAAGACGCACUCAUUUGCUGCUUACCCACUUACGGCCAACAAAAUCAGCGAUUGGUCCUCCGGUAAUUGCACCAAUCAUUACACCGAAUGUCAGUAUGGAUCCAAAGACUGAAUACUGUUGAAAGACACAAAGUGUAACUGCAAAUCAGCUUGAGUUCAGUGAGAGCAAGAACUUCAGUUACCAUCUAGCUAACAACGCUAUAAGUCACCGAAUGUCCGAGAAUCUCAGUGGAAAGCUAUUCUGAACAAACCUAUCACUUCGAUCAGAAACCUGAAUGAUAUGCAGUCGCAAUUUUCAGCUGACGAUACCCAAUCUAAAUCUCCCCAUUUUUUGGUUUUCUUGUCCUUAGGUGUCCAACAAUGGAACUCGAUGUGAAAACUUGGUAUACAUUUCACUCGUUACAAUGCAGAAAGAAUAAGAUGUCUAGAGAAAGAAGUAUCUCUACCUCAAAGCCAACACCCUUAUUUUUGAGAGAGUCUCGUUUAUAAAGUUUUUGAUCAUAUAACUCGUCCAUAUUAUGGACCCGGAAUAUGAGCAGAUCUUUACUUUGAUUUUCUUGUAUACAGGCCCCUUCAGUGACAAGUCCAAUAUUGAAUCGAAGCAACGAACAAAGACAACGCGACAUGUGCUUCUCAACACUCGUAGGUAAAUUCGACAUACCUCAGCUGUAGAGAGACCAAGUUCCUCCACUAUAGCAUCCUGAGUUGGUGAUGAAUAACCUGCCUGAAAAAUCCAAUGAGAACAAUUUCUCUUUAGAUUCAAUUAAUCACAUCCUUUUCAUUUUAACCAUUACUAUUGGACCUGGACUUUUCAAAAAGAAAUUGCAUUUCCUACUUACGCAGGUCCCGAAUUCAUGGGAACCACAAACCGCAACGAAUGUGGUGAAAUAGACCAUCCACGGACGACCCUUAUCGGUUCCUUCAUCUUUGCCAGCUCAGUCCUUCUCUUGCGGCACGAGGAGACGCUCUCUUACUCCUUCUCUGUCCCCGGUUUCUUCAUUUUCAAUGUCCUCGUUAAUCGCCAUGCUUGCUCGCCUUACAAAAAUGCUCCUUCGUUCUCUAUCUGACUACGUACGAGGAACUAGCAAAUCUAUAAGCUCCAGAGAAGAUAAGUUCUCUUUCCAACGUGGCUACUCUGCUUGCUUUAUAUGGAUGACUCGAAAUGAGAAACCCCAAGUGCUAAUACGGAAACCCCAUCACCGAUCGGUUUAUACUCGCGGUUUCUAGGAGUCCUCACGGACCUCAGUCUUGCAAACUGGCAAGCAACUCCUUGCUUUUCUGACUCGCCCCCGUUAAUGGUAUUGGAAUCACCAAUGGAACAGAGUCUCCGAAUACAGCAGGAUCACAGGUGUAAGGGGCUGCAUCGCUCUUUAUGGGCAAGGAGUAAAACAUGGAACUGGACUUUCUCAAUGACACGGCUCUGGAUAAAGACAAAGUAACAACCACGGACAAAGUUCUAUCUUUUUGAGCCAGCCACCGGCUAGGAAAACCAGAGUGUUUUUCUAACCUGGAAAGUAAUUAAGUUCUGUCCACUUUUGCAUGGAGGCAUUGUUAUCUUCACCUUUAACCCACGUUUAUUGUGUAAGAAAGAUAAGAUCUCAAUUAAUAGUUUCUUAUCUCUUUGGUGCAAUAAGAAACUAUCAAGAAAAAGAACUGUUCUGCUAGAACAUUAUUUUUCCUUUGGGAAUUUUCUUGACCAAAACCCUUUUUUUCCCAAUUGGACGAUGGGCACAAGAUAAUUUCGGCCGGACCUUCUUCUGGGGACAAAUUAUCUUCCUUUUCUAUUUUUUAAAAGAACCACUGCAUAUGCCAACAAAAAGCAUGCAUAUAGCCUCCUUUGUGGUCAGUGACGCUUUUGAUGUCUGCUCAAAUGGUAAGACUAGAUAGCAAGAAUUUCAAAAAGGGAUGUUUUUCAUCUUUCCAUAGUGGCCAAUUUUGCGGAAAAUGGCAAUUGAUAGUGGCAAGAGGUGUACAGAAUUACUUUCUACCAAGGACGUCAUGUACUGCCGAGGCCCAUGAAUCUAAAGAAUUCAGCCACCAUGAAGCCAGCCGACGGGAAAGAGUUCACAGGCACAACGGAAUGGACCAUAAAGUUGCAGAGCACAUUGGCCAAAAAUAUCCAACCACCAUUCUCCAACUACUUUAUUCGUCCACAUUUGCUGCAUCUCCGUCUUCUUUCACUUCACGAUUCAGAGUAGGCCAACAAAAUCCAGCAAGAAUAUAUAGCUGCGGCCUGCUCGAGAAAAAGAAAAUGUCAAAAAUAUAUCUUACUCUUGAUCUAAUAGCCACUCACAUAUUUUCGUUUUGAUAAAUAUCAUUCACAUACUUCCAAGAAAAAUCCCACAUUGAGAACAUUAAUUUGCCCCUCCAUGUAAACUCAUUUUAGCAUCUUCCUUACGGUUUGAGUAGACUGCAAAAGUGAUUUUUGAAUGGUAGAAUUCAUGUAGAUAUUUUUCAUGUUCAAAAGAAGAGGUGAGUGAUCACAGGAUGAGAAAUAAGGUGUAUUUCGUUAUAUUUUUCUCAAAAAACUUAGACAAAACAAAUAUGCUAAUCUUAUAAGUACAUAGUGAGAUUUGAAUUUCAAAUGUAUUAGAAGAAAAAAGGCAGUAUAAAUGUCAUAACUUUUGUACAACAACCACUUAAAUACCAUAACUUUUUAUUCAAUCAUUUAAAUGUCAUAGACGAUGACUUAAGCGUUGUAAUUUUUCAUUAAUAAGGAAAUCCGACAUGACAUGGCACUUAUGGUAAACAUUAUUUAAAAAUUACAACACUCAAAUGAUCAAUUGAAAGUUAUGGCACUCAAGUAAAUAUAUAUAUAUAUAUAUUUUUUUUAAAGUCAUGACACUCAAGUAAUCGAAAAACAAUGUUAUGGCACUUAGGUGAGCACCGCACGAUAGUUAUGAUACUUGUGAUGUCCUUAUCUCAAUAUCUUAGUAUCUUCUUCCAUUCAUGACACCAAAUCCCAUAAAAUAUAAUAAAAAGCACACGGGAAAAAAAAAAAUUUAGCUAAUGUUACGUAAUUGUAAGUGUCUAAUUAAGUAGAGAUUAAUCAGGCUGAUUCAGGUUUUAGAGGCUGCCGGUCAUUUUUGCUUAACCCUUACUAAACAAAGCUAUGAACAACGAGCGAUUGUUUUAAGCUAGUGGCUCCGUUUAAGCAUCCAAUAAAAAUCAGCAAGAUUAUUUAGCACAACCCUUCUAAUAUAAGAAGUUUUAGGAACUCUUAUCAUCACCUUGAAGAAGGGUAGCUAGGCAAGCGUGAUUAAAACACCCAGUUCAAAGACAAAGCAGCCUUCCCUAAUUUAAAGGGAAGAUAGGUGGACGCAAUACAACUUGCCUCAUAUAUAUAUGACCCCAAAGGCAUGGACUAAAAUAAGCCAUUUGCGGGUCCCUCUUCUGAUAAGGUCAAUCCACUUGUUGGAAUGGAAUGAAUUUGAUUGAUAGAGAAGGUCUAGAUUGCCUGAGGGAGCGGAUAUAUCCUAAUUGCAGAAAUAAUAUAUUAAUUGUAAUAGAGCAUAUGCCACUUUCAUUGUGCAUGAUUGCAUCUAAUCUAAGAGAUCUGGACUCUGUUCUUUCUUUCUUUGUUUUUUUAUUUCCCCUCCAAUCUUCCAAUUUGUAUAGAAAAAUAUGAUCCUAUCAGCAAGAGGAACUUGAAAAAUCGUUCUGCCGGCCUUGCACUGACGAAACAAAAAUAAUAAAGAGUGAAAAGUGACGGAUUAUUACCAAAAUGAAAUUGACAAAAAGCUGAGAGGUUAGGUGAGGUGAGCUGGGAAAGAAAUUUAUGUAUGAAUUAGAUUGUAAAAUAACCUUAGUCUAAAUUCUCGAUAUUUCUUUUGCCAUAUGUUAUGAAAUGAAAAAUCUCUAUUUGGACAAGAAAUUUUUCUUUUCUUGAUGACUGUGGAUUAUAAUAAUACAAUUAUGCAUUACUAUAAGUUUUCACCAACCUGUUCAAUGAACAUGGCUUCAUCCAUAAGGAUACAUCCAAGGAUGCACAAGAAUCAGAUUUCAACCAAGUCCAGAGAACUAAACAAGGCCUGGUUUUCCUCUCUUUAGGUAGACAUCCUGAUUGUGUUGACAAUCUUAUCCACCAGGACAUGUAAUUCCCUAUUUUCAAGAGUACGAUGCCUAAGGAAACGAACAUUUGGUACUCUUCUUUCAUCCUGCUCUUAUAUUUUUACUAAACAAGACAGAUUGCCAUACGUAUAAAGAUGUAUAACUAGAGAAGAUCCAAGAGAAUAUACUAUUAAAGGAUCGACUUAUUAAGACAUGACAAAUGCAACUUGAGUUCAUUAUUGGAUCUACACCUUAUAAAUAAAAAUACAAAUAUAUAUUUCGUUACUUAUAAAUUCCUAUGUAGGCUUGAUAUGAAAAAAAAAAUUGUCCAGGCCAUUACUAUUUUAAUACCAUACACUUUUUAUGCGCAACAAAAGAAACAAAGAAAGAUUUGCAUAUAUUUCGAGAAAGAAAAUCUAAAGAUUUCGAUUUUGCCUGUACGGAUGAAACAACAUCUUUUAUUUAAUUUGAGAGAUUUUUGUUCUUAUCUUAUUAAUCAACAUCUUUGCUAGUGAAUACAACAUAUUAUUACAAUUUUCUUUUUUCUUGGACAGAAAAAAGAGCUUAGGCUCGAAACCAAAGAUAGUAUUACUUUUUAUGUAAUAUAGAUUAUAAAUUCUUUAUUUUAAGGAAGGGCAGGGGUGAAUCACCUAUAAUUAAUUUUUUUACCCUAGAUAUCAACAUAGAGUACAUAAAACAACUACUUGCCCCCUCUGGACUUUUGUGGUUCUGCACAUCGUAUAUAAAUCAAUUCAAUUUGUUUAUGGCAACAUGGAAUAUUCUCUGAGCCACGAACUGUUGCUGUGACCUCACUUCCUCCUUCCUCUUCCUUCCCUCGCUUGGACGUUAGCUCCAGGACAAAACAGAGAGAUGGGUCGCUGGCCGAAGGACGCAAGGACGCGAGGCUGUGCCCGACGUUCGCCCAGGAAUGUCGUGCGGUACGAAGCAAGCUGGUCUCGUCCUUGAAGAAAGGGACAGAAACGAGAUAAAUGGGGGAGAAAGGCGGCAAAGGGAGGGGGGGUCUCUCUGGUCUUUUUGGGUUUGUUCGGCCGAGAUAGAGCAACCAAGAGAGAGAGAGAGAGAGAGAGAGAGAGAGAGCUCGUGAGAGUGAGAAGGCGAGCUCGAGAGAGAGAGAAGGAGCGAGCCAGAGAAGAGAGGGAGCUCGAGGGUGGCUGCUUCUAGAAGGGUGUGGCUGAAAACCAAGGAGAGGCUAGAGCCGCUCGAGAGGGGAGACCGAGAAGGUGGAUAGCGAGGGAGAGCAGGAGAGAGAGGCGACUGUGUUCUCGAGUUCUUCGGGGGAGGCUGGAGACAGCGAGAGCAACAGAGAGAGUGAGAUAUGAGAGAGUGAGCAAAGGGUGAAGUGGAGAGAGAACCGAGAGUGAGCGGAGGGAUGGACUGAGAGAAAGCAGAGACCCAGGAGUCGAACUUCGUUCUCGGACAAGCGUUACCCGGCCAUCCCCAUCAUAAACUGGCGAUCUCCAGCCAACACCCUCGAGCAUGUGAUGAGUUUUCUUUGGGUUCGAUCCACUUUUAUCUCGAUGAUCCUGGCUCGGUGCAACGUCGAGGCGUCCGACCAUAGCUCGUUUCCUUUCAGGCUCACCUUCUGGCCGUCGUCGCCGAGCCGGGUAGGGAUAUUCGUGGUCAAACACUUCUCUCUGGGAACUCCGUUGCUUGGUUUUAUUUAAGACGGAACCGAAACGAUAGCUGGGUCUCGUUUUCCCUAGUCCACCAGCAUGCUCGAUUUGAACGAGCCGUCCCUUUUGUUGAGUUUGAGUUGUCACUUGCUGCUUUCUUUUGAGUAAAUGACUUGGAGUGCUGCCAUUUUCAUUCUCUGUUGAUGGCUGCUUGAAUAUGCUCAAGACUCCUCCCUUUCGUUUCAGGAACACAUCCUUUAAAUUCCCCCCUGGAGUUUCUGCAUGAAAAUUGAUUAUUCACUGGUUUAGUAGCAUGCGAGUAAUGACUGGACUUUAUCUAUUUAGAUAUGGUGGCGGACUUUUGACUAGUUAUGCACCGUUCAGAAUGCCAGAUUCAUUUGCAGAGGUUUCUAGAGGAAGAUUUUGUUCACUGUUUUUCUAAAUUAUACAACAGGUAUUUAUAAUUUGCACUUCUAAAAUGUAAUUUCCUUUCAAUUUCGGCAGAGGAGGAUCGCAUUGUUUCUUGGUGCAACUGGGCAGAAGUUUCUAUCUAUGUAUUGCUCGUGUGGCACGUACAUUGAUUUUUUGACAGUCCUCCUAACAGUUUACCUGGCGACACCCAAUCACAUAUCGUUUGGCUACAUUUUGUUCCUCCUAUGUUGGAUCAUGGGAAGACAACUCGUUGAAAGGACGAGAAGACAUUUUUAGUUUCCAUUAAAAGUAUAUGCAAUCACUGUGCCUGUCUUCGUAUACAGUUUGAGCAAUUUCUCCACCCUUGAGAUGUGGUUGUCGCAGUUGAUUGAUCUUCAGUUUUACUUGGCCUACAACUCAGAAGCUUUGCUAUUGCAGAAUAUUUGGCAGUCUAUUGCAAUACUGAUUGUGAUGCAGCUUUACAGCUACGAGAGGAGACAGAGCAAGUAUAUCCAAGCUGAUGACUCCAAACUUAUGGAAUUUGGAGUACUUUGAUUUAUUAAGAGUUUCCUCAUUUGGCUCAGAGACAAGAUAGUGUGUAUAUCAAAGUUCUAUGCAUCGUUGUCACCAAUUAGUCUCUUUGGUUUCCUUUAUCUGCUCGGUCUUGUCAUUUGUUCUCUUUUGCCUAAAGCAUUUCGAAUCCCAUCAAAAUUAUUCCUUCUUUAUACAGGAAUUCUGGUGAUGACAGAAUAUCUCUUUCAGAUGUGGGGUGCCCAGGCAGGAAUGUUUCCUGGACAAAAUGACUUUAGUUUGGCCAAGUUCUUGGGUUUUGAGUUAUUUCAGUCAGGCUUUUGGGGUCUAAAAUCGGGUUUAAGGGGGAAAAGUGCUGGUGAUAUCUGCUUGUAUCCUUCAAUACAAUGUCUUCCGUUGGUUGCAAAAAGUGCCAACACACAUUUUGAGCAAAUAUUACACCAAAGAACCUUGCCCUCUGUUUGUAUCGGCAGAAGAAGUGUUUAGGGAUUUUUCUAAUUCAAACGGGGAAAGCAAGCCGCCUGCAGAUUCGCCUGCAAUUCCUUGUGAAGCAGAAGGCAUGAGAAACAAUUUGUCUUCCUCAGCCUCUGGUUUUUCUCAAGCAUCAAAUAAUGUACCCAAAGCUGGAGGCUCUGGGGGUGGCAAUGCUAGAAAAUAUUCUUUUGGAUAUAUUUGGGGAAGCACCAACGAAAGCCACAAAUGGAACAAGAAAAGGAUUAUCACCAUGAGAAGGGAGAGAUUUGAAAUGCAGAAGACAAUCUUCAUAGUCUAUAUAAAUUAUUGGAUGGAGAACAUGUUUAAUCUCUUUGGCCUCGAAAUAAACAUGAUGGCCUUGCUCCUUGCCUCCUUUGCUUUGUUAAAUGCCAUUUCUAUGCUAUAUAUUGCACUUCUCGCUGCCUGCAUACUUCUAAAUCGCAAUGUCAUUCGGAAAUUAUGGCCAGCACUUGUCUUUUUGCUUGCUUCCAUUCUUGUCCUACAAUACUUUGUCAUUUGGAAGAGCACACCAUCUCCCAAUUCACAAACAUCAAGCAAGGCUGAGUCUGUAUUUCCUUUCGAAUUUUAUGAUCUCCUGCCAGUANNNNNNNNNNNNNNNNNNNNNNNNNNNNNNNNNNNNNNNNNNNNNNNNNNNNNNNNNNNNNNNNNNNNNNNNNNNNNNNNNNNNNNNNNNNNNNNNNNNNNNNNNNNNNNNNNNNNNNNNNNNNNNNNNNNNNNNNNNNNNNNNNNNNNNNNNNNNNNNNNNNNNNNNNNNNNNNNNNNNNNNNNNNNNNNNNNNNNNNNNNNNNNNNNNNNNNNNNNNNNNNNNNNNNNNNNNNNNNNNNNNNNNNNNNNNNNNNNNNNNNNNNNNNNNNNNNNNNNNNNNNNNNNNNNNNNNNNNNNNNNNNNNNNNNNNNNNNNNNNNNNNNNNNNNNNNNNNNNNNNNNNNNNNNNNNNNNNNNNNNNNNNNNNNNNNNNNNNNNNNNNNNNNNNNNNNNNNNNNNNNNNNNNNNNNNNNNNNNNNNNNNNNNNNNNNNNNNNNNNNNNNNNNNNNNNNNNNNNNNNNNNNNNNNNNNNNNNNNNNNNNNNNNNNNNNNNNNNNNNNNNNNNNNNNNNNNNNNNNNNNNNNNNNNNNNNNNNNNNNNNNNNNNNNNNNNNNNNNNNNNNNNNNNNNNNNNNNNNNNNNNNNNNNNNNNNNNNNNNNNNNNNNNNNNNNNNNNNNNNNNNNNNNNNNNNNNNNNNNNNNNNNNNNNNNNNNNNNNNNNNNNNNNNNNNNNNNNNNNNNNNNNNNNNNNNNNNNNNNNNNNNNNNNNNNNNNNNNNNNNNNNNNNNNNNNNNNNNNNNNNNNNNNNNNNNNNNNNNNNNNNNNNNNNNNNNNNNNNNNNNNNNNNNNNNNNNNNNNNNNNNNNNNNNNNNNNNNNNNNNNNNNNNNNNNNNNNNNNNNNNNNNNNNNNNNNNNNNNNNNNNNNNNNNNNNNNNNNNNNNNNNNNNNNNNNNNNNNNNNNNNNNNNNNNNNNNNNNNNNNNNNNNNNNNNNNNNNNNNNNNNNNNNNNNNNNNNNNNNNNNNNNNNNNNNNNNNNNNNNNNNNNNNNNNNNNNNNNNNNNNNNNNNNNNNNNNNNNNNNNNNNNNNNNNNNNNNNNNNNNNNNNNNNNNNNNNNNNNNNNNNNNNNNNNNNNNNNNNNNNNNNNNNNNNNNNNNNNNNNNNNNNNNNNNNNNNNNNNNNNNNNNNNNNNNNNNNNNNNNNNNNNNNNNNNNNNNNNNNNNNNNNNNNNNNNNNNNNNNNNNNNNNNNNNNNNNNNNNNNNNNNNNNNNNNNNNNNNNNNNNNNNNNNNNNNNNNNNNNNNNNNNNNNNNNNNNNNNNNNNNNNNNNNNNNNNNNNNNNNNNNNNNNNNNNNNNNNNNNNNNNNNNNNNNNNNNNNNNNNNNNNNNNNNNNNNNNNNNNNNNNNNNNNNNNNNNNNNNNNNNNNNNNNNNNNNNNNNNNNNNNNNNNNNNNNNNNNNNNNNNNNNNNNNNNNNNNNNNNNNNNNNNNNNNNNNNNNNNNNNNNNNNNNNNNNNNNNNNNNNNNNNNNNNNNNNNNNNNNNNNNNNNNNNNNNNNNNNNNNNNNNNNNNNNNNNNNNNNNNNNNNNNNNNNNNNNNNNNNNNNNNNNNNNNNNNNNNNNNNNNNNNNNNNNNNNNNNNNNNNNNNNNNNNNNNNNNNNNNNNNNNNNNNNNNNNNNNNNNNNNNNNNNNNNNNNNNNNNNNNNNNNNNNNNNNNNNNNNNNNNNNNNNNNNNNNNNNNNNNNNNNNNNNNNNNNNNNNNNNNNNNNNNNNNNNNNNNNNNNNNNNNNNNNNNNNNNNNNNNNNNNNNNNNNNNNNNNNNNNNNNNNNNNNNNNNNNNNNNNNNNNNNNNNNNNNNNNNNNNNNNNNNNNNNNNNNNNNNNNNNNNNNNNNNNNNNNNNNNNNNNNNNNNNNNNNNNNNNNNNNNNNNNNNNNNNNNNNNNNNNNNNNNNNNNNNNNNNNNNNNNNNNNNNNNNNNNNNNNNNNNNNNNNNNNNNNNNNNNNNNNNNNNNNNNNNNNNNNNNNNNNNNNNNNNNNNNNNNNNNNNNNNNNNNNNNNNNNNNNNNNNNNNNNNNNNNNNNNNNNNNNNNNNNNNNNNNNNNNNNNNNNNNNNNNNNNNNNNNNNNNNNNNNNNNNNNNNNNNNNNNNNNNNNNNNNNNNNNNNNNNNNNNNNNNNNNNNNNNNNNNNNNNNNNNNNNNNNNNNNNNNNNNNNNNNNNNNNNNNNNNNNNNNNNNNNNNNNNNNNNNNNNNNNNNNNNNNNNNNNNNNNNNNNNNNNNNNNNNNNNNNNNNNNNNNNNNNNNNNNNNNNNNNNNNNNNNNNNNNNNNNNNNNNNNNNNNNNNNNNNNNNNNNNNNNNNNNNNNNNNNNNNNNNNNNNNNNNNNNNNNNNNNNNNNNNNNNNNNNNNNNNNNNNNNNNNNNNNNNNNNNNNNNNNNNNNNNNNNNNNNNNNNNNNNNNNNNNNNNNNNNNNNNNNNNNNNNNNNNNNNNNNNNNNUUGCUAAAACUAUGAGAAGUAUUGAUUUAUACUUGCAUACUUUUCUGCUUUGAACUUCUCAGGAUGUGAUCCCACAUAUGGCUCAUGAGUAUGGUUUUGAUUAUGCAUUAAUCACCUACAAGUGGCCUACAUGGCUACAUAAGCAGAAGGAAAAGCAAAGGAUUAUAUGGGCAUAUAAAAUUUUGUUCCUAGAUGUUAUCUUUCCCGUUUCUCUAGAGAAGGUAAGCAUGUGAUAUCUAUGACUUUGCCUUUGACUGUCUACUCAUGCUAUUUUCAGUUCUCUGUGACAUCUAAAUUCUAUUGACCCCUCUUUGCAACAGGUUAUAUUUGCUGAUGCAGAUCAGGUGGUGCGAGCAGACAUGGGAGAACUUUAUGACAUGGAUCUGAAAGGAAGACCGCUUGCAUAUACUCCUUUUUGUGACAACAACAAGGAGGUGGAUGGAUAUCGCUUUUGGAGACAAGUACAUAUUGAAUCGAUUUAUUCUUGUGUUCUAUUUCAAGCAAUAGAAUGCCUUUGCCUUUUCCGAUCAAUCUAUUUAUGUUUUAUUACAAGCAAUAGAAGGCUCUUGCCCUUUCAGAUCAUUGCUGUCUACAUCCCUAAGUAAUUUAUUCUCACAAAAACAGGGUUUCUGGAAGGAGCUCUUUCGCAGAAGACCAUAUCAUAUAAGAUAGAUUUUUUAGGCGGUUCCAUUCUGUCCACGUGAUCCUUUUGGCUCCACUGGUAUCAUAUAUGGGUUUUAAUUAUGAUAUCAUUCUGCAGUGCACUGUACGUUGUUGAUUUGGAGAAAUUUCGAGAGAUUGUGGCAGGAGAUAACCUGAGAGUGUUCUAUGAAUCUGUCAGCAAGGAUCCAAACAGUCUGUCCAAUCUUGAUCAGGUCAGUUGUUGGAUAAUAAACUGCAAAUUCUUCAGGAUGAGAUAUUCUUUGCGAGCUUAUAGCUGUAACUUUCUAAAAAGAUUCUCGCAAGGUGUUAAUUUGUAAAAGCACUGCUUAAAUAUCCGUGAGCAUAAACAUAUCAGUUGUUUGUCUAAGCGCCCUCUCUCAUGCUUCAGGACCUCCCGAAUUAUGCUCAGCACACCGAGCCUAUCUUCUCAUUACCCCAAGAAUGGUUGUGGUGUGAGUCGUGGUGUGGUACAGCCACUAAAUCCAAGGCAAAGACCAUUGAUCUUUGCAACAAUCCUAUGACGAAGGAACCAAAGCUUCAGGUAAGUUCAUUAGGUUGGGUUCUUUUCCACUGCCAAAAUGAUUCGUGUAGUUGUGAUGUAAUUUUGUUUUUGUUGUCCUCUCAGGGUGCGAAGAGAAUAGUUUCUGAAUGGCCUGAUCUUGACUUAGAGGCAAGAACGUUUACUGCGAAAAUUCUCAGAGAUGAAUCUGAGCUUCAAGAAGCAGUGGCUUCAGAUAAGUCGCAGGGUUCACAGGGUGAUGAGUCAUCGGUAGAGGAACUUGACCUUGAAUCCAAGUCAGAGCUGUAAGGCAUGGUUUCAUUCAGCCAUGACAUGAUUGAUCCCAAGUGUAAUCCUGAUCGAGGAUGGAAGGGUAACUAUCAGCAAAGAACGUUUUGGAAUUGCAUCAACUAAGGAAAACCAAGUGGUUAUGGUGUGCGUAUGCUGUCGAGAUUGGGGAUGGAGAUGCACACCAUCAAGAAAAUGAGGUCAUGGGGAGGCUGUGAGAAAGGCAAGGUAGCGCCGGUAGAGAUUUAAAAUUUUCUCAAGAAUUUUAGAGAGAAGCGAGCUAUUCAUUUUGCUUAGUUUUUAUUAAUCGACCGGGUAAUCUUUAUUUUAACUGGGCUAUUUGCAAAUGCGUGAAAUGACGCGCUUGAUUGUGGAAUUUCUUCCUCAAUGAUAAAAUCACAGGUGAAAAGCCAACAUUCCGAUUUUGUUAGAAUGCCCUAAUACACACACUUGGUUAUGUAGUCAAACAGGGAAAAGCUGUAAAUUUUUUUGAUGGAUGAACUUUUUUUUGUGAUGCUUUCGGAGACUACGGAAAAUUACGUACUAGCCAUAAGUGCUAUGUUCGAUUAUUUUAAUGGAGGCAUGGAGUGGGCCUGUGUGUUUUGCUUAAACCUGAUCUCGGGUCUCGGCCCGGCCUAGUUUAAUGACCUCAACCGGUCAUUGCCCCUCGUCCCUUAAAAUGUCCACACCAUGCAGCGCUGGACGUUUGGGCCUUCCUCUACCCACUUCUUAGGCGUUUGUCGUAUGGCCCGGCCCAUUAUUGGGCUUAACUUGGGUCCUCUUAGCCUUUGCAGCCGAACUGACAUCUCCGAAAACUCGGCGCGAAUCCGAGAGGGUCCGGAGGAGGUAGAGAUCGAGAGAGAACGAAUCGAUCCCCCCUCGCGAUUCCCAACCGCCGCGCUCAUCUCCAAUCGCCCGCCAAUGGAGGAAAACCCUUGCGGCGAGAUCAGCUCCAGCGNNNNNNNNNNNNNNNNNNNNNNNNNNNNNNNNNNNNNNNNNNNNNNNNNNNNNNNNNNNNNNNNNNNNNNNNNNNNNNNNNNNNNNNNNNNNNNNNNNNNAGUACGGCACGCCGUCCUCUCCCGGUGGCCGAUCAAGCACUGGAAGGUCCAGAAGAUAUUCGACGACACCGAUUUCAGGUCCGUCAUUUUGUUUUAUUUUAUUUAUUUAUUUAUUAAUUUAUUUAUUUCCAUAUAUUUUUUUACCUGUUAUUCUUGCUAUCAUUUUCGUAAUUAUGGUGACGAUGAUAUGCUCUCUUUCUCGUUGAGCAAGUGGUCUUCCCGGGCGAUUUCGAAUUUUAAAUAUAUUUUCAUUUAUUUAAGGCGUCCAUCGUUGAGAGUGAAGUUUGAUAAUAUGUCAUAAUUAAUAUUCCCUUUGGGCAUAUUAUAUCAUUUUGUUCUUACAUUUUUCUAAGUGAAAAAGAUUAAUUUCGGUAGACCCAUCUAUAACAGUGCAAAUCCAUUUCGGACAAUCAAAAUUUUCGUUGAUAUUAAGGUAAGUUGGAUAUAAUAAAAAUUCGCAAGACCAAAAUUAAAAAUAUAAACGUCUUUACCAAAAAAAGAAUUAAAAAUAAAAACGUAAGUUUUUCCUAGCCAUCCAUCAGAAUUUGUGGAUGAAAAUUUUGCCGUCACUUGGUUUAUAUUUUGCCUUUUUUUAUCCUCCCCUUUUCUAGCUUCUCUGUGUGGAAUUAUCUGAAUGGAGUUGUCCAAGAAUUGAUCUGGAAAGAAUUUAGAAUAUUAUUCACGAGAACCCCACCACCAAAUUCAAGAACUGCCCAAGGCUGUAAGGCUUUUGCCUUCGGACAGCUUACGGAGAGCUCUCUGCAACACCGAUGGUGGGCCUGUCCAAAGAUCCCAGCACCAGCUGUGAGCAAUGCCAGUCAGAAUUAAAAAUAAAAUAAAAUUAAAUUAAGAAAAAAACCCAAUUUUCUUUCUAUGAUUUUGGAUGUGGGUUCUCUAUACAAUUGUCAUCUAUCGUUCCUCUUUUUUCAUUUCCGGUUGCAUUUAGUGGGUGGUAGAGAGUCGGCUUUAAAGAUCAUUCUCCAUUAAUUGCUGACUUAGUCAAGAGAAUGCUUAGGAAGCUGCUAAAUCAUAUAUAUAUAUUUGCUCUUUGGUAUUUAAAUAAGGAGUUGGGAAGAUAAAUGAAGGAUGAGAGCUGUGCGUCCGUUAGAUGAGGGCAGGGUAAGGUGUAUGUAGGCAGGACAGUAACGUGGGGAGGAUUUUGCCUUUGCUUUAUUUUAUGUAUUUGCCAAAUCAGAUGUUUGACCUGAAGACUGUACAAGGACUACUCAUCUUCAAGGAAAGGUACAUUUCUCUCAAGCGAGACAGACCAGAUAGAAUCAACUUGCUUGAGACAGCAAGCAAUUGCUCGUCAUGGAUCAAUUUCUGAGAGUUUUGCGUUCGAUUAAUUAAGCCGCAUCUUAAACAAUGGAGGGAUUAUGCAUUUCUGUUGCGUGAAAAUUAAAAAAAAAGAUAUAAAAAGUUGAUAGUAAUAUAGUCAAUCAACAUAUUAAAUUGACUGGAAUCGAAGUGGCUGUGAACUCGAUGUGUUUGGUUACACAGGAAUGUGCUGAAGGUGACAAUAGAAGUGCCUCAUGUUGGGGAAGUGAAUUUCCAGUGCACCCACCUGGAUCAUCUCGACGAGAAUUGGCGGAUGAAGCAGGUCAGCGCCAUCAUCCAGUCGAGUGACUCCCCCCACAUCUUGGCCGGCGGCCUCAACUCUCUUGACGAGACUGAUUACUCACAAGAGCAGUGGACUGACAUCGUCAAGGUAUGCACAUGCCCUUUUUAAUCAUUAGCAUGCGAAACUCGAUUACUUGAUAGCUUAAGCUAGGGCGUUUGUGUAAUCACUGACACUUUUUGUUAUAGUUCUAUGAGGAGAUAGGAAAACCAACCCCAAAGGUUGAAGUCAUGAGGUUUCUGAAGAGCAAGCAGUACACAGAUGCUAAGGACUUCUCUGGAGAAUGCGAGUCCAUGGUCGUCAUUGCCAAAGGACAAAGUAAGAACUCACUCGUUCGCUUUCCCAUCUUUCAGUUUUUCUUUUUCACUUUGUCAAAUGGCUAAUCUAAGGCGAUUUUCGAGCAUGAUGCUCCUUUAGCUCGAUGAUCACAUGAUCGGCUUGAAUGGACAGUAAUUCAUAACAUUUGAAGCAUGAUGCUUGCGUUGAAGGUAUACACGUACAUGCCUGUUAUUGUCAUUAUUGUGUCGAUAUCAACCUUUGAUGUGAAAAUCCGUGGAAUAAAAAUUGAAGUCCAAAGUCAUUAUUCGAGAGACUACUGUCCGAAUGUGUAAUCCAAAACCAUUUAUUCUAUUUCAGGCAUGCAAGGGACAUGCAAAUACGGUACGAGGGUGGACUACAUACUAGCAUCACCAGAUUGCCCAUAUAAGUUCGUUCCUGGGUUGUAUUCGGUCCUGUCAUCGAAAGGGACAUUGGAUCACCACGUCGUAAAGGUUGACGUAACGAAAUGUGCAAACAACCCUUCCCACGAAAGCGACAGCAACAACAAUAAAAUUACCAAGAAAAGGCGACGACAGCGCAAGCACCAGACAGUCGUAAAGAUCACAGGCACUGCUCCACCUUCAAAGGGUAUCUGGACAACGAAUACAUUAUUAAGCAAAGUCGAAUGACAUCACAUGUAUAUCUUCCUUUUCUGUCCGCUCUUUUCUUGGCUGCUGCUGCUGCUAUUGUUGCUGUUGAGUGAUCUUGGGCAUACUGUCUUCGUCAAUCUCUCUGUAAAUCUUCGAUUUUUUUCAGUUUAGAGUUGAAGAGGGGAGUGUUCUGGGGUGAUGGCUUCCUCACAUCCGUAUAGAUUUCAACACGACAGAAGUGAAUUCUUACCUUUCAGCUGGGGAUUGGAGCUGAACCGUCCUGGCAAGUUCUUUUUGAGUACUGUAUAUAUAUAUAUAUAUAUAUAUUUUUUUUUUUCGCUUGUAAUAUUAACUGCAAGAUUCAGAUCAGUUUUUGUUGAGGGCGACAUCUUGACUUGACUUUGCUGAGGUCAAGGUUAGAGAAAGCGAUGUUGUAUCUUAGAUAUAACUGAAAGUCCUUGGAAUAAAAUUGCAAAUUUCGAAAAUUGAAAUGAUUUUUGUUAACCUGGACAUCCGGCGAUUGAUAAAAGACCCAAAGAUUUCAAAUGAAAUACCUUUAAAAAGCAAAUAUGGAAGAAAAAGAAGCUGUAAAGUCCGGUGAUUAUGAAUUCUAAACAUUUGUGAAAGAAUUCAAUGUCUUCUUUCUUUUUCCUCCGAUUUCGAAAUUAGUAUUGAAAAGAAGUGAAGUGGUAAGUACAAUAUAUUUCGAUAUCUUUAAAAAUAUCUUAUGCGCUCUCCAAUGGUAAAAUAUAGUUUUAAGGGGGAAAUCAAGUAUAGGAAGUAAUUAUUUUAUAAUAAAGUAGAGGAUUACUAAUUGAUCCAUGAAAAAUAGAGAAAAUCAAUUAUGGAAGCAAGCAAGGAUGAGAGAGAGAGAAAGAGAGAGAGAGAUUUUUAUUGAAGCUCUAAGCAUGGUCAAAGUCCAUUGAUGUCCCAAUGACAUGGAAUAGAGUGAUACAGCUAACGAAAAUGUUUUCUUCUUAUUCAAAAUGAGAAUCAUUUUUCUGAUUUCGAGUGGUGAGCACUUUUCUAUCAAAGAUAUUUGACGGUUGACUUUAGCAUUUUUAACAUCAAAAAGAGUUUUAAAAAUAUUUUCAUCGAAAUUCUUUUUCAGCAAAACAAACGGAGGCCUAAUGAGCAUCAUAAGUGAAAGUGUAAUUAAAAGAGAAAGAAAUAGAUUUUCUAUGUAAUAGGCAUUGUUGACUGAUGUAUAAUGCUAAUUAGCUUAUGAAUAAAAAAACUGCUUGUCCCUUAUAAUGGUUGUCAAAUUAAUCAGCAUAGUAGAGGACACAAGUAUCUCUCAGUUGGUGUAUGCUCUUCAAUCCUCCUUGAUGUAAUGUGUAUAUAUAUAUAUAUAUAUAUAUAUAUAUAUUUAUAAUUGUUAACUGAUGGAUAAUGCUAAUUAGCUUAUGAAUAAAAAACUGCUUUUCCCUCAUAAUGGUUGUCAAAUUGCACACCUUACAUCAGCAUAGUAGAGGACGCGAGUAUCUCUCAAUCGGUGUAUACUCUUCAAUCCUUCUACAUAUAUAUGUAUGUAUAUAUGUAUGUAUGUAUGUCAAUUGAAUUAUUUAUUUUGAUUUUGCCCGGGAUCAAUUUAGAAAAUCAUGGGAUCUAAAGCACAAAUAACAAGAAGAGCAAUAAAAAAAACAGUUAAGACAUAGCGUCGAUAUCAUUGACCGGUAAGAAUCCCCGGUGCUAGCGAUCUUGAAGGUUUGCUACUCGGGGCCUCACUAACAUAUGACAUGAAAAAUAAAAAUAAAUGAUUUUGUUAAUGAGUGAGAAAGAUAAAUAAUCAUUAAUAUUUCAUACUUCUGCCGUUUGUUAAAGGGCUACGCUAGUAGUCACACAAGCAUCUAAUGACGUUUUAACUGCACAUGUUCUUCUUCUUCUUUUUUUUCCUAUAGUAAUAUAGUCACUUAUUAAAAUGUUGUAUCUUUUCCCUUUUUGUUGUGAAUUUCCCCUUCUAGAAAUCACGAACAUGAGCACAAAUUUUUUUUGUCCAAAUAAUUGGUCCAUUCAGGCUGAUACCUCUAAUUUCUUUCUAUAUCAUGAAUAAAGCUUUGUAAGCUUGCUCAAUAUGGAGAUAGAGUUUGUACCUGUAUGAAGUUCAAGAUGGCCGGGAGCAAUCCGUGCCACCUGACCUCAACUUAAGUGCAUCGCCUUGUCAACAAUCAGUUCCUCCACAAGCGGAAUUGAUACACAAUUUACGCCUGAAUUGUCCUCUGCUCACCUUUCACUUGGGGACGUUUUUCCAUGAAUCUCUUCAGCUCCUCGAGCCACUUACCGAGGGCUCUUCCAAGUGAGGCCAUCUGUUUAUUAUUGUUUGCUUCUGGAAGUCGGUUUAUGGAGACCUUGAUGUUCAGCCUUUGAAUUUUGCCGUCCAUUAUGAGUCUUGUUGUCAUACUUUUUUUUUUAUCAGUCAUAAUCUACUCGUAUUCUAAUACUCACUCUUAGACUUUUGCCAUGUCUCUUUGCAGGACGUGAGAAUCAAAAUCCAUACUUGAAACUAAUUCGUCCCCACCCCAACCCCCUGAAAAUGUGGGGAUUCGAACCCCCCACCUCCUCUUUCCACGUUGGAAGGGUAGCUACUGGGUUGUUGUCGUAUUCUGAACACUUCAUUAUGUGAGGUUUUGACUGUUCUUGCCUUCCAUUCAUGGUGUAGCCGAGCAACAAAUGUCAAAUGAACAGGAAGAGACAGCUCCACAGUCUCCUGUCACAACGGUCUUUCUCAUUAGGAUGAUUCUCCAGUGAGCGUGACGAAUUAUGGGAACCUUUAGUUUCUCAAACUCGAUUCUUGAGAUGUUUCCGUGUCAUAUCGUUUACUUUUUCUCCAUCGUGUCGAACAUAGUACCUACUCUGGCGAUGAGCUUAACUAUUCAUCUCAAUCUGAAAGCUACAUACCAACUUGAUAAGAUUCUUAAUAUAAAUUACCUGCUUGUGCACACUAUUUUACUUGGUGAAUUCUGUCAUCUGCACUAGUUUAAAUACAUUCAUCGUUUGAUAGCACAGGUACCUUUGUCGGCUUACGGCACGAGGCAUGGCAAAACUUUAUUUGCCUCGUCAAGUCUUGUUUCAGAGGACAUGAAUAUUCUUUUGAUAGUAAUUGUAUGUUUAGAUGAUCAUAAUUGCUACCAUUGGUAGAACACGCUGCCGAUGACAACAUGAUAGUCGCAGUGUGCAUUCUAGUCGAGCAACGUAGUUUCAACUUCGAGUUGUGAUGAAAACUGUGCUUGCGCCUGUGGUUUAAGAUGAUGAUGAGUAGAGCUGAAUCUGACAAGCCACCUGCUAUUCCUAUCGGCUUUGUCGAAUCAGGAGAGGUGGCAGGGUUCGCUCCACAUCUCGUAACCGACGGUAAUCUUGCUGUCCUUCAAUGAAGGCAUAGAGAAUGAGAAUAAAUGCUCCAUUAGACGCUGCACAUAUGCCAAUUUCGCUAGUUCUGAACCUCAUUGCAGGUGGUCCCCAGGCUGCAAACUUCAGGGGACCUUUCCAACUGUCGACUUUUGAUGGCUCGAAGCUUGAGCUACUUGGAUUCAAACCCUGUCUUUACUUUCUCUGAAGGCAUUCAUGAUAUUUAACGCUAUUUAGCUCUGUUGGGAAUAGCGGAUCCCCGAAAACCGGAUUCGACACCGAAUCGAACCCCUAAAUCAAUGCGGAAGACGAAGCCCGGGAAAACACGUAUUACCGAUCGUAAAGCACACCACGGAUUCGAGCGUACCUUGUUAGCCACAAAUUAAGCACCGACGCCAACAAGAGGAAGAAAAUCUGGCCCCGUUCAAUCUAAUGACGCCUUGAAGGAAAGAAGAAAAGUGCCGUUUGCUUACUGUUUCUUUUUGGAAGGGAGAGAGCGCGCGGGAGAAGAGAAGACGUACGUUCGUCUGUUUUUCCAACCGGUACCAUCUCUCUCUCUCUCUCCUCCCUUUUAUACCUUCCCCCAUCCACGGGCCCUAUUCCCGUGGGCCGGGCUUUUUGGGCCCAGCAUGGGCGGACGGGCCUUAAGCCCAUCUCAUAAAUCUAUCAUCUCCCACUCGCACAUGGUGGGCCGAACGGAAUUCUCUUUACCUCUCUUCAACAUUCAUACUGGUGAAUAAUCCGUGCGACCAACAUACUUUGAGAGCUCGUUGCUAUACAUCUGUUAGGAAUAUAUAGCAGCUCAUAAUGGUCGUCACACUCCGAGUAGAUUUAGUAUGCAGUACCCUAGAUCGAUCGAUCACAUUUAUAUCUCUCUUGAUCUCUUUUAAACAAUGAUAUAUAUAUUGUAUUCACAAUUAUGAUUAUCCCAAAGACAGUCAUAAUUGGUUAACCGGUGAAUACAAAACUACAAUGUGAUUCUCCAAAAUCGAUCUUCCUCUUUCCUUCAAACUUUCAAUUUCAGUUCAGCUUGCUUUUCUAGAAAUGCCCCAUUAGAUCGAAUCAAACUCAUGACCAUUGGCAACAUCCUAAGAUAGCAAAUACUAAAUAGAAAUCUUGAGAAUAAGUAAGAGUCAUGAGGGGACUAAAAAUUGAGGAACUCUUUUCCUCAAGAGUCUCACACGACAUAAAAGUUGAGAUCAAACUUUUGCCACUCUUAUUGGUCGUUACGUAUUACGGUAUUAACUCAUUUCCCAUGGAGCGUAUGUCUACACCUUUCAAUACCGUACAGAUGAUAGUUCAGACAUAUCUAAUGUCUAACUUGAGUUCACGUAUCUACUCAUUCACAAAAUUCAUCAGAACUCACAUCUGGCAUCUUAGACAGAUAAAGUAAAAUAUGUGGGGUAUUUUACUUUCGGACAUAGUAAUUAUUAUAUUCUCAUCUUAACACCUAGUUAAGGCGACAUACGUGUUUUAAGCUUGAGCUCUCGAUUAUCACCUAGAUAAUAAGCUUAAAAACAGUCUCAUCUCUAUUUAUCACACAGUAAAUAGAGGCGAUUACCCGUGUGAGUGGGCUAAUCUUAUAUCUGUCCGACAUACUUCUCAACUUAAAGUGAUGCACUAAGUAUUAAGAUGCAUAAAGAUCAAACAAAGAUUCAUAGGCAUUAAUGAUGAAAACACAAAUUCAUCAAAUUGUGAACACUUAGGGAAAUUACAAUAUUUAGUACAUCAGUCUCUACGCAAUCCUAGAGACUUCAUAUGACCACAAAACACAUCUCUAGGUAUUGGUUUUAUCAUAAGAUCUGCUACCAUUCUAUGCGUAGUAUGUACUCUAAGUUCACAUCUUUUCGUGCAAUCAUAUCAUUGACAAAAGUUAUACUUGGUAUCUAUAGGUUUGGUCUUGCCAUGAUAUUUGGAUCUUUGGUGUACACUUUUGCUGCUCGGCUAUUAUAGUUAACCAACAAUGCAGCAUUUCCAAUAACACCUAAAUGAUCCAAAAAAUCUCUUAAGCCAAAUACCUUCUUACACUGCUGCUGAUAAUGCCACGAACUCAACUUACAUCGUGGACAAGGCUAUACACUUUUGUUUUUUACUGCUCCAACAUAUGGUGCCAUUAUUCGGUAAGAAAACAAAUCCAUAGGUAGAUUUCCUUUCAUUUAAAUCUCCUCCCCAAACAGCAUCAAAAUAGCCUUAGAGUCGCAGAUCCAUUCCUUAAUAACUCAACGUAUUAUCAGCAGUCCCUUUUAGUUACCUCAGUAUUCUCUUAACGGCUUUCCAUUGUGCUGGACCUGGAUUGGAUUGGUAUCUACUUACCAUUCCAACUGCAAAACAUAUGACAGGUCUUGUACACAUCAUAGAGUACAUCAAGCUUCCAACAGCACUAGCACAAGGAACAUGUCUCAUUUGUUCAUUCUUUUGUGAAGUCCUUGGACACAGUUUAUGGCUCAAUCCUUCACCUUUUGCAAUAGGAGUGUCUAUGGGUUUACAAUCUUGAAAUCUUAACUCUAAGAAUGUAUAUAACAUCACCCAUGUCUUUCAUCUCAAAGUUGGAAGACAACCAACUCUUGAUAGUAUUGACAAGCUCCAUAUUGUUUCUGGUAAUUAGUAUAUCAUCAACAUAUAAUGAUAUGAUCACCAAUUGAUCUUUGGAUCUUUUGAUAUAUACACAAUGAUCCUCAUCAAUCAUUAUAAAAUCAUAUGCCAUUUUGGCAUUAUGAAAACGUAUAUACCAUUGUCUCGAUGACUGCUUAUGGCCAUUUAUCGACCUCAAAAAUCGAUAUACAUUUUCUUCUUGGCUUUUCAUUAUGAAACCAGCAGGUUGUUCCAUAUAUUUCUUUCUCUAAUUCUCCAUUGAGGAAAGCAGUCUUUACAUCCAUUUGAUGUAACUCAAGAUCCAUACUUGCCAUUAUUGCCAGAAUAAUGCGAAUCAAGGUAAAUCUCACUACAGGAGAAAAUGUAUCUUCAUAAUCAAUUUCUUCCUGUUGAUUAUACCCCUUCGCCACAAGGCGAGCCUUAUGCCUUUUUAUCGAGCCAUCAGCCUUUCGAUUUAUUUUGAAAACCCACUUGUUCCCAAUAGCUUUGUGUCCUUUUGGAAGAUCAACCAGUUCCCAGACUUGGUUUGAUUUCAUUGACUCCAUUUCCUCUUUCAUUGCAUGAAUCCAUUUUUCCUUAUUAGGGCAAUUCAGAGCCUCAUUAAUAUUUCUUGACUCAUCCUCAUCUUGUGGAGCAAUAAUAAAAGUUUCCCUUUCAAUGUCAAAACAUCGACGGGGAAUACUUUGGCGACUUGUUCACCGUAUGGGAGAUUGUACACUUAGCACAUCAUUCCCCAUUAUGCUCCCACUUGGAUUAGGUAAUGAUGAUGUCGUCACAUCAGGUGAUUGCAAUUGAGAAUGAGUUGAAUUCAAUUCAUCACAUCUCAUAUUACUCCCACUUGGACGAACUCCACUAACAUCAUUAUCUUGAUCCAAGGUUUCAAAUAUGGAGUAAUUUUCCCUAUUUCGCCCCUCUUAGGAAAUUCAUCCACUAAGGAUGUGACAUCCCGUGAUUCAAAUUCAGUUAUACUCUCACUUUCCUGCUCACCUAUGAACACAUACCAUUUUGAGUAUUCGCAGUAUCUCAUGAAAAUACUCUUAUUUUUUUUGGGACCCAAUUUCCCAAACUUGUGAGAGGACUCAUGAAUAUAGGCAGCAUAACCCCAUGGCUUAAGAAAACUUAAGUCCGGUUUUCUAACUGUCCAUAACUCAUAUGAAGUGGAAAUAACUGAUUAGGAAGGCAUCCGAUUAAGUAUAUUGGCAGCAGUUAACUACGCAUCACUCCAAAAAGUGAUAGGUAAGUUAGCAUGCACCAUCUUGGACCUAACCAUUCCAGUAGGGUUCUGUUUCUUCUCUCUGCAACACCAUUUUGUUGAGGAGUAUAUGGAAUAGACAACUAUCUUUCUAUUCCUUUUUCAUCACAUAAUUUUCUGAACUUAUCAGAUAAAUAUUCUCAACAUCGAUCGGAUCUAAAUACCUUUAUUUUAUUGUUUAAUUGAUUUUCUGCCAGGUUCAUAAACCUUCUAAAACAACUUAUGCUUCAGAUUUAUGAGAAAUCAAAUAGACAUAUCCGACUCGAGUAUAAUCAUCUAUAAAAAAAAGUGAUGAAAUAAACAGCCCAUUGCCUUCCUCUCACAUUCAUUGAACCACAGACGUCCAAAUGGAUUAAAUGUAGAGGAAAUUCAGCUCUUUUACCUUUUCCAAAUGGUUUUCUUGUCAUUUUCCCUACUAGGCAAUGCUCACAUAUGGACAAAUCGACUUUUUCAAUAUUGCCCAACAAGCCCUCUUUGGCUAGUCUAUUAAUAUGUUGUUGGCCCAUAUGACCAAGUCUAGCAUGCCACCAUAUUCACAUCAUUAUCAUAUAAGGUAGAAGACGUGAAACAAGGGAAUAACAUAUUGACAUCACCAUAGUCAACAUUUAGUACAAUAAAACCAUCCAGAAAAUGACCACAACCAUAGUAGUUUGUAUCCAAAUACAAAUCUAUACAUUUAUUAUGGAAGUUCAUAUAAAAACCAAGCUUGACCAACACGAAAACAGACACUAAAUUUCGACGAAUCUCCGGAGCAUAUAGAACAUCAUGUAGGAACAAGGUGCGUCCACCACGCAUGUUUAAUUGGCAAGUCCUAAUCCCUUUAACUUCAUCUCUAAAGUUAUAUCCCACAUAGAUCCACUUAGUUCCAGUUGGUAUCGUCGGAAUUCCAUGAAGGAUCCUUUAUCCUUCGCUACACGAUCUGUCAUUUCUGAAUCUACAGUCCACAAAGGAUUGGAUUUAGCCAACAAUACAGAACUUGACACAUAGGCAAAGUUCUCAAAUGUACAAGAGGUGUUUACCUUUUUCGGCUCACAACAGUUGCGAGCAUAGUGACCUCUCUUGUCACAAUUGUAACAUCUCACCCUUGACAUUUUUCUUCACUUGAGGACGUUUUCCUCUCUUGUGUUGGUUAACUCUUGAUUUCUUGCAACAAGGACUUGAUCUUUUGCCAUCCCACAUAUUGAACAAAUCAAUACGCUUGCACUUAGAGCUCAAAGCCCUUUCUGAGCUAGAACCAGCAUUGCAAGUGUCCGUUUUCGGCUCACAUGCCGUCAAGCGAUCCUCUACCAGCUCAAGGUGGCGCACAGCAUCAUCAAGAUCUUCCAUAACAUGGUCAAGAGCUUCUAGUGCUUCUAACUUUUCCAGCACAUAUUGAAUCUUAGUACUCAAUAUUCCACAAUUGUUGCCGUUCAUAUCAGCAAUUACGUUCUUAGUUGCUGAAACUAUCGAUCUGAACACAUCAGACUUAUAUGCACAAAUAAUUAAUGCCUAUCAUUAUGCAUCCCUAUUUGCAUAGACCCAUCAUANNNNNNNNNNNNNNNNNNNNNNNNNNNNNNNNNNNNNNNNNNNNNNNNNNNNNNNNNNNNNNNNNNNNNNNNNNNNNNNNNNNNNNNNNNNNNNNNNNNNNNNNNNNNNNNNNNNNNNNNNNNNNNNNNNNNNNNNNNNNNNNNNNNNNNNNNNNNNNNNNNNNNNNNNNNNNNNNNNNNNNNNNNNNNNNNNNNNNNNNNACAUCCAAUAAAAUAACAAUGCUUUCACAUGAUACAACUAAUAUAUCGAUUGCUACAUCAACAACAAUCAAGUAGUAAACAUUACAUAAUUAAUCAAAGAAAUAAAUAAGGAAUGUCCCUUAUAAUCUAUCAGCCAUAAUAUCUGAGAAAUUUGAAGGCACAUUUGCCAACCAUGGAAAAACUUUUGGAGAGCUUUCAUGUCGCCACCAAGGCGCAUUCACUCUACGGCCAUGUGGCGCUCAACCUAAGGGUUGAAGUUUUGGUUAACUCAAUCCUAUAGUGCUCUCUUACAAAAGCUUCCAACCAGCCUCCUAUAACUCAGGACCACGUUGAACCUCCCAUAGCCGAUCUAACACUGCUUACCAUUCAGGUGGAAGAGUGUUCAUCAAAGCCGGUACAUUCUCAAAAUCCGGCAUAAGAUAACCAUUAUUGAUGAUUUCUUGUAUCAUCUGAUUGACCCUGACCGCAUGUGAUACUAAAUCACCAUCAUGCCACCGAUAAUUAGCUAAUUCUGACAAUCUCCUUUUAAGUCUUGCAUUUCCCUCGUCCGUUCUCGGGAUUGCAGGUAUCCUUGCAUAACGCAUCAUAGUUCCUGCAACAAAUGCAGAACUAAAAAUGGAUCACUUAUAAUCCAUAAUAAAUAUAAGGGAAAAUACAUAAUUUUCCAAAAUUCAUGCAAAAAAUGAAGCAUUAAAAAUAGAUUACUUAUAACCCACAUAGGCAUGACUGAAAAAGAAACAAAAUUUUUUUUUUUUUUUUCGGGUCAACGGUCAACGGUCAGUCAACGGUCAACAGUCAAGGUCAAUGGCCAGUCAACGGUCAACGGUGGUCGGUCGUCGGAUCGGUCGAACCGGACAGACCGGUCGGACCAAUCGCGCCGGUCGGGCCGGUUCGGGCGAAACGACCGCACGUGCCGCCCGCGUGCGCGAGCUGACGUCAUGCAGACGUCAGCCGGCACGAGCCGCGCGCGUGCCGAGGGUCGCGGUUCGGGUCGGGUCGCCGGCCGGCCAACGGUCGUCGGCGAUGACGUCACCGAUGACGUCAUCCCGGCGGUUACCGUGACGUCAGCACGCGUCUGUUCGCCGACCGGCGCGUGCCCGUUCGCCACCGGCGCGUGUGUCGCAUGCGCUGGCGAAGCCAGCACUUCCAGGCGCUUCGCGCCCACGCGCAGCGGCUUCUGGCCGUGCGUGUGGGCGCGUGCGGCGUCUCCCGGCGGCGCUCGACGUGUCGCCGGACUCGUCUCGACGUCGCCUUUCUCCCCAUGUGUUCAGAAAACGAUUUCGACUUACGAAAACUCAGAAAAAUGGCCGAACAACGCUCGGGUGUCGGGAUUUCUCGCCCCGAUCCGUACGGCCGAAAAUUUUUCGUGAAAAAUCAAUCAAAAAACAUCAAAUUAAUCGGGAAAACGUGAACUAGGGCUCUGAUACCAAUGUUGGGAAUAGCGGAUCCCUGAAACCGGAUUCGACACCGAAUCGAACACCUAAAUCAAUGCGGAAGACGAAGCCCGGGAAAACACGUAUCACCGAUCGUAAAGCACACCACGGAUUCGAGCGUACCUUGUUAGCCACAGAUUAAGCACCGACGCCGACAAGAGGAAGAAAAUCUGGCCCCGUUCAAUCCGAUGACGCCUUGAAGGAAAGAAGAAAAGUGCCGUUUGCUUACUGUUUCUUUUUGGAAGGGAGAGAGCACGCGGGAGAAGAGAAGACGUACGUUUGUCUGUUUUUCCAACUGGUGCCAUCUCUCUCUCUCUCUCUCCUCCCUUUUAUACCUUCCCCCAUCCAUGGGCCCUAUUCCCGUGGGCCGGGCUUUUUGGGCCUAGCAUGGGCGGACGGGCCUUAAGCCCAUCUCAUAAAUCUAUCAAGCUCGAUAUUCAGCAUCGUCGCCCUUACUUGUUUUGGACUUUCUACUGGCGAAUCUCUUCAUGUAAAGGUUUGGCUUGGCAUUAUACUAGUCAGCAUACUUGCAUAGACAUGGUGGUUCUGUUCGUUUCCUCAUCAGUGCAUUCGACUUGUGGUGCAUCAAAUCUGAAAAUGAAAUAUUCCAGUAUCUAUAUUUAAUUAUUCGGAAGUUUGUUUUAAUAAGCUAGUACUAUGCUAUCAAUCAAUUAUCACUCAGUACAUCUCUUUAUACAUAUAGACACGGUUUGCCAUUUCCAGAGUUGUUAUCUUUCGGGAGUGGUCUCGAACGAUUUCGUAUUCUCCAAACCGAGACUCAUUCAGUCAUUGAAAGCCUUCAAUUUUUGACCUUGUACUAGGAUGGUCCUUUCUGCUGAUUAUUGUAGAUCCUUUGAAAACCAUUGAAGCAAUCGAAAAGACCUCGCAGAAAAUGUUAAUUGCUUUGUACUGGCGAGACGACCCAAGUUUUAAGCAGCAGCAUGCGCUUUCGCUGCUUUCUAUGUUUUCUUAGUCUGAUGAAUGACAUUAUUUGAAUCUCAGUGGGGGAGUACCUCGCUAAUUUUGGCAUCAAAUCAGGGCUCUCUGUCUGCGAUCUCUAAGUGAAGUGGAUAUCGCGGGUUCCUUAUCAACAUCAAUGUCUGGAGGAAUAUGAUACUUGUUUGCAAGCACGUGAGGUACCAUCUCAUGUCUUAUCAUCGAGUGAACGCAUAAAUUCUCACUGCAUUUAGGGAUUGAGCUUUUGUAAUACAUCACAUGCUCUAAAACGACACUACCUGCUCAAUUUCCAUUCAUCGUAAAGGCAAAUUUGUCGGCCUACUCUAUCUUUCGUCUUUGACAUGUGCCAGUCAUUCAUCGGUUAGGCCCUAACCCAUCCCGUGACAUGAGGUCAAAGUCGGAGAUUGCUUGAGCAUGUAGCAGUUGUAGAGGUGGGUGAUCGAGCGGGGUCGAAGGGUGGGGGUGAGAGGUUUUGAUGGAAACGAGAGAGAUUCACAUGAAACAAAAAUUAAAUGAAUGCCAUAGAACAUUCAUUGUCAUUUAUAAAAUAUGAACAUAAUGAGUCUAUCGGAAACACUAGUGCUAUAUGAAAAACAUGUAAAAGCUUCACGGAUUACAUUGCGAAUAAUGAUACAUGUUGAUAGUACUAUUUAAAUUUUGCACCUCAUUUCUAUGAUAGGGGAACAAUCACACAAUACAUGAUUUCGUAAACUCAUUGUCAUGGUAAAAUUGGUAACCGCCCGAAAUUAUCGAAGCACUUGACGAAGCUGAGACCGUUUCAAGUUCUAUAUCAGUGUUGACAUCAUCAAUUGGCGCCUCUCUUGGAUACAAAAGUGGUUUUGGAGGCAGCUGUAGUUUAGCCAUAUCUCCCUCAAGCAUAUCUAGGACUUUCCUCAUCGACGGCCGAUCAUUAGGACUCAAUUGUAUACACCAUGAUGCAACGAUUAUCAUCUUCCUCGUUGUUUCUCUUUCCUCUUCUAUGACAUCUACCAUUUCAACCUCCUUUUCUUUGCCAAGUUGAUCAUAAACCCACAAAGGAAAGUAAAUUUGACUUGAACGCUCUGCACGUGCAUUUAGAUUUCUCCUUCUACCAGCCAUUUCCAUCAACAUCAUCCCAAAACUAUAAACAUCGGCUUUAUAAGAAAUGCCACCAAUGUCUUUAUAGAAUAGCUCAGGUGCCAUAUAACCCAAGGUUCCUCUUGCUGCAGUCAAUGAUACUAUGCUGUGACUGGUGGGAUAAAGUCUUGCAAGUCCAAAGUCAGAAAUUUUCGGAGUGAAACUUUGGUCUAGGAGAAUGUUGUGUGGCUUGAUAUCAAAGUGCAGAAUUUGCAUAUCACAUCCCUAAUGUAGAUAUUCUAUCCCUCUAGCUAUGCCAAGAGAGUUCUCAUACAUUUUCUUAUGAUCAAGAGGAUCAUCACCAUCCUUAUUCGAAAUGUGUUUAUCCAGGGAGCCAUUUGGCAUGAAAUCAUAGACUAGAGCUUGUUUGGAGUAAUCGAAGCAAAAACCAACAAGUUGCACCACAUUGACAUGGUGAAUCCUUCCAAUUGUGGCCACUUCGCUAAUAAAAUCUUGGCUGUUAGAUUCUGAUUUGUUCAAAAUCUUAACCGCAACUUCAUUGCCACUUCGAAGGAUUCCUCUGCAGACAGAACCAUAUCCCCCCUCACCUAACUUGUAUUUGAAAUUUUUUGUAAUCUUCUUAAUAUCGGAGUAAGAGUACCUUAUGGGUAAAAAGUUAUUGUGAGCUUGUAGGAAUUCUUCGAUGAUUGCGUCAAUCGCUUGGCGCCUUCUCAUCCACUUAUAGAUUAGAAGUAUCAACACACAUAGAACUCCGAGUACGAAUUUUGCUGCAACAUAGUUGGCUGGAUAGAAAUUGUCCAUAGAUUAGCACGGUGCAAUAAAAAAAAAUUAAACGUAAUUUUUUUUUUAUCAGAGUGCUGCUUGAGAUCUUCAUAGUUGUGAGGAGAAAAGGGCUAGGAAGUCAUACCCAAGACGAGGGCAAGGCUCCGACCCACAUAUGGCGCAUAAUAAUGCCUAGCCCACGUAGCAUAAUCUAAGGUGACCGAAAAUGACUAAUUAGAAUCGACAAUCAAUCAAUGAAGAAUUAAAUCUAUCAUUUUAGCAUUUAAACAUAAAAAUAAUUUACUAUCCUAAAUAGGUGCUCAUAUCGCAGCUUAUUCUAUUCACAUGGGAAAUCCAUGUUACGGUAGCAUGAUAUUUUCUCUAAAAAAAUAAAAUAAAGAACACGAUCUCGCUUUUGUUCCCUCAAGACGUACCAAACAAUUAAUAAGUUCACAUCUCACUGCAGCAUAAUUCUAAUUUACAAACAUCAUUCAGGACGCGUGCAAUUUAUUCAUCUACAUAGGAGUAACAGCCACGCAAUGGACACGAGCAACUAUUAAAUCAACCAUUUUCCCCAAACAAAUAUAAAGUAAUAGUGUCAAAUCCAGAAAAAAAGGUUCAUAAAUUGUAAAAUUAAAAAGAGCAAUGCAUGCCUAAUCUACUAAGAAAUCUUAUUAGACUUUUCAAAUUAAGUGAUGUGGCAAUUUUUUUUUUUUCUGUUGUGUUUUUAGAGAAAAUAGUGUCUUAAUUUGUGGAUUGUAUUAAAAAUCCCCAACUAAAACUUGCCACAUCUCUUGGUAAGUAAAUUUUGGUAAGAUCUCUUAGUAAAGCUAGGAUUUAAGAAAAGGAAGAAGAAGAAGAAGAAGAAAAAAGAAAGAAAGAAAGAAAGAAAGAACACCUUUAAGGGGAAGUCCCUUGAGGAAAUAAAGGUCCCCGCAACUCUCCAUUCGGUAUCCGAAACUUAAGUAGCGACACCGAAAAGCUCUUCCUGACAUGGUCCAGGGUUCUCCAGAAUAGUAGAGAUUGAAUCCCUCGGCCAUCUUGUUGUGGAGGUCCUUGUAUGUUAAGCUCCCAUUCUGAUCCCCUUCCCGCCCCGAGAUUUGAUCUGAUGCGUAUGCCGUCAUGGUUACGGUGCAGGAGUCCUUGAAAUCCCCUGCUUUUAAGUUCUGUACAGCGUAUGAGUACACCUUCAUCUAGGAAAAAUAAGGAGGCGUGUCGGCAGAGUAUCCCUCAAUACAUGGUCUGGUAUCGACAUAUAAACUAGAAGCAAUGGGUUGGGAACACUUCAUGAAGGCCACCACCGUAGCUUAUCGAUCAGCGUAUCUAUCAUCAUGACUGAAGUUGGAGUAUGUCAAUGGGUAACGAGGGAGGGACUAGCAAUUACCCUUUUGCAGUCCAUUGUCAACCACCGUGAUAUUACCAUCAAAGUCAUGUUGGUUGUAAUAGAAACUAUAAUGGAUCAACUUCGCAUUAUAUUGGCCAGCAUAUAGAUAUAGAAUAGUGUCGCGACCAAUUUUUCAGGGUGUGAAUCACCUAGGAUUUAGCUAAUAGAUUGCUAAGCCUAGACCUAGCUCGGGCUCUCCCAAGCCCAUACCAAUUCGCGACUUAAGUUCAAAUUUCUUAACAUGCAGAUGGAUUUUAUGUAGGAGUCGCCACUAAUCUAUUUUUUGGUGGGUCAAUUAGAAACCCAAGUAAAAUAACGGGAGUUUUACUUUACUCCUAUGAACCAGAUAUUCUAGGUACGGGGACUUAUUACACUAGAUUUUUCUAAUGCCCUUUCGAUACCAUUCUUUUAUUUUCAAAAAUGCUUUUGCAAGCAGCUUAAAUUGAUUUUAAAUCUAAUUUCCUAACAUGUGAGGUGAUCAUGCGAGUGCGCAAACCAUCAAUUUAACAUCCAAAUAAAGCAGUAAAUAAAUUGCAGGACUUACCUCAUAGCAACGAAAGCAUCUGCGUUGUUAGAUCAAAAUUCACAUCAACAGUCAUAGAUAUGAUUUCUAAUUAACACGAAAUUUUUGUUUUUCUUUUUCACUUGAUUAGUGAGAAUCGAACCCGUAUGCAAUGCGAUGCUUCUAAUCUAACAUGAAAUGAUAUAACAUGGCAGAAUAACCUAAAUUAUAUGACAUGAAUAAAAAAAUGCAAUGAUUAAAUAUGUAAUCUAAACUAAUCUAAUGACUUAACUCUAAUGACAAUCAAUUUCUAGCCAAAUGGACCUAACCAUAAUCACUAAGUAAUAUGCAUUUCAUGAACCUAAUUCUAUAUGACAUGCACAUGACAUUUUUUAUUUUCUUAAAAAGUAUGCAAUCUAUCCUAGAGAUUGAAACUAAUUUAUCCUAAGAUAUUUUUUGUAUUUUUUAAUAAAAAAAUCGAAAUUAAGACUAUCAAAUAAUUAACAUGCAAUUUAAAUCAGUGAAACGAAAAUCUAACAUCCUAAAUUUAUGUUUUUUGUAUUUUUUAUUUAAGAAAUUCGAAAGAAAUAAAUUUCCUGUUCUAGACAUGCAAAAUAACCUAAAACAAGUAAUAUCCUAACAUGCAUCUAAUCUAACUCAAAAAAAAAUUUCCUUUUACGGGAGCAAACAAAUAAAGGCAUCAAGAACAGCACGGCAACAAAUCAAACAAGAUAUCAUCCAUGUCCAUUUAAUUUUGGGAAAUAAAUUGACGAAUCGUAUCUCGCGCAUGAGAUCAGAUUGGCCAAUAUUUUAAGUAAAAUCACGAAUCGUAUCUCAAGCGUGAGAUCGGAUUGGUGAUUUUUUCGUACAAUUGCGGGUCAUAUUUUGGGCGUGAAAUCAGACCGUCAACCGUGUGAAAUUAAGAAUUAAUCUCUAAUUUCAAAUGCUAUCUGAACUUCGAUCAUGUGCAACGAGAUAUUUUAAAUAAGGAAACGGAAUAUUCGGAAAUUAAAUUAGACAAAAAUAUUACCUAAUCCAAAUAUUGACUUCCAAAAUUUGGACUUUGCGCAGUUAACGGAGAUUGCAGUGCUCAACAAUUUCGCAGCCAGUUGUCGAGGACAGCAGCUUAGUCACGAAAGAGCAACGGCAACGUCACGGCAGCAGGCCUGAACCGCUACAAAAUUGUCGCAGGGGACUCCACCGAUGUUGGACCACGAUUGGCUUUGAAUGUGGACCCAAGUUCGCUGGACUGUGGCAAGAUUUUUUUGAAAAAAAAACCUGCAAGAUUUGGUCAAAGAAAACUGGUUUGGGCUGCCUUCAACAGAUCAUGCACGAGAGAGACAAAUUCGAGAGAGACAAAUUCUUGUGCUUUUUAUCAUAAACUUGUGUUCAGACUAUAAGGGUUCUCUUUUGUGCACGUCCACUCCUCUCCCUCCAGGUGGAAGUGCUUGACUUUGUGGACAAAAAUUGCGGAGAUUGAGAGAAAUUUCCCCUUUUAAUCUAUGACCGUCUCCUGGCUUAACAGCGAAGCUCCGUGGCUUUGGAUGAAACUCGCCACAAAAAUUUCGGUCUUCUCGAGCAGUGGUUGGAUCGGCCAGUGCGAGCAGCAAAACAAACCAGGCUCGAGCAACAAGUCGCUGUGGAGUAUAUUACCAAUGCCUGACAGCGGAUAGGCAAAGAGUGGGUUAGGCUCACGUCAGGGAUAGCGACCUGCAAAUGCGUUUCGUCACAUCGAGGCAGCAAGCACUGGCGUUGCGAGUUCACGAAUGGUGCAGCAGCAAGUAGCGUUGGGGAUCAGCAGCACUGUCGUCAGCUCGGGAUGACGACACGAAUCGCUACAGAGGGUGGUGCUUUGCUGAAACCAAGCUUGCUAAAUUUUAUUGGUCAACGAGACAAGGUGGAGCGUGAGUGACCUGCAAAGAAGAAGAGAGAAAUCCUUCUAUAUAUAUUUAUUUUUUUGGCUCCCAUGUGGCCCCCUCCCUCUUCGCUGGUGGACUUCAGGAGGAUAGAGAUUUGCUGCAAAAUUCAACCGGGAUCUUGAAGGCUUGCGAUUGAUUAUCAGGAAAGGCCGCUGAGUCGGCGGGGUUGGAGAUGACGCCGGUGCUGGACUGGAAUGCGCCGGGAUUGCUGAGUUCUUCGAUGGGCUGAGAAAUUGUGGCAAGUGGCGCACAAGCAGGAGCAGCCGCUGGGGACAGAUGUGAAGCGUCGAAGUGCCGCCAGGACUGCUUAACGUUGCUCGCUGGAUGUCGGCAUUACUGAGCAUUCGCUGAGCAAGUUCUCGUGAAUCAGCGUCGAGAAAAAACACACAAUGGACAGUGAUGUUGCUGGUACGGGAAUUUGGGCACGACUGUUGAAAGUGACCAGCCUUGACCAUUAAAAAAUGAAAUCUCUCCUCUCUCUUGUGGUCCUUUCCAUUCUGGCCGUAUAUUCAAUAUGUGGCCUCCCCUCGAAACCCUACGCGAAAAACCUUUUUAUAGGCCGAAGAUUAGGGUUUUAAUUUCCUUUUCAAAUCAGCAUCCGCGAAGAUUUCUUUUUCGCACACAAUAUCACUUUUUUUUUUUUUUAUUUUCCACAUCUCCUGAUUUUAUUGCCUAAAGAUAAGAUUGUAACCCGAUUUUCUUAAAUUCCAAAAAUCCACCGUAAUAUUAUUUCAAAACUCCAUUUAGGUAAUUUUUGUAAUUAAAAGAAAACGGGCUCGAGCCAAUUUACUUGCUUCGUGGGCUUUAGUCCGGUCUAUCAAUUUAAAGCUUAGAACCACUAAUUCAAACACAUCCGCCACCGGUCCAAUAAAUGCAAAAAAAAAUGUAAAUGCACAUAAAUCUAUAUGCUAUGUAAUUAAUUAAUUAACUAAUAUUUUUUUAGGGGUUAAAAUUAAUCCCUAAUUUUUUAAUGAAUAAACGGGUCACCAAAAUUUAGGUGUCAACAAAUAGUGCCGUUAUUUUCACAAGCUAGCUCAUACCGAGAGCUGCCGCAAUGUUUUGGAUCGCCUUUCAAUUGAAAAGGAUAACUUAUGUUAUGGAUCUCAUCGCAAGAUGAGGGGUCACACAAAUGAUUGUUCUUCGCAUUGUAACUUAUCCUUGAUAGUAGCAGUGUCACGCCCCAAACCUUGAGUGCGCCAAUAUCCCAUCAUGGUCAUGCAAAUGCGACAUUCCCAGGUAGUGUCGCCGACCCCAUUCAUUUAUUAUUGCGUAAGCGGAACGUAUUGUAAAACCCUUGACAAUGAACUAUGGGAUAGAAAAACCAGGAAGCAGAACCAUAACAUAACACUUUCAUAAUUCAACAGAAUUACAAACAGAGGUCUACGGCCAAAAGUCUACAAAAGACCGGCUCUCAAAAAUGAACUAUCCUACGACCUACAAGUCGGACAUGCUCUCCAAUCUUAUGACUUCACCUAUGCAACUCCUCAAGGCCAACUAAAGCUAUCUGGCCACUCCGUCCACCAGGGACUUGAAAUUUUAAUCACACAAUCGGGAUGAGACUUUGUCUUAGCAAGUUCAACCCCCUAAACCCCUAUUAGAAAGAAAAUACGCUCAAGGGUGGCCUAGCCACAACAUCAAAAAGACUUACCUCGCAUUAGUCUUCAUCUGCAGGUUAGCACAGUUUAUAUAAUUCAACCACGUGCAAUUAUGAUAACCAAACAACUGUGGGACAAUCACAUCAUCAGAACAAUUUAACCACUUGGAUCGUUUCAGCGAUCAAUCGACUCGGCCGAUUACAUGUCAUUCUAGCAAAUCAAUCAUUGCCUCCAAUCACGACCCUAUAGGAAGGUUUAACAACCAACGGCAAUCACGGCCCCACUCGGCAAAAUUAGUAUUAGUGGCAUCACGGCCCCACUCGACACAACCUUUAAAAGGUGGUAGAUCCCGGCCCGAUGGGCAUGACCUCUAAUAGGUGGUUAAUCACGGCCCGGUUGGGCGCGACCUUGAUCAGGUAGCGAAUCACGGCCCCAUUGGGCACGACCUCUAAUAGGUGGUUAAUCACGGCCCGAUUGGGUGCGACCUUUAUCAGGUGGCGAAUCACGGCCCCAUUGGGCACGACCUCUAAUAGGUGGUUAAUCACGGCCCGGUUGGACACGACCUUUAUCAGGUGGCAAAUCAUGGCCCCACUGGGCAUGACCUAUAAUAGGUGGUUAACCACGGCCAAUCUCUCAUCAAUUUCAACACUUGGGAUUUUAUAAGAAGAAUCCCUAUUUAUCGCUAUCACACUCAAUUUGCCACAAUCGAUUAUCAAAUUCAAAUUCUAAAGACACAGACUUCCAAAGAUAAUUUUCGAAAUUUAUUAAAUAAUUAAUUUUAUUCCAAAAUUGAUUUAAUAAUAAUAUUUUAAUAAUUUCGAAUAGAUAUAUAUUAUUAAAUAAUUUAAAAUUUUCGGAAUACUUAAAUAAAUCAAAAAAAAAUUCUUUAAGUCACAUCAAAGCUUAUAUUAAUAUAAACAUUCACUUAGCCUUAAAUUAAACACACUUUAAGUAAAUCAAGCACCUUAAUAUAAUCUACACUUAAAUAAAUUAAACUAACCACCUCAUAACACUUAACAUAAACUAAACCUCCCUAAGUAUAAUUAACCCUCUAAGCGAGGUUUAGUGAGUUAAACUCAUCGGAUUAGCGAGCUGAGCGGACCAAAACGACGGGGACGCCGAGGGGAACAACUUCCUUUAAAGCAGACCAAGCAUCCGAGGUCAGGAAGCCGACAAAACGGGCCAAAACCAAGCUGCCAUACCCAUUUUUGAUUGAUGUUGUCCGCUGCAGUUUGAGGCCAAGGAAGGGUAGAGCUGGAGCUUGGAUGAGAUGGAGAAGGACCGGGGAAGGUUGAGGGGUCGAAUCGAACCUAGGCAGGGCUCGAACGGUGGCCGGAGGUGGUUGAUCCGAGGCUGGUGCUGGCCGAACAGCCUCCUAGAUGCACAAGUAGAGGCCAACAGAGACGGCCGGGCGUCGGCCAAGCGCGGACAAGCGCGGGCAGCAGCGAAGCGCAAGACGGCGAGUGGCAACGACGGUCCUAGCUCUGGCAGCUUACUGGUUGAUCUUCGCUGCUGCUGGCGCUCUCAGAUUUGCUAGAGACGUCGAGCACGAGCAGGAGAUGGAGUAGAGAGGGAGGCGAUGGCGCAGGUGGGCGGCAAGCGGCCUAGCGGUGCAAAUGGCAACGGUAACUGGCGAUGAAAGGAGCUGAGGGUUGCUGCAUCCGCUUUCUUCGGUUGCUGGGCGAGCGAAGAAGGAGAAGAAGAUGGAGAGGGGGGUGCCGACGGGAGAGAGAGAGAGAGGGAGGAGAGAGAAGGAAGGGGCCACCCCUUUUCUUUUCUUUUUUUCUUUUUCUUUAAUCCAACACAAAUGGUCCACCAUGACCUAAGAUGACAUCACCUUCCACUAAAUUCAAAUCUCCCACAACAAUCUUCAAUAGGUCCAAUUUCUUUUUCCGCUGAGGCAUGAAAUCUUGAACGCUAACUUCUUCAAUUCCAAUCAAUUCUCUUCCAAAUGAGUAUAAUUAAAGUCCAUAAAUUAAUCCAAUGAUCCUAAUAAGAUUUGUGACACACUAUGACUUCCAAUUUCAGAAUUCGAUCUCAAUUUCACGGUUAAUUUCACUUUGGCACGAUACUAGCGCGUCCUAAUCUAUCGGGUAGCUUUUAGAAAUUUUCGUGCAUUUGACCUAUGGUUGAUCGAUUCAAGCCACAAUGUGCAUCUUUGACACAUUGGCGACUCUCGGUUGUCGGGAUAAUUUCAAGGUUUCAAACACGAACACGGGGUACCCAAACGACAGAAAAGCCAGUCCAGUGCCGAUCAACAAGAAUUGUGCGAUCUGGUGGAAUCACCCACAUCCGAUCACAUGCCUCUGUCGAGUUGACCUAUCUUCGAUUUCUAAUCGAUUUUUAACUGUGUCGUAAUGACCCUUGCAGAUUAACUCGGUCGAAAGGUCGUUUCCUGGUCAAAUUCUCGAGUCCGAUGCAUUAGAAUUUCUUAACGGCUUCACCUGAUAGAUUAGUUAUCCCAUGAGUGAUCAGUCCAAGGAAAAGAACUAUAUGCGUGCCAACGAAAUGCCCAUCUUAAUUUAUUGAAAAUAGUAUUGGAAAAUCGAGAUGUCACAAUGCGAACGUGCGAUACGAGAAGUAAAACACGGAGUGUAAAUAUGGAGCUGAGAGAAAUAAUCAUCUCUUUAUCGUUAGUAUGGUGCAAUGAAGGUUUUAGCUCAUUUGGUAAUGCGAGAGAGGCUUUAUAAAGGGUUAUGAGUCGUCGGUCAUCGAAAUGUCCAAGUCAACCCUAAAACAAAGUCUAGCGAAGAAAGUCUUAAAAAGUAUGGCCCAGCUAAAACCUAUGUAGCAUCGACACGAACAUGUGACAUGCGACACGACACAACACGACACGCCCACACGUCAUUUAUUAAAAAUAGAGAAUUUCGACACAUUCCGACACAUUAUAUAUUAAAUAUAUUUUAAUAAUAAUAAUAAAAAUAGCCUAGAAUUAAUUUACGCGAAAAAUAUUAAAUAAUAUCAUUCAAUAUUUUAAUUUGUUACAAUAAUACACAAAACUUAGAGGAAAAAAACAUUGUUUAAAGAAAAAUGCUAAAAUGAUAUUUUUAAAUUUAUUUAUUUAUCAUAUAUAGCAUUUUUUUUUAUUACUUCUUUCAUAGUAAAAGACUUUAAAAAAAAAAAACAAUUCUAUAAAACCAAAACUGAAAAAAGAAAAAAUUGAUCCCGUGCGUGUAUAUUUAUAGCAAUUUUAUUAUUCUUUUAUUACUUCUUUUGUGCAUAUUUAUAUUUUGACCCCUCAAGUAUUAGAAAUUUUUAAAAUUGACUCAAUGCGUGUCGGAAUCACGUGUCGAAAUUCUGGACUGUCGAAGCGUGUCGGAGAGAGUUGAACAUGUGUUGGAUUUUUCAACACUCGUUGACCACGUGUCGGAGCGUGUCGGGACGUGUUGGAGCAUGUCAGACACGUGUCGGAGUGUCGAACACGACAUGAAGGCUUCCGGAGAGUGUCCGUGCUACAUAGGCUAAAAUACGGUCUCGGAAUUAGUAAUGGAUAGCUUUCACAUCAUGACGGAGGAAACCUCUUACAUUUCCCAAAAUUGAUUUUCUUGGCAAAUCAAUCUCUCUUUAUUUUAGUAUCGUAAAAAAGAAUCAGUUUCAAUGUUUUGUACCCUAAACUCAAUCAAAAUCCUUUCAAAUACGGCAUCUGGUGUUCUAUUUUAUUUUCAAGGCCAAUAUUUCGUAAAUGUCAUUUCGUUAAAUUUUGAAGACGGAAAGAAAAAAGAUGAUGUAUUUCAUCGUAUAAGAUUUUUCAUUUUUUGAGAAAAAAUUAGUAACCAAGAAAGAGGAUCAUGUUAAUUAACGGGUACAUAGAUUUUAACUCGUAUAAUGUGGCUUUCCGUAAAUAUAGAAAGGAAAUAAGGAGUCGGCGCUUCUUGCUCAUGGAUGUUGUGAAACUUUAUGAAAGAAAAAAGCAAUAUGGUAAAUUCUCAACUAGCAAUGGGACUGACACAUCUCGAUUAGAAACUCACUUGCAUCAUCGUGGAUCGACACACGCAAGGACUAUAGACACGGCAUUUGAAUUCACAAAAAUAAUGUGAUGUUUACUUAGUCACUAUGCUGAAAUUUUAAAAUCACUCUUUUCCAUAAUUGAACCACUUAAUGAACGAAUAAACUGAUCUCAAUAAAAAAGGCAAUACGAUAAUUUCUCAACCAAUGACCAAUUGAUGCGGGUCUCAAUUAGAAAUUCACUUGCUUCGUCAUUCUCAACACAUGCAAAGACUAUAGGUGUAAUAUUUUUUUUUUUGGUAAAAGACUAUAGGUGUAAUAUUCGCAUGCACAUAAAUCAACUAAUACGUACUUAUUCAUUGUCAAUUGAAAUAUCAUUCUUGUGGAUCAGUCAAUCACUCGCCUAUAAAAUAAUCUCAUCUUUUGCUCGCAAUAAAUCGAACUGACCUAUUACAAUAUCCAAUUGAAACAUGCCACAUCACUUAGUAAGUAAAUUUUUAUACGAUCCCUCAGUAGAGCUAACAUUUAAGAAGAGGAUGAGGAUGAAGAAAGAAACAAAGAAAGAACUGGGAAAGUCAGCUUACGGGAAUCAUGGUGUCUCCACCUCUCCGUUUGGUAUAUGAAACCUAAUUAGCAAAACUCGAAACUUGUUGGUGGCGAGAGUUUAUAAUAGGAGAUAGUGAAUCCCUCGACCGUCAUGUUGUGGGGGUCCUUAUACGGUGAGCUCGCACGAUUAUACCGAUCGUUUUUCCACCUUGGGAUAUAAUGCGGUAUUAAAGCCUCUGUGGUCAUGGUGUAAGUAUCCUUGAUGUCCCCUACUCGGAGAUCAAACCCAUGUACAGCAUAUGAGUACAACUUAAUUUGGGAAAAAAUAGGGGGCAUGUCGGAAGGAUAUGCUCCCUCAAUACAUGGUUCAGUAUUGACUUACGAAGUAGAAGCAAGGGGCUGUGAGCACUUCAUGAAGACCACCGGCACAGCUAACGAACCGUGUGGAUCAUUAUCACUAAAGUUGGAGAGCGCCAAUGAGUAAUGAGGGAGGGUUGAGCAAUUACUUUUUUUUGCAGUCCAUCUUCAACCACAGCGAUUUCGCCGUUGAAUAAACAUUUGCUAAGAUGGGAAUGGUAGUAAAUUGAUUUCACAUAAUAUUGGCUGUCAUAUAGAUAUAGAACAAUGUGAUUAUUUUCACAAGCUACCUUAUGUUCAUAGUGGCCACAUCCUUUUGGGUUGCCUUUCAAUCGAAAGUGAUAGCGUAUGUCAAGAACCUCGCCGCAAGAUGAAGCGGCAGACAAGUGAUUCUUCUAUGUACCGCAACUCAUCCCAAGUAGCAGCAGAACAUACAAUAUGAAAAGCAAAACACUGAACAUGCUUAUGGAGCUCAGAGACUUAAUCGUCUCUCUAUCGUUUGAUCCGAUGCAAUGAAAGUUUUUGCUAAUUGGUAAUGCGAUGGAGGCCCAGUAAUAUUGCGAUUGAGGCCCAGUAAUAUGAAUGAAAAGAGCCUGGAGUCCUCGGUCAUUCAAAUGUCUAAGUCAACCAAUAAAGCAAAGUCUAGUGAAGAAAAACUGGAUAUCACGUGGAAAUUGCAGUCCUUGCGGUCAAGGUAUCAAAACACGGUGGUGGAAUUAUUUAUGCAUAGCUUUCACAUUGAUUAAAAAAAAAACACUUCUCUGCAGUUUCCAGAUUGAAUCAAAAUCAUUUCAAGUGAGGCAAUGACGUUCUAUUUUCUUUUCAAGACUAAUAUUCCAUAAGUGUCCCUUUGUUAAAUUGUGACGACGAAAGGAAAAAGAUGUUGUAUUUCAUCAUCUAAGCUUUUUAUUUCUGACAAAAAUACAGAAAAUGGUAAGAAAAAUAGACUAUGAACAAGAAUAUAACUUGUAUAAUGUCGCUUUUGGCAAAAGUAAAAGAAAAAUAAGAAAUAAGUGCUUCUUGGAUGGUGUAACACGUUAUGAAAGAAAGAAAGCAAUACGAUAAUUUCUAGUGGUGGACCGACGCGCCCUAACUAGAAACUCACUAACUUCGUCGUCACGCAAACACCAUAGAUGCAAAUUUCCAAGUUCACCAUCAACACAAAGUCUAGCGAAAAAAAAAAGUGGGUCUCAUGUGGAAAUUGCAGCCCUUGCGGUCUAGGCAACAAAAACAGAGUGUUGGAAUUAUUUAUGGCGUGGCUUUCACGGUGAUUAGAAAAGAAACUUUUCUGCAGUUUUCAGAUUUAAAUUUUCUUGGCAAAUUGACUCUUUAGGAAUCAAUUUUAGUUCAAUAAAAAAAGAAUCGAUUGGAAUGUUAUGUACUCUAAAUUGAAUCAAAAUCCUUUCAAGUGAGGCAUUGGCAUUCAAUUUUAUUUUCAAGGCCAAUAUUCCACAAGUGUUGGUUCGAUAAAUUGUGAAGACAAAAUGGGAAAAACAAAAUGUCGUAUUUCACUGUAUAAGCUUUUUCAUUAUGGACAAAAAAAAAAAAAACAGAAUUGGUAACAAAGAUAGACUAUUAAAGGGAAUAUUAGCUUGUAUAACAAAAAUAAAAGGAAAAACAUGAGUUAGUGCUUUUUGGAUGGUGUAACAGAUUAUGAAAGAAAGAAAGCAAUUCGAUAAUUUCUAGCGAUGGGACCGACGCGCAUUGACUAGAAUCUCACUAACUUCGUCAUUGCACAAAGACUUUACAUGCAAUAUUCAAGUUCAAAGAAAAGAAAAACAAUGUUUAUUUAUUCACUAUCAACUUCAAUAUUACAAUCACUCUCCCAUACUUGUGUUAGAUCUAUGAACAAUAUUGUCAUCUCUCUGGGAACUCCCUUGCUUGGUUUUAUUUAAAAUCGAACUGAAAUGAUAGCCGAGCGUCGUUUUCCCUAGUCCACGAGCAUGCCCGGUUUGGACGAGCCAUCCUUUUGUCGAGUUUGAGUGUCACUUGCUGUUCUUUUUUGAGUUUGGACAUGAGUUAGAGUCUAGAAUGGAGGACCAUUCUCACGUGGAAUUUCACGACCACUAAAGAGAUUAAAUUUGUUAAUUUUUUCCAUUUUCUAUUUUUUUAGCAUCAAUUUAAAUGCUGCUUUAUUUUGAUAAUAAUAAAACGUAAAAAUUUAUACUUCUCUGUCUGCGAUCUCUGAAUGAAACGCGUUCCUUAUGAACAUCAGUGUCUUGAGGAAUGUUUGCUUAGUAAGAAAACUCAUGUGUAGGGGACAACAGUGAGGAAUAUAAUGCUUGUUCUUAGGAAUGCAAGGCACCAUCUCAUGUCUUAUCAUCGAGUGAAUGCACAAGUGAUGCAGCCCGCAUUGAAGACCAGCUCUCUCAACCAAGAAGAUCGGCCUGCAUUCAAGCUCGACGAAACCGAGAAGCCAUAUCGACAUCUUGAGUCCAUCUCGAAAGCUGGAAAGACACCGGGGGAGCCGUGAAGACAUUAUGCUUUUACUAUUUCUCCUAGUUUCAAUGUUCUGUCUUUAUUUCUCCUAGUGUCAGUGCUCUGUCUUUAUUUCUUUGAUGAUAUAAGACAUCCAAUUUCUUGUAGAAGACAGACGACUUUUGAUGAAUGAAAACUUUGCUUUGAAGCAAGUAUCGUGAACAUUGUAGAGUUCAUAUCCCCUUGAAAACCUAGAAGAGUUUUCACUCCAUCCUUGAAGAGUCGGAGCUUUCGAAAUCUGCAUCCUUGAAGAGUUGCAAUCAUCAAUCUAGAAGAAUCGGUGCCCCCUCAACUUCCUCGGAGGCCUAGAAGAGCAACCAACGGAGUUUCUAUCUUUUCCUGUUCUGUUCAUUAUUUCCAACCCAAAUUCGACCAUCCUACAGUGCUUAUUUCAGAAAACCCAAAACAGAGAAAUUGUAUAUCCAGAAGUCUUUGUUCAUUUGGCUUUGGAAUCAAGUCGAUCCGAUCUGUAUCAACAAUGAUACGACUGUUCUCCUGAGCUCACACAGUGCCGAAAUUUCUGUUUGUCCUGUUUUCCCGCAUGUGAGUCACUCUCCCGAUCCUACUGUUUGAGAAAGCCUACCCUUGGCUUGCAUCAUUUGGUAUCAAAGCUUUGGAGGAGAGGACAAUGCCACCAAGACAAGCUAGAUGUCGUGGUGGUAGAACCAUUCCCCUUGAUGAAUUGCACACACUCGUUGAGAAUAUGCAACAACAAAUUGACGAAUUGACAUAAGAAGUUCAGCGUUUGAGGGCUGAAGCAAAUAAUUCUCCACCCCAUUCCAGGACUGAAGAUUCCCAUGGUGACUCUUCCUCUUCGGAGAGUGUUCAAUCAAUUUACGGUCGGAGGCAUGUUCGACAUUGCUUACAACAUAUUCGUGAGCCAGAUUGGGAAAAGGAAGUCAAGAAAGAUGUUCCAGAAUUUACAGGUACUGAGUCUCCUAAUGAAAUUGUUGAUUGGCUAACACUUGUGAAUGAGUGUCUGAGCAUCGAAAUGUUCUGAAGAAUCAUUGAGUUGGGAUAUGAUAUGCGAUUCUGAGGCAAGCGAGGAUCCCGUGGAGACGUGAAAAACAAACUCGCCAAGCCGUUGGCAAAGCACCAAUCACUUUGUGGAGAAAGAUGGGGAGCAAGAUUCAAAAAUAUUUUCUUCCCAAAGGAUAUAAGAGAGAGCUCUACCAACGGUACCAAAAUCUAAAACAAGGUACGCGAACGAUGGACCAAUACACCAAUGAAUUCAAUGAGUUGGUGAUUUGUAACAAUAUCCAGGACUUGGAGGAGGUGCUUGUGAACAAAUACUUGAAUGGUCUUCAAUUUUACAUUCAAGACGCCUUGGAAGUCCUCAACAUUUGGGACUUAGGAGAUGCACACCAACGAGCACCCAAAAUGGAGUGCUCUCAUUCUCGAAGACAGUAAUCAACUACCAUGGCAAGUUGGGCCACUAAGAGUACCACUAGCGCUGCUAAAGUUGCUGAGGCUACAACACAAUCUGCUAGUAAGCCUUCUACUUAGCCCCAUGUUUCAAAGCAACCUGUUAUGUCCGAAAUACGUUGCUAUUCUUGUGGGGAGUUGGGUCGUCAUGCAAGCAAUUGUUGAAUCAAUAAGAAUCGACCAGCCGGUAAAGCCUUCUUGGUGGAUAAUGAUUCUGACGAGAAUGCUAAGGAUCCAGUUGAAGAGGAGUUGAACAAUGAUGAAGAAGCUAUGGAUGAUGAACAAAUAGUGCAUGCUGACACUAGCGAACUUCUUAUGGUGAGGAAAAUUUUUCUUACUCCUCGAGAUGACACUGGAGAUAGGUGGCUACAUACCAAUAUUUUUCAUUUUGCUUGCACAAUCAUGGGAAAGGUGUGUCAAUUAAUUAUUGACUUUGGUUGUUGUGAGAAUAUAAUUUGUGAAGUAGUGGCAAACAAGCUGAAGUUGGAAUUAAAAAUGCACCCUAUGCCUUAUAAAAUGUCGUGGUUGAAGAAAGGUGCUGAGGUAACUGUUUUAAAAUGAUGCCUUGUUAAUCUGCCCAUUGGUUAUGUUUAUAAUGACAAGAUAUGGUGUGAUGUUCUGCCGAUGGAUGCUAGUCACAUUAUUCUUGGUCGACCAUGGCAAUUUGAUAGGAGGACUAUGCAUGAUGGUUAUCGAAAUACAUAUUCUUUUGAAUUUGGAGGUAAGAAGAUUUGUUGGCACCUAGUAGGGAACCUUUGAAAACUCCUGUAGUUGAGAAUUCCUUCUCCCCUACGUUGUUUACAAUGAAGGAUAUGAAGGAUGCUUUGAAAGGAGUUCAUAUCUUGUAUAUUUUGCUUAAUAAAACAGGUGAGAAGAAUGAAGUACCUCAUCGAGUUUAACCUCUUUUGGAAGAGUUCAAGGAUGUCUUCCUGAUGGACUUACCCAAUGGUCUCCCUCCUAUGAGAGAUAUUCAGCAUCAAAUCGACUUGAUGCCCAGAGCCUCUUUGCCAAAUCUUGUUCAAUACCGAAUGAGUCCGACCGAACAUGAGGAAUUGCACCAACAAGUUAUGGAGCUAUUGAAUAAGGGUUUUAUAAGGGAGAGCCUCAGUCCAUGUGCCAUUCCAGCUCUUUCAGUGCCUAAGAAAAAUGGUACUUUGAGGAUGUGUGUCGACAGUAAAGCGAUCAACAAGAUCACCAUCAAGUAUUGAUUUCCUAUUCCUUGCCUUGAUCAUCUCUUAGAUCAACUUUCUGGUGCAAUUAUAUUCUCGAAGCUGGAUUUGAAGAAUGGAUAUCAUCAAAUUAGAAUCAAACCCGAAGAUGAAUGGAAGACAGCAUUCAAAAUGAAAGAUGGGCUAUAUGAGUGGCUAGUCAUGCCAUCGGAUUGUUGAAUGCACCAUCGACAUUCAUGAGGUUUAUGACUCGGGUGUUGAUGCCUUUUCUGGGAAAGUUUGUUGUUGUUUAUUUUGAUGAUAACUUGAUUUUUAGCAAGUUUACUGAUGAGCACUUGCAGCAUCUUCAAGAAGUAUUAUGUGCGUUGAGGUAGGAACAAUUGUAUGCAGCUCUUGACAAGUGCUAUUUUAUGGUACCACAAAUCCUUUUCUUGGGGUUUCAUAUUUCAAAGAAUGGCACUUCGGUAGAUGAUUCUAAGAUCAAGGUGAUUCGAGAAUGGCCAACUCCAACAAAUGUGCAUGAAGUGUGCAGUUUUCUUGGCCUCGCUUCGUUCUAUCAAUGGUUUAUUGUGCAUUUUAGCACCAUUACGGCCCCACUCACUUCUUGCAUGAAGAAGGGAGUUUUCAAAUGGACGAAUGCAGCUCAGAAAAGUUUUGAAUAGCUCAAAGAAAAAUUGAGCACAGCCCCGGUACUUGCAUUGCCUAAUUUUGAUCUUAUUUUUGAAGUGCAUUGUGAUGCAUCAAGUACUGGCAUAGGAGGAGUUCUAAGUCAAGGAGGUCGACCCAUCGCCUUCUUUAGUGAAAAAUUGAAUGGUGCCAAACUUCAUUAUAGCACCUAUGAUAUGGAAUUCUACGCAUUAUUUCACACACUUGAGUAUUAGCGGCCAUAUCAUAUUCAUCGAGAGUUUAUUUUAUAUACCGAUCAUGAAGCUCUGAAGUAUAUUUUUAGAUAGCAAAAGCUUAACUCUAGGCGUGCAAAAUGGGCUAAAUACAUCCAGUAGUUCACUUUCAUUAUUAAGCAUAAGGCUGGAGCUCAUAAUCAAGUUGCCGAUGCCCUUAGUCGAAAGAAGAGCUUGCUCUCUACAAUACAUCCUAAUGUUCUUGGAUUUGAUUAUUUUUCAAGAGUUAUAUUAAGAAGACCCCUACUUUUCCAAGAUCAUUCCCGAUGCACAUGAAAAGAAGCUUGCUGAUUUUACUGUCUGUGGUGGUUUUCUUUUCAAAGGAAACCGUUUAUGUGUGCCGGACUGUUCUCUUCGGCAAAGGGUGAUCGAUGAAGUUCACCGUGAAGGACAUUUUAGGCGUGACAAAACUGUACAACUCGUCUUAGCUAAAUACUUUUGGCCUCAUUUGAAACGUGAUGUACAUCAACAUGUGAUGAGGUGUCGGCGUUGCCAAAUUGGAAAGGGACAAGCUACUAAUGCUGGCCUUUAUUUGCCCUUGCUGAUUCCACAUGCCCCAUGGGAGGAUAUCUCUAUGGACUUUGUCCUUGGACUACCACGAACAAAUAGAGAUAUGGAUUCGAUCUUUGUUGUUGUCGAUCGAUUUUCAAAAAGUGGCACAUUUUAUUCCAUGUCAAAAAACUAUGGAUGCUUCACGUAUUGCCAACUUAUUUUUCAAGGAAGUCUAUAAGUUGCAUGGUAUUCCAAAGACCAUUACUUCAGAUCGAGAUACAAAAUUUCUUAGUCAUUUUUGGCGACAACUGUGGAAGAACGUUUGCAAUAUAGUACUAUGUUUCAUCCCUAAACGGAUGGACAAACUGAGGUCGUCAAUCAAACAUUGGGAAAUCUAUUAAGGACUUUGAUAAAAUUAAAAAAAAAAAAAGUUAUCCCCGUCCUUGGGAGACGCGGUUGUCACUUGGAUAAUUUGCAUAUAAUUGUGCUGAGAACCAUAGCACUGGAUAUAGCCCAUUUAUGAUCGUAUAUGGUCAACAACCGAACACUGCUCUUGAUCCUGCACCAAUUCCUUUUGCUGAGAAGUCGAGCAGCAAGGUUGACGAUAUUGUUUCUCAAAUGAGGACAAUUCAUGAAGAUGUGUGCCAAAGACUAGAGAGCAAAACUGAAUCCUAUAAAACGAACAUUGACAAGCAGCGGCGUGAAGUUAUCUUUGAACCUGGAGAUUUUGUUUGGGCUUAUUUGCCACCGGAAUGGCAUCCCAUUGGAAGUUAUAACAAGCUUAGUGAUCGAAAGCUUAGACCUCUCAAAGUUCUUGAGCGCAUCAAUCUAAUGCGUAUUGAUUAAAUCUUCCUUCUCAUUUGAAGAUUCACGACGUCUUCAACAUUUGACAUUUAACACCUUAUGUGGGAGAUUCUUCUGAUGAUGAUGGCGAGAAUUCGAGGACAAAUUCUUUUAAAGAUGGGGAGGAUGAUGCAGCCUGCAUUGAAGACCAGCUCUCUCGACCAAGAAUAUCAGCCUGCAUUCAAGCUUGACGAAACCGAGAAGCCAUAUCAACAUCUUGAGUCCAUCCCGGACAUCCCGGAAGCUGGAAAGACACCUUGGGAGCCAUGAAGACGUUAUGCUUUUACUAUUUCCCCUAGUUUCAAUGUUCUGUCUUUAUUUCUCCUAAUUUCAAUGCUCUGUCUUUAUUUCUUUGAUGAUAUAAGCCAUCCAAUUUUUUGUAGAAGACAGACGACUUUUGAUGAAUGAAAACUUUGCUCUGAAGCAAGUAUCGUGAACCUUGUAGAGUUCAUACCCCCUUGAAAACCUAGAAGAGUUUUCACUUCAUCCUUGAAGAGUCGGAGCUUUCGAAAUCUGCAUCCUUGAAGAGUGGCAAUCAUCGAUCUAGAAGAAUCGGUGCCCCCUCAACUUCCUUGGAGGCCUAGAAGAGCAACCAAUGGGAGUUUUUAUCUUUUCCUGUUCUGUUAGUUAUUUCCAACCCAAAUUCGACCAUCCUACAGUGCUUAUUUCAGAAAACCCAAAACAGAGAAAUUGUAGAUCCAGAAGUCUUUGUUCAUUUGGCUUUGGAAUUAGGUCGAUCCGAUCUGUAUUGACAAAGAUACGACUGUUCUCCUGAGCUCGUGCAAUGCUGAAAUUUCUGUUCGUCCAAUUUUCCCAUGUGCGAGUCACUCUCCCGAUCCUACUGUUUGAGAAAGCCUACCCUUAGGGAUUGAGCUUUUGUAAUACAUAAUAUGCUCUAACAUAACAUCACAUGUUCAAUGUCCAUUCAUCAUAAAGGCAAAAUUGUCAGCCUACUCUGUCUUUACUUUUUGACAUGUGCUGGUCAUUCAUCAGUUAGGCUUGGACCCAUCCCAUGACAUGAGGACCAAGUCGGAGAUAGCUUGAGCAAGUAGCUGUCUUUAACGUGGGUGAUCAAACAGAGGUCAACGGGUGGGGAUGAGAGGUUUUGAUGGAAAUGAGAGAGAUUCAUUGCUCAAAAUGCAAACAUUGACAUGAAGAAAAAAUUACCUUGUUAUACCAAGACGAUUCACAUAAAAAAAAAAUUGAAUGAAUGCCAUACAACAUUCAUCAUCAUUUAUAAAAUAUGGACAUAACGAGUCUACCAAAAAACACUAGUGCCAUAUGAAAAACAUGUAAAAGCUUCACAGAUUACAUUUUGAAUGAUGAUAGAUGUUGAUAGUACUAUUUAUAAUUUUUGCAUCUCAUUAUAGGGAAACAAUCACACAAUACAUGAUUUCAUAAACUCAUGGUCAUGGUAAAGGGAACCGCUAGAAAUUGUUGGAGUCCUUAAUGAAGAUGAGACUGUUUCAAGUUCCAUCUCAACGUCAACAUCAUCAGCAAGUGCCUCUCUCGGAUACAAAAGUGGUUUUGGAGGCAGUUGUAGUUUAUCCAUAUCUCCUUCAAGCAUAUCUAGGACUUUCCUCAUCGAUGGCCGAUCAUUAGGACUCAAUUGUAUACACCACAGUGCAAUGUUUAUCAUCUUCCUCGUUGUUUCUCUUUCCUCUUCUAUGACAUCUACCCUUUCAAGUUCCUUUUCUUUGCCGAGUUGAUCAUAAACCCACAAAGGAAAGUAAAUUUGACUCGAACGCUCUGCAUGUGCAUUUAGAUUUCUCCUUCUACCAGCCAUUUCCAUUAAUAGCAUUCCAAAACUAUAAACAUCGACUUUGUAAGAAAUGCCACCAAUGUUUUUAUAGAAUAGCUCAGGAGCCAUAUAACCCAAGGUUCCCCUUGCUGCAGUCAACGAUACUAUAUUGCGAUCAGUGGGAUAAAGUCUUGCAAGUCCAAAGUCAGAAACUUUCGGAGUGAAACUUUGGUCUAGGAGAAUGUUGUGAGGCUUGAUGUCAAAAUGUAGAAUUUGCAUAUCACAUCCCCGAUGUAGAUACUCUAUCCCUCUAGCUAUGCCAAGAGAGAUCUCAUACAUUUUCUUAUAAUCAAGAGGAUCAUCACCAUCCUUAUAGGAAAUGUGUUUAUCCAAAGAUCCAUUCGGCAUGAAAUCAUAGACAAGAGCUUGUUUGGAGUAUUGGAAACAAAAACCAACAAGUUGCACCACAUUAACGUGGUGGAUCCUUCCAAUUGUGGCCACUUCACUUAUAAAAUCAUGGCCAUUAGAUUUUCCUUUCUUCAAAAUCUUAACCGCAACUUCAUUGCCACUUCUAAGUAUUCCUCUGUAUACGGAACCAUAUCCCCCCUCACCUAACUUGCAUUUGAAAUUUUUUGUGAUCCUCUUGAUAUCUGAGUAAGAGUACCUUAUGGGCAAAAAGCUAUUGUGAGCUCGUAGAAAUUCUUCGAUGUUUGCAUCGGUCGCUUGAUGCCUUCUCAUCCACUUCAAGAUUAGAAAUAUCAACACCCACGGAGCUCCGAGUAUGAAUUUUGCUGCUAGGAAGUGGACUGUGGAGAAAUUUGACCAUCAAUUAGCAUAGUGUGAUAAUGUUUUUUAACACAUACAAUUUUCGUUUGUCAAAGUGCUGAAUGAGAGCUUCAUAGGUGUGAAGAGAAAAGGACUUAUCAUACCCAAGACAAAGAAGAGAUUCCAUAUGGCAAUUGGACCAAAAUUGUUCAUGAUAUACCACGUAGAAUCAUCUGUAGAUAGUAAGAGAAUUCAUGAGAGAUUACUAGAUAUGGUUAAUUAGAAUAAACAACCAAUCAAUAAAGAACUAGAUCCAUUGUUUUAGCAGUUAAAUAAUAAAAGCAAUUCAUGUUAAGAUAUACCCCAAGUGAAGGAUAACUUCAUACAAUCACUGCAAAGUGCAAAGACACACUUUUGUUAAUUGAAAUUUGCAAGUAGAGAAGUCUAGAAUAAAAAAAAGAGUGAACGAGUUUCACUUUUCUAGAUAAUGCUUAGAUCCAACCUUAUUCUAUUCACUCAUGAAAUCCAUGUUAUCGUUGCAUGAUCUUUUCUUUUGAAGAAAAACAUUUUCGCUUUUAUUCUCCUAAAUGUACCAAUUGUUCAUAAGUUCCCCAUAACACUAACAUCAAUUCAAGGGACACAAGCUAUGACCAAAUCAAACAAUUUUUCCUAAAAAACCCUCAUUCUAGUCCAAUUUUGGCCCAAACUUUUUUUGUCUCAGAAGAAACCCCAAACUUUAGGUACAGUCCCAUAUUUGCCUCAAACUUUUCUUUUGUUUAAAAAAAUCACCAACUUUUAAUAUAUUCCAAAAUUUACCCCCAUGGUACGGUCCCAUUGACAUGACAUUUCCACAUCGAUAACAACGCCACAUCAGUAAGGUGACAUGGAAAAUUAUUUCCAAAAUGAAACCAUUCUAAGAUAUGAAAAUUAGGGACGACUAAUGGCAAUUUUCGGUCAAAGGGCUAAUGGGGUAGAUUUGCAAUUAGAGUAAAAAUUGGUGUUUUUUAUUUUAGACAAAAAAAAGUUAGAUAUAGAUUUAGGAUUUGGCCUAAAGUUUGAGGGUCUUUAUAGAUAAACAAAAGUUCGAGGCAAAUUUGGACUAGACCUAAACUUUAGGGUUUUUUUUAGACAAAAAAAGUUCGGAGCAAAAUUGGGACUAAACUUAAAGUUGUGGGUUUUUUUAGUGAAUAAGGCCCAAAAAAAUAAAAAUAAAGAAAGAGUGUCAAGUCCAAAAAAGCUCCACAGAUGUAAAAUAAAAGAGCAAUGCAUGCCAAAUCUACUAAAAAAUCUUACUGAGCUUUUUCACUAAAUGGAUGUGGCAAUUUUUUUAUUGGGUAUUAAAGAAAGUAAUGACUCAAUAAAUCGAACCAAUGUAUUACAAUAUCCAAUAGAAGCAUGCUACAUUACUCAGUAAGUAAAUUUUGAUAAGAUCCCUCAGUAGAGCUAACAUUUGAGAAAAGGAUGAGGAUGAAGAAGAGAAAGAAAGAAAGUAAGAGAGUAAAGGAAGAAAAGCUUCAGAGAAAGUCAGCUUAGAGGAGUAAUAUGGUUCACACCACACCUCUGGGUACAUAAUCAUGCAAAGCUGGAAAAUUACCGAAGAUAGCGUAGACGGUGAAGACGAUGCAGAUGGCGGAGAUGGCGAAGAUGAUGCACACGGCAAAGAUGGCGAAGACGAUGCAGACGGCGGAGACGGCGAAGACGGUGGAGGCGGUGGCGGCAGAGACGGCGGAGGCGGUGCAGAUGGCGAAGAGGGCGCAGACAGCGUAGAUGACAGAGAAGGCGAAGACGGCGGAGACAACAGAGAUGGCAGGAGACGACGGAGACAGCGAAGACCGCCAAGACAGCAAAGACAGCGAAGACGGCGAAGACAGCGGAGGCUGCGAAGACAACAAAAAAGAAGGUCCAAGAUAAUAGAGAUUGAAUCCUUCAACCAUCGUGUUGUGGAGGUCCUUAUACGUUGGUCUCCACAUCGGGUUAUAAUCCGAGAAGCAAGUCAUCACGGUUAUGCUGCAAGAAUCCUUGAUGUCCCCUACUUGUAGUACUUUUGUAAAAGACCAAUACACUGCGUAAGAGUACCACUUCAUUUGGGAAAUAUUAGGGGGCGUAUCGGAAGGGUAUGCUCCCUCAAUACAUGGUUCAGCAUUGAUAUACGAAGGAGAAGCAACGGGCUGUGAGCACUUCAUGAAGGCCACCGUCGCAGAAUAUGAAAGAUAACCAUGAUCACUCAAGCUGGAGCUCGCCAAUGAGAAACGAGGGAGGGAUGAGCAAUUACCUUUUUGCAAUCCAUCGUCAACCACUGUGAUAUUACCAGAGAAUUGAUCGUCGAAAUUAUUAUCAUAGUAAAUCGACUUCACAUAAUAUCGACCGGCAUACACAUAUAGAAUGGUGUGAUUAUUUUCACAAGCUAGCUCAUACUCAGAGCGGCCGCAGCCUUUCGGGUCACCUUUCAAUCGAAAAGGAUAGUGUAUGUCACGAACCUCACCACAAGAUGAAGCGGCACACGAGUGAUUCUUCUCCACACCAUAACUCGUCCUCAAUAGCAGUAGAACAUGCAAUAUGAAAAGUAAAACACGGAACAUGCUCAUGGAGCUCAAAGACUUAAUCGUCUCUCUAUCGUUUGAUCUGAUGCAAUGAAAGUUUUUGCUAAUUGGUAAUGCGAUGGAGGCCUAGUUAUAUGAAUGAAAAGUGUCAGGAGUUGUCGGUCAUACAAAUGUCCAAUUCAACCAAUAAAGGCAAGUCUACUGAAGAAAAGAGGACGUGGGUAUCACGUGGAAAUUGCAAUCCUUGCAGUCAAGGUGUCAAAACACGGUGUUGGAAUUAUUUAUGCUUAGCUUUCGCAUUGAUUAAAAAAGAAACUUCUCUAUAGUUUUCAAAUUGAAUCAAAAUCCUUUCGAAUGAGGCAUUGACGUUAUAUUUUCUUUUCAAGAUUAAUAUUCCAUAAGUGUUGCUUCGUUAAAUUAUGAAGAUGAAAAGGGAAAAGAUGUCGUAUUUCAUAAUCUAGGCUUUUUUUUUUUUUUUGACCCAAAAAAAACAGAAAUUGGUAACAAAAAUAGACUAUUAACAAGAAUAUGAAUUUUUAUAAUGUUGCUUUUGGCAAAAGUAAAGGGAAAAUAAAAAGUAAGUGCUUCUUGGAUGAUGUAACACUUUAUGAAAGAAAGAAAACAAUAUGAUAAUUUCUAGUAGUGGGCCAACACGUCUUGAUUAGAACCUCACUAACUUGGUCAUCACGCAAAGACUAUAGAUGCAAAUUUCCAAGUCAACCAUUAACACAAAGUCUAGCGAAGGAAGAGUGGGUCUUACGUAGAAAUUGCAGCCCUUGUAGUCAAGGCGACAAAAACACGGUGUUGGAAUUAUUUAUGGAGAAAAGAAACUUCUCUACAAUUUUCAAAUUUGACUUUUCUUGGCAAAUUGACUCUUUAGGAAUCAAUUUUAGUUCCAUCCAAAAAGAAUUGAUUGGAAUGUUAUGUACUCUAAAUUGAAUCAAAAUCCUUUCAAGUGAGGCAAUGGCGUUCAAUUUUAUUUUCAAGGCCAAUAUUCCGUGAGUGUCACUUCGAUAAAUUGUGAAGAUGAAAAAGGAAAAAAAAUGUCAUGUUUCACCGUAUAAGCUUUUUCAAUAAUGACAAAAAAAUAGAAUUAGUAACAAAAAUAGACUAUUAAAGGGAACAUUAACUUGUAUAAAAUAAUGUCACUGUUUACAAAAAUAAAAAAUAAAAUAGGAGUUAGUUCUUCUUGGAUGAUGUAACAAGUUAUGAAAGAAAGAAAGCAAUUUGAUAAUUUCUGGCGAUGGAAUCGAUGCGCAUUAACUAAAACCUAACCAACUUUGUCAUCGCACAAAGACUAUACAUGCAAUAUUCAAGUUCACCAAAAAAAAAAAAAGACGUUUACUUAUCCACUAUUAACUUCAGUAUUACAAUCUCUCUUCCGUAAUCAUGCUAGAUCUAUGAACAAUAUUGUCAUCUCUUUCCCAGAGUAGAACCACUUAAUAUUGAACUAUCGAUUACUUUUGCUCUAUCAAAUGAAAAAGAAUGUUUUUACCUAUUGUUGACACCUAAAUUCUUCCCUUUUUAUUUGGGACUUAAUUAUAUAGAAAAUUAAGGAUUAGUCUCUAAAAGAAAAAAAAAGUAAAUAUUUUUCAUUAAAUUGCAUCACUUAUAGACAUUAGGAACAUUUACAUUACUAGCACUAAAAAAUUAACAAAAAAUGAAAGCGCAGCCAGGAUUGGCUAAGCCUGUCCCCCCCUUCUUUUCCUUUUUCGUUUUCCCCCCGCGCGGCCCACCUCUCUUGUUCUACGGCCCAGCUCGCUGUUCUUCCUUCUUCCUCCUCCUUCCCUCGCUAGGACGCUAGCUAUAGGACAAAACAGAGAGAUGGUCGCUGGCCGAAGGACGUAAGGACGCGAGGCUGCGCGCGAUGGUCGCCCAGGAAUGUCGUGCGGUACAAAGCCAGCUGGUCUCGUCCUUGAAGAAAGAGAGAGAAACGAGAUAAAUGGGUGAGAAUUGGGUUUGUUCGGCCGAGGAAGAGCAACCAUGAGAGAGAGAGAGAGAGAGAGAGAGAGAGAGAGAGAGAGAGAGAGAGAGAGAGAGAGAGAGAGAGCUGGUGAGAGUGAGAAGGCGAGCUCGAGAGAGAGAGAAGGAGCGAGCCAGAUAAGAGAGGGAGCUCCAGGGUGGCUGCUUCUGGAAGGGUGCGGCUGAAAACCAAGGAGGGCCGGAGCGGCUCGAGAGAGGAGACCGAGAAAGUGGAUAGCGAGGGAGAGCGGGAGAGAGAGGCGACUGCGUUCUUGAGUUCUUCGCGGGAGGCUGGAGAAAACGAGAGCAAUAGAGAGAGUAAGAUCGGAGAGAGUGAGCAAAGGGUGAAGUUGAGAGAGAACCAAGAGUGAGCAGAGGGAUGGACUGAGAGAAAGCGAGACCCAGAAGCCGAACUUCGUCCUCGGCAAGCGUUACCCAACCAUCCCUAACAUAAAUGGGCGAUCUUCAGCCAACACCCUCGAGCCCGUGGCUACCUAUUCCUCACCACCCGAAUUCCCAGUGAGUUCUCUUUAGGUUCGAUCCACUUUUAUCCCGAUGAUCCUAGCUUGGUGCCACAUCGACGCGGCCGACCAUAGCUCGUUUUGCUUUAGGCUCACCUUCUUGCUGUCGUCGCCAAGCCGGGGAGGGAUAUUCCCGGUCGAACACUUCUCUCUGGGAACUCCGUUGCUUGGUUUUUUUAAAACGGAACCAAAACGAUAGCUGGGUUGUUAGACGUAAAAAUUCAUAUGCGGAAGCCAGGAUCAAUUGAAGACAACCCUCCAGUCAUUGUUCUUGUUCGCGUUCGUCAGAAAAACCUGAAAUCAAAGAAAAUUGGGGACACUCUACUACCCCAAUUCACUCUCGUACUGAUGGUGUAUUCUGAAUGAGAGAGUUUGAGUUAGACCUUGUCAUCACCCGUCAGAAAUGAACGUACGUUCCUUUUUAUAUCCCGUCUCCUCUUAAAACGGUUACCAAAUGGGCGGUUGUCACGAAAGGGUACAAAGCGUGGAAAAACUUUAUGUCGAACAGUCGCAACUUUAAAAGAAAAUGUGGAUCUAAAAUAUGGGAUCACAAAAAAUAAAUAACAUUCUUCCACUUGAUCCCAUCAUUUUCAUCAUAUGGAUUAUUCAACUAAUUCCACAAAAACUUUAUGCUAAAAAAAAAAGAAACAAAUACAUGGAUCAUGGCGACAUGUCCUCUAAGAGUGAGUAAUAUCUUCCAUGUAUCACAAUGCACCUUAUUUCUUCAAUGUCAACCUAUAUGUGACAACAAAUCUUAAUGAAUAAACCCCAUGUUUAUUCUAGAACCAAGGAUAAAUGUUAUUCUCAUAAACAACAAAAUGUGUACACAAAAAUUGAGAAUCAACAUUACAACUGAAUAAGAGUUUCAUACAACAAAUAUCGUUCAUAUGACGACAAAUUACAUGAUGGGACUUAUUCCCAUACUAGUUACAUGAUCCUUAUACUUCAUUGGUGGCAUGCCUUUAGUUAAAGGAUCGGCUAUCAUCAAUUCAGUGCUAAUGUGUUCAAUGACCACUUUAUUCUCCUUAACACGUUCCAUUAUGACUAAAUACUUAAUGUCGAUAUGCUUACUUUGACUGCCACUUUUGGCAUUUUUAGCCAUAAAGACCGUAGCUAAAUUGUCACAAUAUAUUCUUAAUGGCCUAGAAAUAAAAUCAACAAUUCUAAGCCCAGCAAUGAAACUCUUCAACCAUACACCAUGCGAGGUAGCCUCAAAACAAGAAACGUACUCAGCCUCCAUAGUGGAAGUAGCAGUCAAAGUCUGCUUGGCACUUAUCCAUGACACGGCUUCGCCAGCUAACAUGAAAAUGUAUCCAGAUGUUGAUUUUCGUGAAUCAACGCAACCCGCGAAGUCCGCAUCCGAAUAACCGACCACUUCCAGGUUGUCAGUCCAUCUAUACAUAAGCAUAUAGUCUUUGGUACCUUGAAGGUAUUUCAACACUUUCUUUGUAGCUCUCCAGUGGUCUAAACCUGAAUUACUCUGAUAUCUUCCCAACAUUCCCACAACAAAAGCGAUGUCAAGUCGAGUGCAAACCUGAGCAUACAUCAAGCUUUCAACAGCAGUAGCAUAUUGAAUGUUGUACAUUUGUUCCCUUUUUAGAUCAUUCUUCGGGCAUUGGUUCAAAUUGAACCUGUCAUCCUUCACAAUGGGUGCUAUACUUUGUGAACAAUCUUUCAUCCGAAAUCUCUCUUGGACCUUAUUGAUAUAGGUUUCUUGAGAUAGUCCUAAAAUUCCUCGAGGUCUAUCUCUAUGAAUCUUAAUGCCAAUGACAUAAGAUGCCUCACCCAUAUCCUUCAUGUCAAAACUCUUAAAGAUGAAUUAUUUCACCUCAUGUAACAACCUCUUAUAAUUAGUUGCAAGUAGUAUAUCAUUCACAUACAGCACAAGGAAACAAAUUUUGCUCCCACUGACCUUCUGGUAUAUACAUUGAUCCAUGACAUUCUCUAUAAAACCAAAUGAAGAGAUGACAUCAUGAAACCUUAAGUACCAUUGGCGGGAUGCUUGUUUCAAGCCAUAUAUAGAUUUCUUAAACUUGCACACCAAAUGCUCACCUUUACUAGAGGAAAAUCCUUCAGGUUGUUUCAUGUAAACCUCCUCCUCUAGUUCUCCAUUGAGGAACACCGUUUUCACAUCCAUCUGAUGUAAUUCCAUAUCAAAAUGGGCAACCAAAACCAAAAUAAUAUGAAGAGAAUCUUUCUUAGAUACAGGAGAAAAAGUCUCCGUGUAAUCGAUUCCUUCCUUUUGAGUGAAUCCUUUGGCAACAAGUCUAGCUUUAUAUCUUUCAAUGUUAUCCAAUGAAUCCUUCUUAGUUUUGAAGACCCAUUUACAACCAAUGGCCGUCACACCAUUAGGUAACUAAACCAAAUCCCAGACUUUAUUAGAUGCCAUAGAAUUCAUAUCUUCAUUCAUGGUAUUGUACCACAAAUUAGAUUUAUCACUAUCAAUGGCUUGUGAAAACAUUUCGGGAUCAUUCUCAGCUCUAAUAUUGUAGUCAGACUCUUGUAAAUACACAAUAUAAUCACUAGGAAUAGCCGAUUUCAUUAUUCUAGCAGAUCUUCUCAAUGUUGGAUCAACAUUCUCUUGAGGAGCAUGUUGCUCAACUGGUUGUUCAACAGUUUCUGGUAAUUGCUGAACAACUGGAUCUACUUAAUCAAUAUCAGCAGGUUGUGGAACUUCAACAAUUGGUUGUUCAAUAGCCGGCUGAACUGAAAGGACAUUAUGAGCAACAACCAACCUUAAACUUGAGGUGGAAGGUUGAGUGUCUGAAUGAUCUUUCUUAGGAACAAGAUCCCUCGGUCAAUCGCUCCCACUAAUCAAGUCAUUUUCAAGAAAUUUAGCAUUUCUUGAUUCCAGAAUCCUAGUGGUAUGAGAUGGACAAUAAAACUUGUAUCCCUUAGACCUUUCGGCAUAUCCAAUGAAAUACCCACUUAUGGUCCUUGGGUCCAACUUCUUUUCUUGUGGAUUAUAAAUUCUCACUUUAGACGGGCAUCCCCAAACGCACACAUGAUGUAAACUCGAUUUCCAACCCUUAAAUAACUCAAAAUGUGUCUUUGGGAUAGCCUUGGUCAGAACUCGGUUUAAUAUGUACACUGCCAUCUUAAGUGCUUCAGUCCAUAAGAAUUUAGGAAGUUUGGAGCUACUAAGCAUACUACGCACCAUGUCUAAUAAUGUCCGAUUUCUUCUUUCCGCUACGCCAUUUUGGUCUGGAGAACCAGGCAUAGUAUAUUGGGCAACUAUCCCAUGCUCUUGAAGAAAUCUUGCAAAUGGACCAAGUGCUUGUCCAUCUUCAGUGUAUCUACCAUAGAAUUCUCCACCUCUAUCUGAUCUCAUGAUCUUAAUUUGCUUAUUGCAUUGUUUCUCUACUUCCACCUUAAAUACCUUAAAGGCAUCUAGUGUUUCAUAUUUAUUAUAAAUCAAGUAGAGAUACAUAUAACGUGAAUAAUCAUCUAUUAAGGAUAUGAAGUAUUUAUGACCACAUGAGUCCAUAUCCGAACUACAAAUAUCCGUGUGUAUGAUUUCUAAUAUUUCUGUACUUCUCUUGGCAUCUUUCUUUGUUUUGUUAGUCUGCUUUCCCUUUAUGCAGUCCACAUAAGUAUCACAAUCAGUAAAAUCUAAAGUACUGAGUACUCCAUCAUUUAUUAAUCACUUAAUUCUUUCAAUGGAGAUAUGUCCCAAUCUCUGGUGCCACAACAUAGAGGAAUGUUCUUUCACAACACAUCGUUUCAUACCAGCUUUAUCAUGAACAUGCAUCGCAUCAUAAUAGGCAUUGUCUUGUAAAUUAAUUCGAAAAAGACCAUCAGACAAAGUAUCACUCCCGCCAAUUUCAGAUUUAAAUGAUAAACAAAAGUUUGAAUCUGAAAAGUUAAAAGAGUAUCCCAAAGGUACAAGUCUUGAAACUGAAAUUAAGUUUCUAGAAAAACUAGGAACAUAAAAGGUCUUUUCCAAAUCUAAAACAAAACCACUAUUGAGAACUAGUCUAUAUGUCCCAAUAGCUUCCACAUGCGAACACAUCUUGUUUCCUGAAUAGAUGCUUUGUUCACUUCCCACUGGCUUCCUGUGGUUUUGAAAACCCUGCAAGGAAUUCGAAAUAUGGAUUGUAGAUCCAGAAUCAAUCCACCAAGUGUUGUGACUUACAUCAAUCAUAUUAGAUUCAUAACAAACACAAGAUAUUGGAUUACCUUUCUUCUCGGGCCAGGCCUUAAAUUUGACACAAUCCUUCCUUAUAUGCCCUUUCUGUUUACAGAAGAAACACUUGGAUUCUUUCUUAAUGUUAGCUUGGGGAGGUAUAUUACAUUUUCCCUUAUACUUGCCAUAGCCCUUAUUCUUUUCUUGUGUUGCCAAAUGAGCACUUACUCCCAAUUCCAUAAUCAAUCUUUCUUCCUCUUGAACACACAUGGUCAUGAGUUCAUUAAUUGACCAUUUAUUCUUAUGUGUGUUAUAAGAGAUCUUGAAAGGUGCAUACUGUUGUGGGAGUGUUCAAAAUAUAAUAUACAAGGAAUAAUUCAGAUAUCUCAACCUCAAGGUUCUUAAGCUAAGCUGCAAUGUUCUUCAUUUGCAUGAUGUGCUCACGCAUACCUCUAACACUAGUGAGCUUCAAUGAUGAAAACUUCAUAAUCAAGGUCAUGGCAUGCGCCUUCUCAGAACUUUCAAACUACGCAUCUAUGGCCUCCAAUAAAGCCUUAGCAUUGCUAUGCUGAGCAAUUGAACCACGAAUACUAUGAGAUAUCUUAGCUCUUAUAAACAUGGCACAAACGCGGUUAGACCGCUCCUAUUGGUUAUAAAGAGCUAUCUCAGCUGGAGUGCUCGAAUCAGUAAAAGCAGGUGGUUCGUCUUUCCUUAUAGCAUAAUCAAUGUCCAUCCACCCCAAUUGAAGAAGAACCGACUCCUUCCAAACUUUAUAGCUCUCACUAUUCAGUAUAGGAACAUCAAACUUAAAUUCAGAGAAAUUCACAGGUUGCGAAACUGCAUAUCAAAUAAUCAUGCUUAUGUCACAAAAUUUGAGGCAAAUAUAAAUAAAUCACGUUUUACCAAUGUAAACAUGUCACAAUAUGAAUCACAUAACAUAAAAACUACUUGUGGGCUAAGUUUUUAAUUUAGAUUCAUAAUUACUUCAUGAAGAAAUUACCAUAUUAUAUGCCUUUUCUUAAUCCCUAUGGGUAAAUUAAGAAAAAUAAUAUGAUAUUUCAUCCUAAUUAAUCAUAUUAAUAUAAUGAAAAUUCUUGUGGGAUAAAAUUCAUCAUAUUAAUAUAACUAAUUACAAUCAAUGUCCUUUUUUAAAUAUGAUUUGGAGGCUUUUAAUAUAGAAUUUAAUUAAUUAAAGAUGCUGUGGCCACUCCCUAAUUAAUUAAAUAUAUGGACCAUUGGACAUUUAAUUUCAUGCACAAAAUAUUCAUAAAAUACAUGAAAUGACAAAAUAGUAAAUAAAAACAUUGAAGGGCAGAAUAGUAAAUAAAUCGGCCAAGGGCACGAUUGCAAAAACUUAAAAUGAAUGGGGCAAAAAGGUAAAAGCAGCCGUGGGUGGGAGACAACAGGCGUGCCGAGCACGUGCACGUCCAGCCCUCAGGCGCGUGCCGAGCAGCGCCAGAAUCUGCGCAGGCGCGUGCUCGCACGCACGCGGUUCAACGCGCAGGCGCUUGCGUUGCACGCGCCUGGCAACUACCGCGCGCAUGGAUCCCACACACGCAAUGGUUGAGCGUGCGCAUGAGGGCGUGUGGCGCAUGGAUUCCACGCGCCUGCAACCGCAGCGCGCGAGUGGGCUCCAUGCACCUUCUUCCUUGUGCGAACAUAAGCUUUUCUUCUCCGUUUUUUGCUGUUCCGCCGCGGUUUCGCCGGCCGUUUCUUCUCCGACAGCCCAUCUCAGACACAAAUUAAUAGUGGGUUUUGAAGAGCAUGCCAACACGACCACAUGGGUUCAAGUUUCGACAAAAAUGAUGAAGAAAUAAGCCCCAAAUCAUACGAAAAUUUCCCAAAAAACACAAAUCCUCAACCACCGCGACUUCCGCCGCUCAAUUAGCCUCCAGCGAACACCGAUAUGCCGAAAUAACUCAUGACUAAUAUUCCUCAUGGCGGUGCGACCGUACGGGUCCGAAUUCGAGGGGUGGAUCGCGCGGAUUUGCCGGGAAUCAACGAAUCUUUCUUGGCCUCAAAACUUCAAGUUACUGUUCAUCCUCCAAAAAAUGGCCAAAAAUACACUGAAAACACACAAAAUACAACAAAACAAGGCAGAGGCUCUUAACAUGCUCUGAUACCAAAUGUUAGAUGUAAAAAUUCAUAUGCGGAAGCCAGGAUCAAUCGAAGACAAACCUCCAACCAUUAUUCUUGUUUGCGUUCGUCAGAAAAACCUGAAAUCAAAGAAAAUUGGGACACUCUACUACCCCAAUUCACUCUCGUACUGAUGGUGUAUUUUGAAUGAGAGAGUUUGAGUUAGACCUUGUCAUCACCCGUCAGAAAUGAAUGUACGUUCCUUUUUAUAUCCCGUCUCUCAUCAAAACGGUUACCAAAUGGGCGAUUGUCACGAAAAGGUAUGAAGCGUGGAAAAAUUUUAUGUCGAGCAGUCGCAACUUUAAAAGAAAAUGUGGGUCUAAAAUAUGGGAUCACAAAAAAUAAAUAACAUGGGUCUCGUUUCCCUGGUCCUCGAGCAUGCUUGGUUUGAACGAGCAGUCCCUUUUGUCGAGUUUGAGUGUCACUUGCUAUUCUCUUUUGAGUCUGGACACAAGCUAGAGUCUAGAAUGGGUUUACGACCUCUCCAUAAUCUGUGCUCAUCGCAUGCCUGAUAUAAUGCCUCAGUUAGUGUUAUUCUAAAAAUGAGACGAGAUUUUGUUUGUCUUCGUGAAAGCAUACCAUGGAUCUGUCUGACAUAUUUUCAUUGACUUGAGAUGUCGUAAGAAGAGCUCGACACCAAAGUAGAGGUUCAUCAGUUUGCCAUGUCACUUUUAGUCAAACGCCUAAGACUUGCUCAAUGAAAUGUUUCUAAGAGAAUUGUUUAAGAAAUGGCUUCUAUUUUUGCUCAAAUGCGAAGGUACCACUUGAUGCAGUUCGUCCGGGGUCAUUAGUUUUUAAGCUCGAUUUUCACGAGCAAUGAAGUCACUGCAUCUCUGCAUUUCGUUCGAGACAUGCUGUGUAUUUUUCAUUGAACUUGAUGAGUGGCGGCGGCGGCCUGCGUGAUGGUAGACGUUGGCAGCGAAUUUGGUUUUGCGGUGGUGAGCCAAGAUGGCUUGGUGAUGGCUGGCGACGUUGGGUGUUGUCGUCGAUCCGUUUAAAGUUCUGCCAUGGGUCCGUCCGGCGAAAUUCCAGGGUGGAGUUCAUCGGUGUGGGAGGCUUCGGUAAAGGACGUAACAGUGGAGUUGGCACGAAGAAGAAGAAGACUUUGAAAGGCUGAGAGAGAAUAAAAGAAAAUCACGAAAAUAGGCCUGGUGCAGACGUUCGUGGAAAGAGGAUGGGAAGAUGGGCUUGAGGUUUUGUUUCAGUAGAUUUAGGUUUGGUUUAAGUUGGGCGGACUUGGGCUGGGCUUAAUUUGUGAAUUUUUGGGCUGAGCUUAAAUUUUCAUGAAGUGGAUCUUUGAGAGUCCAUUACUAAAAUGGAGGUCCGUUUUAAUAGAGCCCAAUUCAUGUUCCCGGUCCAAGCCAGCAAAGCCCAUAGCAACCCAUGUUCUCACUGGACCUUGGGGCCUAGCCCGAGUCCCCAUUUUCGGAAUUAAUUUUGUAAAAAAAUUUAAGAGAAAACUUAUUUUUUUUCUAAAAAUUAGGAAAAAGCUUAAGAGUUAGUUUUUUAGUAAAUACUCUCAAAAUUUGUUAAGGUCCUUGAUAAGAAAAUCGUGCUCAAGAAUUGAAUAAAUCCUUACAGCUUUACCAUAAGAUUCUAAUUGUCCUUAAAAAUAAAGGCCCUUGAUUACGCACUUUCAAUGUUGAUUACGGACUCCCUUUAGCUUAGUUAGAGAUUGCAUGCUCCUUAUUUGGUAAUAUUAGAUCUUUGUGUUCCUAUGCAAUUUAUUUAAUGCUUUCCUUGAUUGUUGAUUGUUAUUUUAAUGAUUGCACACCCACAUGAUUAUCUCAUAUGUUAGUGGAUAGGUUUAAAAUCAAUCCAAGCUGCCUGACAAUUUUUUUUUUUUUUUGUGAAAUGAAAUAGAUUAGAUACCAAAAUGGCAUUUGAUGAAUUAGUGUAAUUAAGUUCCCAACCCUAAAUUCUCUAGUUACGUAGGAAGUAAAGCAUACUCAUAUGUUUUACUUGAUUUUUAGUCAACCCAGUAGGCUAGUAGCAACUCCUCAUUGAAAAAUUCUCAUAGCAUCAAUUUGAAUAACCAAUGUGAUGCGAUGUAUGAGUUUAGGAGAGCUCACAUCUAAAACUAGGGUCGUAGGCCUAUCUUUUAGACAAUACCCCUAAACCUAAUUUCUUUACUAUCGAAGGGUAGGUCAUGACACCUACUUCAUAAUCAUCUUUCAUCUCUGAAUGUGUGGAAUUAGAGAUGUCAUGCAUUUUUAAAUGAGACGAUCAACCGAUUUACCACUAUGAACAUAACAGUGGAAAGUUUAGAAAAUAUAUUCAUAGAAAUUCUUUUCAGCGAUACAAACGCGCUUUCGAAUAAUUGUAAUUAGCACUUACCAUAUUUUUUUUCUCAAGCUAAUGGGUACCAUUAUAUAUAAUUGAAGAGAUUGAAAUGGAUUUUCCAUGUAAUACAACCAAGUUCAUUUUAAUUGACGCAUCCAAUGACGUUUUAACUGCACAUGUUUAAUUUUUUUUAUAGUAAUAUUAUUACUGAUUACAUUUUUCAUAUUCCCCUUUCUAAAAAUUGGUUUGUUGUGUGAGCAUCUCCACACGCGAUGAUACCUUGCUUUCUAUGUCGUCAUUAAAUAUUUAGCAAUGAUUAGUCAAAUUUUUAAGCGGAAAAUCUCUUGGUCAAAGUAUCCUAAAUUAUCUCUUGCACGUAUUCCAAAACAUUUGGACAUACAUUAUGCAAAUUGAUGUAUCAACUAUAGGUCCAUUCAGCGCCAUAUACUACUAUAAAAAAAAUGAUAAUGCAUUUUGCAGUGUAACGUUUUUCAAUUUUGACAAAAAUAAAAUUGGAUAAUGAAAAGAUAAAUAACAGCACCUGAAGACUAUUAUCAUACGUCCUGACCUCCAAAAAAAUAUGGAAGUGUAUGGUGCUAAUUAACGGCAGCAUAAAUUUUAUAGAAUUUGAGGUUGCCUUUCAUGAAAAGAAAAAGAAAAAUAAGGAGUAGGUGCUUCUUGCUGCUUGGGCAAUGCAACACAUUACGGGAAAAGAAAGAGGGCCACAUGAUGAUUUCUCAGUCAGAUAUAGACCGACACAAUUGAAAUAUUAUUCUCACGGACCAAUCAAUCACUCUCCAGUACAAUAAUCUCAUCUCUUUCCCGCAGUAAGAUUGCUCGAUGAAAGAACUGAAAAAUCUUGACAAUAACGUCAUUUUAUUGAACAAAAGAUGCUGUUGCCUGCUUCAAAAUCAUCUUCCAUCUCCGAAUGUGUGGUAUUGGAAGUGUCAUAUAAGCUCAACUGAGACUACAAGGAAAAGCAAUGAGUGAAUAACUUGGAGUGCCACCAUUUUCAUUCUCUGUUGAUGGCUGCUUGAAUGUGCUCAAGACUCCUCCCUUUCGUUUUAGGAACACCAUCCCCGCGGUGUUAAUCGCUGCAUAAAGAAGGAAGGUACCUGUGAAGCAAAGCCAGCAGAGUUAUUGUCUUUUGACAAGUUUUUCGGAUGCAUAUCAACAUUUUUCUCAUGGGAAGAAUGCUCUAUUAUAUACUACCUGUCUAUUAAUCAUUUUGCAGAAAAACGCACUUUUCUUUUCUAAAUGACACUUCAAACAAAUUUCGUGAUAUUCGAAUGUAGGUAGAAGUUGCUGUAAACAUGUUGAUUGCAAUAAAUGGACUGAAUAUGCAUUCGAGAGCGUGAAGAAUGGAGUGAUAACCUAUACCUCCAAAUAGGAUUGAAGAGUUCAGGAAAAGCUAAGUCUCGAGUCUGAAGUUUGGUUGAAUCCGUGCAAAAACUCACGUUCCAAUGUGACAAAAUGUUUAUCGAGCUCAAUUUGGUUAACUCAUAAAUUUCAUGGUAAAAUUUGAUGAAAACUAACGAAGGGUAAAUGUGUUAUGUGUGUACCAGUUUGCAUUUUUGGUGAUUCAAAAACUAAUUUUCAGUAAAUUUGUCACAUAUGUACUAGUUUGUGAUUUUUCAUUGUAUUAACCCUAUGGAUUUCCAUGUAAACUUGCCAUGUUAACUGUCUAUAUCAUUCAACUCAAUAAUUUAAUGAUAAAAUUUCACGGAAUCUAAUGGAGGGUAAAUGUGUCACGUGUGUAUAUGACCCAAAAUUUAGUUAGGGAUAAAUUUGUCACGGUGUAUAAGUUUGGGGUUUUUUCAUGAUAUUAACUCCAUAACCCACCCCGUGGUGAGCAAGUUGGUUAGGGCACACACUGGCCACACGAAAGGCCAGGGUUCGAUUCCCCAACUAGUCAUGUUGCGCAACUUAAGUGGGGUGCCGUGGGUGGUGGGUCCCCGUCCUAGUGCUCCCCCGAGUUUACGUUGCUGGCUGCCAGCUGUACGGCGGUUCCUAGGUUGCCAAAAAAAAACUCCAUAUUAAAAAGAAGAAUUCGUUUUCCCAAACUCCUUUUCCAUGUGCACACUCACACAUAAUGGAGGACCAUUCUCAUGUGGAAUUUCAUGACCACUAAAGAGAUUAGGUUUGUUAAUUUUUUGCAUUUUCUACUUUUUUAGAAUUUUUUUUUGCUUUAUUUUGAUAAUAAUAAAAAUUAAAAUUUAUACUUCUCCGUUUGCAAUCUCUGAAAGAAGUGGAGAUCACGCGUUCCUUAUCAACAUUGGUGUCUCGAGGGAUGUUUGCUUAGUAGAAAAACUCUUGUGCAAGGAACAACAGUGAGGAAUGUAAUGCUUCUUCUAAAUAAUGUAAGGUACCAUCUCAUGUCAUAUCAUCGAGUGAACGCACAAGUUCUUACUGCAUUUAGGUAUUGAGCUUUUGUAAUACAUCAUAUGCUCUAACAUAACAUCACGUGUUCAAUUUCCAUUCAUCGUAAAGGCAAAAUUGUCAGCCUACUCUGUCUUUACUCUUUGACAAGUGCUGAUCACUCAUCGGUUAGGCUUGGACCCAUCCGUGACAUGAGGUCCAAGUCGGAGAUAGCUUGAGCAGGUAGCUAUCUUCAACGUAGGUGAUCAAAUAGAGGUCAAAGGGUGGGGAUGAGAGGUUUUGAUGGAAAUGAGAGAUUUGUUGCUCAAAAUGCAAACAUUGACACGAAUAAAAAAUUACCUUAUUAUACCAAGAGGAUUCACAUGAAACAAAAAUUGAAUGGAUGGCAUACAACAUUCAUCGUCAUUUAUAAAAUAUGGACAUAACUCGACCAAUAAAAAAACUAGUGCCAUAAGAAAAAUAUGUAAAAGUUUUACAAAUUACAUUUUAAAUGAUGAUACAUGUUGAUAGUACUAUUUAUAAUUUUUGCAUCUCAUUAUAAGGUAACAAUCACAAAAACAUCAUUUCGUAAACUCAUGGUUAUACUAAAAUUGGUAACCACUAGAAACUAUUGGAGUACUUGACGAAGAUGAAACUGUUUCAAGUUCUAUCUCAGCAUCAGCAUCAUCAACCGGUGCCUCCAUUGGAUACAAAAGUGUUUUUGGAGGCAGUUGCAGUCUAUCCAUAUCUCCUUCAAGCAUAUCUAGGACUUUCCUCAUCGACGGCCGAUCAUUAGGGCUCAAUUGUAUACACCACAAUGCAACGAUUAUCAUCUUCCUUGUUGUUUCUCUUUCCUCUUCUAUGACAUCUACCCUUUCAAGUUCCUUUUCUUUACCGAGUUGAUCAUAAACCCACAAAGGAAAGUAAAUUUGACUCGAACGCUCUGAUGUGCAUUUAGAUUUCUCCUUCUACUAGCCAUUUCCAUUAAUAACAUCCCAAAACUAUAAACAUCGGUUUUGUAAGAAAUGUCACCAAUGUCUUUAUAGAAUAGCUCAGGAGCCAUAUAACCCAAGGUUCCUCUUGCUGCAGUCAGCGAUAAUAUAUUGCAAUCGGUGGGAUAAAGUCUUGCAAGUCCAAAGUCAGAAACUUUCGGAGUGAAACUUUGGUCUAGGAGAAUGUUGUGAGGCUUGAUGUCAAAAUGUAGAAUUUGCAUAUCACAUCCCCCAUGUAGAUACUCUAUCCCUCUAGCUAUGCCAAGAGAGAUCUCAUACAUUUUCUUAGAAUGAUGAGGAUCAUCACCAUCCUUAUAGGAAAUGUGUUUAUCCAAAGAUCCAUUCGGCAUGAAAUCAUAGACAAGAGCUUGUUUGGAGUAAUCAAAGCAAAAACCAACAAGUUGCACCACAUUAAUGUGGUGGAUCCUUCCAAUUGUGGCCACUUCGCUUAUAAAAUCCUGGCCAUUAGAUUUUGAUUUGUUCAAAAUCUUAACUGCGACUUCAUUGCCACUUCUAAGUAUUCCUCUAUAUACAGAACUAUAUCCCCCUUCACCUAACUUGCAUUUGAAAUUUUUUGUGAUCUUCUUUAUAUCCGAGUAAGAGUACCUUAUGGGCAAAAAGUUGUUGUGAGCUAGUAGGAAUUCUUUGAUAUUUGCAUCGGCCGCCUAAUGCCUUCUCAUCCACUUCAAGAUUAGAAGUAUCAACACACACGGAGCUCCAAAUAUGAAUUUUGCUGCUAGGAAGUGGACUACAGAGAAAUUUGGCCAUUGAUUAGCAUAGUGUCAAAAAAGAAAAAAUUUACACAUACAAUUUUUGUUUGUCAAAGUGCUGAAUGAGAGCUUCAUAGGUGUGAAGAGAAAAAGGACUUAUCAUACCCAAGAAAAAGAAGAGAUUCACUACUGCAACAGGCACAAGACAGAGCGCAAAAAGGCGCAUGCCAUCACCUGUAGAUAGUAAGAGAAUUCGUGAGAAAUUACUAAAAAUGGUUAAUUAGAAUUAAAGACCAAUCAGUGAAGAAGCAAUUCAUGCUAAGAUAUACCCCUAGUGAAAGAUAAAUUCAUGCAAUCACUGCAAAGUGCAAAGCCACACUUUUGUUCAUUGAAAUUUGCAAGUGGAGAACUCUAGAAUAAAAAAAGAGUGAACGAGUCUUUUCUAGAUAGCGCCCAGAUUUGACGUUAUCCUAUUCACUCAUGAAAUCCAUGUUAAUGUUGCAUGAUCUUUUCUUUUGAAGAAACACGCUUUUGCUUUUGUUCUCUUAAAUGUACCAAAUGUUCACAAGUUCCCCGUAACAUUAACAGCAAUUGAAGGGACAUGAGAUAUUAUUAAAUCGAACAAUUUUCCCCAAAAAAAGACCUAAUUCCCUGAAAAACCCUUUAAUUCUAGUCCAAUUUCAGCUUGAACUUUUUUGUCUCAGAAAAAACCCUAAACUUUAGGUACAAUCCCAAAUUUACCUCAAAUUUUGUUUUGUUUUAAAAAAUCAGUAACUUUUAAUAUAUUCCCAAACUUACCCCCACGGUCGGGUCCCAACUUGAUGUGGCAUUUCCACAUCAAUAACAAAUCCACUUCAGUAAGGUGACAUGGAAAAUUACUUUCAAAUGAAGCUAUUCUAAGAUAUGAAAUUUUUGAACAGAGGGCUAAUGGGUAGAUUGGGAUUAGAGUAAAAAUUGGUGUUUUUUCUUUUAGACAAAAUAAGUUUGAGGUAGAUUUGGGAUUAGGCCUAAAGAUUGAGGUUUUUUCUGGACAAAGAAAAGAUUGAGGCAAAUUUGGACUGGACCUAAGUUUAGGUUUUUCUGAUAAAAAAAAGUUCGAAACAUAAUCGGGACUAAAUUUAAAGUUGGGUUUUUUUUAGUGAAUAACGCCCAAAAAAAAAAAAUACAGAAAUAGUGUCACUUCCAGAAAAGCUCCAUAGUUGUAAAAUAAAGGAGCAAUGCACGCCCAAUCUACUAAAAAAAUUUCUAAACUUUUUCACUGAACGAAUGUGGCAAUUUUUUAAAUUGGGUAUUAAAGAAAAGUGAUGACUCAAUAAAUUGAACCAAACGUAUUGCAAUAUCCAAUUGAAACAUGUCACAUCACCAAGUAAAUUUUGAAAAGAUCCUUCAGUAGAGUUAACAUUUAAGAAAAGGAUGAAGAUAAAGAUGAAGAAGAAGAAACAAAGUAAGAGAGUAAAGAAGGAAAAGCUUUAGGGAAAGUCAGCUUACAGGAGUCAUAUGGGUUGCACCGCGCCAUUCGGUAUCUGAAACCUAUCGCGCAAAUCUGGAAUAUUUCCAACGAAUAAGAUUCAGAAUAUAAGAGAUUGAAUCCUUCAGCCAUCAUGUUGUGGAGGUCCGUAUACGGUGGGCUCACACGUUUAUACCGAUCCACUUCCUGGCUUGAUAAGAGAGUGAUCAUGGUUAUGUUGCAAGAAUCCUUGAUGUCCCGUAUUAGUAGAUCAGACCCAUACAAAGCGUAUGAGUAUGCCUUCAUUUGGGAAAAAUUAGGGGGUGUAUCAGAAAGGGAUGCUUCCUCAAUACAUGGUUCAGUAUUGAUAUACAAAGCAGAAGCAACGGGCUGUGAGCACUUCAUGAAGACCACCGGAUCAGCCGAGGGAAAAAGACCACCACAGUAUGGAUCAUGAGCACUAAAGUUGGACCUCGCCAGUGAUUGACGAGGGAGGGAUGAGCAAUUACCUUUCUGCAAUCCAUCGUCAACCACCGUGAUUAUACCGAAAAAUGAAUCAGCUAAAUUAGAAUAGUUAAUUGACUUCACAUAAUAUUGACCGGCAUAUAGAUAUAGAAAAGUACGAUUAUUUUCACAAACUAGCUCAUACUCAUAGCAGCCACAGUAUUUUGGGUCGCUUUUCAAUCGAAAGGGAUAGUGUAUAUCAUGGAUCUCACCGCAAGAUGAAGUAGUGCACAAGUGAUUCUUCUUCGCACCGCAACUCAUCCUCAGUAACAGUAGGACAUGCAAUAUGAAAAGCAAAACACAGAACAUGCUUGUGGAGCUCAAAGACUUAAUGGUCUCUCUAUCGUUUGAUCUGAUGCAAUGGAAGUUUUUGCUAAUUGGCAAUGUGAAGGAGGCCCAGUUAUAUGAAUGAAAAGAGUCGGGAGUCAUCGGUGAUGCAAAUUUCCAAGUCAACCAAUAAAACAAAGUCUAGCGAAGAUUGCGGCCCUUGCAUUUAUGGUGACAAAACACAAAGUUGGAAUUAGUUAUGCAUAGCUUUCACAUUGAUUAAAAAAGAAAGUUCUCUGCAGUUUUCAUACUGACUUUUCUUAGUACUAUUAAAAGAGAAUCGAUUUUAAACCAGAGAGAGAGAGAGAGAGAGAGAGAGAGAGAGAGAGAGAGAGAGAGAGAGAGAGAGAGAAUCGAUUUGUAUGUCAUGUACUCUAGAAUGAACAAAAUCCAUUUGAGUGAGGCUUUGGCAUUCUAGUUUCUUUUCAAGGCUAAUAUCCCAUAAGUGUUGUUGCGACCAAAAUUUCGGGUGAACCACCUAGGUUUGGCUAAUGGAUUGUCAAGCCUAGAUUUUGCUCAGACUCUCCCAAACCCAUUAUCAAUUCAUGACUUAGGUUCAAGUUUCUUAACAUGUAAAAGAUUUUUUAAUCAAGAGUCGCCACUAAUCUAUUUUCGGUGGGUCGAUUAGAAACUCAAGUAAAGUAACAUGAGAUUUACUUUACUCAUACAAACUAAAGAUUUAUAAAUUUUGGGACUUGUUUAUGCUAGAUUUCUCUAACGCCCUUUUGGUAGCUUUCUCUUUUGUUUUGAAAAAAAUGUUUUGAUUUUAACCUACUCCCCUAAACAUGUGAGAUGAUUAUACGGGUGUACAAACCACCAAUUUAACACCCAGAUAAAGUAGUGAAUAAAUUAUCCAGAUAAAGCAGUGAAUAAAUUGCAAGACUUUAUCUCAUGGCAACGAAAACAUCUGCAAUGUUAGAUCAGAAUUCACAUCAACAAUCCUAGAUAUGAUUUCUAAUAAACACGCAAUUACAUUUUUUUUUGUUUUAUUUUCACUGAAGAUCAUGCUUUAUGUAAUGCAUGCCACUAAUCUAACAUGAAAUGAUAUCACAAGAUGACCUAAUUCUAAUGACGAACAAUUCCUAAUUAAAUUGACCUAGCAAUAAACACUAAAUGACGUACAUUUCAUGAACCUAAAUGACACGCGCAUGAUUUUUUGUAUUUUUUUUAUAAAAAUUCAUAAUUAAAAUUGCUAAAAAAUGUUUUAAAAGAAUCUAACUAAAGUGAGAUAUUAUCUAUUUUAAGUUAGGAAAUAGACCAAUAUGAAUCAUAUCUUAACUUAGAAAAAUUUUUACGACAUGCAAUUUAAUUCAAAGAUAUUAUCUAACCUAGAUACCAUCUAAGCUUGCAUUCUAAUAUAAUCAAAAAGGAAUCUAACUAUUAUAUCAUGCAACUAUAUCUAGAAAAUCAAUUCUAAUCUACAUGAUAUGCAAAUGCAAUUUUUUUUUUGUAUUUUUGGGAUAAAUAAAGCGAUUAAAAGAUAAGCAAAUCAUUCACGAUCAUCAAAGAUAUUAUCCAUCGUUCGAAUUUGGAAACGAUAUCUAAUCAAACUUAAUUAUUUUGCUAAUAAAAUCGAUAAAUUGAUCUUAAGCCUUAAAGAUCAAAAUAUCAAUUUCAUUCCCGUUUGAUUAAUUAUUCCAACUAUAAGGCUUUAGAUGGAAUAAAAAUUUGGCAUGCAAUUGCGAAUUAGGCAAUAAACCAUAAUUGAGGGGAUAUGCUUAUCGCUGAAAUAUAUAUUAGGUAAUAAAAUAUCCAAAUCAAAUUUAUAUAAGAUAAUUACCUAAUUUCGCAAGUAAUAUUGCCAAACUUGAACUAAAUGGGAUCGACUCAAGGAUAAUGGUUGGUGGGUGAGAUUCGGCGCAAUGGUGCUCCUCGGUAAAGGAUGAUCGUGGGCUCACGGUCAACGAACCUGCAAAAAUAGGAACUUCGUGGAUCGGCGAUUGUGGGCAAUUGGCAACGACAGGCUCGUGGCCGCUUGAAUCAGGAACGUUGUAUGGGAUGACUUGUAGGCGAGGCAGAACAGGUGGCCUUUGAUGAUGAGUGAACGCGUCGAAUUGCGGGUUGAUCCUUUUUGCCCACACGACUGAAUUUGGAGUUCAAACUUCGCCACGUUGGCUCUGACAUCUUUUGCAAGUCAAAGUGCAUGGAUCUUCUUCAUGCAGCAAGCGGAAUUGCCUUCUUUGACUGGAUAAUAUUCAACGUGAAUACUUCGGCAAAAGAACCUCUCCUNNNNNNNNNNNNNNNNNNNNNNNNNNNNNNNNNNNNNNNNNNNNNNNNNNNNNNNNNNNNNNNNNNNNNNNNNNNNNNNNNNNNNNNNNNNNNNNNNNNNNNNNNNNNNNNNNNNNNNNNNNNNNNNNNNNNNNNNNNNNNNNNNNNNNNGGAGCAGCGACGUCCAUGGGCGGUGGGAUUGCAACAUCGUCAAGGGUCAGCAUCGAGCAAGCAGGGGCAAAUCAGAACAACUUGUCCUUCGGAAGCUGCAGCUCGUCACGAGGCUACUGGUGGUGUCAAUGGGCUUGGCGAACCUGGCUUUUCAUAUGGGACUCCUCAAUCGGCAAUAGGAGGCGUUGCGAUUCCUGGUGCUGUGAAGAAUCGGCAAGUGGGUCAACUUCGCGAGUAUGUGGGGCCCUCUUCCAACCGUGGACUAAGUGUGGCCUUUUUAGCCUCUUUAUUCACUCUCACCUUCACGAGCACUCUGUACAGAAGCUUCCCCUCACGAUUUUUCCCUCAAUUCAGUGUAUGGCCAUGUCUUCAAUUGUGUGUGGCCCCCUCGCUAUCGUGUUUUCUCCCUCCAAAAAAAAAAAAAAAACCGAGAAAAGCCCCUUCUACCAAGUGAUGAAAAGAGAAGCCCCUUUUUUGUCUGUAUGCGGGCCAAUUUAUAAGCGAGGGACUGAAGCUUUUAUCAACAUACCCAAAGAUCUCAUCCUGCCGAUUUUAUCACAUAUUGCUAAAGAUUCAAGAUUGAAAUAUGAUUUUUCUCAAAUUUCAAAUCUUGCAAAGAUGAGCUCAUGAUAUCUCCUCAAGGAUAUUGAAAAAUCCACUGUCAUAUCACCGAAAGUAUCAAAUCUCAAUUUCUCACAAAAUAAUUUUCGGUCAUAAAAUAAAAAGGGGCUCGGGCUAAUUUGCUCUUUUCGUGGGCUUAGUCCUACUCGUCAAAUUAAAGCUCAAAACUACCAAUUCAAACCCAUUUGUCACCAGUCCGAUACAAAUAAAAAAAAUAUCCUAAAACUAUAUACUAUGCAAUUUAAUUAUAAUAUUUUUUUAGGGAUAAAAUUAAUCCCUAUUUUUUAUAUAAUAAAUAAAUGACUGGGUCGUUAAAAUUUAGGUUUUAACAAGUGUCCCUUCGUUAAACUGUGAAGAUGAAAAGGAAAAAGAUGUCAUAUUUCAUCAUCUAAGCUUUUUAUUUUUGACAAAAAAACAGAAAUUGGUAACAAAAAUAGACUAUGAACAAGAAUAUUAACUUGUAUAAUGUCGCUUUUGGCAAAAGUAAAAGGAAAAUAAGAAAUAAGUGCUUCUUGGAUGGUGUAACACAUUAUGAAAGAAAGAAAGCAAUAUGAUAAUUUGUAGUGGCGUACCGACAUGCCUUGACUAGAACCUCACUGGCUUCGUCAUCUCGCAAACAGUAUAGAUGCAGAUUUCCAAGUCAACCAUCAACACAAAGUCUAGUGAAGAAAAAGUGGGUCUCCCGUGGAAAUUGCAGCCCUUGAAGUCAAGGUGACAAGACACGGUGUUGGAAUUAUUUAUGCAUAACUUUCACGUUGAUUAAAAAAUAAACUUCUUUGCAGUUCCAGAUUGACUUUUCUUAGUCCCAUAAAAAAAGAAUCGAUUCAUUCAGCACCAUAUUUUACUAUAAAAAAUGAUAAGCGCCAUAUUUUACUAUAAAAAAUGAUAAUGUAUUUCACAGUUAAGAUUUUUCAUUUUUGACAAAAAUGAAGUUUGUAACUGAAAAGAUUAAUAAUAGCACUGAAGACUAUCGUUGCACAUUAUGAGAAAAGAAUAUAGGCCAUACAAUAAUUUCUCAACCAACAAUAGAUGGAUGCGAGCCUUGAUUUGAAAGUCACUUGCUUUGUCAUUGCCCGACGCACAUGAAGACUAUAGGUGUAAUGUUCGAAUUCACAAAAAUAAAGCAAUACACGCUUUUUCACUAGCAAUUGAAAUAUUAUUCUCAUAGAUCAAUCGAUCACUCUCCUAUAAAAUAACCCUAUCUCUUUCCUGCAAUAAAACCACUCCAUGAAUGAACUGAUAAAUCUCAACAAUAACGUCGUUUUAUGAAGGAUGUUGUUGCCUGCUUCAUAAUCAUUUUCCAUCUUCGAAUGUCUGGUAUUGCGAGUGUCAUGUAAGCUCAAAUGGGACUACAUGGAAGAGUGCAGGCAUUUUUCAUUCUUUGUUGAUAGCUGCUUGAAUCUGCUCAAGACUCCUCCCUUUCGUUUCAGGGACCACCGUGAUCAUGAACACCAUCCCUGCGGCGUUAAUCACUGCAUAAAGAAGGAAGGUACCUGUGAAGCAAGCCGGCAGAGUUGCUUUUGACAAGUUUUGCGGAAGCAUAUUCUUACAUUUUUCUCAUGGGAAGAAUGCUUUGAUAUAUACUACCUGUCUAUUAAUCAUUCUGCAGAAAGACCCAAUUCACUUAUUUUCUUUUCUAAAUCACACGUGGACUCAAUUUUCGUGAUAUUCGAAUCUAGUUUCUUUUCUAAACACAUUGAUUGAAAUAAAUGGACUGAAUAUGCAUUCGAGACCGUGCAGAACAGAGUGGCAGACACCUCCAGCUCCAAAUAGGAUUGAAGUUUUCAGGAAAAGCUAAGUCUCAAGUCUAUAGUUUGAUUGAAUUCUCGCAACAACUCAUGUUCCAAUGUGACAAAUGUUUAUCGAGCUCCUGCCAGAGCAACAGUUCAAAGAGCGUUUUCAGCAGAGUCGUACCAUAGGAGCUCCAGCUCAUUAAGUAGUUGAAAGUGUAGGAAACUGCCCAAGCGCCGCACCAGUUUACUAGUGUUGCAAACCCUCCAGCUACUCCUUUGAUAUUGAUGGGGAAAAUCUGAACACCAGCACCACAUUACAUGAUUGGAAAAUUUUUUAAACACUCGUAACAACACCAGUUACGGAAACGGCCCUUUAAUUUGAUAAGCAUGAAACUUCGGGGGAUGUUUAGGAUUACCUCGGACAUCACGACCCAAGGAACCGCGCCCAUUCCAGCGGAAAAUGCUGCUAUGUAUAGCUGAGCAUUGGAAAAAACAGAACAGAAAAAUUAAUAGUGGAGAGUUGUUGUGGCGGCCAACCAGAUAGAGCCAGAAAGAGAUCAAGGAAGGUGAGAUUAUUACCAGAAUGCCGGUGACGGCAAGUAUCGGGACAGCAUCAGCUGCCAGAUCAUGAACCUGGCUCAGAAGAUUCUCAAAAAGUUACUGGUUGACAAGCAUUGCAAAGCAGAAGGAAGAUACUAGGACGGAUAGUAUUUACCUUUAGAAAGAAUGAAAGGGCAGUUACUAUGCAUCCUAGGACCAAUCCUGUCCCUGAGAUCUGCGAUUGAGAGAGAGAGAGAGAGAGAGAGAGAGAGAGAAGGUUACUGUUCAAGUUGCAGAACUCGCGAAAGGUUAUGAUUUCUUAGCGACUUUCAUCUAUUUUACCAAGAGAAGGGGCUUUCUUCCAGCUCGAUCGACCAGCGCAGCGCCAAUAGCCGUGACAAUGACCUGCAAAAAUUUACUCUUUAAGCGUGACGAGUGUAAAACUAGAUCCCCAGCAAAGAGGAAAGGGCGAGAAUUACAGACCUGGAGGAUUGCAUAGGUUAUGGUUCCAACGCUAGAGGAGAAACCUGAGGAGAGUGUACAAAUGCGAUUAUAAAGGCGAGACUAAUACCUUGCUUGUGAGAUUCAACCCUAAAUUAUGUGUACAGCUCAUUCAGUGACAAUUAAGUAGACCAAAAGCAUUCGACAUUGCGAAUUUUACUAACCCAUUUGAAUAUUAACUGGAUUAUAUAAAUUGGAACCCCUGCUUUGCUCUUUAUUUAGUUAUCCGUUCUGGAAUCAUAAAAUGCAAUGCAUAGUUUCAUUUCUGUGGUGCCCAAGAGCUUCUUGCUAUGACCUUCAUACCUGCUUCCUCGANNNNNNNNNNNNNNNNNNNNNNNNNNNNNNNNNNNNNNNNNNNNNNNNNNNNNNNNNNNNNNNNNNNNNNNNNNNNNNNNNNNNNNNNNNNNNNNNNNNNNNNNNNNNNNNNNNNNNNNNNNNNNNNNNNNNNAGUACAACUACUUAAAGUCUCCCGAUCCACAGGGCAUUCUAAGAAAGCAAGGAAGGAGGGAAUUUAUUGGAUACAUAGCAAUAAAUACAGAAAGAAGAUUACGAUGACGGAGCUCAGAUAUCUUCUCUGAAAUAAAUCAAGCACGGUGGCUUUUGGGAGCCGUUGGAGAGUUUCGAUAUACUCCUGUCAAGAAAAACAAAUUCAAUCAUUCCAUCAGCUGUUCGUACUUAUAAAGUUGAGCUUUAAGAUGAAACAGGUAUAGACUUAAAGCCUUUUACUUGUAUUUCAGCAGCCUCUUCAGAAAUAUCUGCAUCCUUUCCACGGAGUUUCUGCAGCACAGCUUCAAACUACUUUUCGUGGCCCAUUUUCGCCUGCAUUUGGCAGAAUCCUAAAAUUCAUUCCAACACUACAAAUCCCUCUCUUCCAACAAUUCAGAUAAGAAGAGUCUGGUGUUCAUCUUGAUUUGUUACCAGCCAUCUAGGAGACUCUGGAAUGAAAAACAGGCCAAACAGUAGGACUGCACAGGGGACUAGACCUGCAUAAACCGCAGACGUUCAAGGUGGUUUCAGACUUGGACUUUUCGAUGCAAGAUUGGCACUAAACUUGAAUUAUGCUACUUUUUUCUGUUUUACCAAUUAAUGCCAAAACCCUCCAAGCUAAUACUGUCCCGAUUAUGAAGGAAACGGACACUCCAGCAACGAUCAUAAGCUGUGGAGAGAAGAGAACAUGUUAGGCCUAGUAGGUUCUGUAGGAUGUACAUAUAUACACCAUCUUGCACUUGCAAAAGGGAAAAAUUUGCUACAAGCACGCGCUUGGCAGGUGCCGGCUGACGUCUGCGUGACGUUAGCCCGUGCACGCGCGCGGCACGUGCCGUCAAUUCGCUCGAGCCGGCCCCUCCGGCCCAACCGGUUUGACCGGUCCGACCAGUCUGUCCGGUCCGACCGGUACGACGACCAACGACCGUUGACCGUUGACGACCGUUGACCGUUGACCAAAAAAAAAAAAGAGGAAUGUGUUUCUUUUUUCAAUUAAGUCUAUGUGGAUUAUAAUGUGAUCCCUUAUUUGUUCUGCAUUUGUUGCAGGAACAAUGCCUCCCCUGAGGUUGCACACACCUAUUCGCACAAUUACCGAUGAACAAAAGGAUAUGGUGUCUAAGUUGAUAGCUGAACUGACUGAUCAUCGAUGGGAGAGAGGUGACUUAAUUGAUCAUGUCCUUGAAGUCAACGGGAAAAUUCAACAGGUCAUAUGGAAUGGUCGUCCUAUGUCACAGUCAGAGAUGGUGCGAUUUUUCAUAAACACUCUUCCACCUGAAUGGCAAGAUGUGUUGAAUCGCAUAUGGGAUGUCAAUGGAGCUGCUUCCUAUAAGAAAAUUGUGAUGGACUUUGUAAAUGAAUAUUACUGUAUUGUUACAAGGGAAAAGAUCAAGAAAUUGAACAAAAGAGGAUCUUUCCCAGUUCGUGUGCUGACUUGGUGUUAGUUGUAUUGACUGAUAUAUGUUAAGUGUGAUUUGUGGACAUAUUAUGUAAUGAUUACUACCUAAUUGUGUUAAUUUAAAGCAUUAUUGUUUUUUUAAUUGUAUGUCAAUUAUCUGUUGCUUUCUGUUAUUGCUGGUUGCUGUGGGUAAUUAGCUGUGGGUAGUUUUAGAAGUUUUUGUAGCUUCAUAGAAUUGAUUUUGCAUAUGACAAUCAUAUUAAUGAUAGUUUUAAGUUAGGAUUUUGGAGGAUGAUUGGAAACAUAGUGACCUUUUGAUUCUAAAGCCUUACUUGAAAUUAUUCAUUGAUAUGAUGGGUCUAUGUAAAUAGGGAUACAUAAAUGAUAGGCAUUAAUAAUUCGUGCAUAUUUGUCUGAUUUGUUCAGAUCAAUGGCUUCGGCCACAAAGAGCAUAGUUGCCGAGCUGAACAAAGGUGAAAAGCUCAAUGGAGACAACUAUGAAAUUUGGCAAAUGAAAAUCCAGUAUGUGCUGGAAGAACAAGAAGCACUUGAGGCUCUUAUCCUGACCAUGGUAGAACCUGAAGAGGGAACCACUGCAUAGCACAAAAGAGACAAAGAAGCUUUUUCUGCGUGGAAAAGAAAGAACUCUCUAGCUUGCAUCACGUUGCUGAGCAGCAUGGAAAAUGACGUCAUGCGAGAGUUUCGGCGUUUUGACAAUGCCAAGGAAAUGUGGGAGGCAUUGGCAGCUAGAUUUGGUCAUACUUCGGUGACUAGACUGAGGCAGCUCACUAUCAGGUUUGACUCUUAUAAGAAGCCUCAUGGUCAGACCAUGAAGCAACAUCUUAGAAAGAUGUCAAACAUGAUAACUGAGCUGAAAGAUGCUGGCCAUGUCCUCACAGAUGAGCAGCAAGUGCAAGCAGUGAUUCGUUCCUUGCCUCAGAGUUGGGAGCAUAUGAAGGUGCACCUGACUCAUAAUGAAAAUAUCAAAACCUUUGAGGAUGCAAUGCGUCAUCUUGAGCUAGAAGAGGACUGCCUCUUGGCGGCUAAGCCGGAUGCUGAACUUUAUCAUGCUAGUUCUAGCUCACAUGGAGUUUCGAGCUCCAAACGCAAGCGUCCUAACUAGUUUGAUAAAGGGAAAGGCAAGGAAGAAGCAGGUCCUUCAGGGAAGAAACCCAAGUUUAACCAACAUGAUAGAGGAAAGCGUCCUCGCAUGAAGAAGCUUACAAGGGUGAAAUGCUACAAUUGUGACAAGAAGGGUCACUAUGCUCGCGACUGUCGUGAGCCAAAGAAGGUAUGCACCCCUUGUACUUUUCAGAACUUUGCUUUUGUGUCGAGUUCUGUGUUCUUAACUGAGUCUAAUCCUUUGUGGACUGUGGAUUUAGGAGCGACGGACCAUGUAGCGAAGGAUAGAUGAUCCUUCGUGGAAUUCCGACGAGUACCAACUGGAACUAAGUGGAUCUAUGUGGGAAAUAACUCCAGAGCUGAAGUGAAAGGAAUUGGCACAUGCCAAUUGAAUAUGCGUGGUGGACGCACUUUGUUCCUUCAUGAUGUGUUGUAUGCUCCGGAGAUUUGUCAGAAUUUAAUGUCUGUAUUAGUGUUGGUUAAAUUAGGUUUUAAUAUGAACUUCUAUAGUAGAGGUGUGAAUUUGUUUUUGGAUACAAAUUACUAUGCUUGUGGUUAUUUUCUGGAUGGUUUCAUUGUAUUAGAUGUUGAGUAUGUUAAUGCAAAUGUUUGUUAUUCCCUUAUCACGUCUCCUAAUUCAUAUGAUAAUGAUGUGAAUGUGUGGCAUGCUAGACUUGGUCACAUUGGCCAACAGCGUAUGAAUAGACUAGCCAAAGAGGGCUUGUUGGGCAAUAUUGAAAAAGUCGAUUUGUCCAUAUGUAAGCAUUGCAUAGAAGGGAAAACGACAAGGAAACCAUUUGGAAAAGGAAAAAGAGCUGAAUUUCCUCUGCAUUUAAUCCAUUCUGAUGUCUGUGGUCCAAUGAAUGUGAAAGGAAGGCAUGGGGCUGUUUAUUUUAUCACCUUUAUAGACGAUUAUACUCGAUUCGGAUAUGUCUAUUUGAUUUCUCAUAAAUCUGAAGAAAUAAGUUGUUUCAAAAGGUUUAUGAACCUAGUAGAGAAUCAAUUGGACAAGAAAAUAAAAGCAUUGAGAUCCGAUCGAGAUCGAGAAUAUUUAUCUAAUGAGUUCAGAAAAUUAUGUGAUGAAAAAGGAAUAGAAAGACAGUUGUCUAUUCCGUAUACUCCUCAACAAAAUGGUGUUGCGGAAAGAAGAAACAGAACCCUACUGGAAAUGGUUAGGUCCAUGAUGGCGCAUGCUAACUUACCCAUCACCUUUUGGAGUGAUGCAUUGUUAACCACUGCCUAUAUACUUAACCGGGUGCCUUCCAAAUCAGUUACUUCCACUCCAUAUGAGUUAUGGAUAGGUAGAAAACCAGACUUAAGUUUUCUUAAGCCAUGGGGUUGUGCUGCCUAUACCCAUGAGUCUUCUCACAAGUUUGGGAAAUUGGGUCCCAGAGGAAAGAAGAUUAUUUUCAUAAGAUACUCGGAACACUCGAAAGGAUAUGUGUUCAUUGGUGAGCAGGAAAGUGGGAGUAUAACUGAAUUUGAAUCACGAGAUGUCACAUUCUUAGAGGAUGAGUUUCCUAAGAAGGGCGGAAUAGGGGAAGAUCACUCCCUAUUUGAGACCUUGGAUCAAGAUAAUGAUAUUAGUGGAGUUCAUCCAAGUGGGAGCAUAAUAGGGAAUAAUGUGCAAAGUGUACAAUCUCCUAUACGGCGAACAAGUCGCCAAAGUAUUCCCCGUCGACAUUUUGACAUUGAAGGGGAAACUUUUAUGGUUGCUCCACAAGAUGAGGAUGAGCCAAGAAAUAUCAAUGAGGCUUUGAAUUGCCCUAGUAAGAAAAAAUGGAUUCAUGCAAUGGAAGAUGAAAUGGAGUCAAUGAAAUCAAAUCAAGUCUGGGAACUGGUUGAUCUUCCAAAAGGACGCAGAGCUAUUGGGAACAAGUGGGUCCUCAAAAUAAAGCGAAAGGCUGAUGGCUCGAUAGAAAGGCAUAAGGCUCGCCUUGUGGCAAAGGGGUAUAAUCAACAGGAAUGAAUUGAUUAUGAAGAUACGUUUUCUCCUGUAGUAAGAUUUACCUCGAUUCGCAUUAUUCUGGCAAUAGUGACUAGUCUGGAUCUUGAGUUACAUUAGAUGGAUGUAAAGACUACUUUCCUCAAUGGAGAAUUAUAGGAAAAAAUAUAUAUGGAACAACCUGCUGGUUUCAUAGUGAAAGGCCAAGAAGAAAAAGUAUGUCGACUUUUGAGGUCGAUAUAUGGUCUUAAGUAGUCAUCAAGACAAUGGUAUAUACGUUUCAUAAUGCCAUAAUGGCAUAUGAUUUUAAAAUGAUUGAUGAGAAUCAUUGUGUAUAUAUCAAAAGAUCCAAGGAUCAAUUUGUGAUCAUAUCAUUGUAUGUUGAUGAUAUACUGAUUGCCGGAAGCAAUAUGGAGUUGGUUAAUACUGUCAAGAGUUGGUUGUCUUCCAACUUUGAGAUGAAGGAUAUGGGUGAGGCUGUAUACAUUCUUGGAGUUAAGAUUUCAAGAGAUCGUUCGAAGAGAUCGUUGUCUCUUUCGCAAGAAACCUAUAUAAAUAAGGUUCUUAAACGAUUUCGUAUGCAAGACUGUAAACCCAUAGACACUCUUAUUGCAAAAGGUGAAGGAUUGAGCCACAGAUUGUGUCCAGGGACUCCACAAGAGAAGGAACAAAUGAAACAUGUUCCUUAUGCUAGUGCUGUUGGGAGCUUGAUGUACGCUAUGAUGUGUACAAGACUCAACAUAUGUUUUGCAGUUGGAAUGGUGAGUAGAUACCAAUCCAAUCCAGGUCCAGCACAUUAGAAGGCCGUCAAGAGAAUACUGAGGUAUUUGAAGGGAACUGCUGAUUUCAAGUUGAAUUACCAAGGAAAGGAUCUGCGACUUGAAGGCUAUUCAGAUGCUGAUUGGGGAGGAGAUUUAGAUGAAAGGAAAUCUACCUCUGGAUUUGCUUUCUUACUGAACAAUGGCGCCAUAUCAUGGAGCAGUAAGAAGCAAACGUGUAUAGCCUUGUCCACGAUGGAAGCUGAGUUCGUGGCAUUAUCAGCAGCAGUACAAGAAGGAGUUUGGCUUAAGAGAUUUUUGGAUCAUUUAGGUGUUAAUGAGAAAGCUGCAAAUCCAUUGUUGGUUAACUGUGAUAGCCAAGCAGCUAUAGCGUACACCAAAGAUCCAAAGUAUUAUGGCAAGACCAAACAUAUAGAUACCAAGUAUAACUUUGUGAAAGAUAUGAUUGCACGAAAGGAUGUGAACUUACAGUACAUAUCUACGCAUAGAAUGGUAGCAGAUCCUAUGACAAAGCCAAUACCUAGAGAUGUGUUUUGUGGUCAUGUAAAAUCUCUAGGAUUGCGUAGAAUCUGAUGUACUGGAUUGUAAUUUCCCUGAGUUGUUCACAUUUAUGAAAUUUUGUUUUUUUAUUGAUUAAUGCCUAUGAAUCUAUGUAUGAUCUUUAUGCAUCUUAAUGCUCAGUGCAUUAUUUUAAGUUGAGAAGUAUGUCGGACAGAUAUAAGAUUAGCCCACUCACACGGGUAAUCGCCUCCGUUUACUAUGUGAUAAAUAGAGAUGAGACUGUUUUUAAGCUUAUUAUCUAGGUGAUAAUCGAGAGCUCAAGCUUAAAAUACGUAUGUCACCUUAAUUGAGUGUUAAGAUGAUGACAUAAUACUAAAGAUGUCCGAAAGUAAAAUAGCCUACAUAUUUUACUUUAUCUGUCUAUGAUGCUAGAUGUGAGUUCUGAUGAAUUUUGUGAUUGAGUAGAUACUUGAACUCAAGUUAGACAUUAGGUAUGUCUGAACUAUCAUCUGUAUGGUAUUGACAGGUGUAGACAUACGCUCCAUGGGAAAUGAGUUAAUACCGUAAUACGUAUUUCAUACUACGUAUGCAUGAGACGACCAAUAAGAGUGGCAAAAAGUUUGAUCUCAACUUUUAUGACGUGUGAGACUCUUGAGGAAAAGAGUUCCUCAAUUUUUAGUCCCCUCAGGACUCUUACUUAUUCUCAAGAUUUCUAUUUAGUGUUUACUAUCUUAGGGUGUUGCCAAUGGUCAUGAGAUGAUUCGAUCUAAUGGGGCAUUUCUAGAAAAGCAAGCUGGACUGAAAUUGAGAGUUUAAAGGAAAGAGGAAGAUCGUUUUUGGAUAAUCACAUUGUGGUUUUGUAUUCACUGGUCGACCAAUUAUGACUGUCAUUGUGAUAAUUAUAAUUGUGAAUACAAUAUAUAUAUAUAUAUAUAUAUAUAUAUAUAUAUCAUGUUUAAAAGAGAUCAAGAGAGAUAUAAAAUGUGAUCGAUCGAUCUAGGGUACUGCAUACUAAAUCUACUCGAAGUAUGACACCCAUUAUGAGCUGCUAUAUAUUCCUAACAGAUGUAUAGAAACGAGCUCUCAAAGUAUGCUGGUCGCACGGAUUAUUCACCAGUAUGAAUGUUGAAGAGAGGUAAAGAGAAUCCUGUUCAGCCCACCAUGUGCGAGUGGGAGAUGAUGGUUUUAAUUGGUGAUGGGCUUAAGGCCCGUCCGCCCAUGCUGGGCUCAAAAGGCCCGGCCCAUGGGAAUAGGGCCCGUGGAAAGGGAGAUGUAUAAAAGGGAGGAGAGAGAGAGAAAUAAAGAAAAAGUUGGAAAUAACGUACGUACGCUUUCUCUUAUGUGCUCUCUCUCUCUCUCCAAAAAGAAAAGGAAACAGUAACGCACAAGGCGAAUUUUCUCCUUUCUUCCAAGUGAAUUGUCGUCGUCGGAUUGAACAGGGCCAGUUUCUCUUCCUCUAUUGGCGUUGGUGUUUGAUCUGUGGCUAACAAGGUACGCUCGAAUCCGUGGUGUGCUUUACGAUCGGUGAUAUGUGUUAUUCCCAGGCUUCGUCUUCCGCAUUGAUUUAGGAGUUCGAUUUGGUGUCGAAUCCGGUUUUUGGGGAUCCGUUAUUCCCUACACCUUCUUUAUACAAGAAUUCUGGUGAUGACAGAAUAUCUCUUUCAGAUGUGGGGGUGCCCAGGCAGGAAUGUUUCCUGGACAGAAUGACUUUAGUUUGGCCAAGUUCUUGGGUUUCGAGUUAUUUCAGUCAGGCUUUUGGGGUCUAGAAUUGGGUUUAAGGGGGAAAAGUGCUGGUGAUAUCUGCUUGUUCCCUUCAAUACAAUGUCUUCCGUUGAUUGCAAAAAGUACCAACUCACAUUUUUUGCAAAGAUUACACCAAAGAACCUUGCCCUCUGUUUGUAUCAGCAGAAGAAGUGUUUGGGGAUAUUUCUAAUUCAAACGGGGAAAGCAAGCCACCUGCAGAUUCUCUGGCAAUUCCUUGUGAAGCAGAGAGCAUGAGAAACAAUGUCUUCAUCAGCCUCUGGUUUUUCUCAAGCAUCAAAUAAUGUGCCCAGAGCUGGAGGCUCUGGGGGUGGCAGUGCUAGAAAAUAUUCCUUGGGAUAUAUGUGGGGAAGUACCAACGAAAGCCACAAAUGGAACAAGAAAAGGAUUAUCACCAUGACAAGGGAGAGAUUUGAAACGCAGAAGACAAUCUCCAUGGUCUAUAUAAAGUUUUGGAUGGAGAACAUGUUUAAUCUCUUUGGCCUCGAAAUAAACAUGGUGGCCUUGCUCCUUGCCUCCUUUGCUUUGUUAAAUGCCAUUUCAAUGCUAUAUAUUGCACUUCUCGCUGCUUGCAUACUUCUAAAUUGCAAUGUCAUUCAGAAAUUAUGGCCAGCAGCACACUAUCUGCCAAUUCACAAAAAGCAAGGCUGAGUCUGUAUUUCCUUUCGAAUUUCAUGAUUCUCCUGCCAGUUUGAAUGCUGAAAGUCUUCAUGUGAUGAAUUCAGCUGACCACUCAUUUGAGUUUUCCCAUUGUGAGAUCACUAAGGCUGAGAAGGAUGGUGGAGGUUCUUUAUAUGAUUCAGAUAAGAAAGAGAGAGCCAGAGGUCAAGCUGAGGUUAACUCUGUAGUUUCUGCUCUGCAGCUUUUAGGAGAUGGCGGUUAGUUCUCUUGUAACCUUCCCGAAAAUCAAGCCAGAAGACAUGGAUGCCAGGGGCAUACUCAAGCAGUCUCCCCUGCACCCGAUCAACGGCCAGGAUCACCUGACGAAGCAGCAGAAGUUCGCGAGAUCGAAGCUCCGGGUCUCCAUCAACCUGCCGGACAACGAAAUCUCCCUCCUCCGCAGCCGGCGGAACCUGAGCUUCAGCGGAUCGUCCGCCGCCGCCGAACCUCGGACUUCUCCUUCUCCAUCUCCCCACUCGUCGUCCUCGGCCUCGGCGCCGAUCGGUCGAAUCUUCAAAGGGAAGGCUCCGGCGACGGCGAGGGGGAGCCUCGAGAACGGCGGUAGUGGCGGCGACCCCCACGGCGGCCGGCAGGCGUACAGGAGCACGAGGACGGUGGUAGAGGUGCUGCGGGAGCUGGACGCGGCCAUAGUGGCGCUGCAGGACGUGAAGGCGGAGGAGGAGAGGGAGAUGAGGUCGCUGUCGGAGCUGGCGGCGGCGCUGGGGAUGAGCUACGCGUUCGCUGAGAGCUGGGCGCCGGAGUACGGCAACGCCGUCCUCUCCCGGUGGCCGAUCAAGCACUGGAAGGUCCAGAAGAUAUUCGACGACACCGAUUUCAGGUCCGUCAUUUCGUUUUAUUUUAUUUAUUUAUUUAUUUGCAUAUAUUUUCGUAAUUAUGGUGACAUGAUAUGCUCUCUUUCUCGCUGAGCAAGUGGUCUUCCUGGGCGAUUUCGAAUUUUAAAAGAUAUUUUCAUUUAUUUAUUGAGGGUCCACUGUUGAAAGUGAAGUUAAAAUAAUAUGUCAUAAUUAAUAUUCCCUCUGGGCAUAUUAUAUCAUUUUUUCUUACAUUCUUCUAAGUGAAAAAGAUUAAUUUUGGUAGAACCAUCUAUAACGGUGCAAAUCCACUUCGGACAAUCAAAAUUUUCGUUGAAAUUAAGGUAGGGUGGAUGUAAUAAAAAUUUGCAAGACCAAAAAAAAAAAAAGAAAAAAAAAAGCUGUUGUUUAUCCAUCAGAAUUUGCGGAUGAAGAUGAAAAUCUUGCUGUUACUUGGUUUAUAUUUUGUCUUUUUUUUUUCCUUCCCCUUUGUUUAAUUGUUCUAUUUGGAAUUAUCUGAAUGGAGUUGUCCAAGAAUUGAUUUGGGAAGAAUUUAGAAUAUUAUUCACGAGAACCCUACCACCAAAAAUUCAAGAAUUCCCCAAAGCUUUUCUCCUCCAGCCUGUUUGCCUUUGCACAACUUACGGAAAGCUAUCUGCAACAACAAUGGUGGGCCUUUCCAAGGAUCCCAGCGCCAGCUGUGAGCAAUGCCAGUCAGAAUUAAAAUAUAAAUAAAUUUUAAAAAAAAACCUUUUUUUUUCUUUCUAUGAUUUUAGAUAUGGGUUCUCCAGAGAAUUGUCAUUUAAUAAUAAUAAUAAUAAUAAUAAUAAUAUCUUUAGUUAUAACUAUUCGAAAUUCGUGCGAGUGUGUGUGAUGAAAGACUGUCUUGGACUUCUUCCAUUCCUCCUUUUUUCAUUUCUGGUUGCAUUUAGUGGGUUGAUGAGAGUCAGCGUUGAAGAUCAUUCUGUAUUAAUUGCUGAUAUAGUCAAGAGAAUGCUUAGGAACCUGCUAAAUUAUCUAUAUAUAUAUAUAUAUAUAUAUAUAUAUAUAUAUAUAUCUCUUUAGUAUUUAAAUGAGGAGAUAAACGAAGGAUAAGAUCGUACAUUAAAUGAGGGCAGGGUAAGGUGUAUGUAGAUAGGACAAGUAACGUGGGGAGGAUUUUGCUUUUGCUUUAUUUUAUGUAUUUGCCAAAUUAGAUGCUUGACCUGAAGACUAUACAAGGACUCCUCAUCUUCAAGGAAAACUACAUUUCUCUCCAGCGAGACAGGCCAGAUAGAAUCAACUUGUCUGAGAUAGCAUGCAAUUGCUUGUCAUGGAGUCAAUUUCUGAGACUUUGGCGUUCGAUUAAUUAAGCCACUCCUUAGGUAGUGAAGGGGUUAUGUGCUUUCGUUGCACGAAAAUUCAGAAAAAGAAGAAAAGAGUGGAUUGAAAUAUAAUCGAUCGACAUAUUAAAUUGACUAAGAAUCGAAGUGGCUGUGAACUCGAUAUGUUUUAUUACACAGGAAUGUUCUGAAGGCAACAAUAGAAGUGCCCCAUGUUGGGGAAGUGAACUUCCAGCGCACCCACCUGGAUCAUCUCGACGAGAACUGGCGGAUGAAGCAAGUCGGCGCCAUCAUCCACUCGAGCGACUCUCCCCACAUCUUGGCUGGUGGCCUCAACUCUCUCGAUGACACCGAUUACUCGCAAGAGCGGUGGACCGACAUCGUCAAGGUAUGUACAUUUCUGUCAUGUUUGAUGUGAUAUUCGUUAGCACGUCAAACUCGAUUACUAAAUAGCUUAAGCUACGGCGAUUUUGUAAUCAUGGGCAGUGUUUGUUACAGUACUAUGAAGAGAUGGGAAAACCGACCCCGAAGGUUGAAGUCAUGAGGUUUCUAAAGAGCAAGCAGUACAUUGCUGGAGAAUGCGAGUCCGUGGUUGUCAUUGCCAAAGGACAAAGUAAGGACUCACUUGUUCGCUUUCCCAUCUUUCAAUUUUUCUUUUUCGCUCUAUCAAAUGGCUAAUCUAAGGUGCUUUUCGAGCACGAUGCUCCUCUUGCUUGAUGAUCACAUGAUUUGCUUGAAUGGACGGAAAUUCAUAACAUUUGAAGCAUGAUGAUCAUGUUGAAUAAAUACAUCCGUUGUUGUCAUCACUUUGUCGAUAUCAACUUUUGGUGUGAAAAUCCAUGGUAAAAUUGAAGUCCAAAGUCUUUUUUUCGAGUGAUUAUUGUCCGAAUAUGAAUUUGAAACUGUUUAUUCUAUUGCAGGUGUGCAAGGGACGUGCAAAUAUGGAACGAGGGUGGACUACCUACUGGCGUCACCAGAUUGUCCAUACAAGUUCAUUCCGGGGUCGUAUUUGGUCUUGUCAUCGAAAGGGACAUCGGAUCACCACAUCAUAAAGGUCAACGUAACGAAAUGCGAAAACAAUCCUCCCCCAUGAAAGCAAUGGCAACAACAAUAAAAUUACCAAGAAAAGGCGACGACAGUGCAAGCACCAGGCCGUUGUAAAGAUCUCAGGCACAGCUCCUCCUUCAAAGGGUAUAUGGACAACGAACACAUUAAGCAAAGUCGAAUGACAUUACAUUUAUAUCUCCCUUUUCUUUCCACUCUUUUCUCAGCUGCUGCUCCUGUUGCUACUGUUGAGUGAUCUUGGGCAUGCUGGCUUCGUCAAUCUGUGUGUAAAUCUUCGAUUGUUUUGUGCAUCUUGUCUUCUCUGUUUUUUUUCUUCAGUUUAGAGUUGAAGAGGGGAGGGUUCUGGUGUGAUGGCUUCCUCACAUCUGUAUAGAUUUCGACGCGACAGAAAUGAAUUCUUACGUUUCAACUAGGCAUUGGAGCUAAGCGGCUCUGCCAAGUUCUUUUUCAGUAUUUUAUGCCUUUUCUUUCCGCUUGUAAUCUUAACUGCAAGAUUCAGAUUAGUUUUGUCGAGGGCGACAUCUCAAGUUGACUUUGCUGAGAUUGAGGUUAGAGAAUGCGAUCUUGUAUCUUUACAUUUAACUGAAAGUUGAAACGUUUUAGAUUAAAAGUCCUUGGAAUAAAAUUGCAAAUUUCGAAAAUUGGAUUUUUUUUUUGUUAAGUUGGACAUCAAGUGAUUGAUAAAAGACCCAAAGAUUUCAAAUGAAAUACCUUUAAAAAGCAAAUAAGGAAAAAAAAAAAAAAGCUGCGAAGUCUGGUAAUUAUGAAUCCUAAACAUAUGUGACAGUAGUCAAUGUCUUCAUUCUUUUUUCUCCCUUUUGAAAUUAGCAUUGGAAAGAAGAAAAAUGGUAAGUUAGUGCAAUCUACUUCGAGAUCUUAACAAAUACCUUAUGUGAUCUCUAAAUGGAGCCUUAAUGAGCAUUAUAAGUAAAAGUGUAAUGAAAAGAGAAAGAAAUAAAUUUUCUAUAUAAUAGACAUUGUUGGCUGAUGUAUCAUGCUAAUUAGCUUAUGAAUAAAAAACCGCCUCUCCCUUAUAAUGGUUAGCAAACCGCGCCCCUUGCAUCAGCAUCGUAGAGGACUCAAGUAUCUCUCAAUUGGUGUAUACUCUUCAAUUGAUCCUCCUUGAUGUUAUUUAUAUCAAUUGACUUAUUAAUUUCGAUUUUGCUUGGGAUCUCAAUUUAGAAAGUCAUGGGAUCUAAAGCUCAGAUAAAAAGAGGAAUUAAAAAAAAAAAACACUAAAGACAUUGCGUCAAUAUCGUUGACCGGUAAGAAUCCUGGUACUUGCGACCUUGUAGGUCUGCUACUCGGGACCUCACUAAUAUAUGACAUUAAAAAUAAUUUUUUUUUUUUAAUGAGAUAGAAAGAUAGUUAAUUAUUAAUAUUUGAUACUUCUACCCUUUGUUUAAGGGCAAUGCUAGUAGGUCACAUGACACAUCCAAUGAUGUUUUCACUGCACAUGUCCAUUUUUUUUUCUAUAGUGAUAUAGUCAGUUAUUAAAAUGUUUUUUUUUUCCUUUUUGUUGCGAAUUUCCCCUUCUAUAAAUCACGAACACGAACACGAGCACAAAAUUUUUUCGUCGAAAUAAUUGAUCUAUUCAGCACAUGCUGAUACCUUUAAUUGUUUUCUAUAUCGUGAAUAAAUUAUUAAGUGAUGAUUGGACAAAUCAUUAAACAGAAAAAUCUCUUGACGAAAAGUAUCCUAGAUUAUCUCGCGCGUGUAUGCUGAAGAUCUAGAUAUACAUUAUUGUAUUUUAGGGUACAAGAUUGGCUCUCUUUGUCACUGAUUUUGUAAGUGUCCUAUUGCCUUUGGAUGGUAAUUCUUUUUGUAACUGUUCGACUUCGAAAUCGGCAAUGACCAGGAGUAACCAUCAUCGAUCAAGCCCUCUUAAGUGAACACUUAAAAAGAAUUAGUCUCUUAAUCACUUGAAUUGUGUUAAAUCAGAGGUAUUGUUUGUAGAUAUCAUGAAUAAUGGGAAAAUUUCCAAAAAGGUCCUAAAUCUAUUGCACUUUAGCCAAUUAAGUCAUAAAUCUUUUAAUUACGUCAAUUGAAUUCUAAAUCUUUUCACAUUUUGCCAACUGAGUUUAUUGGGCCAAUUUUAAGAAAAAAUCACCGAUGUGAAUGCCAGCCGUCUUACGUAAGAUGGUUGAUACUAAUGUUGGCAAAUUCUUAUAAUUUUUUUUAAAUGGAAUUUUUUAAUUCUUUUAAUUUUUUUUAAUUUUACCAUGGCUUGUGAGAGUCGUCGGGUCCUUGUAGCUACUAGCGAAGACUCAGUGACCCUUGCCAGACAUGGCGAAAAAAAGUAAAGGAGGAAAAUAGAAGAAAAGAAAAAAAUGGAAAAAUAAGAGAAAAAGGUCCAUAAAAAUUCAAAAAAAAAUGUUUAAAAUAUUUUAAAAAUUCUCCACAUUAGCGUUGCUUGUGCCACGUAACAUAACCGGUAUCCGCAUUAGCGAUUUCCUAACAAAAUUGAUCAGAUGAACUCAACUGACAAAAUGUGAAAAUGUUUAAAAUUCAACUGGCAUGACUAAAAGAUUAAUUACUGAAUUUGUAAAAGUACAAUGAGUUUUUUCUGGUAAUUUUCCCAUGACUAACUAGCAUCUCUCUUCCAUCCUGAUUCUGAUCAUAGUUUAAACAUGAUAUCAUAAACAAACCACUAAGAAGGUUAGUUAGUAACCUUUUUUUUUAUCGUUUGCCAAGCAUGUCGUUCCAUCAUCUUUCAAUAAAUUGUCAAGUGGCAUUUGUAGAGAAAAGUUUUCAUCUCGGCUCACUGGCAAACUGAAAAUUGUAAUGGUCAUGAGUAAACGGUCAGGAUGAUAACGAUAUUUAAAAGUACUUGUGUAGUUCUUCGCCUGUUAGUAUGCUAAACUUGGAAAAUGUCGAAUCAACAUCAAUUUAACACUGUCUUUACUCGAAUAGCUACAGAACUAUGUAAGAAAACACAAAGAACAAGAAGAGAAUCCCGAAGCUCUAGACAUGGCAUGACCAUGAAAACUCCACCGAGAGCUGGUUUUUGUCCUCAGAGUAGAUGUGAAAAUGUUGCAGAAUUAAAGAAUAAGCAAAGAUUCUUCGUAUCUAGCACUGUAAGCUUGCUCGAUAUAGAGUGAAACAAAGGGACAUUGCAUAGAGUUUGCACCUAUAUGAAGUUCACGAUGGCCGGGAGCAAUCCGUGCCACAUGACCUCAACUUAAGUGCAUCGCCGUAUCAAUAAUCAGUUCUUCCACAAGUAGAAUCGAUACGCAAUUUAUGCUCGAAUUGUCCUCUAUUCACCUUUCACUUGGGGAUGGUUUUCCAUGAAUCUCUUCCAGCUCCUCGAACCUGUUAUCGAGGGCUCUUCUAAGUGAGGCCAUCUAUAUAUGAUCGUUUGCUUCUGGAAGUCGGUUUAUGGAGACCUUGAAGUUCAGCCUAUGAAUUUUGCUGUACACUAGACGGGUCCUGUUGUCGUACUUCGAACACCUAUGUGAGGUUUCAAUUGUUCUCGCCUUCCUCUCAUGGUGCAGCAGAGCAACAAAUGUCAAAGGAAUUGGAAGAGACAGUUCCACAGCCUCCUGUCACAAUGAAUGGUCUUUCUCAUCAGGAUGAUUCUCCAAUGAGCGUAAUGAACUGCAGGAAUAAGUAAGAAACUCGAUUCUUGAGAUGUUUCUGUCUCAUAUCGUUUACUUUUUUCUCCAUUGCGUCGAAUAUAGUACCUACUCUAGUGAUUAGCUUAACUUUUCAUUUCAAUCUGAAAGCUACUCACCUACAUUUAUAGGACUCUUAAUAUAAAUUACCUGCUUGUGCACACUAUCUUACUUGGCGAAUUCUGUCAUCUGCACUAGUUUAAAUACAUGCAUCAUUCGAGAGCGCAAGUGCCUUUGAUGGCUUAUGGCCUGAGGCAUGGCGUAAUUGUUUUUUUGCCUUGUCAAAAGUGUUGCGCAGAGGACCUGAAUAUUCUUUUGAUAGGAAUUGUCUGUUUAGAUGAUCAUAAUUGCUACCAUUGCUAGAACAUACUACCAAUAACAACAUGAUAGUCGCGGUGUGCAUUCUAGUUGAACAUAGUUUCAACUUCGAGUUGUGAUGCUAACUGUUCUCGCACUUGUGGUUCUAAAGUGUUGAUGGACAGAGCUGAAUCUGACAAGCUACUAGCCAUUCCUGUCGGUUUUGUUGGAUCAGAAGAGGUGGUAAGGUCUGUUCCACAUCUUGUACCUGGCAGUAAUCUUGCUUGUCCUUCAUUGGAAGAACAAGGAAUGAGAAUAAAUGCUGCAUUAGACGCUGCCCUUGCACCAAUUUCUCAUCUCUCGAACCUCAUUGCCGACGGCCACCGGGCUGCAAACUUCAGGGGACCUUUCCAACCAUCAGACUUUUAAUGGCUCGAAGCUGGAGCCACUUGGAUUCAUACCCUAUCCCUUACUUUCUCUGAAGGUAUUUAUGAUAUUUAACACUUAGCUCGACAUUCUGCGUCGUCGAUCUUACUUGGUUUGGACUACCUACUGGCGAAUCUCUUCAUGUAAAGGUUUGGCUUGGAAUAUUACUUGUCAGCAUAGUUGCAUAGACCCGGCGGUUCUGUUCUUUUACCCAUCAGUCCAUUCGACUCGUGGUGCAACAAAUCUGAAAAAUGCUUUUAAUAUGCUAUUUUAGAGUUAGCUUUCAGCAGUGAUCUCGAACAAUUUCUUGUUCUCCAAACCGAGACUCGUUCAGAGUCAUUGAAAGCCUUCAAUUUCUGACCUUGUACUAGGAAGGUCCUUCCUGCUUUAUCUGUUUCUAGAUACUUCAAAAACCAUCUAAAGUAAUUGAAAAGACCAUGCGGAAAAAGUUAAUUGCUGUUGUACUUGGCGAGGCAACCCAAGUUUAAGUAGCAGCGUGCACUUUUGCUACUUCUCUAUGUAUUCUUACUCCUGAUGAGUGGCGUUGUUUGUAGCUUCCAUUCAGGAGUACCUUGCUAAUUCGGCAUCAGGUCAGGGUUCUCUGUCUGCAAUAUCCGAGUGAAGUGGAUAUCGCGCGUUCCUUCUCAACAUCGGUGUCUGGUGGAAUGUUUGCCAAGCAAGAAAACUCAUGUGCAGGGGACAACAGUGAGGAAUAUAGUACUUGUUUGGAAGAAUGUAAGGCACCAUCUCAUGACUUAUCAUCGAGUGAAUGCACAAAUUCUUACUGCAUUGAGAUAUUGUGCUUUUGUAAUACAUCACAUCCUCUAACAUGACAUCACGUGUUCAAUUUCUAUUCAUCGUAAAGGCAAAAAUUGAUAGCCACAAUCGUUCAUCGGUUAGGCUAGGACCCAUCUAGAAACAAGAGGUCGAAGUCAGAGAUUGCUUGAACAGGUAGCUGAUGUCGAGCUGGUUGAUCGAGCGGGGGUUGAAGGGUGGGGGUGAGAACUUUUGAUGGAAACGAGAGAGAUUCGUUGCUCAAAAUGCAAACAUUAACAUGAAGAAAAAAUUACAUUGUUAUGCCAAGAGGAUUCACACGAAACAAAAAUUAUAAUGAAUGCCAUACGACAUUCAUUGUGAUUUAUAAAACAUGGACAGAAUGAGUCUAAUAGAAAACACCAAUGCUAUUACAUUAUCAAUGACAGUACAUGCUGAUAGGGUUAAUUAUAUUUCGCAUCUCUUUUCUACAAGAGGAGAACAAUCACACAAUACAUGAUUUCGUAAACUCAUUGUCGUGGUCAAAUUGAUAACUACUAGAAAUUAUCGGAGCACUUGACGACAAUGAGACCAUUUCAAGUUCUAUCUCAUUGUUGUCAUCAUCAAUUGGUGCCUCUAUCGGAUACAAAAGCGGUUUUGGAGGUAGUUGCAGUUUAUCAAUAUCUCCUUCAAGCAUAUCUAGAACUUUCCUCAUUGAUGGCCGAUCAUUAGGGCUCAGCUGUAUGCACCAUAGCGCAACGAUUAUCAUCUUCCUUGUUUCUCUUUCCUCUUCUAUGACUUCUACCCUCUCAACCUCCUUUUCUUUGCUGAGUUGAUCAUAAACCCACAAAGGAAAGUAAAUUUGACUUGAAUGCCCUGCAUGUGCAUUUAUAUUUCUCCUUCUACCGGCCAUUUCCAUUAACAGCAUCCCAAAACUGUAAACAUCGGCUUUAUAAGAAAUGCCACCAAUGUCUUUGUAGAAUAGCUCUGGUGCCAUAUAACCCAAGGUUCCUCUUACUGCAGUCAACGAUACUAUACUAUGACCGAUGGGAUAAAGUCUUGCAAGUCCAAAGUCAGAAAUUUUCGGAGUGAAACUUUGGUCUAGGAGAAUGUUGUGCGGCUUGAUAUCAAAGUGUAGAAUUUGCAUAUCACAUCCCCGAUGUAGAUACUCUAUCCCUCUAGCUAUGCCAAGAGAGAUCUCAUGCAUUUUCUUAUAAUCAAGAGGAUCAUCACCAUCCUUAUUCGAAAUGUGUUUAUCCAAAGAGCCAUUCGGCAUGAAAUCGUAGACCAGAGCUUGUUUGGAGUAAUUGAAGCAAAAACCAACAAGUUGCACCACAUUGAUGUGGUGGAUCCUUCCAAUUGUGGCCACUUCACUAAUAAAAUCUUGGCCAUUAGAUUCUGAUUUGUUCAAAAUCUUAACCGCAACUUCAUUGCCACUUCUAAGGAUUCCUCUAUACACAAAGCCAUAUCCCCCCUCACCUAAUUUGCAUUUGAAAUUUUUUGUAAUCUUCUUGAUAUCCGAGUAAGAGUACCUUAUGGGCAAAAAGUUGUUGUGAACUUGUAGGAAUUCUUCGAUGUUUGCGUCAAUCGCCCGGUGCCUUCUCAUCCACUUAUAGAUUAGAAGUAUCAACACACACGGAGCUCCGAGUAUGAAUUUUGCUGCGACGUAGUUGGCUACAUAGAAAUUGUCCAUAGAUUAGCGCAGUGCAAUAAAUUUUUGGUAAACAUAAUCGUUUUAAAUCAGAGUGCUUCUUGAGAUCAUCAUAGUUGUGAGGAGAAUAGGCCCAGCAGUCAUACCCAAGAAAAAGGCGAGGCGCCAACCUACAAUUUCCGCGUACCGAUGCUUGGUCCACGUAGAACUAGGGGUGUCUGCAACAGAUUAAUUAGAGUCGGUGAUCAAUCAAUGAAGAAUUAAAUUUAUCAUUUUAGCAGUUAAACCUAAAUAUAAUUUACUCUCCUUGACAGCGCUUAGAUCACAGUUAAUUCAAGUCACCUAGCGAAUCCAUGUCAUCGUAGCAUGACAUUUUCUCUUGAAGAAAAGCGAUUUUGCUUUUGUUCACCUAUAUGUACCAAAUGAUUCAUAAGUUCACGUCUCGUUGCGCGUAAUUCUAAUUUUCAAACGUCAUUCAAUACGCGUGCAGUUUUUUCAGCCGCAUAACAAUAACAGCCGUGCAAGGGACACGAACAACAAUUAAAUCAACCAUUUUUCCCCAAACAAAAAUGAAGUAACAAUGUCAAAUCCAGAAAAGCUCCAAGACUCGUAAAAUAAACGAGAGCAGUGCAUGCCGACCCUACUAAGAAAUCUAUUUAAACUUUUCUACUUAAGUGAUGUGGCAAUUUUUCUAUUAUGUUUUUAAAGAAACUAGUGUCUUAAUGUGUGGAUUUUAUUAAAAAUACCCAAUUAAAACCUGCCACGUCACUUGGUAAGUAAAUUUUGAUCAGAUCUCUUAGUGAAGCUAGCAUUUAUGGCAAGGAGGAGGAGGAGGGAGAGAAAAAGAAAGAACAGCUUAAGGGAACGUCGCUUACGAGCACGAUAGCCGCAAUGCCCCCUUCGGUUAAUAAAACUUAAGAAGUGACAUCGAAAGAAUACUCUCACGGCACUAAAGCGCGGAUAGGAGAGAGUGAAUCCCUCGACCAUCUUGUUGUGGAGGUCCUUGUAUGGUAAGCUACCAUACUGAUCCCUUUUCCAACCUAAGAUUUGAUCCGAUGGGAAUACCAUCAUGGUUACGGUGCAAGAGUCCUUGAUAUCCCUUGCUCGUAGAUCUCCAUAUACAGCGUAUGAGUAUACCUUCAUUUGGGAAAAAUAAGGAGUUGUGUCGGCAGAGUAUGCGCCCUCAAUACAUGGUUUGGCAUCAAUAUAAGAAGUAGAAGUAACAGGUUGUGAGCACUUCAUGAAGGCCACAGUGACAUUGUCAUAUGGAAAUUCAUAUAGAUCACCAAAUGGACUAGACUUAGUAAAGUUGGAGUACUCCAAUGGGUAACGAGGAAGGGAUGAGCAAUUACCCUUCUGCAGUCCAUCAUCAACCACCGUGAUAUUACCAGAGAAGUCAUUUUGGUCAAUAUAGAAAUCGUAAUGAAUCGACUUCACAUAAUAUCGGCCAGCAUUUAAAUAUAGAACAGUGCGGUUAUUUUCACAAGCUAGCUCAUACUGAGAGCUACCGCAGUCUUUUGGAUCGCCUUUCAAUCGAAAAGGAUAACUUAUGUUACGAAUCUCACCGCAAGACGAAGGGGCACACAAGUGAUUCUUCUUCGCAUCGCAGCUCAUCCCUAACAAUAGCAGAACAUGCAAUAUGAGAAGUAAAACAUGGAGCAUAAAUAUCGAGCUGCGAGAAAUAAUCAUCUCUUUAUCGUUUGGUCUGAUGCAAUGGAAGUUUUAGCUCACUUGGUAAUGCGAGGGAUGCUUAAUAAAGGGUUGGGAGUCAUCGGUCAUCGAAAUGUCCAAGUCAACCCUAAAACAAAGUCUAGCGAAGAAAAACUUAAAAAGUAUGGCCCUGCAAAAACACGAUCUUGAGUGAAGAAAAAGUGGGUCGCAUGUGGAAAUUGCAGCCCUUGCAGUCAAGGCGACAAAAACACAGUGUUGGAAUUAUUUAUGGUGUGGCUUUCACAUUGAUUCGAAAAGAAACUUCUCUGCAGUUUUCAGAUUUAAUUUUCUUGGCAAAUUGACUCUUUAGGAAUCAAUUUUACUUCAGUAAAAAAAGAAUCGAUUGGAAUGUUAUGUACCCUAAAUUGAAUCAAAAUCCUUUCAAGUGAGGCAUUGGCAUUCAAUUUUAUUUUCAAGGCCAAUAUUCUCACGGUGGUGGGUUCACACGAUUAUACCUAUCCAUUUCCCGCAUCAGGUCAUCAUCCGAUAAGAAAGUCAUCAUGGUUAUGUUGCAAGAAUCCUCGAUGUCCUUUACUUGUAAACCUAACCCAUAAAUAGCGUAAGAGUACACCUUCAUUUGGGAAAUAUUAGGGGGCGCAUUGGAAGGGUAUGCUCCCUCAAUACAUGGUUCAGUAUUGAUAUACAAAGGAUAAGCAACGGGCUGUGAGCACUUCAUGAAGACUGCCGCAGAGGAUGAAGCAUUUUGAUAGUACGGAUACCGAUCACUCAAGUUGGAGCUCGCCAAUGAGAAACGAGGGAGGGAUGAGCAAUUACUUUUUUGCAAUCCAUCGUCAACCACCAUGAUUGCGCCCAAUAUUUUAUCCCCGAAAUUAUUGUAAUUGUCAAUCGACUUCACAUGAUAUCGACCAGCAUAUAAAUAUAGAACGGUGUGAUUAUUUUCACAAGCUAGCUCAUACUUAGAGCAGCCGCAGCUUUACGGGUCACCUUUCAAUCGAAAAGGACAGCGUAUGUCAUGAACAUCACCACAAGAUGAAGCAGUGCACAAGCGAUUAUUCUUCACACAGCAACUCAUCCCUAGUAGCAGUAGAACAUGCAAUAUGAAAAGCAAAACAUGAAACAUGCUCAUGGAGCUUAGAGACUUCUUUGUCUCUCUAUCGUUUGAUCUGAUGCAAUGAAAGUUUUUGCUAAUUGGUAAAUAUGAAUGAAAAGCGUUGGGUCGUCGGUCAUACAAAUGUCCAAGUCAACCAAUAAAGGCAAGUCUAGUGAAGAAAAAGUGUAUAUCCCGUGGAAAUUGUGACCCUUGCAAUCUACGUGACAAAACACAGUGUUGGAAUUAUUUAUGUAUGGCUUUCACAUUGAUUAGAAAAGAAACUUCUCUGCAGUUUCCAAAUUGACUUUUCUUGGUACCAUAAAUAAGAAUUGAUUUGAAUGUUUCGUAUUCUAAAAUGAAUCAAAAAUCCUUUCGAGUGAGGCAUUGGCAUUCUAUUUUCUUUUCAAGGCUAAUACUUCAUGUAUGUCGCUUAUUAAAUUGUGAAGACAGAAAGGAAAUACAUAUCGUAUUUUAUUAUAUGAGCUUUUUCAUUUUUAACAAAGAACAAAAAUUGGUAACAAAAAUAGCUUAUUGAUGGGAAUAUUAACUUGUAUAAUGUCGCUUUUGGCAUAAGUAAAAGGAAAACAUGGAGUAAGUGCUUCUUGGAUUGUGGAAUAGAUUAUGAAAGAAAGAAAGCAAUGCAAUAAUUGCUAUGGAGGGACCGACGCACCUAGAAAGCAGUACAAUAAUUGCUAUGGAGGGACCGACGCACAUAGAAAGCAAUACAAUAAUUGCUAUGGAGGGACCGACGCACCUAGAAAGCAAUACAAUAAUUGCUAUCGAGAGACCGACGCGCCUUGACUAGAACCUCGCUAACUUUGUCUUCACACAAAGACUAUAGAUGCAAAAUUUGACUUCAAAAACAUAAAGCAAUGUUUAUUUAUUUACUUUCGACUUUAAUAUUUCAAUCACUCUCCCACAAUUUUGCUAGAUCUAUGAACAAUACAAUCAUCUCUUUCCUAUAACAUAACCACUUAAUGAUUGAAUUGAUCAAUUUCAAUAAAACUGUCAUUUUGUCAAAUGAAAGAAAUGUUGUUGCCUACUUCAUCAUCAUCUUCCAUAUCUCUGAAUGUGUGAUAUUGAAGGUGUCAUGUAAGUUCAAAUGAGACUAUCGGUCAAUUUGCUUUUGUGAACAUAACAUCAAAGAGUUUCGCAUAGAAAUUCUUCUCAGUGAAACAGACACGCCUUCAAAUAGUUGUAAUUAGCAUUUACCAUAUAUUUUUCAAGCUAAUGCGUACACCUAAGUAUAAUUGAAGAGACUGAAAUGGAUUUUCCAUAUAAUACAGCAAAGUUUAUUUUAACUGACGCAUCCAAUGACGUUUUAACUGCACAUGUUCAAUUUUUUGUAGUAAUAUUAUUACUGAUUACGUUUUUAGUUUUCUUUUUAUUGCAUAUUACCCUUUCUGGAAAUUGGUUUGUUCUGCGAGCAGUUCCACACGCAAUGAUACCUUAGUUGCUUUCUAUAUCAUCAUUAAAUAUUCGGCAAUGAUUAGUCAAAUUUUUAAGUAAAAAAUCUCUUGUUGAAAGUAUCCGAUAUUAUCUCUUGCACGUACACCAAAAGAUUUUGGACAUAAAUAUGCAAAUUGAUGUAUCAACUAUCAAUUCAUUCAGUGCCAUAUAAUACUAUAGAAAAAUAAUAAUCUGUUUCGUAGUGUAGGAUCUUUCAUUUUUGACAAAACUGAAAUUUGUAACUGAAAAGAUUAAUAACGGCACUAAAGACUAUCGUUGUAAGUUAUAAGAAAAGAAUAAAGACCACACAAUAAUUUCUCACCCAGCAAUAGAUGAACGCGAGCCUCAAUUUGAAAGUCACUUGCUUCAUCAUUGCCUGACAUGCACGAAGACUAUAAGUGCAAUAUUCGCAUUCAUAAAAAUAAAGCAAUACGUGCUUCUUCACUAGCAAUUGAGAGUAUUAUUCUUGUAAAUCAAUCACUCACUCUACUCACUCUCCUGUAAAAUAACCCCAUCUCUUUCCCGCAAUAAAACCGAAUGAACUGACAGAUCUCAACAAUAACGUCGUUUUAUCAAACAAAAGAUGCUUUUACCUGCUUCAUAAUCAUUUUCCAUCUCCAAAUGUGUGGUAUUGCAAGUGUCAUGUAAGCUCAAAUGGGACUACAAGGAAGAGUGCUGCCAUUUUCAUUCUCUAUUGAUAGCUGCUUGAAUCUGCUCAAGACUCCUCCCUUUCGUUUCAGGGACCACCGUGAUCACGAACACCAUCCCAGCGGCGUUAAUCACCGCAUAAAGAAGGAAGGUACCUGUGAAGCAAGCGAGCAGAGUUAUUUGCUUUCGACAAGUUUUUCGGAAAGCAUAUUCUGACAUUUUUCUCAUGGAAAGAAUGCUUUAGUAUGUACUACAUGUCUAUUAAUCAUUAUGCAGAAAAACCCACUUAAUUUUUUUCUUUUUUAAAUGAUAUGUCGGCUCAAUUUUCAUGAUAUUCGAAUCUAGGCAGAAGUUGCCGUAAACGCGUUGAUUUGAAAUAAAUGGUCUGAAUAUGCAUUCGAGAGCAUGAAGAACGGAGCGACAGACACCUCUAGCUCCAAAUAGGAUUGAAAUGUUCAGGAAAAGCUUAAGUCUCAAGUCUGUAGUUUAGUCGAAUUUGCGCAACAACUCAUGUUCCAAUGUGAAAAAUGUUUAUCGAGCUCCUGCCAGAGUAACAGUUCAAAGAGUGUUUUCAGCAGAGUCGUACCGUAGGAGCUCCAGCUCAUUAAGUAGUUGAAAGUGUAGGAAACUGCCCAAGCGCCGAACCAGUUCACUAGUGUUGCGAAACCUCCAGCAACUCCUUUGAUAUUAAUGGGGAAAAUCUGAACUCCAGCACACAUUACAUGAUUGGCAAAAGAAUUUUGAAACUCUUGUACUAAUAACACCAGUUACGAAAACAACCCUUUAAUUUGAUAAGCAUGAAACUUCGGGGGAUGUUUAGGAUUACCUCGGACAUCACGACCCAAGGAACUGCGCCCAUUCCAGCUGAAAAUGCUGCUAUGUAUAGCUGAGCAUUGGAAAAAACAGAACAGAAAAAUUUAUACUAGGGAGUUGUUGCGGGGGCCAACUGGGUAGAGCCAGAAAGAGAUCAAGGCAGUUGAGAUUAUUACCAGAAUGCCGGUGACGGCAAGUAUUGGGACAGCAUCAGCCGCCAGAUCAUGAACCUGGCUCGGAAGAUUCUCAAAAAAUUACUGGUUGACAAGCAUUGCAAAGCAGAAGGAAGACACCAGGACUGAUAGUAUUUACCUUUAGAAAGAAUGAAAGGGCAGUUACUAUGCAUCCCAGGACCAAUCCUGUCCCCGAGAUCUGCGAUUGAGAGAGAGAGAGAGAGAGAGAGAGAGAGAGAGAGAGAGAGAGAGAAGGUUAUGGGUCAAGUUGCAGAACUUGCGAAAGGGGCAGAACCAGAAAAGCUUUGUUACUAUAGACAUGAUUUCUUAGCUUUCAUCUAUUUUACCAAGAGAAGGGGCUUUCUUCCAGCUCUAUCGACCAGUGCAGCGCCAAUAGCCGUGACAAUAACCUGCAAAAAUUUACUCUUUAAGCGUGACGAGUAUAAAACUAGAUCCCCAGCAAGAGGAAAGGGCAAGAAUUACAGACCUGGAGGAUUGCAUAAGUUAUGGUUCCAACGCUGGAGGAGAAACCUGAGGAGAUUGUACAAAUGCGAUUAUAAAGGCGAGACUAAUACCUUGCUUGUGAGAUUCAACGCUAAAUUAUGUGAACAGCUCAUUCAGUGAUAAUUAAGUAGACCAAAAGCAUUCGACAUAAUACCUUGCUUGUGAGAUUCAACACUAAAUUAUGUGAACAGCUCAUUCAGUGAUAAUUAAGUAGACCAAAGCAUUCGACAUUGAAAAUUUUACUAACCCAUUUGAAUAUUAACUGGAUUAUAUAAAUUGGAACCCCUGCUUUGCUUUUUAUUUAGCUUUUCAUUCUGGAAUCUAAAAUGCAAAGCAUACUUUCAUUUUUGUGGUGCCCAAGAGCUUCUUGCUAUGAACUGCAUACCUGCUUCCUCAAAAAUAUUGCUUGUAUAGAAACAGACACCAUUUAUCCCUCCGAACUGCUGGACGACCAUCAAUCCAACACCAAUCUGGCCAAAAUUUAACAAAUUUGUCAGCAAAAAGAACAACAAUGGGAAAUAUCACCAAAAGUACAACUACUGCACAUUCCCGAUUCACAGGAUAUUCCUAGAAAGCAACGAAGGAGGGACUUUAUUGGAUACAUAGCAGUAAAUACAGAGAGAAGAUUACAAUGACAGAGCUCAGAUAUCUUCUCUGAAAUAAAUCGAGAAUGCUGGCUUUCGGGAGCAGUUGAAGAGUUUCGAUGUAGUCCUGUCAAGAAAAACAAAUUCGAUCAUUCUGUCAGUUAUUUGUACUUAUAAAGCUGAGGCACUACGAUGAAACGAGUAUAGACUUAAAGCCUUUUACUUGUAUUUCAGCAGCCUCUUCAGAAAUGUCCGCAUCCUUUCCACGGAGUUUCUGCAGCGCAGCUUCAAACUCCUUUUCGCGGCCUGUUUUUGCCUGCAUUUGGCAGAAUCCUAAAAUUCAUUCCAACACUACAAAUCCCUCUCUUCCAACAAUUCAGGUAAGAAGAGUCUGGUGUUCAUCUUGAUUUGUUACCAGCCAUCUAGGAGACUCUGGAAUGAAAAACAGGCCGAACAGUAGGACUGCACAGGGGAUUAGACCUGCAUAAACAGCAGAUGUUCAAGGUGGUUUCAGACUUGGACUUUUCAAUACAACAUUGGCACUAAACUUGAAUUAUGCUACUUUUUUCUGUUUUACCAAUUAAUGCCAAAACCCUCCAAGCUAAUACUGUCCCAAUUAUGAAGGAAACGGACACUCCAGCAACGAUCAUAAGCUGUUGAGAGAAGAGAACAUGUUAGGCCUAGUAGGUUCUGUAGGAUGUACAUAUAUACACCAUCUUGCACUUGCAAGAGGGCAAAAUUUGCUACAAGCUAAGGCCUUUUGCCAAUAGCUCCAUGCUUGCAAUUUUAACCGAGAAUGUUCAUACAAAAUCUUUGCCUGAUUGACAGCAGUCAAAGCUCCACGGAGAUUUUUGGGUGUAAUUUCAGCUAUAAAUAUCGGUACCUGGACAUAAAUUAGAAAAAGAUUAACCAAUCUAAACCGAAGAGAGAGCCUCAUGUUGUCACUGUGAAUCGAGUCCAGCAUGUUGUCGUAGAACAACUUGCUACAUCAAAUUUGUGUGGUACGAAGUGAGGAAUUACCACAUAGGAAAAGACUCCCAUUCCAUAUCCCGUGGCCAAUCUUCCAAUAUCCAGAGCCAGUGCUCCCUAAUUUACUCAAAAUUAAACAGAACAGAGAGUUGAUGAGACUUGAAGUUCUUAUGAAACUAAUCGAUCUUCAUGUUUGAUUAGGCUUGUAAAUAGGAUAUGGACACACCUCAGCAAAGUAAAUAGCAAGCCAUCCUGCUACACAAAGAGCGCUCGCUAUUCUCAUUGUCUGUAUUUUGAGGCAAAUGUUUAUGCUGUCACAUCCUCCGUCCAUGAUAUGACUAAAUCCCAAAGCUAAAACUCUCAGAGAGUCUUGAACAACACUGUUCUGUUUUACAUUGUGAAAGACGCACUCAUUUGCUGCUUACCCAUUUACGGCCAACAAAAUCAGCUAUUGGUCCUCCGGUAAUUGCACCAAUCAUUGCACCGAAUGUCAGUAUGGAUCCAAAGACUGAAUACUGUUGAAAGACACAUAAAGAGUAACUGCAAAUCAGCUUGAGUUCAGUGAGAUUAAGAACUUCAGUUACCAUCUAGCUAACGAUGCUAUAAGUCACCGAAUGUCCGAGAAUCUCAGUGGAAAGCUAUUCUGAACAAACCUAUUACUUCGAUCAGAAACCUGAAUGAUAUGCAGUCGCAAUUUUCAGCUGACGAUACCCAAUCUAAAUCUCUUCAUUUUUUGGUUUUGUUGUCCUGAGGUGUCCAACAAUGGAACUCGAUGUGAAAAUUCGGUAUGCAUUUCACUCGUUACAAUGCAGAAAGAAUAAGAUGUCUAGAGAAAGAAGUAUCUCUACCUCAAAGCCAACAUCCUUAUUUUUGAGAGAGUCUUGUUUACAAAGUUUUUGAUCAUAUAACUCGUCCAUAUUAUGGAGCCAUAAUAUGAGCAGAUCGUUACUUUGAUUUCUUGUAUAUGGGCGCCUUCAGUGACAAGUCCGAUAGAAGCAACGGACAAAGACAACAUGACAUGUGCUUCUCAACACUCGCAGGUAAAUUCGACAUACCUCAGCUGUAGAGAGACUAAGUUCCUCCACUAUAGCAUCCUGAGUAGGUGAUGAAUAACCUGCCUGAAGAUCCAAUGGAACAAUUUCUCAUAAGAUUCAAUUAAUCACAUCCUUUUCAUUUUCACCAUUACUAUUGGACCUGGACUUUUCAAAAAAAAAUUGCAUUUCCUACUUACGCAGGUCCCGAAUUCAUAUGAACCGCAAACUGCAACAAAUGUGGUGAAAUAGACCAUCCACGGACGACCCUUAUCAAUUCCUUCAUCUUUGCCAGCUCGGUCCUUCUCUUGCGGCACGAGGAGCCGCUCUCUUAUUCCUUCUCUGUCCCCGGUUUCUUGAUUUUCAAUGUCCUCGUUAAUCGCCAUGCUUGCUCGCCUUCCAAAAAUGCUCCUUCGUUCCCUAUCUGACUAUGUACAAGGAACUAGCAAAUCUAUAAGCUCCAGAGAAGAUAAGUUCUCUUUCCACCGUGGCCAGUCUGCUUGCUUUAUAUGGAUGACUCGAAAUGAGAAACCCCAAGUGCUAAUAUGGAAACCCCAUCUCAGAUCGGUUUAUACUAGUGGUUUCUAGGAAUUCCUCGCUGACCUCAGUCUUGCAAACUGGCAAGCAACUCCUUGCUUUUCUGACUCGCCCCCGUUAAUGGUAUUGGAAUCACUAAUGGAACAGAGUCUCCGAAUACAGCAGGAUCACAGAUGUAAAGGGCUGCAUCGCUCUUUAUGGGCAAGGAGUAAGUGAAAACAUGGAACUGGACUUUCUCAAUGAUACGGCUCUGGAUAAAGACAAAGUAAAAACCACGGACAAAGUUCUAUCUUUUUCAGCCAACCACCGGCUAGGAAAACCAGAGUGUUUUUCUAACCUGGAAAGUAAUUAAGUUCUGUCCAUUUUUCCAUGGAGGCAUUGUUAUCUUCAACUUUAACCCACGUUUAUCGUGUAAGAAAGAUAAGAUCUCAAUUAAUAGUUUCUUAUCUCUUUGGUGCAAUAAGAAACUAUCAAGAAAAAGAACUGUUCUGCUAGAAUAUUACUUUUCUUUUGGGAAUUUUCUUAACCAAAACCCUUUUUUUUUCCCGAUUGGACGAUGAGCAGAAGAUAAUUUCUGCCGGACCUUCUUCUGGGGACACAUUAUCUUCCUUUUCUAUUAUUUAAAAGAAUCACUACAUAUGCGAACAAAAAGCAUGCAUAUAGCCUCCUUUGUGGUCAGUGACGCUUUUGAUGUCUGCUCAAAUGGUAAAGACUAGAUAGCAGGAAUUUCAAAAAGAGAUGUUUUUCAUCUUUCCUUAGUGGCCAAUUUUGCGGAAAAUGGCAAUUUAUAGAGGCAAGAGGUGGACAGAAUUACUUUCUACUAAGGACGUCAUGUACUGCCGAGGCCCACGAAUCUAAAGAAUUUAGCCACCAUGAAGCCAGCCGACGGGAAAGAAUUCGCAGGCACAACGCAAUGGACCAUAAAGUUGCAGAGGACAUUAGCCAAAAAUGUCCAACCACCAUUCUCCAACUACUUUAUUGGUCCACAUUUGCUGCAUCUCCCUCUUCUCUCACUUCACGAUUCGGAAUAGGCCAACAAAAUCCAGCAAGAAUAUAUGGCUGUGGCCUGCUUGAGAAAGGGAAAAUAUCAAAAUAUAUCUUACUCUUGAUCUAAUAGCCACUCACAUAUUUUCGUUUUGAUAAAUAUCAUUCAUAUACUUCCAAGAAAAUCCCCACAUUGAGAACAUUAAUUUGCCCCUCCAUGUAAACUCAUUUUAGCAUAUUCCUUACGGUUUAAGUAGACUGAAAAAGUGAAUUUUGAAUGGUAGAAUUCGUGUAGAUAUUUGUUAUUUUCAAAAGAAGAGGUAAAUGGUCAUGGGAUGAGAAAUAAUGUGUAUUUCGUUAUAUUUUUCUCAAAAAACUUAGACAAAACAAAUAUGCUAAUCUUAUAAGCACAUAGUGAGAUUUGUAUUUCAAGUGUAUUAGAAGAAAAAAGACCCUGCAAAUGUCAUAACUUUUGUAUAACGACCACUUAAAUACCAUAACUUUUUUUUCAAUCACUUAAAUGUCAUAAUGAAUCACUUAAGCAUUGUAAUUUUUCAUUAAUAAGGAAAUCCGAUGUGACAUGGCACUUAUGGUAAACAUUCUUUAAAAAUUACAACACUCAAAUGAUCAAUUAAAAGUUAUGGCACUCAAGUAAAGAUUUUUUUUUUUUUUAAAGUCAUGAUACUCAAGUAAUAAAAAAAAUAAAAUGUUAUGGCACUUAGGCGAGCACUGCACGAAAAUUAUGAUACUUGUGGUGUCAUUAUCUCAAUAUCUUAAUAUCCUUCUUCCAUUCAUGACACCAAAUCCCAUAAAAUAUAAUAAAAAGCACACAGAAACAAAAUUAUUUUAGCUAAUGUAAGCAUCUAAUUAAGUAGAGAUUAAUCAAGCUGAUUUAGGUUUUAGAGGUUGCCAGUCAUUUUUGCUCAACCCCUACUAAACAAAGCUACGAACAACAAGCGAUUGUUUUAAGCUAGUGGCUCCGUUUAAGCAUCCAAUUAAAAUCAGCAAGAUUAUUUAGCACAACCCUUUCAAUAUAAGAAGUUUUAGGAACCCUUAUCAUCACCUUGAAGAAGGGCAGCUGCGCAAUUGUGAUUAAAACACCUAGGACAAAGACAAAGCAGCCUUCCCUAAUUUAAAGGGAAAAUAGGUGGACGCCAUACAACUUGCCUCACCUCAUAUAUAUAACCCCAAGGCAUGGACUAAAAUUAGUCAUUUGUGGGUCCCUCUUUUGAAAGGUCAACCCACUUGUUGGAAUGGAAUGAAUUUGAUUGAUAGAGAAGGUCUGGAUUACUUGAGGGAGCGGAUAUAUCCUAAUUGCAUAAAUAAUAUAUUAAAUGUAAUAGAGCAUAUGCCACUUUCAUUUUGCAUGAUUGCAUCUAAUCUUAGAGAUUUGGACUCCUUCCUUCCUUCCUUCCUUCCUUUCUUUCUUUCUUUCUUUCUUUCUUUCUUUCUUAUUUUCCCUCCAAUCUUCCAAUUUGUGUAGAAAAAUAUGAUCCUUUUAGCAUGAGGAACUUGAAAAAUCGUUCUGCUGGGCUCGCACUGAUGAAACAAAAAUAAUAAAGCUGAGAGGUUAGGUGAGGUGAGCUGUGAAAGAAAUUUAUGUAUGAGUUAGAUUGUAAAAUAACCUUGGUCUAAAUUCUCAAUAUUUCUUUUGCUAUACGUUCUGAAAUGAAAAAUCUCUAUUUGGACAAGAAAUAUUUCUUUUCUUGAUGACUGUGGAUUAUAAUUAUACAAUUAUGCAUUACUAUAAGUUUUCACCAACCUGUUCAAUGAACAUGGCUUCAUCCAUAAGGAUACAUCCACGGAUGCACAAGAAUCGGAUUUCGACCAAGUCCAGAGAACUAAACAAGGCCUGGUUUUCCUCUCUUUAGGUAGACAUCCUGAUCGUGUUGACAAUCUUAUCCACCAAGACAUGUAAAUUCCCUAUUUUUAAGAGUACAAUGCCUAAGGAAACGAACAUUCGGUACUCUUCUUUCAUCCCGCUCUUAUAUUUUACUAGACAAGACAGAUUGCCAUACGUAUAAAGAUGUAUAAUUAGAGAAGAUCCAAGAGAAUAUAAUAUUAAAGGAUCGACUUAUUAAGACAUGACAAAUGCAACUUGAGUUCAUUAUUUGACCUACACCUUUUAAAUAAAAAUACAAAUAUAUUUUCGUUACUUAUAAAUUCCUAUGUAGGCUUGAUAUGAAAAAAAAAAAAAUUGUCCUAACCAUUACUAUUUUAAUACGAAACUAGAAAAAAGAAAGUCACCCAACACUUUUUAUGCCCAACAAAAGAAACAAAGAAAAGAUUUGCAUAUAUUUUGAGAAAGAAAAUCUAAAGAUUUCGACUUUGCCUGUAUGGAUGAAACAAUAUUUUUUAUUAAAUUUUAGAGAUUUUUGUUCUUAUCUUAUUAACCAACAUCUUUGCUAGUGAAUACAACAUAUUAUUACAACUUUCUUUUUUCUUGGACAUAAAAAAGAGUUUGGGCUCCAAACUAAAGAUAGUAUUACUUUUUAUGUAAUAUAGAUUAUAAAUUCUUUAUUUUAAGGAAGGGCAGGGGUGAAUCACCUAUAAUUAAUUUUUUUCCCCUAGAUAUCAACAUAGAGUACAUAAAACAACUACUUGCCCCCUCUAGACUUUUCUAGUUCUGCACAGCGUAUAUAAAUUCAAUUUGUUUAUGGCAACAUGGAAUAUUCUCUGAGCAACGAACUGUUGCUUUGAACUCACUUCCUCCUUCCUCCUCCCUUCCCUCGCUUGGACGUUAGCUCCAGGACAAAACAGAGAGCGGGUCGCUGGCCGAAGGACGCAAGGACGCGAGGCUGCGCCCGACGUUCGCCCGCGAAUGUCGUGCGGUACGAAGCCAGCUGGUCUCGUCCUUGAAGAAAGGGACAUAAACGAGAUAAAUGGGAGAGAAAGGCGGCAAAGGGAAGGGGAAGUCUCUCCCGUCUUUUUGGGUUUGUUCGGCCGAGGUAGAGCAACCGAGAGAGAGAGAGAGAGAGAGAGAGAGAGCUAGAGCUCGUGAGGGUGAGAAGGUGAGCUCGAGAGAGAGAGAAGGAGCGAGCCAGAGAAGAGAGGGAGCUCGAGGGUGGCUGCUUCUGGAAGGGUGCGGCUGAAAACCAAGGAGACGCUAGAGCCGCUCGAGAGGGGAGACCGAGAAGGUGGAGAGCGAGGGAGAGCGGGAGAGAGAGGCGACUGUGUUCUCGAGUUCUUCGGGGGAGGCUGGAGACAGCGAGAGCAACAGAGAGAGUGAGAUCCGAGAGAGUGAGCAAAGGGUGAAGCGGAGAGAGAACCGAGAGUGAGCGGAGGGAUGGACCGAGAGAAAGCAGAGACCCAGGAGCCGAACUUCGUUCUCGGACAAGCGUUACGCAGCCAUCCCCAACAUAAACCAGCGAUCUCCAGCCAACACCCUCGAGCACGUGGUGAGUUUUCUUUGGGUUCGAUCCACUUUUAUCUCGAUGAUCCUGGCUCGGUGCAACGUCGAGGCGGCCGACCAUAGCUCGUUUCGCUUCAGGCUCACCUACUGGCCGUCGCCGCCGAGCCGGGUAGGGAGUGGUCAAACACUUCUCUCUGGAAACUUCAUUGCUUGGUUUCAUUCAAGACGGAACCAAAACGAUAGCUGGGUCUCGUUUUCCCUAGUCCACCAGCAUGCUCGAUUUGAACGAGCCGUCCCUUUUGUCGAGUUUGAGUCGUCACUUGCUGCUUUCUUUUGAGUAAAUGACUUGGAGUGCUGCCAUUUUCAUUCUCUGUUGAUGGCUGCUUGAAUAUGCUCAAGACUCCUCCCUUUCGUUUCAGGAACACACCCUUUAAAUUCCCCCCUGGAGUUUCUGCAUGAAAAUUGAUUAUUCACUGGUUUAAUAGCAUGCGAGUAAUGACUGGACUUUAUCUAUUUAGAUAUGGUGGCGACUUUUGACUAGUUAUGCACUGUUCAGAAUGCCAGAUUCAUUUGUAGAGGUUUCUAGAGGAAGGAUUUUGUUUACCAUUUUUCUAAAUUAUACAGCAGGUAUUUAUAAUUUGCAUUUCUAAAAUGUAAUUUCCUUUCAAUUUCCAGAGAGAAGGAUCACAUUGUUUCUUGGUGCAACUGGGCAGAAGUUUCUAUCUAUGCUCGUGUGGCACGUAUAUUGAUUUUUUGACAGUCCUCCUAACGGUUUACUUGGUGACACCCAAUCACAUAUCGUUUGGCUACAUUUUGCUCCUCCUAUGUUGGAUCAUAGGAAGACAACUCUUUGAAAGGAAGAGAAGACACCGUUGGUUUCCAUUGAAAGUAUAUGCAAUCACUGUGUUUAUCUUAAUAUACAGCUUGAGCAAUUUCUCCGCCUUUGAGAUGUGGUUGUCAGGAUUGAUUGAUCUUCAUUUUUACUUGGCCUACAACUCAGAAGCUUUGCUAUUUGCAGAAUAUUUGGCAGUCUAAUGCAAUAUGGAUUGUGAUGCAGCUUUACAGCUACGAGAGGAGACAGAGCAAGUAUAUCCAGUCUGAUGACUCCAAACUUAUGGAAUUUGGAGUACUUGGAUUUAUGGAGAGCUUCCUCAUUUGGCACAGCGACAAGAUAGUGUGUGUAGCAAAGUUCUAUGCAUCAUUGUCACCAAUUAGUCUCUGCUCGGUCUUGUCAUUUGUUCCCUUUCACCUAAAGCAUCUUGAAUCCCAUCAAAGUUAUUCCUUCUUCAUACAGGAAUUCUGGUGAUGACAGAAUAUCUCUUUCAGAUGUGGGGUGCCCAGGCAGGAAUGUUUCCUGGACAAAAUGACUUUAGUUUAGCAAAGUUCUUGGGUUUUGAGUUAUUUCAGUCAGGCUUUUGGGGUCUAGAAUUGGGUUUAAGGGGGAAAAGUGUUGGUGAUAUCUGCUUGUAUCCUUCAAUACAAUGUCUUCCGUUUGGUUGCAAAAAUUACCAACUCACAUUUUGAGCAAAUAUUACACCAAAGAACCUUGCCCUCUGUUUGUAUCAGCAGCAGAAGUGUUUAGGGAUUUUUCUAAUUCAAACGGGGAAAGCAAACCACCUGCAGAUUCUCUUGCAAUUCCUUGUGAAGCAGAGGCCGUGAGAAACAAUUUGUCUUCCUCAGCCUCUGGUUUUUGUCAAGCAUCAAAUAAUGUACCCAAAGCUGGAGGCUCUGGGGGUGGUAGUGCUAGAAAUAUUCCUUUGGAUAUAUUUGGGGAAGCACCAACAAAAGCCAGAAAUGGAACAAGAAAAGGAUUAUCACCAUGAGAAGGGAGAGAUUUGAAACGCAGAAGACAAUCUUCAUAGUCUAUAUAAAUUUUUGGAUGGAGAAAACAUGUUUAAUCUCUUUGGCCUCAAAAUAAACACGGUGGCCUUGCUCCUUGCCUCCUUUGCUUUGUUAAAUGCCAUUCCAAUGCUAUAUAUUGCACUUCUUGCUGCCUGCAUACUUCUAAAUCGCAAUGUCAUUCGGAAAUUAUGGCCAGCACUUGUCUUUUUGCUUGCUUCCAUUCUCGUCCUACAAUACUUUGUCAUUUGGAAGAGCACACCAUCUGCCAAUACACAAACAUCAAGCAAGGCUGAGUCUGUAUUUCCUUUCGAAUUUUAUGAUUCUCCUGCCAGUAUGAAUGCUGAAAGUCUUCAUGUGAUGAAUUCAGCUGAUCAUUCAUUUGAGUUUUCCCAUUGCGAGAUCACUGAGGCUGAGAAGGAUGGUGGAGGUUCUUUAUAUGAUUCAGAUAAGAAAGAGAAGGUAAGCAUGUGAUAUCUAUGACUUUGCCUUUGACUGUCUACUCAUGCUAUUUUCAGUUCUCUGUGACAUCUAAAUUCUAUUGACCCUUCUUUGCAACAGGUUAUAUUUGUUGAUGCAGAGCAGGUGGUGCGAGCAGACAUGGGAGAACUUUAUGACAUGGAUCUGAAAGGAAGACCGCUUGCAUAUACUCCUUUUUGUGACAACAACAAGGAGAUGGAUGGAUAUUGCUUUUGGAGACAAGUACAUAUUGAAUCAAUUUAUUCUUGUGUUCUAUUUCAAGCAAUAGAAUGCCUUUGCCUUUUCCAAUCAAUCUAUUCGUGUUUUAUUACAAGCAAUAGAAGGCUCUUGCCCUUUCAGAUCAUUGCUGUCUACAUCCCUAAGUAAGCUCUUUUAUUUUCUCACAAAAACAGGGUUUCUGGAAGGAGCACUUACGCGGAAGACCAUAUCAUAUGAGGUAGAUUUUUUAGACGGUUCCAUUCUGUUUUGGCGCCAUUGGUAUCAUAUAUGGGUUUUAAUUAUGAUAUCGUUCUGCAGUGCACUGUACGUUGUUGAUUUGGAGAAAUUUCGAGAGACUGGGCAGGAGAUAACCUGAGAGUGUUCUAUGAAUCUCUCAGCAAGGAUCCAAACAGUCUGUCCAAUCUUGAUUAGGUCAGUUCUUGGAUAAUAAACUGCAAAUUCUUCAGCAUGAGAUAUUCUUUGCAAGCUUAUAGCUGUGACUUUCUAAAAAGAUUCUCGCAAGGUGUUAAUUUGUAAAAGCACUGCUUAAAUAUCCGUGAGCAUAAACAUAGCAGUUGUUUGUCUAAGUGCCCUCUCUCAUGCUUCAGGACCUCCCGAAUUAUGCUCAGCACACCGUGCCUAUCUUCUCAUUACCCCAAGAAUGGUUGUGGUGUGAGUCGUGGUGUGGUACAGCCACUAAAUCCAAGGCAAAGACUAUUGAUCUUUGCAACAAUCCUAUGACGAAGGAAACCAAGCUUCAGGUAAGUUCAUUAGGUUGGGUUCUUUUCCUACUGCCAAAAUGAUUCGUAUAGUUGUGAUGUAAUUUUGUUUUUGUUGUCCUCUCAGGGUGCGAAGAGAAUAGUUUCUGAAUGGCCUGAUCUUCACUUAGAGGCAAGAACGUUUACUGCGAAAAUUCUCAGAGAUGAAUCUGAGCUUCAAGAAGCAGUGGCUUCAGAUAAGUCGCAGGAUUCACAGGGUGAUGAGUCAUCGGUAGAGGAGCUUGGCCUUGAAUCCAAGUCAGAGCUGUAAGGCACGGUUUCAUUCAGCCAUGACAUGAUUGAUCCCAAAGUGUAAUCCUGAUCGAGGAUGGAAGGGUAACUAUCAGCAAAGAACGUUUUGGAGUUGCAUCAACUAAGCAAAAACAAGUGGUUAUGGUGUACGUAUGCUGUCGAGAUUGGGGAUGGAGAUGCACACCAUCAAGAAAAUGAGGUCAUGGGGAGGCUGUGAGAAAGGCAAGGUAGCGCCGGUAGAGAUUUAAAAUUUUCUCGAGAAUUUUAGAGAGAAGCGAGCUAUUCAUUUUGCUUAGUUUUUGUUAAUCAGCCGGGUAAUCUUAUUUUAAUUGGGCUAUUUGCAAAUGCGUGAAAUAACGCGCUUGAUUGUGGAAUUUCUUCCUCGAUGAUAAAAUCACAGGUGAAAGGUCAACGUUUCGAUUUUGUUAGAAUGCCCUAGUACACACACUUGGUUAUGUAGUCAAAUAGGGAAAACUUGUAAAAUUUUUUGAUGGAUGAACUUUUUAUCGUGAUGCUUUCGGAGACUACCGAAAGUUACGUACUAGCCAUAAGUGCUAUGUUCGAUUAUUUUAAUGGAGGCAUGGAGUGGGCCUGUGUGUUUUGCUUAAACCUGAUCUCGGGUCUCGGCCCGGCCUAGUUUAAUGACCUCAACCGGUCAUUGCCCCUCGUGCCUUAAGAUGUCCACACCUUGCAGCGCUGGACGUUUGGGCCUUCCUCUACCCACUUCUUAGGCGUUUGUCGUAUGGCCCGGCCCAUUAUUUGGCCUAAUACUUAUUGGUCCGGCCCAUUAUUGGGCUUAACUUGGGUCCUCUUAGCCUUUGCUGCCGAUGUCACCACCUUCGGAUCUCUACCCUCGGAGCCGAAUUGAUAUCUCUGAAAACUCGGCGCGAAUCUGAGCCUCGUGCCACAAGUUCCUCGAUCAGCAGCUGCUCCGUCUUCUAGGGUUCGAGAGGGUCCGGAGGAGGUAGAGAUCGAGAGAGAACGAAAUCGAUCCCCCCUCGUGAUUCCCAACCGCUGGCGCUCAAUCUCCAAUCUCCCGCCAAUGGAGGAAAACCCUGUUGGGAAUAACGGAUCCCCGAAAAACGGAUUCGACACUAAAUCGAACCCCUAAAUCAAUGCGGAAGACGAAGCCAGGGAAAACACGCAUCACCGAUUGUAAAGUACACCACGGAUUCGAGCGUACCUUGUUAGCAACAGAUUAAACACCAAUGCUGAAGAUUGAGGAAGAAAUUCUGAUUCAAUGAUGUCAAUUUGCCUUGAAAAGGGAAACGACGUUGCCUUGAGCGUUUUGGAAGAAAAGAGAGCGUUUUUCUUUUCUUUUUCUUGGAGGGAGAGAGGGAGAGGAACGUACGUACGUUCUGAUUUCCCAAGAGUUGUCUUCUCUCUCUCUCUCCUCCCUUUUAUACCUUCCCCCAUUCACGGGCCCUAUUCCCGUGGACCGGGCCUUUUUGGGCCCAACUUGAGCGGAUGGGCCUUAAGCCCAUCUCAUAAAUCCAUCAUCUCCCACUCGCACAUGGUGGUCCAAAACCAACAUGGGCGGAUAGGCCCUACUCAACCCCAUCAGAGAAAAAUCCAUCAUAGACUCUCACUUAACAUGGUGGGCCGAACAGAAUCCUCUUUUCCUCUCUUCAACAUUCAUACCGGUGAAUAAUCCGUGUGACCAGCAUACUUUGAGAGCUCGUUGCCAUACAUCUGUUAGGAAUGUAUAGCAGCUCAUAAUGGGCAUCACACUUCGAGUACAUUUAGUAUGCAGUACCCUAGAUCGAUCGAUCACAUUUAUAUCUCUCUUGAUCUCUUUCAAACAAUGAUAUAUAUAUUGUAUUCACAAUUAUGAUUAUCACAGACAAUCAUAAUUGGUUAACCGGUGAAUACAAAACUACAAUGUGAUUCUCCAAAAUCGAUCUUCCUCUUUCCUUCAAACUCUCAAUUUCAGUCCAGCUUGCUUUUCUAGAAAUGCCCCAUUAGAUCGAAUUACUCAUGACCAUUGGCAACAUCCUAAGAUAGCAAACACUAAAUAGAAAUCUUGAGAAUAAGUAAGAGUCAUGAGGAGACUAAGAAAUUGAGGAACUCUCUUCCUCAAGAGUCUCACACGACAUAAAAGUUGAGAUCAAACUUUUGCCACUCUUAUCGGUCGUCUCAUGCAUACGUAGUAUGAAAUACGUAUUAUGGUAUUAAUUCAUUUCCCAUGGAGCGUAUGUCUAUACAUUUCAAUACCGUACAAAUGAUAGUUCAGACAUACCCAAUGUCUAACUUGAGUUCACGUAUCUACUCAUUCACAAAAUUCAUCAGAACUCACAUUUGGCAUCUUAGACAGAUAAAGUAAAAUAUGUGGGGUAUUUUACUUUCGGACAUAGUAAGUAUUAUAUCCUCAUCUUAACACUUAGUUAAGGCGACAUACAUGUUUUAAGCUUGAGCUCUCGAUUAUCACCCAGAUAAUAAACUUUAAAACAGUCUCAUCUCUAUUUAUCACACAGUAAAUAGAGGCGAUUACCCGUGUGAGUGGGCUAAUCUUAUAUCUGUCCGACAUACUUUUCAACUUAAAGUAAUGCACUAAGCAUUAAGAUGCAUAAAGAUCAAACAAAGAUUCAUAGGCAUUAAUGAUGAAAACACAAAUUCAUCAAAUGUGAACAUUUAUGGAAAAUACAAUAUUUAGUACAUCAGCCUCUACGCAAUUCUAGAGAUUUCAUAUGGCCACAAAACACAUCUCUAGGUAUUGGCUUUAUCAUAGGAUCUGCUACCAUUCUAUGCGUAGUAUGUACUCUAAGUUCACAUCUUUUCGUGCAACCAUAUCCUUGACAAGAUUAUACUUGGUAUCUAUAUGUUUAGUCUUGCUAUGAUAUUUUGGAUCUUUGGUAUAGCUUUUUGCUGCUUGGCUAUUACAGUUAACCAACAACAAAUCUGCAGCACUUCCAAUAACACCUAAAUGAUCCAAAAAAUCUCUUAAGCCAAACACUUUCUUACACUGCUGCUGAUAAUGCAACGAACUCAACUUACAUCGUGGACAAGGCUAUACACUUUUGUUUCUUACUGCUCCAACAUAUGGUGCCAUUAUUCGGUAAGAAAACAAACCUAGAGAUAGAUUUUCUUUUAUCUAAAUCUCCUCCCCAAUCAAUAUCACAAUAGCCUUUGAGUUGCAGAUUCUUUCCUUAAUAACUCAACGUAUAAUCAGCAGUCCCCUUUAGAUACCUUAGUAUUCUCUUAACGGCUUAAUGUGCUUGACCUGGAUUGGAUUGGUAUCUGCUCACCAUUCCAACUGCAAAGCAUAUGUCGGGUGUUGUACACAUCAUAGCAUACAUCAAACUCCCAACAGCACUAGCAUAAGGAACAUGUUUCAUUUGUUCCUUCUCUUGUGGAGUCCCUAGACACAAUUUAUGGCUCAAUCAUUCACCUUUUGCAAUAGGAGUGUCUAUGGGUUUACAAUCCCAUAUCAUUCAACUCAAAGUUAGAAGACAACCAUCUCUUGACAGUAUUAACCAACUCCAUAUUGCUUCCAGCAAUUAGUAUAUCAUCAACAUAUAAUGAUAUGAUCACAAAUUGAUCCUUGGAUCUUUUGAUAUAUACACAAUGAUCCCCAUCUAUCAUUGUAAACUCAUAUGCCAUUAUGGCACUAUGAAAAACGUAUAUACCAUUAUCUCGAUGACUGCUUAUGGCCAUAUAUCGACCUCAAAAAUCGAUACAACUUUUCUUCUUGGCCUUUCAUUAUGAAACCAGCAAGUUAUUCCAUAUAUUUCUUCCUCUAAUUCUCCAUUGAGGAAAGCAGUCUUUACAUCCAUUUGAUGUAACUCAAGAUCCAUACUUGCCAUUAUUGCCAGAAUAAUGCGAAUCAAGGUAAAUCUCACUACAGGAGAAAAUGUAUCUUGAUAAUCAAUUCCUUCCUGUUGAUUAUACCUCUUCGCCACAAGGCGAGCCUUAUGCCUUUCUAUUGAGCCAUCAGUCUUUCGCUUUAUUUUGAGAACCUACUUGUUCCCAAUAGCUUUGUGUCCUUUUGGAAGAUUAACCAGUUCCCAGACUUGGUUUAAUUUCAUUGACUCCAUUUCCUCUUUCAUUACAUGAAAUCAUUUUUCCUUAUUAGGGCAAUUCAGAGCCUCAUUAAUAUUUCUUGGCUCAUCCUCAUCUUGUGGAGCAACCAUAAAAGUUUCCCUUUCAAUGUCAAAACAUCGACGAGGAAUACUUUGGCGACUUGUUCACCGUAUGGGAGAUUGUACACUUAGCACAUCAUUCCCCAUCAUGCUCCCACUUGGAUUAGGUAAUGAUGAUGUCGUUACAUCAGGUGGUUGCAAUUGAGAAUGAGUUGAAUUCAAUUCAUCACAUCUCAUAUUACUCCCACUUGGACGAACUCCACUGACAUCAUUAUCUUGAUCCAAGGUUUCAAAUAGGGAGUAAUUUUCCCUUAUUUCGCCCCUUUUAGAAAAUUCAUCCACUAAGGAUGUGACAUCCCGUGAUUCAAAUUCAGUUAUACUCCCACUUUCCUGCUCACUUAUGAACACAUACCCUUUUGAGUGUUCGCAGUAUCUCAUGAAAAUACUCUUAUUUUCUUUCGGGACCCAAUUUUCCAAACUUGUGAGAGGACUCAUGAGCAUAGGCAGCACAACCCCAUGACUUAAGAAAACUUAAGUCCGAUUUUCUAACUGUCCAUAACUCAUAUGAAGUGGAAAUAACUGAUUUGGAAGGCACCCGGUUAAGUAUAUAGGCAGCAGUUAAUAACACAUCACUCCAAAAAGUGAUAGGUAAGUUAGCAUGCGCCAUCAUGGACCUAACCAUUUCAGUAGGGUUCUGUUUCUUCUCUCCGCAACACCAUUUUGUUGAGGAGUAUAUGGAGUAGAUAGCUAUCUUUCUAUUUCUUUUUCAUCACAUAAUUUUCUGAACUUAUCAGAUAAAUAUUCUCAACCUCGAUCGGAUCUUAAUACCUUUAUUUUCUUGUCUAAUUGAUUUUCUGCCAGGUUCAUAAACCUUCUGAAACAAUUUAUGCUUCAAAUUCAUGAGAAAUCAAAUAGACAUAUCCGACUCGAGUAUAAUCAUCUAUAAAAAGUGAUGAAAUAAACAGCCCAUUGCCUUCCUCUCACAUUCAUUGAACCACAGACGCCCAAAUGGAUUAAAUGCAGAGAAAAUUCAGCUCUUUUACCUUUUCCAAAUGGUUUCCUUGUCAUUUUCCCUAUUAGGCAAUGCUCACAUAUGGACAAAUCGACUUUUUCAAUAUUGCCCAACAAGCCCUUUUUGGCUAGUCUUUUUAUAUGUUGUUGGCCUAUAUGACCAAGUCUAGCAUGCCACCAUAUUCACAUCAUUAUCAUAUAAGGUAGAAGACGUAAAACAAGGGAAUAACAUAUUGACAUCAUCACAGUCAACAUUUAGUACAAUAAAACCAUUCAGUAAGUGACCACAACUAUAGUAGUUUGUAUCUAAACACAAAUCUACACCUUUAUUAUGGAAGUUCAUACCAAAACCAAGCUUAACCAACACUAAGACAGACACUAAAUUUCGACGAAUCUCCAGAGCAUAUAGAACAUCAAGAUGCGUCCACCUUGCAUGUUCAAUUGGCAGGUGCCAAUCCCUUUAACUUCAGCUCUAGAGUUAUUUCCAAUAUAGAUCCACUUAGUUCCAGUUGGUAUCGUCGGAAUUCCACGAAGGAUCCUCUAUCCUUCGCUACAUGGUCUAUCGCUCCUGAAUCUACAGUCUACAAAGGAUUAUACUCAGUCAAGAAUACAGAACUCGACACAAAAGUAAAGUUCUGAAAAGUACAAGGGGUGUUUACUUUAUUUGGCUCACGACAGUUGCGAGCAUAGUGACCCUUCUUGUCACAAUUAUAACAUUUCACCCAUGACAUUUUCUUCACUUGAGGAUGUUUUCCUCUCUUGUGUUGGUUAACUCUUGAUUUCUUGCAAUAAGGACUUGAUCCUUUGCAUUCCCACAUAUUGAACGAAUCAAUACGUUUGCGCUUAGAGCACAAAGCCCUUUCUGAGCUAGAACCAGCAUUGAAAAUAUCUAUUUUCGGCUCAAAUACCGUUAGGCGGUCCUCUACUAGCUCAAGGUGGCGCAUGGCAUCCUUAAGAUCUUCCAUAACAUGGUUAAGAGCUUCUAGUGCUUCUUGCUUUUCCAGCACAUAUUGAAUCUUCUUAUUUAAUAUUUCACAAUUGUUACCGUUCAUAUCAGCAAUCACGUUCUUAGUUACUGAAACCAUCGAUCUGAACACAUCAGACAUAUAUGCACGAAUAAUUAAUGCCUAUCAUUUAUGCAUCCCUACUUGCAUAGACCCAUCAUAUUAAUGAAUAAUUUCAAGUAAGGCUUUAGAAUCAAAAGGUCACUAUGUUUCCAAUCAUCCUCCAAAAAUCCUAACUCAAAAUUACUAUUAAUAUAAUUGUCUUAUGCAAAUAAAUUCUAUGAAGUUACAUUAAACUUCUAUUACUACCCACAGUUAAUUACCCACAGCAACCAGCAAUAGCAGAAAGCAUAUAAAAUCUUAACAUCCAAUAAAAUAACAAUACUUUCACAUGAUACAACUAACAUAUCGGUUGCUAUAUCAACAACAAUCAGGUAGUAAACAUUACAUAAUUAAUCAAAGAAAUAAAUAGGGAAUGUCCCUUCUAAUCUAUCAGCCAUAAUAUCUGAGAAAUUUGAAGGCACAUUAGCUAACCAUGGAAAAAAUUUUGGAGAGCAUUCAUGUCGCCUCCAAGGCGCAUUCACUCGGCGCCAUGUGGCGCUCAAUCUAAGGGUUGAAGUUUUGGCCAACUCAAUCCUAUAGUGCUUUCUUACAAAAGCUUCCACCAGCCUCCUAUAACCAGGGACCACGUUGACCUCCCAUAGCCGAUCCAACACUGCUUGCCAUUCAGGUGGAAGAGUGUUCAUCAAAGCCCGAACCUUCUCAAAAUCCGGCAUAAGAUAAUCAUUCCAGAUGAUUUCCUGUAUCAUCUGGUUGACCUUGACCACAUGUGAUACUAAAUCACCAUCAUGCCACUGAUAAUUAGCUAAUUCUGACAUCAGCCUUUUAAGUCUUGCAUUUCCCUCGCUCGUUCUCGGGAUUGCAGGUAUCCUUGCAUAACGCAUCAUAGUUCCUGCAACAAAUGCAGAAUUAAAAAUGGAUCACUUAUUAUCCAUAAUUAAUAUAAGGGAAAAUACAUAAUUUUCCAAAAUUCAUGCAACAAAUGCAGAAUUAAAAAUGGAUUACUUAUAAUCCACAUAGGCAUGACUGAAAAAGAAAACAAAUUCCUUUUUUUUUUGGGUCAACGGUCAACGCUCGGUCAACGGUCAACUGGUCAACGGACGGUCAACAGUCAACGGUCUUCGGUCAACGGUCAACGGGUCGGGUCAACGGGAGUGCGGGUCGGACCGCUCGCGCGGACCGACCGCACGUGCCUCGCGCGUGCGGGGAAUGACGUCACGCAUAUGUCAUCCGGCACGUGCCGGGCGCGUGCCUGCGUCCGCGAGUCGGGUUGGGUCGCCGGUCGGGUCGGGUCGCCGGUCGGUGACCGCCCGGCGAAACGUCGUCGGCGAUGACGUCAUCGGUGACGUCAUCCGAGCGGUUACCGACGUUGGAUGACGUCAUCGUGUGACGUUAGCACGCGUCGGUCCGCGGACCGACGCGUGCCGGUUCGCCCGCCGGCGGCGUGCACGUGUCGGUUCGCCGACCGGCGCGUGUGCCGCACACGCUGGGCGAGCUGACUCUUUCGGGCGCGUCGCGCCCACGCGCAGCUCCUUCCGGUCGCGCGUGUGGGCGCGUGCGGCGUCGCCCGACGGCGUUCGACCUAUCCCCGGACUCGUCUCGACGUCGCCUUUCACCCAGUGCCUUCAAAAUUUGAUUUUGACUUACGAAAACUUAGAAAAAUGGCCGAACGACGCUCGGGUGUCGGGAUUUCUCGCCCCGAUCCGUACGGCCGAAAGUUUUUUCGCGAAAAAUCAAUCAAAAAACAUCAAAUUGAUCGGGAAAACGUGAACUAGGGCUCUGAUAUCAAUGUUGGGAAUAACGGAUCCCCGAAAAACGGAUUCGACACUAAAUCGAACCCCUAAAUCAAUGCGGAAGACGAAGCCCGGGAAAACACGUAUCAUCGAUCGUAAAGCACACCACGGAUUGGAGCGUACCUUGUUAGCCACAGAUUAAACACCAAUGCCGAAGAUUGAGGAAGAAAUUCUGAUUCGAUGAUGUCAAUUUGCCUUGAAAAGGGAAACGGCGUUGCCUUGAGCGUUUUGGAAGAAAAGAGAGCGUUUUUCUUUUCUUUUUCUUGGAGGGAGAGAGGGAGAGGAACGUACGUACGUUCUGAAUUCCCAAGAGUUGUCUUCUCUCUCUCUCUCCUCCCUUUUAUACCUUCCCCCAUUCACGGGCCCUAUUCCCGUGGGCCGAGCCUUUUUGGGCCCAACUUGAGUGGAUGAGCCUUAAGCCCAUCUCAUAAAUCCAUCAAACCCUUGCGGCGAGAUCAGCUCCGGCGAUGAUAGCGUCGCCGAUCAAAAACCGCGCUUCGUCAUGGAUGAAUUCGCUCCGGUAGGACGCCAGAUCGAAGCUCCGGGUCCCCAUCAACCUGCCGGACAAUGAAAUCUCCCUCCUCCGCAGCCGGCGGAACCUGAGCUUCAGCGAAUCGUCCGCCACCGAAUUCCCGACUUCUCCUUCUCCAUCUCCCCACUCCUCGUCCUUGGCCUCAGCGUCAAUCGGUCGAAUCUGCAAAGGGAAGGCUCCGGCGACGGCGAGGGUGAGCCUCGAGAACAGCGCUAGCGGUGGCGACCCCCGUGGCGGCCGGCAGGCGUACAAGAGCAUGAGGACGGUGGUGGAGGUGCUGCGGGAGCUGGACGUGGACAUAGUGGCGCUGCAGGACGUGAAGGCGGAGGAGGAGAGGGAGAUGAAGCCGCUGUCGGAGCUGGCGGCGGCGUUGGGGAUGAGCUACGUGUUCGCCGAGAGCUGGGCGCUGGAGUACGGCAACGCCGUCCUCUCCCGGUGGCCGAUCAAGCACUUGAAGGUCCAGAAGAUAUUCGACGUCACCGAUUUCAAGUCCGUCAUUUCGUUUUAUUUUAUUUUAUUUAUUAAUUUAAUAAUUUCCACAUAUUUUUUACCUGUUAUUCUUGCUAUCAUUUUCGUAAUUAUGGUGACGAUGAUAUGCUCUCUUUUUCAUUGAGCAAGUGGUCUUCCUAGGCGAUUUCGGAAUUUAAAAGAUAUUUUCAUUUAUUUAUUGAGGCGUCCACUGUUGAAAGCAAAGUUUGAUAAUAUAUCAUAAAUUAAUACUCCCACUGGACAUAUUAUAUAAUUUUUUUUUUAUAUUUUCCAAGUGGAAAGAUUAAUUUCGCAGACCAUCUACAACAGUGCAAAUCCACUUCGGACAGUUGAAAAUUCGUUGAAAUUAAGGUAAGGUGGAUGUAAUAAAAAUUCACAAGACCAAAAAAUAAAAGCAAAAACAUAAGCUUUUGCCUAGCCAUCAGAGUUUGUGGAUGAAAAUCUUGCUGUCACUUGGUUUAUAUUUUGUCUUUUUUUUUCCCUCCCCUUUUUAAAACUGUUCUAUUUGGAAUUAUAUGAAUGGAGUUGUCCAGGAACUGAUCUGGGAAGAAUUUGGAAUAUUAUUCACGAGAACCCUACCACCAAAAAUUCAAGAAUUCCCCAAGGCUUUUCUCCCACAGCCUGUUUGCCUUUGUACAACUUACGGAAAGCUAUCUACAACAACUAUGGUGGGCCUUUCCAAGGAUCCCAGCACCAGCUGUGAGCAAUGCCAGUCAGAAGUAAAAUAUAAAUUAAAUUUUUAAAAAAACCCAUUUUUUUCUUUCUAUGAUUUUAGAUAUGGGUUCUCCAGAGAAUUGUCAUUUAUCAAUAAUAAUAAUAAUAAUAAUAAUAAUAAUAAUAAUAAUAAUAAUAAUAACAAUAUCUUCGGUUAUAACUAUUCGAAAUUCGUGCGAGUGUGUGUGAUGAAAGACUGUCUUGGACCUCUUUCAUUCCUCUUUUUUUUUUUUUUUUCAUUUCUGGUUGCAUUUAGUGGGUUGAUAUAGUCAAGAGAAUGCUUAGGAACCUGCUAAAUUACAUAUAUAUUUUUUGCUCUUUAGUAUUUAAAUAAGGAGUUGGGAAGAUAAACGAAGGAUAAGAUCUAUGGCGUACAUUAAAUGAGGGCAGGGUAAGGUGUAUGUAGGUAGGACAGUAACGUGGGGAGGAUUUUGCUUUUGCUUUAUUUUAUGUAUUUGCCAAAUCAGAUGCUUGACCCGAAGACUGUACAAGGACUACUCAUCUGCAAGGAAAACUACAUUUCUCUCAAGUGAGACAGACCAGAUAGAAUCAACUUGUUUGAGACACCACUCAAUUGCUCGUCAUGGAGUCAAUUUCUGAGACUUUUGCGUUCGAUUAAUUGAGCCACGCCUUAGAUAGUGAAGGGAUUAUGUGCUUCGUUGCGCGAAAAUUCAUAAAAAGAAGAAAAUGGUGGAUUGAAAUAUAAUUGAUUGACAUAUUAAAUUGACCAGGAAUGGAAGUGGCUGUGAACUCGAUAUGUUUUAUUACACAGGAAUGUUCUGAAGGCAACAAUAGAAGUGCCCCAUGUUGGGGAAGUGAACUUCCAGUGCACCCACCUGGAUCAUCUCGACGAGAACUGGCGGAUGAAGCAAGUCGGCGCCAUCAUCCAGUCGAGCGACUCUCCCCACAUCUUGGCUGGUGGCCUCAACUCUCUGGACAAAACCGAUUACUCGCAAGAGCGGUGGACCGACAUCGUCAGGGUAUUUACAUUUCUGUCAUGUUUAAUGUGAUAUUCGUUAGCACGUCAAACUCGAUUACUAAAUAGCUUAAGCUACGGCGAUUUUGUAAUCAUGGGCACCUGUGUUUGUUACAGUACUAUGAGGAAAUGGGAAAACCGACCCCAAAGGUUGAAGUCAUGAGGUUUCUGAAGAGCAAGCAGUACACAGAUGCUAAGGACUUUGCCGGAGAAUGCGAGUCCGUGGUUGUCAUAGCCAAAGGACAAAGUAAGAACUCACUUGUUCGCUUUCCCAUCUUUCGAUUUUUCUUUUUCGCUUUGUCAAAUGGCUAAUCUAAGGUGCUUUUGAAGCACGAUGCUCCUUUCGCUCGAUGAUCAUAUGAUUGACUUGAAUGGACGGAAAUUCAUAACAUUUGAAGCAUGAUGAUCAUGUUGAAUAUAUACAUCCGAUGUUGUCAUCACUUUGUUGAUAUCAACCUUUGAUGUGAAAAUCCAUAGUAUAAAAAUUGAAGUCCAAAGUCAUUUUUUCGAGUGAUUAUUGUUUGAAUAUGUAAUUUGAAAUUGUUUAUUCUAUUGCAGGUGUGCAAGGGACGUGCAAAUACGGAACGAGGGUGGACUACAUACUGGCGUCACCAGAUUGCCCAUACAAGUUCAUUCCGGGGUCGUAUUCGGUCCUGUCAUCGAAAGGGACAUCGGAUCACCACAUCGUAAAGGUUGACGUAACGAAAUGCGAAAACAACCCUCCCUAUGAAAGCAAUGGCAACAACAAUAAAAUUACCAAGAAAAGGCGACGACAGCGCAAGAACCAGGCCGUUGUAAAGAUCUCAGGCACAGCUCCUCCUUCAAAGGGUAUAUGGACAACGAACACAUUAAGCAAAGUCGAAUGACAUUACAUUUAUAUCUUCCUUUUCUUUCCACUCUUUUCUCAGCUUCUGCUCCUGUUGCUGCUGUUGAGUGAUCUUGGGCAUGCUGGCUUCGUCAAUCUCUGUGUAAAUCUUCGAUUGUUUUGUGCAUCUUGUCUUCUCUGGUUUUUUUACUUCAGUUUAGAGUUGAAGAGGGGAGGAUACUGGUGUGAUGGCUUCCUCAGAGGGUUCUGGUGUGAUGGCUUCCUCACAUCUGUAUAGAUUUCGACGCGACAGAGAUGAAUUCUUACGUUUCAACUAGGCAUUGGAGCUGAGCGGUUCUGGCAAGUUCUUUUUCAGUAUUUUAUGCCUUUUCUUUUCGCUUGUAAUCUUAACUGUAAGAUUCAGAUUAGGUUGAGGUUUGAUAAUGCGAUCUUGUAUCUUUAGAUUUAAUUGAAAGUUGAAACGUUUUAGAUUAAAAGUCCUUAGAAUAAAAUUGCAAAUUUCGAAAAUUGAUAUUUUUUUUUUUGUUAAGUUGGACAUCAAGUGAUUGAUAAGGGCCGUUUGUUAAAAACAAUUUCUGUUCCCCGGAAUAACAAUUUCUAUUCUUUUGUUCCAAGAAAUGAAAAAAGAAUAGAAACGUGUUUGGUAAAACUUUUGCUCCCCGGAAUAAAAUAUAGAUCUUUUGUUCCCGAGAUUAGAUUUGGAACAGAAACAUCUGUUUCCCAGAAUAACAAUUUCUAUUCUUUUGUUGCAAGAAAUGAAAAAAGAAUAGAAACGUGUUUGGUAAAACUUUUGCUCCCCGGAACAAAAUAUAGAUCUUUUGUUCCCGAGAUUAGAUUUGGAACAGAAACAAGAAGUAAAAAAAAGUAGCUUCUUAUUUCCGAGAUCAAUUUCUAAAAUCAAUUUUCCUCUCUUUUUUUUUUUUUUUCUUCUUCUUCUUCUUAACAAUUUCUAUUCUUUUGUUCCAAGAAAUGAAAAAAGAAUAGAAACGUGUUUGGUAAAACUUUUGCUCCCAGGAACAAAAUAUAGAUCUUUUGUUCCCGAGAUUAGAUUUGGAACAGAAACAAGAAGUUAAAAAAAGUAGUUUCUUAUUUCCGAGAUCAAUUUCUUCUUCUUCUUCUUCUUCUUCUUCUUCUCGGUGGUGGUCGGCGAUCCGCCAAAGAGAAAAAGAAAAAGGAAAGAGGAAAAAAAAAAGAAAAGAAAAAAGCUCUUUUCUAGCUUCCAUUUUCAACCAUACUUGCCUAAGUGUGCGAUCAAUAUGGACUUUAGAAAAGCUUAUGACACGGUCAAUUGGGAUUUCCUUGAGAGAGUCAUCUUGGCUUUUGGUUUCCCUGAGUUUAUAACUCGGCUAAUUAUGACGUGUGUUCGCACUUCUAAGUUUUCGAUUGCUUUGAAUGGAGAGCUUCAUGGAUUCUUUGCAAGUGGUCGUGGACUUCAUCAAGGUGAUUCUAUCUCUCCCUAUUUAUUUACUUUAGUGAUGGAAGUCCUAUCAGGGAUCUUAUUCAGAUGCACUUUGAAGCCAGAGUUUAAGUUCUUUUGGAGAUGCAAGCCCACGAGCCUUUCACAUCUUUUCUUUGCAGAUGACGUUUUCUUGUUUUCGAAGGCGGAUUUGCCCACUAUAGCCAUCCUUAAAGAAGGUCUUCAAACCUUCUCUACUUGGAGUGGCUUGUUCCCAAAUCCAAAUAAGAGUGAAAUCUUCCUUGUUGGAGGCACGCCGUCCUUAAGAAACCAGAUUAUCUCUGAGUUGGGUUUUCACGAAGGUAACUUUCUGGCUCGCUAUAGGGGGUUCCUAUCAUUACCUCGAGGCUCACUAAGGUUGACUGUUGCACUCUCGUCAACCGCAUCAUGGCGAGGGUUCAAUGUUGGACUCAUUGCUUCCUUUCUCUGGUUGGGUGUUUGUAGCUCAUCAGGUCAGUUCUUCAAGCUAUCCAAGCCUAUUGAGUGAGUGCUUUUUGUUUUACUUGUAGUUGUUCUAGAUCAUAUUGAAAAAAUUCUCAGACAAUUCAUUUGGAAAGGGCCGGAGUUAGGUAGAGGGGGUGCCAAGGUUACUUGGGAGGAUGUGUGCCUUUCAAAGAAGGAAUGAGGGCUUGGUAUCAGGAAGGUUAAAGAUUGCAACAAGGCUGCCAUGUUGAAACAUAUAUGGCUCUUGUUCUCAUAUAAAGAGGCUUUGUAGUGCAAGUGGGUUCAUUUCACGUUUUUAAAGGACAUGAACUUUUGGGUCGGUAGGAAGCUAGCCUUUUGUUCUUGGGCCUGGAAGAAGCUUCUAAGUCUUAGAAGCGAAUUUCGGGACGCCUUCUUUUGGAGGAUUGGGGAUGGCCGCUUGGUCUCUCUUUGGUUUGACAACUGGCAUUCUAGAGGACUGUUGAAUUUAAUCUUCUCAGACUCACUUAUCUACAGCUCAGGAUUAUCUAGAUAGGCCUUAGUUGCAGAUUUUUUCUCUAAUGCUGGCUAGGCUCUCAAAACAAUCCUUGAGUCGUGGGAUUAUCUUCUUUCGACCCCUACUCAGGUAGCGGAUUGCUGUUGUUGGAGGGAGAACCCAUUGGGCCGGUUCACGGUAGCAACUGCUUUGGAAACCAUCAGGCGCGAGCGGAACAUCAUUUUUUGGCAUGAUUUCAUCUAGGAUAAUGCAAUCACGCCAAGGUAUUAGCUUAACCUUUGGCUUAUGGCUAAGCACAGAUUACCCACACAAUCUCUGUUAUUGUCUCAUGGUAGAAUAGAGAGGGGAUCUUCUGCAUUCUAUAAUGGGUUGCCUGAUUCCAUAGAUCAUUUGUUUUUUGAUUGUUCUGUCACGGCCGGUGUUGCUUUCUUUUGGGUGGCGAGAUACAAUUUGCCUUGGCAGAACAGGUCUUAGGGAGAGAAUUUCCAUUGGGCCACCUCUUUCUUGAAGGGUAAGGACUUCUUUAAAUGCAUUGCUCGCUUUUCCUUUGGGGCUCUUUGUCACAUUAUUUGGAAAAAUGGGAAUAGCAUCCUAUUCAAAGAACAACCCUUUACCGUCUCGACUAUGAAGAACCAUCUUUUUAAGGUAGUUAGGGAUAGAGCUAGCACCUUCAGAAACGUUGAGGAUAGCUUCAGAAAUAGAAGGUUGCUAAGGAGUUGGGGCAUCAAUAACGUUAUCUUUUCGGGGGACUCGUAAUUGACCUGGUUUUGGCCGAUGCUUCAAGGAACUACUGGUGCUCUGGAGCCGAUGUCUCUCUCCUCCGUCGCUGAGGUGUUUGUUUCUUUGCCAUGCCUUUCUAGUUGUUGUUUGUCUUCUUUUGGGCGUUGCCUUGGGUUUUACAUCAUGGCAUCAUUCCACUCAUUAUGUUUGUUCAUCUUGAGUGCAAGUUUUUGGUGCCGUGAUCUUUUGUACUUUUGACCUUUCCUCUUUAUAUUAUUACCUUUUACCGAAAAAGAAAAAGAAAAAUAAUAAAAUGAUUAAAAAAUUAAAAGAAAUGAAAAAAUCUAAGAAUUUUACUAAACGUAUUUCUAUCCCAGGAGUAGAAAUUUUGAAAAGUUACCAAACACGUCUUUUUACUCAGAAAUUGUUUUUCAUAACAGAAAUAGAAAAAAUCAUUUUUGAGCAAAAAUUGCUCUCUAGAACAUAAGCGUUAACCAAAUGCCCCCUAAAAGACCCAAAGAUUUCAAAUGAAAUAUCUUUAAAAAGAAAAUAAGGAAAAAAAAAACCUGUGAAGUCUGGUAAUUAUGAAUUCUAAACAUUUGUGAUUGUAGUCAAUGAGUCAAUGCCUUCAUUCUUUUUUCUCCGGUUUUGAAAUUAGCAUUGGAAAGAAGAAAAAUGGUAAGUUAGUGCAAUCUACUUUGACAUCUUAACAAAUACCUUCUGUGAUCUCUAAACGGAGCCUUGAUGAGUAUUAUAAGUAAAAGUGCAAUGAAAAGAGAGAGAAAUAGAUUUUGUAUAUAAUAGACAUUGUUUGGCUGAUGUAUCAUGCUUAUUUAGCUUAUGAAUAAAAAACUGCCUCUCCCUUAUAAUGGUUGGCAAACUGCGCCCCUUGCAUCAGCAUAGUAGAGGAUGCAAGUAUCUCUCAGUUGGCGUAUACUCUUCAAUUGAUCCUCCUUGAUGUAAUUUAUGUCGAUUGAAUUAUUUAUUUCGAUUUUGCUUGGGAUCUCAAUUUAGAAAAUCAUGGGAUCUAAAGCUCAGAUAACAACAAGCGGAAUUAAUUUUUUUUUAAAAAAAAUACAGUUAAGACAUUGCGUCAAUAUCGUUGACCAGUAAGAAUCCCGGUACUUGUGACCUUGCAGGUCUGCUACUCGGGACCUCACUAAUAUAUGACAUUAAAAAUAAAAAUAUAUUUUUUAAUGAGACAGAAAGAUAAUUAGUCAUUAAUAUUUGAUACUUCUACCCUUUGUUUAAGGGCAAUGCUAGUAGGUCACAUGACACAUCCAGUGACGUUUUCACUGCACAUGUCCAUUUUUUUUUUCUAUAGUGAUAUAGUUAAUUAUUAAAAUGUUGUAUUAUUUUUUCCUUUUUGUUGUGAAUUUCCCCUUCUAUAAAUCAUGAACACGAACACGAGCACAAAAUUUUUUCGUCGAAAUAAUUGGUCUAUUCAGCACAUGCCGAUACCUUUAAUUGUUUUCUAUAUCGUGAAUAAAUUAUUAAGUGAUGAUUGGACAAAUCAUUAAACAGAAAAAUCUCUUGACGAAAAGUAUCCUAGAUUAUCUCGCGCAUGUAUGCUGAAGAUCUAGACAUACAUUAUUGUAUUUUAGGCUACAAGAUUGGCUCUCUCUUUGUCACUGAUUUUGUAAGUGUCCUACUGCUUUUGGAUGGUAAUUUUUUUUGUAACUGUUCGACUUUGAAAUCGGCAAUGACCAGGAGUAACCAUCAUCGAUCAAGCCCUCUUAAGUGAACACUUAAAAAGAAUUAGUCUCUUAAUCGCUUGAAUUGUGUUAAAUCAGAGGUAUUGUUUGUAGAUAUCAUGAAUAAUGGGAAAAUUUCCAAAAAGGUCCUAAAUCUAUUGCACUUUAGCCAAUUAAGUCAUAAAUCUUUUAAUUACGUCAAUUGAAUUCUAAAUCUUUUCACAUUUUGCCAACUGAGUUUAUUGGGCCAAUUUUAAGAAAAAAUCACCGAUGUGAAUGCCAGCCGUCUUACGUAGGAUGGUUGAUACUAAUGUUGGCAAAUUCUUAUAUUUUUUUUUAAAUGGACUUUUUUAAUUUUUUAAUUUUUUAAUUUUUAAAUUUUACCAUGGCUUGUGAGAGUCGUUGGGUCCUUGUAGCUACUAGCGAAGACUCAGUGACCCUUGCCAGACAUGGCAAAAAAAAGUAAAGGAGGAAAAUAGAAGAAAAGAAAAAAUGAAAAAAUAAGAGAAAAAGGUCCAUAAAAAUUCAAAAAAAAUGUUUAAAAUAUUUUAAAAAUUCUCCACAUUAGCGUUGCUUGUGCCACGUAAGAUAACCGGUAUCCGCAUUAGCGAUUUCCUAACAAAAUUGAUCAGAUAAACUCAAUUGGAAAAAUGUGAAAAUGUUUAAAAUUCAAUUGGCAUGACUAAAAGAUUAAUUACUAAAUUGGUAAAAGUACAAUGAGUUUUUUCUAGUAAUUUUCCCAUGACUAACAAGAUAAGUACACUAAUGGUGCCAUAAGUUGUGUACGGCGCUCACUUUGGUGCCAAAAGUUUCCGUCGGAUCACUUAAGUGCCAAAAAAUUUGAAAAAUGCUCACUUUGGUGCCAACUCCGACGAAAUUGGCCAGAAAUCCGACGUGGCCUUUUUUUAUUAAUUUUUGACGCCGACGUGGCUCGUCGGAGAGUUGAGUCAGCAUCCAAAUACCAAAACGACACCGUUUGGUGUCUCACCCAAUUCAAAACCCUAAUCUCCGGCCGUCGCCAUCCUCGACGGUCCUUGCGCUCGGUGGCCACGGCUUCGACCCCGACCUCGACCUCGACCCCAAUGCCGACGAUGGCCACUCAACGGCAGCGGCUCCGACCUCAACCCCGACCCCAACCUCGACGAUGGCCACUCGGCGGUCGUAGCUCCGACCCCAACCUCGACCCCGACUGCGACGAUGGCCACUCGACGGCCGCGGCUCAAACCCUAACCCCGACCCCAACGAUGGCCACUCGACAGCCGUAGCUUCGACCCCGACCCCAACCCCGACCUUGAUGAUGGCCACUCGGCGGCCGCAGCUUCGACCCCGACUCCGACCGCAACCCCGACAACGGCCACGUCUUCGACCCCAUCGAAACCCUAAUUUCUUCCCCAUGUGAGCUAAACGGCGUCGUUUCCAUGAAGCCAUCCACGUAGGACGGCAAAACGACGUCGUUUUCUUAAGGAGGACCGAAAACGACGUCAUUUAAAGGCUUAUCGAUUUUUAUUUUUUUAAAAAAAAAAAUUCAUUUUGGCAGAAAUCUUUCGCCAGAGGCCAGAAUCUUUCGCCGGUGGCACCAAAGUGAGCGUUUUUCCUCCGAUUUGGCACUUAAGUGAUCCGACAGAAACUUUUGGCACCAAAGUGAGCGCCGUACACAACUUAUGGCACCAUUAGUGUACUUAUCCCCAUGACUAACUAGCAUCUCUCUUCCAUCCUGAUUCUGAUCAUAGUUUAAACAUGAUAUCAUAAACAAACCACUAAGAAGGUUAGUUAGUAACCUUUUUUUAUCGUUUGCCAAGCAUGUCGUUCCAUCAUCUUUCAAUAAAUUCUCAAGUGGCAUUUGUAGAGAAAAGUUUUCAUCUCGGCUCACUGGCAAACUGAAAAUUGUAAUGGUCAUGAGUAAACGGUCAGGAUGAUAACGAUAUUUAAAAGUACUUGUGUAGUUCUUCGCCUGUUAGUGUGCUAAACUUGGAAAAUUUCGAAUCAACAUCAAUUUAACACUGUCUUUACUCGAAUAGCUACAGAACUAUGUAAGAAAACACAAGGAACAAGAAGAGAUCCCCGAAGCUCUAGACAUGGCAUGACCAUGAAAACUCCACCGAGAGCUGGUUUUUGUCCUCGGAGUAGAUGUGAAAAUGUGGCAGAAUUAAAGAAUAAGCAAAGAUUCUUCGUAUCUAGCACUGUAAGCUUGCUCGAUAUAGAGUGAAACAAAGGGACAUUGCAUAGAGUUUGCACCUAUAUGAAGUUCACGAUGGCCAGGAGCAAUCUGCGCCACAUGACCUCAACUUAAGUGCAUCGCCGUAUCAAUAAUCAGUUCUUCCACAAAUAGAAUUGAUACGCAAUUUACGCUCGAAUUGUCCUCUAUUCACCUUUCACUUGGGGACGGUUUUCCAUGAAUCUCUUCCAGCUCCUCGAACCUGUUAUCGAGGGCUCUUCUAAGUGAGGCCAUCUAUAUAUGAUCGUUUGCUUCUGGAAGUCGGUUUAUGGAGACCUUGAAGUUCAGCCUAUGAAUUUUGCUGUACACUAGACGGGUCCUGUUGUCGUACUUCGAACACUUAUGUGAGGUUUUAAUUGUUCUCGCCUUCCUCUCACGGUGCAGCAGAGGAAUGAAUGGUCUUUCUCAUCAGGAUGAUUCUCCAAUAACGUGAAGAACUGCAGGAAUAAGUAAGAAACUCGAUUCUUGAGAUGUUUCUCUCUCAUGUCGUUUACUUUUUCUCCAUUGCGUCAAACAUAGUACCUACUCUAGUGAUUAGCUUAACUUUCCAUUUCAAUCUGAAAGCUACUCACCUACAUUUAUAGGAUUCUUAAUAUAAAUCACCUGCUUGUGCACACUAUCUUACUUGGCGAAUUCUGUCAUCAGCACUAGUUUAAAUACAUGCAUCAUUCGAGAGCGCAAGUGCCUUUGAUGGCUUAUGGCCUGAGGCAUGGCGUAAUUGUUUUUUUGCCUUGUCAAAAGUGUUGCGCAGAGGACCUGAAUAUUCUUUUGAUAGGAAUUGUCUGUUUAGAUGAUCAUAAUUGCUACCAUUGCUAGAACAUACUACCAAUAACAACAUGAUAGUCGCGGUGUGCAUUCUAGUUGAACAUAGUUUCAACUUCGAGUUGUGAUGCUAACUGUGCUCGCACUUGUGGUUCUAAAAUGUUGAUGAACAGAGCUGAAUCUGACAAGCUACUAGCCAUUCCUGUCGGUUUUGUUGGAUCAGAAGAGGUGGUAAGGUCUGCUCCACAUCUUGUACCUGGCGGUAAUCUUAAUUGUCCUUCAUUGGAAGAACAAGAAAUGAGAAUAAAUGCUGCAUUAGACGCUGCACAUGCACCAAUUUCUCAUCUCUCGAACCUCAUUGUUGACGGCCACCGGGCUGCAAACUUCAGGGGACCUUUGCAACCAUCAGACUUUUAAUGGUUCGAAGCUUGAGCCACUUGGAUUCAUACCCUAUCCCUUACUUUCUCUGAAGGUAUUUAUGAUAUUUAACACUUAGCUCAACAUUCUGCGUCGUUGAUCUUACUUAGUUUGGACUACCUACUGGCGAAUCUUUUCAUGUAAAGGUUUGGCUUGGAAUAUUACUUGUCAGCAUAGUUGCAUAGACAUGGCGGUUCUGUUCUUUUACCCAUCAGUGCAUUCGACUCGUGGUGCAACAAAUCUGAAAAAAGCUUUUAUAUGCUAUUUGAGAGUCAGCUUUCAGCAGUGAUCUCGAACAAUUUUGUGUUCUCCAAACUGAGACUUGUUCAGAGUCAUUGAAAGCCUUCACUUUCUGACCUUGUACUAGGAAGGUCCUUCCUGCUUUAUCUGUUUCUAGAUACUUUAAAAACCAUCUAAAGUAAUUGAAAAGACCAUGCGGAAAAAGUUAAUUGCUGUUGUACUUGGCGAGGCAACCCAAGUUUAAGUAGCAGCAUGCACUUUUGCUACUUCUCUAUGUAUUCUUACUCCUGAUGAAUGGCGUUGUUUGUAGCUUCCAUUUAGGAGUACCUUGCUAAUUCGGCAUCAGGUCAGGGUUCUCUGUCUGCAAUAUCCGAGUGAAGUGGAUAUCGCGCGUUCCUUAUCAACAUCGGUGUUUGGAGGAAUGUUUGCUAAGCAAGAAAACUCAUGUGCAGGGGACAACAGUGAGGAAUAUAGUACUUGUUCGGAAGAAUGUAAGGCACCAUCUCAUGACUUAUCAUCGAGUGAAUGCACAAAUUCUUACUGCAUUGAGAUAUCGUGCUUUUGUAAUACAUCACAUCCUCUAACAUGACAUCACAUGUUCAAUUUCUAUUCAUCGUAAAGGCAAAAGUUGAUAGCCACAAUCGUUCAUCGGUUAGGUCGAAGUCAGAGAUUGCUUGAGCAUGUAGCUGAUGACGAGUUGGUUGAUCGAGCAGGGGUUGAAGGGUGGGGGUGAGAGCUUUUGAUGGAAACGAGAGAUUCGUUGCUCAAAAUGCAAACAUUAACAUGAUGACAAAAUUACAUCGUUAUGACAAGAGGAUUCACAUGAAACAAAAAUUAUAAUGAAUGCCAUAAGACAUUCAUUGUCAUUUAUAAAACAUGGGACAUAAUGAGUCUAAUAGAAAANNNNNNNNNNNNNNNNNNNNNNNNNNNNNNNNNNNNNNNNNNNNNNNNNNNNNNNNNNNNNNNNNNNNNNNNNNNNNNNNNNNNNNNNNNNNNNNNNNNNNNNNNNNNNNNNNNNNNNNNNNNNNNNNNNNNNNNNNNNNNNNNNNNNNNNNNNNNNNNNNNNNNNNNNNNNNNNNNNNNNNNNNNNNNNNNNNNNNNNNNNNNNNNNNNNNNNNNNNNNNNNNNNNNNNNNNNNNNNNNNNNNNNNNNNNNNNNNNNNNNNNNNNNNNNNNNNNNNNNNNNNNNNNNNNNNNNNNNNNNNNNNNNNNNNNNNNNNNNNNNNNNNNNNNNNNNNNNNNNNNNNNNNNNNNNNNNNNNNNNNNNNNNNNNNNNNNNNNNNNNNNNNNNNNNNNNNNNNNNNNNNNNNNNNNNNNNNNNNNNNNNNNNNNNNNNNNNNNNNNNNNNNNNNNNNNNNNNNNNNNNNNNNNNNNNNNNNNNNNNNNNNNNNNNNNNNNNNNNNNNNNNNNNNNNNNNNNNNNNNNNNNNNNNNNNNNNNNNNNAAAACUGUAACAUCGACUUUAUUAAGAAAAUGCCACCAAUGUCUCUGUAGAAAUAGCUCAGGCGGCCACAUAACCAAAGUUUCCUCUUGCUGCAGUCAACGAUACUAUGCUAUGACAGAUGGGAUAAAGUCUUGCAAGUCCCAAAAUCAGAAAUUUUCGGAGUAAAACUUUGGUCUAGGAGAAUGUUGUGAGGCUUGAUAUCAAAGUGUAGAAUUUGCAUAUCACAUCCCCGAUGUAGAUACUCUAUCCCUCUAGCUAUGCCAAGAGAGAUCUCAUGCGUUUUCUUAUAAUCAAGAGGAUCAUCACCAUCCUUAUUCGAAAUGUGUUUAUCCAAAGAGCCAUUUGGCAUGAAAUUGUAGACCAGAGCUUGUUUGGAGUAAUCGAAGCAAAAACCAACAAGUUGCACAACAUUGAUGUGGUGGAUCCUUCCAACUGUGGCCACUUCACUAAUAAAAUCUUGGCUAUUAGAUUAUGGUUUGUUCAAAAUCUUAACCGCAACUUCAUUGCCACUUCUAAGGAUUCCUCUAUACACAGAGCCAUAUCCCCCCUCACCUAAUUUGCAUUUGAAAUUUUUUGUAAUCUUCUUGAUAUCCAAGUAAGAGUACCUUAUGGGAAAAAAGUUGUUGUGAACUUGUAGGAAUUCUUCGAUGUUUGCGUUGAUCGCCCGGUGCCUUCUCAUCCACUUAUAGAUUAGAAGUAUCAACACACAUAGAGCUCCGAGUAUGAAUCUUGCUGCGAUGUAGUUGGCUACAUAGAAAUUGUCCAUAGAUUAGCGCAGUGCAAUAAAUUUUUGGUAAACAUAAUCGUUUUAAAUCAGAGUGCUUCUUGAGAUCAUCAUAGUUGUGAGGAGAAAAGGCGAGGCGCCAACCUACAAUUUCCGCGUACCAAUGCUUGGCCACAGAAUUAGGGGUGCCUGCAACAGAUUAAUUAGAGUCGGUGAUCAAUCAAUGAAGAAUUAAAUUUAUCAUUUUAGCAGUUAAACAUAAAUAUAAUUUACUCUCCUUGACAGCGCUCAGAUCACAGUUAAUUCAAUUCACCUAGGGAAUCCAUGCCAUCGUAGCAUGACAUUUUCUCUUGAAGAAAAGCGAUUUUGCUUUUGUUCACCUAUAUAUACCAAAUGAGUCAUAAGUUCACGUCUCGCUCCGCGUAAUUCUAAUUUACAAACGUCAUUCAAUACGCGUGCAGUUUAUUCAACUGCAUAACAAUAACAGCCAUGCAAGGGACACGAGCAACAAUUAAAUCAACCAUUUUUCCCCCAAAAAAAGAAAUGAAGUAACAAUGUCAAAUCCAGAAAAGCUCCAAGAUUCGUAAAAUAAACGAGAGCAGUGCAUGCCGACCCUACCAAGAAAUCGAUUUAAACUUUUCUACUUAAGUGAUGUGGCAAUUUUAUUAAAAAUACCCAAUUAAAACCUGCCACGUCACUUCGUAAGUAAAUUUUGAUCAGAUCUCUUAGUGAAGCUAGCAUUUAAGGAAAGGAGGAGGAGGAAGAAGAGAAAAAGAAAGAACAGCUUAAGGGAACGUCACUUACGAGUACGAUAGCCGCAAUACCCCCUUCGGUUAAUAAAACUUAAGAAGUGACAUGGAAAGAAACUUGUCAUAUAAAAGUAGCGCGGAUAGGAGAGAGUGAGUCCUCGACCAUCUUGUUGUGGAGGUCCUUGUAUGGUAAGCUCCCAUUCUGAUCCCCUUUCCGCCAUGAGAUUUGAUCCGAUGUGAAUGCCAUCAUGGUUACGGUGCAAGAGUCCUUGAUAUCCCCUACUUGUAGAUUUCCAAGUACAGCGUAUGAGUACACCUUCAUUUGGGAAAAAUAAGGAGUUGUGUCGGCAGAGUAUGUGCCCUCAAUACAUGGUUUGGCAUCAAUAUAAGAAGUAGAAGUAACAGGUUGUAAGCACUUCAUGAAGGCCACAGUGACAUUGCCAUAUGGAAGUCCAUAUGGAUCAGACAUACUAAAGUUGGAGUUCGCAAAUGGGUAACGAGGAAGGGAUGAGCAAUUACCCUUUUGCAGUCCAUCAUCAACCACCGUGAUAUUACCAAAGAAGUAAUUUUGGUUAAUAGAGUAAUCGUAAUGAAUCGACUUCACAUAAUAUCGGCUAGCAUUUAAAUAUAGAACAAUGCGGUUAUUUUCACAAGCUAGCUCAUACUGAGAGUUACCGCAAUAUUUUGGAUCGCCUUUCUUUCAAUCGAAAAGGAUAACUUAUGUUACGGAUCUCACCGCAAGAUGAAGGGGCACACAAGUGAUUCUUCUUCACAUUGCAGCUCAUCCCUAACAAUAGCUGAACAUGCAAUAUGAGAAGUAAAACACGGAGCAUAAAUAUCAAGCUGUGAGAAAUAAUCAUCUCUUUAUCGUUUGGUCUGAUGCAAUGGAAGUUUUAGCUCACUUGGUAAUGCGAGGGAUGCUUAAUAAAGGGUUGGGGGUCAUCGGUCAUCGAAAUGUCCAAGUCAACCCUAAAACAAAGUCUAGCGAAGAAAAACUUAAAAAGUAUGGCUCGGCAAAAAGACGAUAUUGGAAUUAGUGAUGGAUAGCUUUCACAUUCAUUAGGGAGGAAAUUUCUCUGUAUUUUCCAGAUUUGAUUUUUCUUGGCAAAUUAAUUCUCUCUAGAAAUUUAUUUUAGUGUCGUAAAAAAGAAUCGGUUUUAAUGUUUUGUACCCUAAACUCAAUCAAAAUCCUUUCAAAUGAGGCAUUUGGUGUUCUAUUUUAUUUUCAAGGCCAAUAUUUCAUAAGUGUCACUGUAUUAAAUUUUAAAGACGAAAAAGGAAAAGGAUGAUGUAUUUCAUCGUAUAAGGUUUUUCAUUUUUGAGAAAAAAAAAUAGUAACCAAGAAAGAGGAUAAUGUUAAAUAACAGGUACAUAGAUUUUAACUUUUAUAAUGUCGCUUUCCGCAAAAAUAGAAAGAAAAUAAGGAAUGGGCGCUUCUUGCUUUUGGAUGAUGUGAAAGAUAGCAAUAUAGUAAAUUCUCAACUAGUGAUGGGACCGACACACCUUAUUAGAAACUUACUUGUGUUGUCGUGGAAUGACACAUGCAAGGACUAUAGACGCAACAUUUGAAUUCACAAAAAUAAUGCGAUGUUUACUUAUUCACUAUGCUUAAAUUUUAAAAUGAUUCUCUUGUAAUUGUGCUAUAAUUAUGAAUAUGACCGUCGUCUCUUUUCCAUAAUUGAAUCACUUAAUGAAUGAACAUACUGAUCUCAACGAAAAAAGCAAUAUGAUCAUUUCUCAACCAACGAUCAAUUGAUGUGGGUCUCGAUUAGAAAUUCACUUCCUUCGUCAUUCUUGACACGUGCAAAGACUAUAGGUGUAAUAUUCACAUGCACAAAAAUAAACUAAUAUGUACUUAUUCAUUGUUAAUUGAAAUAUUAUUCUUGUGGAUUAGUCAAUCACUCGCCUAUAAAAUAAUCUCAUCUUUUUCUCACAAUAAAUCCAAUCGACCUAUUACAAUAUCCAAUUGAAACGAGCCAUAUCACUUAGUAAGUAAAUUUUUUACGAUCCCUUAGUAGAGCUAAAAUUUAAGAAAAGGAUGAGGAUGAAGAAAGAAACAAAGAAAGAACUAGGAAAGUGAGCUUUCAGGAAUCAUGGUGUCUGCACCUCUCCCUUUGGUAUCCAAAACCUAAGUAGCAAGACUCGAAACUUGUUGGUGUCAAGAGUUUAUAAUAGGAGAUAGUGAAUCCCUCGACCGUCAUGUUGUGGAGGUCCUUAUACGGUGAGCUCGCACGAUUAUACCGAUCCUUUUUCCACCCUGGGAUAUAAUGCUGUAUUAAAGCCUUUAUGGUCAUGGUGUAAUUAUCCUUGAUGUCCCCUACUCGGAGAUCAAAUCCAUGUAUAGCGUAUGAGUACACCAUCAUUUGGGAAAAAAUAAGGGGCAUAUCGGAAGGAUAUGCUCCCUCAAUACAUGGUUUAGUAUUGACUUACAAAGUAGAAGCAAGGGGCUGUGAGCACUUCAUGAAGACCACCGGCACAACUAACGAACCGUAUGGAUCAUUAUCACUAAAGUUGGAGAGCGCCAAUGAGUAAUGAGGGAGGGAUGAGCAAUUACUUUUUUGCAGUCCNNNNNNNNNNNNNNNNNNNNNNNNNNNNNNNNNNNNNNNNNNNNNNNNNNNNNNNNNNNNNNNNNNNNNNNNNNNNNNNNNNNNNNNNNNNNNNNNNNNNNNNNNNNNNNNNNNNNNNNNNNNNNNNNNNNNNNNNNNNNNNNNNNNNNNNNNNNNNNNNNNNNNNNNNNNNNNNNNNNNNNNNNNNNNNNNNNNNNNNNNNNNNNNNNNNNNNNNNNNNNNNNNNNNNNNNNNNNNNNNNNNNNNNNNNNNNNNNNNNNNNNNNNNNNNNNNNNNNNNNNNNNNNNNNNNNNNNNNNNNNNNNNNNNNNNNNNNNNNNNNNNNNNNNNNNNNNNNNNNNNNNNNNNNNNNNNNNNNNNNNNNNNNNNNNNNNNNNNNNNNNNNNNNNNNNNNNNNNNNNNNNNNNNNNNNNNNNNNNNNNNNNNNNNNNNNNNNNNNNNNNNNNNNNNNNNNNNNNNNNNNNNNNNNNNNNNNNNNNNNNNNNNNNNNNNNNNNNNNNNNNNNNNNNNNNNNNNNNNNNNNNNNNNNNNNNNNNNNNNNNNNNNNNNNNNNNNNNNNNNNNNNNNNNNNNNNNNNNNNNNNNNNNNNNNNNNNNNNNNNNNNNNNNNNNNNNNNNNNNNNNNNNNNNNNNNNNNNNNNNNNNNNNNNNNNNNNNNNNNNNNNNNNNNNNNNNNNNNNNNNNNNNNNNNNNNNNNNNNNNNNNNNNNNNNNNNNNNNNNNNNNNNNNNNNNNNNNNNNNNNNNNNNNNNNNNNNNNNNNNNNNNNNNNNNNNNNNNNNNNNNNNNNNNNNNNNNNNNNNNNNNNNNNNNNNNNNNNNNNNNNNNNNNNNNNNNNNNNNNNNNNNNNNNNNNNNNNNNNNNNNNNNNNNNNNNNNNNNNNNNNNNNNNNNNNNNNNNNNNNNNNNNNNNNNNNNNNNNNNNNNNNNNNNNNNNNNNNNNNNNNNNNNNNNNNNNNNNNNNNNNNNNNNNNNNNNNNNNNNNNNNNNNNNNNNNNNNNNNNNNNNNNNNNNNNNNNNNNNNNNNNNNNNNNNNNNNNNNNNNNNNNNNNNNNNNNNNNNNNNNNNNNNNNNNNNNNNNNNNNNNNNNNNNNNNNNNNNNNNNNNNNNNNNNNNNNNNNNNNNNNNNNNNNNNNNNNNNNNNNNNNNNNNNNNNNNNNNNNNNNNNNNNNNNNNNNNNNNNNNNNNNNNNNNNNNNNNNNNNNNNNNNNNNNNNNNNNNNNNNNNNNNNNNNNNNNNNNNNNNNNNNNNNNNNNNNNNNNNNNNNNNNNNNNNNNNNNNNNNNNNNNNNNNNNNNNNNNNNNNNNNNNNNNNNNNNNNNNNNNNNNNNNNNNNNNNNNNNNNNNNNNNNNNNNNNNNNNNNNNNNNNNNNNNNNNNNNNNNNNNNNNNNNNNNNNNNNNNNNNNNNNNNNNNNNNNNNNNNNNNNNNNNNNNNNNNNNNNNNNNNNNNNNNNNNNNNNNNNNNNNNNNNNNNNNNNNNNNNNNNNNNNNNNNNNNNNNNNNNNNNNNNNNNNNNNNNNNNNNNNNNNNNNNNNNNNNNNNNNNNNNNNNNNNNNNNNNNNNNNNNNNNNNNNNNNNNNNNNNNNNNNNNNNNNNNNNNNNNNNNNNNNNNNNNNNNNNNNNNNNNNNNNNNNNNNNNNNNNNNNNNNNNNNNNNNNNNNNNNNNNNNNNNNNNNNNNNNNNNNNNNNNNNNNNNNNNNNNNNNNNNNNNNNNNNNNNNNNNNNNNNNNNNNNNNNNNNNNNNNNNNNNNNNNNNNNNNNNNNNNNNNNNNNNNNNNNNNNNNNNNNNNNNNNNNNNNNNNNNNNNNNNNNNNNNNNNNNNNNNNNNNNNNNNNNNNNNNNNNNNNNNNNNNNNNNNNNNNNNNNNNNNNNNNNNNNNNNNNNNNNNNNNNNNNNNNNNNNNNNNNNNNNNNNNNNNNNNNNNNNNNNNNNNNNNNNNNNNNNNNNNNNNNNNNNNNNNNNNNNNNNNNNNNNNNNNNNNNNNNNNNNNNNNNNNNNNNNNNNNNNNNNNNNNNNNNNNNNNNNNNNNNNUCAUAGCAGCCACAUCUUUUGGGUUGCUUUUCAAUCGAAAGUGAUAGUGUAUGUCAUGAUUCUCGCCACAAGAUGAAGCGGCGCACAAGUGAUUCUUCUAUGCACCGCAACUCAUCCCCAGUGGCAGCAGAACGUACAAUAUGAAAAGCAAAACAUUGAACAUGCUUAUGGAGCUCAAAGACUUAAUCGCCUCUCUAUCGUUUGAUCUGAUGCAAUGAAAGUUUUUGCUAAUUGGUAAUGCAAUGGAGGCCCAAUAACAUGAAUGAAAAGAGCCUGGAGUCCUCGGUCAAUAAAGCAAAGUCUAGUGAAGAAAAAAGUGGAUAUCGCGUGGAAUUUGCAGUCCUUGUAGUCAAGGUGUCAAAACAUGGUGGUGGAAUUAUUUAUGCAUAGCUUUCACAUUGAUUAAAAACUUCUCUGCAGUUCCAGAUUGAAUCAAAAUUCUUUCGAGCGAGGCAAUGACGUUCUAUUUUCUUUUUAAGGCUAAUAUUUCAUAAGUGUUUUUUGUUAAAUUGUGAAGAUGAAAAGGAAAAAGAUGUUGUAUUUCAUCAUCUAAGCUUUUUAUUUUUGACCAAAAAAAAAACAGAAAUUGGUAACGGAAAUAGACUAUGAACAAGAAUAUAACUUGUAUAAUGUCGCUUUUGGCAAAAGUAAAAGAAAAAUAAGAAAUAAGUGCUUCUUGGAUGGUGCAACACGUUAUGAAAGAAAGAAAGCAAUACGAUAAUUUCCAGUGAUGGACCAACCCGUCCUGACUAGAACCUUACUAACUUCGUCGUCACGCAAACACUAUAGAUGCAAAUUUCCAAGUCAACCAUCAACACAAAGUCUAGCGAAGAAAAAGUGGGUCUCCUGUGAAAAUUGCAGCCCUUGCAGUCAAGUUGACAAAAACACAGUGUUGGAAUUAUUUAUGGCGUGGCUUUCAAUUUGAUUAGAAAAGAAACUUCUAUGCAUUUUUCAGAUUUAACUUUUCUUGGCAAAUUGACUCUUUAGGAAUCAAUUUUAGUUCAUUAAAAACAGAAUCGAUUGGAAUGUUAUGUACUCUAAAUUGAAUCAAAAUCCUUCAAGUGAGGCAUUGGCAUUCAAUUUUAUUUUCAAGGCCAAUAUUCCACGAGUGUCAGUUUGAUAAAUUGUGAAGACGAAAAGGAAAAAGAAUGUCGUAUUUCACUGUAUAAGCUUUUUCAUUACUGGCAAAAAAAAAAAAAAGAUUUGGUACAAAGAUAGACUAUCAAAGGGAAUAUUAACUUGUGUAACGAAAAUAAAAGGAAAAAUAGGAGUUAGUGUCUCUUGGAUGGUGUAACACAUUAUGAAAGAAAGCAAUUCGAUAAUUUCUAGUGAUGGGACCGACGUGCAUUGACUAGAACCUCACUAACUUCGUUGUUGCGCAAAGACAAAACAUGCAAUAUUCAAGUUCACAAAAAAAAGAAAAAAAAAAGCGAUGUUUACUUAUUCACUAUCAACUUCAAUAUUGCAAUCACUCUCCCGUAAUUGUGUUAGAUCUAUGAACAAUAAUGCCAUCUCUCUGGGAACUCCGUUGCUUGGUUUUAUUUAAAACUGAACCGAAAUGAUAGCUGGGUCUUGUUUUCCCUAGUCCACGAACAUGCCUGGUUUGAACGAGCCGUCCUUUUGUCGAGUUUGAGCGUCACUUGCUAUCUCUUUUGAGUCUGGACACGAGCUAGAGUCUAGAAUGGAGAACCAUUCUCAUGUGGAAUUUCACGACCACUAAAGAGAUUAAGGGGGUGCAUGACAACCCAAAAUUUCUGUUCCAGACCUGUUUGUGGAAGAGAAAUCUAUUUGAUAAACCUAUUUAGUUUUUCUAUUUCAGAAAUAGGUUUGGAAAAGAAAUCAGAAGCUAAAAUUUUAUACUUCUGAUUUCUAGAAGAGAAAUCAGAAAUAAUUUCUCUCACUAAACCCUAAUUUCGGUGAGUCCUCCCUCAUCUCCUCUACAUCUUUGCCUCCUCCUCUUCCUCCGCCUCUCCUCAAUUUAUUAAAAAAAAAAAAAAAUUAAUUUUUAUUCAUUUAAAAAUAAAAAUAAAUUUAUUAAAAUAAAUAAAUAAUUUUUAUUUAUCAUUUUAUUUUUAGUUUAUUAAAAAUAAAAUUAUUAAAUUUAUUAAAAAUAAUUUAUUUAUGAUAAAUAAAAAUAAAUUUAAUAAAUUUAUUUUUAUUUGCCUUGAGUGUUUUGCCAAAUAAAAUUAAUUUUAAUUUUAAUUUUAAUUUUAUUCAUUUUAAAAUAAAUUUAUUUGUAAAAUAAAAUAAAAUAGAAUACAUAAAAUAAAUUUAUUUUUAUAUUUUAAUUUUAAAAUAAAAUGAUAUUUUAAUUUUAAAAUAAAAUGAUAUUUUAAUUUUAUAAUAAAAUAAUAUUUUAAUUUUAAAAUAAAAUGAUAUUUUAAUUUUAAAAUAAAAUGAUAUAUUUAUUUAAUUUUUUAUGAUUUAUUUAAUUUAAUUUAAUUUUAUUGUAUUCAUUAUUUUUUUUGUUACUAAAUCAUUUUUAUUUUUAUUUUUAUAUUAAAGGUUGUCGGUCGUCGCCGCCGCCGUUCGAAAGUAAGAAAUUUUAUGUCGUUAUCAAACGAAUUUCUAUUUUUAGAGUAGAAAUUUUGUGCCGUUAUCAAACGGUUAUUUUUGCUUAGAAAUUCUUCUAGAAAUAGAAAUAGAAAAAUCUAUUUCUGUUCCAGAAACUAUUUUAGGAAUAUAAUGGUUGUCAUGCGCGCCCUAAGUUUGUUAAUUUUUUCCAUUUUCUACUUUUUUAGCAUCAUUUUUUAUGCUGCUUUAUUUUGGUAAUAAUAAAACUUAAAAUUUGUACUUCUCUGUCUGCGAUCUCGAAACAAAGUGGAGAUCACGUGUUCCUUAUGAACAUCGGUGUCUCGAGGAAUGUUUUCUUAGUAAUAAACUCAUGUGUAGGGGACAAUGGUGAGGAAUAUAAUACUUGUUCUGAAUAAUGCAAGGCACCAUCUGUCACGCCCCGAUCCUCGGGCGCGCACCCAUCCCUCAUUGGUCGAUUAAAUAGUGAAGUUUUAGGACGCAUCGCCGACCCUUUUCAUUUUGAUAUGCAUGCAAAAGCAUAAUAAAAUCCCUAGACAAUAAAGUAAUGGGAUAAAAAAGUAGGGCCAAAUUUUAAACUUUAAAAACAACCACACUUAUAUACAUUGCAACCCAUAAUGCAAAUAUAUACAAGGUUAACUACUAAGUCAAGUCCUAAACAACCAGUUCACAAACAAAGUCUACAGACAGGGUGGGGUUUUCAAUCCUCUCCUAGAUCCUCUUCUGGGUCCUCCUCCGGGUCCUCUUCGACAAUCUUGCCUUCUUCCAUACUCUAGCUGGAGUCCAUUGCUAAGUUCACCGGGGAAUCAAGAUUAUUACCAAGCUUGGGAUCCUUUGCAUCCACUACCGAUCCACCCUUAGGAUCUGCUGUCCCCUUCCCGAACGCUACAUUUAAAACGUAUAGAGAUACAUCAUAUUCCGAUACAGGGCCCACCCUUCGUUCAUCAUUGUAAUGGCGAUACCACGACCGUUAUUUGUGAGGCACUUUUUGGGGUUCACCCACAUCAACCCAGACGGUGGAUUUCACUAGCACAUAUUCCAAGCCUCCAGGAUAAUGGUGUAUCGAAAUAUGAUAACCUAUCUCAGUGAUUUCCUCUAGUAUACCAAAAUGCUCAGGAGGAGGUGAAGGUACUGCCAUCUAAAGACCUGAAAUGUUGUCCCACAACGGGGUGAGAUUACGUCUUAGCAAGUUCUACCCUCCUAAGACUCGAUUAGGAAGAAAAUACACUAUGAGGGCUACCUAAACACAACAUAGGUCGGAGGACUUACCUUGGCCUUAGUCUCUUCCUGAAAGUAAGUUAAAUCAAUAAAUACUAACAAACUACACCAUCCAAUCAAAUCAGAUUGAAUCGUCGAUCAAUCGACUUAAUCAAUUACAUGUUACCAUGAUAUUCUCCUGGUCGGUACAUUCAAUACUAUCUAUAAAGUCCUAUUAAUUCAUGACCGCUCACCCAAAGCUGAAAAUAGAUAGUAUAUAGUAUAUUGUAGAUAUAUGCUCGCCCAAAGCUGAUAGAUUAUGGCCCUCAAGCCACCAUAAUAUACUAUAUAUGCUUGCCCAAAGUUGAUACUAUGUGCUCACCCAAAGCUAAUAAUAUGGUAUACUAUAUAUGCUCGCCCAAAGUUGAUAGAUUUAGGGUCCCCUGGCCAAAAUAGUAUACCACUUUAAUUGUAUAGUUAAUUUCUCAUAUUUAUCACACCCGAUAAAAAUAGCCGUGUGUGCGUACACGAUCGACCUUAGCCAAAAUGCCAUAAUUUCACUUUUGAUCUUCCCACUACUUUCAACAAUCCAAAAUUAGAUUUUUGGUGUUGUAUACCGGCGCCCGGUAAUUUUCCAUUUAAUUAUCCAAAUUAAUUAAUUUAGGAAUAAAAUCAUAAAAUCACAAUUAAAUCAAUUCAGCACAACUCAGAGGUCAAAUAAAUAAACAAAUUGCACCACAAUAACUAGCAUAAAAUUCUGGUCACUGGCUAUCCCGGCCUAAUUUUCGAAAAAUAAAUAAAUAAAUAAAUAAUUAUGGAAAAUAUUAAAUAAAUGCCGAUAAAUCCAACUUAGACCCGUAAUGCCUAAUUAGACAUUGAAAUGGACUUGGAAAAAUUUCGAGACUCGUUAAAUAGAUACUAGAGUCUAUUUACUCGCUAAUUACACUAACUAUUCACCUAACAUGCACCGGCAGUUAACUAAAUUCACUAAUCUAAUCUAAUCUAACCACCUAAUCCAUCUUAGCCUAAACUAUCAACCCUUAAGCGUGAUUAACUUACUAAGCGAGGAUUAGUGAGUUAAACUCACUUGUUCGGCGAUCCAAGCGGCUCAAAUCGUUGGGAACGCAAUGGGGCUCGAUACUCUCCAAAGCGGGCCUAACUUUCGGGGUCGGGAUUGACCUCAAAACAGGCCUUGAAGGUUGCUGGAAACCCACUUUGCUUGCUGCUGAUCUUGGCUGGAAAAGAGGGCAACAAGCUCAGUUUAAGGCGACAACAGGUUGAGGAAGGUUGAAAGGACUAAAUCGGACCUAGAUGGCGACUCACGGUGGUCGGAGGAAGCUCCGACAGCGGCUCAUGGUGCUGGACAACCUCUUGGAAUGGCGAGCUGGGUGGGAUGGAGCAGUGAGGACACCGGGAUCGUGCAGUCGAGCACGAGGCAGCAGCAGCAUGCGCGCCGGGCGGGAGAGGCGGACGGUGGUAGCGAGCGGUCUUGGUGGCGUGCGGGCUUGCUUCGGUGACUUCUCCUUGGUUGUUGGCGUUCAAAACUGGUGAGAAAGGAGGGAUAAGAGAGGUACGGACGCAGCUUAAGGGAAAGAGGGAACAAGAGGGGGCCAUAAGUCUUAUUUUCUCUUCCAUGGUCCCCUUGACCCUAUCCCAUCCACAGCUACAUCCCUUUGGUUGAAAAUUAGCCACCACCACCCUUUCGAGAAGCUAAUUUGAAGUGGUCCAAUAGUCAUGGGUGGGGGCAUACGAAUUUCAAGCAUUUUCCCUCAAAUUAGACUUCAUCUCCUUCUUAAAUCAACACAAACCGGCCUCUAUAAAUUCAAUCAACCCACCAUUGAUCAUUUUGGCAUUUUCCUCACCAAUACAACUCACUUGAUUCUCAAAUUUGCGAUAAAAAAAAAAUCCCCCACAUUUUCUGAACAAAACAGCCCUACCUCAACUUUUUCCCAAAAGUCUUGGUUUGCAGAAAAAUCUUCUGAGACUGAGUUGACACUCCUAGAAUUAAUUGUGACAUGAUAGAACUUUCAAUUUCUGAAAUCGGACUCAAAUUGAUGAUUAAUUUCAAUCUGGUGCAUUUUUAGUGUGACUUAGGCUACCAUGUAAUUUUCAGAAAUUUUUAGUGUAAAUGACCUGUGGUCUAUUUUUCCGAGCCACAAUGAACCCAUUCGACGCAUUGGUGACUCUCGGUUGUCAUGAAAAUCUCGAGGAUUUAAAUACGGACACAAAUACCAAAAUGAUAGAAAAAUCAGUCUAGUAUCAGCCGACGAAAAUUUUCCAAAUUAGUGGUGUCACGCCUCGAUCCUCAAACAUGUGCCCAUCCCUUAUCUAGUCAAUUUAUAGCAAUGUCCUAGGACGCAUCAUCGACCCUUUUGUUUAAUAUGUGCAUACGGAAGCAUAUAAUAAAAUCCCCAGACAAUAAAACAAUGGGAUAAGAAAGUAGGCCAUAUUUUCCACAACUGAAAUACUACAACCACACUUUUAUACAAUACAAACCACAUAGUAUAUAUUACAAUACUAUUCACUAAAGGUUGGACUAUCACACAUCAGUUUUCAACCUAGGUUUGUAAGCAGGAUGGGAUCUCAGUCCUCAUUCGGGUCGUACUCAGGAUUCUUCUCUGGAUUGUCCUCUUCUUCAGAUUCUUCUUCUUCUUCAAGUUUGUCCUCGAGCUCUCCUUCCUAAAAAUUCACCUUAGGCUCGUCCUUAGGUUCCUCCUCCGGCUCUUCCCACUCCUGAUCCUCCUCCGAUCCCUCCUUUUGCUUGACUAUCUCCCUUUCCUCUUCACUCCAGUUAGCACCCUUGGCUGAGUACACUGGUGACUUAGGAUCGCCCUCGAGCUUGGGAUCCUUGGCAUCUACUAUCGACCCAUCCUCUAGCCUUUUUGAGUGGUGGUGUAUUGGAAGUGGUAUCCUACCUUGGUGAUCUCUUCAGGAAUACUAAAAUGCAUAGGAGGAUGAGGAGGUGGAGGUGCUGCCAUCUAGGGACUUGAAAUGGUUAUUCAAUAACCAUUGAGAUCACGUCUCAGCAAGUUCUACCCCUUACGACCCGAUUAGUAAACCAAUACACUAUGGGCUGCCUAUGCACACAUGGGUCAAAGGACUUACCUUGGCAUCAGAUUUCAUCUAUAAAUCAACACUAUUUACACAUGCCUUAUAUCACAUCACUCAAUCAAUUCAUAACAUCAGAUUAAAUCAUUGAUCAAUCGACCUAGUCCAUUACAUGUCAUCUCGAUCCUUUCUUGGUCGGCUCAUCUUAUUUACUCAAAUUCACUGUUGACUUACAGCUCAGUGAGCAUAGCCUACACGAUCAUCUCCAAUACUCAACACUAACGUUGAAUUACGGCUCAACGAGCACGGCUUACUAAAACUUUGGCAGGAAUGUUGAAUUAUGGCUUAGUGGGCACGGCUUACUAAUUCAUCGGUGGUUAAUGCUGAAUUAUGGCUCAACGGGUACAACCGAUUCCAAAUCCGGUGGAAAUGCUAAAUUAUGGUUCAUCGUGCACAACCGGUUCCAAGUUCAAUGGUGGUGCUGAGUUACGGCUCAGUGAGCACAACCUAGAUUAGGUGGUAACUUACGGUUUAAUGGACAUAACCAUACUUUGGUGGUAAUGCUGAAUUAUAGCUUAGCGAGCACAACCAAUUCUAAAUUCGGUGAAAAUUUUGAAUUACAGCUUAGCAAGCAUAACCUAAAUUAGGUGGUUUCCAUGCCUAAUCCCACACUGUCACACACCCAUCAUACAUCAUUUCAUCUUUCAAUAGUCUUUUCAAGAUGACUAAUAACCCUCACACGAUUAAUUACUCUCGGCUAAGGAUUGUACGCUUCACACUUAGGCUGCAUUUGGUUGACCGGAUAAAAACUAGGAUAGGAUAUGUUUUAUCCUAUCUCGUGUUUGAUAGCUGUCUAGGAUAUGAUGAGGUCAGAUAUAGACGGGAUAUAAACCGGAUAAAAAAAAAUCCAAGGCGGGAGGUGGGAUAAGAUUGGAUAGGAUUUCUUUUAUCCGAAACCUAAAACCUACACUUUUUUUAUUUCUCCGUCAUUCACCCACAGACGACUCUCUGUUUCCAAAGUAUUGAUGUUGAAGCCUUCUCCUCAAUAGCUCUCCGAUUCUCAUCGAAAUUUUACGAAAGCCUUCUUCCUCCACCAAGGUAAGACCCCCCGUCCACUGGCGAUCGCCCGCCGGUCGCCCUCCCGAUCAAUUCCCUCCCACUCACCGGGUCACCUAAGCUUGCCGGUCUGCCGAUGAGCCCAGGUCUGAAUUCCAAAUGCAAAUCUGGUUGCCGGGCCGAUGCCCCACCGAUGGUCGCCGAGGGUGGCCGAGGGUGGCCGAGGUUCACCUAGGGUUUGGGUUCGCUCGUGUUGAUCGAUGAAUGCAGGGCUGGAUUGCCUAGGGUCUGGGUUUGCCAUGUUCUCUCUCUUCUCUGUCUCCAUUUACUUGCUUCGCAAGGAUGGUGAUGUUAAUUGUUAGCUCAUUUCACUCUUUGUGUACUAGUUCAACAAAGGCUCAUUUCAUUGGUGCUAAUCAAUUAGCGAGUCGUGCGUGCCACAAAUUUAGAGUGAGUGGUUUUAAUUUAUGGCUCUUGAGAGAGAGUAUGUAUCCAUCCACACCCAUUUCUCAGAACAGGAGGAUGAAGCUAAAAAUUCUUUGUUGGGUUUUCUCUUUUGCAGCUUCAUCACUGCAAUUUCUUAUCUGGGUUUGUUCUGUCUUACGGUACUUUUUCUGUAUAGACCCAUUGUUUGUGGGUAAUUUUCAGCUCACUCAUUAACAUGUGUUAUGAGUUAAUUGAUCAAUCAAUUUGUGAUUUUUUCUUCUUUCUAUUGGAUUUAUGAAAUUUAUUUAAAAGGUUAUGUAGAUAUAGAUGAUAGCAGCUGUGUUUUUGGGAGAGGAAGAGGCGAUCUGGUUACUGAUCUGUUACUUGAAUGAGUUCUUAUUGAAGCUCAGGGGUCUUUUUUCCCCCCUCUCUAGAGACCCAGGAACCACAAUGAAAGGAAAUGUAAUGUACUUUAUAAAUGCGAAUUGUUCAGAGAUCAUUUGUUAACGUAAUUAACUGUCAUUGCAUCCUCGUGACAUCUGGAAAAAAAAAACGAAUGAACUUUGGACUUUAUGCUUUGUUCUAAUUGGGCAUUUGUUUGAUUUGGUAUUGGACCUGUAACAAAAUGGAAACAAAUGAAAAACUUGUAAGAGACAAAAAGAAUUCAUGUUUCAAAUGAAUAUAUUGAAAUUGAAGUUAUUCUAAAAACGUUUGAUUUGAAGGGGUAUCCAAAAGAUUAUUUCAAAGGAACGGAAGAGAUUAUUACAAUGCGUAAUCGUGAAAUUCGAUGAAAAUCUGUUAAUUUGAAAAAGAUAUAUUGUUUUGGAAGAUUUUGUGAAUAUUAAACUUGUAAAUUUGUACUUGCCUAAAUUAUUGUUUUUAAAAUAUCCGAAUUUAAAUCCGUAGUUCACCAAACCAUAGAUUGGAUAAGAUAUGAGGAUAUCCGACUUUAAAUCCGUAGUUGACCAAAUAGUAGAUUGAAUAGGAUAUGAGGAUAUUCGACUUUAAAUCCGUAGUUCACCAAAUAGUUGAUGGGAUAUGAAGAAAUCCAUGGAUUUCUUAUCUAUCCUAUUUAGAAAUCCGGACGACCAAACGCAGCCUUAGAAUCCUCAAUCAAAAUAACCAUUGGCCUAUCUCCCUCGUAUUAACGAUACCUGAUAAAAAUUUAUUAUGUGUGGGUUCACGGUCGGCUUUUGUUAAAAUAUAAUAAUUUCAUUUCCACAAAUCCUACCAUUUUUUGUACUCCACCAAAACAUUUUUGGCAUUAUUAACCGAUGCCCAGUUAUUUAUCAAUUAAUUUUCCAAAUUAUGUAAUUUAGGAAAUAAAUCCUAAAUUCACCAAUAAUUCAUUUGAGCACAAAAUAAAGCUCAAUUAAAUAAACGAAUUGCAUCACGAUAAUCAAUAUAAAAUUCCGGUCGUCGACUAUCCUGGUCUAAUUUCUGAAAAAUAAUAAAUAAUUGAUUAAUUUUGAAAGUUAAUAAAUAAAAACCAUAAAUCCAAUUUAGGCCUGUAAUGCCUAAUUGGAGCCUGAAACGGGUCAAGAAGAAUCCCAAAAGUCAUUCAAUAAAUACUAUAGCACUUCUACUCCCUAAUGACUAUGUCUGACCACCUAACAUGCAUUGCAAUUAACUAAUAAUCACUAAUCUAUUCUAAUCUAACCACAUAAUCCUAAUUAAUUAAUACUAAUUAACCCUUAAGCAUCAUUAACAACUAAGCAGUGAUUAGUAAGCUAAACUCACCCAUUUAACAAUCCGUUCGAUCGAAACAUCGGGAAUGUCACAUGGGACAUUUUUCUCCAAAGCGGGCCUAGGGUUCGGGGUCCAGAAACACCUCAAAUUGAGUCUCAAAGGUGCUGAGAAACCCACUUUCUGAGUUGCUGGUUGAGCUGCAAAAACAAGAGGAAAUGAGCUGGUUUGGAGCGGGAUUAGUGACGGUGGACCGAUGAAUGGAUUGGUGGAAGUUCGGUGGCCCAAAUGGCAGUCUAAGGUGGUAGAACGGCUCCAACACGAGCUGAGGAGUUGCUGGAUGGUGGUUGAACAGGUGGCUGUAUGUGGAGAGUGUAGAUGACGCUUGGCUAGGUGCAGGUGGAGGUGUGCAGACGGCGACGGCGGCUGCUCACGGUGGCAGCUUGGUGUCUAGGCAGUGGCAAGCUACUCCUGCUCUUCCUUUAGUGGCUAUUGGUCGCAUGAACGGAGGGGAGAGAGAGAGAGAGUCUUCCACGGCAACAAAGGGGGGUGAGGGAGAGAUAAGAGAGAGAGUGGGCCACCAUGGCCAAUAUUUUCCACAAAAAUAUCUCCUACAAUCAUUCUAGGCCAAGUAUCAACCCUUGGCUCACAAUGGACCACCAUAGGUUACCUUUUCAACCUUGAGAUGGUCUAAUUUGGCUAGGGCAUGGGGAAGCUACGAAUUUGCAAGCCAUUUCCUCCAAUUGGACUCUCACACUCACUUGAUUAAGUGUCAAUAAUUUUCCCCAUCCAAGAAUCCAUCAUGCUUCUCAAUUUUGUGACCAAAAUUAAUCCCCGACCUUAAUUGCAUAAAAACGAUCCUAAACUGAUUUUUUCCCAAAAAGUCUCGGUUGUUAGAAAAAUCUUCUGAGACUAAGUCGAUGCUCCUAGAAUUUAUUGCAACAUGACAGAAUCUUUAAUUUCUGAAAUCGGACUUGAAUUGGUGGUUAAUUUUCAUUCGGCACGUUUUUAGCGUGACUUAGACUACCAGGUAGUUUUUAGAACUUUUUAGUGCAAAUGACCCAUGGUUAAUUUUUUUCUAGCCACUAUGAACCCACUCAACACAUUGGAAACUCUUGAUUAUCGUAAAAAUCUCGAGGAUUCAAAUACAGAUACAGGGUACCAAAACGACAGAGAAAUCAAACUAGUGCCAGUCGACGAGAAUUUUCCAAUUUAGUGGAGUCACCCACUAUCGGCCACAUAUCUCCAUCGAACCGAUCUAUCUCUGAUCUCAAUUCAAUUUUUAACUGUGUUGUAAUGGCCUCUAAAGAUAAACACUGUCGAGAAGCCAAUUCCUGGUCAAAUUCUCAAGUCUAUUGCAUUAAAAUUCCUUAAUGGCUUCCUUGGAUAGUCUAGUUAUCUUAUGAGUGGCCAUAUCAAAGAAAAGACUAUAGGCGUGUCGAUGAAAUACCUGAUUUAUCCAGCAGAAAACAGGACCGAAAAUCUGGGAUGUCACAACUCUUCCCCUCUUAUAAAAAUUUCAUCCUCGAAAUUUAAACCUUUACUCAUCCUUAAAUAAAAAGGUGGGGUAUUGUCAUCUCAUCUAGCCUCACUUUCCCCGGUUGCUUCUUCAGUCCCGUUGCGUUGUCAAACCACUUUGACCAAGGGGACUAUCUUGGUUCAUCGAAUCCAAUCUUUUUGAUUCACGUGAACUGGGUUUUCAGCGUAUGACACUCUGUCAUCCACGUCUAAUUCUUCAAGAUUUAGCACGUGGGUCGGGUCAGGCUCAUACGUCCUCCAACCCUUGACACGUGAAAGACGUCAUGCACUUGUGCCUGCCUCGGCGACAAUGUAAGAUGAUACGUUAGGAUCCCGAUUCUUCUCAGAAUCUCAAAGGAAUCUACGUACCUCAGUUUCAGUUUUUCCGUCCUUGCUGAAGUGCAAGGUAUCCCUCAUUGGUGACACAUUCAGAAAGAUGUAAUCACCAAUUUGGAACUCUAAGGGCCUUCAAUGCUCAACGAUGCAACUUUCUUGGCGGCUCUAAGCGGCCCAUAAUCUGAUUUUGAUCACGACAACUGCAAUCACUGACUGUUGAGCUGAUGCUGGGCCUGUGAUCUUUCUUUCUCUGAUCUCAUUUCAGCAAACUAAAGUUCUAUACACUCUGCUCUACCCUGCUUCAAAAAGGAACUAUAUGACUGUUCUACUGAAACUAGGAACCUUGGUUCUAGAUCUGAUAUAAGUUCGUCAGUGAUACUUCCUACAGAUGAACUGACUGACACAAGUACACUUUUGCAUGCCUAUUCCAAUCAAGAUCCUUCCAUACAGCGAUAAAGUGAGCCGACUUCAUCAGUUUGUCGACCACUACCCCAAUUAGAGUUAAUACCUUUCUGACUCAUAGGUAAGCCUGUUACAAAAUCCAAUAUGACGUGUACCCAUUCCCACUCGGGAAUCUCGAGAGGCUGUAAAAGUCUUCCUGGUUUGCAUUAUCGAACUUCCACUCACUGACACAUUUGACACUCGUAACCUGUCCGGCAACAUCUAUCUUUAUAGCGGUCUACUAAUCGGGCUGACGCCGAUUCAGACCUACUUUGUACCAUCGGGUCAAAUACUGCAAUACUGUAGUGAAAUUCCUAACAAGGUCUUCUCCUCAAGUUCCGUACUGUUUGACAUCUAUCAUCACCCAUGAUACUUCGACGUUCCAUCUUCCAAAAUUUGAAAGUUAAUCUUUCUCUUACCGGUAUCCUCUUGUAGGAUUUUCUGAACAUCCCAAUCUAUCAACUAAAAUGUCUUAAUCCUUAACUGGACUUCUAGUUUAGUUUUGAGGGUGGCCAUAAAAUUCGUAAGGUGGCCUACCUUAGACUUGAAAAUCGAAUCUCAAGUUCUCUCGAGUACCUUCUACUUUUUGAUCACCAUUUGUGCAACUGAAGAUCUCUGACUCGGUGCACUUGCGAUUUAAUUCGUCUUUCCAGGGCGACACAGGACAUCACAAUCAUAGUUCUUCCAAAAUUCUAACUCAUAACACUGUCUCAUUUUCAACUCCUUCUGAGAGAAUAAACAUUUUGAGACUUUAGCGUUCAACAAAGGUCUAGAGUUUUUCUCCACACAAAUAACAUUUUCAAAAUUUCAGAGCAAAAAUUAUUGCCGCGAGUUCCAAGUCACGCACUAGGUAACUCAACUCAUGGGGUAUCAACUGAUGGGAUGCAUAUGUAACACUCUACCACAUUACAUCUACACACAACCCAAUCCUAUAAGUGAUGCGUCACUAUAAUUUUCGCAUCCUUCAGAACCAUAAGGAAUGGUUAACACAAGUGUGGUAGCUAACUUCUACUUAAGCUCUUAGAAAUUAUCCUCACACUUGUCUAUCCAUAUGAAUUUCUCUCAUUUCUUCAAGAGUUGAGUCAAUGGCGACACUGAUAUUGAGAUUCCUUCAGCGAACCUCCUAUAAGGAUGUUGACACCUAAAUUUUGGCGACCCAUUUAGACAUUUAUCGUAUUAAAAAAUUAGGGGUUAAUUUUAUCCCUGAAAAAAUAAAAUCACAUGGCAUAUAGUUUAGAAACAUUUUAUUUUGUUUUAUUUUAGGCCGUCGGUGAAGGGAAGAUUUUUCACAUAUUCCGUUCAGAUUUUUCACACAUUUAGGCAAUAUACACCAAAGGAUGUAUUUUCAAGCAAAAAGGAAAAUUUUGGAUGGGAUACUUGAGAAAUACAAAAGGUAAUAUUGCGCGGGGUGCAACGAUAUAUUCAGUGGUAUUUGCAUGAGCAAAAUUGAAAGUAAAUAUACNNNNNNNNNNNNNNNNNNNNNNNNNNNNNNNNNNNNNNNNNNNNNNNNNNNNNNNNNNNNNNNNNNNNNNNNNNNNNNNNNNNNNNNNNNNNNNNNNNNNNNNNNNNNNNNNNNNNNNNNNNNNNNNNNNNNNNNNNNNNNNNNNNNNNNNNNNNNNNNNNNNNNNNNNNNNNNNNNNNNNNNNNNNNNNNNNNNNNNNNNNNNNNNNNNNNNNNNNNNNNNNNNNNNNNNNNNNNNNNNNNNNNNNNNNNNNNNNNNNNNNNNNNNNNNNNNNNNNNNNNNNNNNNNNNNNNNNNNNNNNNNNNNNNNNNNNNNNNNNNNNNNNNNNNNNNNNNNNNNNNNNNNNNNNNNNNNNNNNNNNNNNNNNNNNNNNNNNNNNNNNNNNNNNNNNNNNNNNNNNNNNNNNNNNNNNNNNNNNNNNNNNNNNNNNNNNNNNNNNNNNNNNNNNNNNNNNNNNNNNNNNNNNNNNNNNNNNNNNNNNNNNNNNNNNNNNNNNNNNNNNNNNNNNNNNNNNNNNNNNNNNNNNNNNNNNNNNNNNNNNNNNNNNNNNNNNNNNNNNNNNNNNNNNNNNNNNNNNNNNNNNNNNNNNNNNNNNNNNNNNNNNNNNNNNNNNNNNNNNNNNNNNNNNNNNNNNNNNNNNNNNNNNNNNNNNNNNNNNNNNNNNNNNNNNNNNNNNNNNNNNNNNNNNNNNNNNNNNNNNNNNNNNNNNNNNNNNNNNNNNNNNNNNNNNNNNNNNNNNNNNNNNNNNNNNNNNNNNNNNNNNNNNNNNNNNNNNNNNNNNNNNNNNNNNNNNNNNNNNNNNNNNNNNNNNNNNNNNNNNNNNNNNNNNNNNNNNNNNNNNNNNNNNNNNNNNNNNNNNNNNNNNNNNNNNNNNNNNNNNNNNNNNNNNNNNNNNNNNNNNNNNNNNNNNNNNNNNNNNNNNNNNNNNNNNNNNNNNNNNNNNNNNNNNNNNNNNNNNNNNNNNNNNNNNNNNNNNNNNNNNNNNNNNNNNNNNNNNNNNNNNNNNNNNNNNNNNNNNNNNNNNNNNNNNNNNNNNNNNNNNNNNNNNNNNNNNNNNNNNNNNNNNNNNNNNNNNNNNNNNNNNNNNNNNNNNNNNNNNNNNNNNNNNNNNNNNNNNNNNNNNNNNNNNNNNNNNNNNNNNNNNNNNNNNNNNNNNNNNNNNNNNNNNNNNNNNNNNNNNNNNNNNNNNNNNNNNNNNNNNNNNNNNNNNNNNNNNNNNNNNNNNNNNNNNNNNNNNNNNNNNNNNNNNNNNNNNNNNNNNNNNNNNNNNNNNNNNNNNNNNNNNNNNNNNNNNNNNNNNNNNNNNNNNNNNNNNNNNNNNNNNNNNNNNNNNNNNNNNNNNNNNNNNNNNNNNNNNNNNNNNNNNNNNNNNNNNNNNNNNNNNNNNNNNNNNNNNNNNNNNNNNNNNNNNNNNNNNNNNNNNNNNNNNNNNNNNNNNNNNNNNNNNNNNNNNNNNNNNNNNNNNNNNNNNNNNNNNNNNNNNNNNNNNNNNNNNNNNNNNNNNNNNNNNNNNNNNNNNNNNNNNNNNNNNNNNNNNNNNNNNNNNNNNNNNNNNNNNNNNNNNNNNNNNNNNNNNNNNNNNNNNNNNNNNNNNNNNNNNNNNNNNNNNNNNNNNNNNNNNNNNNNNNNNNNNNNNNNNNNNNNNNNNNNNNNNNNNNNNNNNNNNNNNNNNNNNNNNNNNNNNNNNNNNNNNNNNNNNNNNNNNNNNNNNNNNNNNNNNNNNNNNNNNNNNNNNNNNNNNNNNNNNNNNNNNNNNNNNNNNNNNNNNNNNNNNNNNNNNNNNNNNNNNNNNNNNNNNNNNNNNNNNNNNNNNNNNNNNNNNNNNNNNNNNNNNNNNNNNNNNNNNNNNNNNNNNNNNNNNNNNNNNNNNNNNNNNNNNNNNNNNNNNNNNNNNNNNNNNNNNNNNNNNNNNNNNNNNNNNNNNNNNNNNNNNNNNNNNNNNNNNNNNNNNNNNNNNNNNNNNNNNNNNNNNNNNNNNNNNNNNNNNNNNNNNNNNNNNNNNNNNNNNNNNNNNNNNNNNNNNNNNNNNNNNNNNNNNNNNNNNNNNNNNNNNNNNNNNNNNNNNNNNNNNNNNNNNNNNNNNNNNNNNNNNNNNNNNNNNNNNNNNNNNNNNNNNNNNNNNNNNNNNNNNNNNNNNNNNNNNNNNNNNNNNNNNNNNNNNNNNNNNNNNNNNNNNNNNNNNNNNNNNNNNNNNNNNNNNNNNNNNNNNNNNNNNNNNNNNNNNNNNNNNNNNNNNNNNNNNNNNNNNNNNNNNNNNNNNNNNNNNNNNNNNNNNNNNNNNNNNNNNNNNNNNNNNNNNNNNNNNNNNNNNNNNNNNNNNNNNNNNNNNNNNNNNNNNNNNNNNNNNNNNNNNNNNNNNNNNNNNNNNNNNNNNNNNNNNNNNNNNNNNNNNNNNNNNNNNNNNNNNNNNNNNNNNNNNNNNNNNNNNNNNNNNNNNNNNNNNNNNNNNNNNNNNNNNNNNNNNNNNNNNNNNNNNNNNNNNNNNNNNNNNNNNNNNNNNNNNNNNNNNNNNNNNNNNNNNNNNNNNNNNNNNNNNNNNNNNNNNNNNNNNNNNNNNNNNNNNNNNNNNNNNNNNNNNNNNNNNNNNNNNNNNNNNNNNNNNNNNNNNNNNNNNNNNNNNNNNNNNNNNNNNNNNNNNNNNNNNNNNNNNNNNNNNNNNNNNNNNNNNNNNNNNNNNNNNNNNNNNNNNNNNNNNNNNNNNNNNNNNNNNNNNNNNNNNNNNNNNNNNNNNNNNNNNNNNNNNNNNNNNNNNNNNNNNNNNNNNNNNNNNNNNNNNNNNNNNNNNNNNNNNNNNNNNNNNNNNNNNNNNNNNNNNNNNNNNNNNNNNNNNNNNNNNNNNNNNNNNNNNNNNNNNNNNNNNNNNNNNNNNNNNNNNNNNNNNNNNNNNNNNNNNNNNNNNNNNNNNNNNNNNNNNNNNNNNNNNNNNNNNNNNNNNNNNNNNNNNNNNNNNNNNNNNNNNNNNNNNNNNNNNNNNNNNNNNNNNNNNNNNNNNNNNNNNNNNNNNNNNNNNNNNNNNNNNNNNNNNNNNNNNNNNNNNNNNNNNNNNNNNNNNNNNNNNNNNNNNNNNNNNNNNNNNNNNNNNNNNNNNNNNNNNNNNNNNNNNNNNNNNNNNNNNNNNNNNNNNNNNNNNNNNNNNNNNNNNNNNNNNNNNNNNNNNNNNNNNNNNNNNNNNNNNNNNNNNNNNNNNNNNNNNNNNNNNNNNNNNNNNNNNNNNNNNNNNNNNNCAUGAUAAAGAGGUUCAGGAAACUGAACAAAAAGGGAAGAAGAUUCAAUUGGAAGAAACAAAACUCUCAAAGAUUUCAAAACAAAUUAGUUGAGGAUGAUGAAUCCAAUAAAGAUGUGAUUUGCUUUGAAUGCAAGAAAAAAGGACACAUCAGACCCAACUGUCCCUUAGUGAAGAAAAAAAAGGAAAAGCUGAGAAAUAUAGAAAGACACUCAAAGCAGAAACUUGGAGUGAUAAUAAAUGCGAAGAGAGUGAUGAUGAUUAUGCUAAUAUUUGGUUAAUGGAAAAAUCAAAAUUAGAUUUAGACUCAAAAAUCAAUACCGACUCAAAUUCAGAUAGUGAAAUCGAGGUAAGUAAUUUUCAAAUUCCUAUUAAGGUCUCGAAAUAUAUUAAUAAACUGUCUCUUAGUCUUAAAACCUUUCUCAAGAGGAUUUCGGAGCUAAAAAGGAAGAAUUCUACACUGAAGCAACAUGAAAUUUUAUGGAAAGAAAAGUUUGAAAAUCUAGAUAAAAGUUUUAUUACUUUAAAAGAAAAUGCAGAAUCUCUUUCAAAAGAAAACACACUUUUGAAAAAUGAUAUUUCAAACAUUUCAAAAAGGUUUUCCAUGGGAUCUGAGAAAUUGGAAAAGAUUCUUUCAAUACAAAGACCUUACUUUAAUAAAUCAGACUUGGGAAUGACAUAUGAAACUGUUCAUUUAAUUAAUUUUCCAAAAAUAAAAGAAAGAAUCAAACAAAGACCCAUAAAAGCCUUCUAUAGAAAUCAUUUUCAAAAAUUCUUUGUAAAACCUAAUGGUCGAAGUGCUCUUAGAUGUUCUAAGUGUAACAGUUCAUAACACUUUGAGAAAAAAUGUCCUAUGGUUUGGAGGCUUGUUAAGAAGGAUUGGGCAAAGACUGUAUAUUGUACUAACUCUACUAGACCCAAGAAAGUGUGGGUAUCAAAAAAAAGCUAAAGUUUCUUUUUUAAUUGCAGGUCACUAUCAAGAAAAAAAUCAAAUGGUAUUUGGAUAAUGGCUGUUCAAGGCAUAUGACUGGAGAUUCAAAUUGUUUUAUUAAACUUAAGCAAGUAAUUGGUGGAAAAGUCUCCUUUGGCGAAAACAACAAGAGAAGAAUUGUUGGUUGUGGAACUGUACAGAUAGAAAGUCUCACAAUCAACAACGUCUCCUUAGUGGAAGGAUUCAACUACAACUUGCUCAGCAUCAGCCAAUUGUGUGACACUGGAUUCAAGAUCAAUUUUUAAGAAGGAAUAUGUUUGGGCACUAGUAAAAAUCUUUCACAAUCCUUUAUUGGGCGAAGACAUGGAAAUAUCUAUCUUUUGGAUAUCAAUCCAGAAAGAUCUCAAUGUCUAAUUUCAAUUCAAGAUGAAGAAAAUCUCUGGCAUCGAAAGCUUGGCCAUAUCAACAUGAAGCAAAUUGCCAAGAUCUCUUCAAAGAAGCUUGUUCGUAGAUUACCCAACUUGAAGUACCAAAAAUCUGACUUAUGCACACCAUGUGUAUUGGAAAAACAUGUUAGAAAUUCUUUCAAACCAAUAAAUCAAGUUUCCAUUAAUUGUGUGCUGAAGCUCCUGCAUAUGGAUCUCUUUGGAUCAACUAGAACUCAAAGCAAUGGUGGAAAGAAAUAUUGCCUAGUAAUAGUGGAUGAUUAUUCACGAUUUACUUGGGUCUACUUUUUGUCAAGUAAAUUUGAAACCUUCUCUUAUUUUACUAAAUUUGCCAAGAAGGUUCAGAAUGAGAAAUUGUAUGUUAUUUCAAGCAUACGGAUAGACCAUGGAGGUGAGUUUGAAAAUCAAAAUUUUGCUAAAUUUUGUGAUGAAUCUAGUUUUUAGCAUAUGUUCUCCUCACCAUACAGUCCUGAAUAGAAUGGAGUUGUGGAAAGAAAUAAUAGAUUGUUGUAAGAAAUGGCUUGAGCUCUUUUAAUUGAAAGCAAUAUUUUUUCUCGUUUUUGGGCUAAAGCAAUUUCUACAGCAUGUUAUAUUACUAACGGAGUUUUCUUAAGGCCUAUUUUGGAGAAAACUCCCUAUGAGUUAUUCAAAGGAAAGGAGCCAAUUGUUUCUUAUUUUCAUGUGUUUGGUUGCAAAUGUUUUAUCUUGAAAAAUGCAAAUGAUCGAAUUGGUAAGUUUAAAGAAAAAUCAGAUGAAGGAAUCUUCCUUGGAUACUCAACAUCCAGCAAAGCUUAUAGAGUAGACAACAAGAAGGCUUAGUCUAUGGAAGAGUCAAUGAAUGUCAAAUUUCAAGACUCUAUACAAAAUCAAUUGAUCUAGACUUAACCUAAAGAAUCUGAACUUGCUCUAGACUCUAUAAAGUCUACUUCCCCUGAAGCAGCUUAGACUUCAGAAGGACAACAACGAACAAAUAUCGAAGAAUCAACUGAAGAAGAAGUUUAGCAAUCUGUCAAACCAACUAGCAACUGGAAGCACAAGUCCAGUCAUCCCAAAGAACUCAUCAUUGAUAACAUUGAUGAAGGAAUUCAUACAAGAUCCAAAAGGCAUGAAGAGUCUAGCGCUAUAGCUCUUAUUUCUAAAAUAGAACCCAAGAGCAUAGAAGAAGCUUUAAUCAUGAAGUGACCACNNNNNNNNNNNNNNNNNNNNNNNNNNNNNNNNNNNNNNNNNNNNNNNNNNNNNNNNNNNNNNNNNNNNNNNNNNNNNNNNNNNNNNNNNNNNNNNNNNNNCUGGAUCGAAGCCAUGCAAGAAGAGCUCAGAUAGUUUAAUGUUAACAAUGUUUGGGAACUAAUUCCUAAACCAAAAGGUAAAUUUGUUAUUAGAGCUAAAUGGGUUUUUAGGAACAAGAUGGACGAAAAAGGAAAAGUUGUAAGGAACAAAGUAAGACUCGUAGCCAAAGGAUAUACGCAAGAAGAAGGGAUAGACUAUGAUGAGACUUACGCACCAGUAGCAAGGUUAGAUGUAAUUAAAUUAUUACUUAUUUUUGCUUGUUAUAAGAAUUUCAGGUUAUUCCAAAUUGACGUCAAAAGUGCAUUCCUGAAUGGAUUUAUCCAAGAGGAAGUUCAUAUGGAACAACCUCCUGGUUUUGAAGAUCCAAGGAAACCAGACUCUAUAUUCAGACUGAAGAAGACGCUAUAUGGAUUAAAGCAAGCACCUCGAGCUUGGUAUGAUAGGUUAAGUAAGUUUUUAAUCCAAAGUGGUUUUGUCAAAGGUAAAGUAAACACUACUCUGUUUAUUAAAAUGGAAGGUAAAAUUUUUUUACUUGUUCAAAUUUAUGUUGAUGAUAUAAUAUUUGGACCAUCUAACGAAAAUCUAUGCAAGAAAUUCUCCAAGUUUAUGUAGGAAGAAUUCGAGAUGAGCAUGAUGGGUGAAUUAUCUUUCUUUCUUGGACUUCAAGUAAAGCAAUUGAAGGAAGGGAUUUUUAUUCACCAAGAAAAAUAUGCAAAAGAACUUGUUAAAAAGUUCGGAUUAGAUAAUUGCAAAAAGACUGAAAUACCAAUGUCUAGCUCUUCGAAGCUGGAUAAAGAUGAAGGAGGAAAGAAAGUUGACCAGAAACUUUACAGGAGUAUUAUUGGUUAUCUUCUUUAUCUUACUGCUUCUAAACAUGACAUUUUGUUUUAUGUUUGCAUUUGUGCCAUAUUUCAAUUAGAUCCGAAAGAAUCUCAUCUAAAUGCUGCGAAACGCAUCAUCAAAUACGUAACAACAACCUCGAAGAUAAAUCUAUGGUAUCUCAAAGAGGGAGACUUUACUCUCCUUGGAUAUUCAGAUGCAGAUCUAGCAGGUUGCCGAGUUGAAAGAAAAAGCACUUCCGGUACUUGUCAAUUGCUUGGUAACAUGACAGUAUCAUGGUUUUCAAGGAAGUAAAAUAUAGUAGCUAUUUCAACAACAGAAGCAGAAUAUGUGGCUCUUGGAAGUUGUUGUUCUCAAAUUUUAUGGAUAAAACAACAACUAAGAGACUUUAGAAUCAAAGAUUUGUGCACUGAGAUCAGAUGUGAUAACACCAACACUAUUAAUCUCACAAACAAUCCAAUUCUUCAUUCAAAAGCAAAUCAUAUAGAGAUUCGAAAUCAUUUUAUUAGAGAUCAUGUUCAAAAUGGAGAAGUUAUGAUCCAAUUUAUUGACUCAAAGAAUCAACUAACGGAUAUAUUUAAAAAGCCACUGGAAAAAAGUCUAUUUGAGUCUAUUUGUACCAGACUGAACAUUAUAUCUCUUACAUAGUAGAGUCUGGAUGUGCACAAGACUCAAAAGGUAAAGUCUGAAUGUGUUCAAACUCAAAAAACCAAGAAUUAUAACGGUAAGGUAUUUCUAAUUUUUAAAUUUGAAAAGGUACGGUUGUUUAUUAUUUGCUAAUUGAUUGAAAUUAUCUUUCCAAGUUUUCUUUACUUUUUCAAAAAGGCAGUUAUCAAUUUUGAAAAGAUUGUUAUUUUCAAAAAGAGAAGUUAUCCUUUUCAAAAAGGUAUUUUUAUUUUCCUUUUACGACGUUUCGUUUACCUCGCUUCACUUGCUUUAUAUACUGCCGAGACUCAUCUUCUUCGUUUUCACUGAAACCCUAGAAUAUAAAAUUCCUAUUUGCUUUCACUUUCGCUUUUGAUCUGUCAAAAAGUUAUCUCCUUUUUCGGGCAAGUGGUGAAUUCCUCCCUUGAAGCAACAAUGUCUUCGAGAAAGUCUUCAAGAAUUGCAAGCAGGGGAGCACGAUCUAUGCCUGAGGGUCCUACCCAUUUUGACUUAACCUUCUCAGCAGCGUCAACCUUCUUCACUGACUCAACCUGAAGAUGAGGUCAUAGAGGAUGCUGAACCUGUAAGAACUCUAACUCCCAAGGUUGCUUAUAAGCUCUACUCUAAUCUGAAGAAAGGAGGUACACCAAUUUCCUUAAUCGAUGAAUUCUUAAAAGAUAGAGGAUUCAAGAAUGAAACCUUGUUUUUAAGGGAUUUGGAAAAAUUAGGAGUUGUAGAGAAAGGAACGGUUGAUAGAACAUUUGAGAACAUACCGAGUGACCCAUCUAUGGCUUUGCAAAUCAUCCUCAGGACGAUGAUGAAUGGUUGUUUGCUCAUUUUGAACCUAGAUCGGAUGUGGCUGCAAACAUUACUGAUGGCUCUAAUCUGUUUAAAUCAAAGGGGCACAAGAAGGUUUAUUCAAAACUUCUGAAGAGAGGGGUAAUGAACCCUAGAACUGUUGAUUUUGAUUUUCUUGAUUCAAUAAAGGUCAAUCUCCACGAGAAGUUUGCUUUACUGCAACUGGAACGAUUCUCUUCCAAAUCCACCGCUACUUUUCCAGAACUCACUGCAUACUUUUAUUCGAACCUAUCUUUCUUGGAUGCAAACAGUUUUAUUUUCACUGUAAAGGAUAAAGAGUUUUUUGGUGGAUACAGACACACUAGGCCGACAUAAUUGGGGUGGAAAGAUCGAGUUUCCAGCCAAUUAAUGUGUCUAUUGCUCAUGCUAUUCUGUCAUUGGGGAGAGAUAUGAAUGUUGAUGGCAAGAUUUCUUACUCAAGGAUGAAUGCCUCUAGCAUUUUGCUACACAAAAUUGUGAUAAAACUGCAUUCAUCCUAAAUCAACAUCCAAAACAGAUGUUUCUCGAUCGGAAACUAAGUUGAUGUGUGCCAUCAACUCUGGAUAUAAAUUCUCUUUGCCUCACACCAUAUUGUUUCAUAUGUACCGCACUGUUGAAAAAGAUAAGGGACAACUCCCUUACUCUGCUCUUAUCUCAAGGCUCUUUCGGCACUUUAAAAUUCACAUCUCUGCACCAUUAUACCUGUCAACCAUCUCUCCUAUGGUUAUUGGGUUCAAAAUGGUGACAAAGAUGAGAUUGAAAGAGUUGAACAAAGUGUUGAAGCAUGUGAAGGAAAAGUCUCCCACAAAAGCAAAACAAGACUCUGCUGCUGCGAAAAGCAAAAAGGCAAGGAGCCCAUGGUUGCUCCUAUGAAGAAGAAGAAAAGAAUUCUCAUCUUGCAAGAUGAAGAAGAUGAGGAUGAAUUGACCAUAGCAGCCUUGAGAAAAAGAGUUUUGUCAGCUUUCGUUAAACAAGAGAAGAGCCAGGAGAAGAGGAAAGAGAGAGAGAGAGAAGUCACAGAGAAGGAAGAAGAACAAAGGAGGACAGAGGAAGAAAGAAGAAGAAGAAGAAGAAGAAGAAGAAGAAGAAGAAGAAGAGGAAGGAAGAGGAGAAGAGGAAGGAAGAAGAGAAGCAGAAGAGGAAGAGGAAGAAUAAGAGAGAGAAGGAGAACAAGAUUAGGGUCAAGAGGACUCUUUCGAGCCAACCUUGGCUAUCUCUCUGUCUAGUGCGUCUGCAGAUGAGGAAACUUCACCUACUCCACCUGAGGGCAUCAAAAUAGGGGGAGCUGUUGAUCCAAAAGGUAUUUCUUCAUCUUUGCCUACUAGUGAUGUGAGUCGUUUUGCAGCAGAUCCUGAGGAUGUGUAUGCCUCACACAAUCCAGAAGACAGUCAUGAUGAACAAUCUGCUGAAGCUCCAUUGAUUCUCAAAAUCCCAGUCCUUGACUCAGCUAGUCCUAGUGAUGCAUCUGCUCAGACAACAGACUUUUCAAGAUUGAUGGAAGUUCUUUUGGACGUUAGAAAGCAGCAAUAUGCCAUGGGGUUUGAGAUGCAGGAUCUCAAGAAUGCUUUUAAGGCCACUUCAAUAUCGUUGCAUGAGUAGUUGAACACCCUGAAGCUUCAAGUUCAGUCUUUGCAGGGUGAAGAUUUUCCGUGACUGAAGCAGAGUUUUGACAGGCUUGAGAAGACACUGCAUUCUAUGGGAGAAUUCACGCUUGUUCGCCUGGCCAAACAAUCUUGAUUUUAACUCAUUUUUCCAUCCAUCUCUUUAGUCUAUUCUCCACUUUUUGCUGUUGACAAAAAGGGGGAAAGGUUUUAUGCAGAUUUGAUUGACUUUAUUUUUACUUUUUGUUGGACUUUAACUUUUGUUUGAUGUGGUUUUGAUUUAGACUGGUUUGGACUGAUGAUGCUUGCAACUUAAGCUAAAAUAUUAUUGAUUACAUUAAAGAUAGUUGUGUUUACAAGAUUAACAUGUUUUCUGUGGUUGCAGAAUUGCUACUAUCUCUAUCAUAAUAUCUAAUUUUCAUCUAUAAGAAAUCUUGGUUUGCUUAAGUGUUGUCUUGCAGGUCAAAGUGUCCAGGUGUCCAAAUCUACGAGAAAAUUUUGUCACCAUCAAAAAUGGGGAGAUUGUUGGAGAAAACUUAUCUAUUUUGAAGUUGACAAAACGUUUCCUUCCAUCAAAAUCUGAAGACCGCCAGACUUAAGAUUUAAAGUCUGCCCUCAUUGACAGUUUCUAGACCGACGAAGAAAUCUUAUUCAGAUGCAAGUUUAUCUUUAAGGAUUUGAUCCGUUUGGUUGAAGAUUAUCUCACGACUGGAGAUAGCAUCUAAAGAUCUGUUAUUCGUAUUGCAAAUAAUUCGAGUAAUUCAGAUCCAUUGAUUGGUGAAGUAAACUUGGAAGGUUCUACUUAUGGAAACCUAGAUCCUGAUUGUAUGGGCGAGCAGGAUUAGUGGGCUAUUUUCAUUUUCCUUAAGUAACUCGAGAUCUUUCUAAUUGAUUCUAUCCAAUAGUUAGAUUGGAAGAACUCUUUUGAAAGGUGCCAACGGUUAUGGAGGCAUGGAGGAGUAUAUAAGGAGAAUGCUCUAGUUAUUCGAGUGAGUGCGAGAUAGAAAAAUUCCAAAGUCCGAAACUUCUAGUUCUUUGCUGAUUCGUUUAUUGAGUGUAAACUUGUACUCAAAAGAGGGAUUAGAUGUUGGAGAAAUCUUCGUGAAGUGUUUUGAUGCUAACAAAACGUUUCCAUCAGUCUAGUCUGAAGAUCUCUAGACUCUGCUAUUUAAAGUCUGAAGACCUCAGGAUAGCCAGACUUAAGACUCAAAGUCUAUCCUCAUUGACAGUUGCUAAUCCAUUGAAGAAAGGCUAUCCAGAAUUGGAUGUUUCAUUAAGGAUAUGACCUUAUCGACUGGAGAAGAUCUCUUGGCUGGAUAAGACAUAACGGAAUCCUUUAUUUGAUCAUGAUUGACUCGAAGAUUAAGGAUCCGAUGAUUGACAAAGUAUACUUGGAAGGUUCUACUUAUGGAAACCGAGAUCCUGAUUGUAUGGGCGAACAUGAUUGAUGGACUAUCGACAUGUUCCUUUAAUAGCUCGAAUGAUCUUCCUAAUUAAUUCCGUCCAAUGAGUAGAUUAGAGGAAUUCUUUUGGUAAGUGCCAACGGGUAUGAUGGCAUAAAGGAGUAUAUAAGGAAGACGUUCAAGUUGUUCGAGGUGUGCACGAUAGAAGAAUUCCAAAGUCUGAAGCUUAUUGUUGUUAGUUAAUUCAUUUGAGCGAAAUCUUGUAUACAAAAGAGAGUCUAUAUUUGUGAGAAUCCUUGAGGAAGUGUGGUAGAAUAUCUACACUGUGGAAUCAAGGAAAAGCUGUACUGUAACUUCUCUUUUGUCCAUAGUGAAAUCCAGCCGGUGGGCUGUCAGUGCGGAAGAGUGGACGUAGGCUUGGAAUAAGCUGAACCACUAUAAACCUUGCGUUCAAUCUUCUCUUCCCUACUCUUUACUUUAAUUUGGUCGUACUUCAUUUUAUUAAUCAAAAGAGAACUCCCUUUCUAUUAUCUGCCUAGAAUCGCUUCCAUAUCUCGAGAAAUUAUUUUUUGCACCUAUUCACCCCCCUCUAGGUGCUUAUACUAGCUAUCUCAAUUGGUAUCAAAGCCUGUGUACUCACUUUGUUUGAAUUGUUUUACUUCAUAGUUAAAGAUCCAUUGCUAGUAUGUUGGCUCUAGGGCUGGUAGAAGGGCAAAGCAACACUAGACCACCUUACUUUGAUGGAAAUGAUUACAAUAUAUGGAAAAAAAAUGAAGGCAUUCCUAAGAUCAAAUGAUCCUCUAGAAUGACAUGUUGUAGAAAAAUGAAUCAUUCCUAAAGCUGCACCAGUCUCAGAAAGAGGAAAAGAUACUGUUGAGUCUAGUGAAAUGACUCAGGAAGAGAUAAUCAAGCGACAAGCUCUUGAUGCAAAAGCAAUUUAUUCUUUAUAUUUUGCUUUAUCACCUAUUGAAUAUAACAAAAUAUCUUCUUGUGUUACAGCCAAAUAAGUCUGGGAUAGAUUACACAUUACUUAUGAAGGAACCGAUCGAGUGAAAGAGACUAGAAUCAACAUUCUUCUCGAUUAAUACGAAGCCUUCAAAAUGAAAUUAGGAGAAUUUAUAACUGAUAUGUUUAGUCGUUUUACAGAAAUCGUGAAUGGUCUUGAAAAUCAAGGUCAACCAAUUUCUGAUCCCAUGAAAGUAAACAAGCUACUGUGUGGACUCUCCAAGGAUUGGAAUUACAUAAAGACCUCAAUCAGAGAGACCCAAAGAGUCAUGCCACUAUCUGUUGAUGAGUUGGUUGGGACUCUUCAGUCUUAUGAAGUGGAACGAAUCAAUGAAGACGAAGACCCUAAAGGUAAGAAAUCCUUUGUAUUAAAAUCUAAUCAUGAUUCUGAUGUUAUAGAUUUUGAAGACGAUAUGGAUGAUGAGGAGCUUGCUCUCAUGAUAAGAAGAUUCAGAAGCUGAACAGAAAAGGAAGAAGAUUCAAUUCAAAGAAUCAAAUUUUUCAAAAGCAACAAACCGAGUCUAUUGAAGAUGAUGAAUCAAACAAAGAUGUAGUCUGCUUUGAAUGUAAGAAAAAGGGACACAUCAGACCCAACUGUCCUCUUCUAAGGAAGAAGAAAGGAAAAGCUGAAAAGUAUCGAAAAGCUCUUAAAGCAGAAACCUGGAGUGAUACAGAGUGCGAAGAUAGUAAUGAAGAUAAGGCCAAUGUAUGUCUAAUGGCACAAUCGAAUUCAGAUUCGAAUUCCGAGACAGAUUCAGAUUCAGAAAGUGAAUUUGAGGUUAGUAACUUCAAAAUCCCUAUUAAAGUUUCAAAAUACAUUGAUGAAUUGUGUUUUAGUCUUAAGACUUCUCUUAAAAGAAUUUCCGAACUCAAAAAGGAAAAUUCUGCUCUAAAACAACAAGAAAAUGUUUUGAAAGAAAAAGUGAAAUGCUUAGACAAGAAUGUUUCUUCUCUUAAAGAAAAUGAAAAUGAUCUUUUAAAAGAAAAUGCAUUCUUGAAAAAUGAUAUCUCAAAUAAUUCCAAAAGAUUUUCUUUAGGAUCUGAAAAACUAGAAAAAAUACUUUAUGUUCAAAGACCUUAUUUCAAUAAAUCUGGUUUAGGAAUGAUUGCUGAAACCAUUCCUUUAAUUGAUUUUCCUAAAGUGAAAGAAAGAAUAAAAAAAAGACCCACAAGAGAUGCUUACAAAAAUCAUUUUAAAAGGACCUUUGUAAACCAGUAGGUCGCAAUGCUCUCAGAUGUGCAAAGUGUAAUAGUGCAAAUCAUUUUGAAAAAGAAUGUCUUAUGGUUUGGAAACCUGUUAAAAAGGUUUGGGCAAAAACCACAUAUCAUACUAACACCAAUGGACCCAAGAAAAUUUGGGUACCAAAGAAAGUUUGAGUUUCUCUUUUAAAUGCAUGUCACUAUCAAGAAAAAGGUAAAAUGGUAUCUGGAUAGUGGAUGCUCAAGACACAUGACAGGAGAUUCAAAUUGUUUCAUAAAGCUUGUACGAGUAAAUGGUGGAAAAGUCUCAUUUGGAGGAAACAGCAAGAGAAAAAUUGUGGGAUUUGGAACUGUAAAGAUUGGAAAUCUCACAAUAAGCAAUGUUUCUUGGAUGUGAAACCAGAUGAAUCACAAUGCUUAAUUUCAAUUCAAGACGAAGCAAGCUUAUGGCACAGAAAGCUUGGGCACAUUAACAUGAAGCAGAUAGCCAAAAUCUCAGCAAAGAAGCUUGUUCGUGGUCUACCCAAUUUAUCAUACCAAAAGUUUGAUCUAUGUACACCAUGCUUAUUGGGAAAAUAGGUAAGAAAUUCCUUUAAACCAAUAAAUCAACCGUGUACUGCAGCUUUUGCAUAUGGAUCUUUUUGAACCAACCAGAACACAGAGCAUUGGAGGUAAGAAAUACUGCCUAGUAAUUGUGGAUGACUACUCAUGAUUUACUUGGGUAUAUUUCUUGGCAAGUAAGUCUGAAACUUUCUCUUACUUUGAAAAAUUUGCUAAGAAGGUUCAAAAUGAAAAUGAGUAUGUUAUUUCAAGUAUAAAAACAGACCAUGGAGGUGAAUUUGAAAAUCAAGAUUUUACAAAAUUUUGUGAUGAAUCAGGUUUUCAGCAUUUGUUCUUCUCUCCAUAUACUCCAGAGCAAAAUGGAGUUGUGGAAAAAAAGAAUAGAUCUCUUCAAGAAAUGGCUAGAACUCUUUUAAUUGAAAGCAAUAUCUCUUCACAAUUUUGGGCCGAAGCAGUUUCAACAGCAUGUUAUAUUAUUAGUAGAGUUUUUCUAAGGCCUAUUCUAGAAAAAAAACCCCCUAUGAGUUAUUCAAAGGAAAGAAGCCUAUUGUUUCAUAUUUUCAUGUGUUUGGAUGCAAAUGUUUUAUAUUGAAAAAUGCAAAUGAUCGAGUUGGUAAGUUUGAAGAAAAGUCAGAUGAAGGAAUCUUCCUUGGAUAUUUAAGCUCAAGCAAAGCGUACAGAGUCUACAACAAGAAGACUCAAAUGUGGAAUAAUUAAUGAAUGUUAAAUUUCAAGACUAUAUGCAAAAUGAAUCCAUUCAGACUCAUCUUGAAGAAUCUGAACUUGCUCCAGACUCUACGAAGUCUAAAUCUCAAGAAGCAGCUCAGACUCUAAAAGACCAGCAACAAAUGAUUAUUGAAGAUUCAAAUGAAGGAAGUGAUCAUCAACCUGACAAAUCAAGUAGCAACUAGAAGCAUAAGUCCAGUCAUCCCAAAGAUCUUAUCAUUGGCGACAUUAAUGAAGGAAUUCGCACAAGAUCCAAAUGGUGUGAAGAGUCUAGUGUUGUGGCUCUUAUUUUUGAAAUACAACCCAGAAGCAUAGAUGAAGCUUUAUCUAAUGAAAGCUGGAUUGAAGCUAUGCAAUAAGAACUCAGACAAUUCAAAAUUAAUGAUGUUUGAGAGUUAACUUCUAAACCAAAAGGUAAAUCUAUUGUUGGAGCUAAAUGGGUUUUCAGGAACAAGAUGGACAAGAAAGGAAAAGUCAUAAGAAACAAAGCAAGACUCGUGGCCAAUGGAUAUACGCAAGAAGAAGGGAUAGACUAUGAUGAAACUUACGCACCAGUAGCAAGGUUAGAAGCAAUUCGAUUAUUACUUGCAUUUGCUUGUUAUAAGAAUUUCAGGUUAUUCCAAAUGGACGUCAAAAGUGCUUUCCUCAGUGGAUUUAUCCAUGAGGAAGUCUAUGUGGAGCAACCACCUGGGUUUGAAGACCCAAGAAAGCCAGACUCAGUAUUCAGACUGAAAAAUGCUUUGUAUGGUUUAAAGCAAGCACCUCGAGCUUGGUACGAAAGGUUGAGUAAGUUUUUAAUUCAAAAUGGUUUUAUAAAAGGUAAAGUAGACACUACUUUGUUUAUCAAAAGAGAAAGCAAAAGUUUUUUACUUAUUCAAAUAUAUGUCGAUGAUAUUAUUUUUGAAUCCCCUAAUAAAAGUUUAUGCAAGAAAUUCUCUAAGACGAUGCAUGAUGAAUUUGAAAUGAGCAUGAUAGGUGAGUUAACCUUCUUUCUUGGGCUUGAAGUAAAACAACUGAAAGAAUGAACUUUUACUCAUCAAAAAAAGUAUGCUAAAGAUCUUGUCAAAAAGUUUGGAUUGGAUAAUUGCAAAAAGGCUGAUAUACCAAUGUCAAGUUCCUUGAAGAUAGACAAAGAUGAAGGAGGAAAGAAAAUCGAUCAGAAGUUAUACAGGAGUAUCAUUGGCUCACUUCUUUAUCUUACAGCUUCUAGACCUGACAUUUCGUUUAGUGUUUGUAUUUGUGCCAGAUUCCAAGCAGACCCUAAAGAAUCUCAUUUAAAUGCUGCAAAGCGUAUUAUCAAAUAUAUUUCAUCAACUUCAAGCUUUGGUCUCUAGUAUCCAAAAAGGGGAGACUUUACUCUUCUUGGAUACUCAAACGCAGACCUUGCUGGAUGUAGAGUUGAUAGAAAGAGCACCUCGGGUACCAGUCAACUACUUGGAGGCAGGACGGUGUCUUGGUUCUCAAUGAAGCAGAGUACAGUAGCUCUUUCUAUAGCAGAAGCAGAGUAUGUAGCUCUUGGAAGUUGCCGUUCACAAAUUUUGUGGAUAAAACAACAGUUAAGAGACUUUGGAAUUGAAGAUUCAUGCACGGAGAUCAACUGCGACAACACCAGCGUUAUCAAUCUCACCAAAAAUCCAAUUCUUCACUCAAGAGCAAAGCAUAUAGAGAUUCGAUAUCACUUCAUUAGAGAUCAUGUUCAAAAUGGAGAAAUCUCGAUUCAAUUUGUUGACUCAAAGAACCAACUGGCGGAUAUAUUUACAAAGCCUUUGGAGAAAAAUCAAUUUGAAGUCAUCCGUUCCAGACUCAACAUUUUGAGGUUUGAAGAAGUGAAAGUCUAGAGACUCUCAGACUCAGAUAUACAAGACUUUGACUAUAAAUAUACGAGACUUUGAAUGUAAGUUAUUUUCUCUCUCGAAUCUCAUCUUGAAAAGGUACGAUCGUCAAUUGUGUUUGAUUAUUGCUAUAUUUAAUUGACUUGACUAUUGCAACGUUUCCUUUUUGAAAAAAGAGUUAUUUUGAAAUGACCAUUUUUUCGAAAAAGGCAGUUAUUUUUGAAAGGGCAUCUUUUCACUUUCCUUUAUGACGUUUUGUAUUCCACCCUUUCGACUAAGUUAUAUAUAGUCGGUUUCUCUUUUGUUUUAACUUCAAAACCCUAAAAAGCACCGAUCUACCAUUCCUGUUCUCUUCUCUUGUUUAAUCUUUGAAAAAGUUGUCAUCUUUCUUGGGAAAGUCAAGCAAGGAAUCUUUCAAAGAUUGAGGAAGAUGUCAUAUUCAAGAAAGUCUUCAAGGAUCGCAAGCAGGGGACCACGGCGAAUGAGUGAGGGGCCUACGCACUUUGAUCUCACCAAUGAAGAAGAGUCUCCAAAUCAGUAGCAGAGCCCACAACAUUCUCAGCAGCGUCAUUCUCCUCCAUCUAGUCCUCAAGGUGUUGAUCAUCAACAAGAGGAAGAAAUUAUUGAAGACGCAGAUCCUGUAAGAGUUCAAAGACCCUCUUUUAUUUAUAAGCUUUACCGUGCUUUAAAGAGGACCGGUACUCCGUUGAUCUAUAUCGAUGAAUUUCUUAAGGACAAAGGAUAUGUGAAUGAAUAUAUCUUUUUGCGAAAAAUGGAGAGUUGGGGAAUUGCUCCUAAAGGGUUGGCUGAAGAAACCCUUGCAAAUAUCCCAAGUGAUCCGCGUGUUGGGGGAUUUAAUCCUAUAGAUAGGAAUGAUGAUGAUAAACUGUACAUUCAAUUUCAACCAAGGAUGGGUGUUGCAGUGAAAAUUCGAGGAAAAAGGACAGAGAUGUUUAGAUCGAAGGAACAGAAGGUUAUCUAUUCAAAACUAUUAAAGCGAGGGGUGAUAAACCCUAGGAGUGUGGAUUUUUUUAUUUCCUUGAUGCUGUAAAUGUCAAUUUGAGAGAAAAGUUUAGUUUUCUUCAACUUGAGCAGUUUUAUUCUGACACCACAGAAGCCUAUGCUGAAUUAACCGCUUAUUUCUAUUCGAAUCUUAGUUUCUUGGAUGCAAAUAGAUUCUCUUUUAGUGUCAGAGAUCAAGACUUUGUGGUGGAUAUGGAUAUGUUGGCGGAUGUCAUUGGGGUUGAGAGAGGAAGAUAUCAACCUAUCAACGUUUCUAUUGCUCGUGCUACAUUGGAACUUGUUAAGGAUAGAAGAACAGAGGAAAAGAUUUCCUACUUGAGGAUGAGUGCGUUUAACAUUUUGCUUCACAAGAUUGUGAUCAAUUGCCUCAGACCGAAAUCAACUUCCAAGACUGAUGUUUCAAGUUCAGAGGCAAAGCUGAUGUAUGCCAUCAUCACUGGAAAAAAGUUUUCUCUCCCUCACACUAUUAUGUUCCACAUGUAUAGAGCAGUGGUGAAAGGACAGGGGUCAACUUCCUUAUCUAGGUCUUAUGAUGAAGUUAUUCAGACAUCUGAAUAUUCAGCCUCCACAAAUUCUUUGUGUUCGAUCGUGCGAUCAUAUGGUGGUAGGACUAAAAAUGGUGGACUAAAUGCAUAUAAAGGAACUAGCAAGGCGUUGGAGAAAUUCAAGGAGAAGACUCCAGUCAAAACUCAUCAAAUCUCUUCUUCAUCAAAAAGGAAAGGGAAGGAGCCCAUGGUUGCUCCAUCCAAGAAAAGAAGAGCUCUCAUCAUUGAAGAUGAAGAUGAUGAGAAAAACAUCACAAUCUUUGCAAUGGCAUUGAAGAAUCUAAGUCGUUCUAUUCUAGAGAAAGACUCAGAACAGAGGGCUAGAGAAAGAGAAGAGAAAGAAGCAGAAGAGAAAGAAGUAGAGGAGAAGGAAGAAGAAGAAAGGGAUGUUGAGAAGGAAAGAGUUGAGAAAGAAGAAGAAGAGAAAAGAGAUCAAGAGGAAAGGAGAACAUGAGGAACACUCUUCUCCACCUGAAGGCAUGAAAACAGGGGGAGAUUAAGAGAAAAGAGGAAUGUCCUCAUAUCCUGCUACUAGUGAGGGAGUCAGUCGCUCUCCAGCUGAUCCAGAGGACAUUUAUGCCUCUCAAUUUCCUAAGGAAGGACAUGAUGUUUCAUCGCCAAAUCUGCGUGAUUAUGCUGAUCAGCCAUCGUCUGCUUUUACUCCAUCAGAUCGUGCCGAAGCUAGUAUGCAGACUGAUAAUUCAGCAGAUUUUCGCAGAAUCCUGGAUGUUCUUUUGGAAAUGCGAGGUCAGAUAUAUGCUCUGGGAUGCGAAUUUCAGAAUUUGCAGAAUGCAGGUCAAUCUUCUUCGGGUUCCUUGAAUGAUCAGAUCCAAGCCAUUUCUCUUCAAAUUCAGGCUAAUUCUAAGGGUAAGGAUGUUGCACAACUAAAGGAAGACUUGAAAAGACUGGAAGGCAUCGUUCAGUCAAUGGGAGAUUUCCAGCUUGUUCAUGUUCCCAAGCAUUCUUGAUUCUACUCCACUUUCAUCUCGACCUUUUUUAUGUUGACAAAAAAGGGGAGAGAUGCGAGAUUUGCAAACUUUGAAUCUUUACAACUUUUGAUUGGAUUAAUGUUUGAAGAUUGUUUUGAUGUUUGACUUACUUUUGUGUUCGGAUGUGGACUGAAUUUGGAUUUGGAUUUGACUGCUUAUAUUAACUACUAUUGAUAUCUUAUGAAUGGCUUUAUCACAUAAAAGACUAACCUAAUUUCUGUGUGGUUGCAGAUUCUAGUGUUAUCAUUCAUCAAGCCAUUUAUUUUUAUAAGAUAUUCAUAUUUUUUUUAGUAACAUUUUGCAGGUCAAAGUUAUCCAAAUUUGCAGGAAAGUUUUGUCACCAUCAAAAAUGGGGAGAUUGUUGGGGAAAUCUUCGUGAAGUGUUUUGAUUCUAACAAAACGUUUUCAUCAGUAUAGUCUGAAGAUCUCCAGACUCUGCUAUUUAAAGUCUGAAGACCUCCGGACAGCUAGACUCAAGACUCAAAGUCUAUCCUCAUUGACAGUUGCUAAUCUGUUGAAGAAAGGCUAUCCAGAACUAGAUGUUUCAUUAAGGAUAUGACCUUAUCGACUGGAGAAGAUCUCUUGGCUGGAUAAGACAUAACGAAAUCCUUUAUUUGAUCAUGAUUGACUCGAAGAUUAAGGAUCCAAUGAUUGACAAAGUAUACUUGGAAGGUUCUACUUAUGGAAACCGAGAUCCUGAUUGUAUGGGCGAACAUGAUUGAUGGGCUAUCGACAUAUUCCUUUAAUAGCUUGAAUGAUCUUCCUAAUUGAUUCCGUCCAACGGGUAGAUUGGAGGAAUUCCUUUGAUAAGUGCCAACGGGUAUGAUGGCAUAAAGGAGUAUAUAAGGAAGACGUUAUAGUUGUUCGAGAUGUGCAUGAUAUAAGGAAGUCUGAAGCUUCUUAUUGUUAGUCAAUUCAUUUGAGCGAAAUCUUGUACACAAAAGAGAGUCUAUAUUUAUGAGAAUCCUUGAGGAAGUGUGGUAGAAUAUCUACAUUGUGGAAUCAAGGAAAAGCUGUACUAUAACUUUUCUUUUGUCCAUAGUGAAAUCCAGCCGGUGGGCUGUCAGUGCGGAAAAGUGGACGUAGGCUUAGAAUAAGCCGAACCACUAUAAACCUUGCGUUCAAUUUUCUCUUCCCUACUCUUUACUUUACUUUGGUCGUACUUCAUUUUGUUAAUCAAAAGAGAACUCCCUUUCUAUCGUCUGCCUAGAAUCGCUUCCGUAUCUCGAGAAAUUAUUUUUUGCACUUAUUCACCCCCCUCUAGGUUUUUAUACUAGCUAUCUCAUUAGAUACCUGUGAGACCUUGAGGAAGUGUAGUAGAGUUUCUACACUAUGGAAUUAAGGACGUGUGAUUGUAACAACUCUUUUGAUUCAUAGUGAAAUCCAGUCAGUGGGCUGUUAGUGCGGGAGAGUGUAUGUAGGCUUGGUCUAAGCGGAACCACUAUAAAACAUCGUGUUUCAAUUCUCUUUCCCUUAUCUCUUUACUUAAUUCGUAGUCUUAUAUAUUAUUGCAGGUCUUUUAAAUCUUAAGUCUUCCGUUGUUUUAUAAGUUGAAUUAAGUUGCUGAGUUUUAUAAAAUUCAUUUUUACACCUAUUCACUCCCCUCUAGGUGUUCAUACUAGCACUAUCAAGCGCAAGCACCAGGCCGUUGUAAAGAUCUCAAGCACAGCUCCUCCUUCAAAGGGUAUAUGGACAACGGACACAUUAAGCAAAGUCGAAUGACAUUACAUUUAUAUCUCCCUUUUCUUUCCACUCUUUUCUCAGCUACCGCUCCUGUUGCUGCUAUUGAGUGAUCUUGGGCAUGCUGGCUUCGUCAAUCUCUAUGUAAAUCUUCGAUUGUUUUGUGCAUCUUGUCAUCUCUUUUUUUUUUCUUCAGUUUAGAGUUGAAGAGGGGAGGGUUCUGGUGUGAUGGCUUCCUCACAUUUGUACAGAUUUCCACACGACAGAAGUGAAUUCUUACAUUUCAACUAGGCAUUCUAAGCGGUUCUGCCAAGUUCUUUUUCAGUAUUUUAUGCCUUUUCUUUCUGCUUGUAAUCUUAACUGCAAGAUUCAGAUUAGUUUUGUCAAGGGCGACAUCUCAAGUUGACUUUGCUGAGGUUGAGGUUAGAGAAUGCGAUCUUGUAUCUUUAGAUUUAACUAAAAGUUGAAAUGUUUUAGAUUAAAAGUCCUUGGAAUAAAAUUGCAAAUUUCGAAAAUUGAUUUUUUUUUUGUUAGGUUGGACAUCAAGUGAUUGAUAAAAGACCCAAAGAUUUCAAAUGUAAUACCUUUAAAAAGCAAAUAAGGAAAAAAAACAAAAAAGUUGCGAAGUCUGGUAAUUAUGAAUUCUAAACUUUUUUCUCUGGUUUUGAAAUUAGCAUUGGAAAGAAGAAAAAUGGUAAGUUAGUGCAAUCUACUUCGACAUCUUAACAAAUACCUUCUGUGAUCUUUAAAUGGAGCCUUAAUGAGCAUUAUAAGUAAAAUUGUAAUGAAAAGAGAAAGAAAUAGAUUUUCUAUAUAAUAGACAUUGUUGGCUGAUGUAUCAUGCUAAUUAUCUUAUGAAUAAAAAACUGCCUCUCCCUUAUAAUGGUUGGCAAACUGCGCCCCUUGCAUUAGCAUAGUAGAGGACGCAAGUAUCUCUCAAUUGGUGUAUACUCGUCAAUUGAUCCUCCUUGAUGUAAUUUAUAUCGAUUGAAUUAUUUAUUUCAAUUUUGCUUGGGAUCUCAAUUUAGAAAAUCAUGGGAUCUAUAAAGCUUAGAUAACAACAAGAGGAAUUAAAAAAAAAAAAAACGGUUACGACACUGCGUCAAUAUCGUUGACAGGUAAGAAUACCAGUACUUGCGACCUUGCAGCUCUGCUACUCGGGAAAUCACUAAAAUGUGGCAUUAAAAAUAAAAAUAAUUUUUUUAAUGAGACAGAAAGAUAAUUAAUUAUUAAUAUUUGAUACUUCUACCGUUUGUUUAAGGGCUAUGCUAGUAGGUCACACGACACAUCCAAUGGUGUUUUCACUGCACACGUUCAUUUUUUUUUCUCUAUAGUGAUGUAGUCACUUAUUAAUAUGUUGUAUUUUUUCCCUUUUUGUUGCGAAUUUCCCCUUCUAUAAAUCAUGAACACGAACACGAGCACAAAAUUUUUUCGUCAAAAUAAGUGGUCUAUUCAGCACGUGCUGAUACCUUUAAUUAUUUUUUAUAUUCGGAAUAAAUUAUUAAGUGAUGAUUGGACAAAUCAUUAAACAGAAAAAUCUCUUGACGAAAAAUAUCCUAGAUUAUCUCGCGAGCGUAUGCUGAAAAUCUAGACAUACAUUAUUGUAUUUUAGGGUACAAGAUUUGCUCUCUCUUUGUCAUUGAUUUUGUAAGUGUCCUAUUGCCUUUGGAUGGUUAUUCUUUUUGUAACCGUUCGACUUUAAAAUCGGCAAUGACCAGGAGUAACCAUCAUCGAUCAAGCCCUCUUAAGUGAACACUAAAAAAAGAAUUAGUCUCUUAAUCGCUCGAAUUGUGUUAAAUCAGAGGUAUUGUUUGUAGAUAUCAUGAAUAAUGGGAAAAUUUCCAAAAAGGUCCUAAAUCUAUUGCACUUUAGCCAAUUAAGUCAUAAAUCUUUUAAUUACGUCAAUUGAAUCCUCAACCUUUUCACAUUUUGCCAACUGAGUUUAUUAGGCCAAUUUUAAGAAAAAAUCAUUGAUGUAAGUGCCAACUAUCUUAUGUAAGAUGGUCGAUACUAAUGUUGACAAAUUCUUAUAAUUUUUUUAAAGAAUGGAUUUUUUAAAUUUUUUUUUUCUUUUUUUAUUUUACCGUGGCUUGUGAGAGUUGUUGGGUCCUUGUAGCUACUAGCGAAGACAGUGACCCUCGUCGGACAUGGAGAAAAAAAAGUAAAGGAGGAAAAGAGAAGAAAAAAAAGGAAAAAGAAGAGAAAAAGGUUCAUAAAAAUUCAAAAAAAAUGUUUAAAAUAUUAUAAAAAUUCUCCACUUUAGCACCGCUUGUGCCACAUAAGAUAACUGGUGUCCACGUUAGUGAUUUCCUAACAAAAUUGGCCAGAUGAACUCAAUUGGGAAAACAUGAAAAUGUUUAAAAAUUCAAUUGGCAUAAUUGAUAGAUUAAUGACUGAAUUAGUAAAAGUACAAUGAGUUUUUUUUGGUAAUUUUCCCAUGACUAACUAGCAUCUCUCUUCCAUCCAGAUUCUGAUCAUAGUUUAAACAGGGCAAAGUCCCAAACUUAUCUAACGAAUUUAAAUCUCAAAAGGAGAUGCAAUAUCUAGUAUAAAGUUCACACUUUAUGACUUGUGUCCAAUCACAUAGCGUUGCUGCAACAGAUAGUUUGGAGACAUGUUUCAGCGGGUCUUCUUACAUGCUAAACAUGAUAUCAUAAACAAACCACUAAGACGAUUAGUUAGUAACCUUUUUUUUUAUUGUUUGCCAAGCAUGUUGUUCCAUCAUCUUUCAAUACAUUCUCAAGUGGCAUUUGUAGAUGAUGGUUUUAUGUGAUGGGCUUAAGGCCCAUCCACCCAUGUUGGGCCUAAAAGCCUGGCCCACAGGAUUAGGGCCCAUGGAUGAAGGGGUACGUUUCUAUUUUUUGAGGGAACGUAUAUAAGGGAGGAAAGAGAGAGACAAAGAUACCUUUUGGUAUUACGUACAUUCCUCUCCCUCUCUCCCUCCAAGAGUAAAACAAAACGUAAAAGGCGAUGCUCUCUUCCCUUCAAGGCCAAUCAACGUCAUAGGAUCAAACAUGAUCGGUUUCUCUUCCCCUUAUUGACAUUGGUGUUUAAUCUGUGAUUAACAAGGUACGCUCGAUUCCGUAGUGUGCUUUAGGAUCGGUGAUACAUGUUUUUUUCCCGGGCUUCGCUUCCAUAUUAUUUUUUAGGGGUUUGAUUUAGUGUCGAAUCCGGUUUUUGGGAAUUCGAUAAUCCCAACAUUGGUAUCAGAGCCCUAGUUCAUGUUUUCCCGAUCCCUUUGAUGUUUAUGAAUGAUUUUUGAUUGAUUUUUCGCGAAAGUAUUCAGCCAACACGGAUCGGGGCGAGAAAUCCCGACACCCGAGCAUUGUUCAUCCAUUUUUUCCAGUUUCUGUAAGUCGAAAUCAAAUUUUGAAGGCAUAGGGUGAAAGAUCUCGUCGAGAUGAGUCCGACGAUGUGUCGUGCGUCGCCGGGCGACGUCGGACGCGCCCACACGCACAGCCAAAAGGCGAUGUGCGUGGGCGCCAUGCGCCGGGGGCGAACCGGCACGUGCGUGUCGGCGAUCGGCAAACCGGCAUGCGCUGGUCGGCGAACCGGCGCGUGCUGACGUCACUGUGACGUCACCCAACGGUUGGUAACCGCUGGGAUGACGUCGCCGGUGACCCGACCCGACCCGACAUGCGCGGAAGCGGGCGCGUGCCAUGCGCGAGCCAGCUGAUGUUUGCAUGACGUCAGCCCGCACACGCAUGUGGCAUGUGCUAGUCGGUUCGUCCGACCCGCCGCCCGUUGACCCGUUGACCGUUGACCGACGACCAUUGACCGUUGACUGACGACCGUUGACCAAAAAAAAAAGAAAAAAAGAGAAUUUGUUUGUUUUUCAAUUAUGUCAGUGUGGGUUAUAGGUAAUCCAUUUUUUAUUGUGCAUUUGUUACAUGAAUCAUGGAAAAUUAUAUAUUUUCCCUUAUAUUCAUUAUGGAUUAUAAAUGAUCCAUUUUUAAUUCUGCAUUUGUUGUAGGAACUAUGAUGUGUUCUGCACGGAUACCUACAAGCCUGAGAACGGACGAGGGAAAUGCAAGACUUGAAAGACUGAUGACAGAGUUAGCUAAUUAUCGGUGGCAUGACGGUGAUUUAGUAUCACAUGUAGUCAAGGUCAAUCAGAUGAUACAGGAAAUCAUCUAGGAUGGUUAUCUUAUGCCAGAUUUUGAGAAGGUGCUGGCUUUGAUAAACACUCUUUCACCUGAAUGGCAAGUAGUGUUAGAUCGGCUAUGGGAGGUCAACGUGGUCCCGGGUUAUAGGAGGCUAGUGGUAGCUUUUGUUAGAGAGUAUUAUAUGAUUGAGUUAACCAAAACUUCAAUCCUUAGUUUGAGCACCACUUGGCGCAGAGUGAAUGCGCCUUGGAGGCAACAUGAAAGCUCUCCAAAAGUUUUUCCAUGGUUGGCAAAUGUGCAUUCAAAUUUCUUAGAUAUUUUAACUGAUAGAUUAGAAUGAACAUUCCCUAUUUAUUUCUUAGAUUAGUUUGAGAUGUUUUUUAAGUGUAAAUAUCUCUUUCUAUGUUGAUGUUUUCUUCUGUAUAUAUUACUUAGUGUAAUUGAUAGUUGUAUUAUGUGAAAGCGUUAUUAUUCUAUUGGAUGCCAAAUAUUAUUUGCUUUCUGUUAUUGUUGACUGCUGUGGGUAAUUCAUAGAAGUUUUUGUAAUUUCAUAGAAUUUAUUUUGCAUAAGACAAUUAUAUUAAUAAUAAUUUUGAGUUAGCAUUUUUGGAGGAUGAUUGGAAACAUAGUGACAUUUUGAUUCUAAAACCUUACUUGAAAUUGUUUAUUGAUAUAAUGGGUCUAUGUAAAAUGGAUGCAUAAAUGAUAGGCAUUAAUCAAUCGUGUAUAUAUGUCUGAUGUGUUCAGAUCGAUGUUUUCAGCAACUAAGAACGUAAUUGCUGAUAUGAACGGCAAUAAUUGUGAAAUAUGGAAUAUGAAGAUUCAAUAUGUGCUGGAAAAGCAAGAAGCACUAGAAGCUCUUGACCAUAUUAUGGAAGAUCUUGAGGAUAUUGUGAGCCACCUUAAGCUAGUAAAGGACCGCCUAAUGGCAUUUGAGCUGAAAAUAGACAUUUGCAAUGCUGGUUUUAGCUCAGAAAGGGCUUUGAGCUCUAAGCACAAGCGUAUUGAUUUAUUCAAUAUAUGGGAAUGCAAAGGAUCAAGUCCUUAUUGCAAGAAAUUAAUAGUUAACCAACACAAGAGAGGAAAACGUCCUCAAGUGAAGAAAAUGUCCAGGGUGAAGUGUUACAAUUGUGACAAGAAGGGUCACUAUGCUCGUGACUGUCGUGAGCCAAAGAAAGUAUACACCCCUUGUACUUUUCAGAACUUUGCUUUUUGUGUCGAGUUAUGUGUUCUUAACUGAGUCUAAUCCUUUGUGGACUGUAGAUUUAGGAGUGACAGACCAUGUAGCGAAGGAUAGAGAAUCCUUCAUGGAAUUCCGACGAUACCAACUGGAAUUAAGUGGAUCAAUGUAGGAAAUAACUCCAGAGCUGAAGUUAAAGGGAUUGGCACCUACCAAUUGAACAUGCGUGGUGGACACACCUUGUUCCUACAUGACGUUUCAUAAGUUUCAGGGAUUUGUCGAAAUUUAGUGUCUGUUUUAGUGUUGGUUAAGCUUAGUUUUUGUGUGAACUUCCAUAAUAUAUGUGUAGAUUUGUAUUUGGAUACAAACUACUAUAGUUGUGGUCAUUUUCUGGAUGGUUUUAUUAUAUUAAAUGUUGACUGUGAUGAUGUCAAUAUUUGUUAUUCCUUUUUCACAUCUUCUACCUCAUAUGAUAAUUAUUUGAGUGUGUGGCAUGUUAAACUUGGUCAUAUUGGCCAACAUCGUAUGAAUAGAGUAGCCAUAGAGGGCUUGUUGGGCAACAUUGAAAAAGUCGAUUUGCCCAUAUGUGAGCAUUGUCUUGUAGGGAAAACGACAGGGAAACCAUUUGGAAAAAUGUAAAAGAGCUGAAUUUCCUCUGCAUUUAAUCCAUUCUGACAUCUAUGGUCUAAUGAAUGUGAGAGGAAGGCAUAGGGUUGUUUAUUUCAUCACUUUUAUAGAUGAUUAUACUCGAUUCGAAUAUGUCUAUUUGAUUUGUCAUAAAUCUGAAGCAUUUAGUUAUUUCGAAAGGUUUAUGAACUUGGUAGAAAAUCAAUUAGACAAGAAAAUAAAAGUAUUAAGAUCCGAUCGAGGUCGAGAAUAUUUAUCUAAUGAGUUCAGAAAAUUAUGUGAUGAAAAAGGAAUAGAAAGACAGUUGUCUAUUCCAUAUACUCUUCAACAAAAUGUUGUUGCAGAGAGAAGAAACAGAACCCUACUGGAAAUGGUUAGGUCCAUGAUGGCACAUGCUAACUUACCUAUUACUUUUUGGAGUGAUGCGUUGUUAACUGCUGCCUAUAUACUUAACCGAGUGCCUUCCAAAUGAGUUAUUUCCACUCCAUAUGAGUUAUGGAUAGGUAGAAAACCGAACUUAAGUUUUCUUAAGCCAUGGAGUUGUGUUGCCUAUACUCAUGAGCUCUCUCACAAGUUUUAGAAAUUGGGUCCCAAAGAAGAUAAGAGUAUUUUUAUGAGAUACUCCGAACACUCAAAAAGGUAUGUGUUCAUAGGUGAGCAGGAAAGUGGGAGUAUAACUAAAUUUGAAUCACGAGAUGUCACAUUCUUAGAGGAUGAAUUUCCUAAGAAGGGCGAAAUAGGGAAAGAUUACUCCCUCUUUGUAAUCUUGGAUCAAGAUAAUGAUAUUAGUGGAGUUCGUCCAAGUGUGAGUAAUAUGAGAAGUGAUGAAUUGAAUUCAACUCAUUCUUAAUUGCAACCACAUGAUGAGACGACGUUAUCAUUAUCAAAUCCUAGUGAGAGCAUAAUGGGAAAUGAUGUGCUAAGUGUACAAUCUCCCAUACGGCGAACAAGUCACCAAAGUAUUCCCUGUCGACGUUUUGACAUUGAAAGGGAAACUUUUAUAAUUGCUCCACAAGAUGAGGAUGAGCCAAGAAAUAUUAAUGAGGCUCUAAAUUGCCCUAGUAAGGAAAAAUGGAUUCAUGCAAUGGAAGAGGAAAUGGAGUCAAUGAAAUCAAACCAAGUCUGGGAACUGGUUGAUCUUGAAGAAGGACGCAAAACUAUUGGGAACAAGUGGGUUCUCAAAAUAAAGCGAAAGACUGAUGGCUCGAUAGAAAGGCAUAAGGCUCGCCUUGUGGCGAAGGGGUAUAAUCAACAAGAAGGAAUUGAUUAUGAAGAAACAUUUUCUCUUAUAGUAAGAUUUGCCUCGAUUCGCAUUAUUUUUGCAAUAGUGGUUAGUAUGGAUCUUGAGUUACAUCAAAUAGAUGUAAAGACUACUUUCCUCAAUGGAGAAUUAGAGAAAGAAAUAUAUGUGGAACAACCUGCUGUUUUCAUAGUGAAAGGCCAAGAAAAAAAUGUAUGUCGACUUUUGAGGUUGAUAUAUGGCCUUGAGCAGUCAUCGAGACAAUGGUAUAUACGUUUUCAUAAUGCCAUAAUGACAUAUGACUUUACAAUGAUUGAUGAUGAUUAUUGUGUAUAUAUCAAAAGAUCCAAAGAUCAAUUUGUGAUCAUAUCAUUAUAUGUUGAUGAUAUACUAAUUGCCGGAAGCAAUAUGGAGUUUGUUAACACUGUCAAGAGUUGGUUGUCUUCCAACUUUGAGAUGAAGGAUAUGGGUGAGGUUGCAUACAUUCUUGGAGUUAAGAUUUCAAAAGAUCGUACGAAGAGAUCGCUAUCUCUUUCCCAAGUAAAUAAGGUUCUUGAACGAUUUCAUAUGCAAGAUUGUAAACUCAUAGACACUCCUAUUGCAAAAGGUGAAGGAUUGAGCCAUAGACUGUGUCCAAGGACUCUACAAGAGAAGGAACAAAUGAAACAUGUUCUUUAUGCUAGUGCUGUUGGGAUGCUUGAUGUACACUAUGAUGUGUACAAAACCUGACAUAUAUUUUGCAUUUGGGAUGGUGAAUAGAUACCAAUCCAAUCCAGGUCAAGCGCAUUGGAAAGUCGUUAAAAAAAUUCUAAGGUAUCUAAAGGGAACUGCUGAUUAUACGUUAAGUUAUUAUGGAAAGGAUCUGCGACUCUAAAGCUAUUAUGAUGUUGAUUAUGGAGAAGAUUUAGAUUAAAGGAAAUCUACCUCUGGCUUUGUUUUCUUAUCGAAUAAUGGCACCAUAUGUUGGAGUAGUAAGAAACAAAAGUGUAUAGUCUUGUCCACGAUGUAAGUUGUGUUCGUGGCAUUAUCAGUAGCAGUAUAAGAAAGUGUUUGGUUUAAAAGAUUUUUUGGAUCAUUUAGGUGUUAUUGGAAGUGCUGCAGAUUCAUUGUUGGUUAACUGUGAUAGCCAAGCAGCAAAAGUGUACACCAAAGAUCCAAAAUAUUAUGGCAAGACCAAACCUAUAGAUAUCAAGUAUAACUUUUGUCAAGGAUAUGAUUGCACGAAAAGAUGUGAACUUAGAGUACAUACUACGCAUAGAAUGAUAGCAGAUCCUAUGAUAAAGCCAAUACCUAAAGAUGUGUUUUGUGGUCAUAUGAAAUCUCUAGGAUUGCGUAGAGGUUGAUGUACUGAAUAUUGUAAUUUCCCUAAGUGUUCACAUUUGAUGAAUUUGUGUUUUCAUCAUUAAUGCCUAUGAAUCUUUGUUUGAUCUUUAUGCAUCUUAAUGUUCAGUGCAUUACUUUNNNNNNNNNNNNNNNNNNNNNNNNNNNNNNNNNNNNNNNNNNNNNNNNNNNNNNNNNNNNNNNNNNNNNNNNNNNNNNNNNNNNNNNNNNNNNNNNNNNNNNNNNNNNNNNNNNNNNNNNNNNNNNNNNNNNNNNNNNNNNNNNNNNNNNNNNNNNNNNNNNNNNNNNNNNNNNNNNNNNNNNNNNNNNNNNNNNNNNNNNNNNNNNNNNNNNNNNNNNNNNNNNNNNNNNNNNNNNNNNNNNNNNNNNNNNNNNNNNNNNNNNNNNNNNNNNNNNNNNNNNNNNNNNNNNNNNNNNNNNNNNNNNNNNNNNNNNNNNNNNNNNNNNNNNNNNNNNNNNNNNNNNCGCUCCAUGGGAAAUGAGUAUAUCGUAUACGUACUUCAUACUACGUAUGCAUGAGACGACCCAUAGAGUGGCAAAAGUUUGAUCUCAACUUUUAUGCCGUGUCAGGCUCUUAAGGGAAAGAGUUCCUCAAUCUUUAGUCCCCUCAUGACUCUUACUUAUUCUCAAGAUUUCUAUUUAGUGUUUGCUAUCUUAGGAUGUUGACAAUGGUCAUGAGUUGAUUCGAUCUAAUGGGACAUUUCUAGAAAAGCAAGCUGAACUGAAAUUGAGAGUUUGAAGGAAAGAAGAAGAUCGAAUUUGGAGAAUCACAUUGUAGUUUUGUAUUCACUAGUUAAUCAAUUAUGAUUGUCUUUGGAAUAAUCAUAAUUGUGAAUACAAUAUAUAUCAUUGUUUAAAAGAGAUCAAGAGAGAUAUAAAUGUGAUCGAUCGAUCUAGGGUACUGCAUACUAAAUCUACUCAGAGUGUGAUGCCCAUUAUGAGCUGCUAUAUAUUCCUAACAGAUGUAUAGUAACAAGCUCUCAAAGUAUGCUAGUCGCACGGAUUAUUCAUCGGUAUAAAUGUUGAAGAGAGGUAAAGAGAAUUCUAUUUGGCCCACCAUGUGCGAGUGGGAGAUGAUGGUUUUAUGUGAUGGGCUUAAGGCCCGUCCACCCAUAUUGGGCCUAAAAGCCCGGCCCACAGGAUUAGGGCCCAUGGAUGAAGGGGUACGUUUCUAUUUUUUGAGGGAACGUAUAUAAGGGAGGAAAGAGAGAGACGAAGAUACCUUUUGGUAUUACGUACGUUCCUCUCCCUCUCUCUCUCCAAGAGUAAAACAAAACGUAAAAGGCGACGCUCUCUUCCCUUCAAGGCCAAUCAACUUCAUCAGAUCAAACAUGAUCGGUUUCUCUUCCUCUUAUCGGUAUUGGUGUUUAAUCUGUGGCUAACAAGGUACGCUCGAUUCCGUGGUAUGCUUUAGGAUCGGUGAUACAUGUUUUUUUUCCUGGGCUUUGCUUCCGCAUUCGUUUUAGGGGUUCGAUUUAGUGUCGAAUCCGGUUUUUGAGAAUCCAAGAAUCCCAACAGUAGAGAACAAUUUUCACCUCGGCUCAUUGGCAAACUGAAAAUUGUAAUGGUCAAGAGUAAACGGUCAGGAUGAGCAACGAUAUUUAAAAGCACUUGCGUAGUUCUUCGCCUGUUAGUAUGCUAGACAUGGAAAAUGUCGAAUCAACAUCAAUUUAAGACUGUCUUUACUCGAAUAGCUACAGAACUAUGUAAGAAAACACAUGGAAUAAUAAGAGAAUCACGAAGCUCUAGAUACGGCAUGACCAUGAAAAAUCCACCGAGAGCUGGUUUUUGUCCUCGGAGUAGAUGUGAAAAAUGUGGUAGAAUUAAAGAAUACGCAGAGAUUGUUCGUAUCUAGCACUGUAAGCUUGCUCGAUGUAGAGUGAAAGAAAGGGACAUUGCAUAGAGUUUGUACCUAUAUGAAGUUCACGAUGGCCAGGAGCAAUCCGCGCCCUAUGACCUCAACUUAAGUGCAUCACCGUAUCAAUAGUCAAUUCUCCCACAUGUGGAAUUGACCUCAACUUAAGUGCAUCACCGUAUCAAUAAUCAGUUUUUCCACAAGUGGAAUUGAUACGCAAUUUACGUCCGAAUUGUCCUCUAUUCACCUUUCACCUGGGGACGGUUUUCCAUGAAUCUCUUCCAGCUCCUUGAGCCUAUUAUUAAGGGCUCUUCUAAGUGAGGCCAUCUGUAUAUGAUCGUUUGCUUCUGGAAAUCGGUUUAUGGAGACCUUGAAGUUCAGCCUAUGAAUUUUGUUGUACACUAGACGGGUCCUGUUGUCGUACUGCGAACACUUAUGUGAGGUUCCAAUUGUUCUCACCUUCCUUUCAUGGUGCAGCAGAGCAACAAAUGUCAAAGGAAUUGGAAGAGACAGUUCCACAGCCUCCUGUCACAAUGAAUGGUCUUUCUCAUCAGGAUGAUUCUCCAAUGAGCGUGAUGAACUGCAGGAAUAAGUAAGAAACUCAAUUUUUGAGAUGUUUCUGUCUCAUAUCGUUUACUUUUUCUCCAUUGCGUCUAACAUAUUACCUACUCUAGUGAUUAGCUUAACUUUUCAUUUCAAUCUGAAAGCUACUUACCUACAUUUAUAGGAUUCUUAAUAUAAAUUACCUGCUUGUGCACACUAUCUUGCUUGGCGAAUUCUGUCAUCUGCACUAGUUUAAAUACAUGCAUCAUUCGAGAGCGCAAGUGCCUUUGAUGGCUUGUGGCCUGACGCAUGGCGUAAUUGUUUUUUUGCCUCGUCAAAAGUGUUGCUUCAGAGGGCCUGAAUAUUCUUUUGAAAGUGAUGCUUCAGAGGACCUAAGUGUUCUUUUGAAAGGAAUCGUCUGUUUAAAUGAUCAUAAUUGCUACCAUUGGUAGACCACACUACCAAUAACAUGAUAGUCGCAGUGUGCAUUGUAGUCGAACAACGUAGUUUCAACUUCAAGUUGUGAUGCUAACUGUGCUUGCACUUGUGGUUCUAAAAUGUUGAUGAACAGAGCUGAAUUUGACAAGCUACUGGCCAUUCCUGUUGGUUUUGUUGGAUUAGAAGAGGCGGUAAGGUCUGCUCCACAUCUUGUACCUGGCGGAAAUCUUGCUUGUCCUUCAUUGGAAGAAUAAGGAAUGAGAAUAAAUGCUGCAUUAGACGCUGCACAUGCACCAAUUGCUCAUCUCUCGAACCUCAUUGCUGAUGGCCACCGGGCUACAAACUUCAGGGGACCUUUCCAACCAUCAGACUUUUAAUGGCUCGAAGCUUGAGCCACUUCGAUUCAUACCCUAUCCCUUACUUUCUCUGGAGGUAUUUAUGAUAUUUAGCACUUAGCUCGACAUUCUGCGUCAUCAAUCCUACUUGGUUUGGACUACCUACUGGCGAAUCUCUUCAUGUAAAGGUUUGGCUUGGAAUAUUACUUGCCAGCAUAGUUGCAUAGACAUGGCGGUUCUAUUCUUUUACCCAUCAGUGCAUUCAACUCGUGGUGCAACAAUCUGAAAAAAAGCUUUUAAUAUGCUAUUUGAGAGUCAGCUUUCAGCAGUGAUCUCGAACAAUUUCGUGUUCUCCAAACUGAGACUUGUUCAGAGUCGUUGAAAGCCUUCAAUUUCUAACCUUGUACUAGGAAUGUCCUUCCUGCUUUAUCUAUUUCUAGAUACUUUAAAAACCAUAUAAAGUAAUUGAAAAGACCACGCGGAAAAAGUUAAUUGCUGUUGUACUUGGCGAGGCAACCCAAGUUUAAGUAGCAGCAUACACAUUUGCUACUUCUCUAUGUAUUCUUACUCCUAAUGAAUGGCAUUGUUUGUAGCUUCCAUUCAGGAGUACCUUGCUAAUUCGGCAUCAGGUCAGGGUUCUCUGUCUGCAAUAUCCAAGUGAAGUGGAUAUUGCACCUUCCUUAUCAACAUCGGUGUCUGGAGGAAUGUUUGCUAUGCAAGAAAACUCAUGUGCAAGGGAUAACAAUGAGGAAUAUAGUGUGGACGCAAAUUGCGUAAUCCCAAGAUCUCCAUAACUAGAACAAGAACAUGCAUAAUUGAGUNNNNNNNNNNNNNNNNNNNNNNNNNNNNNNNNNNNNNNNNNNNNNNNNNNNNNNNNNNNNNNNNNNNNNNNNNNNNNNNNNNNNNNNNNNNNNNNNNNNNGCAAGGUCUUUCUCCUCUAUUGCCAUCUGUAUCACUGGCUCAAUGAGGUAGCCCCCCUCACGUUUAGCGUUAGGUAAAUGUCUCUUAGGUGAGGAUACAUGUGAGAAUUAGGGUUAGAGGAGAGACUUGAGCACUAUUUAUAGAGUUUCCAGCCAGUCCCCCUCAUUACGGGUUAGACUCAACUCGGCCCACACUAGCCAGCCCAUAUUAGACUAAUUAAGAAACCUUCUAUCUCACCUUAGACCAACCCUGUGUUAUGGUAACCGUAAAAACAAUAAAUUACAAUAUCAAUUAAUUUAGUCCACAUUAGGAAAACUCUUACAUUCUCCCACUUGGACUAUAUUAAUUGAAAUCGUACUGUAUGUGCGCACAUUGGUCCAAAGAUAAUUCUUAAUAGUCAAUCAUAUCCCAUAAAGUCUUAAACACCGAAUCAUGGUGAUAACCGCAUGUAUACACACAGAGCCUUCCAUGGUCACGAAUGUUCUCAACUUUAUUGAUAUGGAUUCAAUAUGGUAGCGUAGCAAUGGAUAACAUUUCUCAUAGAGAGGUCAUAUUUGUCAGUCACCUUUCUCUUAACUUUAAGCGUCACAAAAACUUGUGUCACUAGAGAAUGCUUUAUGGUUCCCAUGAAUCCACAUAUGUCUUGUUUUUAUGGUUAACCUUUCUUUAUAUAUCACAAGACAUAUGUACAAGGCUAAUAACCGGAUGCCUGAAUGUCCCUAGCCUUCACUCAAGAUUUAUACAAUCCCUUGAGACUUUAUCAAUAUGUAUUCAACAUAAUAACAAUACAUUAAAAAAUAUUUUAUUGAAUGCAAAAGUUGAUACAUAUUAAACUGUUACAAAGUGUAACGAACACAAAUGAAACUUUUAUCAGAGUAAAGCCAAAAUAGCUCCCACUAAACAACAACAUCUCAUGAUGCUCCUAGGCCCAUACUAACGAUAUGUCACUCAAAUACACAUGGGCGUAGGCCUUUAGUUAGUGGAUCUGCAAUCACAUCAACUGUGAAAUAUAUAUUAUAUUAAAACGUCACCUUUCUGUACCAUUUGCUUUUGGUCAAAAAUUUUGACCACCAUAUAUUUAGAUCCCUUGAGACCUUUGUAGUAAAUAAAUAAUACUACAAAUUUGUUAUCUCAAUACAAUCGUAUGGGUCUAUCCAUAAAGUUAAAACGAUUAACUUCUUCAUGAGGUUUUGGAGCCUAAAAGAAUGUUACUGACACUGCUUAUAUAGUAAAAGAUGAUAUAGAACUUUAUUUACUGCACUUACUGCUAACAUAAAUAUGUAUUCCGUUAUUGAUUGUAUAUCAUUAGAAUAGCCAGCAAAGUUUACAUCUAAAUACCCUACUAACUGCAAGAAUUGAACAUGUCUGUAAAUUAGCAUAUAAUCUCUUAUCUUUUUUAAGUACCUUAAAACCUUUUUGACAGCAACCCAGUGAUUAUGUCCUGGAUUUGACUGAUAUCUGCCUAGAAGUCCCGUCACAAAGACAACAUUUAGUCUAGUACAAAUUCGAGUAUACAUUAUACUUUUAAGUGCACUGACAUAAGGUACUCCCUUUAAUUAAAUUUUCUCAAUAUCUAAAUAAGGACAAUGUGAUAGAUUUAGUCAAUCACCCUUAACAACAGGAACAAUUCCUAGCUUGCAAUAAUAUAUAUUGAAUAUUUCCAAUAUACAAUCAACAAAUGUCCUCCGAGAAAAUCUAAUAUAAUAUGACAAAAACAAUCCUUACAGACCUCAGUACAAAGGAUAUAAGAUGUCUCAAGGUUACAACUUGUAAGCAAAAUAUUAUGUACAUAGAGUAUAAGAAAAAAUAAAUUUCCUCCCAUUGACCCUACAGUAUAUUAAAUUAUUUUAUUCCCAAUUGAACAAAAUAAUAAGACUAUGAAACUUUAAUAAUAUUGUCUGGAAACUUGCUUAUAAAUAUGAAUAAGACUUUUCAGUCUACACAUAAGUUUACUUGAAACAUUUGUUGCAAAAUUCUCCAAUUGCACAAUAUAGAUUUUGUAUCUAUUUGGCGUAACUUUAUAUCAAAAUAAAUUAUUAAUGUCACGUUCACUCUGAAAGAAUAUUUAAAGAAAUAAUUAUUUCUUCACUAUAAAUAAUCCACCCCUCUUUCAGAGUGAAAACUUUAGUUACCAAUUUGGCUUUAAACUUCACAAUUUUUCUUUGAAAUCCUUUUAGUUUUGUACGCCAAUUUGCAACUAAUGAACUUAUGAUCUUUAGACAAGUCAAUAAGUUUCCAAACAUCUUUCAUAGAUUGUAUAUCGCCUUUUGUGGCAUCUAAUCACAUACUUAAUUGAGGAUAAGAAACGACAUUUAUUUAUGUCGAUAAAUCAACCAUAUAGUGGAUAUUGUGGUCAUGCUCUCACAAAAAGACUAUAUAGUCUAAUGGAAUAACUGAUCGUCUUUCCCUAACAAAUCUCCUGAGUAAAGCUAUAACCACUUCAUUCUAUACUUGAGAGAUUUGAAAAAAUUUCGUCAUAAACUAUAUCAAUAAUAGUAUCUUGAACCUCAUCAAGUUUAGUCUAUGGUAUAGAAGAUUCCACAAUUGUCUGUAUCACAAUUAUCUAUUUAGGCAAAGACAAAUACACAGUGAUUUUCCAUCGUACUAUUAUCCUUAAUAGUUUGAGAGCAGCUAUCCUCGUCAAACUGUAGAAACUUUAUAGUAUUAAUACCAUAAUUCUUGUAUCUUCUAAAUUCCAAUGCAUUUAAUAUUGGAUUAGAUAAUCUCACUUCUGCAUAACACCUCUAAAUUUAAUAUGAUUCAAGUAAUCUAUGUCCAGUGUAUAACUCAAAAGAAGUUUAUGAAAUAACUUUGAUAAGAGACACCUUUUGUAUGUGAAAAAAUUGCUUUCAUAAUAUCAGCCCACAGAAAACCGGAUAAAUUAAUCUUACGGAUUAUACUUAUCACCAUGUUCAUUAUGGUGCAUUUAUGCCUUUCGGCCAAAUUUUUUUGUUAGAAUUUUCAGGUAUAGUAAUUAAAUUACCACCCCAGAAUCUACCAAGUAUUUGACAAAUGACCCUUUAAGCUAUUUUGCAUUGUCAUACUUGCCAAAAUACUUACAGCCACUGUUAAGCCUGACAACCUUUUAAAACUAAUUGUAAUUGUUUUAUUCUUUAUCUCGGUCAUUUUCUUUAAAUAGAAAACUCUCGGAAGCAACAUUUUAAUCAUAUACGAGAUGUAUAUAUCAUUAAGUCUUAAAUAUAAUCUUUGCAGAUGUGUCCUAAUUUCAAUAUCAGACGACAUAAUUUCAAGCAACUAAGGCUUCCGUCAUCUUAUAGCAGUGCAGUCUGCAGGCAAACCUUUUUUCAAGUGGUCUAUAAUGGAACGCUUCAUGGACAGUAAGCAAAUUCAAUUGCUCUUUUUUCAAGCAACAAAUCAUAUGUUCACAACUUAAAAUUUGAAGCAGUAAAAACCUCAAUAAUAAUAAAGUUAUUCAUUACAGAAAAUGUGACUAAAAACCAAGCAAUGUAUAUAAUUAGUAUCAUGUGAGUACUGUGUAACUUGACGUAUAAGUACACAUCUAGAGAGUUACACGCAUAAUCAUAUAAUCACCUUUGGGCAGAAUACAUGACAUGUAGUUGUACACUCCCCACAUGAUAGCGGUUAUGAGAAUAUAUUCCAAUUUUUCGUGAAUUCAUCACCUUUGGGCACAUGAAUCACUAGAAUCAGUCACUCCUCCACCACACUAUCAUGUAUCCCUCCAUGAACUAAUACACAAUCACCUCCUUUGGAAGUAUGACUACGCAUUAGAUCAGGAGACAUCCCAAUCAUCAUACGAGACCGAAAUUUCUCAAACCCAAUCAAACGUGCCACUUUGGCGGUCACUACUCAAUUGAAUCAUUGAAAUUCUCUCAUACUAGGGAUAUAAACUUUACUCCCCACAUACACCAUAUACAUGUGAUUUUAACUUUAGUGAUAGGGGCAGUAUAUCACCAAAAUCACAUAUCAUACUAAUUACAUUGCCUUUAUUCAUUAAUAAAAUUUUUAUUUAUACAUAUAUAUAUAUAUAUAUAUAUAUAUAUAUAGCGAACCUGAAAGACAAAUUCCAAUGAGAUCACUGAUCACAGUAACACAAGAAAAUUCUCAUAGAAGCAAGCAUCUUGUGCAACCCGAUUAUUGAUUACUAAAACAACAUUAAAAGAAUGCCGAUCCAAAGGAUUUCUCACAAGUUAACAUCAAUAGCAAUACAGGGUACUCCAGAUUGACAAGCUUGAUAACUAAUCAACUAUUGCUCAUGAGUUUCAUACGGCAAAACAUGACUCCAAAGCCAACAACUGAUUUAUUAGCCAAUUUUUAAGUAACAAAUUAUCAUUGUAAUCAACUAAUGGCCUAUUAAUUGAGUCAAACCAGAGAACCAAAUAUCUCAAAUUUAACAGUAGAUACUAUUGCUCUGCGUAAAUAUUGCCAUACUCCUUUACCAUAAAAAUAUUUAACUCGAUAGACAUUAACCAGUGACCAUAUGAGUUUAGGUAUAAUAUGCAAUAACUUUACAAACAUGCAUUACCUACACUCAGCAUAUGUGUUAAUUAGUACAAUCAGUUUGAUCAUAGACUCUUAAGACGUCUAUCAUUCAAAGGUUACCAACAUGUAAAAGAGUAUCCAUGAGCAAUAAAAAUUUCAUGACUUUUACUGUUUCUCAUUAUCUCAAGAUAUAUACAAUUACUAUCUCAUAAUGAUUGUAUCUUAUUAAGCCAGCUUUAGUUCACAAUAAAGUUUGAUUUUUAUUGAUGAAUCACACUUUUAUAAUGAUUAUGUGAUAAUAUACCUAUAACCCAACACUUGUAUCUCCAAAAUCACAGAAAAAUACAAGGAAAAAUACGCAAAAUUUCAUUUAAAAUACAUGUAUUUAGGGUUUCAUAUGAAAUUUCACAUCAAUAAAACCAUCAAACAUAUAAAAUAAAUAUACCACGAGAUAGGAAAUCACCAUACGAGUCUAAUGCCACCAGCAACGCGCCAAACGGAGGCUCCACGCGCUCACACGCGCCGCCUGAGUGCACGGCGUGCGUUCGACACCCAGGCAGCGCGUGGCCGCGCAUGGGGGCGCGUGCGACAUCCCCUGGCGACGCGCCGCUGACCCUCUUGCUUGUCUCGUCUCCCCCAAUCCAAAUUUUUGAUUUAAUUUAAUUUUUAUUGAACAAAAAGUCUCGAAAAUCACAAAUUAUGGCAAGAUCCGUACUGAUUAGGGCUAAUCCGUACAAAUUAUGGCAAAAUCAAUUGCAUUCAAGUUCUAAAGUUAUGGAGGCUCUAAUACCACAUGUUGGACGCAAAUUGCAUAAUCACAAGAUCUCCAUAACUAGAACAAGAAUAUGCAUAAUUGAGUAGAAAGAUUAACGCAUCUGUUUUGGGAUCCAUUGUUCUUGAAACGGAAGCGAAAACACAAUAUUUCACGCGCAAGUCCUUCUCCUUUAUUGCCCUCUGUAUUACUACCUCAAUGAGGCGGCCCCCCUCACGUUUAGCGUUAGGUAAACGCCCCUUAGGUGAUGAUACAUGUGAGAAUUAGGGAUAGAGGAGAGACUUGAGCACUAUUUAUAGAGUUUCUAGCCAGUCCCCCUCAUUACGAGCCAGGCUCAACUCAGCCCACACUAGCUAGCCCAUAUUAGACUAAUUAAGAAACCUUCUAUCUCACCUUAGACCAACCCUGUUUUACGGUAACCAUAAAAACAGUAAAUUACAAUAUCAAUUAAUUUAGUCCACAUUAGGAAAACUCUUACAUAUGGUACUUGUUUAGAAGAAUGUAAGGCACCAUCUCAUGACUUAUCAUCGAGUGAAUGCACAAAUUCUUAUUGCAUUAAGAUAUUGUGCUUUUGUGAUACAUCACAUCCUCUAACAUGACAUCAUGUGUUCAAUUUCUAUUCGUCAUAAAGGCAAAAAUUGAAAGCCACAAUCGUUCAUCGGUUAGGCUAGGACCCAUCUAGAAACAAGAGGUCGAAAUCAGAGAUUGCUUGAGCAGGUAGCUCAUGUCGAGCUGGUUGAUCGAGCGGGGGUUGAAGGGUGGGGGGGAGAGCUUUUGAUGGAAACGAGAGAGAUUCGUUGCUCAAAAUGCAAACAUUAACAUGAAGAAAAAAUUACAUUGUUAUGCCAAGAGGAUUCACACGAAACAAAAAUUAUAACGAAUGCCAUACGACAUUCAUUGUCAUUUACAAAACAUGGACAUAAUGAGUCUAAUAGAAAACACGGAUGCUAUAUGAAAAACAUGUAAAUGCUUCAUAGAUUACAUUAUCAAUGAUGGUACAUGCUGAUAGUGUUAAUUAUAUUUCACAUCUCAUUUCUACAAGAGGAGAACAAUCACACAUUACAUGAUUUCGUAAACUCAUUGUCGUGGUCAAAUUGGUAACUGCCAGAAAUUAUCGGAGCACUUGACGAAGAUGAGACCAUUUCAAGUUCUAUCUCAUUGCUGUCAUCAUCAAUUGGUGCUACUAUUGGAUUCAAAAGCGGUUUUGGAGGUAGUUGUAGUUUAUUGAUAUCUCCUUCAAGCAUAUCUAGAACGUUCCUCAUUGACGGCCGAUCAUUAGGGCUCAGCUGUAUGCACCAUAGCGCAACGAUUAUCAUCUUCCUUGUUUCUCUUUCCUCUUCUAUGACUUCUACCCUCUCAACCUCCUUUUCUUUGUUGAGUUGAUCNNNNNNNNNNNNNNNNNNNNNNNNNNNNNNNNNNNNNNNNNNNNNNNNNNNNNNNNNNNNNNNNNNNNNNNNNNNNNNNNNNNNNNNNNNNNNNNNNNNNNNNNNNNNNNNNNNNNNNNNNNNNNNNNNNNNNNNNNNNNNNNNNNNNNNNNNNNNNNNNNNNNNNNNNNNNNNNNNNNNNNNNNNNNNNNNNNNNNNNNNNNNNNNNNNNNNNNNNNNNNNNNNNNNNNNNNNNNNNNNNNNNNNNNNNNNNNNNNNNNNNNNNNNNNNNNNNNNNNNNNNNNNNNNNNNNNNNNNNNNNNNNNNNNNNNNNNNNNNNNNNNNNNNNNNNNNNNNNNNNNNNNNNNNNNNNNNNNNNNNNNNNNNNNNNNNNNNNNNNNNNNNNNNNNNNNNNNNNNNNNNNNNNNNNNNNNNNNNNNNNNNNNNNNNNNNNNNNNNNNNNNNNNNNNNNNNNNNNNNNNNNNNNNNNNNNNNNNNNNNNNNNNNNNNNNNNNNNNNNNNNNNNNNNNNNNNNNNNNNNNNNNNNNNNNNNNNNNNNNNNNNNNNNNNNNNNNNNNNNNNNNNNNNNNNNNNNNNNNNNNNNNNNNNNNNNNNNNNNNNNNNNNNNNNNNNNNNNNNNNNNNNNNNNNNNNNNNNNNNNNNNNNNNNNNNNNNNNNNNNNNNNNNNNNNNNNNNNNNNNNNNNNNNNNNNNNNNNNNNNNNNNNNNNNNNNNNNNNNNNNNNNNNNNNNNNNNNNNNNNNNNNNNNNNNNNNNNNNNNNNNNNNNNNNNNNNNNNNNNNNNNNNNNNNNNNNNNNNNNNNNNNNNNNNNNNNNNNNNNNNNNNNNNNNNNNNNNNNNNNNNNNNNNNNNNNNNNNNNNNNNNNNNNNNNNNNNNNNNNNNNNNNNNNNNNNNNNNNNNNNNNNNNNNNNNNNNNNNNNNNNNNNNNNNNNNNNNNNNNNNNNNNNNNNNNNNNNNNNNNNNNNNNNNNNNNNNNNNNNNNNNNNNNNNNNNNNNNNNNNNNNNNNNNNNNNNNNNNNNNNNNNNNNNNNNNNNNNNNNNNNNNNNNNNNNNNNNNNNNNNNNNNNNNNNNNNNNNNNNNNNNNNNNNNNNNNNNNNNNNNNNNNNNNNNNNNNNNNNNNNNNNNNNNNNNNNNNNNNNNNNNNNNNNNNNNNNNNNNNNNNNNNNNNNNNNNNNNNNNNNNNNNNNNNNNNNNNNNNNNNNNNNNNNNNNNNNNNNNNNNNNNNNNNNNNNNNNNNNNNNNNNNNNNNNNNNNNNNNNNNNNNNNNNNNNNNNNNNNNNNNNNNNNNNNNNNNNNNNNNNNNNNNNNNNNNNNNNNNNNNNNNNNNNNNNNNNNNNNNNNNNNNNNNNNNNNNNNNNNNNNNNNNNNNNNNNNNNNNNNNNNNNNNNNNNNNNNNNNNNNNNNNNNNNNNNNNNNNNNNNNNNNNNNNNNNNNNNNNNNNNNNNNNNNNNNNNNNNNNNNNNNNNNNNNNNNNNNNNNNNNNNNNNNNNNNNNNNNNNNNNNNNNNNNNNNNNNNNNNNNNNNNNNNNNNNNNNNNNNNNNNNNNNNNNNNNNNNNNNNNNNNNNNNNNNNNNNNNNNNNNNNNNNNNNNNNNNNNNNNNNNNNNNNNNNNNNNNNNNNNNNNNNNNNNNNNNNNNNNNNNNNNNNNNNNNNNNNNNNNNNNNNNNNNNNNNNNNNNNNNNNNNNNNNNNNNNNNNNNNNNNNNNNNNNNNNNNNNNNNNNNNNNNNNNNNNNNNNNNNNNNNNNNNNNNNNNNNNNNNNNNNNNNNNNNNNNNNNNNNNNNNNNNNNNNNNNNNNNNNNNNNNNNNNNNNNNNNNNNNNNNNNNNNNNNNNNNNNNNNNNNNNNNNNNNNNNNNNNNNNNNNNNNNNNNNNNNNNNNNNNNNNNNNNNNNNNNNNNNNNNNNNNNNNNNNNNNNNNNNNNNNNNNNNNNNNNNNNNNNNNNNNNNNNNNNNNNNNNNNNNNNNNNNNNNNNNNNNNNNNNNNNNNNNNNNNNNNNNNNNNNNNNNNNNNNNNNNNNNNNNNNNNNNNNNNNNNNNNNNNNNNNNNNNNNNNNNNNNNNNNNNNNNNNNNNNNNNNNNNNNNNNNNNNNNNNNNNNNNNNNNNNNNNNNNNNNNNNNNNNNNNNNNNNNNNNNNNNNNNNNNNNNNNNNNNNNNNNNNNNNNNNNNNNNNNNNNNNNNNNNNNNNNNNNNNNNNNNNNNNNNNNNNNNNNNNNNNNNNNNNNNNNNNNNNNNNNNNNNNNNNNNNNNNNNNNNNNNNNNNNNNNNNNNNNNNNNNNNNNNNNNNNNNNNNNNNNNNNNNNNNNNNNNNNNNNNNNNNNNNNNNNNNNNNNNNNNNNNNNNNNNNNNNNNNNNNNNNNNNNNNNNNNNNNNNNNNNNNNNNNNNNNNNNNNNNNNNNNNNNNNNNNNNNNNNNNNNNNNNNNNNNNNNNNNNNNNNNNNNNNNNNNNNNNNNNNNNNNNNNNNNNNNNNNNNNNNNNNNNNNNNNNNNNNNNNNNNNNNNNNNNNNNNNNNNNNNNNNNNNNNNNNNNNNNNNNNNNNNNNNNNNNNNNNNNNNNNNNNNNNNNNNNNNNNNNNNNNNNNNNNNNNNNNNNNNNNNNNNNNNNNNNNNNNNNNNNNNNNNNNNNNNNNNNNNNNNNNNNNNNNNNNNNNNNNNNNNNNNNNNNNNNNNNNNNNNNNNNNNNNNNNNNNNNNNNNNNNNNNNNNNNNNNNNNNNNNNNNNNNNNNNNNNNNNNNNNNNNNNNNNNNNNNNNNNNNNNNNNNNNNNNNNNNNNNNNNNNNNNNNNNNNNNNNNNNNNNNNNNNNNNNNNNNNNNNNNNNNNNNNNNNNNNNNNNNNNNNNNNNNNNNNNNNNNNNNNNNNNNNNNNNNNNNNNNNNNNNNNNNNNNNNNNNNNNNNNNNNNNNNNNNNNNNNNNNNNNNNNNNNNNNNNNNNNNNNNNNNNNNNNNNNNNNNNNNNNNNNNNNNNNNNNNNNNNNNNNNNNNNNNNNNNNNNNNNNNNNNNNNNNNNNNNNNNNNNNNNNNNNNNNNNNNNNNNNNNNNNNNNNNNNNNNNNNNNNNNNNNNNNNNNNNNNNNNNNNNNNNNNNNNNNNNNNNNNNNNNNNNNNNNNNNNNNNNNNNNNNNNNNNNNNNNNNNNNNNNNNNNNNNNNNNNNNNNNNNNNNNNNNNNNNNNNNNNNNNNNNNNNNNNNNNNNNNNNNNNNNNNNNNNNNNNNNNNNNNNNNNNNNNNNNNNNNNNNNNNNNNNNNNNNNNNNNNNNNNNNNNNNNNNNNNNNNNNNNNNNNNNNNNNNNNNNNNNNNNNNNNNNNNNNNNNNNNNNNNNNNNNNNNNNNNNNNNNNNNNNNNNNNNNNNNNNNNNNNNNNNNNNNNNNNNNNNNNNNNNNNNNNNNNNNNNNNNNNNNNNNNNNNNNNNNNNNNNNNNNNNNNNNNNNNNNNNNNNNNNNNNNNNNNNNNNNNNNNNNNNNNNNNNNNNNNNNNNNNNNNNNNNNNNNNNNNNNNNNNNNNNNNNNNNNNNNNNNNNNNNNNNNNNNNNNNNNNNNNNNNNNNNNNNNNNNNNNNNNNNNNNNNNNNNNNNNNNNNNNNNNNNNNNNNNNNNNNNNNNNNNNNNNNNNNNNNNNNNNNNNNNNNNNNNNNNNNNNNNNNNNNNNNNNNNNNNNNNNNNNNNNNNNNNNNNNNNNNNNNNNNNNNNNNNNNNNNNNNNNNNNNNNNNNNNNNNNNNNNNNNNNNNNNNNNNNNNNNNNNNNNNNNNNNNNNNNNNNNNNNNNNNNNNNNNNNNNNNNNNNNNNNNNNNNNNNNNNNNNNNNNNNNNNNNNNNNNNNNNNNNNNNNNNNNNNNNNNNNNNNNNNNNNNNNNNNNNNNNNNNNNNNNNNNNNNNNNNNNNNNNNNNNNNNNNNNNNNNNNNNNNNNNNNNNNNNNNNNNNNNNNNNNNNNNNNNNNNNNNNNNNNNNNNNNNNNNNNNNNNNNNNNNNNNNNNNNNNNNNNNNNNNNNNNNNNNNNNNNNNNNNNNNNNNNNNNNNNNNNNNNNNNNNNNNNNNNNNNNNNNNNNNNNNNNNNNNNNNNNNNNNNNNNNNNNNNNNNNNNNNNNNNNNNNNNNNNNNNNNNNNNNNNNNNNNNNNNNNNNNNNNNNNNNNNNNNNNNNNNNNNNNNNNNNNNNNNNNNNNNNNNNNNNNNNNNNNNNNNNNNNNNNNNNNNNNNNNNNNNNNNNNNNNNNNNNNNNNNNNNNNNNNNNNNNNNNNNNNNNNNNNNNNNNNNNNNNNNNNNNNNNNNNNNNNNNNNNNNNNNNNNNNNNNNNNNNNNNNNNNNNNNNNNNNNNNNNNNNNNNNNNNNNNNNNNNNNNNNNNNNNNNNNNNNNNNNNNNNNNNNNNNNNNNNNNNNNNNNNNNNNNNNNNNNNNNNNNNNNNNNNNNNNNNNNNNNNNNNNNNNNNNNNNNNNNNNNNNNNNNNNNNNNNNNNNNNNNNNNNNNNNNNNNNNNNNNNNNNNNNNNNNNNNNNNNNNNNNNNNNNNNNNNNNNNNNNNNNNNNNNNNNNNNNNNNNNNNNNNNNNNNNNNNNNNNNNNNNNNNNNNNNNNNNNNNNNNNNNNNNNNNNNNNNNNNNNNNNNNNNNNNNNNNNNNNNNNNNNNNNNNNNNNNNNNNNNNNNNNNNNNNNNNNNNNNNNNNNNNNNNNNNNNNNNNNNNNNNNNNNNNNNNNNNNNNNNNNNNNNNNNNNNNNNNNNNNNNNNNNNNNNNNNNNNNNNNNNNNNNNNNNNNNNNNNNNNNNNNNNNNNNNNNNNNNNNNNNNNNNNNNNNNNNNNNNNNNNNNNNNNNNNNNNNNNNNNNNNNNNNNNNNNNNNNNNNNNNNNNNNNNNNNNNNNNNNNNNNNNNNNNNNNNNNNNNNNNNNNNNNNNNNNNNNNNNNNNNNNNNNNNNNNNNNNNNNNNNNNNNNNNNNNNNNNNNNNNNNNNNNNNNNNNNNNNNNNNNNNNNNNNNNNNNNNNNNNNNNNNNNNNNNNNNNNNNNNNNNNNNNNNNNNNNNNNNNNNNNNNNNNNNNNNNNNNNNNNNNNNNNNNNNNNNNNNNNNNNNNNNNNNNNNNNNNNNNNNNNNNNNNNNNNNNNNNNNNNNNNNNNNNNNNNNNNNNNNNNNNNNNNNNNNNNNNNNNNNNNNNNNNNNNNNNNNNNNNNNNNNNNNNNCCCACCGUGAUCUCACCAGAGAAGUCAUUUUGGUGAAUAUAGAAAUCGUAAUGAAUCGACUUCACAUAAUAUCGGUCAGCAUUUAAAUAUAGAAUAACGCGGUUAUUGUGACAUCCUGAAUUUUAGGUUCUGAUUUCGAUUGGAUAAGUUGGGCCUUUCAUCGACACGCUUAUAAUGUUUUUCUCUGAGAUGGCCACUCAUGAGAUAACUGGCCUAUUAAGUGAAGCCAUUAAGGGAUUUCAAUGCAAUAGACUUGAGAAUUCGACUAGAAAUCAACUGCUCGACCGUGCUAGUUUGCAAAGGUCAUUAUGGCAUUGUCAAAAUCGAUCAGAGACUGGAGAUAGGUCGAUUUAACUGAGAUGUGUGAUCAAAGUGUGGGUGAUUCCACCUGAUUGCAUAAUUCUCGUCGAUCGACGCUAAACCGAUUUUCUGUCGUUUUGGGUACCCUGUGUCCGUAUUUAAAAUCUCGAGAUUUUCAUGACCAACAAGAGUUGCCAAUGUGUUGAAGAGGUACGUUGUACCUCAAAGAAAAUUGAUCACAGUCAAUUGCACCAAAAAUUUCUAAAAACUACCCGGUAGGUUAAGUUAUGCUAAAAUCAUGUUUGAUUGAAAUUAACCAUGAAUUUGAACCCGAUUAUAGAAAUUGAAUGUUCUAUCAUGUCACGAGUCAUUGUAGGAACGUCAACUCGUCUUUCGAGAAAUUUUCGGCGAGUUCGGGAUUUUUACAGAAAAUCAAUUCGGACGAUUCGGAAAACAAAUGGAAAUUCGGAUUGGUCAAAUUGAAGGGAUUUUUGGCUUCCUGUGUGAGUUACUUGGUAAAAGGAAAUUGUGUGGACUUUUUCUUCAACAAAAUUGGACAUCAAUUGGAGAGAUUUGUUAAGAAAUCAGAUUCCGAGAAAACUGAAAUAGAAUUUAGAAUUGAGAGAAAUUCAUAGGCUUGAGAGGCUGUCACAUUUUGAUCUUUAUUUGGUCUUCAAUUGGAAUAAGUUGGUGUGGAAAUUGGCCUUAGAUAAUCAAUUGUUAAUGUUGUGUGUAGCUGAGCUAAAGUUAACUGUGUUUGAUUUUCUUCCUUCCCCUCCACCGGACCCCCCUAACGCCCACGUCACUCCCCUCUCCUUCUCGCGCACGGCUCUCUCUCUCUCUCUCUCUCUCUCUCUCUCUCUCUCUCUCAUUUCCCCCAGCCGACAUUCCCUUGCAAUCUUGGCCUUUCUUUUUCUUUAUUUCUUUAACUUUCCCUCAUCCUUAUCUCUCCAUUUUCUCGCACGUUUCCCCCCCUCCAAUCGGUGUCUCUCUCCUCCCUCUCUCCUUUUCCCCUCCUUUUCUUUCCUUUGAGCGACCACCCCUUUUGCCCAUUCAUCCGCUGCUUCAUCUUCUUUUAUUUUUGGGUUCUGAUUCUGUUGAAGACUUCCGCGGCCCACCGAUGCCCCCAUCUCCACCGAAGAAGCCGAUUUUUCCCUAUAGCUCACCGCCACUUGUCAGUGGCUCAACCUUCCUCGGUCAACCCUUGCUUUUCUUCAACGCAGCAGCAGCGUCGCAUGUCCAUCUCCACGUCCGAAGCAGCCGCACGUCCUCUGUUGACACCUAAAUUUUGAUGACAUGAUUAGUCAUUUAUCGCAUUAAAAAAUUAGGGAUUAAUUUUAACCCCUAAAAAAUAUUAGCUAAUUAAUUAAUUGCAUAGCAUAUAGUUUUAGGUGCAUUUAUUUUAAUAUGCAUUUACAUUGACUCGGUGACAGGUGGGUUUGAUUUGAUGGUUCUGAGCUUUAGGUUGACAAGUCGAACUAAGCCCACGAAGAGAGCAAUUUGGCCCAAGCCUGUAUUUGAAAAAAAUCCUAUCACAAUUUUUGAAAAAAUCAAUAGAUAAUAUUCAAUUUUGCAAAGGAAAUCUAGAAGAGGUAUCGAAAAUAAAAAGUGGUAUUGCAUACGGAAAAGAAAUCUUUGCGGACAUUGAUUUGAAAAGGAAAUUAAAACUCUAAUAUUUGGUUUAUAAAAAGAUUACUCGUGUGGGUUUCGAGGGGAGGCCACACAAUGAAUACACUGCCACAUUAAGGGGGCUUUUCUUGAUUUUAUAGGUCAAAAAUUGAAGAUUCGUUUUUAGGGUGUUCGGGGGAAGGGAUUUGUUCUUGAUUCUUCUUCUUUGGGAAAAGUAAUAUAAAAGAAAAAAGAGUGCAGAGGGAAAAAGCAGAAUACCAGAGUGACGUGAGAGAGAGACAGGAGGAGUGUUCUUCUUCUCCGGUGGCUUGUUGCCGUCUAACCAUGCUUUGUCUUCUGCCUGCUAGACGUCACCGCUGUGCCUCGUUGUGCCACCCAGCUCCACCGCACCUCCGCGAUCACCCGAGCCGAAUUUGCACCUCUGCCCGAUCCACAAGAGCUCACGCUGCUGCUCGCGACCUCGUCCGCUGUUGCCGCCCAUUCGAGCCCUUGCUCGGCAUCCCGCGAGCUCGCUCUGUCGCUCCACUGCUCAUCAUUGCACGUCCGAGCGUCGCCGCUGCUGCUCGUGACCCCGACAAUAGUAGAUCUCGAGCCUUCCUUGCCACCUCUGCACUCAAACACUCGCCCCUGCCUCAGUCGUUCCACAUCAUCACCCUUGAUGCCCCACUGCUCGAUCUGCUGCUACCUCGCUGACACUCGCUGAAGCCACAUGGAUCCUUGCCGCCCUAACCAGCCACAACACCAGCAGCCCAUCGAAGCCACUGCUGUGCUGAUUCAUGUCGACCCGACGUCGCCGCGUCCCGCCGAGCCCCCUGUUGCAGCGCCUCACCUGUCUUGUGUUAUAAUUAUGGUUAUAAUUAUGGUUAAUGGAUCAAUGAAUGCCAAUAAAUUAAGAUACAUCUUUUCUAUUCACGUAUCUCUUUUGGAUUCAUGAAUUUCUUAAACUUUUUCGUUCACGUAUCUAUUGAAUUCAUGAAUUUCCUAGAUUCAUGUAUAUUUGAGUUCAUGUAUUUAUUGAGUUCACAAAUCUCUUAAAUUCACGUAUCUCUGGAUUCGUGAAUCUCUUGAAUUCAUGUAUCUCUUGAUUCAUGAAUUUCGUGGAUACAUGCGUCUAUUUAAUUCAUGUAUCUCUUCAGUACAUGAACUAAAAAUCUCUAUAAAUAGAUGGGAGCAUAGAGCUUCAUCAUGGUUUUUGAUUUUUUCGACUUGAUUCCAAAAAGGCUCUGAUACACUUUUCUACUCUUCUGAUUUUUCUGAGUGUGCUGGUUCAAUUGAACGGUUCAACUAAGUCCUGUUUGUAUUGUGACAUCCAGAUUUUUGGGUUCUAAUUUUGACUAGAUAAAUAGGGCCGUUUUUUUUCAGAUGAAGUCGGGGAUUGUGAAAUUGAGUAUGAGGGAUUCUUGGAUAAAGAAAAGAAUCAAUUUGAUAAGUGAGACAUCAAUUGAUUUAAUGAGAGUCAUUUGAGAGAAAUUCAAUAGGGAUAUUGGAUGCAAAAAUGCAAGAGGGGAAUCAAGAAUUCUAAUAUGAAAUUCUUUUGGGAAUAUAUGAGCUUAUUCAAAAGAAAGUGAAAUAAGAAUUUUCUAUUUGAAAAAAUCCUUUCUUUUGAGAUUAUCCUCAUUUCCCCUUCCUUAUUUGGCCCAACACCUUUUUCCCUUUCUCUCCCCCUCUUUCCCCCUUUCUUUUCCUUUUCCCCCUCUCCCCUUCCCUUUUCNNNNNNNNNNNNNNNNNNNNNNNNNNNNNNNNNNNNNNNNNNNNNNNNNNNNNNNNNNNNNNNNNNNNNNNNNNNNNNNNNNNNNNNNNNNNNNNNNNNNGCUGCCGAUCCAACUUGCUUCUUCUCACUUUUCCUUUUACUUUUGACUUUUCAAACCCUCACUCUCUCUUAUCUCUAACUCUCUCUCUCUCUCGAUUCCCUCACUCUCUCGACAUCUCUCUUCUUCCCCCUCUCCAUGUGCCGAACGAGCAGAAACAGGAACGAAGACAGUAGCUCGCCGUCGCACCGGAGCACCGCCGCCGGGCCGCCGUCCGCACCACCCGUGCACGCCGUGCGCUCCGCCACCGCCCCUUCGCGUUUGCCGUCCCCGCCGUGCGUCGUCCAACUCCCGUGCCACCUCUAUUCAGCUCCGUCUUGGCCAGCACCGGCCACGAUCUGGCCACCUCCGGCCACCGUGGGCCACCACUCGGCCUCGCCAAGCCACCACCCGCUCUCCCGACCUCUUGCCACCCCCAACCCUCUCUCUUUCUUGCUGUUUUGCGGCCGAACCAGCAAACCCACGGAGUGGGUAUCCAGCUGUUCGUGGGCUGUUUUGGGCCGUUUCCCGGCCCCGAACCCGAGUCGUGCUUUGGGGACAAUCGUUCCUCGCGCCGCCGCCGUCGGAUUGAUCCGAUUUGCGCGCGAUUUGGUGAGUAAUCUCACUAAUCCUGGAUUAGUUGGUUAAUUAUGCUUUAGGUUGGUUUAGUUUUAAUUAAUUAUAUUUAGGUUGUUAAAUUAGAAUUAAUUAGCAAUUAUUAGUCAAUUGUGAUGCGAUUUAGAUAAAUUGAUUGCGCAAUUAGCAAGUAGACGUGGUCUACUAUUUAUUGGGAGUGUCUCGGGAAUUUUCCGACGCCUAAUCGGGCUUCAAUUUGACGAUUCGGGCCUAAGUGAGAUUUUUGGCAUUUAAAUAUUAAUUUUCGGAAUUAAAUUAAAUAAUUAUUUAUUUUCCGAAAAUUCAAGGGAGAUGGUUUGGAACCGGAAUAUUAUGCUGAUGAUCGUGGCGAAGUCCAUUUAUUUAAUCGGACUUUAUUUUAAGCUAAAUUGAAUUUUUAAUAUUAAUUAAUUUUCGAAAUUAAUUAAAUAAUUAUUUAUUUCCUAAAAAUUCAAUUGGGAUGGCCCGUGACCGGAAAAUUAUGCUGAUGACCAUGGUGAAGUUCCUUUAUUGAAUUGGGCUUUAUUUUGGGCUAAACGGAAUUUGUAAUAUUUAAUAAUUAAUUUUCGAAAUUAAUUAAUUAUUCAUUUAUUUUUCAGAAAUUAAGAUUUUGAUGGCCGACGACCGAAAUCUCGUGCUGAUUGUCGUGGCGCAGUUCGUUUAUUUAUUUGAGCUUUGAAUUGUGCCAAAUUGAUUUAAUUGUGGAUAUUUAGGAUAUGUUCCUAAAUUGAUUAUUUGGGUAAAUUGAGUGCGAAUUAAGGUUGUGGAUAAUUACUUUAGAAAUGGGAUGAAUCAUCAUGAAAGGCACGGGGCUUGAUGAUUAGAUAUAUCACCUCGGAGAAUGCACAUGGCUCGGUGACGAAGUAUGUCGCCUUGGAGAAUGCAUGUGGCUCGGUGAUUAAGUUUGGCAUCUAAAAGGACACGUGGGCUCGGUAAUUUGAUGCAUUACCUCGGAGAAUGCACGUGGUCCCAAUGAGUACAUUUGGCAUCUAAAAGGACACGUGGGCUCGGUAAUUUGAUGCAUUACCUCGGAGAAUGCACGUGGUCCCAAUGAGUACAUUUGGCAUCUAAAAGGACACGUGGCCUCGGUAAUUUGAUGCAUUACCUUGGAGAAUGCACGUGGUCCCAAUGAGUACAUUUGGCAUCCUGAAGAGACACGUGGGCUCGGUGACUUGAUGCAUCGCCUCGGAGAAUGCACGUGGGCUCGCUGAUUCAAAAUGGCAUUUUAAAGGGCACGUGGGCUCGGUAAAUUAAUGCAUUACCUCGGAGAAUGCACGUGGCUCGGUAAUUGGUUUUGUCAAUUGAGACUGUAUAACAAUAGCUUGAAUGACCGGGAAAGGGUCAGUCUGAUACGUAAUCGACUAGGUCGAUUGAUCAUUGAUUUGAUUUGAUGUCGUGGAUUGAUUGAUUGAUUAGAAAUGACCGUGAGUGGUCUUGUUGACAUGUAAUCGACUAGGUCGAUUUGAUCGAUGCUUCGAUCAGUGAUAUGAUUGCUUGGGUGCCUAUUAUGAAUUGUACUGACUUGCAGGUGGGAUAUGAGGCCAAGGUACGUCUUCUGCCCUAUGCGUGUAUAGGCAGCCUAUAGUAUAAUAGUUUACUAAUUGGGUUUAGUGGGGUAGAACUCGCUGAGACGUAGUCUCAUCCCAGUUUGGGGAAAAACAUUUCAGGACCCCGAUGAGGAGCUGAUGAGGAGGAGUCUGAGAAGGAGAACUCGGAGGUGAAACUUAAAGAGAAUGAUUUUUAGAAGAAGAAGAUAAUUCCGAGAGGGGCUUUGAGUAAUGCCUGGAUGGGCUGAGAGUCUAUCUUCUUUUGAGAAUUUCUUUUGAAGUGAAUAGUUAUGAAUUUGUUUGUGUUUUGUAUAAAAGUUUGGUUAUAAGUUUCAAUAUGAAAAAUAUGGCCCUGCUUUUCUAUCCCAUCGUUUUAUUGUCUGGGGAUUUUAACUGCUUCCGCAUGUGCUUAAUAAACGAAAGGGUCGGCAAUAAUUUGUCCUGGGAUAUCGCAUUAUAAAAUCGACCAAGUGAGAAGGAUGUGUGCGUACCCGAGGAUCGGGGCGUGACAUGCAUAGUGCUAAUCCAAACAGGUUCGAUGUGUUGUAUCUUAGGAGGCAUAGUUUGUGAAUCUGCGGAGCACCAUUGGUAGGAACUAAUUGCCUUAAAGAGAUUCGGAUAUGUGUACCUCACCUCCAAUUUCAUGUUCUGAUUGCAACAAACAGUUUGUGUUUUCUUUGAAGUAUAUUCCAACAAUCUUAAGGCAAUUAGCUCACUCACUAUUUGUUGUUCUUGUCAGAUUAUUGAGAUGGCUAGAAAUAACCAAGUGCCCUUCAAUGUCCCGAAUGUUUUAGGAGACACUCCUAUGGUCGAUUUGACCGUUGCUAUGGAAGAUGUUCAACCCUCAGGGCCUGAAUUUGUAGCAGCCAAUGCUACGGGCCCUUGGGCUAACAUCAAUUUUGGUAGUGUGAGUACAAGUCAUACAACUGGUAUGCCCAGGACUGUUUUUCAGAACAGUACAAGCCAAAUGGCUUUUGGCUCCGUUUCUGGAGGCAUAGUCCAACAAACUUUGCCUACUGUGAUGGCAAUGCCUCUAGUUACAGCUAAUGAGAAAUCGGAGAAAUUUACCGAAAUGGGCUUUAAACAGUGGUAGCAGAAAAUGUUCUUCUAUCUGACUAUGCUCAAUUUGACGAAAUAUUUAUCGGAGGUGUGCCCGAUAAUUAGUUCAAACGAGCAAGAUGUCACGACGCUCGAUGCAUUGGAGGCUUGGAAGCAUGGGGACUUCUUAUGCCGAAAUUAUAUCCUUAACUGUUUAGUGAAUUCUCUUUAUAAUGUUUAUUGUAAUAUUGAAUAUGCUAAACAGUUAUGGGAGUCCUUAGAGAAAAAAUACAAAACUAAGGAUGCCGGCACCAAGAAAUUUGUGGUUGCCAAAUUUUUGGACUACAAGAUGGUGGAUUCUAAAUCUGUCAUGAGUCAGGUUCAAGAAUUGCAAUUAAUUCUGAUUGACAUCUCGGCUGAGGGAAUGAUACUUAGUGAAUCAUUCCAAGUGGCGGCUAUGAUUGAGAAACUACCACCGGGCUGGUCAGACUUCAAAAAUUAUUUGAAGCACAAACGGAAGGAGAUGAGCUUUGAAGAUCUCAUUUUGCGCCUUAGAAUCGAGGAGGACAAUAGAAGGAGUGCGAAUCCUUCUUCUGAGCCAAAGGCCAACAUUGUGGAAUCUUCCAAAUCCAAGCAAGAUAGAAAAAGGAAGAUGUCUUUUCAAGGAAAAGGCAAGCAGAAAGAGUAGUUCCAAAAAUUCCAAGGAACGUGUUUUAUAUGCAACAAGCCUGGCCAUCGUGCUAAGGAUUGCAAGAAGCGGCCGAAAAAAGGCAAGAACGAAGGUGCAGCUCGGCAACUAAAUUUGACAGAGCAUGACAAUAUUGAGAGAUUAUCUGCUGUGGUAAUGUCCGAAGCAUCUUUGGUGUCGAACACUAAUGGCUAGUGGCUAGACACAGGUGCCACAUAUCACAUAUGUGCAGAUAAACACAUGUUCUCAUCUUAUGAGAAGGUUGAAGAAGAUGAGAAGCUUUAUAUGGCUAACUUUGCAUCAGCAAAGAUUGUUGGAAGAGGAAAUGUGAUCUUGAAGUUUACAUCUGGCAAUGAGGUUGCCCUGCUGAAUGUGCUGCAUGUACCAGAGAUUUGGAAAAAUCUAAUUUCCGGCCCUAUACUUGUCAAGAAAGGUUUUAAAGUUGUAUUUGAAUCUGACAAGUUUGUACUUUCAAAAGGAGGGAUGUAUGUGGAGAAAGGGUACUUGUGUAAUGACCUGUUUAAGGUCAAUGUGGCUGUCAUUGAUGUAAACUCAAAGUAUGUGUACCCAAAGACUAUUAAUAAAGAAAAGUCUUCAGUUUACAUUGUUGUGUCUCCUUUUCUAUGACAUGGUAGAUUAGGACAUGUAAACUAUGGUACAAUGAAGAUAAUAGCAAACUUGGGGUUAAUUCCAAGAUUUGAGUUGGAUGCUUGUUACAAGUGUGAGACUUGUGUUGAGGCUAAGUUUGCCAAGAAACCUUUCAAAUCCAUUGAAAGAACAAGUAAACCUCUACAAUUAAUCCAUAGCUAUCUAUGUGCUUUAAAGUUUGUACAAAGUAGAGGUGGAAAGAAGUACUUCAUGACAUUUGUGGAUGAUUGUACUAGAUUUUGCUAUGUUUAUUUACUAACUAGCAAAGAUGAGACUAUGAGCAUGUUUGUCGAGUAUAAAAAUGAAGUUGAAAACUAACUUGAUAAACGAAUCAAAGUGCUUAGGUUUGAUAGAGGAGGAGAAUACAGUUCAAUCAAUUUAAAAGAGUUUUGUGCUAGUUUUGGAAUAAUUCUCCAAACGACUGCACCUUAUACUCUACAACAAAAUGGAGUUGCUGAACGAUUGAACGGGACACUAAAAGAGAUGGCUAACACCAUGCUUUUGAGUUCAGGUUUACCUUAGAACUUGUUUGGGGGGGCAGUUUUAACUGUAAAUUAUAUUCUUAAUAAAAUACCCCACAAAAGGACAGGUAAAACUCCAUACGAGUUAUAAAAUGGAAAGUUGCCAUCCUACAAUUUUCUAAAAGUGUGGGGGUGCUUAGCCAAGGUGGCGAUUCCUCCUCUGAAACAAACUCGGUUGAGACAUAAAAUGGUGGAUUGCAUAUUCAUUGGUUAUGCUCAAAAUAGUAGCGCAUAUAGAUUUUUGGUUCACAAAUCUGAAAAUGAGGAAAUCCAUGUCAAUACAGUCCUAGAAUCAAGGGAUGUUGAAUUUUUUGAGGAUAUAUAUCCUGCAAAAAGAAAUCAAGGAGAACUUUCUUAGAAAAGGCUUAGAGAAUCAAAAUAUGAGAAUGAUGAAGUUGUGACCAAAGAAGCCGAACUUCGAAGGAGUAAAAGGUCUCGAAUCGAAAAAUCUUUCGGGCCUGAUUUUCUAACAUACAUGUUAGAAGGUGAGCCCCAAACAUAUAAAUAGGCAAUGUCAUCUCCAGAUGCUCCUUUAUGGAAAGAAGCUAUUGACAAUGAAAUCCAUUCUAUCCUAAGUAACCAUACUUGGGAAUUGGUUAAUCUUCCACCUGGAAAUAAACCAAUUGGACGUAAAUGGAUUUUCAAGAAAAAACUAAAAGCUAAUGGGUCCAUUGAUAAAUACAAAGCUCGGCUUGUAGCCAAAGGGUUUAGAUAAAAAGAGGGUCUUGACUACUUUGAUACUUAUUCACCUGUCACAAGAAUAACAUCAGUAAGGAUGUCGAUUGCUAUAGCUUCGCUAUACAAUUUGCAGAUACAUCAAAUGGAUGUGAAAACCGCAUUCUUAAAUAGUGAUAUGGACAAGGAGAUUUAUAUGGAACAACCUGAAGGGUUCAAGGUCAAAGGACAAGAACACAAAGUGUGUAGACUUGUCAAAUCAUUGUAUGGACUUAAACAAGCUCUUAAGCAAUGGCAUGAGAAAUUUGGAUCGGGUAAUGAUUCAAAAUGGGGUAUAGAAUCAAUGAGUGUGACAAAUGUGUGUACACUAAAUUUACUACAGUUGGAUAUGUACUUAUUUGUCUAUAUGUUGAUGACUUAUUAAUUCUUGAAGAUAACAUUGAGGUCAUCAAAAUCACCAAGAACAUUCUCAAGAAGAACUUUGAGAUGAAAGAUUUAGGUGUCGCAAAUGUUAUACUCGGCAUCAAAAUUCUAAGGAAUUCUAAUGACUUAGGUUUAACAUAAUCUCAUUACAUUGAAAAGGUAUUUGAGAGAUUUAAAGGAUUCGGCAUUAAAGAUGCAAACAAUCCUUUUCUUCCACACCUAACUUUAAGAAAGAACACUGGAAAUAGUGUUAGACAGCUGGAAUACUCUCAAGUAAUCAACAGCAUCAUGGAUAUCAUGAAUUGCACUAGACCUGAUAUUGCGUACUCAGUAAGCAAACUGAGUAGAUAUACCAGUAACCCAGGUCAUGAGCACUGGAAUGCUUUGAUGAGAGUAUUAGGAUAUUUGAAAAGGACAAAAGACUAUGUUCUACAAUAUGGCAAAUAUCCAGCUGUUUUGGAAGGUUAUUGUGAUGCCAACUAGAUUUUAGAUUCUGAUGAAUCAAAAUCGACUAGCGGAUAUGUGUUCACGCUAGGAGGUGCUGCAGUAUCAUGGAAAUCCUCUAUAAAAAAUCUAAUAACGCGCUCUACAAUGGAAUCAAAGUUUGUUGCUUUGGAUAAAGCUGCUGAAGAAAGAGAAUGGCUUCGACAUUUUUUAGAAGAUGUUCCAAUGUGGCCAAAACCUAUGCCUGCAAUUUGCAUACAUUGUGACAAUCAAGCGGCAAUUGCAAGGGCACAUAAUGCGAUUUAUAAUGGUAAGUCUAGACAUAUUCGUUGUAGACAUAACACAGUAAGGUAGUUGCUCUCAAAUGGAAUCAUUUCUUUAGAUUUUGUAAAGUCAAAGGAAAAUAUUGCGGAUCCGCUGACAAAAGGUUUGUCGAAAGAGCAAAUAAACUGUGCAUCGAGGGGAAUGGGUUUAAGAGCCUUAACCCAAUAAAGAGAUUCCAGGGUGGAAACCUAACCUAUGCGAUUGGAGAUCCCAUGGUCAAGGUUCAAUAGGACAACGCAAAUUUUGGAAACUCUAGUGUAAGCAUUGUCUACCAUUCCUAUGAUGCAACAGUGCUUUCCUACAGUAUUAUUAAGGGUACGCUAUGCGUUUAAUGAUUCCUAUAACUUGGAAUAUAACAUCCAAGUGAGAUAUGGUAGGAUAUCUUUAAUAGGAAUGCACCUAUAUGCGUGGAGCUGGCCGACUCUAUGAAAAUCUUUAAAGGCUAGAUUUUUUAAAGCACGCAUGAAUCCCGAGAGGUUCAGGGCCGAAAGAACGAACACAACCAAGAACCAAUCUUGAAUUGGAAAUACUCUGUGUGAGGUUUAUUGUCUAGGCUUACACAAACAACUGGCGAUUCAAGGCCUAGUCCAUUGACUAGUUAAGUAAGUCUGAUAGGCUUUCACUAAAGAAGGUUCAAGACGAAAGCUACCUAUCUUGAUGCAGUGUAUUUCAAUAGGUAUACUCAGAUUCCUUUGAGUCAAAAAUGUUUUGUUGAUCCAUUAAUGUGGGAGAUUGUUAUAAUUAUGGUUAUAAUUAUGGCUAAUGGAUCAACGAAUGCCAAUAAAUUAAGAUACGUCUUUUCUAUUCACGGAUCUCUUUUGGAUUCAUGAAUUUCUCAAACUUUUUCAUUCAUGUAUCUAUUGAAUUCAUGAAUUUCCUAGAUUCAUGUAUCUUUUAGUUCAUGUAUUUAUUGAGUUCUCGAAUCUCUUGAAUUCACGUAUCUCUGGAUUCAUGAAUCUCUUGAAUUCAUAUAUCUCUUAAUUCAUGAAUUUUGUGGAUACAUACGUCUAUUUAAUUCAUUUAUCUCUUCUGUAAAUGAACUAAAAAUCUCUAUAAAUAGAUGGGAGCAUAGAGCUUCAUCAUGGUUUUUGGUUUUUCCGACUCGAUUCCAAAAAGGCUCUGAUACACUUUUCUACUCUUCUGAUUUUUCUGAGUGUGCUGGUUCAAUUAAACGGUUCGACUGAGUCCUAUUUGCAUAGUGCUAAUCCAAACAGGUUCGAGGUGUUGUAUCUUGGGAGGCAUAGUUCGUGAAUUUGCGAAGCACCAUUGGCAAGAACUAAUUGCCUUAAGGAGAUUCGGAUAUCCGUACCUCACCUCCAUGUUCUAAUUGCAAAAAACAGUUUGUGUUUUCUUUGAAGUAUAUUCCAACAUCUUGCCCUCCUUGCGAAGCUGCCGUUACCCCUGCUCUGGCCGAGAUCUGCUCAACCCAAGGCCUUCUUUGCUCGUCACUCUGCCAGUCGCUGUCAUUGCGCCUUCGCCAGAACUGGACCCGAGCCGGAUCUGCACUACUAGCAACGACUACAGUUCCAAACCACUGCUGUCCCCUCCGAACAACGGCACAGUAGCUCGCCACCUCGCCGUGCUGCUGAUCCCCCUCGCCAGAGCUCCGACGCCCGCAAUUGCCUGUCACGCCCCGAUCCUCGAGCACGCACACAUCCUUCACUCUUGGUCGAUUUUAUAAUGCGAUAUCCUAGGACUAUAUAUCGCCGACCCUUUCAUUUAUUAAGCACAUGCGGAAACAGUUAAAAUCCCCAGACAAUAAAACGAUGGGAUAGAAAAGCAGGGCCAUAUUUUUCAUAUUGAAACUUAUAACCAAAUUUUUAUACAAAACACAAAACAGAGCACUUCAUAACUUUUUACUCUAAACUUUAAUCACAUCAAAAAGGAGAUCUCAAAAUAAGACAAACUCUCAGCCAUCCGAGCCGUACUCAAGGUCCCUUUUGGGACUAUCUUCUUCUUCCAAAAAUCCUUCUCCUCAAGAUUUACCUCCGAGUUCUCCUUCUCGGAUUCCUCCUCCUCAGCUCCUCAGCGGGGUCCUGAAAUGUUUUCCCCAAACUGGGAUGAGACUACGUCUAAGCGAGUUCUACCCCACUAAGCCCAAUUAGUAAGCUAUUAUACUAUAGGCUGCCUAAACACGCACAAGGCAGAUGACUUACCUUGGCCUCAGAUCCCACCUGCAAGUCAGUACAAUUCAUAACAGGCACCCAAGCAAUCAUAUCAUCGAUCGAAGCAUCGAUCAUAUCGACCUAGUCGAUUAUAUGCCAACGAGACCACUCACGGUCAUUUCCAUUCAGUCAAUCAAUUCACAACAUCAAAUCAAAGCAAUGAUCAAUCGACCUAGUCGAUUACAUGUCAGACGGACCAUUCUAGGUCAAUACUCUCAGGCGUCAAGUUCACCAAUGUGACUCAUCCACUAGACAAUUGCGUGCGUUCUUUAAGGCGCCGUUUUCGCCAGUGACAUCCUUAGUCACCAAACCACGUAUGCCUAUAACCAUGUACUCAAUAGACAAUUGUGUGUGUUCUUUAAGGUGUCGUUUUCGCCAGUGAUAUCCCAAAUCACCGAACCACACAUGCCUACAACAAUGUACUCAAUAGACAAUUGUGUGCGUUCUUUAAGGCACCGUUUUCGCCAAUGAUAUCCCAAAUCACCGAACCACACAUGCCUACAACAAUGUAUUUGAUAGACAAGUGUAUGCGUUCUUUAAGGCGCCAUUUUCACCAGUGAUGUCGUUAAUCACCGAACCAUACAUGCCUAUAACAAUGUAUUUGAUAGACAAGUGUAUGCGGUUCUUUAAGGCACCGUUUUUGCCAGUGAUGUCCUUGAUCACCGAACCAUACAUGCCUAUAACAACGAGUACUAGACCAAUACGUGCGUUCUUUAAGGCGCCGUUUUCGCCAGUGAUGUCCCAAUCACCGAACCACGUAGGUCCAUACACUGAGUUUGAUUGGUUCAAUCCUAGAGUAUUUCCAAUUCUCUCAUAACUCUAUCCACUUUACAACUCAAUCAAAACAUUAUAAAUGCUAAACAAACAUACUCGGCCAUUUACCAAUCAAUCAUUCAAUCUCAAUCAAUUCCAAAUCAAUUUAGGGUAAAUCCUAAAACAUCACAAUUUAUUUAAUUCCAUGCAACAUAGAGCUCAAAUAAAUAAACGAACUGCGCCACGACAAUCAGCACGAGAUUUCGGUCGUCGGCCAUCUCAAUCUUAAUUUCUGAAAAAUAAAUAAUUAAUAAAUAUUAAAAAUUCAAUUUAACACAAAAUAAAGCCCAAUUAAAUAAACAGACUUCACCACGGUCAUCAGCAUAAUAUUCCGGUCUCGGGCCAUCCCAGUUGAAUUUUCGGAAAAUAAAUAAUUAUUUAAAUUAAUUCCGAAAAUUAAUAUUUAAAUACUAAAAAUUCCACUUAGGCCCAAAAAGCCUAAUUGGAGCCCACUAAGGGUCGGGAAAAAUCCCGAGGCACUUCCAAUAAUUAGUAGACCACGUCUACUUGCUAAUUGCGCAAUCAAUUUAUCUAAAUUGCAUCACAAUUGACUAAUAAUUGCUAAUUUAUUCUAAUCUAACAACCUAAACAUAAUUAAUUAAAACUAAACCAACCUUAAGCAUAAUUAGCCAACUAAUCCUGGAUUAGUGAGAUUACUCACCAAAUCGCGCGCAAAUUGGAUCAAUCCGACGGGGGCGACACAAGGAACGAUUCUUCCCAAAGCACGGCUCGAGUUCGCGGCCCGGCCCAAAAGUGGGCCUAAAGCCGCUGGAAACCCAUUUCGUGGGUUGCUGGAUGGCUGCGAAACAAGGGAAAAUAGAGAUGGUUAGGGGCGGGGAAGGCUUCGGGAGAGCGGGCGGUGCUCCGGGGAGGGCCGGCGGAGGUCCGGCGGCUUCAAACGGCGGCCGGAGGUGGCCGGAUGGGGUGGAACGAAGGCUGAGCAGAGGCUGAACCGCGCGGGGGAGCACGCCUGGGCGCGAGGGACGGCCGACGGAACACGCGGCGUUCGCGCGCCGUGGGCCGUCGCGGGCGGCGGUCCCGGCUUCGGUGUGGCGGCGAUGGCUUCGGCGAGCAGUUGCUUCCGUUCUUCUUCAGCUUCUGGUUUUUCACGAACAAGAGGGGAAGAAGAAAGGAGUUAGUUCAGUCAUGUGGGGAAAAUGGGGGAGAAGAGAGAGGAGAGAGAAGAAGAGAGAAAGAAGAGAUAAGAAGGAGGGUUUUCUUUUGACUAGUCAAAAGUAGAAACAAAAGAGAGAGAAGCCAAAUUAAAAUUGGCAAGGGGGCAUUCGGUCGGUGGGGGCUGGCUACGCACGAAGGAGAGGGGAGAGGAGAGAGAGAGAAAAGGGAGAGAGAGAGAAAAAGAAAAAGAAUAAUACUAUUCUAAAUUUUCUUUUCUCUUUCCCAUUUCCCUUUUUAAUUUCUUCCGGUCUUCAAUUUUUCCUCCGAUAAUUUCUUUCUUGAAAUUUCAGACUCGUCGAUAAUUUGACGGACGAUGAGACGAGGUCCUAAAAAUGAAUUGUGACAUGCUUGGAUAUUCGAUUCCCAAAACCGAAUUAAAUUUCAUGAUUAAAAUUGACCGAACGUGAUUUUAGUCCAAUCUAACAAAUUAGGUAGCUUUUAGGGAUUUUACCGCGGAUAUAUCCUUUAACGGCUUCACCCAAUAUGUUAGUUAACUCAUGAGUGAUCUGCUCAGAGAAAAAGGACCAUAGGCACGCCGACAAUAUGCACAUUUCAUUUUAUUGAAACGGGAUCGAAUUUCAGGAUGUCACAUUGCCCCUCAUGGGACCUUCGGCAGACCACCACGUUGCUGGCUAUUUUAUUUGGGAAAAAAAAAGCAAAAUCAAUUUAGGUAGUUUUUUCUUUUAUAUAUUUAUCUUAUUUUUUUAAUUAUUUUUGUUAUUUUAUUUUAUUUGUUCUUUUAGUAUAAUUAUUCCUUAGUGUAAGGAUGAAAUGUUUGACAUGAAAUAGCUUAUGAAAUUUGUGAUUGACAGUCCGAUUUUCAUGCUCGAAAUCCAACUUGCAAUCGCUUGAAAAAUCGCCAAUCCGAUCUCAUGCCCGAGAUUUGAUUCGCGAUUUAUGUAAAAUUGGUCAACCCGAUCUCAUGCGCGAGAUAUGAUUCAUCAAUUUGGAUAUCAAUCUUAGCUCUGAUUUGAUGUCAUGCCGUUUAAGUUAAUUUUCUUUUCGUAAAAAAAAAUCAAAAAAUGUAGGUUAGAAUUAGGUUUAUUUCCUGUUUUAGGGUUUGCAUAUUUAGAAUAAGAAUUUUAUUUCGAAUUUAAAAAAUAAAAAAAAAAUCAAAUCAAUCAAUUUAGGUUGCUAUUUUUUUUUUAAAAAAACUUAGGUUGCAUGUUUAAUUAUUUGACAAUUUUUAAUUUCGAAAUUUGAAAAAAAAAACACAGAAAAAUCAUCUUGCAUAUGUCAUGUAGAAUUAGGGUAUCCUUUAUACAUCAUUCUAUAUUAAGGUAAAAUUGCACGUAGUUUAAUUCUAGAUAAUACUUUUUCUUAAUUUAUUAUAAGUUUAGAUAUUAGAUAGAUUGCAUUUUUAGGAUUAUUUGGGUUAAGAUAAUAUUUUAGUUUAAAUUAGGAUUUGGCUUAACCUAAUUCCUAAUGCAAAUUGAAUAGAAUCUUAAUCUAGUUAGAUAAUUUUCACAUUUUUCCUAAUUCCGAAUUUCAUGAAAAAUACAAAAAAGUAUUAGAAUAACUUAGUUCCAUUCUCUAGGAUAGAUUGCAUUUUUUAGAAAAAAUAAAAAAAAAUGUCAUGUAAAUGUCAUAUAUGAUUAGAUUCUUGAAAUGCAUGUCAUUUAGAGAUUGUUAUUAGGUCCAUUUAAUUAGAAAUUGCAUGACAUGAGAAUUAGGUCAUUUAGUUAUAUUGUAUUGCAUAUUGCAUGAUUUUCAUUAAAUAAGUGAAAAAAAAAGAAAUCGCGUGUUAAUUAGAAAUCAUAUCUAGGACUAUUGAUGUGAAUUCUAAUCUAACAACGCAGAUACUUUGGUUGCUAUGAGGUAAGUCCUAUAAUUUAUUUAUUACUUUACUUGGGUAUUAAAUUGGUAGUUUACGCACUCGCAUGAUCGUCUCACAUGUUAGGAAAUAGAUUUAAAAUCAAUUUAAGCUGCCUGCAAAUGUAUUUUUGAAAAUAAAAGAAUGGUACCGAAAUGACAUUAGAGAAAUCUAGUGUAACCAAGUCCAAGUACCUAGAAUCUCUGGUUCGUAAAAGUAAAGUAAAACUCCCGUUACUUUACUUAGGUUUCUAAUUGACCCACUCAAAAAUAGAUUAGUGGCGACUCCUGGAUAAAGUCUAUCUGCAUGUUAAGAAUCUGAACAUAAGUCGUGAAUUGGUAUGGGCUUGGGAAAGCCCGAGUUAAGUUUAGGCUUAACAAUCCAUUAGCUAAAUUUUAGGUGAUUCGCCCCAAAAUUUUGGUCACGACAUCCUCUCCUUGUCCACAAGUCGAACAGCCCACUGAGUCGGUUUUCCCCUCCGUUGUUGCCACGCCACCGAGGUCAACUCAGCCCGCAAGCUAUAGCCCUAUCAAGGUGAGCCCAAUAGCUCAGCCCCCUUCGAAUCUAGACUGAGUAGCCCCAUCGUGGGACUUUGUGGCCGAUUUCAGCUUGGUCUGGGCUCCUAUUGGCAUCGCCGCUUUAGAGUUUAUCGGCCGCCGUCACAUCGCCGUUGCCAUGAACCGGUUUUCACGCAAAUCUAGUGAGUUUAACUCACUUAUCCCUGCUUAGUAAGUUAAUGAUGCUUAAGGGUUGAUUAGUUUAAGUUAAGUGUGGAGUAAGUGGAUAAUUAAAAUAGAUUAGCAAUUUAAUCGUUCGAUUUUGCAUGCUAGGUGAUUAGAGUAGUGCAAUUAGAGCCUAGAUAAGCUCUAGUAUUUAUUUAACAGGUUCGAAAAUUUUCUGGGCCCAUCUUAGUUUUUAAUUAGGUUUUUCCGGCCUAAGUGUGAAUUAUUGGUAUUUAAUAAUUAAUUUUCAUAAUUAUUUAAUUAUUUAUUUAUUUUCCAAAAAUUAGACCGGGAUAGCCGGUAACAAGAAUUUUAUGUUGAUUGCAAUGGUGUGAUUGAAUUAUUUAUUUAAUUGUUAUUUUGUGCAAAUUGGAUGUGAUUUGCAAUUUUGGGUAUUUAUUCCAAAAAUUAUUAAUUUCGGUAAUUAAUUAGAAAAUGAUCGAACGUCGGUUUACAACGCCAAAAAUGAGUUUACGGAUCAAUGAGAUUAGUGGGAUUUUAUAAAAUAAAGAUAUUAUAUUUUUGGCUCGGACCGACCGUGUACCCACACACGACUAUUUUUAACACGAAGAAAAUAGACCAGGACGUUAUUUUAAUUGAGGAAUUCAAGCGGGAAGCUCAAUGUCCUUGGCCAUGGAUGAAUAAUCAUGUGGUGGUUUAUAGUCAUGGUAAGAUGACUAUUGAAGGAUGAGGUGACGUAUGUUGUGCAUGACGAUAUGGGAUGGGUCAAGAAAACCGCCGAAGUAUGGCUGUGCCUAUUAGGUCGUGAUUAACUGCCAAAGUAUGGUUGUGCCUAUAGGGCCGUAAUUGACCACCGAAGCAAGCUAUGCCUAUUAGGCCAUGAUUUUCCGCCUAACUUGGAAUAGGCUGUGCCCAUUGGGCCGUAAUUUACCGCUGGACAUUUAAUAGGCCGUGCCCGUUGGGCCGUGAUUAAAUUUGAAAUCCAUGUGAUUGAAUGAAUUGACCAAGAGAUGAUCAUGAUGACAUGGAGUCAACUGAGUUGAUUGAUCGAUGAUUUGAUCCGAUUGGAUGAAUUGUUUUGUGAAGUGAUUGAUUGAGUGGUUCAAUUGUUUUGAUUCGCAAGAAGGGAUUGGGGCCAAGGUAAGUUCUCUCACUCGUGUUUGUGCUUAGGCAGCCCUUAGGGCCUAUUUUCUUCCUAGUCGGGUCUUAGGGAGUGAACUUGAUGAGACGUCGUCUCACCUCGUUGUGGGAUAACAUUUUCAAGUCCUUAGAUGUCAGUUGAGGAGGACCCGAAGCUCUAGAGACACUUGAGGAGGAGACCGAAGAAUCGGCGAACGUUCUGACUAGUGGGUCAUAGGAUAGUUCUCUUUUUGUUGAGCUGAUCUUUCGUAAAUAGCCUAGUAUGGUGUAUGAACUUGAAGUGUUUAUAAAAUGUUUGUUUUGAUUGUGAAUUAUAACCCCACUUUUCUAUCCCAUUUUGUUGUUGUCUGGGGAGUAUUGAUUAUUUAUUUGCUUUUGCAUACGUAUUAAAAUGAAUGUGUCGAUGAUGCGUCCUCAAACGCCACUAUUUAAUCGACCAAUGAGGGAUGGGCACGCGUUUGGAGGAUCGAGGUGUGACAGUUAUUUUCACAGGCUAGCUCACACCGAGAGUUACCGCAGUCUUUUGGAUCGCCUUUCAAUCGAAAAUGAUAACUUAUGUUACGGAUCUCACUACAAGAUAAAUGGACACACAAGUGAUUCUUCUUUGCAUCGUAGCUCGUCCCUAACAAUAGCAAAACAUGCAAUAUGAGAAGUAAAACACGGAGCAUAAAUAUCGAGUUGCGAGAUAUAAUCAUCUCUUUACCGUUUGGUCCAAUGCAAUGGAAGUGUUAGCUCUCUUGGUAAUGCGAGGGAUGCUUAAUAAAGGGUUGGGAGUCAUCGGUCAUCGAAAUGUCCAAGUCAACCCUAAAACAAAGUCUAGCGAAGAAAAACUUAAAAAAUAUGGCCCGGCAAAAACACGAUUUCGGAAUUAGUGAUGGAUAGCUUUCACAUUCAUUAGGGAGGAAAUUUCUCUUCAUUUUCCAGAUUUAAUUUUUCUUGGCAAAUUAAUUCUCUCUAGAAAUUAAUUUUAGUAUCGUAAAAAAGAAUGGCUUUAAUGUUUUGUACCCUAAACUCAUUCAAAAUCCUUACAAAUGAGGCAUUUAGCGUUCUAUUUUAUAUUCAAGGCCAAUAUUUCAUAAGUGUUGCUGCGUUAAAUUUUAAAGACGAAAAGGAAAAGGAUGAUGUAUUUCAUCGUAUAAGGUUUUUCAAUUUUGAGAAAAAAAAAUUAGUAACCAAGAAAGAGGAUAAUGUUAAAUAACGGGUACAUAGAUUUUAACUUUUAUAAUGCCGCUUUCCGCAAAUAUAGAAAGAAAAUAAGGAAUGGGCGCUUCUUGCCUAUGGAUGAUGUGAAAGAUAGCAAUAUGGUAAAUUCUCAACUAGUGAUGGGACCGACACACCUUGAUUAGAGACUCACUUGCGUCGUAUGACAUCCCAAAUUUUCAGUUAUGUAAUCUACUGAAUAAAUCGGGCAUUUCAUUGAUGCGUCUAUAGGACUGUUUUUAGAGCUGAUCACUCUCAAGAUAACUAGACUAUAUGGGGAAACCAUUAAGGAACCUUAAUGCAAUAGAUUUGAGAAUUCGACCAGGAAUUGGCUUCUCAACGUGCUCAUCUUUAGAGGUCAUUACAGCAUAGUUAAAAAUCGAUUUGGAAUCAAAGAUAGGUUGGUUCGACUGAGAUGUGUGGCUAAUCGUGGGUGACACAACUAAAUUGAAAAAUUCUCAUCGGCUGGCACUAGAUUGAUUUUUUUAUUGUUUUGGUACCCUGUGCCCAUUAUGCCCUGAUCCUCGGGCACACAUCCAUCCCUCAUUGGUCAAUAUAAUUGCAACGUCCCAGGACGCAUCGCCGACUCAUUCAUUUUAAUACGCAUGCGGAAGCAUAUAAUUAAUCCUCAGACAAUAAAACAAUGGGAUAGAAAAGUAGGACCAAUUUUUCACAAAAUACAUUUUUAUAAACACACGGGUCUAUACACAAAGGUUUACAAAAGGAAUUGGCUCCCUACAAAAGAGAGUUGUCCUUCGACUAACUAGUCAAAUAUGGUCACUAAUUCUUCAGGCUUCACCUCAUGAACUCUGGGGCUCCUAAUCCUUUACCAACACCGUCUAUGGACCUAAAAAUAGUUAUACAAUAACCAGUAAGAUAAUGUCUCAACGAGUUCUACCCCCUAAGAUUUAAUUAGGAAGUCAAUACGCCAUAAGGGCUGCCUAAGCACAGUCACGAGUCAGAGAACUUACCUUGGCCUCAGUCUCCUCCUUGCAAGUCAGCACAAUUCAUAAACUCAUUGAGUAACGUCAACACAUCGAUCAUUCACUCAGAUCGACUUAUUGAUCAAUCGACCUAGUCAAUUACAUGUCAACCAAACCAUUCCCCGGUCAUUUUAAUGAAUACCAUGCAUUAUCCAAGAUGAUAUAUCUAGUCACCGAGCGCACGUGCCUUUUCCAAGAUAAUAUAUCUAGUCACCGAGCCCAUGUGCCUUCUCCAAGAUGAUAUAUCUAGUCAUUGAGCCCACGUGCCUUCUCCAAGAUGACAUACCUAGUCAACAAGCCCACGUGCAUUCUCCAAGAUGACGUACUUGGUCACUGAGCCUACAUGCAUUCCCCAAGGUAAUGUACCAACUAAACAAGCCAACAAAUCAUAACGUCUUUUUUCGAGAUGACAUACUUAGUCAUCAAGCUGACGUAACAUAGUGUCUUUCUCCAAGAUGACACACUUAGUCAUCGAGCCGGCGUAUUACAGUAUUUUUGUUCACCUUUUAUCAUACCCAAUAAAACAGCCGUGUGGGGAUACACGGUUAGCUUUAACCACUAGCUUCAACAAUCUAGAAAUAUAAUUCUGGCACUAUAAAUCCAUACCCGGUAAAUAUUCAAUUAAUUAUUAAAAUUAAUUAAUUUAAAGAUAAAUUCCUAAUUUCAUAAUUAAAUCGAAAUCAACACGAUAUAAAGCUCAAUUAAAUAAACAAAUCAAACCGCUGCAAUUAGCGUAAUUUUUUGGUCACUGGCCAUCCCGGUCAAAUUUCCAAAAAAUAAAUAAAUAAUUAAAUAAUUACAGAAAAUAUUAAAUAAAUGCAAUAAAUCUAACUUAGGCCUGUUAUAGCUUAAUUGGAAGCUAAAACGGGUCCAGAAAAUUUUCGAGGUUCAGUCAAUAAUUAUUAGAACCUAUUUACUCGCUAAUUACACUAACCAUUUGACAAACAUACAUCAGUAAAGCACUAAAUUAAUUACCCUACUAUAAUCUAUCAACCUAAUUGCACUUAAUUAAAUAUAAUCAACCCCUAAGCAUCAUUAACCUACUAAGCGAGAUUUAGUGAGUUAAACUCACUUGUUUGGCGAGCCGGUCGGUUCAAAUCGACGGGGACGAAAUGGGGCUUGAUUCCUCCCAAGGCGGGCCUAGGUUUCGGGGUCUGAAAGCGGGCCAAAAUAGGCCUACAAGCUGCUGCAAUACCCAUUGCUUUGCUCUCUGUUUUGGGCUGCAAAAGAAGAAAACAAAGGCUAGUUCGGCUUUUGCUUCUGCUUGCUGUACAAAGGAGAACCAACUACUAAACAGCGAGGAAACGGGAAAAUCGAAGCUCUGACGAGCAGGUGGUCAACAACCGGUGGCACCCGGGGGUCAAGGGGGACCUGCUGGUGGUUGGUAUUGGUGGAUGUAGGGUCGGGAUGGAAGAAAAACAGAAGAAAACGUUGAAAUGGCAAAACCAGGCGAACUAGGUGGCGGAUCGACGGACCGACGACCGGCAGCUUGCGCCGGCCAUACGAGAUAGCCGGAGGCUUCGUUCUGGGCAAGGUAGGGCUCUUUGGAACGGUCUCGAUGUGCUAGUCACAGUGAUGGGUGGCUUGUUGGCUAAUUCAUCCAGGAAGACCACUUUCAACUCAGAUCUUUGGCGAAAGGUCAACUGGAGCAGAAGCUGGCAAAAGGAGAAAACAAUAGGGAAAACGGCGGGCUUGGCUGGUCCGGUGGGCAUGCGAUGGUGGAGCUGGCUCAGCUGACUUCCUCUAGUUCUCUCCAGGUUUCUCAAGGCCACAACAAUGGAGAAAGGAGGGGGAAAGAGGAAAAAGAAUCAGUUGGUCAAGGAUGGGGGGUCCCAUUUGCCUCUAAAGUCUAUCUUCUUGCCCCCUUGACCCUUGUCCACCACCAGCUGGUCCCUUGACCACCAAUCAGCCACCAAGGCUCACUUCUAGAAGCUCGAGAUGGUCCAAAUGUCGUGGGUGAUGGGGGCACACGAAUUUGGCUCGGUUUCUCUCAAAUUGAAUGCUUGAUCCUUCUUGAAUUAACACAAACCAACCUCUAUAAAUUCAACCAACACCUCAUCAAUCGAAUUUGUAUUUUUCCUCACCGAUUAAUCCCACUUGCAUCCUAAUUUCACAAUAAAAAAUGGUCCUCGACACUUUCUGGACAAAAACGACCCUACCUCGAUUUUUUCCCAAAAAGUCUCAAUUUGUAGAAAAUUUUUCUGAGACUAAAUCGAUGUUUCUAAAAUGACUUGUGACAUGACAAAAUUUUCAAUUUCUGAAAUAGGAUUCAAAUUCGUGAUUAAUUUUAAUUUGGUGCGAUUUUAGCGUGACCUAGGCUACUGGGUAGUUUUCAUAAAUUUUUAAUGCAAAUGACUAGUGGUCGAUUUUCUUUGAGCCACAAUGAACCCACUCAACACAUUGACGACUCUCGGUUGUCGUGAAAAUCUCGAGGAUUCAAAUACGGACAUAGUGUACCAAAACGAUAGAAAAAUCGGUAUAGUGUCGAUCGACAAGAAUUUUGCAAUUUAGUGGAAUUACUCACGUUUAACCACGCAUUUCAGUCGAACCGAUCUAUCUCUGAUAUCUAAUCGAUUUUUAACUAUGUCAUAAUAAUCUCGGCAAAUGAGCACGGUCGAGCAGCCGAUUCCUCGUUGAAUUCUCAAGUAUAUUUGUCUUAAAAUCUCUUAAUAACUUCUCCAGAUGGUCUAAUUAUCUCAUGUGUGGCCAACUCCGAAAAAAACACUAUAGUCGCGUCGAUGAAAAGCCCAACUUAUCUGAUUAAAAUCAAAACUUGAAAAUCAGAAUGUCACAAUUCUUCCACUCUUAUAAAAAUUCCGUCCUCGAAAUUUAAACAUUUACCAAUCCUUAAACAAAAGGUGGGGAUAUCGUCAUCUCACUUUCCCCGAUUGCUUCUUCAGUCCCGUGGUGUUAUCAGACUACUUUAACCAAGAGGACCCUCUUGGUACAUAGUAUUUGUUCUGUUUGAACUAGGCUUUCCACGUACGACAUUCUGUCGUCCACGUCUAUUUUUUCAAGAUUUAGCGCGUGGGUCGUGUCAAAAUCAUAUGUCCUCAACAUCGACACGUGGAAGACGUCAUGCACUUGCGAGGUAAUGCAAGACUAUACGUUAGGAUCUCGAUUCUCUCUCUAGAAUCUCAAAGGGAUCUACAUACCUCGGUUUCAGUUUUCCCUUCUUGCCGUAGUGCAAGGUAUUCCUCUUUGGUGACACCUUCAGAAAUAUGCAAUCACCAAUUUGGAACUCUAAGGGCCUUCAAGGUUCAACGAUUCAACUUUUCUAGCAGUUCUAAGUGAUUUUUUUUCAUCUAACUUCCUUAUCACAAAUUUAAUUAUGUACACUCACUAUACCAUUCAAAAGCUCUGCUGAAACUGUGUUUAGAUUUGAUUUAGUUUAGUCAUUAGCAUUCCAUGCAGACGAACUAUCUGACUUCCAUACAACUUUGCUUGUCUAUCUAAGUCAAGAUCCUUUUGUACUACCAAGAAGCGAGCUGACUUCAUCAAUCUAUCGACCACUACCCCAAUGGAAUCAUUACUCCCCUGACUCCUUGGUAAGCCGGUCACAACGUUCCGUUGCGUUAUAUUUCCAUCCUCACUCAAGACUCUCAAGUGUUUGUAAAAGUCCUCUCAGUUUGCAACCGAGCCCACAUGCAUUCUCCAAGAUGACAUACUUGGUCACCGAGCCCACUACCAUUCUCCAAGGUGAUGUACCAACUCAACGAGUCAACAAAUCAUAACGUCUUUCUCCAAGAUGACAUUCUUAGUCAUCGAGCCAACGUAACAUAUCGUCUUUCUUUGAGAUGACACACUUAGUCAUCAAGCCGACGUAUUACAGUAUUCUUGCUCACCUUUUAUCAUACUCGAUAAAACAGCCGUGUGGAGGUACACGAUUAGCCUUAGCAAAAAAUAUAACCAUUUCACUAUUUAAACUUUCCACUGGCUUUAGCGGUUUUGAAAUAUAAUUCUGGCACUAUAGACCCACACCCGGUAAAUAUUCAAUUAAUUAUUAUAAUUAAUUAAUUUAAAGAUAAAUUCCUAAUUUCGCAAUUAAAUCAAAAUCAACAUGUAAUAAAACUCAAUUAAAUAAACAGAUCAAACCGCUACAAUUAACGUAAUUUUCUAGUCACCAGCCAUCCUAGUCUAAUUUCCGGAAAAUAAAUAAGUAAAUAAAUAAUUAUGGAAGAUAUUAAGUAAUUGCAAUGAAUCCAACAUAGGCCCGUUAUAGCCUAAUUGGAAGCCGAAACGGACCAAGAAAAUUUUCGAGAUUUGUUCAAUAAUUACUAGAACCUAUUUGCUCGCUAAUUACACUAACCAUUUGCCUAACAUGCAUCGGUAAAGCACUAAAUUAAUUAGCCUACUCUAAUCUAUCCACCUAAUUGCACUUAAUUAAAUCUAAUCGACUUCUAAGCAUCAUUAACCUACUAAGCAAGGUUUAGUGAGUUAAACUCACUUGUUCAGCGAGCCGAUUGGUUCAAAUCGACGGGGACACAACGGGGCUUGAUUCUUCCCAAGGCAGGCCUAGCUUUUGGGGUCUGAAAGCAGGCCAAAAUGGGCCUACAAGUUACUGGAAUACCCACUGCUUUGCUCUCUAUUUUGGGCUGCAAAAGAAGAAAACAAAGGCUGGUUCGGCUUAUGCUUCCACUUGCUGGACAAAGGAGAACUAAUUCUUGAACGGUGAGGAAAUGAGCUGAUCGGAGCUCCGGCGAGCGGGUGGUUGGCAACCGGCGGCACUCGGGGGUCAAGGGGGACUUGCUAGUGGUUGGUAUGGGUGGAGGUAGGGUCGGAAUGGAAGAAAAAUGGAAGAAAACACUAAAAUGGCAAAAUUGGGCGAACCAGGCAGUGGACCAACGACCGGCGGCUUGCGCCGGCCGUACGAGACAGCCAGAGGCUUCGUUUUGGGCAAGGUUGGGCUCUUUGGAACGGUCUCAAUAUGCUGGUCAAGGUUAGUUGGAGCAAAAACUGGCAGAAAGAGAAAACAAUGGGGAAAAUGACGAGCUUGGCUGGUCCAGUGGGUGUGCGAUGGUGGAGCUGGCUCAGCUGGCUUCCUUUGGUUCUCUCCAGGUUUCUCAAGGCCACAACAAUGGAGAGAAGAGGGGAAAAGAGGAAGAAGAAGCAGUUGGUCAAGGAUGGGGGGUCCCAUUUGCCUCCAAAGUCUAUCUUCUUGCCCCUUGACCCUUGUCCACCACCAGUUGAUCCCUUGGCCACCAAUCAGCCACCAAGGCUCACUUCUUGAAGCUCAAGAUGGUCCAAAUGUCGUGGGUGGUGGGGGCACAUGAAUUUCGCUCGGUUUCUCUCAAAUUGAAUGCUCGCUCCUUCUUGAAUCAAUACAAACCGGCCUCUAUAAAUUCAACCAACACCUCAUCAAUCCAAUUUGUAUUUUUUCUCACCGAUUAAUCCCACUUGCAUCCUAAUUUCGCAAUAAAAAACGGUCCCCGACACUUCCUAGACAAAAACGGCCACACCUUGACUUUUUCCCAAAAAGUCUUGGUUUGUAGAAAAAUCUUCUAAGACUGAGUCGAUGUUUCUAAAAUGACUCGUGACAUGAAAGAACUUUCAAUUUUUGAAAUCAAAUUUAAGUUCGCGGUUAAUUUUAAUUUAGCGUGACUUAGGUUACUAGGUAGCUUUCAAAAUUUUUUAGUACAAAUGACCUGUGGUUGAUUUUCUUCGAGCCACAAUAAAUCCACUCGACACAUUGGCGACUCUUGGUUGUCGUGAAAAUCUCGAGGAUUCAAAUAUGGACAUGGGGUACCAAAACGAUAGAAAAAUCAGUCUAGUGUCGAUCGACGAGAAUUUUGCAAUUUAGUGAAAUCACUCACAUUUAACCACGCAUCUUAGUCGAACCGACUUAUCUCUGAUCUCUAAUCGAUUUUUAACUGUGCCGUAAUGAUCUCGGGAGAUGAGCACGGUUGAGCAGCCGAUUCCUGGUCAAAUUCUCAAGUCUAUUUGCCUGAAAAUCUCUUGAUGACUUCCCUAGAUGGUCUAGUUAUCUCGUGAGUGGCCAACUCUGUGAAAAGCACUAUAGUCGUGUUGAUGAGAAGCCCAACUUAUCCAAUCGAAAUCAGAACCUGAAAAUUGGGAUGUCACAACUUUUCCUCUCUUAUAAAAAUUCUGUUCUCGAAUUUUAAACAUUUACCAAUCCUUAAACAAAAAAGGUGGGGGUAUCGUCGUCUCAUCGAGUCUCACUUUCCUCGAUUGCUUCUUUAGUCCCAUGGUGUUGUCAAACCACUUUAACCAAGGGGACCCUCUUGGUACAUAGUAUCUAUUCUGUUCGAACCAAGCUUUCCACAUACGACCCUGUCAUUCACGUCUAUUUCUUCAAGAUCUAGUGUGUGGGUUGUGUCAGACUCAUAUGUCCUCAACAUUGACACGUGGAAGACGUCAUGCACUUGCGCCAACCUCAGCGGCAAUGCAAGACGAUACGUUAGGAUCUUGAUUCUCUCUUUAGAAUCUCAAAGGGAUCUAUAUACAUUGGUUUCAAUUUUCCCUUCUUACCAAAGUGCAAGGUAUUCCUCUUUGGUGACACCUUCAGAAAGAUGUGAUCAUUAAUUUGGAACUCUAAGGGCCUUCAAGGUUCAACGAUUCAAUUUUUCUGGCGGUGCUGAGCGGUCUUUUUUCAUCUAACUUCCUUCUCACAAAUUAAAUUAUGUACAUUCACUAUACAAUGCUUCAGAAGGAACCAUUCAAAAGCUCUGCCGAAAGUGGGUCUAGAUCUGAUAUAGUUCAGUCACUAGCACUCCAUGCAAAUGAACUAUCUGACUCCCAUACAACUUUGCAUGUCUGUCUAAGUCUAGAUCCUUUCGUACUACCAAGAAGCGAGCCGACUUCGUCAAUCUAUCGACCACUACCCGAAUGGAAUCAUUACUCCUCUGACUCCUUGGUAAGCCAGUCACAACGUUCCAUUGCGUUAUACUUCCAUCCUCACUCAAGACUCUCAAGUGUUUGUAAAAGUCCUCCUGGUUUGCAUUACUAAACUUCCACUUAUUGACAUAUCUGAUACUUGCAACCUAUCCGGCGAUAUCUAUCUUUAUUUUGGUCUACCAAUUGAAUUGACAUCGGUUUUGACCUACUUUGUACUGUUUGGUCGAAUACUACAACUACUAUAGUGAAUUCCUAACAAGGUCUCCUCCUUAAGUUCUGUACUGUCUGACACCAAUCAUCACCCACGAUACUUCGGUGUUCCAUCUUCCCAAAUAUGGAAGUUAACCUUUCCCCUUAUCAGUAUCCUCUUGCAGGAUUUUCUGAACAUCUGGGUCCGUCAAGUGAAACGUCUAAUUUUAAUCUGAAUAUCCAGUUCAAUUCUGAGGGUGGCCAGAAAAUUCAAAAGGUGGCAUACCUCAAAUUUGAAAACCGACUUUCGAACUCUCUCGAGUAAAUUCCACUCCUAUAUCACUAUCUGUGCAAUUGAAAACUUCUGACUCAAUGCACUUGCGACUUAAUUCGUCUUUCCAAGGUGACACAAGACAUCACAAUCUCAGUUCCUCCAAAUUUCUAACUCACAACGCUAUCACGUAUUCACUCUUGAGGUCUCCAUUGAUGGGAUGCAUAUGUAACACUCUACCACGUUACAUCAACAUGCAACGCAAUCCUCUAAACAAUGCAUCAUUACAAAUCUCGCUUCUUCCAAAACCAUAUGGGAUGAUUAGCACAAGUGCAGUAGCCCGUUACUGCUUAAACUCUGGAAACUAUCAUCGCACUUGUCUAUCCAUAUGAAUUUCUCUCAUUUCUUUAGGAGUUGAGUUAAUGGCGACGCCAAUGCUAAUAAUCCUAUUGUGAACUUUCUGUAGUACCCUGUCCAACCCAUACGGCUUCUGAUCUCUAAUAUUGUUGUCGGCCUUGGUCCACUAAUAACUAUUUCGGUCUUGAUUGGGUCCAUGGAAAUUCUUUCACCAUUCUCAGAUGUCUCUCGUGCUCCUUAGCAUUCCUUGAAUACACCAGAAUAUCCUUGAAAGAUACGAUCACAACCAAUCUAGAUAUUCUUCAAACACUCGGUUUGUCAAAUCCAUGAUAGCUGUUGGGACGUUCGUUAGACCCAACGGCCUUACAUUACUCUCACAAGGUCCAUAUCAAGUACAAAACACUUUUUUCAAUAUGACCUCUUUCUUGAUUCUCAACUGAUGAUAACCUGUCCUCAAGUUGACCUUUGAAAACAUCUACACUCUUUAUAACUAGUCAGGCAAUUUGUCGAUCUUUGGCAAUGAACACUUGUUCUUGAUUGUCACUUGAUUGAGUUGACGAUAGUUGAUGCAUAAUUGCAACGAACCAUAUCUCUUUUUCACAAACGAAAUUGGUGCUUCCUAAAGUGAUGCACUGCCAUGUAUAAAUUUCUUAAUUAGUAAUUCUCGCAUCUGUACCAUCAAUUCUUUCAAUUCAGACAACGACAUUUGGUAUGAAGCCUUAGAAAGUGACUCUGUUUUGGGUGCUAGCUCGAUCGCAAUUUCUAUCUCUUUCUCUAACGACGGCCUGACAAUUCUUGUGACAACACAUCUCGAAGUUCUUAGACUACUGAGAUGUCCUCAAUCUUUAGUUCUCCAACCUAUCUUAUCUAUGACCAUCACUAAUUAACCUUGGCAAUCUUCUUCUAACAAAUGAGUUGCCUUCAAGCGAUGGAAUUACUACAAUUGAGCGUCUUUCUCGACUCCCAAUGAACUCAACACUUUCACAUGCUUACGGAUUAGACUAGAUCAUUUCUCGGUAAUAAUCCACUACUACAAGAGGCUCUUUGAGUCAACUCUGUUCAUUUGUGACACCAAAGUUAUAUCUCAGCAACUAAUCAAGUACAACUAUAGCUAGAGAUUCCCAUUUCUUCCACUUUAUUUCAACAAACUAGAGUUCUGCGAACUUAACCAAAAUUCUGCUGUGCCACUCUAAUAAAAUCUACCCAAGAACAUUCUUCCUCUGAUUGGUGCAGGGUCGGCUCCAUUCCCAUUCCUUUCGCCAACCUAGUGGCAUCCCACCUGCGGUAGCUGUGCUCCCUUGGAUUCUCAUUAACAGUCCCUUACCUGAUGGCCAUGCUAGUUACAAUCACAGCACAUUCUAGCCAUACUUGAACACUAGAUUCAUCCAUGCUUCCUUCCACAAAUUCGACACUCAUCUGGUGAGUUCUCUAUCUCCUGUCAGGUGACAUCAUGCACUCUUUCUUGUACUGGAGGCAUGUUCCAAAAACGCCACGGUGCGUUCUAUGGCGCACUCCCUCUGAUCUGUCCUAUCGAUAGUGACAGCAAUAACCAUUGCCGAGGUUCCAUCUACCUGAGUGGACAAUCCAUGAGCCAAUGGUCGUGCUGGCGACACCUGCCACAAAUUCUUGUCCUCGAAAAACACGAGACUAAUCCAUGUCAUCUCCCAUGGGAACAGCAUGUUCCAUUUUAACUCGAUGCUGACCUGACUAUCCCAUCCUUCCUAUUGGGUGGAACAUAAUACUUUUCUCUCGACAUCAAUCUUUUCCCUGACUGAUUUCCAUUUCUAUCUGAACUGAAUCUUGGCUUAGAUACUGAAGUUUGUUCCCUGAUCACAAUUCCAGGUUGGACAUCAACAAAGGCGACAACAACAGUGGCUCAGUCCUGAGCUUAUUAGCUCAACAAGUUCCCAAGGAAUACUAGCGCCUAAACGAUCCCAUCAAACCUAGGAUCGCUCGGUGCUGCUACCCUAGCACUGGCCUACGGCGGUACUCUUACACUCACGCUAGCCUAAGCCGGCGCUCUUGCUUAACCAUCUCGGGCACCGAUCCUUGUCGGCGCUCUAUCUCGAGUCACAAAGGCUACUGUCCUCUUAUUAGAAGUUCUCAGCUCCUGAUCACUCAUGCUACAGGAUCUUUAUAGAAACUUGUUUUCUAAUUCCAAUACCAUAUUGGAAUUUGAGUGACCCACACAAAUAAGUUACCAAUCAGCUAUCAAAGACAUGCACCAGCAUGAAAUAAAUGUCCUUCCUACUAACUAUCCCAUGACUCAUCGCACCUUAUCACUCCAAACACAAACCUACUCUGAUACUACAAAAUGGGGAUGUCAUGCCCCAAUCCUCGGGCACGCACCCAUCCCUCAUUGGUCAAUAUAAUUGCAAUGUCCUAGGACGCAUUAUCGACCCAUUCAUUUUAAUACUCAUGUGGAAGCAUAUAAUUAAUCCCUAGACAAUAAAACAAUGGGAUAGAAAAAUAGGACCAAUUUUUCAUAAGAUACCUUUUUAUAAACAUACAGGUCUAUACACAAAGGUUUACAAACGGAAUUGGCUCCCUACAAAAGAGAGUUGUCCUACGACUAACUAGUCGGACAUGGUCACCGAUUCUUUAGGCUUCACCUCAUGAACUCCGAGGCUCCCGGUCCAUUACCAACACCAUCUAUGGACCUGAAAAUGGUAAUAUAAUAAGCAGUGAGACAAUGUCUCAGUGAGUUAAACCCCUUAAGACUCGAUUAGGAAGCCAAUACGCCCUAAGGGCUGCCUAAGCACAAUCAUGAGUUAGAGGACUUACCUUGGCCUCAAUCUCCUCCCUACAAGUCAGCACAAUUCAUAAACAUAUCGAGUUACAUCAACACAUCAAUCAUUCACUCAGAUCGACUUAUCGAUCAAUCGACCUAGUCGAUUACAUGUUAAUUAAACCAUUCCCCGGUCAUUUUAAUCAACCAUGCAUUCUCCAAAAUGAUAUAUCUAAUCACCGAGCCCACAUGCCUUCUCCAAGAUGAUAUAUCUAGUCACCGAGCCCACGUGCCUUUUCCAAGAUGAUAUACCUAGUUACCGAGCCCACAUGCCUUUUCCAAGAUGAUAUACCUAGUCACCGAGCCCAUGUGCCUUCUCCAAGAUGACAUAUCUAAUCACCAAGCCCAUGUGCACUCUCCAAGAUGACAUAUCUAAUCACCGAGCCCACGUGCAUUCUUCAAGGUGAUAUACCAACUCAACGAGCCAACAAAUCAUAACGUCUUUCUCCGAGAUGACAUACUUAAUUAUCGAGCCGACGUAACAUAGCGUCUUUCUCUGAGAUGGCACACUUAGUCAUCGAGCUGACUCAUUAUAGUAUUCUUGCUCACCUUUUAUAAUAGCCAAUAAAACAGCUGUGUUUGGGUACACGGUUAGCCUUAGCAAAAAAUAUAAUAAUUUCACUUUUUAAACUGUCCACUGGUUUCAGCAGUCUAGAAAUAUAAUUUUAGCACUAUAGACCCACACCCUGUAAAUAUUCAAUUAAUUAUUAAAAUUAAUUAAUUUAAAGAUAAAUUCCUAAUUUCACAAUUAAAUCGAGAUCAACAUGAUAUAAAGCUCAAUUAAAUAAAUAGAUCAAACCGCUACAAUCGGCGUAAUUUCCCGGUCUCCGGCCAUCUCGGUUUAAUUUUCAAAAAUUAAUUAAUUAAUUAAUUAAUAAAGGAAAAUAUUAAUAAAUGCAAUAAAUCCAACUUAGGCCUGUUAUAGCCUAAUUGGAAGCCAAAACGGACCCAAAAAUUUUUGAGGUUCAUUUAAUAAUUACUAGAACCUAUUUACUCGCUAAUUACACUAAUGAUUUGCCUAACAUGCAUCGGUAAAGCACUAAAUCAAUUACCCUGCUCUAAUCUAUCUACCUAAUUGCAUUUAAUUAAAUCUAAUUAACCCCUAAGUAUCAUUAACCUACUAAGCGAGGUUUAGUGAAUUAAACUCACUUGUUCGGCAAGCUGGUAGGUUCAAAUCGAUGGGGACGCAAUGGGGCUCGAUUCUUCCCAAGGCGAGCCUAGCUUUUGGGGUCGGAAAGCGGGCCAAAAUGGGCCUACAAGCCGUUGGAAUACCCACUGCUUUGCUCUAUGUUUUGGGCUACCAAAGAAGAAAAUAAAAGCUAGUUCGGGUUCUACUUCUGCUUGCUGGACAAAGGAGAACCAACUCCCGAAUGACAAGGAAACGGGUUGAUCGAAGCUAUGGCAAGUGGGUGGUUGGCAAUUGGCGGCACCUAGGGGUCAAGGGAGACCUCCUGGUGGUUGGCAUGGGUGGAGGUAGGGUUGAACUGGAAGAAAAAAGGAAGAAAAUGCUGAAAUGGCAAAACUGAGCAAACCAGGCGGCGGACCGAUGGACCGACGACUGGCGGCUUGUGCCAACAGUACGAGACGGCCAGAGGCUUCGUUCUGGGCAAGGUCGGGCUCUUUGGAACAGUCUAGAUGUGCUUGUCACGGUGAUGGGAGGCUCAUUGGCUAAAUCAUCCGGGAAGACUACUUUCAACUCAAAUCCUUGGCGAUAGGUUAGCUGGAGCAAAAAUUGGCAGAAGGAGAAAAUAUAGGGGAAACGGCGGGCUUGGCUAGUCCGGUGGGCGUGCGACGGUGAAGCUGGCUCAGUAGGCGUCCUUUGGUUCUCUUCAGGUUUCUCAAGGCAUCAACAAUGGAGAAAGGAGGGGGGAAAGAGGAAGAAGAAGCAGCUGGUCAAGGAUGGGGUGUCGCAUUUGCCUCCAAAGUCUAUCUUCUUGCCCCUCUGACCCUUGUCCACCACUAGCUAGUCCCUUGGCCACCAAUUAGCCACCAAGUCUCACUUCUAGAAGCCUGAGAUGGUUCAAAUGUCAUGGGUGGUGGGGGCACACGAAUUUGGCUCGGUUUCUCUCAAAUUGAACGUUCGAUCCUUCUUGAGUCAACACAAACCAGCAUCUAUAAAUUCAACUAACACCUCAUCGAUCCAAUUGGUGUUUUUCCUCACCGAUUAAUCCCACUUGCAUCCUAAUUUCGCAAUAAAAAAUGGUCACCGACACUUUCUGAACAAAAACGGCCCUACCUCGACUUUUUCUCAAAAAGUCUCUGUUUAUAGAAAAGUCUACUAAGAUUGAGUCAAUGUUUCUAAAAUGACUCGUGACAUGACAAAAUUUUAAAUUUCUGAAAUCGGAUUUAAAUUCGUGGUUAAUUUCAAUUCAGCGCAAUUUUAGCGUAACUUAGGCUAUUGGGUAGCUUUCAAUAUUUUUUAAUGCAAAUGACCCGUUCAAGCCACAAUGAACCCACUUGACACAUUGACGACUUUCGAUUGUCGUGAAAAUCUUGAUGAUUCAAAUACGGACAUAGGAUAUCAAAACGAUAGAAAAAUCAGUCUAGUGUCAAUCGACGAGAAGUUUGCAAUUUAGUGGAAUCACCCAUGUUUAACCAAGUAUCUCAGUCGAACUGACCUAUUUUUGAUCUCUAAUUAAUUUUUAACUGUACCGUAAUGAUCUUGGCAGAUAAGCACAGUCUAGCAACCGAUUCCUAGUCAAAUUCUCAAGUCUAUUUGCCUUAAAAUCUCUUAAUGAAUUCUCCAAAUGGUCUAAUUAUCUCGUGAGUGGCCAAUUCCAAGAAAAGCACUAUUCGUCUCCGGACAAUAGUUNNNNNNNNNNNNNNNNNNNNNNNNNNNNNNNNNNNNNNNNNNNNNNNNNNNNNNNNNNNNNNNNNNNNNNNNNNNNNNNNNNNNNNNNNNNNNNNNNNNNUCUAUCCCACGAGUCAGGAUGUCAUACUGCCUAUAUUUGAAUCCUCUAGAUUUUUACGACAACCGAUAGUCGCCAAUGAGUCGAGUGGGUUUUGAAAAUGUCAGGGAUCGUUUUGAUUACCAAUUUGGGAAGCAUGAUCGAUAUAUGGGUGAGGAAAAAAAAUCGAGGGGAGCCUUGAGGUGCCAAUUGAAUUUAUUGAAGCUAAUUAGGAUUGAAUUAAACUGGAACAAGUGUUCAAUUGGAAGGGAAUCCAAACCAAUUUCGUAGCCCCCCAUCCACCACCACUUUUGGACCUCCUCAAACUUCUAGAACAGGGUAAUUUGGCCUAGAAUUGUUGGAUGGACACCAGCUGGUGAUGAGAGGCCAGAUGGAUGAGGUGAGAUCGGUCAAGGGGACCAAAACCGGUUCCACUUGCUGAACCGGUCCCCUCCCUCCUUCAAGCGGUCGACCAACUCCUUUUCCUAUCUCUAUUACUACUACUUGAAGUCUAGACAUCCAGAGGAGAAACCGAAGCAAGCUCGUCGCUAUCAAGACUGCUCGUAUCGUCGCCGUUACAUAACGUCUGCCCGCGAGACGUCGUGCCUUACCGCGCCUCUUGCCAUCCAGCAGCUCCUGCCCGUGCGUCCAGCAAGCUGCUAUGGUCGUCCAAGCCCCCGCCAAAGUCCACCAAAGCUCUUACGGCCGUCAAUUGCCUCGCCAAAAUGUCCACUAGUCCAUCGUCGCCAAGACCUCGCCGAACCAGCUUCAUCCCCUUGGUUUUGUAGCUCAAAACAACAAGCAGGAAAGUGGGUUUCUAGCAAGCUUCUCAGCCCGUUUUGAGGUGGUCUCAAGCCUCGAAAGUUAGGCCCGUCUUUGGAAAAGUUGAGCCUCGCAGCGUCCUCGACGAUUAGAUCCGAUUAAAUCUCGAAACAAGUGAGUUUAACUCACUAAUCCUCACUUAGUAGACUAAUGAUGCUUACGGUUUGAUUAGAUUUAAAUAAGUGCAAUUAGGUAGAUAGAUUAGAUUAGAAUAAUUAAAUUAGGGAUUUACCUAUGCACAUUAGGCAAAUGGUUAGUGUAAAUAGGGAGUAGAUAGGCUUGAGUAUUUAUUGAACGAACCUCGGAAAUUUUCCGGGUCCGUUUCGGCUUCCAAUUAGGCAUUACGUGCUUAAGUUGAAUCUUUAGUAUUUAUUUACUAAUUUUCAAAAUUAAUUAAUUAAUUAUUUAUUUUUCGAAAAUUAGGUUGUGAUAGCCAAUGACCAGAAUUUUAUGCUGAUUGUAGUGGUGCUCUUUGUUUAUUUAUUCGAGCUUUAAUUUGUGCUGAAAUGAAUUAAUGAUGAUUUUGGAUUAUUUUCCUAAAUUAAUUAAUUUUGGUAAUUAAUUGAAAAAUAACCGGGCGUCAGUUGACAGGGCCAAAUUUUUUUUUGGUGGACUACAGAAAAUGGUGGGAUCUGUGGAAAGUGAAAUUAUUGUAUUUUGGCUAAGGCCAACAGUGUACUCACACACGACUAUUUUUAUCGGUUAUGAUAAAAUGACAAAUUGAUUGUAUGAUUGGAAUGACAUAUUAUACUGGCUCGAUGACUCUAUAUGUCAUCUUGGAGAAAGAAUGGUAUAUUGAUAAAAAUGGUAAAUUGAUGUACCAUCUGAAUGUUAUAUAAUAUUGGCUUGGUGACUCUACUUGUCAUUUUGGAGAAAUGACGAUAUGUAAUGUCGGCUCGGUGACUCAACAUGUCAUCUUAGAGAAUGGACGACAUUUAUAUAAUACCGACUCAGUGACUCUACAUGUCAUUUUGGAGAAGGGACGCUAUGCAAUGUCGGUUCGGUGAUUAUAUAGGUCAUUUUGGAGAAAGAAUGGCAUGCCAUAACGGCUCGGUGACUCAACAUGUCAUUUUGGAGAAUGGACGUUAUGAUGAAUAUACUCGGUGACUUAGUAUGUCAUUUCGGAGAAUGAAUCGUAUAAUAUACUGGCUCGGUAACUCGAUAGGUUAUCUUGGAGAAUGGAUAAUAUUGAUUGAAAUGACCGGGAAAUGGUCUAAUUGACAUGUAAUCAACUAGGUCGAUUGAUCGAUAGUUCAAUUUGAUUGGGUGAAUUGAUGUGGUUUGUGUAUAUUUGCAAUAUACUGACUUGCAAGAAGGAAACAGAGGCUAAGGUAAGUCCUCUGACUCGUGUUAUGCUUAGGUAGCCUUUAAAGUGUAUUGGUUUCCUAAUCGGGUCUUAGGAGGGUAGAACUCGCUGAGAUAUUGUCUCACUGGUUAUUAUAUAACCAUUUUCAGGCCCUUAGUUGAUAGCGGUAGAGGACUCGAGGCUCGAAGUUUUGAAGGUGAAGCCCAAAGAUUUGCAAUCUUAUCAAACUAGUUAGUCAUAGGACAAUUCUAUUGUGUUGAAAGCCGAUCCCUUUUUAUAGGCUUAUGUGUAUAAACCUGUUUGUUUAUAAAAAUGCUAUUUUGGUCGGAAAAGUUUGUAGCCCUACUUUCCUAUUCUAUUAUUUUAUUGUCUGGGGAUUUUUUAUAUGCUUCUGCAUGCGUAAAACGAAAGGGUCGGCGAUGCAUCCUGGGACGUCACUAUUAUAUCGACCAGGUAAAGGAUAGGUGUGUGCCUAAGGAUCGAGGCCUAACAUCUCCCUUUUGUGGUAUCGGAGCGAAGUUCAAGAUUGGAGUGAUAAUGUGCGAUGGUUCAUGGGAUAGUAGUAGAAAGGCCUUUAAAUUUAUGCUGGUGCAUGUUUGUGGUAGUCGAGUGAUAGACUUGCUUGUGUUUUAGAUCGCUCUGUUUCUAAUUCGGUGUGGAAUUAGAAGCAGGUUUCAGCAAAUAAAGCUAAGCUAUGAGCAAUCAGGGGUAAAAAACUCCUACCAAAAGGACCGUUCGCUCAGGCUAGCACGAGUAGAACAGCACCACUUGUAGUGGGUGUCGGGUAGCAGCCCCUGGUGAUCCCAGAAUAGAAGGGAUCAUGCAGGCGCUAGAGACCUUGAGAGACGUGGUGGCAGAACAGGCUCAGAAUUAAGCUGCUGCUACUACUGCACCUACUGCUGCACCUACCAAGGUUCAACCUGAGAACGUCAUGGCCUAGAGAGAGAGGCUGAUUCAUAAGCUUGUGGAGCAAUUUCUGAAGCUGAGUUCGCCAAGAUUCACGGGCACUAGAGACCCUGAGACCGCUUCGCUUUAGAUAUAGGAUUUGGAGAAGACCUUUGCCCUCUUGAUGUGUAUUGAAACUAAGAAGGUAACCCCGGCCGUCUAUUAGUUAGAGGGCAAUGUUAACAUUUGGUGGAGAGUGUUAGGGAAAUCCCUUAUGAUGUUUUGAAGAUGACAAAAUAAAUCAAAGGCUACUAACAUGUUUAAUGGUUGAGUAAUAGACCAUGCAGAUAAUAGAACAUGUAAAGGAUAUUAUCAAAGUCUGAAGACUGCCAGACUCAAGACUCAAAGUCUGAAGACUGUCAGACUCAAGACUCAAAGUCUGAAGACUGCUAGACUCAAGACUCAAAAAGACAGACUCUAUGCUGAAGCUGAACUGGGUACAGACCUUAAAGUCUAAAGACCCAGGUUGUAAAGUCUCAAGACUCAUAUCGUAAAGUCUCAAGACUCAGACUUUACAUCCAGAUUACGAUGAAUCGUAACUCAAGCCCAAUCAUACAACGGCUAGUGAUCUGGUUUGGAUACCACAUCAAGAUUGAUUUGAUUGAUUCAAUCUAAUUGAUUGACAAUUGGAUGUUGAAGACAAGAACUUUCUAUGCGAAGAAGCUUUACUUAUGGAAACCAAGAUUUCGUUUGUAUGGGCGAUCGGAAUCAAUUUGGGAUUUUACCUUUGUCACUCAACGGCUACCAAAUCUUCUAAGAUACAGAGCUGUCCAAUGGGUAUAUUGGAAGACGAUUCUCCGGGAUACUGUCCAACGGUAGUUUGGAAGUGGAGGAGUAUUUAAGGAGAUCAUGGACCGAUGAGCAAGUAAGAGACGGAGCGUAGAAUUUAUAAUUCCAAAGUCUAAGCGACUUUAGAUCAUAUACUUGUCUCUUGAGAGCUUAAACGUUUGUAAUCGUGAGAGAAAUACCAAGAGAGUGACUUAGUGAGAUAGUGUGAUCUACUACUAAGUGUUUGCACUCGGAGUUGUAAUCUCUUGUUGAUUGCAUAGUGGAAUCCAGCCAAGAAGGCUGUUAUCGUGGGAGAGUGGACGUAGGCUUGGAUUAAGCCGAACCACUAUAAUUUCUGUGUUCUUAUUCUCUUCCCUAACUCCUUUAUUUUGUUCAUACUAGCACUCUCAGAGAGCCGCCAAGGAUACAAUCUUUCCUGAAGGUGUGAUCCUAGUGUGGAACACCUUCCUUAGAGCCUUUAACGAUCAAUAUUUUUUAAAUAUGGCCCGAGAACAAAAGAUGGAGGAGUUCCAAUGCCUUCGUCAAGGAUCAAUGUCGGUUGACCAGUAUGGGGUCAAGUUUACGAAGCUCUCGCAAUAUGCUCCAAGGUUAGUCGAAGACCCAGAAGAGAAAGCCCAAAGAUUUCGAAAUGGUCUUCGUACUGAGCUGAAACAACCCCUACUACCGUUGGAUUUGACUAAGUACCAAGACGUCUAUCAUUGAGCUCAGAUGAUAGAACGGGGUUUGAAUGAACAAGCUGCCUCAUCUGGAUCGAGGUUUAACUCUCAUCGUGAAGGAAUCUACUAGGGAAAGAGGCCUAUGCCUAGAAAUAGAUUCCAAGUUCCACCUAAUAGGAAGGGUGGAAUUGUAAAGUCAGUAUCGAACUUGAAUGGUCUGUGUCAUCUAUGUGGAAGACAACAUGGUGUGAAUCAUUGCUAUCGAAGGAGGGCACUUAUUAUGAAUGUGGUCAGUAAGGCCACCUAUCUAGAGAUUGUCCUAGGAGGCCAAGAGGACAACCACAACUGUCGCCACCACCACUUAUGGGCCAGAUCAUGGGAUAUGUCCCUCAGAAUGUACCACAGGGAGGACAGCUGAGACCUUCAGUUCAGGGCACGGUGUACGCUAUCACACAGGGUCAGGUAGAAGCUGUGCCUGACGUGAUCACAUGUAUGGUUUCACUAAAUGAUCAUCCUGCUUAUGCUUUGUUUGAUCCAGGAGCAACUCAUUCCUUCAUUGCCGAGCAAUAUGUUAAGUUGAUAAAAGUCAGUCCUAUAUUAUUAGAGUCGGCAAUUUGCAUAUCUACACCGUUAAAGGAUAAAAUUAUUGCUGCUUUGGGUUGUUCUGGGUGCAAGUUAAAGAUUGGUGAGCGAGAGAGGAAAAUUGAUCUGUUAGUCCUAGCCAUGUGUGAUUUUGAUUUAAUUAUUGGCAUGGACUGGCUCACCAAGCAACGAGCUAAAAUGGAUUGCUAUCGCAAGGCAAUUCAGUUUGACUUGAUAGAGGGUGAAAGCUUCGAGUAUGUCGGAAGUCGAGAAGGACCCUCGAUUGUCCUGAUCUCAUCGCCAGAGGCAACUCAUCUGUUAGACGAGGGUUGCCAAGGUUACCUAGCAACUGUCAUGAAUACGACAGUUGAGAAACUGAAAAUGGAAGACAUUUCAGUCGUGCAAGAAUUUCCAGAUGUCUUUCCAAAGGAAUUGCUAAGACUACCACUAGAGAGAGAAAUCGAAUUCGUAAUUGAGCUAGCAUCGGGAACAAAGCCAAUCUUUAAAGCUCAUUAUCGGAUGACUUUAUUUGAGUUAAAAGAACUAAAGGUGCAGAUGUAGGAGUUAUUGGAUAAGGGAUUUAUUCGUCUCAGUGCAUCACCUUGGGGAGCACUAGUUCUGUUUGUACAGAAGAAAGAUGGUUUGUUGUGCCCGUGCAUUGACUAUCGGCAACUCAAGAAUAAGUAUCCACUCCUAAGAAUCGAUCAGUUGUUCAACCAAUUACAAGGAGCAUCGAUAUUCUUGAAGAUUAACUUGAGAACAUGAUAUCAUCAUCUGAGAAUUAGGAAGGAGGACAUUCCUAAGUCAGCAUUUCGCACUCAGUAUGGUCACUAUGAGUUCACAAUGAUGCCAUUCAGUUUAACAAAUGCUCCAGCUGCUUUCAUGGAUUUGAUGAAUCGAGUAUUCAAGGAAUACCUGGAUCAGUUUGUGAUUGUGUUCAUCAAUGAUAUUCUGGUGUAUUCGAGAAGUGACGAAGAGCACAAAAAUCAUUUGAGAUUAGUACUGUAAAAGUUGAGGGUCCAUCAGUUGUAUGCUAAGUUUAGCAAGUGUCAGUUUUGGCUAACUCGUGUUGCUUUCUUAGGGCAUGUGAUUUUAGACGAAGGAAUUUCAGUGGACCUGAGCAAGAUUGAAGCCGCGAUCAACUGGCCAAGACCGACUACAGUAAUAGAAAUCAUAAGUUUUCUAGGUUUGGCAAGUUAUUACAGAGGGUUUAUGGAAGGGUUCUCAUUUCUAGCAUUGCCACUAACAAAACUCCUAAAGAAAGAAGAAAAUUUUGUGUGGACAGACAAAUGCGAGCAUAGUUUCCAAGAGCUGAAGUAAAAGCUAACUAUCGCACCUGUGUUGACCAUUCCAUCUGGUCCUGGAGGAUUUGAGCUCUACAGUAAUGCGUCAUUCAGAGGGUUGGGUUGUGUGCUGAUGCAACAUGGCAGAGUUGUUGCAUACGCUUCUCGUCAAUUGAAACCUCAUGAGCAAAACUACCCGAUGCAUGACUUAGAACUCGCGGCGAUCAUCUUUGCCUUGAAGAUUUGGAGACAUUGUUUGUGUGGGGAAAGGUUCUAGAUCUCCACGGACCAUCAAAGUCUCAAAUACCUGUUUUCUCAAAAGGAAUUGAACAUGAGACAACGCAGAUGGAUGGAAUUACUGAAAGACUAUGACUGUGAUAUUCUAUAUCACCCUGAGAAGGCGAACAAGGUCGCCGAUGCUUUAAGUCGAAAUUCUUCAAUAGCUCAUAUAUUGAUUAAGGAGUGGAACUUAAUCGAGAGAGCUCGAGAUUCGGUAUUCAAGUUUAAGGUAGGCCACCUUUCGAGUCUUAUGACCACCCUCAAAAUUAAACAGGAUGUCCAGGUCAGAAUCAAGCUACUUCAAUCGACAAAUCUAGAUGUACAGAAAAUUCUACAAGAGGACACUGAGGAAAGAAAUGCUAACUUUCAGAUUCCUGAUGAUGGAACACUAAGGUUCCAAUGACGUUUGAUUGUACUUGACGAUGUGGAGCUUAGAGAAGAUAUUUUAUUUGAAGCGUAUCGCAGUAGUUACAACAUUCAUCUAGGAAGCACUGAGAUGUAUUAGAAUCUGCGCCAAAACUAUUGGUGGUCAGGUAUGAAGACGGACGUCACCCAGCAUGUCGCCAAGUGCCUAACAUGUCAGCAGGUUAAAGCUCAGCAUUGCAAGUUGGGAGGACUUCUGCAACCUCUCGCGAUCUCAGAAUGGAAAUGGGAACAUAUCAUGAUGGAUUUCGUGGCCAGAUUACCGAGCAGUCAGAGAGGAAAUGAUUCAAUUUGGGUAGUAGUUGACAAACUAACAAAGUCGGCUCACUUCAUUGCAGUUCGAAAAGACUUGAGUUUGGACAGACACGCAGACCUAUACGUGUGUCAGGUAGUUCGAAUGCAUGGAGUGUCGGUUACAAUAACCUCAAUUAGAGACCCGAGGUUUACUGUCGCUUUUUUGAAGAGCCUUUAGAGUGCUCUAGGUACAAAACUUCAGUACAAUAUGGCGUAUCAUCCUCUGAUAGAUGGCCAGUCCAAGAGGACAAUUUAGACCUGCGAGGACAUGCUGAGAGCUUGUGUAAUAGACUUCAAAGGAAGUUGGGAAAAUCAGCUUCAUCUGGUGGAAUUUGCCUACAACAAUAAUUAUCAACAGAGCAUCAAGAUGGCUCCUUUUGAAACGUUGUAUGGCAGAGCGUGCAGAACACCAGUAUGUUGGGAUGAAGUUGGGGAAAGGAAGAUUAUAGGCCCAGAGUUAGUCUAGCAGUCAAUGGAUGCCAUGGCAGUAAUCAGAGGCAGAUUAAAGACUGCACAGAGCAAACAUAAAAGUUAUGUAGAUAAGCAUUGAAGGCUUUUGGAAUUCCAAGUAGAUGAUCACGUUUUUCUAAACGUGUCACCAAUGAGAUGAACUUUGCACUUCGAAAAGAAUAAAAAGACCGAGUCCGAGGUACGUAGGUCCAUUUGAGAUUCUUGAGAGAAUCGGGACUUUAGUGUAUCGUCUUGCGUUGCCACCGAGAUUGGCGCAAGUGUACGAUGUCUUUCACGUGUCGAUGUUAAGGAAAUAUGAGCCUGACCCGACCCACAUACUCAAUUUUGAAGAAUUGUACGUGGAUGACUAAGUGUCAUACGUUGAAAGCCCAGUUUAGAUUGUCGACAGAAAGGAACAAGUUUUGCGUACAAAGACCAUCCCGUUGGUCAAAGUAGUCUGGUAACACCACGGUGCUGAAGGAGCAACAUGGGAGACUGAAGAGUCGAUGAGACAGUUGUACCUCCACCUUUUUGGUAUCUCCACCUUUUUGAUUAAGUUUUGUAAAGGUUUAAAUUUCGAGGACGAAAUUUUUAUAAAAAGGGAAGAGUUGUGACAUCCCAGAUUUUCAGUCCUAUUAUCUACUGAAUAAAUUGGACAUUUCAUUAACGCGUUUAUAGGGCUGUUCUCAAAGCUUAUUACUCUCAAGAUAACUAGACUAUAUGGGGAAACCAUUAAGGAACCUUAAUGCAAUAGACUUGAGAAUUCGAUCAGGAAUCAGCUUCUCAACCGUGCUCAUCUUCAGAGGCCAUUACGGCAUAGUUAAAAAUUGAUUUGGAAUUAGAGAUAGGUUGGUUAGACUGAGAUGUGUGGCUAAUCGUGGGUGAUACUAUUAAAUUGAAAAAUUCUCGUUGACUGGCACUAGAUUGAUUUUCUUAUUGUUUUGGUACCAUGUGCCUGUAUUUGAAUCAUCGAGAUUUUCACAACAACUGAGAGUCGCCAAUGAGUCGAAUGGGUUCAUUGUGGCUCGAAGAAAAUCGACCACGAUUCAUUUGCACUAAAAAUUUCUGAAAGUUACUUGGUAGCUUAGGUCACGCUAAAAAUGUGCCGAAUGGAAAUUAAAAUCGAAUUUAAGUUUAAUUUCAGAAAUUGAAGAUUUUUUCAUGUCACAAUAAGUUCUAGGAGUAUCGACUCAGUCUCAAAAGAUAUUUCUACAACCCGAGACUUUUUGGGAAAAAGUCGUCAUAGGACCGUUUUUGUUCAAAAAAUGUCAGGGAUCGUUUUUUAUUGCAAAUUUGGGAAGCAUGAUGGAUAUAUGGGUGAGGAAAAAAUAUCAAGGGGAGCAUUGAGGUGCCAAUUGAAUUUAUUGAAGCCAAUUGGGAUUGGAUUAAACUAGAACAAGUGUUCAAUUGGAAGGGAAUCCAAACCAAUUUCGUAGCCCCCCAUCCACCACCACUUUUGGACCUCCUCAAACUUCUAAAAGAGGGUAAUUUGGCCUAGAAUUGUUGGGUGCACACCAGCUGGUGAUGAGAGGCCAAAUGGAUGAGGUGAGACCAGUCAAGGGGACCAAAACCGGUCCCACUUGCUGAACCGGUCCCCUCCCUCCUUCAAGCGCUCGAGCAACUCCUUUUCCCAUCUCCAUUGAUACUACUUGAAGUCCAGAUGUCCAAAGGAGAAGCCAGAGCAAGCCCAUCGCUACCAAGACCGCCUGCAUCGUCGCCAUCGCACAUCAUCCUCCCGCGAGAGCCGCUCGCACGCCGUCGUGCCUUGCUGCGCCUCUCGCCGUUUAGCAGCUCCUACCUGUGCAUCGAGCAAGCUACUGUGGUCAUCCAAGCCCUCGCCGAAGUCCACCGGAGCUCCUACGGCCGCUGAUUACCUCGCCAAACAGUCCACCGGUCCACCGUCGCCAACACCACUCUGAACCAACUUCAUCUUCUUGGUUUUGCAGCUCAAAACAACAAGCAGGAAAAUGGGUUUCCAGCAAGCUUCUCAGCCCGUUUUGAGGUGGUCCUGGGCCUCAAAAGUUAGGCCCGUCUUUGGAAAAGUUGAGCCCUGUCGCGUCCCCGACGAUUUGAUUCAAUCAAAUCUCGAAACAAGUGAGUUUAACUCACUAAUCCUCACUUAGUAGACUAAUGAUGCUUAGGAGUUGAUUAUAUUUAAUUAAGUGCAAUUAGGUGGAUAGAUUAGAUUAAAAUAAUUAAAGCUUUAAUUUAUUCAAGCUUUAAUUUGUGCUGAAAUGAAUUAAUGGUGAUUUUGGAUUAUUUUCCUAAAUUAAUUAAUUCUGGUAAUUAAUUGGAAAAUAACCAGGCAUCGGUUGACAGUGCCAAAAAUGUUUUGAUGGACUAUAGAAAAUGUUGGGAUCUGUGAAAAGUGAAAUUAUUGUAUUUUGGCUAAGGCCAAUCGUGUACUCACACACGGCUAUUUUUAUCGGGUAUGAUAAAAAUGACAAAUUGAUUAUACAUUCGGAAUGGCAUAUUAUACUGGCUUAAUGACUCUAUAUGUCAUCUUGGAGAAAGAACGGUCUAUUGAAAAAUGGUAAAUUGAUGUACAAUUUGAAUGUUAUAUAAUACCGGCUCGGUGACUCUACAUGUCAUUUUAGAAAAAGGACGGUAUGCAAUGUCGGCUCGGUGACUCAACAUGUCAUCUUGGAUAAUGGACGACAUUUAUAUAAUACCGGCUCAGUGACUCUACAUGUCAUUUUGGAGAAAGGACGGUAUGCAAUGCCGGCUCAGUAUUCUAUAGGUCAUUUUGGAGAAAGAACGACAUGCCAUAACGGCUUGGUGACUCAACAUGUCAUUUUGGAGAAUGGAAAUUAUGAUGAAUAUACUCGAUGACUUAGUAUGUCAUUUCGGAGAAUGAAUCGUAUAAUAUACUGGCUUGGUAACUUAAUAGGUUAUCUUGGAGAAUGGACAAUAUUGAUUGAAAUGACUGGGAAAUGGUCGAAUUGACAUGUAAUCGACUAGGUCGAUUGAUCGAUAGUUCGAUUUGAUUGGGUGAAUUGAUGUGGUUUGUGUAUAUUUGCAAUAUACUGACUUGUAGGAAGGAAACAAAGGCCAAGGUAAGUCCUCUGACUCGUAUUGUGCUUAGGCAGCCUUUAAAGUGCAUUGGUUUCCCAAUCGGGUCUUAGAAUGGUAGAACUCGCUGAGACAUUAUCUUACUGAUUAUUGUAUAACCAUUUUCUAGCCCCUAGUUGACAGCAGUGGAGGACUCGAGGCCCGAAGUUUUGAAGGUGAAGCUUGGAGAUCGGUGAUCUAGUCAGACUAGUUAGUCAUAGGAUGAUUCUAUUGUGUUGAAAGCCGAUCUCUUUUUAUAGGCUUUUGUGUAUAAACCUAUUUGUUUAUAAAAGGCUAUUUUGGUUGGAAAAGUUUUAAGCCUUACUUUCCUAUCCUAUUGUUUUAUUGUCUAGGGAUUUUCUAUAUGCUUCCACAUGCAUAUUAAAACGAAAGGGCCGGCGAUGCGUUCUGGGACGUCGCUAUUAUAUCGACCAGGUAAGGGAAUGGUGCGUGCCCGAGGAUCAGUGCAUAACACGUCAUCAUGGAUCGACACACGCAAGGACUAUAGAUGCAACAUUUGAAUUCACAAAAAUAAUGCGAUGUUUACUUACUCACUAUGCUUAAAUUUUAAAAUCACUCUCUUGUAAUUUGGUAUAAUUAUGAAUAUGACCAUCGUCUCUUUUCCAUAAUUGAACCACUUAAUGAAUGAACAUACUGAUCUCAACGAAAAAGGCAAUACGAUAAUUUCUCAACCAAUUGUCUAUUGAUGUGGGUCUCGAUUAGAAAUUCACUUCCUUCAUCAUUCUUGACACAUGCAAAGACUAUAGGUGUAAUAUUCGGAUGCACAAAAAUAAACUAAUACGUACUUAUUCCCUGUCAAUUGAAAUAUUAUUCUUGUGGAUCAGUCAAUCACUUGCCUAUAAAAUAAUCUCAUCUUUUUUCUCAGAAUAAAUCGAACUGACCUAUUACAAUAUCCAAUUGAAACGUGCCACAUCACUCACUAAGUAAAUUUUUAUACGAUCCCUCAGUAGAGCUAACAUUUAAGAAAAGGAUGAGGAUGAAGAAAGAAACCAAGAAAGAACUCGGAAAGUGAGCUUUCGGGAAUCAUGGUGUCUGCACCUACCCUUUGGUAUCCAAAACCUAAGUAGCAAAACUCGAAACUUGUUGGUGGCGAGAGUUUAUAAUAAGAGAUGGUGAAUCCCUCGACCAUCAUGUUGUGGAGGUCCUUAUAUGGUGAGCUCACACGAUUAUACCGAUCCUUUUUCCACCCUAGGAUAUAAUGCGGUAUUAAAGCCUCUAUGGUUAUGGUGUAAGUAUCCUUGAUGUCCCCUACUCGGAGAUCAAACCCAUGUACAGCGUAUGAGUACACCUUCAUUUGGGAAAAAAAUAGGGAGCAUAUCGGAAGGAUAUGCUCUCUCAAUACAGUGUUCAGUUUUGACUUACGAAGUAGAAGCAAGGGCUGUGAGCACUUCAUGAAGACCGUCUGAUAUGCUCCCUCAAUACAUGGUUCAGUAUUGACUUACGAAGUAGAAGCAAGGGGCUAUGAGCACUUCGUGAAGACCACCGGUACAGCUAACGAACCGUAUGGAUCAUUAUCGCUAAAGUUGGAGAGCACCAAUGAGUAAUGAGGGAGGGAUGAGCAAUUACUUUUUUGUAGUCCAUCGUCCACCACCGUGAUUUCGCUAUCGAACAAACAUUGCGAAGAUUGUAACGGCGGUGAAUUGAUUUCACAUUAUAUUGGUUGGCAUAUAGAUAUAGAACAAUGUGAUUAUAUUCAUAAGCUAGCUUAUGUUCAUAGCGGUCGCAUCCUUUGGGUUGCCUUUCAAUCGAAAGUGAUAGCGUAUGUCACGAACGUUGCGCAGAUGAAGUGGCAGACAAGUGAUUCUUCUACAUACCGCAACUCGUCCCAAGUAGCAGUGGAACAUACAAUAUGAAAAGCAAAACACUGAACAUGCUUAUGGAGCUCAGAGACUUAAUCGUCUCUCUAUUGUUUGAUCCAAUGCAAUGAAAGUUUUCGCUAAUUGGUAAUGCGAUGGAGGCCUAGUAAUAUGAAUGAAAAGAGCCUAGAGUCCUCAGUCAUUCAAAGUCUAAGUCAACCAAUAAAGCAAAGUCUAGUGAAGAAAAAGUGGAAAUCGCGUGGAAAUUGCAGUCCUUGCGGUCAAGGUGUCAAAAUACGGUGGUGGAAUUAUUUAUGCAUAGCUUUCACAUUCAUUAAAAAAAAAACUUCUCUACAGUUUCCAAAUUGAAUCAAAAUCCUUUCAAGUGAGGCAAUGACGUUCUAUUUUCUUUUCAAGACUAAUAUUCCAUAAGGGUCUCUUGGUUAAAUUGUGAAGACAAAAAGGAAAAAGAUGUCAUAUUUCAUCAUCUAAGUUUUUUAAUUUUGACAAAAAAAUAGAAAUUUGUAACAAAAAUAGACUAUGACCAAGAAUAUAACUUGUAUAAUGUCACUUUUGGCAAAAGUAAAAGAAAAAUAAGAAAUAAGUGCUUCUUGGAUGGUGAAAACACGUUAUGAAAGAAAGAAAUACGAUAAUUCUAGUGGUGGACCGAUGUGCCCUGACUAGAAUCUCACUAACUUCGUCGUCACGCAAACAUUAUACAUGCAAAUUUCCAAGUCCACCAUCAACACAAAGUCUAGCGAAGAAAAAGUGGGUCUCAUGUGGAAAUUGCAGCCCUUGCGGUCUAGGUGACUAAAACACGGUGUUGGAAUUAUUUAUGGCGUGGCUUUCACGUUGAUUAGAAAAGAAACUUCUCUACAGUUUUCAGAUUUAACUUUUCUUGGCAAAUUGACUCUUUAGGAAUCAAUUUUAGUUCGAUAAAAAAGAAUCGAUUGGAAUGUUUCGUACUCUAAAUUGAAUCAAAAUCCCUUCAAGUGAGGCAUUGGCAUUCAAUUUUAUUUUCAAGGCCAAUAUUCCACGAGUGUUGGUUCGAUAAAUUGUGAAGACGAAAUGGAAAAAAAAAUGUCGUAUUUCACUAUAUAAGCUUUUUCAUUAUUGAAAAAAAAAAAGAAAAAAAAAAGAAAAUUGGUAACAAAGAUAGACAAUAAAAGGGAAUAUUAUCUUGUAUAACAAAAAUAAAAGGAAAAACAAGAGUUAGUGAUUCUUGGAUGGUGUAACAGAUUAUGAAAGAAAGAAAGCAAUUCGAUAAUUUCUAGUGAUGGGAUUGACGCACAUGGACUAGAACCUCAUUAACUUCGUCGUUGUGCAACGACUAUACAUGCAAUAUUCAAGUUCACAAAAAAAAAAAAAAAAGCGAUGUUAACUUAUUCACUAUCAACUUCAAUAUUACAAUCACUCUCCUGUAAUUGUGUUAGAUCUAUGAACAAUAUUGUCAUCUCUAUCGAAACUCCCUUGCUUGGUUUUAUUUAAAAUGGAACCGAAAUGAUAGCUGGGUGUCGUUUUCCCUAAUCCACAAGCAUGCCCAGUUUGAAUGAGCCAUCCUUUUGUCGAUUUUGAGCGUCAAUUGCUGUUCCUUUUUGAGUCUGGACACAAGCUAGAGUCUAGAAUGGAGGACCAUUCUCAUGUGGAAUUUCACGACCACUAAAGAGAUUAAGUUUGUUAAUUUUUUCCAUUAUCUACUUUUUUAGCAUAUUUUUUUAUGCUACUUUAUUUUGAUAAUAAUAAAACUUAAAAUUUAUACUUCUCUUUCUACGAUCUCUUAACAAAACGCAUUCCUUAUGAACAUUGGUGUCUCGAGGAAUGUUUGCUUAGUAGGAAAACUCAUGUGUAGCGGACAACAGUGAGGAAUAUGAUGCUUGUUCGGGAAGAAUGCAAGGCACCAUCUCAUGUCUUAUCAUCGAGUGAAUGCACAAGUUCUUACUACAUUUAGGGAUUGAGCUUUCGUAAUACAUAAUAUGCUCUAACGUAACAUCACAUGUUCAAUUUCCAUUCAUCAUAAAGGCAAAAUUGUCAGCCUGCUCUGUCUUUACUCUUUGACAUGUGCUAGUUAUUCAUCAGUUAGGAUUGGACCCAUCCCGUGACAUGAGGACCAAGUCAGAGAUAGCUUGAGCAGGUAGCUGUCUUCCUGUCUUCGAUGUGGGUGAUCAAACAGAGGUCGAAGGGUGGGGAUGAGAGGUUUUGAUGGAAAUAAGAGAGAUUCAUUGCUCAAAAUGCAAACAUUGACACGGAGAAAAAAUUACCUUGUUAUACCAAGACAAUUCACAUGAAACAAAAAUUGAAUGAAUGCCAUACAACAUUCAUCGUCAUUUAUAAAAUAUGGACAUAACAAGUCUACUAAAAAACACUACUGCCAUAUGAAAAACAUGUAAAAGCUUCACAGAUUACAUUUUGAAUGAUGAUACAUGUUGAUAGUACUAUUGAUAAUUUUUGCAUCUCAUUAUAGGGAAACAAUCACACAAUACCUGAUUUCAUAAACUCAUGGUCACGGUAAAAUUGGGAACUACUAGAAACUAUCGGAGUACUUGAUGAAGAUGAGACUGUUUCAAGUUCUAUCUCAGCAUCAACAUCAUCAAUGGGUGCCUCUCUCGGAUACAAAAGUGGUUUUGGAGGCAGUUGCAAUUUAUCCAUAUCUCCUUCAAGCAUAUUUAGGACUUUCCUCAUUGAUGGCCGAUCAUUAGGGCUCAAUUGUAUACACCAUAGUGCAACAAUUAUCAUCUUCCUCGUUGUUUCUCUUUCCUCUUCUAUGACAUCUACCCUUUCAAGUUCAUUUUCUUUGCUGAGUUGAUCAUAAACCCACAAAGGAAAGUAAAUUUGACUCGAACGCUCUGCAUGUGCAUUUAUAUUUCUCCUUCUACCAGCCAUUUCCAUUAAUAACAUCCCAAAACUAUAAACAUCAGCUUUGUAAGAAAUGCCACCAAUGUCUUUAUAGAAUAGCUCAUGAGCCAUAUAACCUAAGGUUCCUCUUGCUGUAGUCAGCAAUACUAUACUGCGAUCAGUGGGAUAAAGUGUUGCAAGUCCAAAGUCAGAAACUUUCGGAGUGAAACUUCGGUCUAGGAGAAUGUUGUGAGGCUUGAUGUCAAAAUGUAGAAUUUGCACAUCACAUCCCCGAUGUAGAUACUCUAUCCCUCUAGCUAUGCCAAGAGAGAUCUCAUACAUUUUCUUAUAAUCAAGAGGAUCAUCACCAUCCUUAUAAGAAAUGUGUUUAUCCAAAGAUCCAUUCGGCAUGAAAUCAUAGACAAGAGCUUGUUUGGAGUAUUCGAAGCAAAAACCAACAAGUUGCACCACAUUAACGUGGUGGAUCCUUCCAAUUGUGCGCACUUCACUUAUAAAAUCUUGGCCAUUACAUUUUGGUUUGUUCAAAAUCUUAACCGCAACUUCAUUGCCACUUCUAAGUAUUCCUCUAUAUACGGAACCAUAUCCCCCUUCACCUAACUUGCUUUUGAAAUUUUUUGUGAUCCUCCUGAUAUCCGAGUAAGAGUACCUUAUGGGCAACAAGUUAUUGUGAGCUUGUAGGAAUUGUUCGAUGUUUGCAUCAGUCGCUUGAUGCCUUCUCAUCCACUUCAAGAUUAGAAAUAUCAACACACAUGGAGCUCCGAGUAUAAAUUUUGCUGCUGAGAAGAAGACUGCAAAGAAAUUUGGCCAUUGAUUAGCAUAAUGUGAUAAUUGUUUUUACACAUACAAUUUUUGUUUUUCAGAGUACUGAAUGAGAGCUUCAUAGAUGUGAAGAGAAAAGGACUUAUCAUACCCAAGACAAAGAAGAGAUUCAUUACGGCAAUUCGACCAAAAUCGUUCAUGAUAUACCGCGUAGAAUCAUCUGUAGAUAGUAAGAGAAUUCGUGAGAGAUUACUAGAUAUGGUUAAUUAUAAUUAACGACCAAUCAAUAAAGAACUAGAUCCAUUUUUUUAGCAGUUAAAUAAUAAAACCAAUUCACGUUGAGAUAUACCCCAAGUGAAGGAUAACUUCAUACAGUCACUGCAAAAUGCAAAGACACACUUUUGUUAAUUGAAAUUUGCAAAUGGAGAAGUCUAGAAUAAAAAAAAAAGAGUGAACGAGUUUCACUUUUCUAGAUAACGCUUAGAUCCAACUUUAUUCUCUUCACUCAUGAAAUCCAUGUUAUCAUUGCAUGAUCUUUUCUUUUGAAGAAACACAUUUUCGCUUUUAUUCUCCUAAAUGUACCAAAUGUACAUAAGUUCCCCAUAACAAUAACAUCGAUCCAAGGGACACAAGCUACAAUCAAAUCAAACAAUUUCCCCAAAAAAAAAAGGCCUAAUUCCCUAAAAAAAAACCCUCAAGUUCUAGUCCAAUUUUGGCCCGAACCUUUUUUGUCUAAGAAAAAAAACCUCAAACUUUAGGUACAAUCCCAGAUUUGCCUUGAAUUUUGUUUUGUUUAAAAAAAUCACCAAAUUUUAAUAUAUUCCAAAAUUUACCCCCAUGGUCCAGUCCCAAUUUGGCAUGACAUUUCCACAUCGAUAACAACUCCACUUCUGUAAGGUGACAUGGAAAAUUAUUUCCAAAAUGAAACCGUUCUAAGAUAUGAAAAUUAGGGACGACUAACGGUAAUUUUUGGUCAAAAGGCUGAUGGGGUAAAUUUGCAAUUAGAGUAAAAUUUGGUGCUUUUUUUUUUAGACUAAAAAAAAGUCAGAUAUAGAUUUAGUUAUGGCCUAAAGUUUGAGGUUUUUUCAAGAUAAAGAAAAGUUCUAGGCAAAUUUGGAUUGGACUUAAAGUUUAGGGUUUUUUUUAGACAAAAAAAGUUCGGAGCAGAAUUGGGAGUAAACUUAAAUUUGUGGUUUUUUUUUAGUGAAUAAGGCCCAAAAAAUAAAAAUAAAGAAAGAGUUUCAAGUCCAAAAAAGCUUCACAUAUGUAAAAUAAAAGAGCAAUGCCCGCAAAAUCUACUAAAAAAUCUUACUGAACUAUUUCACUAAACGGAUGUGGCAAUUUUUUUAUUGGGUCUUAAAGAAAGUAAUGACUCAAUAAAUCGAACCAACGUAUUACAAUAUCCAAUAGAAACAUGCCACAUUACUCAGUAAGUAAAUUUUGAUAAGAUCCCUCAGUAGUAACAUUUGAGAAAAGGAUGAGGAUGAAGAAGAAGAAGAAAAAGAAAAAGAAAGAAAGUAAGAGAGUAAAGGAAGAAAAGCUUCAGAGAAAGUCAGCUUACAGGAGUAAUAUGGUUCGCACCACACCACUAGGUACAUAAUCACGCAAAGUUGGAAAAUUACCGGCGGAGACGGCAAAGACGGCGAGGACCGCGGAGAUGGCGAGGAUGGCGAGGACGGCGGGGACGGCAGGGAUGGUGGAGACGACGUAGAUGAGGUAGACGGCGAAGAUGGCGUAGAGGACGUAAACAGUGAAGAUGGUGAAGAUGGGGAAGAUAGUAGACUCUGUAGACGUCGAAGACGGCAUAGACGGCCAAGACAGCGAAGACAGCGAAGAUGGCCAAGACAGCCAAGACAGCCAAGACAGCCAAGAAGGAGGUUCUGUAUAAUUGAGAACGAAUCCUUCAGCCAUCAUGUUGUGGAGGUCCUCAUACAGUGGGCUCACACGAUUAUACUGAUCCAUUUUCGUCGUCGGGUUAUAACUCGAGAAGAAAGUCAUCAUGGUUAUGUUGCAAGAAUCCUCGAUGUCCCCAUAUGUUAGAAACCCAUACAUAGCAUAUGAGUACACCUUCAUUUGGGAAAUAUUAGGGGGCAUAUCAGAAGGGUAUGCUCCCUCAAUACAUGGUUCAGUAUCGAUAUACCAAGCAGAAGCAACGGGCUGUAAGCACCGCACGAAGACCACCGGCACAAAUAACAAACCAUAUAGAUAAAUAUCAAUAAAGUCGGAUCUCGCCAAUGAGUAUAGAUCAUUAUCAAUAAAGUCGGAUCUCGCCAAUGAGUAACGAGGGAGGGAUGAGCAAUUACUUCUUUGCAGUCCAUCGUCAACCACCGUGAUAUUACCAGAGAAACGAUAUCCUAGAUCAUUCUCAUAUUAAAUCGACUUCACAUAAUAUCGACCAGCAUACAAAUAUAGAACAGUGCGAUUAUAUUCACAGGCUAGCUCAUACUUAGAGAGGCCGCAAUCUUUCGGGUCGUCUUUCAAUCGAAAAGGAUAGUGUAUAUCACGAAUAUCGCCGCAAGAUGAAGGGGCGCACGAGUGAUUAUUCUUCACACCACAACUCGUCCCCGGUAGCAGCAGAACAUGCAAUAUGAAAAGCAAAACACGGAACAUGCUCAUGAAACUCAGAGACUUAAUCGUCUCUCUAUCGUUUGAUAUGAUGUAAUGAAAGUUUUUGCUAAUUGGUAAUGCGAUGGAGGCCUAGUUAUACGAAUGAAAAGUGUCGGGUCAUCGGUCAUACAAAUGUCCAAGUCAACCAAUAAAGGCAAGUCUAGUGAAGAAAAAGUGUGUAUCACAUGGAAAUUGCAACCCUUACGGUCUAGGUGACAAAAUACGGUGUUGGAAUUAUUUAUGCAGGGCUUUCACAUUGAUUAGAAAAGAAACUUCUCUGCAGUUUCUAAAUUGACUUUUCUUAGUACCAUAAAUAAGAAUCGAUUUGAAUGUUUUGUAUUCUAAAAUGAAUAAAAAAUCCUUUCAAGUGAGGCAUUGGCAUUCUAUUUUCUUUUCAAGGCUAAUAUUCCAUUAAUGUCGCUUAUUAAAUUGUGAAGAAAAAAAGGAAAUAUAUAUAUAUAUAUAUAUAUCGUAUUUUAUUGUAUGAGCUUUUUCAUUUUUUAACAAAUAACAAAAACUGGUAACAAAAAUAGCUUAUUGACCAGAAUAUUAACUUGUAUAAUGUCGCUUUUGGCAAAAGUAAAAGGAAUAUAUGGAGUAAGUGCUUCUUGGAUGGUGGAACAAGUUAUGAAAUAAAGAAAGCAAUACAAUAAUUGCUAUCGAGGGAUCAACACACCUGGAAAGCAAUACAAUAAUUGUUAUCGAGGGACCAACGCACCACAAUAAUUGCUAUCGAGGGACCGACGCACCUAGAAAGCAAUACAAUAAUUGCUAUCGAGGGACCAAUGCACCACAAUAAUUGCUAUCGAGGGACCGACGCACCACAAUAAUUGCUAUCAAGGGACCAAUGCACCUAGAAAGCAAUACAAUAAUUGCUAUCGAGGGACCAACGCACCUUGACUAGAACCUCACUAAUUUCGUCGUCACGCAAAGACUAUAGAUGCAAAAUUUGACUUCAGAAAUAUAAAGCAACGUUUAUUUAUUUACUGUCAACUUUAAUAUUUCAAUCACUCUCCCACAAUUGUGCUAGAUCUAUGAACAAUACUAUCAUCUCUUUCAAUUAAUAGAACCACUUAAUGAUUGAACUGAUCAAUUUCAAUAAUACUAUCAUUUUAUCAAACGAAACGAAUGUUGUUGCCCGCUUCAUGAUCAUCUUCCAUAUCUGAAUGUGUGGAAUUAAAGGUGUCAUGUAAGCUCAAAUGAGACUAUCAGUCAAUUUACCAUUGUGAACAUAACAUCAAAGAGUUUUGCAUAGCAAUUCUUCUCGGCGAAAUAGAAGCGCCUUCAAAUAGUUGUAAUUAGCACUUACCAUAUAUUUUCUCAAGCUAAUGCAUACCCCUAAGUAUAACUGAAGAGAUUGAAAUGGAUUUUCCAUAUAAUACAACAAAGUUUAUAUUUUUACUGAUUACGUUUUUAUUUUUCUUUUUAUUGCAUAUUACCCUUUCUCGAAAUAGGUUCGUUCUGCGAGCAUCUCCACAGCAAUGAUACUUUAGUUGCUUUCUAUCAUCAUUAAAUAUUCAGCAAUGAUUAGUCAAAAUUUUAAGUAGAAAAUCUCUCGGUAAAAGUAUCCUAUAUCUCUUGCACGUACACCAAAAGAUUUGGACAUACAUUAUGCAAAUUGAUGUAUCAACUAUCAAUUCAUUCAGUGCCAUAAUAUACUAUAGAAAAAUAAUAAUCUAUUUCGUAGUGUUGGAUUUUUCAUUUUUGACAAAAAUGAAAUUUGUAACUAAAAAGAUUAAUAACGACACUGAAAACUCGAGAAAAGAAUAAAGACCAUACAAUAAUUUCUCAACCAGCAAUAGAUGGACGCGAGCCUUAAUUCGAAAGUCACUUGCUUCGUCAUGGCCGACCCGCGUGAAGACUAUAGGUGCAAUAUUCGCAUUCAUAAAAAAAAAAGCAAUACGUGCUUUUUCACUAGCAAUUGAAAGUAUUAUUCUUGUAAAUCAAUCACUCACUCUCCUGUGAAAUAACCCCAUCUCUUUCCCACAAUAAAACCAAAUGAACUGACAGAUCUCAACAAUAACGUCGUCUUAUCAAACAAAAGAUGUUGUUACCUGCUUCAUAAUCAUUUUCCAUCUCUGAAUGUGUGGGUAUUGCAAGUGUCAUGUAAGCUCAAAUGGGACUACAAGGAAGAGUGCUACCAUUUUCAUUCUCUGUUGACAGCUGCUUGAAUCUGCUCAAGACUCCUCCCUUUCGUUUCAGGGACCUCCGUGAUCACGAACACCAUCCCAACGGCGUUAAUCACCGCAUAAAGAAGGAAGGUACCUGUGAAGCAAGCGAACAGAGUUCUUUGCUUUCGACAAGUUUUUCGGAAGCAUAUUCUGACAUUUUUCUCAUGGGAAGAAUGCUUUAGUAUGUAUUACCUGUCUGUUAAUCAUUCUGCAGAAAAACCCACUUAACUUUUUUCUUUUUUAAAUGAUAUGUCGGCUCAAUUUUCGUGAUAUUUGAAUCUAGGCAGAAGUUGUUGUAAACGCGUUGAUUGAAAUAAAUGGUCUAAAUAUGCAUUCGAGAGCAUGAAGGACGGAGCAACAGAUACCUCCAGCUCCAAAUAGGAUUGAAAUGUUCAGGAAAAGCUAAGUCUCAAGUCUGUAGUUUAGUCGAAUUCGCGCAACAACUCAUGUUCCAAUGUGAAAAAUAUUUAUCGAGCUCCUGCCAGAGUAACAGUUCAAAGAGUAUUUUUAGCAGAGUCGUACCGUAGGAGCUCCAGCUCAUUAAGGGUGCGUUUGGGAACCACUUUUGGGGAAAGUCUUUAGGAAAAUACAAAGACCUUUGACUUAAAGGUGUUUUUCAAAAUGCAAACCGUGUUUGGUAAAUUGUACUUUGAAAGCUCCUUGUGAAGUGCUUUGAGCAAAAUAGUGUUUGGGGAAUUACAUUUACAAAGGAGUUUUGUGGUAAAAAAAAUUAUUAAAAGAAAAAUUAAAAAAAAUGACUGGCAAGGACAGCGGCCGUCGGCGACCUCCGGCCACCCCAGAUCUGGGGUGGCGAGGUUGCGCGACGCUGUUGCGACCUCCAGCAACCCCGGAUGUGGGGCGGCAAGGUCGCGCGCGUCGCGCGACUCGGCCUCGACCUUUGGCGACCCCGGAUCCGGGGCGGUGAGGUCGUACGCGUCGCGCAACGCCGCCUCGACCUUCGGCGACCUAGGUCCGAGGCGUCGAGGUCGUGGGAGGACCUCGCCGCCCCAGAUCUGGGUCGCGACGGGGUCACGCGACGCCACCGCGACCCAGAUCAAGGGGCAGCGAGGUCGCGUGACCCAGAUUUGGUCGCCGCUCGAGCCUCCGAAACCAGAUCUGGUCGCGACCACCAGACCUGCGACCAGAUGGGUCGCGCAGCCCCGGCGAGCUUCGUACGGAGGUCACGGUGCGGCAAGCGACGGUCGUCGGCAACGCCACAACUCGCGGAGGUUGCCUGACUCUCCGACAACGAUCGCCUAGGUCGUGGCGUCCCUGUAGUAGUCGUCAACCCGAAGAAGAUGAAUAGUGUUUCUCCAAGGACACGAAUCGGAAAACAAAAAAUUCAUGAGGACAAUUUUGGAAAAAAAAAAGUGAACAGUAGAGCGAGGGCAUGCCGAGAAAGCUGAAAGCCCAAGGCAGGUCCUCCCCUACCUUGGGCUUUCAGCCUUAAAAAUACUUGCUUUGCCUUUAAGUCCCUUCCAAAGUUGGUUGCCAAACACUCUUAUUUUGGCCCAAGGGGCUUUGGACCCCUAAAGAGCUUUGGGAAGUGGUUCCCAAACGCACCCUAAGUAGUUGAAAGUGUAGGAAACUGCCGAAGCGCCGAACCAGUUCACUAGUGUUGCGAAACCUCCAGCUACUCCUUUGAUAUUAAUGGGGAAAAUCUGAACUCCAGCACACAUUACAUGAUUGGCAAAAGAAUUUUCAAACUCUUGUACUAAUAACACCAGUUACAAAAACAACCCUUUAAUUUGAUAAGCAUGAAACUUCGGGGGAUGUUUAGGAUUACCUCGGACAUCACGACCCAAGGAACUGCGCUCAUUCCAGCUGAAAAUGCUGCUAUGUAUAGCUGAGCAUUGGAAAAAACAGAACAGAAAAAUUUAUACGAGGGAGUUGUUGCGGGGGCCAACUGGAUAGAGCCAGAAAGAGAUCAAGGCAGUUGAGAUUAUUACCAGAAUGCCAGUGACGGCAAGUAUUGGGACAGCAUCAGCUGCCAGAUCGAACCUGGCUCGGAAGAUCCUCAAAAAAUUACUGGUUGACAAGCAUUGCAAAGCAGAAGGAAGAUACUAGGACUGAUAGUAAUUACCUUUAGAAAGAAUGAAAGGGCAGUUACUAUGCAUCCCAGGACCGAUCCUGUCCCCGAGAUCUGCGAUUAAGAGAGAGAGAGAGAGAAAUAGAGAAGGUUAUGGGUCAAGUUGCAGAACUUGCAAAAGGGCAGAACCAGAAAAGCUGUGUUACUAUAGACAUGAUUUCUUAGCUUUCAUCUAUUUUACCAAGAGAAGGGGCUUUCUUCCAGCUCCAUCGACCAGUGCAGCGCCAAUAGCCGUGACAAUAACCUGCAAAAAUUUACUCUUUAAGCGUGACGAGUAUAAAACUAGAUCCCCAGCAAAGAGGAAAGGGCAAUAAUUACAGACCUGGAGGAUUGCAUAAGUUAUGGUUCCAACGCUGGAGGAGAAACCUGAGGAGAUUGUACAAAUGCAAUUAUAAAGGCGAGACUAAUACCUUGCUUGUGAGAUUCAACACUAAAUUAUGUGAACAGCUCAUUCAGUGAUAAUUAAGUAGACCAAAAGCAUUCGACAUUGCGAAUUUUACUAACCCAUUUGAAUAUUAACUGGAUUAUAUAAAUUGGAACCCCUGCUUUGCUUUUUAUUUAGCUUUUCGUUCUGGAAUCUUAAAAUGCAAAGCAUACUUUCAUUUUUGUGGUGCCCAAGAGCUUCUUGCUAUGAACUGCAUACCUGCUUCCUCAAAAAUAUUGCUUGUAUAGAAACAGACACCAUUUAUCCCUCCGAACUGCUGGACGACCAUCAAUCCAACACCAAUCUGGCCAAAAUUUAACAAAUUUGUCAGCAAAAAGAACAACAAUGGGAAAUAUCACCAAAAGUACAACUACUGCAUAUUCCCGAUCCACAAGGCAUUCCAAGAAAGCAACGAAGGAGGGACUUUAUUGAAUACAUAGCAGUAAAUACAGAGAGAAGAUUACGAUGACAGAGCUCAGAUAUCUUCUCUGAAAUAAAUCGAGAAUGCUGGCUUUCGGGAGCAGUUGAAGAGUUUCGAUGUAGUCCUGUCAAGAAAAACAAAUUCGAUCAUUCCGUCAGCUAUUCGUACUUAUAAAGUUGAGGCACUAAGAUGAAACGAGUAUAGACUUAAAGCCCUUUACUUGUAUUUCAGCAGCCUCUUCAGAAAUAUCCGCAUCCUUUCCACGGAGUUUCUGCAGCGCGGCUUCAAACUCCUUUUCGUGGCCCGUUUUCGCCUGCAUUUGGCAGAAUCCUAAAAUUAAUUCCAACACUACAAAUCCCUCUCUUCCUACAAUUCAGAUAAGAAGAGUCUGGUGUUCAUCUUGAUUUGUUACCAGCCAUCUAGGAGACUCUGGAAUGAAAAACAGGCCGAACAGUAGGACUGCACAGGGGAUUAGACCUGCAUAAACCACAGAUGUUCACGGUGGUUUCAGACUUGGACUUUUCUGUGCAACAUUGGCACUAAACUUGAAUUAUGCUACUUUUUCUGUUUUACCAAUUAAUGCCAAAACCCUCCAAGCUAAUACUGUCCCGAUUAUGAAGGAAACGGACACUCCAGCAACGAUCAUAAGCUGUGGAGAGAAGAGAACAUGUUAGGCCUAGUAGGUUCUGUAGGAUGUACAUAUAUACACCAUCUUGCACUUGCAAAAGGGCAAAAUUUGCUACAAGCUAAGGCCUUUUGCCAAUAGCUCCAUGCUUGCAAUUUUAACCAAGAAUGUUCAUACAAAAUCUUUGCCUGAUUGACAGCAGUCAAAGCUCCACGGAGAUUCUUGGGUGUAAUUUCAACUAUAAAUAUCAGUACCUGGACAUAAAUUAGAAAAAGAUUAACCAAUCUAAACCGAAGAGAGAUCUUCAUGCUGUCACUGUGAAUCAAGUCCAGCACGUUGUCGUAGAACAACUUGCUACAUCAAAUUUGUGNNNNNNNNNNNNNNNNNNNNNNNNNNNNNNNNNNNNNNNNNNNNNNNNNNNNNNNNNNNNNNNNNNNNNNNNNNNNNNNNNNNNNNNNNNNNNNNNNNNNCGAUAUCCAGAGCAAGUUGUCCCUAAUUCACUCAAAAUUAAACAGAACAGAGAGUUGAUGAGACUUGAAGUUCUUAUCCAACUAAUCGAUCUUCACCUAUGAUGAGGCUUGUAAAUAGGAUAUGGACACACCUCAGCAAAGUAAAUAGCAAGCCAGCCUGCUACACAAAGAGCGCUCGCUAUUCUCACUGUCUGCAUUUUGAGGCAAAUGUUUAUGCUGUCACGUCCUCCUUCCAUGAUAUGACUAAAUCCCAAAGCUAAAACUCUCAAAGAGUCUUGAACAACACUGUUCUGUUUUACAUUGUGAACGACGCACUCAUUUGCUGCUUACCCAUUUACGGCCAACAAAAUCAGCAAUUGGUCCUCCCAUAAUUGCACCAAUCAUUGCACCGAAUGUCAGUAUGGAUCCAAAGACUGAAUACUGUUCAAAGACACAUAAAGAGUAACUGCAAAUCAGCUUGAGUUCAGUGAGAGAAAGAAAUUCAGUUACCAUCUAGUUAACAAUGCUAUAAGUCACCGAAUGUCCGAGAAUCUCAGUGGAAAGCUAUUCUGAACAAACCUAUCACUUCGAUCAGAUACCUGAAUGAUAUGCAGUCGCAAUUUUCAGCUGACGAUACCCAAUCUAAAUCUCCCCAUUUUUGGUUUUCUUGUCCUGAGGUGUCCAACAAUGGAACUCUAUGCGAAAAUUCGGUAUACAUUUCACUCGUUACAAUGCAGAAAGAAUAAGAUGUCUAGAGAAAGAAGUAUCUCUACCUCAAAGCCAACAUCCUUAUUUGAGAGAGUCUUGUUUAUAAAGGUUUUGAUCAUAUAACUCGUCCAUAUUAUGGACCCGGAAUAUGAGCAGAUCGUUACUUUGAUUUUCUUGUAUAUGGGCGCCUUCAGUGACAAGUCCAAUAUUGAAUCGAAGCAACGAACAAAGACAACAUGACAUGUGCUUCUCAACACUCGCAGGUAAACUCGACAUACCUCAGCUGUAGAGAGACUAAGUUCCUCCACUAUAGCAUCCUGAGUUGGUGAUGAAUAACCUGCCUGAAAAUCCAAUGAAACAAUUUCUCAUUAGAUUCAAUUAAUAACAUCCUUUUCAUUUUAACCAUUACUACUGGACCUGGACUAAUAAAUAUUUAAAUAAUCAAUUUCGAAAAAUAAAUAAAUAAUUAUAAAAAUCCAAUUUAGGCUCAUAAUGCCGAAUUGGAUACCGAGACAAGCCCAGAAAAUUACCGAGACUCGUUCCAUAAAUAACAUGGCAUGUCUACUUGCUAAUGUCUAUUUCUAACCACCUAACAUGCAUCAUUAAGUCUCUAAUUUAAUUGAUCUAAACUAAUCUAACCACCUAAUCGCAUUUAAUUAAAUCUAACCAACCUUAAGUAUAAUUAGCAAACUAAGAAAGCUUUAGUGAGUAAAACUCACUUGACAAAAACAGAGAUCGAAUCACCGCGACGACAAUGCGACGGUGGCUGAAAUUGGACAUUCGACAACACCAGCGGACUUGGACCGGGCCUUAAGCUUGGCCCAACAAAUCUUAGCCCAAAUGAGAUUUGUCCUUGCACUGGAAUGGGCUUGCUCUUGGACUUGGGUCUAGCCGCGAUUGGGCUUCAAAAACUGGGCUUGAAGACUACAAUUGCUUAAAACUGGGCCUUGCUUAAUUGGGCUUGCGAAAUUCACUUGGGCUUCAAUUGAGCUGCAACUUCAUGGGCUUCAAUUUACGGGUUGCUUGACUGACCUUCACGGAUUUUCUAGGCCCACUUGAGCUAAGAUGGCUAACGACUUGGGCUACUGGACAUCUCGAAGAUUGCUGUGCCGAGAAGUUUCUUCGCUGGACUAAGAUUCGUUGGACUGCUGGCCUUGAUCGGUGGUGUUGGCAGCUGCUCGGUUGAAGCUGGAUUCGUGACUUGCGGGUGUCGAGCUUAGGGAAACGAGGGCGACGCGGAUGUUGCUGAUGUUAGGGGCAGGCGCGGCCAAGUGGCAGCAAGGCACGGCCACUCGGUCAAAGUAGAAAUCUCGGUGGGCUCGUUGUUGACCGAAGCAAGUGGAGCCGUUGCUGGCGUGCACUGGCCGCGUGGAUGCUUGGAGCAGCUUCGUGGACGAUCAAUCUUCAAUGAAGCGGAAGAAAGAGAGCUUCGGUGGAGCUACUGCAGGGGUCUUCGCUGGCGGACGAGGCGUGGGCUUCAAGCGGUAAAUCAACGACUUCGCUGGUUCAUUUGUUGACCGAAGCAGAAGGAGAAGCAAGCAAGUGGCAGCGGCGGUGAGGAGAGACCACGAUCCUGGUCUUCGGUUUUGGAGAACUUUGACCGAACAGCUUGAAGAUUCGGCAGCUUGGAGGAAAAGAUCGAUGGGCUUUGAGCAGCUUCGACCGUGGGGGUGAGGGAGAGCAGAAAUGGAGAGAGAGAUGAGUAGAUGGUGUGAGGGACUCGCUCAAGAAAAGCGGCAGAGAGAGAGAGAGGAUUGUGAUGAGAGGUGAGGGCCCCUUAAGCUUGAUAUUUUGCAAAUAUCUUCCAAAGAUCAUUAUAGGCCAUGUAUAAUUACUUGGUCUUCAAUGAUCCAACAUGACCCCCUCUUCUAAAAGCCAAAAUGGUCCAAAUGUUGUGGCUAGGUGGGGGUACACGAAUUUGGGGGAGAUGGCUUAAAUUGCACAACCAUUCUCUCUUGAUUCCAUCUCAAUUUGAUUCUCACAAAUUCAAUUGAUCAUUCAUUGAUCGUCUCUACAUUUUUCCUCAUUCAAGAAUCCACCAAAAAUCCAAAUUGAUACCAAUGUUGCACACCCCCAUCUUAAGAUUCAAUUUUUAACUAAGUGCGAACUAAAUUUCAAUUCCAAUCUCUCCAAAUUGAGGUCCAAUUUUGAUGUAGAAAAAUCCCAAGAAAUUUUCUAUAAAUCUCCGACACACACAGGCUCAACCCGAAAGUCAAAUUUCCCAUUAAUUUAGCCAAUCUGAACUUCGGCCAAAUUUCCGCGACGUCCGAACCCAAUUUCCGUAAAAUUUCCCGAAUCUCCGAAAAAUCUUCUGAGACUGAGUCGAUGCUCCUAAAAUUUAUUGUGACAUGGCCAAAACUUCAAUUUCUGAAAUCGGACUCGAAUUAGCGGUUAAUUUUCAUUCGGCGUGUUUUUAGCGUGACCUAGACUAUCGGGUAGUUUUCAGAACUUUUUAAGGCAAAUGACCCGUGGUCGAUUUUCUUCGAGCCACUAUGAACCCACUCGACUCAAUGGCGACUCUUGAUUGUCGUGAAAAUCUCGAGGAUUCAAUUACGGACACAGGGUACCAAAACAAUAAGAAAAUCAGUCUAGUGUCGGCCGACGAGAAUUUUCUAAUUCAGUGAUGUCACCCACAAUUAGUCACAUAUCUCUGUCAAUCCAGUCUAUCUCUGAUUUCAAAUCGAUUUUUAACUGUGCCGUAAUGACCUCUAAAGAUGGACACGGUCGAGAAGCCGAUUCUUGAUCGAAUUCUCAAGUUUAUUAAUAAUUUUCCCAGAUAAUCUAGUUAUCACGAGAGUGAUCGGCUCUGAGAAUAACCCUAUAGACGCGUCAAUAAAAUGCCCGAUUUAUUCAGUUGAAGACAAGGUUGAAAAUUUGGGAUGUCACAAAAAACAUGUAAAAGCUUCACAAAUUACAAUUUGAAUGAUGAUACAUGUUAAUAGUACUAUUUAUAACUUUUGCAUCUCAUGAUAGGGAAAUAAUCACACAAUACAUGAUUUCAUAAACUCAUGGUCAUGGAAAAAUUGGAAACUGCUAGAAACUAUUGGAGUACUUGGCGAAGAUGAGAUUGUUUCAAGUUCUAUCUCAACAUCAACAUCAUCAACGGGUGCCUCUCUUGGAUACAAAAGUGGUUUUGGAGGCAGUUGCAGUUUAUCCGUAUCUCCUUCAAGCAUAUCUAGAACUUUCCUCAUCGACGGCCGAUCAUUAGGGCUCAAUUGUAUACACCACAACGCAACGAUUAUCAUCUUCCUCGUUGUUUCUCUUUCCUCUUCUAUGACAUCUACCCUUUCAAGUUCCUUUUCUUUGCCGAGUUGAUCAUAAACCCAUAAAGGAAAGUAAAUUUGACUCGAACGCUCUGCAUGUGCAUUUAUAUUUCUCCUUCUACCAGCCAUUUCCAUUAAUAACAUCCCAAAACUAUAAACAUCGGCUUUGUAAGAAAUGCCACCAAUGUCCUUAUAGAAUAGCUCAGGAGCCAUAUAACCCAAGGUUCCUCUUGCUACAGUCAGUGAUACUAUACUGCAAUCAGUGGGAUAAAGUCUUGCAAGUCCAAAGUCAGAAACUUUCGGAGUGAAACUUUGGUCUAGGAGAAUGUUGUGAGGCUUGAUGUCAAAAUGCAGAAUUUGCAUAUCACAUCCCCGAUGUAGAUACUCUAUCCCUCUAGCUAUGCCAAGAGAGAUCUCAUACAUUUUCUUAUAAUCAAGAGGAUCAUCACCAUCCUUAUAAGAAAUGUGUUUAUCCAAAGAUCCAUUCGGCAUGAAAUCAUAGACAAGAGCUUGUUUGGAGUAAUCGAAGCAAAAACCAACAAGUUGCACCACAUUAACAUGGUGGAUCCUUCCAAUUGUGGCCACUUCACUCAUAAAAUCUUGGCCAUUAGAUUUUGAUUUGUUCAAAAUCUUAACCGCAACUUCAUUGCCACUUCUAAGUAUUCCUCUAUAUACGGAACCAUAUCCCCCCUCACCUAACUUGCAUUUGAAAUUUUUUGUGAGCCUCUUGAUGUCCGAGUAAGAGUACCUUAUGGGCAAAAAGUUAUUGUGAACUUGUAGGAAUUCUUCAAUGUUUGCAUCGGUUGCUUGAUGCCUUCUCAUCCACUUCAAGAUUAGAAAUAUCAACACACAGGGAGCUCCGAGCAUGAAUUUUGCUGCUAGGAAGUGGACUGCAGAGAAAUUUGGCCAUCGAUUAGCAUAGUGUGAUAAUUUUUUUUACACACAAUUUUUGUUUGUCAGAGUGCUGAAUGAGAGCUUCAUAGGUGUGAAGAGAAAAGGACUUAUCAUACCCAAGACAAAGGAGAGAUUCCUUACGGCAAUUGGACCAAAAUCGUUCAUGAUAUACCACGUAGAAUCAUCUGUAGAUAGUAAGAGUAUUCGUGAGAGAUUACUAGAUAUGGUUAAUUAGAAUUAACGACCAAUCAAUAAAGAACUAGAUUCAUUGUUUUAGCAGUUAAAUAAAUAAAAGCAAUUCACGUUAAGAUAUACCCAAGUGAAGGAUAACUUCAUACAGUCACUGCAAAGUGCAAAAACACACUUUUGUUAAUUGAAAUUUGCAAGUGGAGAAGUCCAGAAUAAAUAUAUAAAAAAUGAACGAGUUUCACUUUUGUAGAUAACACUUAGAUCCAACUUUAUUCUAUUCACUCAUGAAAUCCAUGUUAUCGUUGCAUGAUCUUUUCUUUUGAAGAAACACGUUUUCGCUUUUAUUCUCCUAAAUGUACCAAAUGUUCAUAAGUUCCUCAUAACAAUAACAUCGAUUCAAGGGACAAGCUACGAUCAAAUCAAACAAUUUUCCCCAAAAAAGGCCUAAUUCCCUAAAAAACCCUAAAGUUCUAGUCCAAUUUUGGCCCAAACCUUUUUUGUCUCAAAAGAAACCCCAAACUUUAGGUACAAUCUUAAAUUUGCCUUGAAUUUUGUUUUGUUUAAAAAAAAUCACCAACUUUUAAUAUAUUCCAAAAUUUACCCCCAUGGUCUAGUCCCAAUUUGACAUGAUAUUUCCACAUUGAUAACAACUCCACUUCAGUAAGGUGAUAUGGAAAAUUAUUCCAAAAUGAAACCGUNNNNNNNNNNNNNNNNNNNNNNNNNNNNNNNNNNNNNNNNNNNNNNNNNNNNNNNNNNNNNNNNNNNNNNNNNNNNNNNNNNNNNNNNNNNNNNNNNNNNNNNNNNNNNNNNNNNNNNNNNNNNNNNNNNNNNNNNNNNNNNNNNNNNNNNNNNNNNNNNNNNNNNNNNNNNNNNNNNNNNNNNNNNNNNNNNNNNNNNNNNNNNNNNNNNNNNNNNNNNNNNNNNNNNNNNNNNNNNNNNNNNNNNNNNNNNNNNNNNNNNNNNNNNNNNNNNNNNNNNNNNNNNNNNNNNNNNNNNNNNNNNNNNNNNNNNNNNNNNNNNNNNNNNNNNNNNNNNNNNNNNNNNNNNNNNNNNNNNNNNNNNNNNNNNNNNNNNNNNNNNNNNNNNNNNNNNNNNNNNNNNNNNNNNCCUUCAGCCAUCAUGUUGUGGAGGUCCUUAUACGUUGGUCUCACACAAUUAUAAGAGUCCCUUUCCCACAUCAGGUUAUAACCCGAGAAGUCAGUCAUCAAGGUUAUGUUGCAAGAAAUCAAGGUUAUGUUGCAAGAAUCCUUGAUGUCCCCUACUUUUCGAUCAAACCCAUACAUAGCGUAUGAGUACACCUUCAUUUGGGAAAUAUUACGGGGCGUAUCGGAAGGGUAUGCUCCCUCAAUACAUGGUUCAGUAUUGAUAUACAAAGGAGAAGCAAUAGGCUGUGAGCACUUCAUGAAGACCACCAUCGCAGAAUAUGGAAGAUAAUAAGGGUACUGAUCACUCAAGCUGGAGCUCGCCAAUGAGAAAUGAGGGACGGAUGAGCAAUUACUUUUUUGCAGUCCAUCAUCAACAAUCGUGAUAUUAUGAGAUAAAUAAUUUUUGGAAUUAUUGCCAUAGUAAAUCGACUUCACAUAAUAUCGACAGGCAUACAAAUAUAGAACGGUGCGAUUAUUUUCACAAUCUAGCUCAUACUCAGAGCGGCCGCAGCCUUUCAGGUCACCUUUCAAUCGAAAAGGAUAGUGUAUGUCACGAACCUCACCGCAAGAUGAAGCGACACACAAGUGAUUCUUCUCCGCACUGUAACUCAUCCUCAGUAGCAGUAGAACAUGCAAUAUGAAAAACAAAACACGGAACAUGCUCAUGGAGCUCAAAAACUUAAUCGUCUCUCUAUCGUUUGAUAUGAUGCAACGAAGGUUUUUGCUAAUUGGUAAUACGAUGGAGGCCUAGUUAUAUGAAUGAAAAGCAUCGGGAGUCAUUGGUCAUACAAAUGUCCAAGUCAACCAAUAAAGGCAAGUCUACUGAAGAAAAGAGGAAGUGGGUAUCAAUUGGAAAUUUUCAAGGUGUCAAAACACGGUGUUGGAAUUAUUUAUGCUUAGCUUUCACAUUGAUUAAAAAAGAAAAUUCUUUGUAGUUUUUAGAUUGAAUCAAAAUCCUUUCGAGUGAGGCAUUGACGUUAUAUUUUCUUUUCGAGAUUAAUAUUCCAUAGGUGUUGCUUCGUUAAAUGAAGACAAAAAGGGAAAAGAUGUCGUAUUUCAUCGUCUAGGCUUUUUUAUUUUUGACAAAAAACAGAAAUUGGUAACAAAAAUAGACUAUUAACAAAAAUAUGAAUUUGUAUUAUGUCGCUUUUGGAAAAAGUAAAAGGAAAAUAAAAAGUAAGUGCUUCUUGGAUGAUGUGACACAUUAUGAAUGAAAGAAAACAAUAUGAUAAUUUCUAGCAAUGGACCAACACACCUUGAUUAGAACCUCACUAACUUGGUCAUCACGCAAAGUCUAUAGAUGCAAAUUUCCAAAUCAACCAUUAACACAAAGUCUAGCAAAGGAAAAUUGGGUCUCACGUGGAAAUUGCAGCCCUUGUAGUCAAGGUGACAAAAACACGUUGUUGGAAUUAUUUUUGGAGAAAAGAAACUUCUCUACAGUUUUCAAAUUUGACUUUUCUUGGCAAAUUGACUCUUUAGGAAUCAAUUUUAGUUCCGUCCAAAAAGAAUUGAUUGGAAUGUUAUGUACUCUAUAUUGAAUCAAAAUCCUUUCAAAGUGAGGCAUUGGCGUUCAAUUUUCUUUUCAAGGCCAAUAUUCCACGUGUGUCACUUCGAUAAAUUGUGAAGACGAAAAGGAAAAAAAAUGGUCAUAUUUCACCAUAUAAGCUUUUUCAAUACUAAAAAAAAAAUAGAAUUAGUAACAAAAAUAGACUAUUAAUGGGAACAUUAACUUGUAUAAAAUAAUGUCACUGUUUACAAAAAUAAAAGGAAAAAUAGGAGUUAGUGCUUCUUGGAUGAUGUAACAAGUUAUGAAAGAAAAAAAGAAAUUCGAUAAUUUCUGGCGAUGGAAUCGAUGCGCAUUAACUAAAACCUCACCAACUUUGUCGCGGCACAAAGACUAUACAUCCAAUAUUUGAGUUCACAAAAGAAAAGAAAAGAAAAAAAGACGUUUACUUAUCCACUGUCAACUUCAUUAUUACAAUCUCUCUUCCGUAAUCGUGCUAGAUCUAUGAACAAUAUUGUCAUCUCUUUCCCAGAAUAGAACCACUUAAUAGUGAACUAAUCGAUUACUCUUGUUCUAUCAAAUGAAAAAGAAUGUUUUUACCUGUUGUUGACACAUAAAUUCUUCCAUUUUUAUUUAUGACUUAAUCAUAUAGAAAAUUAAGGAUUAGUCUAAAAAAGUAGUAAAAAAGUAAAUAAUUUUCAUUAAAAUGCAUCGUGUUUUCAUUAAAUUGCAUUGCUUAUGACAUUAGGAACACUUACAUUACUAGCACUAAAAAAUAAACAAAAAAUUAAAAACGCAGCCGGGACGGGCUAAGCCCGUCCCCUCCUUCUUUUCCCUUUUCAUUUUCCCCCCGCACGGCCCAUCUCUCUUCUUCCGCGGCCCAGCUCACUGUUCCUCUUUCUUCCUCCUCCCUCCCUCGCUUGGACGCUAGCUUCAGAACAAAACAGAGAGAUGGUCACUGACCAAAGGACGCAAGGACGCGAGGCUGCGCGCGAUGUUCGCCCAGGAAUGUCGUGCGGUACGAAGCCAGCUGGUCUCGUCCUUGAAGAAAGAAAGAGAAAUGAGAUAAAUGGAUGGGAAAGGCAGCAAAGGGAGGGGGGUCUCUCUGGUUUUUUUGGGUUUGUUCGGCUGAGGAAGGGCAACCGAGAAUGAGUGGAGGGAUGGACUGAGAGAAAGCGAGACCCAGAAGCCGAACUUCAUUCUUGGACAAGCAUUGCCUGGCCAUCCCCAACAUAAAUCGACGAUCUCUAACCAACACCCUCGAGCCCGCGGCUACCUAUUCCCCGACGCCUUAAUUCCCGGUGAGUUUUCUUUGGGUUUGAUUCACUUGUAUCCCGAUGAUCCUGGCUCGGUGCCACAUCGAGGCGGCCGACCAUAGCUCGUUUCACUUCAGGCUCACCUCCUGGCCGUCGUCGCCAAGCCGAGUAGGGAUAUUCGCGGUCAAUCACUUCUCUCUGGGAACUCCAUGCUUGGUUUUAUUUAAAACGGAACCGAAAUGAUAGCUAGGUCUCGUUUCCCUGGUCCUCAAGCAUGCUCGGUUUGAAUGAGCAAUCCCUUUUGUCGAGUUUGAGUGUCACUUGUUGUUCUCUUUUGAGUCUGGACACGAGCUAGUGUCUAGAAUGGGUUUACAGAAGCGGCGGCGACCGACGACGGGUGACGGCGGCAACGGUGGCAACCGACAACUAACGGCGGCAGCAGCAGCGACGGCAACGACCGACGGACGGUGGUCGGUGACAACGGAUGAAGAACUAGUUGACAAACAAUGAGAAAAUUUUUAUUUCUCAUUUCUGUUCCAGAAAUAAAGAAGUAGAAAAUUUCUACUUCUGAUUUAUAUUCCAAACCUAUUUCUGGAAUAGAAGUCUAUUCCAGAAAUAGAAAAACGGAAUAAGUUUAUCAAAGAGAUUUCUAUUCCAGAAACAGGUUUGGAAUAGAAAAAUUGUUUCUAGAAUAGAAAUAGGCAGUUGUCAUGCACCCCUUAUGUCAUCCCUAACAGGUGCAUAAUUUGAGCUCCCAAGUGCAGGUGUACUCACUGGUCGCACAACUUACUUGCCAGUAUGAAUUGUUUUGCAAAGUUGAUGAAUGCUGAACGUCUUAUAUUAUUGAUAGAGUGUUAUCAAGCCCAUCAUAUCCGAGUGGGAGAUGUUGUAAUUAAACAAUACGUCCAUGAUGGGGUGCGAUUGGAACGCACCGUUUCGUCUUGAUAUGUUACGAUGGAAAGACACUAUUGAAAGGGUAUGAAGGGAGAUGUAUAAAAGCCUCUUGAAGACAACCGUUGAUGGUAAUUGUUGGUAGAAUGUACGCUCAGAGAGAACGUAUGCUCCUUUUCUCUCUCCCUUUCCAUCAAGGCGUUCCAUUUCGUCUUUAGGAGAACAAUUUGCAUUUACGCCGUGGAAAUCGAGUGCUUUCCUCGUGAUUGCAUUCAGACCAACGUGAGAUAGUUUUGUUCGUGAUUCAUCCGCAAUUCAAUGUUCGUUUCGAGAUUAAUUGUUGUUUGCGCAUCGAAAUCAGGUAAGUCGUCUUCUGCCAAUUUGAAUUCCAACAAGUUCAAAGAGUGUUUUCAGCAGAGUCUUACCAUUGGAGAUUGUACAAAUGCGAUUAUAAAAUCGAGUUGAUCAUAAACCCACAAAGGAAAAUAAAUUUGACUCGAAUGAUGUGCAUGUGCAUUUAGAUUUCUCCUUCUACCAGUCAUUUCCAUUAAUAGCAUCCCAAAACUAUAAACAUCAACUUUGUAAGAAAUGCCACCAAUGUCUUUAUAGAAUAGCUCAAGAGCCAUAUAAACCAUGGUUCCUCUUGCUGCAGUCAACGAUACUAUACUGUAAUCGGUGGGAUAAAGUCUUGCAAGUCCAAAGUCAGAAACUUACGGAGUGAAACUUCGGUCUAGGAGAAUGUUGUGAGGCUUAAUGUCAAAAUGUAGAAUUUGCAUAUCACAUCCCCGAUGUAGAUACUCUAUCCCUCUAGCUAUGCCAAGAGAGAUCUCAUACAUUUUCUUAUAAUCAAGAGGAUCAUCACCAUCCAUAUAGAAAAUGUGUUUAUCCAAAGAUCCAUUUGGAAUGAAAUCAUAGACAAGAGUUUGUUUGGAGUAAUCGAAGCAAAAAACAAGUUGCACCACAUUAAUGUGGUGGAUCCUUCCAAUUGUGGCCACUUCGCUUAUAAAAUCUUGGCCAUUAGAUUUUGAUUCGUUCAAAAUCUUAACCAUAACUUCAUUGCCACUUCUAAGUAUUCAUUUGUAUACAGAACCAUAUCCCCCCUCACCUAACUUGCAUUUGAAAUUUUUUGUGAUUCUCUUGAUAUCCGAGUAAGAGUACCUUAUGGGCAAAAAGUUAUUGUGAGCUCUAUGGGCAAAAAGUUAUUGUGAGCUCGUAGGAAUUCUUCAAUGUUUGCGUCAGUCGCUAGAUGCCUUCUCAUCCACUUUAAGAUUAGAAGCAUCAACACACACGGAGCUCCAAGUAAGAAUUUUGCUGCUACGAAUUGGACUGUGGAGAAAUUUGGCCUUUGAUUAGCAUAGUGUCAUAAUUUUUUUUACACAUACAAUUUUUGUUUGUCAGACUGCUGAAUGAGAGCUUCAUAGGUGUGAAGAGAAAAUGACUUACCAUACCAAAGACAAAGAAGAGAUUCCAUGCGGCAAUUCCAGCAAAACCGCCCAUGAUAUACUGUGUAGAAUCAUAUGUAGCUAGUUAGAGAAUUCGUGAGAGAUUACUAAAUAUGGUUAAUUAGAAUUAAAGACCAAUCAGUGAAGAAGCAAUUCACGCUAAGAUAUACUCCAAGUGAAGAUAAAUUCAUGCAAUCACUGCAAAGUGCAAAGACACACUUUUGUUCAUUGAAAUUUGCAACUAUAGAAGUCUAGAAUAAAAAAAAGAGUGAACGAGUUUCACUUUUCUAGAUAGCGCCCAAAUCCGACUUUAUCCUAUUCACUCAUGAAAUCCAUGUUAACGUUGCAUGAUCUUUUCUUUUGAAGAAACAUGUUUUUGCUUUUGUUCUCCUAAAUGUACCAAAUGUUCACAAAUUCCCCAUAACAAUAAAAGCGAUUCAAGGGACGCGAGCUACUAUUAAAUCGAACAAUUUUCCCCCAAAAAAGACCUAAUUCCCUGAAAAACCCUUCAUUACUAGUCCAAUUUUAGCCUGAACUUUUUUGUCUAAGAAAAAACCCUAAACUUUAGGUACAGUCCCAAAUUUGCCUCAAAUUUUGUUUUGUUUUAAAAAAUCACCAACUUUUAAUAUAUUCCCAAACCUACCCCCACGGUCCAAUCCUAACUUGACGUGGCAUUUCCACAUCAUUAACAAAUCCGCUUCAGUAAAGUGACAUGGAAAAUUAUUUUCAAAAUGAAGCUAUUCUAAGAUAUGAAAAUUAGGGAAGACUAACAGCGAUUUUUGGACUGAGGGCUAAUGGGUAGAUUGGGAUUAGAGUAAAAAUUGGUGUUUUUUCUUUUAGACAAAAAAAAGUUCAAGCUAGGUUUGGGAUUAGGCCUAAAGUUUGAGAUUUUUUCUGGACAAAGAAAAUAUUGAGGGAAAUUGGGCUAGACCUAAGUUUAGGUUUUUUUGAUAAAAAAGAGUUUGAAACAAAAUUUGGACUAAAUCUAAAGUUGGACUUUUUUUUAGUGAAUAAGGCCCUAAAAAAUAUAUAGAAAUAGUGUCACGUCCAAAAAAGCUCCACAGUUGUAAACUAAAGGAGCAAUACACGCCAAUUCUACUAAAAAAAUCUUACUGAACUUUUUCACCAAACGAAUGUGGCAAUUUUUUUUAUUGGGUAUUAAAGAAAGUGAUGAUUCAAUAAAUUGAACCAAACGUAUUGCAAUAUCCAAUUGAAACAUGCCACAUCACUGAGUAAGUAAAUUUCGAUAAGGUCCCUCAAUAGAGCUAACAUUUAAGAAAAGGAUGAAGAUCAAGAAGAAGAAAGAAACAAAGUAAGAGAGUAAAGAAAGAAAAGGUUUAGGGAAAGUCAGCUUACAGAAGUAAUAUGGGUUGCACCACGCCAUUCGGUAUCUGAAACUUAUCGAGCAAAUCUGGAAUAUUUCCCACGAAUAAGGUUUAUAAUAAAAGAGUUCGAAUCCUUUAGCCAUCAUGUUGUGGAGGUCCUUAUACGGUGGGCUCACAUGUUUAUACCCAUCCACUUCCUGGAUCAAUAAGAAAGUGAUCAUGGUUAUGUUGCAAGAAUCCUUGAUGUCCCGUAGGCCCAUACAAAGCGUAUGAGUAUGCCUUCAUUUGGGAAAAAAUAGGGGGUGUAUCAGAAAGCUAUACUUCCUCAAUACAUGGUUCAAUAUUGAUAGACAAAACGGAAGCAACAGGCUGUGAGCACUUCAUGAAGAACACCGGCUCAGCAAAGGGCGAAAGACCACCACGGUUUGGAGCAUUAGAGCUAAAGUUGGAGCUCACCAAUGAGUGACGAGGGAAGGAUGAGCAAUUACCUUUUUGCAAUUCAUCGUCAACCACUGUGAUUGUACCCGAAAAAUCAUUUAUAUGAUCGAAAGUAGAAUAGUUAAUCAACUUCACAUAAUAUUGACUAGUAUAUAGAUAUAGAAAAGUACAAUUAUUUUCACAAACUAGCUCAUACUCAGAGCGGCCGCAGCGUUUUGGGUCGCCUUUCCAUCGCAAAGGGAUAGUGUAUGUCACGGAUCUCGCUAUAAGAUAAAGCGGCACACAAGUGAUUCUUCUUCAAACCGUAACUCGUCCCCAGUAGCAGCAAAACAUGCCAUAUGAAAAGCAAAGCACGGAACAUGCUCAUAAAGCUCAAAGACUUGAUCGUCUCUAUCGUUUGAUGUGAUGCAAUGGAAGUUUUUGUUAAUUGGUAAUGUGAUGGAGGCCUAGUUACAUGAAUGAAAAGAGUGGGGAGUCGUCGGUGAUACAAAUUUCCAAGUCAACUAAUAAAACAAAGUCUAGCGAAGAAAAAAUGGGUCUUACGUAGAAAUUGCAGCCCUUGCUUUUAUGGUGACAAAACACAAAGUUGGAAUUAGUUAUGCAUAGCUUUCACAUUGAUUAAAAAAGAAACUUCUCUACAGUUUCCAUAUUGACUUUUCUUAGUACCAUUUUAAAAAAAAAAAUCAAUUUGAAACCAAAAGAAAAAAGAAAAAGAGAGAAUCGAUUUGUGUGUCAUGUGCUCUAGAAUGAACAAAAUCCAUUUGAGUGAGGCAUUGGCAUUCUAUUUUCUUUUCAAGGCUACUAUUCCAUAAGUGUCCCUUCGUUAAAUUGUGAAGAUGAAAGGGAAAAAGAUGUCAUAUUUCAUCAUUUAAGCUUUUUAUUUUNNNNNNNNNNNNNNNNNNNNNNNNNNNNNNNNNNNNNNNNNNNNNNNNNNNNNNNNNNNNNNNNNNNNNNNNNNNNNNNNNNNNNNNNNNNNNNNNNNNNCUUUUGGCAAAAGUAAAAGGAAAAUAAGAAAAUAAGUGAUUCUUGAAAGGGGUAACAUGUUGUGAAAGAAAGAAAGUAAUACAACAAUUUCUAGCGGGUGGACUGACACGUCUUGAAUAGAACGUCACUAACUUUGUCAUCACGCAAAGGCUAUAGAUGCAAAUUUCCAAGUCAACCAUCAACACAAAGUCUAGUGAAGAAAAAGUGGGUAACAUGUGGAAAUUGCAGCCCUUGCAGUCAAGGUGACAAAAACAUGGUGUUGGAAUUAUUUAUGGUGUGGCUUUCACAUUGAUUUGAAAAGAAACUUCUUUGUAGUUUUCAGAUUUAACUUUUCUUGGCAAAUUGACUCUUUAGGAAUCAAUUUUACUUCAGUAAAACAAGAAUCGAUUGGAAUGUUAUGUACUCUAAAUUGAAUUAAAAUCCUUUCAAGUGAGGCAUUGGCAUUCAAUUUUAUUUUCAAGGCUAAUAUUCCAGGAGUGUUGGUUCAAUAAAUUGUGAAGAUGAAAAGGAAAAAAAAAAUGUCAUAUUUCAUUGUAUGAGCUUUUUCAUUACUGACAAAAAUAUAGAAUUGGUAACAAAGAUAGACUAUUAAAGGGAAUAUUAACUUGUAUAACAAAAAUAAAAGGAAAAACAGGAGUUAGUGCUUCUUGGAUGGUGUAACACAUGAUGAAAGAAAGAAAGCAAUUCGAUAAUUUCUAUAAUUUCUAGCAAUGGGACCGACGCACAUUGACUAGAACCUCACUAACUUCGUCGUUGCACAAAGACUAUACAUGCAAUAUUCAAUUUCACAAAAAAAGAAUUUAAAAAAAAAUGAUGUUUACUUAUUCACUAUCAACUUCAAUAUUACAAUCACUCUCCCGUAAUUGUGUUAGAUCUAUGAACAAUAUUGUCAUCUCUUUCCGAUAAGAGAACCACUUAAUAAAUGAAUUGAUCUAUUAUUAUCUUUCAAUAAAAUGAAAAAAAAAAAAAAAGGUUUAUGUCUGUUUUUGACAUCUAAAUUUUGCCUUUUUUAUUUAGGACUUAGUCAUAUAUAAAAUUAUGGAUUAGUCUAUAAAAAAAGUAAAAAGUAAAAUAAACAAUUUUCAUUAAAAUGCACCACGUUUUCUUUAAAUUGCAACUCGUAUAGACAUUAGGAACAUUUGCAUUACUAGUAUUAAAAAAAUUGAAAUAAUUUUUUAAAUUAAGAUUAGAAAAAAAUUAACAAAAAAUAAAAAUGCAGCCGGGCCGAGCUAGGGGCCAACCUUAGUCCGGCCACCCCUUUUCCCUUUCUUUUUCCCCCCUUGUGGCCCAGCUUGCUUUUGUUCCUUUUAUUUUACCCGCGCGGCCCACCUUUCUUCUUCCGCGGCCCAGCUUCCUCCUUCCUCCUCCUUCCCUCGCUUGGACGUUAGCUUCGGGACAAAACAGAAAGCGUGUCGCUGGCCGAAGGACGCAAGGACGCGAGGCUGCGCGCAACGUUCGCCCAGGAAUGUCAUGCGGUACGAAGCUAGCUAGUCUCGUCCUUGAAGAAAGAGAGAGAAACGAGAUAAAUGGGAGAGAAAGGCAGCAAAGGGAAGGGGGGCUCUCUCCGGCCUUUUUGGGUUUGUUCUUGUUCGGCUGAGGUAGAGCAACAGAGAGAGAGAGAGAGAGAGAGAGAGAGAGAGAGAGCUGGUGAGAGUGAGAAGGCGAGCUCGAGAGAGAGAAGGAGCGAGCCAGAUAAGAGAGGAAAGAGAGGCGACUGUGUUCUCGAGUUCUUCCGGGGAGGGUGGAGAUAGCGAGAGCAACAGAGAGAGUGAGAUACGACAGAGUGAGCGGAGGGUGAAGCGGAGAGAGAAUCGAGAGUGAGCGGAGGGAUGGACUGAGAAAAAGCGAGAACUAGGAACCGAAUCUCGUUCUCGGACAAGCGUUACCCGGCUAUCCCCAACAUAAACCGGCGAUCUCCAGCGAACACCCUCGAGCCCGCGUCUACCUAUUCCCCGACGCCCGAAUUCCGGGUGAGUUUUUUUUUUUUUUUGGGUUCAAUCCCCUUUUAUCUCGAUGAUCCUGGCUCAGUGCAACAUCGAGGCGGCCGACCAGAGCUCGUUUCGCUUUGGGCUCACCUUCUGGCUGUCAUAGCCAAGCCGAGUAGAGAUAUUCUCGGUCAACCACUUCUCUCUGGGAACUCCGUUGCUUGGUUUUAUUUAAAACGGAAACGAAACAAUAGCUGGGUCUCGUUUUCCCUGGUCCACGAGCAUGCUUGGUUUGAACGAGCAGCCCCUUUUGUUAAGUUUGAGUGUCUUCUCUUUUGAGUCUGGACACGAGCUAGAGUCUAGAAUGGGUUUACGACCUCUCCAUAAUCCGUGCUCAUCGCAUGCCUGAUAUAAUGCAUCAGUUUUGUUUGUCUCCGUGAAGGCAUACCAUAGAUCUGUUUGACAUAUUUUCAUCACUUGAGAUGUCGUAGGACGAGCUCGACACCAAAGUGGAGGUUCAUCGGUAUGCCAUGUCAUUUUUAGUCGAACGCCUAAGACUUGCUCGAUGAAAUGUUUCUGAGAGAAUUGUUUAAGAAAUGGCUUCUAUUUUCGCUCGAAUGCUAAGGUACCACUUGAUGCAGUUCGUCCGGGGUCAUUAGUUGUUAAGCUCGAUUUUCACGAGCAACGAAGUCACUGCAUCUCUGCAUUUCGUUCGAGACAUGAUGUGUAUCUUUCAUUGAACUUGAUGAGUGGUGGUGGCGGCCUGCAUGAUGGGAGACGUUGGCAGCGAAUUUGGUUUUGCGGUGGUGAGCCAAGAUGGCUUCGUGACGGCCGGCGACGUUGGGUGUUGUCGUCGAUCCGUUUAAAGUUCUGCCGUGGGUCGGUCCGGCGAAAUUCCAGUGUGGAGUUCGUCGGUGUGGGAGGCUUCGGUAAAGGACGUAACAGGGGAGUUGGCACGAAGAAGAAGAAGACGUUGAAAGGGUGAGAGAGAAUAAAAGAAAAUCACGAAAAUAGGCGUGGUGCAAGACGUUCGUGGAAAGAGGAUGGGAAGAUGGGCUUGAUUCCAUUACUAAAAUGGAGGUCUGUUUUAAUAGAGCCCAAUUCAUGUUCCCGGUCCAAGCCCGCAAAGCCCAUAGCAACCCAUGUUCUCACCGGACCUUGGGGCCCAGCCCGAGUCCCUAUUUUCGGAGUUAAUUUUGUAAAAAAAUUUAAGAGAAAACUUUUUUUUUUUCUAAAAAUUAGGAAAAAGCUUAAGAGUUAGUUUUUUAGUAAAUACUCUUAAAAUGUGUUAAAGUCCUUGAUAAGAAAAUUGUGCUCAAGAAUUGAAUAAAUCCUUACAGCUUUACCAUAAGAUUCUAAUUGUCCUUAAAAAUAAAUGCCCUUGAUUAUGCACUUUCAAUGUUGAUUAUGGACUCCCUUUAGCUUAGUUAGAGAUUGCAUGCUCCUUAUUUGGUAAUAUUAGAUCUUUGUGUUCCUAUGCAAUUUAUUUAAUGCUUUCCUUGAUUGUUGAUUGUUAUUUUAAUAAUUUCACACCCACAUUGAUUAUCUCAUAUGUUAGUGGAUAGGUUUAAAAUCAAUCCAAGCUGUCUGACAUUUUUUUUUUUUUUUGUGAAAUGAAAUAGAUUAGAUACCAAAAUGGCAUUUGAUGAAUUAGUGUAAUUAAGUUCUCAACCCUAAAUUCUCUGGUUACGUAGGAAGUGAAGCAUACUCAUAUGUUUUACUUGAUUUUUAGUCGACCCCAGUAGGCUAAUAGCAACUCUUCAUUGAAAAAUUCUCAUAGCAUCAAUUUGAAUAACCAAUGUGAUGCGAUGUAUGAGUUUAGGAGAGCUCACAUUUAAAACUAGGGUCGUAAGCCUAUCUUUUAGGCAAUACCCCUAAACCUAAUUUCUUUACUACCGAAGGGUAGGUCAUGACACCUACUUCAUAAUCAUCUUUCAUCUUUGAAUGUGUGGAAUUAGAGAUGUCAUGCAUUUUUAAAUGAGAUGAUCAGCUGAUUUACCACUAUGAACAUAAUAGUGGAAGGUUUGGAAAAUAUAUUCAUAGAAAUUCUUUUCAAUGAUACAGACGCGCUUUCGAAUAAUUGUAAUUAGCACUUACCAUAUUUUUUUUCUCAAGCUAAUGGGUACCAUUAUAUAUAAUUGAAGAGAUUGAAAUGGAUUUUCCAUAGAGUACAACCAAGUUCAUUUUAAUUGACGCAUCCAAUGACGGUUUAACUGCACAUGUUUAAUUUUUUUAUAGUAAUAUUAUUACUGAUUACAUUUUUCAUAUUCCCCUUUCUAAAAAUUGGUUUGUUGUGCGAGCAUCUCCACACGCGAUAUUACCUUAGUUGCUUUCUAUAUCGUCAUUAAAUAUUCAGCAAUGAUUAGUCAAAUUUUUAAGCGGAAAAUCUCUUGGUCAAAGUAUCCUAAAUUAUCUCUUGCACGUAUUCCAAAACAUUUGGACAUAGAUUAUGCAAAUUGAUGUAUCAACUGUAGGUCCAUUCAGCACCAUAUAAUACUAUAAAAAAAAUGAUAAUGCAUUUUGCAGUGUAACGUUUUUCAAUUUUGACAAAAAUAAAAUUGGAUAAUGAAAAGAUAAAUAACAACACCUGAAGACUAUUAUCGUAUGUCCUAACCUCCAAAAAAAUAUGGAAGUAAUUUAUGUUGCCUUUCAUGAAAAGAAAAAGAAAAAUAAGGAGUAGGUGCUUCUUGCUGCUUGGGCAAUGCAACACAUUACGGGAAAAGAAAGAGGGCCACAUGAUGAUUUCUCAGUCAGAUAUAGACCGGCGCAAUUGAAAUAUUAUUCUCACGGACCAAUCAAUCACUCUCUAGUACAAUAAUCUCAUCUCUUUCCCGCAGUAAGAUUGCUCUAUGAAAGAACUGAAAAAUCUUGAUAAUAAUGUCAUUUUAUUGAACGAAAGAUGCUGUUGCCUGCUUCAAAAUCAUUUUCCAUCUCCGAAUGUGUGGCAUUGGAAGUGUCAUAUAAGCUCAACUGAGACUACAAGGAAGAGCAAUGAGUAAAUAACUUGGAGUGCCACCAUUUUCAUUCUCUGUUGAUGGCUGCUUGAAUGUGCUCAAGACUCCUCCCUUUCGUUUCAGGAACACCAUCCCCGCGGCGUUAAUUGCUGCAUAAAGAAGGAAGGUACCUGUGAAGCAAAGUCAGCAGAGUUAUUGUCUUUUGACAAGAUUUUCGGAUGCAUAUCAACGUUUUUCUCAUGGGAAGAAUGCUCUAUUAUAUACUACCUGUCUAUUAAUAAUUUUGUAGAAAAACGCACUUUUCUUUUCUAAAUGACACUUCGAACAAAUUUCGUGAUAUUCGAAUGUAGGUAGAAGUUGCUAUAAACAUGUUGAUUGCAAUAAAUGGACCGAAUAUGCAUUCGAGAGCGUGAAGAACGGAGUGAUAAACACCUAUACCUCCAAAUAGGAUUGAAGAGUUCAGGAAAAGCUAAGUCUCGAGUCUGAAGUUUGGUUGAAUCCGUGCAAAAACUCACGUUCCAAUGUGACAAAAUGUUUAUCAAGCUCAAUUUGGUUAACUCAUAAAUUUCAUGGUAAAAUUUGAUGAAAACUAACGAAGGGUAAAUGUGUUAUGUGUGUACCAGUUUGCAUUUUUGGUGAUUCAAAAACUAAUUUUUAGUAAAUUUGUUACAUAUGUACUAGUUUGUGAUUUUUCAUUGUAUUAACCCUACGGAUUUCCAUGUGAAUUUGCCACGUUAACUGUCUAUAUCAUUCAACUCAAUAAUUUAAUGAUAAAAUUUCACGGAAGCUAAUGGAGGGAAAAUGUGUCACGUGUGUAUAUGACCCAAAAUUUAGUUAGGGAUAAAUUUGUCACGGUGUAUAAGUUUGGGAUUUUUUCAUGAUAUUAACUCCAUAACCCACCCGGUGGUGAGCGAGUUGGUUAGGGCACACACUGGCCACACAAAAGGCUAGGGUUCGAUUCCCCAACUCGUCACGUUGCGCAACUUAAGUGGGGUGCCGUGGGUGAUGGGUCCCCGUCCUAGUGCUCCCCCGGGUUUACGUUGCCGGCUGCCAACUGUACGGCGGUUCCUGGGUUGCCAAAAAAAAACUCCAUAUUAAAAAUAAGAAUUCAUUUUCCCAAACUCCUUUUCCAUGUGCACACUCACACAGAAUGGAGGACCAUUCUCAUGUGGAAUUUCAUGACCACUAAAGAGAUUAGGUUUGUUAAUUUUUUGCAUUUUCUACUUUUUUAGAAUUUUUUUUUAUUUUUGCUUUAUUUUGAUAAUAAUAAAAAUUAAAAUUUAUACUUCUCCGUUUGCGAUCUCUAAACGAAGUGGAGAUCACGCGUUCCUUAUCAACAUUGGUGUCUCGAGGGAUGUUUGCUUAGUGGAAAAACUCUUGUGCAAGGAACAACAGUGAGGAAUGUAAUGCUUGUUCUAAAUAAUGUAAGGUACCAUCUCAUGUCAUAUCAUCGAGUGAACGCACAAGUUCUUACUGCAUUUAGGGAUUGAGCUUUUGUAAUACAUCAUAUGCUCUAACAUAACACCACAUGUUCAAUUUCCAUUCAACGUAAAGCAAAAUUGUCAGCCUACUUUGUCUUUACUCUUUGACAAGUGCUGAUCGCUCAUCGGUUAGGCUUGGACCCAUCCCGUGACAUGAGGUCCAAGUUGGAGAUAGCUUGAGUAGGUAGCUAUCUUCAACGUAGGUGAUCAAAUAGAGGUCAAAGUAGGGGUGAGCGGUUCCCGGUUCCUUACAGGUUCCACUUAGAACCUAGAACCUACCCUCGGGUACAGGUUCCUCAUUUUUUGGAACCUUGAACCUACCUGUCAAAACCAAGAACCUGGAACCUACCCUGUCACAGGUUCCGGGGUCGGUUCCAGGUUCCAACAGGUUCUUUAUUUAUUUUUUCAUUUUUAGUUAAAAAAAAUUGGAAAUGAAUGCAGCAAUAAUAACGACAUAGCCAUGAAUCCUGCAACCUGAUGCUAGAACACACUUCACAUGCUAAACCGACUUGAAGCUACUGAAGAUGCCCAAUAAACUGAUGAUUACUCUCAUUUAGACAUUGCAGAUAGCAAACCAGUUGGUAGGCGAAUUUGGGCACUUACAUCACUACUGCAUACAUACCACAUAAGUUGAAAUUCCUCAGAAUUGACACAACUAAAAGCUCCCCAAUGUCUAGAAGGACGACCACUAAUAAUCACUACCACACUAUGAGAACAAGCACCGUGACCUCAACAAGCACUGAACAGGAAAAUCAAGUCCAACACAAGCCUAUAAGUCUCAUCUAAAUAAGAAGAUAAGGCCAAUCAUUAGCAGAACCGAUCAAAGGCGCUGAACGUUGAACACAAUGUGUUGUAACAGCGACAAGCUUAACAAGACAUAAAGUUGAAGCAACAUUAAAAUUCACUAAAAUCCCAUCCUUGAUACUAUCAAAACCACAUGAAGCAACGGAAACUACCACAAUUCGUAGAUCAUCGAAUAUAAAAAAUGCUCGUGCUUGAGAGUAACAAAGCAGCAUUGUAUCUAAGCAGCUAUUUGCUUCCUUAAAAGUCUUCAAUUCGCUUAAAAGCCAUAAUCAGAAAAGCAUUGAGAGCUCUCUUUCACAACAACUAAAAAGCUCUAACCCGAAGCAAAAGCACCUCCUCCCAUGAAAACACCUCAAAACCCUAGCUUGGUGCGGCGCCAAUGCCUACACUUCGUGUUGUACCUGAACGAUUUUGACAACAAAAAUUAGGCCACAAAAAAAAAUAAAAAUAAAUAAAAAGACAGCUUUUUUGGGACAAAACGUGAAGGAAUUGGAUAUGAACCUGAUGGUGUUGUCAGUCCGCAUGCAAAUCCAGUGAGGGAUGGGCCUGUUCUGCCUCAUCUUCUUCGCUAGCUUCUUCUUGAUCUGGCGACGGCGAGCAUGUGGUGACGGUGGUGCGACGACGACGAAGGCAUGAGUCUCACAGCACCAACAACGGCAUGAACGGCGCACCAAAGACGGCGACGGUCGCGGCUCAACCCACGGCCAAGGGGGGAAGAGCUCAGUUUGGGUGGAGGUGGUGACAGUUUGGAGCAACGACGAUCCUAACGGCCGAGCAAGCGGCAUCAAGAGAUGGUGACGGUGACUUGGGGACGGCGGCAGUGCCUCACGUCGGCGUGGACGACGAGACAACUUGUCGGGCUCAACAGCGAGAUGGCUCGUCGAACGAGCAGUGGGUGGUGGGGGUUCAGUGGCCAAGAGGUGGUGGUGAGUAGGGCGUGGGGCGGCGGUGUGGUGGUGGGUGAAGCAGCAGUCGACGAGAGGAAGGAAGAAGAAGAAGAGGGGGGGGGUUCGGUUGAGAGAGAGGGAAAGAGAAAAGAGAGAGAGAGAGAGAGAGGAAAAGAAAAAAAGUGGGGGGCAAGAAGUGACGUGAGGAGGAAAAAGGGGAGAAGAGAGAGAGAGAGAGAGAGAGAAAAAAAGAAAGGGAAAGGGGGGAAAAUUGAACAUAAGGGGGGAAAAUCGCGUGGAAGGGAUUAGGGUUUUUUUUUUUUUUUCUUUUUUAACUUGGCCAGUUCCGGUUCCUCAGGUUCCGGUUCCUAUGAGAACCGGAACCGGUCCCCUUAGAACCGGGAACUGAACUGGAACCUCCGGUUCGGUUCUCCGGUUCUCGGUUCUACCUGGGAACCACGCUCACCCCGAGGUCAAAGGGUGGGGAUGAGAGGUUUUGAUGGAAAUGAGAGAUUUGUUGCUCAAAAUGCAAACAUUGACACAAAUAAAAAAUUACCUUAUUAUACCAAGAGGAUUCACAUGAAACAAAAAUUGAAUGAAUGCCAUACAACAUUCAUCGUCAUUUAUAAAAUAUGGACAUAACUCAACUGAUAAAAAAACUAGUGCCAUAAGAAAAAUAUGUAAAAGUUUUACGAAUUACAUUUUAAAUGAUGAUACAUGUUGAUAGUACUAUUUAUAAUUUUUGCAUCUCAUUAUAAGGGAACAAUCACAAAAACAUGAUUUCGUAAACUCAUGGUCAUGCUAAAAUUGAUAACCACUAGAAACUAUCGGAGUACUUAACGAAGAUGAGACUGUUUCAAGUUCUAUCUCAGCGUCAGCAUCAUCAACCGAUGCCUCCAUUGGAUACAAAAGUGGUUUUGGAGGCAGUUGCAAUCUAUCCAUAUCUCCUUCAAGCAUAUCUAGGACUUUCCUCAUCGACGGCCGAUCAUUAGGGCUCAAUUGUAUACACCACAAUGCAAUGAUUAUCAUCUUCCUCGUUGUUUCUCUUUCCUCUUCUAUGGCAUCUACCCUUUCAAGUUCCUUUUCUUUACCAAGUUGAUCAUAAACCCACAAAGGAAAGUAAAUUUGACUCGAACGCUCUGCAUGUGCAUUUAGAUUUCUCCUUCUACCAGCCAUUUCCAUUAAUAACAUCCCAAAACUAUAAACAUAGGCUUUGUAAGAAAUGCCACCAAUGUCUUUAUAGAAUAGCUCAGGAGCCAUAUAACCCAAGGUUCCUCUUGCUGCAGUCAGCGAUACUAUAUUGCGAUCGGUGGGAUAAAGUCUUGCAAGUCCAAAGUCAGAAACUUUCGGAGUGAAACUUUGGUCUAGGAGAAUGUUGUGAGGCUUGAUGUCAAUGUAGAAUUUGCAUAUCACAUCCCCGAUGUAGAUACUCUAUCCCUCUAGCUAUGCCAAGAGAGAUCUCGUACAUUUUCUUAGAAUUAAGAGGAUCAUCACCAUCCUUAUAGGAAAUGUGUUUAUCCAAAGAUCCAUUCAGCAUGAAAUCAUAGACAAGAGCUUGUUUGGAGUAAUUGAAGCAAAAACCAACAAGUUGCACCACAUUAAUGUGGUGGAUCCUUCCAAUUGUGGCCACUUCGCUUAUAAAAUCCUGGCCAUUAGAUUUUGAUUUGUUCAAAAUCUUAACUGCGACUUCAUUGCCACUUCUAAGUAUUCCUCUAUAUACAGAACCAUAUCCCCCUUCACCUAACUUGCAUUUGAAAUUUUUUGUGAUCUUCUUUAUAUCCGAGUAAGAGUACCUUAUUGGCAAAAAGUUGUUGUGAGCUAGUAGGAAUUCUUCGAUAUUUGCAUCGGCCGCCUGAUGCCUUCUCAUCCACUUCAAGAUUAGAAGUAUCAACACACACGGAGCUCCAAGUAUGAAUUUUGCUGCCAGGAAGUGGACUACAGAGAAAUUUGGCCAUUGAUUAGCAUAGUGUAAAAAAAAAAUUUACACAUACAAUUUUUGUUUGUCAAAGUGCUGAAUGAGAGCUUCAUAGGUGUGAAGAGAAAAAUGACUUAUCAUACCCAAGAAAAAGAAGAGAUUCAAUACUGCGACAGGCACAAGACGGAGCGCAAAAAGGUGCAUGUCAUCAGCUGUAGAUAGUAAGAGAAUUCGUGAGAAAUUACUAAAAAUGGUUAAUUAGAAUUAAAGACCAAUCAGUGAAGAAGCAAUUCACGCUAAGAUAUACCCCUAGUGAAAGAUAAAUUCAUGCAAUCACUACAAAGUGCAAAGCCACACUUUUGUUCAUUGAAAUUUGCAAGUGGAGAAGUCUAGAAUAAAAAAAGAGUGAACGAGUUUCACUUUUCUAGAUAGCGCCCAGAUCUGACGUUAUCCUAUUCACUCAUGAAAUCCAUGUUAAUGUUGCAUGAUCUUUUCUUUUGAAGAAACACGUUUUUGCUUUUGUUCUCCUAAAUGUACCAAAUGUUCACAAGUUCCUCGUAACAUUAACAGCGAUUGAAGGGACAUGAGAUAUUAUUAAAUCGAACAAUUUUCCCCAAAAAAAGACCUAAUUCCCUGAAAAACCCUUUAUAACUAGUCCAAUUUCAGCCUGAACUUUUUUGUUUAAAAAAAAACCCUAAACUUUAGGUACAAUCCCAAAUUUACCUCAAAUUUUGUUUUGUUUUAAAAAAUCACCAACUUUUAAUAUAUUCCCAAACCUACCCCCACGGUCGAGUCCCAACUUGAUGUGGCAUUUCCACAUCAAUAACAAAUCCACUUUAGUAAGGUGACAUGGAAAAUUACUUUCAAAUGAAGCUAUUCUAAGAUAUGAAAAUUAGGGACGGCUAAUGGUGAUUUUUGAAUAGAGGGCUAAUGGGUAGAUUGGGAUUAGAGUAAAAAUUGGUGUUUUUUCUUUUAGACAAAAAAAGUUCGAGGUAGAUUUGGGAUUAGGCCUCAAGAUUGAGGUUUUUUCCAGACAAAGAAAAGAUUGAGGCAAAUUUGGACUGGACCUAAGUUUAGGUUUUUCUGAUAAAAAAAGUUCGAAAUCGGGACUAAAUUUAAAGUUGGGUUUUUUUUUUAGUGAAUAAGGCCCAAAAAAAAAAAAAUACAGAAAUAGUGUCGCUUCCAGAAAAGCUCCAUAGUUGUAAAAUAAAGGAGCAAUGCACGCCCAAUCUACUAAAAAAAUUUCUAAACUUUUUCACUAAACGAAUGUGGCAAUUUUUUUAAAUUGGGUAUUAAAGAAAAGUGAUGACUCAAUAAAUUGAACCAAACGUAUUGCAAUAUCCAAUUGAAACAUGCCACAUCACCAAGUAAAUUUUGAAAAGAUCCUUCAGUAGAGUUAACAUUAAGAAAAGGAUGAAGAUGAAGAAGAAGAAACACAGUAAGAGAGUAAAAGAAGGAAAAGCUUUAGGGAAAAGUCAGCUUACAGGAGUCAUAUGGGUUGCACCACGCCAUUCGGUAUCUGAACUUAUUGCGUAAAUCUGGAAUAUUUCCGACGAAUAAGAUUCAGAAUAUAAGAGAUUGAAUCCUUCAGCCAUCAUGUUGUGGAGGUCCGUAUACGGUGGGCUCACACGUUUAUACCGAUCCACUUCCUGGCUCGAUAAGAGAGUGAUCAUGGUUAUGUUGCAAGAAUCCUCGAUGUCCCGUAUUAGUAGAUCAGACCCAUACAAAGCGUAUGAGUAUGCCUUCAUUUGGGAAAAAUUAGGGGGUGUAUCAGAAAGGGAUGCUUCCUCAAUACAUGGUUCAGUAUUGAUAUACAAAGCAGAAGCAACGGGCUGUGAGCACUUCAUGAAGACCACCGGAUCAGCUAAGGGCGAAAGACCACCACGGUAUGCAUCAUGAGCACUAAAGUUGGACCUCGCCAAUGAUUGACAAGGGAGGGAUGAGCAAUUACCUUUUUGCAAUCCAUCGUCAACCACCGUGAUUAUACCGGAAAAAUCAUAUAAAUCAUCUAAAUCAAAAUAGAUAAUUGACUUCACAUAAUAUCGACCGGCAUAUAGAUAUAGAAAAGUAUGAUUAUUUUCACAAACUAGCUCAUACUCAGAGUGACCACAGUGUUUUGGGUCAUCUUUCAAUCGAAAGGGAUAGUGUAUGCCAUGGAUCUCAUUGCAAGAUGAAGCGGGGCACAAGUGAUUCUUCUUCGCACCGCAACUCAUCCCCGGUAGCAGCAGAACAUGCAAUAUGAAAAGCAAAACACGGAACAUGCUCAUGGAGCUCAAAGACUUAAUCAUCUCUCUAUCGUUUGAUCUGAUGCAAUGGAAGUUUUUGCUAAUUGACAAUGUGGUGGAGGCCCAGUUAUAUGAAUAAAAGAGUCGGGAGUCGUCGGUGAUGCAAAUUUCAAGUCAACCAAUAAAACAAAGUCUAGCGAAGAUUGCAGCCCUUGCAUUUAUGGUGACAAAACACAAAGUUGGAAUUGGUUAUGCCUAGCUUUCACAUUGAUUAAAAAAAAAACUUGUCUGCAGUUUCCAUAUUGACUUUUCUUAGUACUAUUAAAAAAGAAUCAAUUUUAACCCCCCCCCCCAAAAAAAAGAGAGAGAGAGAGAGAAACGAUUUGUAUGUCAUGUACUCUCGAAUGAACAAAAUCCAUUUGAGUGAGGCAUUGGCAUUCUAUUUUUCUUUUCAAGGCUAAUAUCCCAUACGUGUUGUUGUGAUUAAAAUUUCGGAUGAACUGCUUAGGGUUUGGUUAAUAGAUUACUAAGCCUAGACUUUGCUCGGGCUCUUCCAAGCCCAUAUCAAUUUACGACUUAGGUUCAAGUUUCUUAAUAUGCAAAUGAUUUUUUUAAUCAUGAGUCAUCACUAAUCUAUUUUCGGUGGGUCGAUUAAAAACUAAGUAAAGUAACGGGAGAUUUACUUUACUUCUACGAAUAAGAGAUUUGUGAGUUCGGGAACUUGUGACACUAGAUUUUUCUAACGCCCUCUCAAUACCUUUCUUACCUUUCUCUUCUGUUUUUAAAAAAAUGUUUUGCAGGCAACUCGAAUUGAUUUUAACCUACUCCCCUAACAUGUAAGAUGAUUAUACGGGUACACAAACCACCAAUUUAACACCCAAUUAAAAUAUUAUUCUCGUAGAUCAAUCAAUCACUCUCCAAUAAAAUAACCCCAUCUCUUUCCUGCAAUAAAACCACUCUAUGAAUGAACCGAUAGAUCUCAACAAUAACGUCGUUUUAUGAAGGAUGUUGUUGCCUGCUUCAUAAUCAUUUUCCAUCUUCGAAUGUGUGGUAUUGCGAGUGUCAUGUAAGCUCAAAUGGGACUGCAUGGAAGAGUGCAGGCAUUUUUCAUUCUCUAUUGAUAGCUGUUUGAAUCUGCUCAAGACUCCUCCCUUUCGUUUCAGGGACCACCGUGAUCACGAACACCAUCCCUGCGGCGUUAAUCACCGCAUAAAGAAGGAAGGUACCUGUGAAGCAAGCCGACAGAGUUAUUUGCUUUCGACAAGUUUUGCGGAAGCAUAUUCUGACAUAUUUCUCAUGGGAAGCAUGCUUUGAUAUAUACUACCUAUCUAUUAAUCAUUAUGCAGAAAGACACAAUUCACUUAUUUUCCUUUCUAAAUGACACGUUGACUCCAUUUUCGUGAUAUUCAAAUCUAGGUAGAAGUUUCCAUAAACACAUUGAUUGAAAUAAAUGGACUGAAUAUGCAUUCGAGACCGUGCAGAACAGAGUGACAGACACCUCCAGUUCCAAAUAGGAUUGAAGUUUGCAGGAAAAGCUAAGUCUCAAGUCUAUAGUUUGAUUGAAUUCGCGCAACAACUCAUGUUCCAAUGUGACAAAUGUUUAUCGAGCUCCUGCCAGAGCAACAGUUCAAAGAGCGUUUUCAGCAGAGUCGUACCAUAGGAGCUCCAGCUCAUUAAGUAGUUGAAAGUGUAGGAAACUGCCCAAGCGCCGAACCAGUUUACUAGUGUUGCAAACCCUCCAGCUACUCCUUUGAUAUUGAUGGGGAAAAUCUGAACACCAGCAACACAUUACAUGAUUGGCAAAUUUUUUUGAAACACUUGUAACAACACCAGUUACAGAAACGGCCGUUUAAUUUGAUAAGCAUGAAACUUCGGGGGAUGUUUAGGAUUACCUCGGACAUCACGACCCAAGGAACCGCGCCCAUUCCAGCAGAAAAUGCUGCUAUGUAUAGCUGAGCAUUGGAAAAAACAGAACAGAAAAAUUAAUAGUGGAGAGUUGUUGUGGCGGCCAACCAGAUAGAGCCAGAAAGAGAUCAAGGAAGGUAAGAUUAUUACCAGAAUGCCGGUGACGGCAAGUAUCGGGACAGCAUCAGCUGCCAGAUCAUGAACCUGGUUCAGAAGAUUCUCAAAAAAUUACUGGUUGACAAGCAUUGCAAAGCAGAAGGAAGAUGCUAGGACUGAUAGUAUUUACCUUUAGAAAGAAUGAAAGGGCAGUUACUAUGCAUCCUAGGACCAAUCCUGUCCCUGAGAUCUGCGAUUGAGAGAGAGAGAGAGAAGGUUAUGGUUCAAGUUGCAGAACUCGCGAAAGGGGCAGAACCAGAAAAGCUUUGUUACUAUAGACAUGAUUUCUUAGCGACUCUCAUCUAUUUUACCAAGAGAAGGGGCUUUCUUCCAGCUCUAUCGACCAGUGCAGCGCCAAUAGCCGUGACAAUAACCUGAGAAAAUUUACUCUUUAAGCGUGACGUGUAUAAAAAUAGAUCCCCAACAAAAAGGAAAGGGCGAGCAUUGCAGACCUGGAGGAUUGCAUAAGUUAUGGUUCCAACGCUGGAGGAGAAACCUGAGGCGAGACUAAUACCUUGCUUGUGAGAUUCAACACUAAAUUAUGUGAACAGCUCAUUCAGUGAUAAUUAAGUAGACCAAAAGCAUUCGACAUUGCGAAUUUUACUAACCCAUUUGAAUAUUAACUGGAUUUUAUAAAUUGGAACCCUUGCUUUGCUUUUUAUUUGGUUAUCCGUUCUGGAAUCAUAAAAUGCAAUGCAUAGUUUCAUUUUUAUGGUGCGCAAGAGCUUCUUGCUAUGAACUUCAUACCUGCUUCCUCGAAAAUAUUGCUUGUAUAGAAACAGACGCCGUUUAUCCCUCCGAACUGCUGGACGACCAUCAAUCCAACACCAAUCUGGCCAAAAUUUGACAAAUUUGUCAGCAAAAAGAACAACAAUGGGAAAUAUCACCAAAAGUACAACUACUGCAUACUCCCGAUCCUCAGGGCAUUCCAAGAAAGCAACGAAGGAGGGACUUUAUUGGAUACGUAGCAGUAAAUACAGAGAGAAGAUUACGAUGACAGAGCUCAGAUAUCUUCUCCUAAAUAAAUCGAGAAUGCUGGCUUUCGGGAGCAGUUGAAGAGUUUCGAUGUAGUCCUGUCAAGAAAAACAAAUUCGAUCAUUCCGUCAGCUAUCCGUACUUAUAAAGUUGAGGCACUAAGAUGAAACUGAGUAUAGACUUAAAGCCUUUUACUUGUAUUUCAGCAGCCUCUUUAGAAAUAUCCGCAUCCUUUCCACGGAGUUUCUGCAGCGCGGCUUCAAACUCCUUUUUGUGGCCUGUUUUCGCCUGCAUUUGGUAGAAUCCUAAAAUUCAUUCCAACACUACGAAUCCCUCUCUUCCAACAAUUCAGAUAAGGAGAGUCUGGUGUUCAUUCUGAUUUGUUACCAGCCAUCUAGGAGACUCUGGAAUGAAAAACAGGCCGAACAGUAGGACUGCACAGGGGAUUAGACCUGCAUAAACUGCAGAUGUUCAAGGUGGUUUCAGACUUGGACUUUUCUAUGCAAGAUUGGCACUAAACUUGAAUUAUGCUACUUUUUCUGUUUUACCAAUUAAUGCCAAAACCCUCCAAGCUAAUACUGUCCCGAUUAUGAAGGAAACGGACACUCCAGCAACGAUCAUAAGCUGUGGAGAGAAGAGAACAUGUUAGGCCUAGUAGGUUCUGUAGGAUGUACAUAUAUACACCAUCUCGCACUUGCAAAAGGGCAAAAUUUGCUACAAGCUAAGGCCUUUUGCCAAUAGCUCCAUGCUUGCAAUUUUAACCAAGAAUGUUCAUACAAAAUCUUUGCCUGAUUGACAGCAGUCAAAGCUCCACGGAGAUUUUUGGGUGUAAUUUCAGCUAUAAAUAUUGGUACCUGGACAUAAAUUAGAAAAAGAUUAACCAAUCUAAACCAAAGAGAGAGCCUCAUGUUGUCACUGUGAAUUGAGUCCAGCAUGUUGUCGUAGAACAACUUGCUACAUCAAAUUUGUGUGGUACGAAGUGAGGAAUUACCACAUAGGAAAAGACUCCCAUUCCAUAUCCCGUGGCCAACCUUCCGAUAUCCAGAGCCAGUUCUCCCUAAUUUACUCAAAAUUAAACAGAACAGAGAGUUGAUGAGACUUGAAUUUCUUAUGCAACUAAUCGAUCUUCAUUUAUGAUAAGGCUUGUAAAUAGGAUAUGGAGACACCUCAGCAAAGUAAAUAGCAAGCCAUCCUGCCACACAAAGAGCGCUCGCUAUUCUCAUUGUCUGCAUUUUGAGGCAAAUGUUUAUGCUGUCACGUCCUCCGUCCAUGAUAUGACAAAAUCCCAAAGCUAAAACUCUCAAAGAGUCUUGAACAACACUGUUCUGCUUUACAUUGUGAAAGACGCACUCAUUUGCUGCUUACCCAUUUACGGCCAACAAAAUCAGCGAUUGGUCCUCCGGUAAUUGCACCAAUCAUUGCACCGAAUGUCAGUAUGGAUCCAAAGACUGAAUACUGUUGAAAGACACAUAAAGAGUAACUGCAAAUCAGCUUGAGUUCAGUGAGAGCAAGAACUUCAGUUACCAUCUAGCUAAUGAUGCUAUUCUGAACAAACCUAUCACUUCGAUCAGAAACCUGAAUGAUAUGCAGUCACAAUUUUCAGCUGACGAUACCCAAUCUAAAUCUCCCCAUUUUUUGGUUUUCUUGUCCUGAGGUGUCCAACAAUGGAACUCGAUGCGAAAAUUCGGUAUACAUUUCACUCGUUACAAUGCAGAAAGAAUAAGAUGUCUAGAGAAAGAAGUAUCUCUACCUCAAAGCCAACAUCCUUAUUUUUUAGAGUCUUGUUUAUAAAGUUUUUGAUCAUAUAACUCGUCCAUAGUAUGGACCCGGAAUAUGAGCAGAUCGUUACUUUGAUUUUCUUGUAUAUGGGCGCCUUCAGUGAUAAGUCCGAUAUUGAAUCGAAGCAACGAACAAAGACAACGCAACAUGUGCUUCUCAACAACGAACAAAGACAACGCAACAUGUGCUUCUCAACAACGAACAAAGACAACGUGACAUGUGCUUCUCAACACUCGCAAGAGCGACAUGUGCUUCUCAAUACUCGCAGGUAAAUUCGACAUACCUCAGCUGUAGAGAGACCAAGUUCCUCCACUAUAGCAUCCUGAGUUGGUGAUGAAUAACCUGCCUGAAAAUCCAAUGAAACAAUUUCUCCUUAGAUUCAAUUAAUCACAUCCUUUUCAUUUUAACCAUUACUAUUGGACCUGGACUUUUCAAAAAGAAAUUGGAUUUCCUACUUACGCAGGUCCCGAAUUCAUAGGAACCGCAAACCGCAAUGAAUGUGGUGAAAUAGACCAUCCACGGACGAACCUUAUCGGUUCCUUCAUCUUUGCCAGCUCGGUCCUUCUCUUGCGGCACAAGGAGCCGCUCUCUUACUCCUUCUCUGUCCCCAGUUUCUUGAUUUUCAAUGUCCUCGUUAAUCGCCAUGCUAGUUCGCCUUACAAAAAUGCUCCUUCGUUCUCUAUCUGACUACGUACGAGGAACUAGCAAAUCUAUAAGCUCCAGAGAAGAUAAGUUCUCUUUCCAACGUGGCUAGUCUGCUUGCUUUAUAUGGAUGACUCGAAAUGAGAAACCCCAAGUGCUAAUACGGAAACCCUAUCUCCGACUGGUUUAUACUCGCGGUUUCUAGGAAUUCCUCGCUGACCUCAGUCUUGCAAACUGGCAAGCAACUCUUUGCUUUUCUGAUUCGCCUCCGUUAAUGGUAUUGGAAUCACUAAUGGAACAGAGUCUCCGAAUACAGCAGGAUCACAGAUGUAAAGGGCUGCAUCGCUCUUUAUGGGCAAGGAGUAAGUAAAAACACGGAACUGGAUUUUCUCAAUGACACGGCUCUGGAUAAAGACAAAGUAAAAACCACGGACAAAGUUCUAUCUUUUUCAGCCAACCACCGGCUAGGAAAACCAGAGUGUUUUUCUAACCUGGAAAGUAAUUAAGUUCUGUCCAUUUUUCCAUGGAGGCAUUGUUAUCUUCAACUUUAACCCACGUUUAUCGUGUAAGAAAGAUAAGAUCUCAAUCAAUAGUUUCUUAUCUCUUUGGUGCAAUAAGAAACUAUCAAGAAAAAGAACUGUUCUGCUAGAACAUUACUUUUCUUUUGGGAAUUUUCUUGACCAAAACCCUGUUUUUUUCCAAUUGGACGAUGAGAACAAGAUAAUUUCGGCCGGACCUUCUUCUGGGGACACAUUAUCUUCCUUUUCUAUUUUUUAAAAGAACCACUACAUAUGCCAACAAAAAGCAUGCAUAUAGCCUCCUUUGUGGUCAGUGACGCUUUUGAUGUCUGCUCAAAUGGUAAGACUAAAUAGCAGGAAUUUCAAAAAGGGAUGCUUUUCAUCUUUCCAUAGUGGCCAAUUUUGCGGAAAAUGGACAGAUUUACUUUCUACUAAGGACGUCAUGUACUGCCGAGGCCCAUGAAUCUAAAGUAUUCACCCACCAUGAAGCCAGCCGACGGGAAAGAAUUCACAGGCACAACGGAAUGGACCAUAAAGUUGCAGAGCACAUUAGCCAAAAAUAUCCAACCACCAUUCUCCAACUACUUUAUUGGUCCACAUUUGCUGCAUCUCCGUCUUCUUUCACUUCUCGAUUCGGAAUAGGCCAACAAAAUCCGGCAAGAAUAUAUAGCUGUGGCCUGCUCGAGAAAGGGAAAAUAUCAAAAAUAUAUCUUACUCUUGAUCUAAUAGCCACUCACAUAUUUUCGUUUUGAUAAAUAUCAUUCACAUACUUCCAAGAAAAACCCCCAUUGAGAACAUUAAUUUGCCCCUCCAUGUAAACUCGUUUUAGCAUCUUCCUUACGGUUUAAGCAGACUGAAAAAGUGAUUUUUGAAUGGUAGAAUUCGUGUAGAUAUUUGUUAUUUUCAAAAGAAGAGGUAGGUGGUCAUGGGAUGAGAAAUAAGGUGUAUUUUGUUAUAUUUUUCUCAAAAAACUUAGACAAAACAAAUAUGCUAAUCUUAUAAGUACAUAGUAGAUCUGUAUUUCAAAUGUAUUAGAAGAAAAAAGACACUAUAAAUGUCAUAACUUUUGUACAAGGACCACUUAAAUACCAUAACUUUUUAUUCAAUCACUUAAAUGUCAUAAUUGAUCACUUAAGUGCUGUGAUUUUUCAUUAAUAAGGAAAUCCAAUGUGAACGUUCUUUAAAAGUUACAACACUCAAAUGAUCAAUUAAAGGUUAUGGCACUCAAGUAAAGAUUUUUUUUUUUUUUUUUUAAAGUCAUGACACUCAAGUAAUCGAAAAACAAUGUUAUGGCACUUAGGCAAGCACCGCACGACAGUUAUGAUACUUGUGAUGUCCUUAUCUCAAUAUCUUAAUAUCAUUCUUCCAUUCACACACCAAAUCCCAUAAAAUAUAAUAAAAAGCACAUGGAAGAAAAAUAUUUUAGCUAAUGUUACGUAAUUGUAAGUGUCUAAUUAAGUAGAAAUUAAUUAGGCUGAUUCAGGUUUUAGAGGUUGCCAGUCAUUUUUGCUUAACCCCUACUAAACAAAGCUACGUACAACGAGCGAUUGUUUUAAGCUAGUGGCUGCGUUUAAGCAUCCAAUAAAAAUCAGCAAGAUUAUUUAGCACAACCCUUUUAAUAUAAGAAGUUUUAGGAACUCUUAUUAUCACCUUGAAGAAGGGUAGCGGGGCAAGCGUGAUUAAAACACCCAGUUCAAAGACAAAGCAGCCUUCCCUAAUUUAAAGGGUGCCUCACCUCAUAUAUAUGUAACCCCAAAGGCAUGGACUAAAAUAAUUCAUUUGCGGGUCCCUCUUCUGAUAAGAUCAAUCCACUUGUUGGAAUGGAAUGAAUUUGAUUGAUAGAGAAGGUCUAGAUUGCCUGAGGGAGCGGAUAUAUCCUAAUUGCAGAAAUAAUAUAUUAAUUGUAAAAGAGCAUAUGCCACUUUCAUUUUGCAUGAUUGCAUCUAAUCUCAGAGAUCUGGACUCAGUUCUUUAUUUAUUUCUUUCUUUCUUUUUUAUUUCCCCUCCAAUCUUCCAAUUUGUGUAGAAAAAUAUGAUCCUAUCAGCAAGAGGAACUUGAAAAAUCGUUCUGCCAGCCUCACACUAACGAAACAAAAAUAAUAAAGAGUGAAAAGUGACAGAUUAUUACCAAAAUGAAAUUGACAAAAAACUGAGAUCUUAGGUGAGGUGAGCUGGGAAAGAAAUUUAUGUAUGAACCAUAUUGUAAAAUAACCUUAGUCUAAAUUCUCGAUAUUUCUUUUGCUAUACGAUAUGGAAUGAAAAAUAUCUAUUUGGACAAGAAAUUUUUCUUUUCUUGAUGACUGUGGAUUAUAAUUAUACAAUUAUGCAUUACUAUAAGUUUUCGCCAACCUGUUCGAUGAACAUGGCUUCAUCCAUAAGGAUACAUCCACGGAUGCACAAGAAUAAGAUUUCGACCAAGUCCAGAGAACUAAACAAGGCCUGGUUUUCCUCUCUUUAGGUAGACAUCCUGAUUGUGUUGACAAUCUUAUCCACCAAGACAAGUAAUUCCCUAUUUUCAAGAGUACGAUGCCUAAGGAAACUAACAUUCGGUACUCUUCUUUCAUCCUGCUCUUAUAUUUUACUAAACAAGACAGAUUGCCAUACGUAUAAAGAUGUAUAAUUAGAGAAGAUCCAAGAGAAUAUAAUAUUAAAGGGUUGACUUAUUAAGACAUGACAAAUGCAACUUGAGUUCAUUAUUUGACCUGCACCUUUUAAAUAAAAAUACAAAUAUAUUCUCGUUACUUAUAAAUUCCUAUGUAGGCUUGAUAUGAAAAAAAAAAAAAAAUUGUCCUGACCAUUACUAUUUUAAUACGAAACUAGAAAAAAGAAAAUCACCCAACACUUUUUAUGCCCAACAAAAGAAAGAAAGAAAAGAUUUGCAUAUAUUUCGAGAAAGAAAAUCUAAAGAUUUCGAUUUUGCCUGUAUGGAUGAAAUAAUAUUUUUGAUUUAAUUUGAGAGAUUUUUGUUCUUAUCUUAUUAAUCAACAUCUUUGCUAGUGAAUACAACAUAUUAUUGCAAUUUUCUUUUUUCUUGGACAGAAAAAAGAGCUUGGGCUCGGAACCAAAGAUAGUAUUACCUUUUAUGUAAUAUAGAUUAUAAAUUCUUUAUUUUAAGGAAGGGAGGGGUGAAUCACCUAUAAUUAAUUUUUUUCCCCUAGAUGUCAACAUAGAGUACAUAAAACAACUACUUGCCCCCUCUGGACUUUUGUGGUUUUGCACGGCGUAUAUAAAUCAAUUCAAUUUGUUUAUGGCAACAUGAAAUAUUCUCUGAGCAACGAACUGUUGCUUUGACCUCACUUCCUCCUUCCUCCUCCUUCCCUCGCUUGGACGUUAGCUUCAGGGCAAAACAGAGAGCGGGUCGCUGGCCGAAGGAUGCAAGGACGCGAGGCUGCGCGCGACGUUCGCCCAGGAGUGUCGUGCGGUACGAAGCCAGCUGGUCUCGUCCUCGAAGAAAGGGACAGAAACGAGAUAAAUGGGAGUGAAAGGCGGCAAAGGGAAGAGGGAUCUCUCCGGUCUUUUUGGGUUUGUUCGGCGGAGGUAGAGCAACCGAGAGAGAGAGAGAGAGAGAGAGAGAGAGAGAGAGAGAGAGAGAGCUGGUGAGAGUGAGGUGAGCUCGAGAGAGAGAGAGAGAAGGAGCGAGCAAGAGAAGAGAGGGAGCUCGAGGGUGGCUGCUUCUGGAAGGGUGCGGCUAAAAACCAAGGAGAGUAGAGCGGCUCGAGAGGGGAGACCGAGAAGGUGGAGAGCGAGGGAGAGCGGGAGAGAGAGGCGACUGUGUUCUCGAGUUCUUCGGGGGAGGCUGGAGACAGCGAGAGCAACAGAGAGAGUGAGAUCCGAGAGAGUGAGCAAAGGGUGAAGCAGAGAGAGAACCGAGAGUGAGCGGAGGGAUGGACCGAGAGAAAGCAGAGACCCAGGAGCCGAACUUCGUUCUCGGACAAGCGUUACGUGGCCAUCCUCAACAUAAACCGGCGAUCUCCAGCCAACACCCUCGAGCACGUGGUGAGUUUUCUUUGGGUUCGAUCCCCUUUUAUAUCGAUGAUCCUGGCUCGGUGCAACGUCGAGGCGGCCGACCAUAGCUCGUUUCGCUUCAGGCUCACCUACUGGCCGUCGGGGUAGGGAGUGGUCAAACACUUCUCUCUGGAAACUUCGUUGCUUGGUUUCAUUCAAGACGGAACCGAAACGAUAGCUGGGUCUCGUUUUCCCUAGUCCACCAGCAUGCUCGAUUUGAACGAGCCGUCCCUUUUGUCGAGUUUGAGUCGUCACUUGCUGCUUUCUUUUGAGUAAAUGACUUGGAGUGCUGCCAUUUUCUUCUAUGUUGAUAGCUGCUUGAAUAUGCUCAAGACUCCUCCCUUUCGUUUCAGGAACGCACACUUUAAAUUCCCCCCUGGAGUUUCUGCAUGAAAAUUGAUUAUUCACUGGUUUAAUAGCAUGCGAGUAAUGACUGGACUUUAUCUAUUUAGAUAUGGUGGUGGACUUUUGACUAGUUAUGCACUGUUCAGAAUGCCAGAUUCAUUUGUAGAGGUUUAUAGAGGAAAAUUUUGUUUACUGUUUUUCUAAAUUAUACAACAGGUAUUUAUAAUUUGCAUUUUUAAAUUGUAAUUUCCUUUCAAUUUCGGGAGAGAAGGAUCACGUCGUUUCUUGGUGCAAUGGGGCAGAAGUUUCUAUAUGUAUAUCACUUGUGUGGCACGUAUAUUGCUUUUUUUUUGACAAUUCUCAUAACAGUUUACUUGGUGACACCCAAUUGCAUAUCGUUUGGCUACAUUUUGCUCCUCCUAUGUUGGAUCAUAGGAAGACAACUCAUUGAAAGGACAAGAAGACACCUUUGGUUUCCAUUGAAAGUAUAUGCAGUCACUGUGUUUAUCUUCAUAUACAGCUUGAGCAAUUUCUCCACCUUUGAGAUGUGGUCGUCAGGGCUGAUUGAUCUUUAGUUUUACUUGGCCUACAACUCAGAAGCUUCGCUAUUGCAGAAUAUUUGGCAGUCUCUUGCAAUCCUCAUUGUGAUGCAGCUCUACAGCUACGAGAGGAGACAGAGCAAGUAUAUCCAAUCCGAUGACUCCAAACUUAUGGAAUUUGGAGCACUUGGAUUUAUUCAGAGUUUCCUUAUUUGACACGGUGACAACGUAGUGUAUAUAACAGUGUUCUAUGCAUCAUUGUCACCAAUUAGUCUCUUUGGUUUCCUUUAUCUGCUUGGUCUUGUCGUAUGUUCCCUUUUACCUAAAGCAUCUCAAUCCCAUCAAGUUUUGAGUUAUUACAGUCAGGCUUUUGGGCUCUAGAAUUGGGUUUAAGGGGAAAAGUGCUGGCGAUAUCUGCUUCUACCCUUCAAUACAAUGUCUUCCGUUGGUUGCAAAAAGUACCAACUCACAUUUGCGCAAAUAUUACACCAAAGAACCUUGCCCUCUGUUUGUAUCAGCAGAAGAAGUGUUUAGGGAUUUUUCUAAUUCAAACGGGGAAAGCAAACCACCUGCAGAUUUUCCUGCAAUUCCUUGUGAAGCAGAAGGCGUGAGAAACAAUUUAUCUUUCUCAGCCUCUGGUUUUUCUCAAGCAUCAAAUAAUGUACCCAAAGCUGGAGGCUCUGGGGGUGGCAGUGCUAGAAAAUACUCCUUUGGAUAUAUUUGGGAAAGCAUCAACGAAAGCCACAAAUGGAACAAGAAAAGGAUUAUCACCAUGAGAAGGGAGAGAUUUGAAACGCAGAAGACAAUCUUCAUAGUCAAUAUAGAUUUUUGGAUGGAGAAGAUGUUUAAUCUCUUUGGCCUCGAAAUAAACAUGGUGGCCUUGCUCCUUGCCUCCUUUGCUUUGUUAAAUGCCAUUUCUAUACUAUAUAUUGCACUUCUCGCUGCCUGCAUACUUCUAAAUCGCAAUGUCAUUCGGAAAUUAUGGCCAGCACUUGUCUUUUUGCUUGCUUCCAUUCUUGUCCUAGAAUACUUUUGUCAUUUGGAAGAGCACACCAUCUGCCAAUUCACAAACAUCAAGCAAGGCUAAGUCUGUAUUUCCUUUCAAAUUUUAUGAUUCUCCUGCCAGUAUGAAUGCUGAAAGUUUUCAUGUGAUGAAUUCAGCUGAUCAUUCAUUUGAGUUUUCCCAUUGCGAGAUCACUGAGGUUGAGAAGGAUGGUGGAGGUUCUCUAUAUGAUUCAGAUAAGAAAGAGAGAGCCAGAGGUCAAGCUGAGGAUAACUCUAUAGUUUCUGCUGUGUAGCUUUUGGGAGAUGGCGGUUAGUUCUCUUGUAACCUUCCCGAACAUCAAGCCAGAAGACAUGGAUGCUAGGGGCACAAUCAAGCACUCUCCCCUACACCCGAUCAACGGCCAGGAUCACCUGACGAAGCAGCAGAGGUUCGCCAGAUCGAAGCUCCGGGUUUCCAUCAACCUGCCGGACAACGAAAUCUCCCUCCUCCACAGCCAGCAGAAUCUGAGCUUCAGCGAAUCGUCCCCCGCAGCCACUGCCGCCGCCGCCGAACCUCCGACUUCUCCUUCUCCAUCUCCCCACUCCUCGUCCUUGGCCUCAGCGUCGAUCGGUCGAAUCUUCAAAGGGAAGGCUCCGGCGAAGGCGAGGGGGAGCCUCGAGAACGGCGGUAGCGGCGGCAACCCUUGCAGGGGCGGCAUGCGUACAGGAGCACGAGGACGGUGGUGGAGGUGCUGCGGGAGCUGGACGCGGACAUAGUGGCGCUGCAGGACGUGAAGGCGGAGGAGGAGAGGGAGAUAAGCCGCUGUUGGAGCUGGGGGCGGCGCUAGAGAUGAGGUACGCAUUCGCCGAGAGCUGGGUGCCGGAGUACGGCAACACCGUCCUCUCCCGGUGGCCAAUCAAGCACUGGAAGGUCCAAAAGAUAUUCAACGAAACCGAAUUCAGGUCCAUCACUUUGUUUUAUUUUAUUUAUAUAUUUAUUUAUUUCCAUAUAAUUUUUACCUGUUAUUCUUGCUAUCAUUUUCGUAAUUGUGGUGACGAUGAUAUGCUCUCUUUCUUGUUGAGCAAGUGGUCUUCCUAGGAACCACUGGGGGUUCGCCCCAGUGGCCACCCUUCCAACAUGAAAGGGGGAGGUGAGGGGUUCAAAUCUCUAGAGACAGGGCACAAGUCUGCGAGUGAGUGUAAAGUAGGAAUAGAGUAGGACUGACAAAAAAAAAAAGUGGUCUUCCUGGGCGAUUUCGAAUUUUAAAAGAUAUUUUCAUUUAUUUAUUGAGGCGUCCACCAUUGAAAGUGAAGUUUGAUAAUAUGUCAUAACUAAUAUUCCCUCUGGGCAUAUUAUAUCAUAAUUAAUAUUCCCUCUUGUUAUCAUUUUCGUAAGAACUCACUUGUUCGCUUUUCCAUCUUUCGAUUUUUCUUUUUCACUCUAUCAAAUGGCUAAUCUAAGGUACUUUUCGAGCACGAUGCUCUUCUCGCUCGAUGAUCACAUGAUUGGCUUGAAUGGACGGAAAUUCACAACAUUUGAAGCUUGAUGAUCAUGUUGAAUAUAUACAUCCGUUGUUUGUCAUCACUUUGCCGAUAUCAACUUUUGAUGUGAAAAUCCGUGGUAUAAAAAUUGAAGUCCAAAAUCUUUUUUUCGAGUGAUUAUUGUCUGAAUAUGUAAUUUAAAACUGUUUAUUAUAUCGUAGGUGUGCAAGGGACGUGCAAAUAUAGAACAAGGGUGGACUACAUACUGGCGUGUUGCCCAUACAAGUUCAUUCCGGGGUCGUAUUUGGUCUUGUCAUCGAAAGGGACAUCGGAUCACCACAUUGUAAAGGUCAACGUAACGAAAUGCAAAAACAACCCUCCCCAUGAAAGCAAUGGCAACAACAAUAAAAUUACCAAGAAAAGGCGGCGACAGUGCAAGCACCAGGCCGUUGUAAAGAUCUCAGGCACAGCACCUCCUUCAAAGGGUAUACGGACAACGAACACAUUAAGCAAAGUCGGAUGACAUUACAUUUAUAUCUCCUUUUCCUUUCCACUCUUUUCUCAGCAGCUGCUCCUGUUGCUGCUGUUGACUGAUCUUGGGCAUGCUGGCUUCGUCAAUCUGUGUAAAUCUUCGAUUAUUUUGUGCAUCUUGUCUUCUCUGUUUUUUUUUUUUUUUUCUUCAGUUUAGAGUUGAAGAGGGGAGGGUUCUGGUGUGAUGGCUUCCUCACUUUUGUAUAGAUUUCGACACGACAGAAAAGUGAAUUCUUACGUUUCAACUAGGCAUUCUAAGCGGUUCUGCCAAGUACUUUUUCAGUAUUUUAUGCCUUUUCUUUCCGCUUGUAAUCUUAGCUGCAAGAUUCAGAUUAGUUUUGUCGAGGGCGACAUCUCAAGUUGACUUUGCUGAGGUUGAGGUUAGAGAAUGCGGUAUUGUAUCUUUAGAUUUAACUGAAAGUUGAAACGUUUUAGAUUAAAAGUCCUUGGAAUAAAAUUGCAAAUUUCGAAAAUUGAUUUUUUUUUGUUAUGUUGGACAUCAAGUGAUUGAUAAAAAGACUCAAAGAUUUCAAAUGAAAUACCUUUAAAAAGCAAAUAAGGAAAAAAAAAAAAAAAAGCUGUGAAGUCUGGUAAUUAUGAAUUCUAAACAUCCGUGACAGUAGUCAAUGUUUUCAUUCUUUUUUCUCCGGUCUUGAAAUUAGCAUUGGAAAGAAGAAAAGUGGUAAGUUAGUGCAAUCUACUUCGACAUCUUAACAAAUACCUUCUGUGAUCUCUAAAUGGAGCCUUAAUGAGCAUUAUAAGUAAAAGUGUAAUGAAAAGAGAAAGAAAUAGAUUUUCUAUAUAAUAGACAUUGUUGGCUGAUGUAUCAUGCUAAUUAGCUUAUGAAUAGAAAACCGUGUCUCCCUUAUAAUGGUUGGCAAACUGCGCCCCUUGCAUCAGCAUCGUAGAGGACUCAAGUAUCUCUCAAUUGGCAUAUACUCUUCAAUUGAUCCUCCUUGAUGUAAUUUAUAUCGAUUGACUUAUUUAUUUCGAUUUUGCUUGGGAUCUCAAUUUAGAAAAUCAUGGGGCCAAUUCCAUAAAAAAAAGCACGAACUUUAUGGUUUGGGACAAAUCUGGCCCGAACUUUAUUUUGUCUCGAAAAAAAGCACCAACUUUUAAUCGUGUCCCAAAUCUGGCUUGCCGUUAACUCUCCUUCACGCUCAUCCGACCUGGCAUUUCCAUGUCAGAUAUCUAACAAGGCAAAAUUGUUAUGGGCUUUCUCUUAUUUCUCUUCUUCUAUGAACGCACGGCUCAUGAGUUUGGGGAAAAAAAUUUCUAGGGUUUCAUUUUGUCGGUGAGUUCGGGCGCGGGAGUCUUCAAUCCGUUGGAAGAUCUCGCGCACUAGCUUGCUCACUCAUUCUCUCACACGGAGAUGCUCGAUCUUGUACAUACACACGUUCGAUCGCUCGAAGACAUCCUUUCUGUCGGAAGUUUUGGCCUCGAAGGAUUUAUGCUUCCUUAAGGUCGAAGGACAGAGCAUCAAAAGGUAUUCUUCUUCUCCUCCUCCUCCUCCUCCUUCUGUCUACGGUUUCCUUUCUUCAGCGAAUAAGUGCGCGAGCAAUCUUCAAUCCGUUGGAAGAACUCGCGCCCUGACUUGCUCGCUCAUUCUCUCACACGGAAACUAUCACUCUCGCACAUAUUCACACUCGUUCGCUCGGAGACAUCGUUUCCCUCGAAAAUUUUAGGCUCGAAGGAUCUGUGCUUGCUUAAGGGUUGAAGUCGACAGAGCGUUGAGAGCGUUGAAGGCAUUCAACUCUUUGCUAUUGGACAUAUUAAAUUACGGUCACCAUGUGCUCGAUGGUUUGUCUAGAAGUGAUCUACCUCAUAGGAACUGAAGUUGAAAUUUUCUAGGCUUAAUGAACUUGUGAAUUUGCUAGGUCUUUAGAAUCUUAUGGUUUGGAAUGAAUUUGAUCAUGGCCAUAGGUGGAUAUGUCAUGACUUGGGAGUCUUGGACUUUGUUGAUACUUUCACGCCUAUCGGGUAAUUUGUCUUCUGUUGUCUACAGGGGCAUAUGAAGAAUGGGUGAUGAAAUUUGGAAAAACAAGACUUGUCCAUCCUAAUGGAAGUGUAAAAGUGCAGCGUGCUAAGGUGAAGUGUCGUGUUUGUGGGGAAGAGAAACAGAGGAGGAUUGAUAAUGCUUGUAGAGCUCUAUGACUUCUUCGGACAGCUUGCGUAGUUUGGCCAAAUUCAGCCACGAAGGUGCUUUUAGUUGGGUCAUUUGAUGGUUGAGCCACCCAGGUUAGUUCUCAUCAUUGAGAUCUAUGUAGUUCAUGGUAAACUUUGGAGUAGUUGUGAUUUUCUGUUGUGAACUGUUUGGUUGCACCAUAUAUUUGCUUUGAGCAGUUUAGCUACUGGAGUUAUAAAAAUCGAAAAUUCUUUAUGAAGAUAUGAAUGAAAGUUACUGAAUCAGAGUAGGCAAACAUCAUCUAUGAGCUAAUUAUUGAACUUAUAUGCAAAUUUUAUGUCAUGUUUAAAAAUAUUUUACUGAGGCAUUUCCAGAGAAGUGGAACAUUUUGUUAGGAUAAUGACUCGAUUGACAAAACCACUAGACACUUAAGUUUUCUAGGAGAAUUGCCUCGUAAACAUUUAAAGUAUUAGGAAUGACACUUGGGCAUUUAGUACAUCAUGAUUUUUCUAAUUAGUUCGUAGAUCAAGACAAUCAAUCUGAGCCACCUGGGAAUUUAUUAUGCUUAAUUGGACUGCUUGGGUGUUUUAUUAGAACUGUCAAACUAUGCAUGUAAAUUGUCAAAAAUGAGACUUGCAGAGCAGAUUGCGAAACGAGGGAAGUUUGGUACUUUGCAAGUAUCGCUUCACCAAUAUAAGUUACAUGUUACAUGAUAGUAUACUUUCCCCCUAACAUCAUGCUGGUUAUUUAUAGUUAUCUACAAUGUGCAAAAAAAAAAGAAACAGGAAAUGCUGCAGCUAAUAUUUUUAGCCAUAAAUAUAGUAUAAAAUUUGAUUUGCCCACUUUCUUUGGUCUAUUUGCUAAUUCCACAGGAUCUUGGUCCAGCUUAAACCUAGCCUUUUGCACUUCACCACAUUCAUCUUAUGGAAGAUUUAAAAGGAGCAGAAUGCCUAAGAGCUCGUGGUACAAAUCCUAAGCACAAAAUGUCCCAUAAACAGUAUACAAUUCACUUUGUAAACAGAGUAGCCUAGCUGCAAUCAACUCUUUAUUCAUUGUCAUGUCUAUGAUCAUAUUUUUUUGGGAAGCUCAAAUUCCCUUACUCCUAUUUUAUCAUUUUGGAUUAGUUCAAAUAGUUAUGUAUUUCAAAUAGGUUGUCAUGUGUUUAGAUAUUGGGAGCUAGAACUUAUUCUUUUCUUUAGAGCUUCUGAUUAAUAAGCUAUUGUUGUGUGAAAUGCUUCUUCACAAUGUGAAGUGUGUCGUCACUUUUUAUUAUGCCUUACAAAUAGUAGAGUUAUUGCUGUCUUACUAGGAAUUUGAUUAGCAUGAUAAGUCCAACACUGAACUUUAAAUGUCUAAUUUUUUGCUCUACCUCUGUUUUAUAGGAUUGGGCUGGUUGGGAUUCUAGGUUGAUUGUCGUUUUACUUGUGGAGAAUUGAAGUGUUGCAAGUUGAAUAAGAAGUAAUGGUGAGUUCAUUCAAUUGUUCACCCUUUACGUUUGAAUAUUGUUUUUAGUUUCCAGCGUAUGACUUUGUGUUUUUUACACAGAAUGAAAGUGAUAGUGACGAGGGUUCAUUAGACUUAUGUGAUAAUGAACUAUAUAUAUCCGAUGAUGAAGAGAUCAAUACAAGGGAGAUGAGGAAAGAAUUUAUGGAAGCAAUAAUAUAGGAGGUGGAUGAUAGUAGAGACUUACCUGAAGGUUCCAUCGAUAUAAGAAUGGAGGAGGAGGUUGGUGCUGUUCCACACGAUAGGGGGGAUGAUGAUGAAGAUGCAAUAUUGGAUGAUGAACUUCUAAGUGGUCCCGAUAUUGAUGAUUCUGAAGAAACUAAUAGCACAAUUGGACAAAUGGUUAAUAGGUAUGAUCCUAUGUGUGACCAUAAUGAGAAUAUGUUUAGUCUAGGCAUGAGAUUUGAAUCUCAUGAACAGUUCAAGAAUGUUGUGCGAAAAUAUGCUGUGAUUAAUGGAUUUGACAUUUUUUGGCCAAGGAGUCAAAAGAAAAGAAUGGAAGCAAAGUUUGCAAGUGAUUGUGGUUGGAGGUUGUAUGGUAGUUGGGUUCAAGCUGAGAAAACUUUUGAAAUAAAGAGAGUUGGAAGUCUGCAUAGCUGCAAUAGAAGCCUCACAAACAGGCAAGCCACUUCUACAUGGCUUGCUCGAGAGUACAUGCCUAAGAUUAGAGCCAGACUCACUUAUUCAGCUACUGAAAUGCAAACAGAUGCAAGAGAAAGGUUUGCCCUGAUCCUGAACAAAAAAAAAAAUGCUAUAGAGCCAUAUGGACAGCCCUUAGUCAUAUAAGAGGGCCUAUAGGAAAGCAAUAUGAUAUGCUAAGAUCUUAUUUGGAGGAGCUCAAGAGAGUUAGCAAAAAUGGAACAUUCAUGAUGGAGGUCAACCCAGCAACCAAAGUAUUUGAGAGGUUUUAUGUAGGCUUUGAUGAGUUGAAAAAUGGGUUUUUAGCAGGAUGUAGGCGUGUCAUAGGCUUGGAUGGGUGCUUCCUUAAGACUGGAUUGGAAGGUAUGUUAUUAUGUGCUAUUGGACGAGAUGGAAACAAUCAAAUGUUUCCAGUAGCUUGGGCAGUUGUGGAAGUUGAGUCCGAGGCAUCAUGGACUUGGUUUCUCACUCGGUUAUUUAUUAACUUGAAUGUGGGCACGGGUGAAGGUUGGACUUUUAUCAGUGAUAAGCAAAAUGUGAUAUCUCGCUUUUUUAUUUUAUUACCAUUACACUACACUAGUACAAUCAUUGCUGUGACAUAUUUCUUUUUCAUUGGUUGAUUUUGGUUGCAGGGAUUAAUGAAUGCAGUUUCAUGGCUAUCGCCACAAGUAGAACAUCUAAAUUGUGCAAGACAUAUAUAUGCUAAUUGGAAAAAACAACAUAAAGGGGAUGCUUUGAAGAAUCUCUUCUAGAGGGCUAUGAGAUGUACUUUUGAAGCUGAUUUUGACUUGGUAAUGGUAGAUUUGAAGAUGGAGUGCCCUAAAGGUUAUGAAGACUUCAUGAGACAAGACCGUAAGCACUUCUGCAAGGCUUUCAUUAGGACAUGUACUAAGUGUGAUGCAGUUGAAAAUAAUUUAAGUGAGACUUUUAACGGAUACAUUUGCAUACCGAGAGCAAAACCCAUUCUUGAGAUGCUUGAAGAAAUGCGAGCCAUGUUGAUGGAAAGGAUGACAGAGAGAAGCCAAUUAAUGGUUGAUCGAAUGGAUCCAAUUUGCCCAAGAAUUAGAAUGAAGCUGGAGAAAACUAAACUGGAGUCUAGGUAUUGUUUUGCUAGAGCAUCUUUGGGGAAUAAAUUUGAGGUUGAAGGGGAUGGCAAUAGAUUUGUGGUUGACUUGGCUAGAAAGACUUGUGCUUGUAGGGAAUGGGAUAUCUCUGGAAUAUCAUGUAGACAUGCCAUAUGUUGCAUUGCUUUUAUGAAGUUAGAGAUCAAUGAUUAUGUUGAUGAUUGCUUUAAGAAAGAUGCUUAUGAAAAUUGUUAUAAAUUUCCCUUCCCGGUCAUGAAUGGGGAAAAAAUGUGGCCCAAAGUUAGUGGUGAGCCAAUCAAACCCCCACCUUACAGAAGGAAAAGGGGUAGAGAGAAGAAAAAUAGAAUCAAGGAUAAGGAUGAGCGAAGUAGUGAUGGUAAGAAGUUGACGAAGGUUGGAAUUCAAAUGCAAUGUUCAAAUUGCUUUCAAUAUGGGCAUAACAAGAAGACAUGCAAGAAUCCUAUGACAUCAAGGCCACCCAAAGUAUGUCUUAUUGGACAAUUUUGUAAUUGUUAAUUAAGAUUUUUGUUGGGUUUUUAUGAAUGAUAACAUUGCUAUUUCUUGUGUUUUUCCACAUGUAGGCAAAAAGAGGAAGAUCAAAGAAAGUUGAUGAAGCUAGUGGUGCACAGGCUAGUUCACAGGCCAAUAGACCAUCUAAUAGGGACUCCACUAUCAUCAGGAAGGAGAAAGCACAGGCUAGUGCUUUAUCAAGCAUAAUUUUACUUUCAUAUCAUGUGUAUAUUGUCAUUAAUGUUUUAUGCUCAUUUUGUUUCUUUAGGCUUGACAAGGUUAUGGACUUUUCAUAUCCGAAGCUACUGGGAAUUCUUAUUUAAGGGUAAUCUCUAUCUAAAGUUUAUAUAUAUAUUGAAAAGAAAAGUGAGUUCAUUUGUUUUUUUUUCUUGUAGAUGCCUGGUAGUGAUAAAGUUAUUGACAUUGGAGGUCCAUCUAUUUCCAAGAGGCAAACAAGAGCAAGGAAUGUCGUUGAAGUUUCACUAGGCCAAUCUUCCAUUGAUGUCUCGGAACCUCCAUGCACUCAAGAAUCUGGAAUUGGUGGUUAAAGAUGCAAUUGUGGACCUUGAAAUGCUUGUGUAGUGCCUACUACUUGAUGUUGAGUUGUAGACCAAAAAGUGCUAGUUUGAUGUUGUCUAUAGGUUAAUUUGGCUAUGCAUUGUGUUUGGGGAUUUGGCAAUGUCCUUUUGUAUUUGCGAUAUUUUUGCUAUGCACUAUGUGUUUCAGCUGGUUCAGAAAGCUUGACAAAAGUGAGUUUGGAACAUUUGGAUUUUGCAAACUUAGUUUUUGUAGUUUACAUCUUCAAGGGAGAGUUUGAUUUGAAUCUUGUUGAACCAGUUUCUAGCUUAUGAAUAUUCUUCACAUCGAGUGCAAACUGGUUGAGCUGAUCAGGAGCGAUGUGAUUUGUAAUUUACAUCUCGGCAUGCUUGAAUAAUUGUGCAUAUGGUGUGGAAUGAUAAGCGUCUCGAAUUCUGGAAAUGUAGGCACUAUGGCAGGAUGAGGAGGGAAAUUUCCACAAUGACAAUGCAAUUCUGACUGAUAAGACAAGGGAAACAGAUUCGGUUUUAGCAUUUUUCUUCCUUACACAAUUUGUGCAGGCUUGACCAUGUACAGAUAGUUGUAUUUGCAUAUGUUAGCAUCAGUCUUGUUAAUUUCAGUCUUGAAUUUUUGACACUUACUCAUUAAUAUCAUCAACCAACUUCGAUUCAACUUGCUGGGACAUACCGCUCCUGCCCAGGCUGGUUCACUGCUCUUGGUAGGCCCAUUUCUGGACUAUUGGAUGACAAGCAAGAGAGUUGACGCUUAUGACUACACCUCAGUUGCUGUGCUAAGCCUACAUAUUCAUAGUCUUUAAAGUAACAUUUUAGUUGUCUGCAUUGCAAUAAACUGAGCCUUUGCUCUCUGAAUCUUGUGCUACAAGUAAUAUAUGUAAUGUACAAUUUCCUUGCUCCAGUUAGAUUCGUAGAUGAGGCUAGCACUUUGUUGAGGUAUAUUCUAACAGUGUUUAACCUGAUUUAUUGGACAUUCUAGGAAUGUGCUUGCCUAUAUUUGACCUGUUGAUGAACCACAUGCACCUUCCUACUGUUGUUGUUCUUGUUGGAGUUCAGAAACUGAUGUUGGCCUCCUUACAGUUUUAUUUACCAGGGACCAGAUAACUUUCAUGACCAGUAUGGAUGUCGUGGAUAUCAUACACUUAAUAUAUGGGAUUUUGAUAUUGCUUCUUUGAUUUUGUUUCAUCUUUGAGUUUCCUAGCCACAGAAAAUUGAUGUUUCAUAAGAGGGAAACAUAAAGACUCGAGGUUGUGUUGAAUGAUACCAUAAGAAUGGGCAGUUACUCUAUUAAAGCUUCUCAAUUAGUUCUAAUCACGAAGAGCAGUUACUCAACUCCUGCUUUUCUUGUUGGAUUUUGCAGAUGUUUAUUAUUCUAUCCUGCACCAUUGCUGUGGGGACUAAUCUCAGCCAGUUCAUGCUGCAGCUUUCAGUCCCAGUCAUUUAGGGUUCCUACUUAGGUGAAGUGACUUUUUAUUGAGCGGUCAUCUAUCUCUAUUCUGAGUUGCCUUAUUACUGCUUGGUAACGAACUGAUGUGCAUUUAAAUUAAAUUAAUUAUCAGAAAUACCAAACCUACUGAAUAAAGGUUCAAGCGUCAUCAGGAAAUUAGUUUUAGCCAAUUAAUUUUGCCUGUGAUCGGAAGUAGCCAAAUUUUUUUUUUUAAUUGGCUUUUGGACAGUUACAAAAAUCUAUCUUCAAAUUUCAUCUGUCAAUUGCACUUUGCAUCUUAUAAUAUUUAAACAUACACUCGGCAAGUCAUACUUUAAAAUCCUAGACGUCGGAUUCUGCAUUUUCUGGAAGAGACCUCAUACUUUCCACCUGGUAUUUUCAUAAUUAUUUCCUAGUUUUUUCAAGUCUCGGGUGCAAUGUUAAAUGUUCUAAAGUAAGUUUUUCCAAAUGGUAAAUAAGGGGAAGAGGAGCAUUUUCAUCUUGCAUGGAAGUAGCGUGGGGAGGACUCCUGUCGCGUAGAAUUGAUCAAAUUCAUGCGGUCCGUUUCCCUCGUUUGAGGAUAGAAAUGUGUGGGUUCUCUUUUAACUGUUAUUAUGACGAAGCAUGAUGAAAUCCGAGCGGCAGCUCCAUGGUCUGUUUGAGGGGAUGGACCAUAACGGAUGGUGGCGUUUCCAUUUUACCCACAACUCUUAUGUAAAAUUGCUGUAACGCACAAAAUGGUAAAGCUUUACAAUUAACGGACAAGAUUUAUUUCUUUUUUCCUUUUUUUUUCCUAUUCGAUUGGUCAUCGAGGAGUUGGGAUCGAUCACCCAACAUCCGAGACGAAGAUUCAGACAGCAGAGGCUAAAAUAGAGAAUAGCCUCUUUCUCUCGUCUGCCAAUCCGAGAAUGACAGUGAAACAAAAACGUGCAAUGAGCAAAACGUGCGAUGAGCAAAGGAAGGUGAAUGUGUCCCCUAGUCAGUUCAUGUGGCACGAUAAGGGUUGAAGAUUCUAAUAUACACAUAACAUUACCUCAACAGGACAAUCUGGUGGACCAAGCAAAUAUCGAGUAAACGAGACAGGGAUGCCAGAUAGAUCAACGUCCACGCCUUCGUGGCUGUCAGUGAAAGAUUCAAAGGUGGAGGCUAGUAAUGUACAACCAACAACCGAAAAAGACUGGAAUGCGAAUCUUGGACUUGUCGAUUGUUAUCAAAAUUGAACAUCUCAAUGGCUUCCACGGAAGGAAUGUAAGAGGAUAAAGAAGAUAAAGCCCCUCGUCACCGCAAAACACCCAAAUAACCAGUGUCCUUUCCCCCCACGAUUUGAAGUAUUAUCGUCUAGCAUUAAAGUAGUUCAGACCUUUGCAAGUCCACUUUAGAUGGCGACAAUUAUAUGCAAGUUGGGUACUUAACAUUCAUCUAUUGAUCCCCGAAGUUUCAUAUGCCUGAGUGACAGCCGAAUUUUGAUGGCAACACCUGAUAUACUAUCACAUCCCAUAAAAAUGACAGAAUACAUGUCCAAUUUACUUGCAAGCUGUAUGGAAUCAAUGACAUUGUUAGUUAUGGUCUAAGUUUCAGUAGCUUUUGGUGAAUGUGCCCCCAUUGAUUCAAAGGCCUAAAAUUUGUUGAAAAGAUGCCAAUCAAUGUGGUAUAUACAUAUCAAAAGCCUGGCAUAAGUUUACAAUUGUGUAAAAGAAAAGGGCAGAAGGAUCUAUGUAAUCAUCCUCCAUCAGUUAUAAGACAACGAAUCUUCUCAUGUAAAUGUUUGUGUCAGCUCUCUCUUUCGGAUGGCUUUGUGAUAAUGAGCAAGUUAUUCUCAUAUCCAUUGUUAUGAACAAUUGGUUGCAAUGGAUUGAUCCUCCAUGUUCCAUCGACUAUGAACUUUAUCUGCAUCAGGAAGACCACGGAGGUUAUGAAGCUCAUCCAGAGACAGCAAUUGCUUGUAAUUUUAGACCGCCUUAGACUAAAUUGAGAGAAGACCUACCUCAUAUCUUCCAGGAUACAACUGGAGGCACAUGGAGAAAACUCCGGUGCUCGACUUCUCCAUCUUUCCCUGCAAUGAAGCACAUUACUCUACUGAGCAUCAUUUAGAGAAAGCUACUCAUAUGUAUGAACCACAGAACAUAAAUCUAAAAGCAUGAAGUCUGAAGAACUUCUCAACUCAUAUAAAGCGGAUCCCAACCUCCUUUCUUUUAACCAGUGCACAUGAUGGGAUAAUAUGCGCAUUGGUGAGGAUUAAUCGAGUUGAUAUGUUUAGAUCUAGUGUUAAGACAAAAACGAAACUUUCACAAAGACAAAAAGAAGAAAUGUUAUUAAGUUAAAUUUGUUAAGACGCCAAAGGCUUGAGAAUCACCGAUGCUUCAAACAAAAGGUUGACUGCCUGAUUUUUGAAGGCAAGAUGGACUAGACAUGCAUUGACCGCACAGAUAAUAACAUCCUACAAAAAUGCUUUGCGCUCCUACUCGGCAUGGAUGAAACAACAAUUUAAUAAACUUGAAAAUUAUGAGUAAAGAUCGAUUCAUGUGCCUGAUUCACUCAAUAUCAUCCAAUCUGGGUACGAAAGAUAUGAAGCCAUGGGGCAUUUUCAUAGUCACGGUACCAAACUUCCACGAGCAAAACUGAAAUGUAAAACUCAUAUGUACGCCACAACUAGAGCUCCACGGGCAUUAUACCAUGCUAUUGCAGGUAGAUUCUAAUUUGACUGCCUAUCACAUCUGCAAUGAUUUGAAUACCAGUCCAUACUACCUAAACUGCUCAAAGCAAAUAUAUGGUGCAACCAAACAGUUCACAACAGAAAAUCACAACUACUCCAAAGUUUACCAUGAACUACAUAGAACCCAAUGAUGAGAACUAACCUGGGUGGCUCAACCAUCAGAUGACCCAGCUAAAAGCACCUUCGUGGCUGAAUUUAGCCAAACUACGCAAGCCGUCCGAAGAAGUCGUAGAGCUCUACAAGCAUUAUCAAUCCUCCUCUGUUUCUCUUCCCCACAAACACGACACUUCACCUUAGCACGCUGCACUUUACACUUCCAUUAGGAUGGACAAGUCUUGUUUUUCCAAAUUUUAUCACCCAUUCUUCAUAUGCCCCUGUAGACAACAGAAGACAAAUUACCCGAUAGGCGUGAAAGUAUCAACAAAGUCCAAGACUCCCAAGUUAUGACAUAUCCACCUAUGGCCAUGAUCAAAUUCAUUCCAAGCCAUAAGAUUCUAAAGACCUAGCAAAUUCACAAGUUCAUUAAGCUUGGAAAAUUUCAACUUCAGUUCCUGUGAGGUAGAUCACUUCUAGACAAACCAUCGAGCACAUGGUGACCGUAAUUUAAUAUGUCCAAUAGCAAAGAGUUGAAUGCCUUCAACGCUCUCAACGCUCUCAACGCUCUGUCGACUUCAACCCUUAAGCAAGCACAGAUCCUUCGAGCCUAAAAUUUUCGAGGGAGACGAUGUCUCCGAGCGAACGAGUGUGAAUAUGUGCGAGAGUGACAGUUUCCGUGUGAGAGAAUGAGCGAGCAAGUCAGGGCGCGAGAUCUUCCAACGGAUUGAAGAUUGCCCACGCACUUAUUCGCUGAAGAAAGGAAACCGUAGACAGAAGGAGGAGGAGGAGGAGGAGAAGAAUACCUUUUGAUGCUCUGUCCUUCGACCUUAAGGAAGCAUAAAUCCUUCGAGGCCAAAACUUCCAACGGAAAGGACAUCUUCGAGCGAUCAAACGUGUGUAUGUACAAGAGCGAGCGUCUCCGUGUGAGAGAAUGAGCGAGCAAGCUAGUGCGUGAGAUCUUCCAAAGGAUUGAAGACUCCUGCGCCUGAACUCACCGACGAAAUGAAACCCUAGAAAUUUUUUUCCCCAAACUCAUGAGCCGUGUGUUCAAAGAAGAAGAGAAAGAAGAGAAAGCCCAGAACAAUUUUGCCUUGUUAGAUUAUCUGACGUGGAAAUGCCAGGUCGGAUGAUCGUGAAGGAGAGUUAACGGCAGGCCAGAUUUGGGACACUAGUGAAAGUUGGUACUUUUUUUUCUAGACAAAAUAAAGUUUGGCUAGAUUUGUCCCAAACCCUAAAGUUCGUGCUUUUUUAUGGAAUUGGCCUGAAAAUCAUGGGAUCUAAAGCUCAGUUAACAAGAGGAAUUAAAAAAAAAAAAAACACUAAAGACAUUGUGUCAAUAUCGUUGACCGGUAAGAAUCAUUAAUAUUGAUAUUUCUGCCGUUUGUUUAAGGGCUAUGCUAGUAGGUCACAUGACACAUCCAAUGACGUUUUCACUACACAUGUUCAUUUUUUUUUCUAUAGUGAUAUAGUCAGUUAUUAAAAUGUUGUAUUUUUUUCCCUUUUUGUUGCAAAUUUCCCUUCUAUAAAUCAUGAACACGAACACGAGCACAAAUUUUUUUCGUCGAAAUAAGUGGUCUAUUCAGCACGUGCUGAUACCUUCAAUUAUUUUCUAUAUCGUGAAUAAAUUAUUAAGUAAUGAUUGGACAAAUCAUUAAAAAGAAAAAUCUCUUAACGAAAAGUAUCCUAGAUUAUCUCGCGAGCGUAUGCUGAAAUCUAGACAUACAUUAUUGUAUUUUAGGGUACAAGAUUGGCUCUCUCUUUGUCACUGAUUUUGUAAGUGUCCUAUUGCCUUUGGAUGGUAAUUCUUUUUGUAACCGUUCGACUUUAAAAUCGGCAGUGACCAGGAGUAACCAUCAUCGAUCAAGCCCUCUUAAGUGAACACUUAAAAAGAAUUAGUCUCUUAAUCACUGGAAUUGUGUUAAAUCAGAGGCAUUAUUUAUAGAUAUCAUGAAUAAUGGGAAAAUUUCCAAAAAGAUCCUAAAUCUAUUGCACUUUAACCAAUUAAAUCAUAAAUCUUUUAAUUACGUCAAUUGAAUCCUCAACCUUUUCACAUUUCGCUAACUGAGUUUAUUAGACCAAUUUUAAGAAAAAAUCAUUGAUGUGAAUGCCGGCUAUAUUUUGUAAGAUGGUCGAUACUAAUGUUGGCAAAUUCUUAUAAUUUUUUUAAAGAAUGGAUUUUUUUUAAUUUUUUCUUUUUAUAUUUUACCGUGGCUUGUGAGAGUUGUCGGGUCCUUGCACCUACUAGCAAAGACAGUGACCCUCGCCGGACUUGGUGAAAAAAAGUAAAGGAGGAAAAGAGAAGAAAAGAAAAAAUGGAAAAAGAAGAGAAAAAGGUUCAUAAAAAUUCAAAAAAAAUGUUUAAAAUGUUUUAAAAAUAUUUUAAAAAUUCUCCACAUUAGUGCCGCUUGUGCCACUUAAGAUAACGAGUAUCCACAUCAGCGAUUUCCUAACAAAAUUGACCAGAUGAACUCAAUUGGCAAAAUAUGAAAAUAUUUAAAAUUCAAUUGGCAUGACUGAAAGAUUAAUGACCGAAUUGAUAAAAGUACAAUGAGUUUUUUAUGGUAAUUUUCCCAUGACUAACUAGCAUCUCUCUUCCAUCCUGAUUCUGAUCAUAGUUUAAACAGGCAAAGUCCCAAACUUAUCUAAAGAACUUAAAUCUCCGAAAGAGAUGCAAUAUCAUAGUAUAAAGUUCAAAUUUAUGACUUGUGUCCAAUCACAUAGCGUUGCUGCAACAGAUAGUUUGGAGACAUGUUUCAGCUGGUCUUCUUAUAUGCUAAACAUGAUAUCAUAAACAAACCACUAAGAAGGUUAGUUAGUAACCUUUAUUUUAUCGUUUGCCAAGCAUGUCAUUCCAUCAUCUUUCAAUAAAUUCUCGAGUGGCAUUUGUAGAGAAAAGUUUUCAUCUCGGCUCACUGGCAAACUGAAAAUUGUAAUGGUCAUGAGUAAACGGUCAGGAUGAGCAACGAUAUUUAAAAGCACUUGUGUAGUUCUUCGCCCGUUAGUAUGCUAAACAUGGAACAUGUCGAAUCAACAUCAAUUUAACACUGUCUUUACUCGAAUAGCUACAGAACUAUGUAAGAAAACACAGGGAACAAGAAGAGAAUCCCGAAGCUCUAGACAUGGCAUGACCAUGAAAACUCCACCGAGAUCUGGUUUUUUGUCCUCGGAGUAGAUGUGAAAAUGUUGCAGAAUUAAAGAAUAAGCAAAGAUUCUUCGUAUCUAGUACUGUAAGCUUGCUCGAUAUAGAGUGAAACAAAGGGACAUUGCAUAGAGUUUGCACCUAUAUGAAGUUCACGAUGGCUGGGAGCAAUCUGCGCCACAUGACCUCAACUUAAGUGCAUCGCCGUAUCAAUAAUCAGUUCUUCCACAAGUAGAAUUUAUACGCAAUUUACGCUCGAAUUGUCCUCUAUUCACCCUUCACUUGGGGACGGUUUUCCAUGAAACUCUUCCAGCUCCUCGAACCUGUUAUCGAGGGCUCUUCUAAGUGAGGCCAUCUGUAUAUGAUCGUUUUCUUCUGGAAGUCGGUUUAUGGAGACCUUGAAGUUCAGCCUAUGAAUUUUGCUGUACACUAGACAGGUCCUGUUGUCGUACUUCGAACACUUAUGUGAGGUUUCAAUUGUUCUCGCCUUCCUCUCAUGGUGCAGCAGAGGAACAAAUGUCAAAGGAAUUGGAAGAGACAGUUCCACAGCCUCCUGUCACAAUGAAUGGUCUUUCUCAUCAGGAUGAUUCUCCAAUGAGCGUGAUGAACUGCAGGAAUAAGUAAGAAACUCGAUUCUUGAGAUGUUUCUGUCUCAUAUCGUUUACUUUUUCUCCAUUGCGUCGAACAUAGUACCUACUCUAGUGAUUAGCUUAACUUUCCAUUUCAAUCUGAAAGCUACUCACCUACAUUUAUAGGAUUCUUAAUAUAAAUCACCUGCUUGUGCACACUAUCUUACGUGGCGAAUUCUGUCAUCUGCACUAGUUUAAAUACAUGCAUAUUCGAGAGCGCAAGUGCCUUUGAUGGCUUAUGGCCUGAGGCAUGGCGUAAUUGUUUUUUUUGCCUCGUCAAAAGUGUUGCGCAGAGGACCUGAAUAUUCUUUUGAUAGGAAUCGUCUGUUUAGAUGAUCAUAACUGCUACCAUUGGUAGAACAUACUAUCAAUAACAACAUGAUAGUCGCGGUGUGCAUUCUAGUUGAACAUAGUUUUGACUUCGAGUUGUGAUGCUAACUGCGCUCGCACUUGUGGUUCUAAAAUGUUGAUAAACAGAGCUGAAUCUGACAACCUACUAGCCAUUCCUGUCGGUUUUGUUGGAUCAGAAGAGGUGGUAAGGUCUGCUCCACAUCUUGUACCUGGCGGUAAUCUUAAUUGUCCUUCAUUGGAAGAACAAGGAAUGAGAAUAAAUACUGCAUUAGACGCUGCACAUGCACCAAUUUCUCAUCUCUCGAACCUCAUUGACGAUGGCCACCGGGCUGCAAACUUCAGGGGACCUUUCCAACCAUCAGACUUUUAAUGGCUCGAGGCUUGAGCCACUUGGAUUCAUACCCUAUCCCUUACUUUCUCUGAAGGUAUUUAUGAUAUUUAACACUUAGCUCGACAUUCUGCGUCGUCGAUCUUACUUGGUUUGGACUACCUACUGGCGAAUCUCUUCAUGUAAAGGUUUGGCUUGGAAUAUCACUUGUCAGCAUAGUUGCAUAGACAUGGCGGUUCUGUUCUUUUACCCAUCAGUGCAUUCGACUCGUGGUGCAACAAAUCUGAAAAAAGCUUUUAUAUGCUAUUUGAGAGUCAGCUUUCAGCAGUGAUCUCGAACAAUUUCGUGUUCUCCAAACCGAGACUUGUUCAGAGUCAUUGAAAGCCUUCAAUUUCUGACCUUGUACUAGGAAGGUCCUUCCUGCUUUAUCUGUUUCUACAUACUUUAAAAACUAUCUAAAGUAAUUGAAAAGACCAUGCGGAAAAAGUUAAUUGCUGCUGUACUUGGCGAGGCAACCCAAGUUUAAGUAGCAGCAUGCACUUUUGCUACUUCUCUAUGUAUUCUUACUCCUGAUGAAUGGCGUUGUUUGUAGCUUCCAUUCAGGAGUACCUUGCUAAUUCGGGAUCAGGUCAGGGUUCUCUGUCAGCAAUAUCCGAGUGAAGUGGAUAUCGCGCGUUCCUUAUCAGCAUCGGUGUCUGGAGGAAUGUUUGCUAAGCAAGAAAACUCAUGUGCAGGGGACAACAGUGAGGAAUAUAGUACUUGUUCGGAAGAAUGUAAGGCACCAUCUCAUGACUUAUCAUCGAGUGAAUGCACAAAUUCUUACUGCAUUGAGAUAUUGUGCUUUUGUAAUACAUCACAUCCUCUAACAUGACAUCACGUGUUCAAUUUCUAUUCAUCGUAAGGGCAAAAAUUGAUAGCCACAAUCGUUCAUCGGUUAGGCUAGGACCCAUCUAGAAACAAGAGGUCGAAGUCAGAGAUUGCUUGAGCAGGUAGCUGAUGUCGAGCUGGUUGAUUGAGCGGGGGUUGAAGGGUGGGGGUGAGAGCUUUUGAUGGAAACGAGAGAGAUUCGUUGCUCAAAAUGCAAACAUUAACAUGAAGAAAAAAUUACAUUGUUAUGCCAAGAGGAUUCACACGAAACAAAAAUUAUAACGAAUGCCAUACGACAUUCAUUGUCAUUUAUGAAACAUGGACAUAAUGAGUUUAAUAGAAAACACCGAUGCUAUAUGAAAAACAUGUAAAAGCUUCAUAGAUUACAUUAUCAAUGAUGGUACAUGCUGAUAGUAUUAAUUAUAUUUCGCAUCUCAUUUCUACAAGAAGAGAAUAAUCACACAAUACAUGAUUUCGUAAACUCAUUGUCGUGGUCAAAUUGGUAACUGCCAAAAAUUAUCAGAGCACUUGAUGAAGAUGAGACCAUUUCAAGUUCUAUCUCAUUGUUGUCAUCAUCAAUUGGUGCCUCUGUCGGAUAUAAAAGCGGUUUUGGAGGUAGUUGUAGUUUAUCGAUAUCUCCUUCAAGCAUAUCUAGAACUUUCCUCAUUGAUGGCCGAUCAUUAGGGCUCAGCUGUAUGCACCAUAGCGCACGAUUAUCAUCUUCCUUGUUUCUCUUUCCUCUUCUAUGACUUCUACCCUCUCAACCUCCUUUUCUUUGCUGAGUUGAUCAUAAACCCACAAAGGAAAGUAAAUUUGACUUGAAUGCUCUGCAUGUGCAUUUAUAUUUCUCCUUCUACCGGCCAUUUCCAUUAACAUCAUCCCAAAGCAGGGGAGACUGCUUGAGUAUGCCCCGCAUCCAUGUCUUCUGGCUUGAUGUUCGGGAAGGUUACGAGAGAACUAACUGCCAUCUCCUAAAAGCUGCACAGCAGAAACUAUAGAGUUAUCCUCAGCUUGACCUCUGGCUCUCUCUUUCUUAUCUGAAUCAUAUAAAGAAGCUCCACCAUCCAUCUCAGCCUCAGUGAUCUCGCAAUGGGAAAAAUCAAAUGAAUGAUCAGCGGAAUUCAUCACAUGAAGAGUUUCAGCAUUCAUACUGGCAGGAGAAUCAUAAAAUUCGAAAGGAAAUACAGACUCAGCCUUGCUUGAUGUUUGUGUAUUGGCAGAUGGUGUGCUCUUCCAAAUGACAAAGUAUUCUAGGACAAGAAUGGAAGCAAGCAAAAAGACAAGUGCUGGCCAUAAUAUCUGAAUGACAUUGCGAUUUAGAAGUAUGCAAGCAGCGAGAAGUAUAAUAUAUAGCAUAGAAAUGGCAUUUAACAAAGCAAAGGAGGCAAGGAGCAAGGCCACCAUGUUUAUUUCGACGCCAAAGAGAUUAAACAUGUUCUCCAUCCAAAAAUUUAUACAGACUAUGAAGAUUGUCUUCUGCGUUUCAAAUCUCUCCCUUCUCAUGGUGAUAAUCCUUUUCUUGUUCCAUUUGUGGCUUUCGCUGGUGCUUCCCCAAAUAUAUCCUAAUGAAUAUUUUCUAGCAUGGCCAGCCGCAGAGCCUCCAGCUUUGGGUACAUUAUUUGAUGCCUGAGAAAAACCAGAGGAUGAGGAAGACAAAUUGUUUCUCAUGCCUUCUGCUUCACAAGGAAUUGCAGGCGAAUCUACAGGUGGCUUGCUUUCCCCGUUUGAAUUAGAAAAAUCCCUAAACACUUCUUCUCCUGAUACAAACAGAGGGCAAGGUUCUUCGGUGUAAUCUUUGCUCAAAAUGUGAGUUGGUACUUUUUGCAACCAACGGAAGAAAUUCUAUUGAAGGGUACAAGCAGAUAUCGCCAGCACUUUUCCCCUUAAACCCAAUUCUUGAGCCCAAAAGCCUGACUGUAAUCACUCAAAACCCAAGAACUUGGCUGAACUUAUUCUGUCCAGGAAACAUUCUUGCCUCGGCACCCCACAUCUGAAAUAGACAUUCUGUCAUCACCAGAAUUCAUGUAUAAAGAAGGAAUAACUUUGAUGGGAUUCGAGAUGCUUUAGAGAAAAGUUUUCAUCUCGGCUCACUGGCAAACUGAAAAUUGUAAUGGUCAUGAGUAAACGGUCAGGAUGAGCAACGAUAUUUAAAAGCACUUGUGUAGUUCUUCGCCUGUUAGUAUGCUAAACAUGGAAAAUGUCGAAUCAACAUCAAUUUAAUACUGUCUUUACUCGAAUAGCUACAGAACUAUGUAAGAAAACACAAGGAACAAGAAGAGAAUCCCGAAGCUCUAGACAUGGCACGACCAUGAAAACUCCACCGAGAGCUGGUUUUUGGUCCUCGGAGUAUAAGCUUGCUCGAUAUAUAGUGAAACAAAGGGACGUUGCAUAGAGUUUGCACCUAUACGAAGUUCAUGGUGGCCGGGAGCAAUCCGCGCCACGUGACCUCAACUUAAGUGCAUCGCCGUAUCAAUAAUCAGUUCUUCCACAAGUGGAAUUGAUAUGCAAUUUACACGCGAAUUGUCCUGUAUCCACCUUUCACUUGGGGACGGUUUUCCAUGAAUCUCUUCCAGCUCCUUGAGCCUGUUAUCGAGGGCUCUUCUAAGUGAGGCCAUCUGUAUAUGAUCGUUCGCUUCUGGAAGUCGGUUUAUGGAGACCUUGAAGUUCAGCCUAUGAAUUUUUCUGUACACUAGACGGGUCCUGUUGUCGUACUUCGAACACUUAUGUGAGAUUUCAAUUGUUCUCGCCUACUUAUGUGAGGUUUCAAUUGUUCUCGCCUUCCUUUCAUGGUGCAGCAGAGCAACAGAUGUCAAAGGAAUUGGAAGAGACAGUUCCACAGCCUCCUGUCACAAUGAAUGGUCUUUCUCAUCUGGAUAGAUUCUCCAAUGAGCGUGAUGAACUGCAGGAAUAAGUAAGAAACUCGAUCCUUGAGAUGUUUCUGUCUCAUAUCGUUUACUUUUUCUCCAUUGUGUCGAACAUAGUACCUACUCUAGUAAUUAGCUUAACUUUUCAUUUCAAUCUGAAAGCUACUCACCUACAUUUAUAGGAUUCUUAAUAUAAAUUACCUGCUUGUGCACACUAUCUUGGCGAAUUCUGUCAUCUGCGCUAGUUUAAAUACAUGCAUCAUUCAAGAGGCGGUAAGGUCUGCUCCACAUCUUGUACCUGGCGGUUGUCUUGCUUGUCCUUCAUUGGAAGAACAAGGAAUGAGAAUAAAUGCUGCAUUAGACGCUGCACAUGCACCAAUUUCUCAUCUCUCGAACCUCAUUGCCGACGGCCACAGGGGCUGCAAACUUCAGGGGACCUUUCCAACCAUCAGACUUUUAAUGGCUCGAAGCUUGAGCCACUUGGAUUCAUACCCUAUCCCUUACUUUCUCUGAAGAUAUUUAUGAUAUUUAACACUUAGCUCGACAUUCUGCGUCGUCGAUCUUACUUGGUUUGGACUACCUACUGGAGAAUCUCUUCAUGUAAAGGUUUGGCUUGCAAUAUUACUUGUCAGCAUAGUUGCAUAGACAUGGCGGUUCUGUUCUUUUACCCAUCAGUGCAUUCGACUCGUGGUGCAACAAAUCUGAAAAAAGCUUUUAAUAUGCUAUUUGAGAGUCAGCUUUCAGCAGUGAUCUCGAACAAUUUCGUGUUCUCCAAACCGAGUGUUCAGAGUCAUUGAAAGCCUUCAAUUUCUGACCUUGUACAAGGAAAGUCCUUCCUGCUUUAUCUGUUUCUAGAUACUUUAAAUACCAUCUAAAGUAAUUGAAAAGACGAUGCGGAAAAAGUUAAUUGCUGUUGUACUUGGCGAGGCAACCAAAGUUUAGGUAGCAGCAUGCACUUUUGCUACUUCUCUAUGUAUUCUUACUCCUGAUGAGUGGCGUUGUUUGUAGCUUCCAUUCAGGAGUACCUUGCUAAUUCGGCAUCAGGUCAGGGUUCUCUGUCUGCAAUAUCCGAGUGAAGUGGAUAUCGCGCGUUCCUUUUCAACAUCGGUGUCUGGUGGAAUGUUUUCUUAGCAAGAAAACUCAUGUACAGGGGACAACAGUGAGGAAUAUAGUACUUGUUUGGAAGAAUGUAAGGCACCAUCUCAUGACUUAUCAUCGAGUGAAUGCACAAAUUCUUACUGCAUUUAGAUAUUGUGCUUUUGUAAUACAUCACAUCCUCUUAACAUGACAUCACGUGUUCAAUUUCUAUUCAUCGUAAAGGCAAAAAUUGAUAGCCACAAUCAUUCAUCAGUUAGGCUAGGACCCAUUUAGAAACAAGAGGUCGAAGUCAGAGAUUGCUUGAGCAGGUAGCUGAUGUCAAGCUGGUUGAUCGAGUGGGGGUUGAAGGGUGGGGGUGAGAGCUUUUGAUGGAAAAAAGAGAGAUUCGUUGCUCAAAAUGCAAACAUUAACAUGAAGAAAAAAUUAAACUGUUAUGCCAAGAGGGUUCACACAAAACAAAAAUUAUAAUGAAUGCCAUACGGCAUUCAUUGUCAUUUAUAAAAUAUGGACAUAAUGAGUUUAAUAGAAAACACCGAUGCUAUAUGAAAAACAUGUAAAAGCUUCAUAGAUUACAUUAUCAAUGAUGGUACAUGCUGAUAGUGUUAAUUAUAUUUCGUAUCUCAUUUCUACAAGAGGAGAACAAUCACACAAUACAUGAUUUCGUAAACUCAUUAUCGUGGUCAAAUUGGUAACUGCCAGAAAUUAUUGGAGCACUUGAUGAAGAUGAGACCAUUUCAAGUUCUAUCUCAUUGUUGUCAUCAUCAAUUGGUGCCUCUGUCGGAUAUAAAAGCGGUUUUGGAGGUAGUUGUAGUUUAUCGAUAUCUCCUUCAAGCAUAUCUAGAACUUUCCUCAUUGAUGGUCGAUCAUUAGGGCUCAGCUGUAUGCACCAUAGCGCAACGAUUAUCAUCUUCCUUGUUUCUCUUUCCUCUUCUAUGACUUCUACCCUCUCAACCUCCUUUUCUUUGCUGAGUUGAUCAUAAACCCACAAAGGAAAGUAAAUUUGACUUGAAUGCUCUGCAUGUGCAUUUAUAUUUCUCCUUCUACCGGCCAUUUCCAUCAACAUCAUCCCAAAACUGUAAAGAUCGGCUUUAUAAGAAAUGCCACCAAUGUCUUUGUAGAAUAGCUCAUGCGCCAUAUACCCCAAGGUUCCUCUUGCUGCAGUCAACGAUACUAUGCUAUGACCGAUGGGAUAAAGUCUUGCAAGUCCAAAAUCAGAAAUUUUCGGAGUGAAACUUUGGUCUAGGAGAAUGUUGUGAGGCUUGAUAUCAAAGUGUAGAAUUUGCAUAUCACAUCCCCGAUGUAGAUACUCCAUCCCUCUAGCUAUGCCAAGAGAGAUCUCAUGCAUUUUCUUAUAAUCAAGAGGAUCAUCACCAUUCUUAUUUGAAAUGUGUUUAUCCAAAGAGCCAUUCGGCAUGAAAUCGUAGACCAGAGCUUGUUUGGAGUAAUCGAAGCAAAAACCAACAAGUUGCACUACAUUGAUGUGGUUGAUCCUUCCAAUUGUGGCCACUUCACUAAUAAAAUCUUGGCCAUUAGAUUCUGGUUUGUUCAAAAUCUUAACCGCAACUUCAUUGCCACUUCUAAGGAUUUCUCUAUACACAGAGCCAUAUCCCCCCUCACCUAAUUUGCAUUUGAAAUUUUUUGUAAUCUUCUUGAUAUCCGAGUAAGAAUACCUUAUGGGCGAAAAGUUGUUGUGAACUUGUAGGAAUUCUUCGAUGUUUGCGUCGAUCGCCCGGUGCCUUCUCAUCCACUUAUAGAUUAGAAGUAUCAACACGCAUGGAGCUUCGAGUAUGAAUUUGUCUGCGACAUAGUUGGCUACAUAGAAAUUGUCCAUAGAUUAGCACAGUGCAAUAAACUUUUUGUAAACAUAAUUGUUUUUGAUCAGAGUACUUGAGAUCAUGAUAGUUGUGAGGAGAAAAGGCCCAGCAGUCUUACCCAUGAAAAAGGCGAGGCGCGAACCUGCAAGUUCCGCGUACCAACGCUUGGCCCGCGCAGAAGUAGGGGUGACUGCAACAGAUUAAUUAGAGUCGGUGAUCAAUCAAUGAAGAAUUAAAUUUAUCAUUUUAGCAGUUAAACAUAAAUCUAAUUUACUCUCCUUGACAGCGCUCAGAUCACAGUUAAUUCAAUUCACCUAUGGAAUCCAUGCCAUCGUAGCAUGAUUUUUUCUCUUGAAGAAAAGCGAUCUUGCUUUUGUUCACCUAUAUAUACCAAAUGAUUCAUAAGUUCACGUCUCGCUCCGCGUAAUUCUAAUUUACAAACGUCAUUCAAUACACGUGCAAUCUAUUUAACCGCAUAACAAUAACAGCCGUGCAAGGGACACGAGCAACAAUUAAAUCAACCAUUUUUCCCCAAACAAAAAUGAAGUAACAAUGUCAAAUCCAGAAAAGCUCCAAGAUUCGUAAAAUAAACGAGAGCAGUGCAUACCGACCCUACUAAGAAAUCUAUUUAAACUUUUCAACUUAAGUGAAGCGGCAAUUUUUUCUAUUAUGUUUUUAAAGAAACUAGUGUCAUAAUAUGUGGAUUUUAUUAAAAAUACCCAAUUAAAACCUGCCACGUCACUUGGUAAGUAAAUUUUGAUCAGAUCUCUCAGUGAAGCUAGCAUUUAAGGAAAGGAGGAGGAAGAAGAGAAAAAGAAAGAACAGCUUAAGGGAACGUUGCUUACUGAUAUAAUAGCCGCAGUACUCCUUUCGGAAUCCAAAACCUAAGAAGUGACAUGGAAAUAAUCUUUUCCAAGAAUUGUCGGGCGGAUAGGAGAGAUUGAGGCCCUGUUUGGUUCAGCAUUUGGAAUGCUCAUUUGGGCUCUAAAGUCCCUUGGCCAAAUGCAAAGGUGUUUGGUUCGGUUUUUUGCUCGACUUUGGCGAGAUACAAUUGUAUCUCCAAGUGGCUCUAAGGGCCUUUAGCCCAAUGUAGCUCUUGACGUCCUUUGGAAAGUUGCAUCUUCGAAAUGUAACUUCCGAUAUUGUUCAUCUCUUCGGUGGAAAAGCCGAUCGGCCGCCUGAAUAAAAAUAAAUAUAAAAAUAAAUAUGUUUAUAUUUUUUAUAUAAAAUAUAAAAUAUAUUUUUAUAUAAAAAUAUAAACAUAUCUAUUUUUUCAUAUUUUAUGUUUAAUAAAUAUAUAUUUAUAAAAAAUAUAAUAUAUAUUUUUAUAUAUUGUUUAUAUAGAUAUAAACAUAUCUAUUUUUUUCUCCAAUUGUUUUAUAUAAAUAUAUAUUUAUAUAUUUAUAUAAACAUAUCUAUUAUAUAUAUAUAUAUAUAUAUUUUAUGUUUAAUAAAUAUAUUUUAUGUUUAUAUAAAAAAUAUAAUCAUAUUUUUUAUUCAAGCUAUUAUAUAUAUAAACAUAUCUAUUUUUUAUAUAAAUAUAUUUUAUGUUUAUAUUUUUAUAUUUUUAUAUAAAAAUAUGUUUAUAUAAAAAAUAUAAACAUAUUUUUUAUUUGGGCUAUUUUAUAUAUAUUUCAUAUAUAUUUUAUAUAGAUAUAAACAUAUCUAUUUUUUUAUAUAAAUAUAUUUUAUAUUUAAUAAAUAUAUUUUAUGUUUAUAUUUUUAUAUUUUUUAUUCAGGCGGUUCGGCCGCCGGAUUCGGCGGUCUGGUGGCCGGACUUCAAAAAAAAAAAUAUAAACAUAUUUCUUCUUUUUUAAUUUAAUAAAAGUUAAUUACAAAUGCAAAUUCCACCAAACGGUAUUUUGGCAAAAGUUGUUUCUCAAUGCAAAUUUUACCAAACGACAUUUGCAUUUCGGAAAACCCCAUUCACCCAAAGGUAUUUGCAUUACUACAAAUACAUUCCCCAAAAGCCGAACCAAACGGGCCCUGAAUCCCUCGACCAUCUUGUUGUGGAGGUCCUUGUAUGGUAAGCUCCCAUUCUGAUCCCCUUUCCACCUUUAGUCUCUAAAAAAAGUAAAAAGUAAAAUAAACAAUUUUCAUCAAAAUGCAUCACGUUUUCUUUAAAUUGCAUCUCAUAUAGACAUUAGGAAAAUUUGCAUUACUAAUAUUAAAAAUUUUAAUUUUUUUUAAAAUUAAGAUUAGAAAAAAAAUUAACAAAAAAUAGAAACGCAUACGGGCCGGGCUAGGGGCCAGCCUUAGCCCGGCCAAUCCUUUUCCCUUUCUUUUUCCCCCUUGUGGCCCAGCCCGCUUCUGUUCCUUCUAUUUUACCCGCGCGGCCCACCUUUCUUCCUCCGCGACCCAGCUCGCUCUUCUUCCUCCUUCCUCUUCCUUCCCUCGCUUGGACUUCAGCUUCAGGACAAAACAGAGAGUGGGUCCCUGGCCGAAGGACGCGAGGACGUGAGGCUGCGCGUAACGUUCGCCCAGGAAUAUCGUGCGGUACAAAGCCAGCUGGUCUCGUCCUUGAAGAAAGAGAGAGAAACGAGAUAAAUGGGAGAGAAAGGCAGCAAAGGGAAGGGGGGUCUCUUUGGUUUUAUUGGGUUUGUUCGGCCGAGGAAGAGCAACCGAGAGAGAGAGAGAGAGAGAGAGAGAGAGAGAGAGAGAGAGCUGGUGAGAGUGAGAAGGCGAGCUCGAGAGAGAGAAAGAGCGAGCCAAAUAAGAGAGGAAAGAGAGGCGACCGUGUUCUCGAGUUCUUCGGGGGAGGCUGGAGAGAGCGAGAUCAACAGAGAGAGUGAGAUCUAAGAGAGUGAGCAAAGGGUGAAGCGGAGGGAUGGACCAAGAGAAGCGAGACCCAGGAGCCAAACUUCGUUCUCGGACAAGCGUUCCUCGGCCAUCCCCAACAUAAAUCGGCGAUCUCCAGCCAACAACCUUUAGGUCCAAUCCACUUUUAUCCCGAUGAUCUUGGGCUCGGUGCAACAACGAGGCGACCGACCAUAGCUCGUUUCGCUUCAGCCUCGCUUUCUGGCCGUUGUUGCCGAGCCGGGUAGGGAUAUUCGCAAUCAAACACUUCUCUCUGGGAACUCCGGAACCGAAACAAUAGCUGGGCCUCGCUUUCCCUAGUCCACCAGCAUGCUUGGUUUGAACGAGCCGUCCCUUUUGUCGAGUUUGAGUGUCACUUGCUGCUUUCUUUUGAGUAAAUGACUUGGAGUGCUGCCAUUUUCAUUCUCUGUUGAUGGCUGCUAGAAUAUGUUCAAGACUCCACCCUUUCGUUCCAGGGACACACCCUUUAAAUUCUCCCAUGGAGUUUCUGCAUGAAAAUUGAUUAUCCAUUGGUUUAAUAGCAUGCGAGUAAUGACUAUACCUUAUCUAUUUUGAUAUGGUGGCGGACUUUUGACUAGUUGUGCACUGUUCAGAAUGCCAAAUUCAUUUGUGGAGGUUUAUAGAGGAAGAUUUUGUUUACUGUUUUUCUAAAUUAUACGACAGGCAUUUGUAAUUCGCAUUUCUAAAAUGUAAUAUCCUUUCAAUUUCCAGAGAGAAGGAUCGCUUCGUUUCUCAAUGCAAUGGGCAGAAUUUUCUAUCUGUAUAUUGCUCCUGUGACACAUAUAUUGUUUUUUUAUUGACAAUCCUCUUAACACUUUACUUGGUGACACCCAAUUACAUAUUGUUUGGCUACAUUUUGCUCCUCCUAUGUUGGAUCAUAGGAAGACAACUCUUUGAAAGGACGAGAAAACACCGUUGGUUUCCAUUGAAAGUAUACGCAAUCACUGUGUUUAUCUUCUUAUACAGCUUGAGCAAUUUCUCCACCUUUGAGAAGUGGUUGUCGGGGCUGAUUGAUCUUCAGUUUUACUUGGCCUAAAACUCAGAAGCUUCGCUAUUGCAGAAUAUUUGGCAGUCUAUUGCAAUACUGAUUGUGAUGCAGCUUUUCAGCUACGAGAGGAGACAGAGCAAGUAUAUCCAAUCUGAUGACUCCAAACUUAUGGAAUUUGGAGUACUUGGAUUUAUGGAGAGCUUCCUCAUUUGGCACAGUGACAAGAAAGUGUGUAACUGUGUAUAGCAAAGUUCUAUGCAUCAUUGUCACCAAUUAGUCUCUUUGGUUUCCUUUAUCUGCUCAGUCUUGUCAUUUGUUCCCUUUCACCUAAAGCAUCUCGAAUCCCAUCAAAGUUAUUCCUUCUUUAUACAGGAAUUCUGGUGAUGACAGAAUAUCU